GUCUCCUAGUACCCUAAAGGUAUAGAAACAUGUGUCAUCUAACCGGAAUGAACGACACUAAGCUCAAUCUUUAAGCUUCUCAAGCUAGGGUUAGGAAAAACUCACCGAUUGCGAAGGAAGCUCUCUCGAUCUCCAAACGGGAGUUAGAGUCCUUCCAAUCUAACCUAAACAAAGGUUCUAAACCCAUCAAUUUGAUACAAAAGCCCUCAAAAUGAAAAUCCCCAAAUCUAACCCUAAAAUGCCAAAUCUAGGGUUUGAUCUAGUAAAAUCCAACAAAAUCCGAAUCUAGAGGAGAGAAAUUGCUACUAACCUUUUAGAAGCUCCAAACCAAGCUCCAAAGUCCUCUAGGGUUGAAGGUUGAUCCUCAAACAAGCUCCAACCAAGAUCUCACACUUCUCCAAUGGUGGAAAACCCACAAAAAGCAAGAAGGAGAAGAGAAAAGAGAUCAAAACUAGCAAAAACCCAACAAAAAUGAAGAAGAAACCAAAGGGGAGUUCUCACCUUAUCUUCUCUGUUCUAGGGCUCAAAAGAGCAGCCAUGAGGGCUGGGGUGACUUAUAUAGGCGUUGCAACAAUUGCAAAAACACCCCUCUACGAAACAGUCAAAAUCUGCACUGCGUACCGGUACACGGGUUUGUGUACCGGUACACUGCCCACGAAAUGCCAAACCCGAGCCUCGGGUUCACUGGGAAAUGCUCUGUGUACCGGUACACAACCACGUACCGGUACAGCCAUCAACCCCGUACCGGUACAGCAAGCGAACCCGUACCGGUACACGGCCUGCUGAAGGCCACCCGAGAGCUGACCAAAAAUCCAACUUUUUGGAUUUUGGUACACAGCUUUAAACCACAAUUCUCGGGACUCGAACCAUAGGUCGGAACACUGUCAACGACCUACCAGAAAGUCUGGAAAAGCUCGACACACAAAUCAAACACUCGAACCUCGCAAUUUGCAAAGGUCCAGUGUGUUACAGCCUACCAAUACAACUAUAUACAUCAAUGUGAAUUUGUAUGUUUCUUAGACAUAAAGGGCGACCUAGUCGCUUCGGUAAGCACAACCCACCUCAAAUCGCUUUCCGAUAGCUUGUCGACACUUGCAAUCGGCCUCCAGCGGCACCCGUGUCCGGUUCAGCCCGAUUUUGCUAAUACUCACCAACCGUGCGUCGAAUCGUGGCUCCGAAAAUUAUAGGUCUUCGAUUAUGUUCCACGGUGCUUCAAAUCCAUUUUCAUGAUUUUACGAUGUCGCCUCGGCCCUCCAGGCGGAAACGAAGCCUAACGUCCGUUUCUUUAAUAACUUCACAAUGGCUCGACGAAUCACCGAACCGACUUCGCCAACGCGUUCGUUUACCUAGUAAUUAGGUUUACGGAGGGUCAAAUUAGAUCAAACCCAUACGUUUUACAAAACCCCAAUUUUGAAGCCCUAGAUGCCAUUAUAGCUAAAUGCAUUAUUUAACUUCAUGAAUCAAACAAUAAACCUCUAAUUAGCAUCUAAGCAUUCUACUAAAUCCAUCUCUAGAGCAUAUAAAGCUAAUACUAGAGAUCCACCUCAAAGCUUGCUCCAAACCAUAGAGAAGAUGAAGAAGAUGAAGAUGAUUCACUUCCAAGCUUCAAUCUCCACCAAAUCCACCAAUUUUGGGAGAGAUUUAGAGAGAGAAUGGGAGGUUUCUCUCUCUCCCUCUCCAUGCGUGUGUGAGGGUGUGUGUGUGCGGGUUGUGGCUGCACGGUUGAGGGGAAGAAGGAGACAAGUGGCCAAAUUCACAAGAACCCCUUGCACCUAUUAGAAAUUACAUCUCCAGCUCAGUUUAGCAGUUCGGAGUUAUUGGAGCCCUUCUGAACGUCCGUUUGCGCUCAAAUUUGAUGGACAGGCUCGGUUUAAUGUACUGAGUAAGAAUAUAUCUUAAGUUUUUAGUUUCGACCCCGUUUGGUCACCGAAAUCUCUACCGAACUGUAAUCUUUAUCAGAUAGCUGUUGGAUUUUAUUUUCCACUUUUCGGGUGUCAGAAUGGCAUGAAACUUUAAAUUUAGCCUCAUAAAAAUAAUUCUGACAUAUCCUCCAGUUUUCAUAAUUUUCUGACACAGUGCAUUUUCUGCUAAUUUAUCUACCCCGUUUCUCACAGAAAAUUCUAAAUCUUCUAUUUUCACUCCGAUUUCAGCACAGGUCAUUCUCAACCUAUAUUUCACCUCUCUAAAUCCAAUAAAAAUAGUAUCUCAUACUAUUUUUAUUUAUUUUCGUUUUUAUAUUUAAAAUUCGGUAUAUUAUAUUCCACCGCAACCUCACCGGAACCAUUCAAAUGGCCUUCCAAUCGAAUGUACACCGUAACUUAAUAGUUUUAGAAGUCCGGUACCUUACAAUUAAUCUCUCCAAAAAUUCAUCAUCUACUGUAUCGUGAGCAAUAUAUUCAUUCGCUACCAUAGGGCAUCGAAUACUGAAUUUAAGACGAAAUUCUUCUCUAUUACAAUUUACUAAACGAUACAUUCUCGCAUCAAAAUUAGUAUAUGUCGUAUCUGAACGAAUCGCAAUCAAUUUCUUCUGACCGCCGACAUAUCGGGGACCAUUUCCAUCCGUAGUUAACUGUCAAUCCCAAUGAACACUAAGAGACAUCCGACGAUUAGCCAUUUUCACUACACAAAAAAAACUUUCAAAUCUACUCUCAAAAUAUUUAGUAAAUAUAAUACAAAAGUUUAAACCUAAACUAGGCUAAUGCCUAGUUUAAAGUAGGUUUAAACCUAGUUUAAACCUAGUUUAAAACAAGUUUAAACUACAAGCCCGUCUCAUUAAAAAGUUUAAAUAUAACGUACCGAAACUCGGUAGAAAAUAUCGAAUUUUGGGCAAAUAGGCUCAAGUGUGCGAAAGAAAUAGUUGGACAAAUCCCAUUUAACUUUUCAACAAGGUUAGAAGAGUUAAAAGUGAGUUAGGAAGAGUUAAAAGGGUCUUGGCAUUGCUCGGUGCAGAAGAGAAGUCGAACAAGAACUAAAACCCAAGUCUGGGCAUUGUGUACCGGUACAACAUUGAUGUUGUACCGGUACAACACUGCAAACCGAGAGAAAUUGCUCUCGGGUUUGCCUCCGUGAAGUCGUGUUACUGGUGACACCCUUGGUGUGUACCGGUACACUUUUGCAAAACCCGAACAACUGCUCUCGGGUUUGCCUCUGCGAGAUCGUGUAACCGGUGACAGCCCACCUUGUACCGGUACACAUUGGACCUGACAGCAGGUUGAAGUUUACUGCAAAUAGAAAAAAGUGGAGAGCCUUUUUGCUAUUGUAGCNCAUGGGCCUAGCUUCGACAGAAGGCUCACAACACAAUCACUUAGAAAUUUUCGAUCUCAAUGUUUCCCUAGCAUUGGAUGUUCCAGGUGUACAAGGCCCCCAAACUCAAUUCUCGCGAUAGAGGUGGAUCAAUCCACCGUUCAACGACAACUCUCUAUCAAAGUCAUCCUGAUGCGAUCGUCAAACCAAAGUCAAUUCCAUCAGUCCUCAUAUAAGGUUCUAUCCUGAAGGACUCAAUUCCUUGUACACGCUCCUGACACGGGGAAUUCGUAACUUGGUACCUUCCCUCUCACGAGCUUUCCGUCCAUUUGUGAGAGUUCCACAACUCGAUCACUUCAAUCCUGCAAACGCAGUCCAACCUCGCACAUCCUAUUAAAAUACCCCAAGUCAUCCGCAACGGUUCCACAAAUCCACCCAGAGGCUGGGAUUAUCAUUCCGCGAACCCUUCCACAGGUAGAGUAUUAUAGGCUUAGGCAGCAUCAUCCUCGUGAUGUCCACACCUAGCAUCACAACCCAUUUGAGGUACGACCUCAAACUCCAACAUCAACAGCAUUACUCAGAUUACUCACAAUCUUACAAGUACACCAACAACUCAAGGCCAUCUGACAAGGUCAAUGGGCCUCAGCAACGGUCUAAGCCUCCAAUCGUGGUUCAAUUUGAAUCACGAGAGUCGACAUACAGUCGGAACGGCCCAACCGGUCCCACAACAGGUGAGAGUGCUCCUCCACGAGGCAAAACACCAACUAUAAAAUCUCCCUGUCAAAUGAGCUAACGAUUGGUGACUCGAUCGGGGACAUAACGACCGAUCAAGGACAUCCUUUAUUUCAAGGAUUCUUGAUCACCCAAAGCUAAUGGCCACUCAGGCCCCAAACCCUCUCCAACACUUACCCUAUUUUAGGUAAGAGAGACUAUCAACGCAUAUAGCAGAAGUAAAUCCUCAAAUCGCACUAUUUCGUGCACACAGUCCUCAAGGCGAGUCAAGUCAGCUCGCAAACCAAGGGUACCAGGUACCCACAACAACUCCACACCAAGGAAGGCCAAUCUAUUUGUUGGCACACAGAACCAUCUCACGGGGUAGAGCGUUCAAAACGACACACCCGAUCAACCGAUCAUCCACACGCGCCAAAGGCUCAACGCUAACAAAUCCUCGGGUUGGGUAACUACACACUCAGCGUGUCCUCGAUCGCACGAUCCAACACGUGGCUGUCACGCCCCGGGACCCAGCGGAAGCCCGCCCGGCGCGUGCCCAGACCCGCCAUAUGUCUACAACAUAUAAGGCGUCUGGGAACAACAAUAAUAAAAGCAAUAAUAAAAGACAUCUAGGAGUAUCAGAGCAUAGUAAAUGUCUAAUUGCUACAACAAAGGAUAAGGAUAAAACUGUAAAUCCACCAAAUGAAACAUAGAGUAAGAACAAUAGGAAAUCCCAAAUACAAGAGUUAAAAGUAGGUACAUAGGUGGUCUCUAUACAUGGAUACAAAAUCUCUCACUCUCUCUCAACUACAAAAAGAAAGAGUAAACCACCUAGGCAAAGUACCGCUCCUCGCUAGCUAGCUAAGCGAUCCCCUUGCCGCGAUCCCGUGCCUCCGCCGGUGCCGAAGGCUCUGAAAAGUAAACCACAAAACGGGGGCAUGAGAACUAUUAAAAUAGUUCCCAGUGGGCAAUUACUGACUUCAGUGAAUGCACCACAAGGCCCAAAGCUACAGAAGAUGUCAGUGACUAUAAAAGUAGAAAGGUGGCAGGUAAGUAAAAAUGUAACCCACUACGACAUGAUAUCUCUACUUAGCAUGAAUAGUAAAAGUAUGAAAGCAACUAUGCGUGAAGUAAAGUCUCCAACUAUCAUAAUGUUCACAAAGCGAAAUAGUAAAGUUCCGUUGUUUACUAUUCUGGUCAAUGUCCAAAUAAUACUCUAAGUCAUCAUCUAUCCACAUGUCAUGAUGAAUACUCAAGUCAAAUCUGAAGAGACCCACCCGAAGGCUGUCUAUGGCCCUGAGACCCACCCGGUAAGAGUAGGAUUAGGCCACUAAUUUGGUGAUAAAUUCUAUGUCAAUAGAAGCAAUGCAUGACAUAAGACAGAAGGGCCCAUUGAGAAACUGACAAUUAAUGUAAUAAUAAUAGAGAUAGAGAUAGACGUAUAUGAACUACUGCAAUUGUGAUACUAUGCAAACAUAGCUAGUAGAAAGGUGUCAAAAAUACAGCGGCACUCGGAGAUGGCCAUCUGCGAUACAUCAGAGUGCGGGAUUGGGCGCGAAGUGGAUUGCGUUGGGACAGCUCAUCCCUAAGGGUGGGGAUAUGAUACCCGGUCCAUUAGGCUCGGCACCCCGGCAGAAGCCUACNNNNNNNNNNNNNNNNNNNNNNNNNNNNNNNNNNNNNNNNNNNNNNNNNNNNNNNNNNNNNNNNNNNNNNNNNNNNNNNNNNNNNNNNNNNNNNNNNNNNGAACACUGUCAACGACCCACCAGAAAAUCUGGAAUUGCUCAGCACACAGCUCGAACACUCGAACCUCGCAAUUUGCAAAGGUCCAGUGUGUUACACUAACUCCGGAGUGCCGGCUUGUUGGGAGCGACCCUCACAAGCAUGUGCGAAUGAGCACAAAUGGCAAACAAGCAUAAUCAAAAGCUCAAGAAUCCGAUCCUCAUGUCUCAAACAUGGAAAGCUACUAGUAACCCAACGGUCUAGCUCUAUGUUACAACGUGAUAUCCCAAUACUCACUUGCUUAGUGCCUCUUUAUGACACUUAAGCACCACAACUAAUCAAGCCCAAAUCAUGUUCUAUGUCCCCAAUUAAGACAUUAAUACCAAUGCUCACUAUGGCCCGAGCCCAAUGCCUCUUUAUGACAUUGGCCCAAAUUCUCAAAUAGUUUAAGUCCCUAAGCCUCUCUAGGCUUCCAAAGUCCCUAAUGUCACAAUUGGGCAUAAAGGUUAAAUGCAUGAUAGCAAUGUUUAUUUUCAUGAUAGGAAUUAUGGUUCCAAAUCUCAACCAGAAUGCUAUGUCUCACAUGCAUGCACUCUACCACAUAGAGGUCCAAAAAUUUACUAUACAUUACAUAUGCAUGUUAAUCAUUCUAAAAUUCAUAAUAAAUAUAUCUAACAUGAUUAUGCAUGCUUUUUCAUUUAACGAUACUCAAAUCAUCACAAAUAAGAUUUUCUCAUUAUGUGGCUAGGUCAAACCCACCGAACCGUCGCGGAGUCCUUCGUUUCGCCGAACGGAGUUGUCCACGAGUCUCUAAGUACCCUAAAAGUAAGGAGCGAAGAGAUACACGAGCAUUACGAACAACUCUAUGCUCAAACAUUAACCAUCACAAGCAAAGGGGCAAAAACUCACCUAAGGAGUAGAAAAUCUCUCUCAAGCUCCAAAAGAAAGCUAGAACCCUUCCAAUCUAACCCAAAGGAAGAUUCUAAUCCAAAAAAUUGAGCCUCAAAAGCCCUAGAUCAAAAAGCCCCAAAAUCAACCCUAAAAUCCCAUUCUAGGGUUCCAUCUCCUAAAAACCUUCAAAUCAUGAAAUCUUGGAAAAAGAACAAGUUGCUUACCUCCUAGAAGCUUCAAUCUUGGUUCAAAACCCUCUAGGUUCCAAGAUCUCGCCUCAACUAUGCUCCAAAUCCAAGCUCCAAGCCACCAAAAGGAGGAAGAGAGGGUAUGGGUGAAGUUCCAAGCCUCCAACAAGCUCUCUCCUCCAUCUUCUUCCUCUCCUUCUUCUUCUUCUCUCUCUAGGAGCAAAUGAAAUGGUGGAAUGAGGGAGGAGAGAAGAAGAAGUUGUAAGAAAAUCAUGUGUACGCAGCGGAAGAAAAUAACACAAUUAAAAGUUUUCUUGAAAACCAAAGAUCACCUCGUGUUUCAUUUUAGAUCAUUAAUAAUAGAUCUAAUUGAUCUAAUCAAAUAGGAUCUAUAUUAUUUUAUUUUACCUAGCGCGGGUCGAGGUCACCGCGAAGUCGAAAAUCGUUGGUAAAAAUUUCUUCGUCCUCGGUUAGCCACGCACGUACCCGGCCUCUACUCGCGUCCACACGAAAUCACGCCCUUGAUCGAAAUAGACGACAGCUUCAAUCCGUAAUCCGAUCACGAAUUAACCCUUGCGUCGACUUGAGGAAGAUGAAUCAAUCUUCUAGAUGUGCUAGCAACUUUUUGAAGAUCGAAACCGAUGGAUUAAUUGUGGAGGACUUAAGAAAGAAAAAGAAUUGACGGCUAGGGUUUUCUUUUUCUUUUUGCUUAAUUUUCCAUUCAUUUUAAUAUGUCAUAUGACAUAUAUUUAUAAUGAGAAAACCCUAACGUAAUCCUAAUCGAAAUCCUAUUCCGAUUAGAUUAUCCAUUAACCCACAAGUUGGUUAUGAUAUUAACCGAAUUCCGAAUCCUAAUUCUAAUUCGAUUCGUGUGUAACAUUUACACAUAAGUCCUCAUAUUAUUUACUAACGAUUAGUAAAUACACCAUGCAACUUUUACACAUAAAUACCUCUAAUUUACAACAAUUGCAAAUUAGUUCUUUUACUAAUAAAUUAGUAAACUUUAGUAUUUAACUAUAUUAUAAUUGUAAUUAAUCCAUCCGAUAAACUUCUUUUAUCAUAUCUUAAAUAUCGAUCAUGCGCGAUUUCUUAUGUGUGUGACCUAAUAGGUUCAAUUCUGUCUGGUAGUGGGAUAUGAUGAGAUCUCCAUCUACAUCAUCAUCGAAACUCUUUUCGAUGGCUCAAACUCUUUUGAUUCCACCCUAAUAGAAUAAUUAAUAAUUAUUUCUAUUGGUUCCCACAAUCCACCAGUGACGCCUAGCAGCAUGUAGUGGCAAUCCAGUCAAAAGUGAAUAUCGGACUGAACCUCUAGGUGCAGUUACCGUACAAUACAAUCCUUCUAUCGCAUAGUUCCAACUAAGUGGAGGUCAUGGAAUAUUCGUCAAACCCCAUCACCCGUCAUAUGACAAAUUUGAUCAGACAGAAGCUCUUAUGGUGACUCUUGGAAACAUCUUUCCAUACACCAUAUUACCCCGGCCGAGGAUUUCUGUGCUUUGCCGUACAAAUAGCAUAGAACUAAUUAUCUCUCUACCGAGAGCGAUAGAUCCCCUAUAAACACACACCCAUUCCUGAUAUGAACCGACUGCAGCCAACAUAUACUACUAAGACCCAUGGCUAGGAUCAGAGUUUGUUGCAUAGUCAAACUACAGUGGCCUCAUAUUGAAUGACCGUGGUGUCGCAGGUCUAAGGAUCAGUUGUACCACUGCAACAUCGAACCAGUUACUGACGAAUGAGUAGACAUCCAUGUAACUGUUCGUAGUUAGUCACGCUCAAUACCGUUGUUCUCCAACAACCGCCUGCAUGUUCGCUCCAGUGUCCCCACACUGAUGACUCGAGAUUCGUCAUCCCAAAAGGGAAGCGACACACACAUCAAUCUUACCGGAUCAAUCAUCGUCCCCAUGAUGAUCCUCCGAUUGUGAGCAUUUAUGAAUUAAUCACCAAUAAUAUGUAUCUCAAAUUCUCAACUCUUUAGAAUACAUAUUAUCAUCUUAUUAAUUCAAAGGACGAUUCAUGGACACAUUUAACAUGAAUGGAAUAAAAGGCCCAAUUAUAUAAAUAAUAAUGAUUAAGUACAAAAAUAUGUCCCAUAGAAAAUAAAAUGCGUCAGCUUGAUAGGCUUCUAGGGCAUACAACUAACAAUCUCCUACUUGCACUAAAGCCAAUCAGCCAUGUACCUAAUGCCCAUCUUCUCAAGAUGAGUCUCAAGUUUCUGCUGAGUCAAUGCCUUAGUUAGCGGGUCCGCCACGUUAUCCUCGGAGGCAACCUUCUGUAUUUCAAUAUGUUUAUCCUUGAUGUACUCUCUGAUCUUGUGAUACCGCCGCUCAAUGUGCUUGGAUUUCUGAUGAGACCUUGGCUCUUUUGCUAAUGCUACGACGCCAUUAUUAUCACAAUAUAGUGGCAAGGGAUCCUUACUGGAAGGAACCACGCCAAGCUCAGCGACAAAUUUCUUGAUCCAAACAGCUUCCUUGGCAGCUUCAGAUGCAGCGAUGUACUCCGCUUCUGUAAUAUACCAGAUUUUGGUAUAAAAAUAAAAAUAAAUAAAAAUAGUGUGGGAUACUAUUUUUAUUGGAUUUAGAGAAGUAAAAUAUAAGUCAGAAUUGAUUUGUGCUGAAAUCGGAAUGAAAACAGAAGAUUUAGAAUUUUCUGUUGGAAACGAGACAGAUAAAUUAGCAGAAAAUGCACAGUCUCAGAAAAUUAUGAAAAUUGGAGAAUAAGUCAGAAAUAUUUUUAUGAGGCUAGAUUUAAAGUUUCAUAUUUUUUUGACACCCGAAAGUUGGGAAAUAAAAUCCGAAAGCUAUCUGAUAAAGAUUACAGUUCGGUACAGUUUUCGGUGACCAAACGGGGUCGAAACUGAAAACUUAAGAUAUAUUCUUACUCAGUACGUAAAACUGAAUAUGACUGUCAAGUUUGAGCUCAAACGGACAUUCAGAGAGCUCCGGCGAAAGAUAUCAGAUUUUAAGUUGCCUGGAGUGAAUAGUGUUUGGUGUUGACUUUAAUAAGAAGCUAUUUAGCUUCUUCUCCUCCAUCAGCCGACCACCAUGGCCGACACCCCUCUCACGCAUGCAUGGAGGGAGAGAGAGAGACCUUUAUUUCUCUCUCUAAAUAUCUCUCUCAUCUCUCUAUAUCUCUCUCUAAAAAUUGGAGGGUUGGUGGAGAUCGAGUCUGCGAACGUGUUGGAGGCAACGGAUCGAGCUUUCGUGCGCCCGUUGGAGCGGCGUGUUUUCGUUGCGGCGUUCACAUUGCGGUAAGCUUUUGGGAUUUGGUUUAAUCCUUAGCUUUAAGUGCACUAAUAGCCUCUAAUGAGCAUUGAUAGUAUGUUGUUCCAUUUAAUUGGAAUUAUUUGGAGGUUAAUUCAUAUUAGGGCUCAAAAAUGCUAAUUUUGAAAAUAUGAGGGUUUGAUCUAAUUUGACCCUCCUUAAACCAAAUUGCUAGGUAAACGAACCCGUUGGCGAAGACGGUUCGGCAAUCCGACGAGCCGUUACAAAGUUGUUAAAGAAACGGACGUUUAGGCUUCGUUACCGCCUGGAGGGCCGAGGCGACGUCGUAAAAUCAUGGAAAUGGAUUUGAAGCACCGUGGCACAUAACCGAAGACCUUUAAUUUUCAGAUCGUGGAUCGGAGGCCGUUCGGGUGGUCGCGCAAAAGAUCGGGCCAAACCGGAUUACGGGUGCGACGGGAGGCCGAUUGCAAGUGUCGACAAGCAAUCGGAAAGCGUUUUGAGGUGGGUCGUGCUCACUGAAGCGAUUAGGUCGCUUUCCAUGCUAAAGUAUAGUAUGUUUACUAUUGAUGCAUGAUAAAGUAUGCUAUUUAAGAAUGCAUGAUAAAGAUUAAAGUAUGCUAUUUAAGAAUGCAUGAUAAAGAUUAAAGUAUGCUAUUUAAGAAUGCAUGAUAAAGAUAGAUGUCAAAUGAAUGCAUGAGUUGAUGUUAAUUUACAUGAGCAUAUUAUAGAAAUGUUAAACAGAUGUCAAAUGAAAGUAUGAGAUUUAUUCUAACCGAGAAUGCAUGUGGUAAAUGUUAACGAAUGCAUAAAAUGCUAAGUAAUGACUACCAAUGGAUGACAAAAUAUAUGCAUGUUGAACAUAGAUCGAGUGGCAUUUGGAAAUGGUAAAGUGGACACUAGAGUUAGUGUGGGACAUCAAAGAAUAAAUGUGAUGUAAAGAAUAAUGAUAAUGGCUAAAGAUAAUGUAAAACAAUGUGAUGAUAAUAAUGUAAUGUUGCAUGAUGUGAGUACACGUGCUUAUUAGAAUGAUUAAGAAUCUAAAUAAUCUAUGUGUAUGCAUGAGAUGUAAUGUGAGAACCUAAUGAUAAUGGUUUGAGACAAGGCAAAGCAAUGUGAUGUAAAGAAUAAUGAUAAUGGCUAAAGGCGAUGUAAAGUAAUGUGGCAUAAAGAGCAAGCAAAGUGUAAAGAACAAUGAUAAUGGCUAGAGUUAGCAACCAAUGUGACAUAAAGAACACUAGAGUUAGUGUGUGGCAAUAAAAGAACAAGUGUGAUAUCAAGAAUGACAAUUACUAAAGUAAUUGAUAAUUGUGGUAUAAAGAAUAAUGAUUGCUAGAGUUAGCAACUAAUGUGAUGUAAAGAACACUAGAGUUAGUGUAAAACCAUGAUCCAACUACAUAUCCUUAGAGUUAAGGAUUGAUCAUACUUGCUAUGAGUUCCGUGCUCGAGGGCGGUCGCUCCCCCUCGAGCGAUGCGCUCCGGAGUUUGGCAUCCGGGUUGGAGUAGACCCGUAAGGACGGUCCUAGCUGGUGAGUUCCUGCGAUGAUGGACUUAAUGUGAAGCAAGUUAAUGUGGCGAAACCCCCGGGUUAGCCGUGAGAUUAAAGAACAAAGAACAAAAAGGAAUCAUGAAUUGGAAAGUGGAUCUUGUAUUCAUUAUGAAUUGACUCAAGACGGAGUCGAGUGGCAUAGUUGGCUAAAGUAAAGGUGACAAUUGAGAAAGAAUGACAAUUGAGAAACGUUUGUUAAUGUUAUAAAGAAUGGCAAAAGUGUAUAAUGCGCCUAAGGUGCGAGUGCCCUUAAUAAAGAAUAAAGAAUAAAGAAUAAAGAAUAAAGAAUAAAGAAUAAAGAGUAAAGAAUGGCUAAUGAUAAAGAAUAGCAAAUUCUAAAGAAAGUCUAAUGGUAAAGAAUAACUAAGAGUUGCAUAAUUUGCAUAUUUGUGAGGCAUGAACAUGUAUUGCAUGAUGUUAUAUGUAUAUAUAUCUGUUGGACUAACAUGUUGCAGUGCCUCCUUUGGACCUGGUGGGUUGAGCUUUUCACUUGGGUGGCUGUACCCACUGACGACUAUGGACAAUAGUCUCACCCCCGUGUUGUUGUUUUUGGGGGUACAGGUUCACACGCGAGCGGCGCGGCGGCGCGAGGAAAGGGCGUAGCUCCGUAGUUAGCGCCCUACCACAGAGACCAGAUAGCAGCACCCUGAGUCGGCUUCUUAGGGGUAUAAGAAAAGAAAAGAAAAGAAUUGAUGUUGUAAUAUUAUGUUUAGAAAUCGAUUGUAUAUUUGGAAGUUGAGAAUCAAUGUAAUGAAAAAUGCGAUGUAAAAUGAUGAGAUGAAUGAUUGUAAUAACAUAGGAUGUGUUAUGUUGUUUGAUACCUUCCUUAUGCAAUCGUUGUUGAAAAAUUGUUCCUGUUUGGAACCUCUUGUACUUGGAUUGAUUGCGACGCCUUGAACGUACAGGGGAGACUCUGUCCGCGUGUAGGGAAAACCCUGUCCGUUCGGCGGUCUGUUGGCGUGCCCGAAUCCGACCAAAGAGGCGGGCUCGGGGCGUGACAGAUAAGAUGGUAUCAGAGCAUAAAGUAGAGAAUGGGAAAGUGGUUUAGAUGAACCUAGGAGACCCUAGGAUAGUAAACCAUAGGAGAUUAAGGCUCGUGAGAGACGAGGACUUGUGGCUUUGGCGAAAGGUUAAGGGAUUGGGUUGUGUUGUAAACCUCUAAAAAGGAGAUUAGAGGUGGAUUCAAGGUGUGGUCUACUCUCAACCGAGGGUGUUCAUGUUGGACGCGUACAACAUGAAACCGAGUGAUGAGAAUAGAUGACCUUGUAUGACUUUCGCCUGAUUUGAGUUGAUGUCAGUUGUCUCGUACUCGACCUAGAAGGUUGAGAGUUAGUUGAGUUGUUAUGUUCUAGGUAACGAUGGCACUGCGUAGGCGAUCUUCGUUUAGAUCGACGCGGGGUGGGACAAGUGAUGUCCCAGAGCAAUCCAAGGCGAGCGGAGAUUUGGAACUUCGCGAACAGUUGGCCACACUUGUGGGUGUGGUGAGGCAACGAGCAGAUGUGGUGCAGCGGCAGCAGGAGGCUGUUAUGCACCAGGAGGAGCGAAUUAAGAGACUCCUGAAAAGUUGUAGGUGUAAUAUACCGAAACUUCGGUAAGCGAACAUCGAACCUUGGUCAAAUUAACCAAAGAGCGAGGUUGGUACACUUCGGAAAGGCCGAAGGCAUCAAAUAAUGCAAAAGUGCGUUACUGGGGAUCUUCGAGAGCUUUGGGAAUCAAAAUCUGCAAAUUGCAGGUUUUCUGCUCUCGGGGACCGGUCUCUGGUGGGAGAGACCGGUCCCCGCACGCGCAGACAGCGAAAGGGAGGAAAAAAAAAAAAAGGCUAAGUCCCCGGUGGACAGCUCUCGGGAACCGGUCCCUGCAGGGAGAGACCGGUCCCGAAGAGACCGGUCCCAUCGGGGGAGACCGGAUGCAUCGUGCGUGAGCCCUGCUGACCGCGGGGAGAGCUCUCGGAGACCGGUCCCUCGUCGGGGAGACCGGUCCCCGAACCUGAGAGUGGCCCAGUCAGGGCAGUGUAAAAGAGUAAAAGUUGAGAGGCUUGUUUGCACUUAUGCAACAUGUGGGGCUAUGUGAGGAGUAUGAGAGCUCUUUUCUCUCAUUUCUCAUCCACACACCCUCUCAUAUCUCUCUUUCUCUCUCUCUAGAAGACAAGAAGAGGAAGAAGAAAGGAAGGAAAAAGAAAGAGAAAGAGCGGGCUUUGGCAGCCCUCAUGACCUUCAUAAAGUUUGAUCCACCUACCUUCGAUGGAGAGAAUGUCGAUUCGUGGAUUGUGGAUACGUGGAUUGACUCCGUGGAAACGCUCUUCGAGGAGCUGUCUACCUUGGAGCGGGACAAGGUACCCCUAGCCGUGUAUUGUUUGAAACAGUCGGCUAAGGCGUGGUGGAAAGGCAUUCGACGGAACCGAUCGCCUAGUAUUCCUCCAUGGCAUGGGAUGAGUUUUGGGGAUUGGUAUCUUCUACUUACUUCCCCCGACAGUGAAAAGAGAAAGCUUCAGGACAAGUUCAGGAAGCUGCGGCAAGGAGACCGCUCAGUUAGAGAAUACGAACGGGAAUUCUCCCUAUCAUGAACUGUAUCCGAGAUAUGGAGCCUGCUGCUGACGACGUCAUGGCGGGUAUGAGCUGUUAAUGCAGUUAUGUGUUUCUGCAUAAUGUAGAGUUGGUGCAUUGCAUGCAUUGAGCAUGUAAUUAAUUACUACUAUUUAUGUAGUAGCAUAGUAGGGUCCAAGUGAGCGGGUAAAUGUAAACACCCGGGCACGCUUAUGUGGUGAAAGCGUUGCACCUGCCGGUGCAGGUAGAGAACUGGAUGGUACUAGCGAGUUGCUAGUGGUGGUCUAAUGAUGAGACUUGUAGUAGAGGUGGAAAUGACGAACCAACUCGCAGAGCAAUCUAUGUAAUUGAUUGCGAGAGUUGUGUCAUGACACUUGUGGACACUCGAAUGGUUUGAGUGUUCUAGAUGUUGCUCCGGUAGAGCGAUUGGCUGCCAAAUACGGGCGCGUUGGCCUAGUAGUACCUCGAAUUGAGGUGGGUGAGUCGUGCUCGUGUGGCCGGUGUGCAUAGGCAAGAGUUGCCUAAUGCUGGACAUAGUGUGGAGCGCUUUAGAGGCGUGCGAUACACGAGUAUAGUUACUCGUGGAGUGCGGAUUUAGUUCAGCCGGAUGAGUGUGUUGGCAGUAGCACCUGAGCAUUGCUAGGUGUGAAGCGUGCCACGGAUCACUCGUGGGGCUGGUGGCUCGCACUAGGUGCAUAGGAGCCGAUAGUGGUACGUAUUGUGCUAUAGAGCGUGUAGUGCGAUUGAUAGUAUACUGAGAGUGCGAGUGUGACCCAACCCGGGAAUCUGUAACGGUUUGGGAUCUUAGUUGCUCCUGGUUGGAGUGUGUGCGAAUUCCCAAGUGAGAAUUUCGCCCCAAUGAUGAUUGGGUCUGCAUUGCGAGCGAGAGACGCUGCGUAUUGAGAAAGGUUUAGGUGGUAGGCCUACAUAGUAUUGGUGGCCUUUGGACCACCAGUGGAAACCGAGGAAAGCGAUUUGGCGGAUAGACUUAUCGAGAGGUUUGACUCGAAUUCACGAACAAAGUGUUCUUGUGAGCUCUUUGCAGAAAUGGUUUGACGUUGACCAUGGCAUAUGGUAUUGAAAAAUGAAGUGCUCUUGGAGAGACCUUGAGCUUAUGGCAAGCCACGUGGAAUUUGAGAACUGGAAGUGGGGAUGUGCCGAAGUGGGCCAUCUCACUUAGAGCAAAAAGUCGGGGCGGAAUUAGAGCACUCGCGGUGAAGCGAUGCACUAGUGAUGUUGCUUUUAAGCAAUGUUGGAGAUAGAAUCGGAGUGUAUUCCCUGAGGGGAAAGUAAAUGCGAAGAAGAGUUCUUGUAUGCCAAAUGACAAGUGGUAUUGGACCGCGUGAAGUCGUUGAGUUUCGACUUGCGCCGCCACCAAGAGUGAUGGAUACCCUAAUGCACUUUGUGAGAUGCGCCUUGCAAAUUUGGAUGCAUUUAGUAUCAUGAACUCCGUGGUAGUCCUCUUGGAUAGUUCCAAGGAGUGUGAAGCCAUUCCGAAGUGGAAAGCGUAUUGGUGCUCUCAAUUACUCGAGGAGCUGAAUCGAGUUGUGGUUUGAAUUUCGCGGACGAAAUUCUUUUAAGGGGUGGAGAAUGUAAUAUACCGAACUUCUAAAUUCACGAAGUUACGAUGUAAGUUAGCUUAGAAAGCCAUUGGAAUCGUCCCGGCGAAGUUCGGGAGCAUUCGGGUGCUUCGGUGCGCAUAGGGCGCGAAAACGGAGCCGAAAGGCUAUGUUGGACCGUGAGUUAAAUCCGGCAUUAGCGUGGAUGAAAAGAUGAUGAAAACAUGUUCGAAAACAUAUUUGGAGAGUCUCGGUUCGAUUUGAAAUGAAUCAGAGGUCAAACGAGCGAAAACGAGCGAAAACGGAGCUAAAAUGGUGAAAAAGCUGAAAAUUUGGCUAAGUCCUUGAAGGCUGAUUUCUGGACCUUCGGGGACCGGUCUCUCAGUCAAGGACCGGUCUCUCAGGGACCGGUCUCUCAUCGCAAGGACCGGUCCCCGAAGCCCGAAAAUGCCCAGUUCGGGCUGUUGUGAGAAAUGCAUUGUUGAGGGUGUUUUCAGCAAUUUUGCACUAAUAGAGGCUAUUAGAUGGUGGAAUGAGAUCUUUCUCUCAUUUCUCUCACUCUCCCACACCAAAACCUCUCCCUCUCUCUCUCUAGAAAGAAAAGAAGGAGAAGAAGAGGGGAAAGAAAGGGAAGAAGAAGAUGAAGGAGAAGAGGCCAAGAAGAUAGAGUUUCAUCUUCAUCUCCUUCCUUGAGCCAUAGGAGCAAGCUUAGAGAGGUAAGCCUUAUGCUCUCUAAUGGUAGACUUCUAGAACUUGGUUUAUAUGUUCUAGAAUUGGAUUUUAUGUACUCCUAGCAUGUCAAAUAGAUGAUAAAUGCUUGGAUCAUGAGAUGAAAUGGUAGAUUUUGCAAUAGUUGCAUAUUAGGGCUCCAAAAAGGGGGUUUUUGUAGAUAGUUGAGUUUGAUCUCAAUUGACCCUCUAUAAACCUAAUUGGGGGUAUAACGAACGCGUUGGUGCGCUCGGUUCGACAAUCCGACGAGUGUACGCAAAGUUAUUGACGAAACAAUCUGUUUUGGUACAGAUAACUGCAGCACGCGGGAUAAGCCUCCAAAAAUCAUGAGAAUGGAUCGGGAGCAUCGUGGUGUCGGGGAAUAAACUCCCGAACAGACGGAUCGCGAAUUGGUGGCCGUUCGGGUGGUCGCACAAGAGUUCGGGCCAGACCGGGUUACGGAUGCCGCGGGAGGCCGAUUGCAAGUGUCGACAAGCAAUCGGAAAGCGUUUUGAGGUGGGUUGUGCUCACCGAAGCGAUUAGGUCGCUUUCCAUGCCAAAGUGUAGUAUGUUUACUAUUGAUGCAUGAUAAAGUAUGCUAUUUGAGAAUGCAUGAUAAAGUAUGCUAUUUAAGAAUGCAUGAUAAAGAUAGAUGCCAAAUGAAUGCAUGAGUUGAUGUUAAUUUACAUGUGCAUAUUAUAGAAAUGCUAAAUAGAUGUCAAAUGAAAGUAUGAGAUUUAUACUAACCGAGAAUGCAUGUAGUAAAUGUUAACGAAUGCAUAAAAUGCUAAGUAAUGACUACCAAUGGAUGACAAAAUAUAUGCAUGUUGAACAUAGAUCGAGUGGCAUUUGGAAAUGGUAAAGUGGACACUAGAGUUAGUGUGGGACAUCAAAGAAUAAAUGUGAUGUAAAGAAUAAUGAUAAUGGCUAAAGAUAAUGUAAAACAAUGUGAUGAUAAUAAUGUAAUGUUGCAUGAUGUGAGUACACGUGCUUAUUAGAAUGACUAAGAAUCUAAAUAAUCUAUAUGUAUGCAUGAGAUGUAAUGUGAGAACCUAAUGAUAAUGGCUUGAGACAAGGCAAAGCAAUGUGAUGUAAAGAAUAAUGAUAAUGGCUAGAGGCGAUGUAAAGUAAUGUGGCAUAAAGAACAAGCAAAGUGUAAAGAACAAUGAUAAUGGCUAGAGUUAGCAACCAAUGUGACAUAAAGAACACUAGAGUUAGUGUGUGGCAAUAAAAGAACAAGUGUGAUAUCAAGAAUGACAAUUACUAAAGUAAUUGAUAAUUGUGGUAUAAAGAAUAAUGAUUGCUAGAGUUAGCAACUAAUGUGAUGUAAAGAACACUAGAGUUAGUGUAAAACCAUGAUCCAACUACAUAUCCUUAGAGUUAAGGAUUGAUCAUACUUGCUAUGAGUUCCGUGCUCGAGGGCGGUCGCUCCCCCUCGGGCGAUGCGCUCCGGAGUUUGGCAUCCGGGUUGGAGUAGACCCGUAAGGACGGUCCUAGCUGGUGAGUUCCUGUGAUGAUGGACUUAAUGUGAAGCAAGUUAAUGUGGCGAAACCCCCGGGUUAGCCGUGAGAUUAAAGAACAAAGAACAAAAAAGGAAUCAUGAAUUGGAAAGUGGAUCUUAUAUUCAUUAUAAAUUGACUCAAGACCGAGUCGAGUGGCAUAGUUGGCCAGGGUAAAGGUAACCCUGUGAAAGAAUGACAAUUGAGAAAGAAUGACAAUUGAGAAACGUUUGUUAAUGUUAUAAAGAAUGGCAAAUGUGUAUAAUGCGCCUAAGGUGCGAGUGCCCUUAGCAAAGAAUAAAGAAUAAAGAAUAAAGAAUAAAGAAUAGAGAAUGGCUAAUGAUAAAGAAUUGCAUAUUCUAAAGAAAGGCUAAUGGUAAAGAAUGACUAAGAGUUGCAUAAUUUGCAUAUUUGUGAGGCAUGAACAUGUAUUGCAUGAUGUUAUAUGUAUAUAUCUGUUGGACUAACAUGUUGCUGUGCCUCCUUUGGACCUGGUGGGUUGAGCUCUUCCCUUGGGUGGCUGUACCCACUGACGACUAUGGACAAUAGUCUCACCCCCGUGUUGUUGUUUUUGGGGGUACAGGUUCACACGCGAGCGGCGCGGCGGCGCGAGGAAAGGGCGUAGCUCCGUAGUUAGCGCCCUACCACAGAGACCAGAUAGCAGCACCCUGAGUCGGCUUCUUAGGGGUAUAAGAAAAGAAAAGAAAAGAAUCGAUGUUGUAAUAUUAUGUUUGGAAAUCGAUUGUAUAUUUUGAAGUUGAUGAUCAAUGUAAUGAAAAAUGCGAUGUAAAAUGAUGAGAUGAAUGAUUGUAAUAACAUAGGAUGUGUUAUGUUGUUUGAUACCUUCCUUAUGCAAUCGUUGUUGAAAAAUUGUUCCUGUUUGGAACCUCUUGUACUUGGAUUGAUUGCGACGCCUUGAACGUACAGGGGAGACUCUGUCCGCGUGCAGGGAAAACCCUGUCCGUUCCGCGGUCUGUUGGCGUGCCCGAAUCCGACCAAAGAGGCGGGCUCGGGGCGUGACACCCUAUGUCAUCAUGUCUCUAACAUGGAAUAUAGCAGAUAUGUAGUGGCCUAUCAAUAUGUCUCUAUGUUGCAGUUUCAUAGUUUACUAGUUUCAAGUGCCCCUUUAUGACACUCUUGCUCUCUAUGUCAAAACAUGGCAACUAUGUUCCAAGGUACAUAUUCCAAGUCAUCAUCAUCAUAAGAGAUGUAUUUUUCAUUUGCAAAACAAGUACAUUUCCCGUAUGCAUGCAUUCUACUCAUAUAGCUCUACUAUAUAGUGAAAUUUUCAUAAUACUCAAGGCAUGCAUUUUAAGUGCUCUAAAAUUCAUAUAAAUCCCAUUUAGCAUAGAAAUGAACUUAAAAAUAUUUUACAACAAGUAGAAAGAGCAUAGGGGCCAUUUUGCCCCAUUUCCACGAAGCCAAACCCACCGAUGACAACAAAACUCCUCGUGCGCUCCAACGAGGGUGUCCUCUAGUCUCCUAGUACCCUAAAGGUAUAGAAACAUGUGUCACACGAACGAAACGAACCAUCAAUAGCUCAAUCAUUAAGCUAGACAAGUAUAGGUGAGAAGAACUCACAUCUAGUGCAAAAAUCUCCUCUAAAGCUCCAAAAUGAAGCUAGGGCUCAUCCAAUCCAACCUAAUGGAAGCCUCUAAUCCAAACAAUCUAGCUCCAAAAGCCCUAGAUUCAAAAUGCCCAAAAUAAACCCUAAUAUCACAAUCUAGGGUUUCAAUUCAAUAAAGCCUCAAAAACAUGAAUCAAAAGGUGGAAUCAUGUUUCUAACCUCUUUGGAAGCCCCAAACUUAGCUCCAAUCCAAGUGGGGUGGGAGAUCUCCUCAGCCACAAGCUCCUCUCCAAGCUCUAAGCCAUCAACAAUGGUGGAGAAGCCACCAAGAUGCAAAAAGAGAAGAGAAAACCCAAAUAAAAACCAAGCAAAGGGGUAAAAAUGCAAGGAAAGGGAGAGAGAGCUCCUCUCACCUUCUCCUCCUCAGGUCCCAGCACAAAAGAAGCCCUAAGGGGCGUGGGUGCUGUUAUAGAAAGCCCACAAUCGCGAAAAACCCCCUGCAGUUCAAACUGCACGAAAUCUGCCUCCUUGUACCGGUACACGGGUUCUUGUACCGGUACAAGGCCGACGAAAUUGCAAACCCGAGGCUCGGGUCGCGCGGUCUGCGGCUCUGUACCGGUACAAGCCCGAUGGCUGUACCGGUACAACCAUCAACCCUUGUACCGGUACAAGGCCACUCUGUUCCGGUACAAGCCCUGCUGCAGGCUACCCGAGAGCUGUCCAAAAAUCCCGAUUUUGGGAUUGUGGUGCCAAGUCUCACUCCAACAUCCUCGGAAUGCGUGCCGGGGGUCGGAACACUAUCAACGACCCUCCAAAAACUGUGGAAAGGCUCCACACACAGAUCAAACACUCGAAUCUUGCAAUUUGCUAAGAUCCAGUGUAUUACACUUCCACUCAGGGUGAGGCCAGGGACCGCGGGAAGGGAGUUGCUUCGAGCUAGCUUCCUUCGAGGACGAUUCGCUAGGUGGUCUACCUCUCGUUGUGUUUUAUUUUGGAGAGGUUGAGAGUUCUACCAGUGUACUAGAGACCACCAUUUUUGUAUUAGAGGCUGAUACUGUUUAACUUCGGAUUACUUUUGUGUAUUAGUUAUGUUCUAUUACUAUUAGUAUCGAUGUUAGAACUUUACUCGCUCUGAUAUCAUUAGUUGCUUGUUAUUUCACUCCUUCUACUUGUUUCUUUACUUGCUAUUACUUCCGCUUUUAUUGUAGACGCCUUAUAUGUGUUGACAUAUGGCGGGUCUGGACACGCUACCGGGAGGGCCUCCGCCGGUCCCGGGGCGUGACAUCCCUACUCUUGGAAUGUGUCUGUCCCACUCGACCCCGUAGGCUUCUCAAUACCGCACGAGCGAACAUAGGUCGCGUAGGCUAACUCCGGAGUGCCGGCUUGUAGGAAGCGACCCUCACAAGCAUGUGCGAAUGAGCACAGAUGGCAAGCAAGCAUAGUCCAAGUCUCAAGUAUCCAAUCCUCAUGUCUCUAACAUGGUAUAGUCACUAGCAUCCCGAAGAUCUAAUUUAAGUCACAAUGUGAAGUUUCAACAUUUACUUUGCUUGGUGCCUCUUUAUGACACCUAAGCAUGUUAACCACUAAGUCCAUUUUACGAUCUAUGAUUCAAGUAUGACAUUAAUACUAGGUUCAUAAUGUCUCGAGCCCAAUGCCCCUUGAUGACAUUGGCCCAUAAGUUCUCAAGUAAUACCAUUUCCCAAACCCCAUAAUAGCUCCAAAGUUACAUUGAGGCUCAAAUAGGCAUAGGUUUAAUGACAUUGAGGCUCAAAUAAUCACUUAACGAAGCAUAAACCACGAGUUAUGAGAAUUUCUCAUAAUAUAGGCUAGGUCAAACCCACCAAAAUCGAAACAUUCGUUUCGCCGAACGGAGGUAUCAACUAGCUUCCUAGCACCCUAGGAACAUCAAAAAUGGGGUUACCCGAAUGAAACGAAGAGCAAAAAGCUCAAUCAUUAACCUAGAAGCAAAAGGGCCAAAACUCACCUCAAGAGAAAAAAUCUCUUCCAAAGCUCCAAAAGAGACCUAGAACCCUUCCAAUUCAAGCCCAAGGAAGGUUCUAAACCAAAGAAUCUAGCUCCAAAAGCCCUAGAUUCGAAAUGCCCAAAACAAACCCUAAGUUCACAAUCUAGGGUUUCAUCUAAGGAAAACUCUCAAAAACCAAAUCUAGAGGGAGAGAAGGGGUUACUAACCUCUUAGAAGCUUCAACCAAGGUUCAAAGUCCUCUAUCAACCAAGAUCUUCCCUCAACCAAGCCUCAAAUCCAAGCUUCAAGCUUCAUCCAUGGUGGAAAUGGCACCAAAGGACAAAAGAGAGGGAAAAUCCAUCAAAAACCAUGCAAAAAUGGAGAUCAAAUCCAAAGAGAUGGUGUGGGGAGCUCCCUUACCUGGUUCUCCACUCUUCUCAGCUCAUGGGAGAGCCCUAGGGGCGUGGGUGCUGAUAUAAGGGUGCCACAAUCGCGAAAAACUCCCUGCAGUUCAAACUGCUCAAAAUCUGUCUCUGCGUACCGGUACACGGGCCCACGUACUGGUACACAUCCCACGAAAUAGCCAAACCCGAGCCUCGGGUUGAAUGGGAAGCUGCCAAUGUUGAUGGCUGUACCGGUACAGCCAUCACCCCGUACCGGUACACAGCCCUCUAAAGGCUACCCGAGAGCUAACUAAAAUCCGAUUUUUCGGGUUUUGGUGCAAGGCUUUAAACCACAAUUCUCGGGAUUCUAACCAUAGGUCGGAACACUGUCAACGACCCACCAGAAAGUUUGGAAUUGCUCAGCACACAACCAACCACUCGAACCUCACAAUUUGCAAAGGUCCAGUGUGUUACAUUCACCCCUCCUAAAAAGGAGUUUCGUCCGCGAAACUCAAAAGCAAAGUACCUCAAGCAUCCAUCUGAAAAAGAUGGGGAUAGCGCUCCCUCAGUGCGCUCUCCAUCUCCCAAGUGGCCUCGCGCUUGUCGUGGUUGCUCCAAAGCACCUUUACGUAGGGGAUUUCCCGGUUGCGCAAUCUUUUCACCUCGCGAGCCAAAAUCCUCAACGGCUGCUCCUCGAAGCUCAAAUCAUCCUUCAUCUCCACAGGCGUAGCGUCCAACACGUGAGCCGAAUCAUGGAUGUACUUCCGAAGGACCGAUACAUGAAAAAUAUUGUGUACACCCGAUAGGUUCGGCGGUAGAGCAAGUCUAUACGCUACCGGACCUAUACGCUCCAAAACCUCAUACGGUCCAAUGAAUCGGGGGCUCAACUUGCCCCGAAUUCCAAAUCUCCUAAUCCCUCUGGUUGGCGAGACUUUCAAUAAGACGUGAUCUCCUAUCAGAAACUCCAAGUCUCGUCGACGCUUAUCAGCAUAACUCUUUUGUCUACUCUGGGCUGUCAACAGUCGCUCCUCUUGACACUGUCAGGGAAGUAAUGCCCCAGCAGGAGUUCCUUGAACCUCCUCCAAGAAAUCGCCGUCAGAUCCGUGCUGGGGUUGUCCUGGAUGUCCAACCACCACCGGUAGGCCUCGCCGUCCAGAUGAUGUGUAGCGAGCCAAACUCUGUCCCUCUCCUCUACAAAGGUAUCCCGAAAUAGCUUCUCCAUAUGCAUAAGCCAUUUCUGCACGAUCCAGUGAUCCACGUUCUCCCCGUCAAAGGUCCGGGGGCUGCAUCUCCUUAACUCACUCAGACGCUCCAUAAGCCGAUCCCGCUCAGCUCCCUCAACCAUCACGGGGAAAACCGCCCUCGCUACAGGCGCUCGCGCUGGUGGUACCGCGAUGUCCUCGUCCCGAGGUACUGCCGCUGGUGCCGUCCUAGAAGCGUCGAGUGUAGGGGACGACACCCUGGGCGCGACCACCUCUACUGGUGCGGGUGGUGUAGGGACCUGGGCCUCCCUGGCAGCUGCCUGCUGCAGUAGAAGGUCCUCCAGGCGCUUCAUCCGCGCCUCCUAUCGGAGGGCCGUGUCCGCCUGCCGUGUCACCAAAUCAGUGAGGGCUGCCAGCUGGCCCCUCAACUCACGGACCUCGCCAGAUCCGGAGGUAGCGGAGGUCUCAGCCUCCUCAAAUUGUGCCGCAUUGUCCGCCCCUGCAGAUUGAGAGUGCGUAAUCGGCAUGUCACUACAAAACAUAAAAGCGCAAGUUAGUAAUCCGCGCUAUCGAAUUCCCGCUCAAAUAACAAUACUCAAAUCAUGCGAAAGUAAAGAAGUGUUGUCCACAACUAACUCCCGAUGUUACGUUGUCGGCCGCCAACGUAACCCUCCGCGAAGUUAGAAGCCAUACACUCCGAUUAAACUCUAACUUUUUAGAGUUGUCAUAAAACCCAAUCAUAAUACUUUCGCUCACAAGUCAAUUAGACCUCGUCUCUCAAGAGCCUACUUCCUAUAGUCCAACCGGCCUAAGGUUUGCUAGGUUCUCUAAGACUCAACCCUAGGCUCUGAUACCAAACUAAUCUGUCACGCCCCGGGACCGACAGAGGCCCUCCCGGUAGCGCGCCCAGACCCGCUAUAUGUCUACACAUAUAAGGCGUCUACAACAACAGCGAAAAUAAAGCAAGAAAGCAAAAGAAUCUAACGAUAUCGGAGCAAAAUAAAUAACUAAGUUCUACACAGAGGGGUAAGUAUAAAACUAAAAUUCACUAAUAAAGCCAUAGAGUAGUACAAGGAAAUCCCAAAUACAAAAACUAAACAUAAAGAGUAUAUAGGUGGUCUCUCUAUACAUGGUACUCAAAAUCUCUCUCUCUCUCUCUAAUACAAAAAAAAAAGAGAGUAAACCACCUAAGCUCACAAGUAGCUCCCAGCUAACUAGCUACGCGACUCCCUUGCCGCGAUCCCGUGCCUCCGCCGGUGCCGAAGGCUCUGAAAUAACAUCAAGAAAAAGAAGGCGUGAGAACUAUAAUUUAUAGUUCCCAGUGGGCAAUUACUGACCUCAGCUCAAUGCACCACUAGGCCCCAAAAGAAAAGGGUAAGUCCAACAGCAACAAUAAUAAUAAAUGGAUUGCAUUUAUAGAAGCAUGAUUAAAUUGCUAAACUACUAUGUCGCAAAUAAACAUGAUGUCAAAUGUGAUGUACAUUUACUUUAUCAAAAUAAAGCAUGUCCAAGCAUGACCAAUAUGUCCCAUCAUAACGAACAAGUAGGUAUCAUGAUCCACUAUAUCAAAGUAUGAUGAAUAUGCUCUAUCAUGGCAGCAACGUAUACUAUGAUGCAACAAUUAAGACUAUCAUGUAUACUACAAGUCCCAACACUAUGCUAUGAGCAUGUCAAGGUAAUCAAACUACUAAGCCUAUCUAGUAGUGAUAGUCAUUUUCCGGUUCAAUGUCAUUAUUUCCAACAUGUUCUAGAGCCUACAUAGUGUAGUCCAGCUUGUGCCACCUAAGUGUCGGUGGUAGUUCCAGCAUUCCCACUCUAGGAAUGAAUCUAUCCCUCCCGACCCCGUAGGUUUCUCGAUACCGCACGAGCGAACAUAAGUCGCGUAGGCCAACUCCGAGGUGCCGGCUUGUAGGGAGCGACCCUCACAAGCAUGUGCGAAUGAGCACAAAUGGUAAACAAGCGUAAUCAUCGUCUCGAGUACCCAAUCAUCAUGUCUCUAACAUGAUAAUUGUCACUAGCAUCUCAAUGAUCUAGCUCUAGGUCACAAUGUGAUGUUCCAACACUCACUAUGCUUAGUGCCUCUUUAUGAUACUUAAGCUUGAUAUAAGUUAAGAACAUUUCAUAUUCUCUAUUCCAUUCAUGACAUUAGUACUAGGUUCUCAUCUAACUCGAGCUCAAUGCCCCUUUAUGACAUUAGCUCACUAAUUCACAAGUCAAAUUUGUCACGCCCCGGGACCGGCGGAGGCCCUCCCGGUAGCGUGCCCAGACCCGCCAUAUGUCUACACAUAUAAGGCGUCUACACUAAAAGCGGAAGUAAAAGCAAGAGAUAGAACAAAUAAAAGUAGCGAAAUAACUAGCAACUACUGAUAUCAGAGCAAGUAAAGUUCUAUCAUCUACACCAAAGCAAAGAAAAUAAAGCUAGUCAAACAAAGACAACCAUAAGUAGAACACUAUCUAUCUCAAAAGUACAACAAUGGUGGUCUCUAGUACACUGGUAAAACUCUCAACCUCUCGCAAAAGGAAAUACAUCGAGAGGUAGACCACCUAACAACUCGUCCCUCGCUGAAGAGCUAGCUGGAAGCAAUGCCCUUCCCUCGGUCCCUGGCCUCACCCGGCGUGGAAAGCUCUGAAAAAAACAUCGAGAAAAAGAGGGCGUGAGAACUAUAAUUUAUAGUUCCCAGUGGGCAAUUACUGACCUCAGCUCAUCGCACCACUAGGCCCCAAAAGAAAAGGGGUAAGUAUAAUAAGCAACAAUAAGAAUAAUAGUAACAACUGUAGAAAGCAUAACAGAAGUGCUAAUCCAUAUGUCUCAAGUAAGCAUGAUGCCAUGGUGAUGUACAUCUACGCUAUCAAAUGGUAAUAUGUCUAAUGCAUACUAAUAUGGUUCAACGUAAUAAACAAGUAACCUCACGAUGCAAUGUGUCAAUGCAUAAGGGUAAACACUAUCCAAACAUCCGAGUACAUUACUAUGCAAUAAUGAAACCGGCAAGUAUACUAAAUGUACCAAUGCCAUAUCAUGAGCAUGUCCAAGUAAUCCAACUACCGAUCCUAUCGAGUAGUGAUUGACCAUAUACCACACCGUGUCGAUUUCCAUUUCCAAUUAGGGACCUACCCAAGGUAGUCCAGCUUGUGCCGCCUAAGUGCCUGUGGUAGCCCGACAUUCCUACACAUGGAAUGUGUCUGUCCCACUCGACCCCGUAGGCUUCUCGAUACCGCACGAGCGAACAUAAGUCGCGUAGGCUAACUCCGGAGUGCCGGCUUGUAGGGAGCGACCCUCACAAGCAUGUGCGAAUGAGCACAAAUAGCAAACAAGCAAGGUCACUGUCUCAAAUACUCUAUCCGCAUGUCUCUAACAUGGCAAGGUCACUAGCAUCUCAAGGAUCUAGCCCAAUGUCUCUAAGUGAUGUCCCAACACUCACUUGCUUAGUGCCUCUUUAUGACACUUAAGCAUCACACUGAUCAAGCUCAAUUCUUGUUCUAUGUUUCAUUUAAACAUUAAUACUAAUGACUACUAUAGCCCGGGCCCAAUGCCUCUUUAUGACAUUGGCCCAAUUCUCAAAUAGUCGAAGUUCUCAAGCCCUCUCUAGGCUUCUAAAAUUCCUAAUGUCCCAAUUGGCAUAUAGGUUAAAUGCAAGAGAGCAAGAUCCGUUUUCAUAAUAGGGAUCAUGGUUCCCAAUCAUAACUAGAAUGCUAAGUCUCACAUGCAUGCACUCUACCACAUAGGGGUCUAAAAUUUCACUAUACCUAAUAUAUGCAUGUUAAGCAUUCUAAAAUUCAUAUUAAAUAUAUUUAACAUGGAAAUGCAUGAAUUUCAAUUUUACGAAACAUAUUUGCCAAAUAUGAGCAUUUCUCAUAUCAUAGGCUAGGUCAAACCCACCGAACCGUCGCGUGCUCCUUCGAUUCGCCGAACGGAGUUGUCCACGAGUCUCAAAGUACCCUAAAAGUAAUCAGCGAAGAGAUACGAGAGUAUUACGACCAACCAAGAGAUCAAACAUUAACCUAGAAGCAAAAAGGGCCAAAAUUCACCUCAAGAGGAGAAAUCUCUUCCAAAGCUCCAAAAGAGAGCUAGAACCCUUCCAAUCCAAGCCCAAGGAAGAUUCUAAACCAAUCAAUCUAGCCCCAAAAGCCCUAGAUCAAAAAGCCCCAAAAAUCAACCCUAAUACCCAUUCUAGGGUUUCAAAUGGCAAAAUCUACCGAAACAAGAAUCAAAGGGUAGAAUCAAAGUACUAACCUCUCUAGAUGCCUCAAAACAAGCUCCAAAUCUUCUAGGGUUGAAGAUUGGUCCACCACCAAGCCCUACAAGCAAGCUCCAAGCCUUGCAAAGGUGGGAAAGAGAGAAAGGGGUUGAGCUCCAAGCUCCCUCAAGCUAGCUCCUCUUCUUCUUCUCCUCCUUCUUCUUCUGCCCAAUUAUAUAAAUAAUAAAGAUUAAGUACAAAAAUAGGUCCCAGAGAAAAUGAAAAUGAGUCAGAAUGAGAGGCUUCUAGGGCAUACAACGAACAGAAAUAGCUAAUAUAGCCCAUCUAGUGUAACAAAAUCCAAAGAGGCCCCUCAAAAACCCAAUAUUGCAACAGCCCGAACUGCGCAGUUUUCGCCCAGAGGGACCGGUCUCUCCCCAGAAGGGACCGGUCUCUCAGCUGCGAACCCGAAAAACCAACGUUCGGGAACCGGUCUCUCCCUGCACGGGACCGGUCUCUCCCCGCGAAGACGCGCUCGGCGACCGGUCUCACCAGCCAGGGACCGGUUGCCCCAAGGCUGCCGCAACACUAUUCACUGGGGGACCGGUCUCUCCUACCAGGGACCGGUCCCCGAGAGUAAAAACACUCAGGACUCGUCCAGAACUCAAGUUUUCGAACUUUUUAGGUCGGAAAACAUUCUACGACCCUCCACCAAGUGUGGAAAAGCUCGAAACAAAUCCAAACACUCGAACCUCGCAAUUUGCAAAGGUCCAGUGUGUUACAGUUUAUAAUGUAGUCCAAUGCCCUCGUGUAAACCUGGUAUAUAUCGCAAUUCUCUUUAUUGAAUAGCUUGCAAUAUACCAUGGAGGUCUAGAGUCCAUAGGCGGACUGGACAAGUGAUGUCAAUUCGACGUAGGUAAACAUGAACCCAAAUCCCACAAAAUUGGCAAAGCUCGGGGAAUGGCACAUAACUGCGCCGCACACCCAAAAUCCCUUACACCUCGCAUAGGCGAUACGUCCAAAAAUACAAGGUAUCAAACAAAGCGAAUUCUAAUGCUAUUCUAAAAUUGUCAUAAAUAACUAUAUCUAACAUGAUUAUGCAUGUCUCCUCCACCUAACGAGACGCAAAACAUCGACGGGAAAGGAGAACUUUCUCAUCCGCCUCCCGCAACACAUCGAGGCCAAGAGCAAUUCUUUCACCCACCUCGCUCCAACCAAUCGCGGAAUGGCAUCUCAUUCCAUACAACGGAGUUGUCCACAAAUCUCUAAGUACCCUAAAAGUAAGGAGCGAAGAGAUAAACAAAUGUUACGAGCAACUCUAGGCCAAACAUUAACCACCACAAGCAAAGGGGCAAAAACUCACUUAGGGAGUAGAAAAUCUCUCUCAAGCUCCAAAAGAGAGCUAGAUCUCUUCCAAUCCGACCAAAUGGAAGAUUCUAAACCAAGUAAUUGAGCCUCAAAAGCCCUAAAUCAAGAACGCCCAAAAUCAACCCUAAAAUCCCAUUCUAGGGUUUCAUCUCCUAGAAACCAACAAAACAUGGUCUAGAGGGAAGAAAUGAGCAACUAACCUCCUUAGAAGCUCCAAUCCAAGCUCCAAGGGUGAAGUUCUCCUCUCUUGCAAGCUCCAAGUCCAAGCCUUCAGGCACCAACAAGGUGGAAAGAGAAUGAGAGGAAAAGAAAUGCUCCAAGUCCUCAAGCUAUAUCCUCUUCCUCUUCUUCUCCUUCUUCUUCUUCUCUUCCUUCUUCUCCUUCUCUAUCUAGGGUGUUGGGUGAAUAAGAGAAUGAGGAAUGAGAGAAGGGAGAGGGUGAAAUUGCCAUAUAGGCCAUCAAAUAUAACAAAAUCCAAAGAGGCCCCUCAAUUUCCCAAUAUUGCAUCAGCCCGGACUGGGCAGUUUUCAGACUGAGGGACCGGUCUCUCCGACAUGGGACCGGUCUCUCGGCCUGCCCCGAAAAUCCAACAUUCGGGAACCGGUCUCUCCUUGCACGGGACCGAUCUCUCCCCGCGUGGACGCGCUCGGGGACCGGUCUCACCCGCCAGGGACCGGUUGCCUCGCUGGCUGCAGCAACACUUCUCUGAGGGGACCGGUCUCUCCUAACAGUGUAAGGAAGUGGAUUCUCGAAAUUCGAGGAUUGUACUUCACCCAGGAUCGACUACUUGUCGAAUGUAUACCCUUGGUGGGAGUUGGAAAUGUCCAAAACACAAAAAGUGCUUUGGAGUUGAGUCCGUGAGAGCAAAUGGUGCAAACUGUACUUUUGGGCUGAUGUUGCUCUCGGGGAUCGGUCUCUGGAGGUGAGAGACCGGUUCCCUUGGCUGGGUGUUACGGGGUUGCAUGAUGCAACCAGUCCCUGGCAGGGAGGAACCGGUUCCCGAACGUGGUCCCAGCGAGAAAUGCCAAAAAUUGGCUAAGUCCUGAAAGUCAAGCUCUCGGGGACCGGUCUCUCAGGUGAGGACCGGUCUCCCGAGGACCGGUCUCCCGGGGAGAGACCGGUUCCCGAACGCGUGCGCCCGAGGGAAGCUCUCGGGGACCGGUCCCAAGUCGGGGAGACCGGUUCCUCCGCGCGAAAACUGCCCAGUGAGGGCUAUGCAAGGGAUGAAAAGUUGAGGGGUCUAAAUGAAAAAUGGCCUUUAUUAGCGUGGGCUGAGCCCUCUCUCUCCCUCACACUCUCUCAUUCCACUUUCCCUCACUCUCAUUUCUCUCUUGCUCCCUCUCUCUCUCUAGAAAGGAAAGAAGGAGAAGAAGAAUAAGAAGAAGAGGAAGGAAAAGAAGAGGAAGAUAAGGAAGAAGAAGAAGAAGGAGAUCAAGAGGAAGGCUUUGAGCACCUCCAUCUCCCUCUCCUCUUCCCAUUGGUGUAGCUCUUGAGGUAAGCUACUAAACCCUAGCUUUGUAAACUUAGGGUUUUUGGGUUUUUAUGCUUUGGAAUGGGUCAAAUGGACCCCAAGCAUGCUUCUAAGUAGAUCAAUCCCAUGAAUCUAAGGUUCUAUUGGUGGUUUGCUGUAUGUGCAACCUAGGGCUCCAAAUGGGGGCAUUUUGUAAAGUAUGAGAUUGAUCUCAUUUGAGGCUUUGUAAACCUCAUCGAUAGGUGCCCAAACGCGGGGGCGAAGUCAACUUCGUGAUUCGUCGAGCGGGCUUAGAGCAAUCGGCGAAUUACGGUCGUUACGGCGUUAUCUUGGACCAAGGGAGGCUAAAGCCUUUUCGUAAAGCUCGCCGAGGAGCGUUUCUAGAGCCUCUACGUUGGUAAAAGGUGGGGGGUGUCAUCCGAAACUUUCGAACUCCUUUCUAUGUCUUAGCUUGCAUUAAUCUCAUCUCUUCAUGUGGCAUUGUAGGAUUGCAUAGUAGCUCCAUUCCUUAUGCUUUCUAAUUGAUAACCUAGUGUACUUGGAACGCUUGGUAACUAGAUAGGUAAGGAUUGGGUCGGAACGUGAAUCCUAUGAUGCUAGAGAUAGAGAUGAACCCGAUGGAGGUAUUGAUGACAUAGAAAGUAGUGUUAUUGUUAAAGAACAAACGAGUGGCAUCUAAAUGUUGAAUGAUGACGAGUGGCAUUAAUGUAGUGUAAUGACACUAGAGGUCGAUGGACCUAGGGAUAGGUGGAUCCCUUAGAAAAUGUCUUGUGAACAAUGAAUUUAGACAACCUAAAUAGCGUUGCAUGAUUGUCGGGAACAAAUGAUCCCGCGAGAGAUAUUGACCCUAGCGGUAGGGCUUCCUCACUUGGAGAGGAUUUGAUUGGGUUAUGGACCCUAGUGAUAGUGCUUCCUCACUUGGAGAGGAUUCGAUUGGGUAUUGACUCUAGUUGUAGAGUAUCCUCACUUGGAGAGGAUAGAUCUAGCUCACAGUCUGCGUUUGGGAUGGUAUAGCCAUCCAAUCCCCACAUGGAGGGGAUUGUCGUCGAGUACUCCGGAGUGUCGUGUGACUAGGACCACUUGGAGGUCCGGACCACAUGGAGGUCCGCAGACGGUCCCGGGCUUGGGUGCACUUGGAGCUCCCUCCCCACUUUAGGAUUGAAAGGUGAGUCAUGGGCGAGCCCUAGGACCUCGCUACAGAUUGGGUAAAUGGAAAGGUUUAUUAAUGUCAUUGAACAUUGCUAUUCGAACAUGGAUCAAAUUUGUUAGCAUGAUAGCAAACCUUUAUUAGAUGAUGCAUGCAUUCAUACUUAUGAUUAUGGGCAUAGUAGCAUAGUUUUCCCUACUAUUGCAUUCACAGCUUUCGGAUAAAUAUCUAUCUAUUUAUCUAUCUGUUGUUACUUGUCCCCACUUGGACCUAGUAGGGAGAUCGGCAGAGUCGGCGGCCGAGCCCACUGGGAACUAUGGAAGAUAGUUCUCACCCCACUCUAUUUCCAGUGGUAGGUUCAGGAUUGCCGAGGGAGGACCACGGCAAGGGCAUCGCGCCCGACCAGUGAGACCGUGGUAGUAUAGUAGCUUCCUUUUGCAUUAGCACACCUAUGUAUUGAGAGAGAUAUUCAUGUAAGUGAGGUCGGAGAGCUAUGUAUUUUGAGGAUCGAAUGUAUUCAUUUUGGAAAAUAAUGUAAAUGAGAAUGUUGGAACUAUUGUAAUAGUUAGUAAAGUACUCUCUUUAUUUCACUUGUUUAUCUUGUGGAUUACUCGCUCUUCUUGUUGUUGGCACUGUUUGUGCCCUUGUUGAAUGUGUAUGUUUAGAAUUUAAAGUCCUGGGUAAAUUCUUGUAUACAUUCCUGUUGUCGAGCCUUGGGCGGACAGGGGAGGUGCUGUCCGUUCGGCGGUCCGUCGCCGCGGCCGAAUCGUGCCAAAUUGGUAGUGGUUUUGGGGCGGGGCGUGACAAACAAGGACCGGUCCCCGAGAGUAAAAACUCUCAGGACUCGUCCAGAACUCAGGUUUUCGAACUUUUAGGUCGGAAUACAUUCUACGACCCUCCACCAAGUGUGGAAAAGCUCGAAACACAUCCAACCACUCGAACCUCGCAAUUUACACAGGUCCAGUGUGCUACACUAAGCUUGAUCCGUUGGUGAGAAGAAGAAGAAGAUGAUGAUGGUGAUGAUCCUCCUUUUCUCCUCCAUCUUCUCCUUCUUUUCUUGUUCUCUUUUCCUUUCCUUCUUCUUCUGUAACAUACCAGAUUUUGGUAUAAAAAUAAAAAUAAAUAAAAAUAGUGUGAGAAACUAUUUUUAUUGGAUUUGUAGGAGUAAAACAUAAGUCAGAAGUGACUUGUGCUGAAAUCGGAUUGAAAACAGAAGAUCUAGAAUUUUCUGUUGGAAACGGGACAGAUAAAUUAGCAGAAAAUGCACAGUCUCAGAAAAUUAUGAAAAUUGGAGGAUAAGUCAGAAAUAUUUUUAUGAGGCUAGUUUUAAAGUUUCAUAUUUUUCUGACACCCAUAGAGUGAGAAAUAAAAUCCAAGAGUUAUCUGAUAAAGAUUACAGUUCGGUACAGUUUUCAGUGACCAAACGGGGUCGAAACUGAACCAGUGAUCGUCAGCUUGUUAAGUUAAGUAAAACCGAACAUGACUGUCAAGUUUGAGCUCAAACGGACAUUCAGGGAGCUCCGGCGAAAGUUAUCAGAUUUUAAGCUGCCCGGGAUGAAUAGUGUUUUGGGGUGUAUUAUGAAGAAGCAAAUGCUUCUUCUUCUCCCCCAACCGUGCAGCCCACACACACAUGCGCCACACACACACACGCAUACAUGGAGGGAGAGAGAGAUCUCCCUUUCUAUCUCUAAAUCUCUCCCAAAAAGAGAGGGUUUUGGUGGAGAUUGAAGCUCAAGGAUGGAUUUUCAUCUUCUCUAUCUUCUUCCUCUCCAUUAGAGCAAGCUUUGAAGGUAAGCUUCAAACCCUUUAAUGGCAUUUCUCUCUAGUUUGAUUUUUAAGCUCUAAGAAUGGAUUUAGAGGUAUUCUAGCAUGCUAAUUAGAGGUUUGAUGCUUGAAAUCAAGGCUCUAAUGGUGGAUUUUUACCUAGUUGUAAUCUAGGGCUCAAAAAUGCUAAUUUGGUAAAUAUGAGGGUUUGAUCUCAUUUGACCCUAUGUAAACCUAAUUGCUAGGUAAACGAACGCGUUGGCGAAGACGGUUCGGCGAUUCGUCGAGCCGUUGCGAAGUUAUUAAAGAAACGGAUGUUUAGGCUUCAUUUUCGCCUGGAAGGCCGAGACGAUAUCGUAAAUUCAUGAAAACGGAUUUGAGGCAUCGUGGCACAUAACCGAAGACCUUUAAUUUUCGGAUCGUGAAUUGGAGGCCGUUCGGGUGGUCGCGCAAGAGAUCGGGCCAAACCGGGUGCCGGGUGCCGCGGAAGGCCGAUUGCGAGUGUCGACAAGCAAUCGGAAUGCGAAAUGAGGUGGGUUGUGUUUACCGAAGCGACUUGGUCGCCCCGCAUGUCAAAGCAAAAUGUGGAAUCUUGUUGAUGCAUAUGUGUAUGUGCAUACGGGCAUAUUAGUAUUGUAUAAAUGCAUGCUAGUUGGUAAUUUGUAUAUUAGUAUGUAUGCUUAGUAAAAUACAUGCUAGGAGCAUUUAGCAUUAUGAGAUUCAUGUUGACAUGUAUUAGAGAACGUGAGCAUAUAAAUAAAUGUUAACAUGUUGUUAAUUAUAUGAGUUAUGAGAAAUUGCUAAAUGUGGACACAUGUUAGAUGACAAUAAGCAUAUUGACAUUAUGAAAAUGCAUACUACAGGAUAAUUGCAUAAUAAUGCAUUGGGAAAGUACAUGCUAGUUGUAAUGUAUGUUGGCAUUGAGAUGAUGUAUGUAGUUAACACUAAAAGAAUGCAUGUAAAUGACAUGAUGUAAAAGCUAGGCGAAUGCUUGGUAUGGUUGCUAUACAAAAAUUAUCGUAGAAUGCAUGAUGAAUAUGCUAUGUAAAUGCUAGAUGAUUGCACGAAUUGGAUCGAUAACUCUAUGAUAGAGACCUUGACAUUGGACAUCUAUAUAUUAGAUCGAGUGGCACUUAACCUAGAGUCAGGAACCUAGGUUGAACAUGGAUGAUAUGAACCUAGUGUGAUAAACAUAGGUUGGACAUGAACCUAGUGUCAAAGAACUUAGGUUGGAAUCAUGUGUGGCAUUAAACCUAUUGUGAAAGAACAUAAGUCGGACUUGGACAAUAGUAAACAAGGGUGACAAUGAAAAUAGAGACAUGAUUGGCAUCAAGAAAGUGGUUGUUAAACAUAAUUUAACCAUAUUGACAUUGGUCCAAGUUGACAUAGAGAGUGGCAUGAUUAAAUAGGUAGAAAACCUAUUAUGACAAUGGCAUUGUGACGAGUGGCUAUGAAUCCUCAAGUUGAGGAUUGGAUCGAUACUCACGUUACGUCUUGGCUUGAGGGAGGUAGCUCCCCCUCGGGCGGUGCGCUCCGGAGUUGGUCNAACAUGAAUGGAAUAAAAUGCCCAAUUAUAUAAAUAAUAAAGAUUAAGUACAAAAAUAUGUCCCAUAGAAAAUAAAAUGCGUCAGCCUGAUAGGCUUCUAGGGCAUACAACUAACAGAAGUAGCCAUAUAUUCCAUCUAGUGUAACAAAAUCCAAAGAGGCCCCUCAAAAAUCCAAUAUUGCAUCAGCCCGGUCUGGGCAGUUUUCGCCCAGAGGGACCGGUCUCUCCCUGGAAGGGACCGGUCUCUCAGGUCGAACCCGAAAAACCCACGUUCGGGAACCGGUCUUUCCCUGCACGGGACCGGUCUCUCCCCGCGUGGACGUGCUCGGCGACCGGUCUCACCAGCCAGGGACCGGUUGCCCCAAGGCUGCCGCGACACUAUUCACUGGGGGACCGGUCUCUCCUAUCGGGGACCGGUCCCCGAGAGUAAAAACUCUCAGGACUCGUCCAGAACUCAAGUUUUCGAACUUUUUAGGUCGGAUAACAUUCUACGACCCUCCACCAAGUGUGGGACAGCUCGGAACAAAUUCAAUCACUCGAACCUCGCAAUUUGCAAAGGUCCAGUGUGUUACAGUUUAUGUUGUUGUUGUUUGCCCUCGUGUAAACCUGGUAUAUCUCGCAAUUCUCUUUAUUGAUUUGCUUGUAAUAUACUGGAUGUUAGAGCCUUGGGCGGACGGGCAAGUGCUGUCCAUUCGGCGUCUGUCAUGUGCUCGAAUCCGACCAAAUUGGCGGAGCUCGGGGCGUGGCACUUAACUUCCCGCGGACCCAAAAUGCCUUACACCUCGCAUAGGCGAUACUUUCACAAAUACACGGUCUCCAACCGCGAAUUCUAAUUCUCUUCUGCGCUUGUCAGCAUAACUCUUUUGCCUUGAUUGUGCUGUCUCCUCCGCCUCCCGCAACACAUCGACGGGCAAGGCGAACUUUCUCCUCCGCCUCCCGCAACACAUCGAGGCCAAGAGUAAUUCUUUCACCCACCUCGCUCCAAUGAAUCGGGGAAUGGCAUCUCUUUCCAUACAAUGCCUCAAAUGGCGCCCAAGUCUCAACAACAAGGAUCAUGUACAUUUAGUUGCCCAGGUAAACAUAACAACAUACAUGAAUCAUUGCGAGUAUGAUACAAGCAAUAGCAAAAGAGAGAAUACUAACUAUUACAAUUUCAUUCAACCAUUGUUUACAUUUUCAUCUCCAAAAUACAUACAUUAGGUUUACAUGCUUAUCUCAUGACAUAUAUAUAUACAUCCACAAGUAACCUCUCUCAAAAUACAUCAUAACUCUCAAGGUACAUGGUACUCUAAUGAAUAAAGGAAGGUGUCACGCCCCGGGACCCAGCGGAAGCCCGCCCGGCGCGUGCCCAGACCCGCCAUAUGUCUAAAACAUAUAAGGCGUCUACAAUAAAACGAUAAAUAAAGCAAUAAAAGGACAACAUUUAGAAGUAUCAGAGCAAAGUAUAGCUAGAUUUCUACAACAUGAUAAGGUAAAAGAAGUUCAAAACUACUAAAUAAAAUUCAUAAGUAAUACAAGAGAUGUCCCAGAACAAGUGCUAAAAGAGUACAUAGGUAGUCUCUAUAUAUGGUACAAAAAUCUCUCUCUCUCACUACUACGACAAAGGAAAGAGUAAACCACCUAAGAGCAAGUAGCUCCCCGCUAUCUAGCUAGGCGACACCCUUGCCGCGAUCACGUGCCUCCGCCGGUUCUGAAAGCUCUGAAAUAAAACCAUAAAACAGGGGGCGUGAGAACUAUUAUUUUCCCAGUGGGGAAUUACUGACUUCAGUGAAAAGCACCACUAGGCCCAAAAGAACUAAAUAGGUAAGUAAACAAGUAAAAGUGAUAUGAACGACAUGUAAAUAAACAUGUAAACUUGCUACCACAUGAUGUCUCUACUUAGCAUGAAUUUGCAUAAGUAAUAAAGCUACUGUAACAUGAAUGUACAAGAGUAUAACUAACAUAAUAUCCACAAGCUAAAUAGUACAAUGUCACUGUUUAUUAUUUUAUCAAUGUCCACUUGGCAAGUUAACUACUUAAAGUUUAAAUCUUGUAAGACCCGCCCUGUAAUAUACCGAAAAUUCGGAAAAUAAAUAUCGAACUUUAGUCAAAUUGACCAAUGUGCGAGGUUAGAACACUUCGGAAAGUCCGAAGGUGUUAAAAUGAUCAAAAGUAAGUUAAGGGAGGUUUUCGAGAGCUAAAGGAUCAAAAUCUGCAUUUUGCAGUUUUGAGCUCUCGGGGACCGGUCCCUGGUGGGAGAGACCGGUCCCCGAACGCGUAUGAAAUGAGACAGCCGAAAAAUCGGCUAAGUCCUGAGAAACCAGCUCUCGGGAACCGGUCCCUGUCUGAGAGACCGGUCCCUGAGAGACCGGUCCCCCAAAGAGAGAUCGGAUGCAUCGCGCGCAGCAGCUCUGGCUGCGCGGGGAGAGCCUUCGGGAACCGGUCCUUGAAGGAGAGACCGGUCCUCGCCUACGCGAACAGCCCAGUCCAGGCUGUGUGAAAGAGUGAAAGUUGAGGGGUUAAGCUGCAAUUUUGCAACCCAUAGAGUAUAGUAAGGGAACAAAUGAGACAUUUCUCUCAUUCUUACCCUCUCACACUCUCUUCUCUCCCUCUCUCUGUCACGCCCCGCCCCGAGACCGCUACCAAUUUGGCACGAUUCGAGCGCGGCGGGCGUGGCGCCGAACGGACAGCACCUCCCCUGUCCGCCCAAGGCUAAAGCGACGAGAUCAUGUACAACAAGUUUCCAGGAAAACAACUUGAAUACAUACAUGAUCAAAGACAACAACGAGAGCACAACCUGUGCUAAACAUAUAAAGAGCAAGCAUCACAAGUAGAAUCAUACAAGUGAAAAAAAAAGAGAUAUAAACUAACUAUUACAUCACGUUUGGCAUUCAACUUUGAUACAUUUAACCUCAUUUAAACUUUGAUAUAGUCAUUACAACUUUGCUUCCUUUUUCCAAAAUGUAAAUACAUGUAGUCACUCUCCAACCUCACCCUAUACAUCAUCUACUCUCGAAUAUAAAUAUAGGGUGAACUAAUGCAAAAUAGGAAGUAAGCUACUAUCAACACUAGGGCGCUAUGCCCUUACCACGGUCCUCAGCCGCUGCUCUCUCGCGUGUACCUGUACCCCAAACCACACGGGGUGAGAACUAUAUAAAUAUAGUUCCCAGUGGGUUCGGCCGCCGACUCCGCCGAUCUUCCCACUAGGUCUAAGCAGGCAUAGGAAGACGAAGACAGAUAGAUAGAUAUAUAUAUGAAAGCAGUAACGAUAAAGCAUAAUAUAAAAUGAUGCUAAUGUCCAACUAUGCCUCAAUCCAAUGCAAUGAAUGCGUGCACUACAUAGUAAAAAGCCAACUACUAUGCUACUAUGCUCAACAAGGUUACUUGUGUCACACUGGUGAGGAUCCGCUCACUCACCCGACUCACACUCUAAACACAACGGGGAGGAUCCGCUCACUCGCCCGACUCACGACACACACACAACGGGGAGGUCCGUUCACUCACUCGACUCUCAAUUUAAACACAACGGGAAGGAUCCGCUCACUCGCCCGACUCACGACACACACAACGGGGAGGAUCCGCUCACUCGCCCGACUCUCGAACUCAAUCUAGUGGAAGAGGAACCGCUCACUCAAGGUGAGAACUACUCACUCAACCAUCUGUCGAUCUCGUGGAAAAGGAACCGCUCAACCAAGGUGAGAACUACUCACUCAACCAUCUCUCAGUCUCGUGGAAGAGGAACCGCUCACCCAAGGUGAGAACUACUCACUCAACCAACUCUCAGUCUCGUGGAAGAGGAACCGCUCAACCAAGGUGAGAACUACUCACUCAACCAAGACCGUCUGCGGGGCCCAAAAAGGCUAACCCCUCGGGACCCAAAAAGGCUAUCCCAAUCGUGUGACAACUCCGGAGUGCACUGCUUGUGUGGAACGACCACACCAAGCUUCGAACAGACAUUGCUGUAUGAUCAAAUCCCCAUCAUUGAGGAUACCCUACCACUUAGACAACAUCACUUGGGAACUGGUUCACCACUAAGUUCAACAUAAAACAAAUGUUUUCUCUAUACUUUACCAAUCAUGCAACUCAUCAAGUUUAACAUUAACUAGAUGCCACUCGUCAAGUUUAACAUUCUCAACACUAGUUAUUCUUUACUAGGCUCAACAUUCAUAACACUAGUUAUACUUGACUAGGUUCAACAUUCACAACACUAGUUAUACUUGACUAGGUUCAACAUUCACAACACUAGUUAUACUUUACUAGGUUUCAACAUUCACAACACUAGUUAUACUUGACUAGGUUCAACAUUCACAACACUAGUUGGAUCACACUAGGUUUUCAUCCGCAUGAACAUCAACCAUCACAUAUAGGGUUAACUACUUCAAGCUCAACUCAUGCAUACUAGGUUCAAUGCUAUAACCAUAAAGCCGACUCACACUAGCAUGUAAAUAAUGUAUAUAAAGCAUCUUUAAUACCCUAUAUGCAACAUGUACCAAUAUGCAUAACUGAUCGAUAACUGAACAUAGACAUAGGGAGCAGCCCAGCUGCUUCGGGAUGGCACUCCCCCACCUUUUACAGCGUUCCGAUUGCUCGUCGUCACUUGCAAUCGGCCUCCCGCGGCGCUCGGCACCCGUUUGGGCCCGAUCUCACAGUUGCACUCCAAGAGCGCUCCGCUUCGCCGUUUCAAGUGCAGUAGCUCUUUGGUUAUGUGCCACGAUACCUCAAAUCCAUUUCCACGAUUUUACGACGUCGCCUCGGCCCUCCCGGCGGACCCGAAGCCUAAACGUCUGUUUCUUUAAUAACUUUGUNGGCCUAGUGGUGUAUUGAGCUGAGGUCAGUAAUUGCCCACUGGGAACUAUAAAUUAUAGUUCUCACGCCCUCUGUUUUGUGUUUUCUUUCAGAGCCUUCCACGCCGGGAGAGGCUAGGGACCGAGGGAAGGGCGUGGCUUCGAGCUAGCUCUUCAGCGAGUGACGAGUCGCUAGGUGGUCUACCUCUCGAUGUUUUUAUUUUGUGAGAGGUUGCACUACAAGAAUUUCUACUGUUAACGACCAAGUUUUAACGAAAGGGGUUAAAUUUGGUCGUUAAAAAUGUAUAGAUAGGAUUCCCGCGCAGUUAACCCGACUUUUAACGACCAAUAUUAUUUUGGCCGUCUUUUCUGAGAUUUAUCCCGUCGUUAAUUAUGUUGCUUUGGCGCGUUUAUUUUUGCUCACCCCUGAAUUUUUUUGCAAGCCUCACACGCAACCCCCUCUCUUAAUUAACAGAGUAGCACUCCUCUCCUUUUUUUUUUCUCUUCUCUCUCUCCCAAUCCCCUGUGACUCUUCACCUUCUUCUUUUUCCCCCUUUCUCUACCCCACAAGAAAUCCCACCCACCAGAAGCCACACCCUACAGCCCGGCCGUUCAUCGACGCGCGUGAGCCCUCAGUCGGCCUGAAGCGAAUGUUGCAAGUUGUAGCCCCUCUCGCGAGUUCCUCGACGGCGAGCUCUCCAACAGUCUGAAGCAAUCGUACCCUGCCGCCCUCUCUCAUGGUUCCUGUACCUUGCAUCUCGUCGCCCCGUCAACCCUCCGACAGCCGCACCCGGUUUUCUAUAAGUCGCGCCUUUUGUUAGCCCGCAGCUGGUUCCGCCCGCGCCCACAGCCCGUCGCGCCCAGCACCUUGCAAGUUCCUUCACACCGCCUCCCUUCUUCUCCUCUUUUCCCCACCCUCUGCUGGUACAAAUCUAACCUCAUAUCUUGUAGGUCCCAUCUUACUGGUUCGUGCCUCGUCAUCCCUUGGUCGCCAUUGUCCGCGUCCGUCGCCAUACCCACUGCAAUUUUUUGAGUAUUUUCUAUUUCUUUACUAAUUAAUUGUCAAGUUGUUUCUCAAUAUUUUUUCCUCUUUUAGCUUUUAGGGUUUUAAUUUUGUAGAAUUCUUUUUGCAUCAACAGGUUAACAAUGUUUUUUUUUUUGUGUAUACUUUUUAGAUUUCAAUCUUGGUCUCUCUAGAGUUUUAAUUACCUAAUUUUUUGUAGGUUGAUUUUUGUCAGUUUGUUAAAUCUAUCUUCAAACUUGAGGCUCUUCAGUUGGAAUGUCGUUAAAAUUUUAGAAGUGUAGACAUCAUAGUUGUCAAUAUUUGAAUAUUGAAACUUUAAACUAUGCAAGAUGCAGACCUUGUUAGUUGAAAAUCUUCUUUAUUGUGUUUGUAUUGUUUUUGUUUUUCUCCCCUCUGUUGGAUGGCAAACUGUGGUUCUUAAUUUUAGUUGCUCUUAAAUUUGUCUUAAUGUUCAUGAGGUCACAAGAUUCUCUAUGCAACCAUUUAGAAAGGAUUCUUGAACUGUUUUCAUUAGGUUCUUUAGAAAAUAUUCAGGAAUGCAACCAUUUAGAAAGGAUUCUUGUUAAAGUAUAGAAUCUAAGGAACAAGAAGAUCAGGAAAGGAAUGGGCUCCAAGAAUCUCGGCCUGUUCAUGUAGAAUCCUUCACAAAAACAAGAUUGGCCCAUCAAAUCUUGGGCCCAAAAUUGAUCCUCUUUGGGCCAAUGAUUUAGGCCUUCACUUAGCUUGGCCCAUCAGAUCAAGAUCUGCACACCAAGGCCUACAUCCAAUCCAUAAUGACUAGUGCAGUAGUGGUAUUUGCAAUGAAGUAAACUAUUUAUGUUUUAUGACGAUCCUUUGAGUAUAUCUGUUGACAUAUUUUUGUGGUAGUAUUGUUUGGCAAAAGACCUUUAUUAAUCUUUUAUAUGUCAGGGAUUGAUACAUUAAUUUUUUUCAUAUUGGAUACUUAGUCAUUUUAAUGUUAUGUUUUGCUCAAAUCUGACAACUUUAGAUUGCAACUUUGGACUAGGGGUUAACAAAUAAUCAUUUGAUGCCUCAUUGGUACAUGAUAUCAGCAAUUUAGGUGUUGCAAAAGUAAAGUGGACUUCAUUAUAUUUUAGGUAAAUCAAAACUUUAGUAUGCUUGUCUAGAUACUGAAAGUAUUUUGUCUCUUCCAAAAUAGCAAUGUUUCUAUUGUUAGAUCAUCCAUCAGAUGAUUAGACUUUCUUGGAUCCAUCAAGAGGGGUCUCACUAGUUAGCAUGUUGAACUACUUGUAGAUGUGUAUGCCUAACUGGUUGUUAAAGGAUCAGCUGAUUCUACCAGUAUGAAUAGGGUUACUAGCAUAUCAUGGAUAAUUUGGCAAGUCUAUUUUACCUCAGUGUAAACUUUGGGUUACUUGGAACAAAUUCAUUACGGAUCUAAUUGAGGCAUGCUUAUGCAUGUUCAAUGCUUUAUGUUUGAUUAAUUUAUUAUGGAUUGUCUGCUGAUAUUCCGAAAAUUUAUAUGUCAAGUAGCCAGAUUCUGUUUUACCUUUAUACAUGGAUAGUGAAUGCAAAAUCAACCUAGGGGAAUUGACUAUUUCAUCUGCAUCAAGUUACGAAUAUUGACUGUUCUGUUCUUUGGGUUGAAAAAUAUGUCUGACAAAUUAAAGACAUUCUUCUAUUUAACCUUCUAAUCUCCCUUUCAUUUGUUCAUAUACUUGACAAAUUUUCAGCAUAGAAAUGUACUGCAUCUUGGAAGACAUAGCAAUUGUAGCUUUUCCCUUGUUUGGAUGAUUAUGGCGAAAAUAUGAGACAUCUUUGGCUUAAGAUAAUUAUCCACUUAGCAUAUUGCUUCUACUCUUAUAUAUCUUACUGUUUUUAUUUAGUCUUUGUUAUUAUUAGCUCUUCAUGCUGAGCUUUGUUGUUUAGUUAUGCUGACUGAUGUUUACAAACUAAAACUUCAGUCUAUGGGCUAAGAAAGUCAUUCCCCAUAUAGUAGAUUUUCUUGAAUUCUUUUGUGAAGUGAUGAUGUUCUUUCUUCCUUUUCAUUUGUACUGCGACAAACGAAGCCAGGGAGAGUUGGUAAUAGCGAAAUGCUCUUAUUAAAUUUUGUUACACUUAAACUUUGAUUUCAUAACCUGAUAUGCUUGUAAUUUAAUUUUACUUAAACUUUGAUUUCAUAACCUCUUAUUCUUUGUUUUUUACAGCCCCUCACUCUUUCGAAAGCCAAAUUGCAGAUUGAAGCUACUUUCUCCUCUUUAUCUUUUUCAAGGUUUGUGUUUUUUAUCGAAUUUCAAUUAGUUGUUGCUUUCAGUGCCCACUACCUACUUAUCGUUGUUGAAAUAUUGUGAGGAUAUGUGCUUUCUCCUCUUUAUCUUUUUCAAGGUUUGUGUUUUUUAUCGAAUUUCAAUUAGUUGUUACUUUUAGUGCCCACUACCUAUUUAUCGUUGUUGAAAUAUUGUGAGGAUAUGUAAUUAUGAUUUGCCCUUUUGAUAUUGAUGUUAAACAAUGUAAUUCUGUAUAUCUUUUAUUUUUAGUUUUUUUCGCAAAAAGUUUAGUCAUUUUGUAACUACUAAUAUUUAAACUUUGAAAUAUUUUAGUCUUUAAGUUGUAUGCAAUCGACCUCAAGACAUUAUGCUUCAUUCUUUGUUUUUUCGCUUUUACCUUCUUAUUGUUUCUAUUUAGUAGAAUUUCAAAUUUUGCUUAUUCAUUAGAAACUUCUUAUGAUGAUUUUGGUGUGAAUGAAUUCUUAAUAAUCAUUUUGAUGUGAAUGAAUUCUAAUAGUAAUUUUUCUUCUACAUUCUUCGCAAAUUAUUGAAUAAACCUUGCUCAUUAUGCUAUCUCUAUGUUUAGGUAAUUUUUUUGGAUUACCUCCAUACAAUUCUGAAAAAAUGGCACCUAGUAAAAGUUGGAUGGAUCUAGUUGAUGAUCGAUUAAGUGAAGCAUAUGAAAAAGGAGUUCAAAAUUUUUUGAAUUAUGCUUUUAAACGUACAGGACAAAACAACAAAAUUCGCUGCCCUUGUGUUGAAUGUAAUAAUACAUAUUCAGGAACUCGUGAGCUGAUUGAGACACAUUUGAAAGUCUAUGGAAUAGUUCAAAGUUAUACUUUUUGGUAUCAUCAUGGUGAAAGGUUUGGUGAGUCUCAAUCAGAGUCAGAUUCGGAUGAUGAUAAUGAGGAAAUAGAAGAAGAUGAAAGCAUUGAUGAGAUGCAUGAAAUCAUAAGGGAUUUAUAUCCCGAAUUGAAUAGAAAUUUUGAGAACAAUACUACUACAGUUGAUGAAGAUCUUGAAGACGAACCAAAUGAUGAAGCAAAGUCUUUCUAUAGGUUACUCAAAGAGUCUAAUCAACCAUUAUAUGAUGGUUCGAAAUGCUCAAAAUUGUCUUUACUAAUCAAAUUGUUUCAUAUUAAGAGCCUCGGAGGAUGGAGUAAUACAUCAUUUACUAUGUUGCUUCAAUUAUUAAAAGAAGAUAUUCUACCAAGUGGAACAACUUUUCCAGAUUCAUAUUAUGAGGCAAAGAAAUUUAUUGAUGAUCUUGGACUAUCUNCUUAGUCAGAGGCCACCAGAGUUGGGUUACAUUUUAGUAGUAGUUACCCUUUUAUCAUCUUUUGUACUUGAUGAUUAGUGAUGUAAAGAAAGAAUGUAAAGCACCCUUUUGAGGAAAAUGUGAUGUAAAAAAGAAAUGAUGAAAUGAUGCAAUGAAAUGUAAGGAAUUGUAAAUGUACAAGUUGGAUGUAAUGUAUAUGAUCUAAAUUGAAUCAUAGUACAAAAUGAAUGCUAGUUUCCUAUCUUUCACUCAGGGCUAUUGCUUACCCUCGUGUAAGCCGUUUGUGUAUAUUUCCGCUAGUGCUUUUCUCUAUUGAUGAAAAUGUACAUGUGAGGAGCCUUGGGCGGACAGGGGAAACUUUGUCUGUUCGGCGUCUGUUUGACGUGCUCGGGUCGGGCCAAAUUGGUAUCGGUCCCGGGGCGUGACACGCCCGUAGGCUGUCUGGCCUGAAGACCCACUCGUAGGCUGUCUGGCCGAUGCCGUGCCUAAUGGCCCUGUGGUAGUCAACAUCCCCACUCUAGGAAUGAGCCUUGACCACGGCAAUCUACUUUGGCGCCCAAUCCCGCACGGUGAGUAUGUAUCGCGAUGGCUAUCUCCGGAGUGCCAGCUUGUAGGGAACGACCCUCACAAGUAUGUGCGAAUGAGCACAAAGGCAAGUAAGCAUAUAUGUCUGUCUCAAGUCUCAAGUCAUCAUGUCUAAAAUAUGGAAUAUAGCAACUGUGUCGAUGGCCUAUCACUAUGUCAUCAUGUUUAAAAUACGGAAUAUAGUCGAUGUCCAAUGGCCUAUCAUUAUGUCUCUAUGUUGCAGUUUCAUAGUUUACUAGCUCAAGUGUCCCUUUAUGACACUUUUGUCCAACAAGUCCAAGCAUGAUUUUUGGUUUUCAUGAAUACAUAAUUUAAGUCAUUUUGAAAAUAGGAGACAAGUUUUUCAAUUGCUAACAUAAAUACUUCUCACAUGCAUGCAAAACACCCAGAAUGCUCUACUAUAUAGAGUGAAAUUUUCAUAAUACAUAAGGCAUGCAUUUAAAUAUUCUAAAAUUCAUAAAAAUUCUAUCUAGCAUGAAUAUGCAUGAAUUUUAACGUUACGACGAGUAUAACACCCAUAGGGGGCACUUUGCCCCGGUUUCAUGGAGUCAAACCCACACAACUCUUGCGACCCUUCGUUAGCUCCGACGAAGGUGCCCACUAGCCUCCUAGCAACCUAAAGGUGUAGAAACAAUAGUUAAAUGGACCUUACGAACAACACAAGGCUCAACAUUAAGCAACUCAUGCAUAAGGGUGAAAAACUCACCGAUUGCGAAGAAAUCCCUUUCGAUCUCCAAAUGGGAGAUAGAGGCCUUCAAAACCAACCUAAACAAAGGUUCUAAACCAAUCAAUUUGGUUCUAGAAGCUACAAAUCCAAAAUCCCCAAAAAUAACCCUAAAUCUCAUUUCUAGGGUUUUAUCUCAAACAAGGCAUCAAAACUCAAAUCUAGAGGAAAGAAACUAGCUACUAACCUCUAGGAUGCAUCAAACCAAGCUCAAAGUCCACAAGCUCCCAAGAUCUUCCCUCAAUCAAGCUCCAAACACGAGCUCCAAGCUUCUCCCAUGGUGAAAGCCAACAAGAAGCAAAGAAACACAAGGAGGAGAAGGUCAAAACGUGCAAAAAUCCAUCAAAAAUGGAGAGGAAUUAAGGGGAAGGGCACUCACCUUUGAUCUCCACUGGUUAGGGCACAAGAAAGCCCUCUAAGGGGGUUGGGGGUAUACCCAUACCGUGAAUAAUCAUCGGUAAAGGUUAUAAAGUAGAGAUGACUACACCUAGCAUGCACAUCAAAUGGCCCACACAUCAGUGUGUAUCAAGAAAAGUAUCUCAGUGGCCCUUUCCCUUUGUCCUACAAAAGGUAAUUUAGUCAAUUUUUCUUGAAGACAAGAUUCACAAACUGGAUAAAACUCUGAAGUCAAUGAGCCGAGAAGCCCAUCUUUAUCCAAUUUAUUGAUCCUUUCUUCUCCAAUAUGACCAAGCCUAAGAUGCCACAUAUACUUUAGGUUUAUNUGAUUCAUGCAAAAUUUGUGGUGCUUCUAGAUGGAAACAUGACAAAUAUAGUAGGGAAAUUAAACAUAAAGCAAAUGGUAAAAGAAUACCAUUGAAGUCAUUACGUUAUUUUCCAUUAAAAUCUAGACUUCAAAGGUUAUUUAUGUCAACAAAAACAGCUUCUUUUAUGAGGUGGCAUUUUGAUAAAAGAGUAGAUGACGGAGUGAUGCGGCACCCAGCUGAUUCAAUGGCAUGGAAGUCUUUUGAUGAACUGCAUGAAUCAUUUGCAUUAGAGCCUCGUAAUGUGAGACUCGGUCUUGCUAGCGAUGGCUUUCAGCCAUUUGGAGAUUCAAGAAAACCAUAUAGUAUAUGGCCAGUAAUACUAAUUCCCUACAAUCUACCUCCAUGGAUGUGUAUGAAGCAAUCUAAUUUUAUUUUAUCAAUGCUUAUUCCAGGACCUGAGAGUCCUGGUGAUGCAAUCGAUAUCUAUCUCCAACCGUUGAUAGAAGAGUUGAAGGAACUAUGGGAAGUAGGGGUUGAAACAUUUGAUGCAUCAACACGACAAAAUUUUCAAUUACAUGCAGCUUUGUUGUGGACAAUUAAUGAUUUUCCUGCUUAUGGAAAUUUAUCUGGAUGGAGUACAAAGGGAAAACUAGCAUGUCCUUGUUGCAAUAAGAAUACUUUUUCUAUUAGGUUAACCAAUGGUAGCAAGCAAUGUUAUAUGGGCCAUCGACGAUAUUUGCCUAGCAAGCACAAAUGGAGGAAUGAUGAAUAUUCUUUUGAUGGCACGAAGGAGAGAGGUUGUGCACCAAAGCUAUUUAACGGAGAUGAAAUCUUGGAACAAGUGCAAGAUCUUGAAGGGAUCAUAUUAACAAAAGCUGCUAAUAAAAGAGUAAAAAUAUCACAUAGCAAUCGGGGUGAUAAUUGGAACAAGAAAAGUGUAUUCUUUGAACUUCCUUAUUGGAGAACUCUUUUGUUGCGACAUAAUUUGGAUUUAAUGCACAUUGAGAAGAAUAUAUUUGAUAAUAUACAUGGCACACUUAUGAAUAUCAAGGGAAAAACUAAGGACACAAUGAAAUCCCGUCUCGAUUUGCAAGCAAUGAAUAUAAGACCAGAAUUAUAUCCAAUCCGAAAAGGGGAUAAGUUUGUUUUCCCUGCUGCCUCUUACACAUUAUCGCCAAAUGAGAAGCAUACAUUUUGCCUUUUUCUUAAGCAAUUAAGAGUUCCAGAUGGCUUCUCCUCAAAUAUAUCUCAUUGUGUAAAUCUUAAAGAACAUAAAAUUUCUAGAUUGAAAAGUCAUGAUUGUCAUAUUAUGCUGCAACGCCUACUUCCUCUUGCUUUAUGUGGUCUUGUUCCUAAAGAAGUUUAUGAACCACUUAUUGAAUUAUCUUUAUUUUUCACUGUGGUUGGCUCUAAGACACUCAAGGCAGAUGAUUUGGAUCAGAUAGAAGCUCAUAUUCCAAUAACUCUUUGUAAAUUAGAGAGAAUUUUUCCUCCUUCAUUUUUUGAUAUUGUGUUGCAUUUGCCAAUUCAUCUAGCAAACGAAGCUAGGAUUGGAGGACAGAGCCAAUAUAGGUCAAUGUACUCUAUUGAGCGUCACUUGUAUACUCUAAAAGGGUUUAUACGCAAUAGAGCUUGUCUAGAGGGUUCAAUCGCGGAAGGCCACAUUGCAAAUGAAUGUAUGACCUUUUGCUCAAGAUAUCUUCAUGGCAUUGAGACAAAAUUUAAUCGUCAUGAGCGAAAUUAUGAUGGUAGAGAUAGCACAUCUGAUGAAGGUUUAUCUAUUUUUUCUCAACUUGGUAAAGCACUAGGAGCCGGUACUAUAUAUGAUCUUGAUGGAAAUGAGUUCGAGCAAGCACAACUUUAUAUUUUAAAGAAUUGUCAUGAAGUUCAACCAUUUCUCGAGUAUGAUUUCAUUGUUCAUGAACACUACUUUUUUCUUUUAUUUCAAUUUCUUAUGUAUAUAAUAAGUUCAUUUAUGCUGUUAUGCAGAGAAUACUCACAAACUCAUUGUAAUAGAGGAUUAGAAUUGUGUGAUAAGAACUUUAUUGAAUGGUUUAAGAUUAAGGUAAGCUCACUUUUAAUUAGAAAUUUUUGUCGAUCAAUAUUUGCAAUAUAUGUAGAACGCAAUAUGUUUAAUUUAUUAUUCGCCUUGUAGGUAGCGCAUUUAUAUAAGCAAGACAAAAGCUUGAUCAUGGAACACAUGCUUUCUUUGUCACGUGGCCCUACUAAAUAUGUCACAUGCUAUAAUGGUUAUCUAAUAAAUGGAUAUAGGUUUCGGAUAGAAGAUUGUGACAAAAGCUUAAAGACACAAAAUUAUGGGAUGGUUGUUGUUGGUGAUGCUGGUGCAGAAACUGAAAAACGAGAUUACUAUGGGCUCUUGACGAAGGUCAUUGAAUUACAAUACGUUGGAGGUCAUUGAGUAGCAUUGUUUCGAUGUAAUUGGUAUGAUGUAUAUGAUAGAGAAAAAGGAAUCAAAACAGAUGAAUAUGAGAUUGUUAGCAUUAAUUGCCACAGAUUAUUGAAAACAAAUAAGCCCUUUGUGUUAGCUAAUCAAGCAUCACAAGUGUUUUAUGCUAUCGAUAACAUUAAUAAAGGAUGGCAUGUUGUGCAGAAGACUCAGCCUCGUGACUUAUAUGAAAUGCCACUACAAAAGGAUGCAGAUUCUGAAGAUGUUCAAGAUGGAAUUGAUGCAUAUCAAGAAUAUGAAUCAUUCACUCCUAUCAAUAAUUUAUCCACUUUACUAUAGAGCCAGUGAUGAUUGAUGCAGUUUCCACACGAAAGGAGAGAAAACGAAGAUCAUAAAAGAAUGAACGCAUAUUUGUUUGUCUUUGAAGACAUAAUGGUUUUGUAUAUGACAUUUCUUUUACUUGUAUGCAAAUAUAUUUAUUUUUGUUUAUGAGUUUAAUUUAAUUUUGGAUGAAUUGUUCACUAUUAUAUUUUAAUAAUGAACUAAAAUUUCUAAUUAUCUUUAUAGGAUGCAGCCGCCAAAAUCACGAAACGGGAAUGAUUCCACUUUUAGAGGAGAUAAGCUUAUGUUUAUACCACCGGGUGCAUUGGGCAAGGGGCGCGCACAAAUUGGUUUAAGAUCUUUCUAUUCCUUACGACCGUCGACGUCGCAAAGUGAAAGUGUAGGGGCUAAUACUACACCAUCGCUUCAUACUCCUAUUGUGCAAUCAAAUGAUAUCUCCCUUCCUCAAGAUUUUGAGCCUAUGGAAGAAGCGCAUAUUGGAGAAGAAUCAAGGGAAGCUGGUAUAACUUCUCUCCUUUUGUUUUACAUAUAUGUUUGUCUUUAUGCAUUUAUUUAAUCUUUAUGCGCUUAUGUGUACUAUAUCAUCGGUUAUUUUUCAUUAGCCAUUUACAUAUAAGGACUAUUAGUAAUGCAUAUUUUUACUUUUCUUUUUCUAUUCCUAGAUUCUAUAAGUGUUCCAAAGAAGAGGAAUGUGCGAGGUAAAAACAAGUGUAAGGAAGUCGCAAAGUUGAAAAGUGGAAAAAAAUUGGGCGUGAAAUUCUACAAUAAGCGCGUUAUUGGAAAGAAUCAUAGGGUAUUUUCAAGGCACUUAGGAAGAAUCGUGCGCGAUCACAAUAUUUGUCCACUUCGUGUGCACUCAUGGAAGGAGAUUGGAGAUGAAGAAAAGGAAUAUAUGUGGGCUACGGUGACGGUAAAAUUAUUUAAUUUAAUAUCAGUUUGAGUUGAUCAUUAAAUUAUUCCACCACAUGUAUAAGUUUGGACUUACAAUUAUAAGUUUUACAAAUAUAUAUAAAUAUGAUUUGAACUUGAAGGAUAAAUUUGAGAAUAUCCAAAAAAUGGAGAGUUUCCGUGAAAUAUCCUAGCUCAUAUGAAUGAUUUGUGGAAACAAAUGGAGAGGGAGAUUUUGCACGCAAAUAAUGUAAAAACCAUGCAGUACUUAUUGCAAGAGAACUUUAAGAAAUAUUCCUGAAGAUGAUUGAUGCGACUGAGGAUUGAUUGUUAGUAAAGGAACAUUCUCAAGUAAUAAGUUUCUGUAUGCUUUUGUUCUUCUUUUUUGUCAUUAGAAUUGAAUUAUCGGUAUAAACUUAUUUAUCCUGAAAGAGACUUCCUUGUACAUUGCCUAUAUUUUGAAUUUUUUUCCUUCUAUAUAAAUAUAGGGCGCAAGUGAAACAGAACUCUGGCAAUAGAGCAAAGUUAACAGUCCUCAUCGUACAGGUAGUAAGCCAAAUUCGUCAAGUUAUUUGAAAAAGUAAUAGAAAGUUAACAUUAUAUCCUUUUUGAUAUUUAAUUUUUGUAUUAAUAAAUAUAAUUUGAGUUGAUUUUAUUACAAAAGGGAGGCAAAGUCGGUCAACCGCCAAGCUUAGCAACUAUAUUUUUUGAGACUCGAAAAAAGGGUGGCAAUUUAGUUGGUGAAGACACUAUAAAGCAAUAUGUAUGUGGAAUAUAUGUUUCAUUUUAGUUUUAUCGCAUUUAAUGCAUUAUCAACUUACUAUUUUUUUUCUUAUUUCUUGAAGGAAAAAAUUGUUACUGCUACUCAAUCAGGACCAUCCUCAUCUAAUAUAGAGUUAGUUGAAGAAUGUUUUGGGCCACAACGUCAUAAUCAUAUUAUUUGCCAUGGCGAUGGCUUAAAGCCUAACGACUUGAAGACUAUUGGAACUAGAGCUGAACUCCAGGCUAAGCUUCGUGAAACUCAAAAAGAAAAUGAUUCGCUUUAAAGCCGUAUGGAUGAAAUGGAAGCCGAAAUAAGAAUGAUUAAAGAAAUAUUUCAACGCCAACAUUCCAAUGGUCCACCUCCUCCUUCAUCCGAAGGAUAAACAAUGUAAUCUUAUUUAAAUUAAUUAGCAUAGUUUUUGCACGUUUAUAUUAGUACACAAAAGUUAUUUUAGAUUUUAUGAGUUGUUUAUUUACUUUAUUAUUCAAAAUUCAUUUGCAUGGCUUACUUUUACAUUAUUUUAACAUCUAUUCUUUUUCUCUUUUGUAGGUAGUUCAUGGUAAUUUUUGGGACAAAAGGACGAUGAAUUGCAAGUUCUCUUUUUUGUUUUUAAGUUGACCUUUUUUUAGAAAAUGGUGAUAGUCGUUGAUGUUAGGACUCUAUUUUUUUGUUGUGAAUGUUGACUAUAUGUGAUGGUGUGAUGGAAACCGUAUGUACUAACUAGGUGAAUGUACUUGGUGAAUGUUUUGGGAAAAAUAUGAAUAUUGUGGUGCUAAUUACUUUAAACUGUUAAUGAAGUUUUAUUAUAAGUUUAUAAAUUAUGGAUUUGUUGUGAGUUGUAUGUGUGUGUAUGUAUUUACAUCAUUGUGUAUGCAAAUUGUUUAUGUGGUUAAAAGUAAUAAAUUUGUCAAAAAUAAAAUAUGAGCAAAUACAAUAUUUGUAUCAUUAACGACGGGAAAAAUGGUCGUUGUUAUGUUGUCUUCUUUUACUUGUGAAAUGCUUUUAACGACAAAAAAUGUAGUCGUUAGUUAUACUAGCUACGAAAUCUUUGGUCGUUACUGUAAAGUGAAGUGGUUACUAAUGUAGCUAAAUAACGACGACAAAAGAUGUGGACGUUAAUAAUUUAUAACGACUAGUGGUUCAUUUUGGUCGUAAUUGUUUUUAACGAAGGAAGCUUUUACGACGGGUCACGACGGAUAAAUUGUCCGUCGUUAUUGAUAUUUAACGAUGGAACUAUGGGUUUACAACGACGGUAUUCCCUUUCGUUAAAUGAGAUAUUUCCUGUAGUGUUGAGAGUUGUACCCGUAUAUGUAUAGAGACCACCUUUCUUUUGGAUCUUGGUAUUUCUUUUGAGGAGUUAGUAUUGUAUCACCUUAUGCUUUACUUUCUUUGUCUAGUUAUGUUUCUUUUACUCUGGUUUAGAUGAUAGAACUUUACUCGCUCUGAUAUCGUUAGUUGUUAUUAUUCUAUUUGUUUUAUCUCUUACUUUACUUCCGCUUUUUAUUGUAGACGCCUUAUAUGUGUAGACAUAUGGCGGGUCUGGGCACGCUACCGGGAGGGCCUCCGCCGGUCCCGGGGCGUGACAGAUUAAUUUGGUAUCAGAGCCUAGGGUUGAGUCUUAGUGGACCUAGCGAACCUUAGGCCGGUUGGACUAUAGGAAUUAGGCUCGUGAGAGACGAGGUCUAAUUGACUUGUGAGCGAAAGUAUUUCGAUUGGGUUUAUGAUAACUCUAAAAAGUUAGAGUUUGAUCGGAGUGUAUGGCUUCUAACUUCGCGGAGGGUUACGUUGGCGGCCGACAACGUAACAUCGGGAGUUAGUAGUGAAGGACACUUCCUUACUUUCGCAUGAUUUGGGGUUUUAUCUAUUUGAGCGGGGAUGCGAUAGCGUGGGUUACUAACUUGCGCUUUUAUGUUUUGUAGUGACGAUGCCGAUUACACGCUCCCAGUCUGCCGGGGCGGAUGAUGCGGCACACCCCGAGGAGGUCGAGACCUCCGCUACUUCCGGAUCUAGUGAGGUCCGUGACUUGAGGGCCCAGCUUGCGGUUCUCACUGAUCUGUUGGCGCAGCAGACGGCAGCGGCGCAGCGACAGGCUGAGGUGGCUCAGCGGCAGGAGGCGCGGAUGAAGCAUCUUGAGGACCUCCUACUUCAGCAGACAGCAGCCUCGAGGGAGACCCAGGGCCCCACACCGCCAGCACCUGUGGUGGAUGUCGCACCGAGGGCGCAGUCCCCCGCGCCCAGUUCCUCACGUGCGGCACCGGCGACCGCACCUCGGGAGGAGGUGGCUGCGGCACUACCAGUUCAGAGACCGGCCACGGGAGCGGCAUUCCCCGUGAUGGCCGAGGGAGCCGAGCGGGAUCGGCUCAUGGAUCGCCUCAGUGAGUUCAGGAGGUGCAGCCCGAGGAUCUUCGAUGGCGAGAACGUCGACCACUGGAUUGUUGAGAAGUGGUUGAUGCAUAUGGAGAAGCUAUUUCGAGAUACCUUCGUUGAGGAGAAGGACAGGGUUUGGCUCGCCACUCACUUUCUGGACGGCGAGGCCUAUCGUUGGUGGUUGGAUAUCGAGGACAACCCCAGCACCGACUUGACAGCGAUUACUUGGACGAGGUUCAAUGAGCUCCUUCUGGCACACUACUUCUCGACCAGUGCCAAGAGGAAGAUGGAGCAGGAUUUGCGCAGCUUGCGCCAGGACGAGCGGUCAGUGGCCGAGUACGAGAGAGAGUUUUCUCGGCUACUCCACUGUGUACCUUUUGUGGUCCGGGACGAUGAGGACAAGGCCCGCAUCUUUGAGCGUGGAUUGCGGCCUUCGAUCUUUCGGUUGGUGCAGUCCUCCAACCUCCAAACCUACCGGGAGGUUGUGGACCGUGCACUCAUUGUGGACGCUGGAGCGGCAGACCUUCAGGAGCGUCGCGAGGCCCUAGACAAGGGCAAGGGAAAGAGGCCCGCGGCUGAGGGUGCGAGUCAGACGCACUCACGGAGGCCGCCAAGGCAUCCCAGGAGCCGGAGCCAGUCGCGAGGACGUGGCCAGUCUACUCAGCGAGGAGGACCCGAUCGCCGUCAGGCUCUCCGUUGCGUGAUCUGUGGUGGUCCCCACUACCCGCGACAGUGUUCACGCAGCCAGGGCAGGUUCUUCUUGUGUGGCCAGGAGGGCCACUUCCAGUCGGACUGCCCGAGAGGUUCAGCGCCAGCGCCAUCUUCGGCAUCUGCACCAGCAUCACUAGGUCCCAGCCAGGGGACAUCUUCUGCGCAUCACUAGGCAGGACGGCCGCCAGUUCAGCGGCAGGGGGAUGGGUCACGACAGGCCCCGAGUGGGCGCAUGUAUGUGGCCCAGACUGAGGAGACGGCGGCAGCCGAGAAUGUGGUCGCAGGUAUCAUUUUACUUUAUGGUAUUCGAGUUAGAGCAUUAUUUGAUACCAGUGCAUCGCAUUCAUUUAUAGAUCGGCUGUUUGCCGAGUUGCAUAGCAUCCCACUUGUAUCCUUGUUGCAUCCAGGACGAGUUGUUAUACCCGAUCAUUCUUUGGACAUUCGGGAGUUUUGCCGCAGUUGCCCUGUUCGGGUUGGAGAUUGGAUCAUGCCCGUGGACUUGCUAGCCUUGCAUAAACUCGGGGAGUUUGACGUUGUGUUGGGCAUGGAUUGGUUGACUAAGUAUUUCGCCACUAUCGAUUGCAAGAAUCGGACGGUAACGUUUAGAGAGCCGGGGCAGGCGGAGGUUGUGUACCGAGGAUGCCAGAGUUCGCUGUUUGCGAUGACGAUUAGCUCCUCUCGAGCUAGGCAGUUGAUUAGUAGAGGCUGCGUAGCCUACUUGGCUACUGUUGUGUUGCGGGGUGUGGAUGACACCCCUAGGAUUGAGGAUAUCCCCGUAGUACGGGAGUUUGGAGACGUGUUCCCAGCGGAGCUUCCAGGCAUGCCACCUGAUAGGGAGAUUGAGUUUGUGGUAGAUCUCGUUCCCGGGACUACUCCAAUCUCAAAGGCACCCUAUAGGAUGGCACCAGCCAGAAUUGAAGGAGUGAAGGCCACAGUUUGCGAUCUUCUGGACAGGUUUUGUGCGACAGAGUUUCAUGUGGGAGAAGUCUUGUUUGUAAGAAGAGGAUGGUCACUUCGCUUUGUGCUGUGGACUUCGGUAUUAAUAAGUCUACUUAAGACAGAUAUUACGAGGAUUUGAUGCUCUAUUUGAUCAGAUCGGGAUUUGUGUAUACUCUCCAAGAUGACUUGCAGUCGGAUACAUCAGUUGAGAUCAGCUGAGAUGUGUCCGAAGCGGCUUUUGACCGGUAUGACAUUACGGUUAGUUAUGGCGUUUGGCUUACUUAAUGCCCGAGUUUUAUGGAUUUAAUGAACUGUGUUUUCAAGCUUUAUUUUAGACAGAGUUUUCGUGGUGUUCAUCGAAAUUUGGUCUGAUUCGCAGUGAUGUGGACAGAGGAACUUGAGAUGUGAUUCGUAUUAGGGAAGAACUCAUGCCAAUGAAAGUGUGAUUUUGGUUAGAGAGGUGCGUUUUUGUGUUAUUUGAUUUUGGAUCAGGCUAGCGUGGCACGGCGAAAUUGAAGCUAUAAGGUUGGCGAGGCGCGGCUGUGGAGAUAAGGUAGUUCAUUGUUUGCGGCUAUUCCGACGAUUCGUGGAAGGUAGUUUGCAAAUUUAUUUUCUAUCCCUCCGAGACUCAGCAUAAGGGCACCAGUUUAUUUGACUAUGCAUGGUGAAAGAUGCUUCAAGAGUUGAUGAGCGCGAUUGACGAUGCCCGAUCCUUAUUUUGGAGCUGUGAAGCAGGGUCGUGAUUUAUGGUGAUGCUUUCUUUUGGAUUGGCAUAAUGUGUUUUGAUUGCAGGACGGGAAAGCUGAUCGGUUAUGUUUUCCGCCAUUGAAGGGAAUAUGAAAGGAAUUCACCAUGAUUAGAGUUGCCGGCCGUGUGGUCUUGCUUUGAGCUUUGGGCAUUAUGCUGUAUGGCCGGCGAUGCGAAGUAUAUACGGAUCACAAAAGCUUAAAGUAUCUAUUCACUCAGAAGGAGUUGAACUUGAGGCAGCGCAGAUGGUUGAAGCUACUCAAGGAUUAUGAUUUGACGAUACUUUACCACCCGGGUAAGGCUAACGUGGUGGCGGAUGCGCUAAGUAGGAAAUCGACUAAGAACUUAGCAGCGAUGCUUGUGGUUACUCAACCGCCGUUGAUCGAGCAGAUGAAGCGGUUGGAGUUGGAGGUGGUGACUCCUGAUACACCUUUGAGACUGAUGACUUUGGUGGUGCAACCUACACUUAUGGAAAGGAUUAAAGAAAAGCAAGCUUCCGACUCGGAGUUACAAAAGAUUCGAACUAAGAUGGUUGAUGGUUGCGCCGGUGACUUCACUCUAGACGGUGAUGGAUUGAUGCGUUUCCGCAGACGACUUUGUGAACCGGCGGACUUGGGCAUUAAAGAGGACAUUCUUCAAGAAGCACACCGAGCACCGUACGCUAUACAUCCGGGAGGCACCAAGAUGUACAAGGAUUUGAAAUCACUUUAUUGGUGGCCCGGAAUGAAAAAAGAUGUUGGUGAGUUUGUUGCUAGAUGUUUUACUUGCCAACAGGUGAAGGUUGAGCACCGAGUUCCUGCAGGGAAGUUGCAGAGCCUACCGAUUCCAGUGUGGAAAUAGAAAAAGAUCACUAUGGACUUCGUGAUGUGACUGCCUCGCUCAAAGGCCGGGCAUGACGCUAUUUGGGUGAUCGUGGAUAGAUUGACGAAAUCAGCACAUUUCAUACCUAUCCACACUACUUGGACGGGUGAGAGACUCGCACAGGUUUAUUUUGAUGAGAUUGUGCGAUUGCACGGGGUACCUACUUCAAUAGUAUCGGAUCGAGACCCUCGUUUUGUAUCCUAUUUUUGGAGGAGCCUACAGGACGCUUUGGGUACACGCUUGGAUUUCAGCACUGUUUUCCACCCCCAGAGUGACGGGUAGUCGGAGCGCACUAUACAGACUCUCGAGGACAUGCUUCGAGCCUGCGUGAUUGACUUCCAGGGAGGAUGGUCGCAACAUCUACCGAUGGCAGAGUUUGCUUAUAACAACAGUUAUCAAGCAAGCAUCAAGAUGGCACCGUUCGAGGCACUCUAUGGACGAAAAUGUAGAUCGCCACUUCAUUGGAGUGAAGUUGGUGAGAGAUUGGCUUUAGGCCCUGAUGUGCUCCAGGAAGCAGAGGACAAGGUUCGUAUUGCUCGGGAGCGAUUGUUGACGGCCCAGAGUAGGCAGAGGUGUUAUGCUGAUCGGCGUCGACGAGACUUGGAGUUUCAGAUUGGAGAUCAUGUCUUCUUGAAAGUCUCGCCGACUCGAGGGAUUAGAAGGUUUGGAAUCCGGGGUAAGUUGAGCCCCCGAUACAUUGGACCGUAUGAGGUUUUAAAGCGUGUAGGCCCAGUAGCGUAUCGACUCGCUCUACCGCCAAACCUAUCGGGUGUACACAAUAUAUUCCAUGUAUCGGUCCUUCGGAAGUACAUCCACGAUCCGGCUCAUGUUUUGGACACUACGCCUUUGGAGCUGAGGGAGGACUUGAGCUUUGAGGAGCAACCUUUGCGGAUUUUGGCUCGCGAAGUAAAGAGAUUGCGAAAUCAUGAGAUCCCCUACGUGAAUGUGCUUUGGAGCAACCACGACGAGCGCGAGGCCACUUGGGAACUGGAGAGCGCACUGCGGGAGCGCUAUCCCCAUCUUUUUCAGAUGGAGGCUUGAGGUACUUUGUUUGUUUUGAGUUUCGCGGACGAAACUCCUUUUUAGGAGGGGUGAAUGUAACGCACUGGACCUUCGCAAAUUGCGAGGUUCGAGUGACUGGAUGGGUUUCGAGCUUUUCCACACUUGGUGGAGGGUCGUAGAAUGUUUUCCAACCUAAAAAAUUCGAAAACCUAAAUUCUGGACGAGUCCUGAGAGUUUUCACUCUCGGGGACCGGUCCUUGAAAGGAGAGACCGGUCCCCCAGUGAACAGUGUUACGGCAGCCUUGAGGCAACCGGUCCCUGGCGGGCGAGACCGGUCCCCAAGCGCGUCUACGCAGUGAGAGACUGGUCCCGCGCAGGGAGAGACCGGUUCACGAACGUUGGUUUCUCGGGUUCGCAGCGAGAGACCGGUCCCUGCUGGGGAGAGACCGGUCCCUCUGGGCGAAAACUGCCCAGACCGGGCUAUUGCAAUAUUGGAUUUUUGGGGGGCCUCACUGGAUUUUGUUACACUAGAUGGGCUUAUUAGCCAUUCCACCCUCUUUCCUUCCUCAUUUCCUCACUCUCACCCUCUCCCUACACUUUCUAGAGAGAGAAGAAGAAGAAGGAGGAGGAGAAGAGGAGGAGGAGCUUGCUUGAGGAGGCUUGGAGCUUCACCCCUUUCCCCCUUUCCACCUUUGCAAGGCUUGGAGCUUGCUUGUAGAGCUUGGUGGUGGACCAAUCUUCAACCCUAGGAGAUUUGGAGCUUGUUUGGAGGCAUCUUGGGAGGUUAGUACUUGGAUUCUACCCUUUGAUCCUUGAUUUGGUAGGUUUUACCAUAUGGAACCCUAGAUUUGAUGCUUAGGGUUUGAUUUUGGGGCUUUUUGAUCUAGGGCUUUUGGAGCUAGAUUGUUUGGAUUAGAACCUUCCUUGAGCUUGGAUUGGAAGGGAUUUAGCUCUCUUUUGGAGUUUGAGAGAGAUUUUCCACUCCUUAGGUGAGUUUUAACCCUUUUGCUAUAAUUGUUAAUGUUUGAACCUAUAGUUGAUCGUAAUACCCGUGUAUCUCUUCGCCCAAUACUUUUAGGGUAUUUGGAGACUCGUGGACAACUCCGUUCGGCAAAUCGAAGGAGCACGAGACAAUUUGGUGGGUUUGACCUAGCCACACAAUGAGAAAAUCUCAUUGUUGAUGAUUUAAGUGUUAUAAAAUGAAAAAGCAUGCAUAUUCUUGUUAUAUGUAUUUAUUGUGAAUUUUAGAAUGCUUAAAAUGCCUAUGUUGCAUAUAGUAAAAUUUUGGGCCUCUAUGUAGUAGAGAGCAUGCAUGUGGGAUAUAGCAUUCUGGUUGAGAUUUGAAACUAAGAUCCCUAUUAUGAAAAUGAACCUUGCUUUCAUGCAUUUAGCUUAUUUGCCAAUUGUGACAUUAGGGAUUUUUGGAAGCCUAGAGAGGCUUGAGGACUUAGACUAUUUGAGAGAUUGGGCCAAUGUCAUAAAGAGGCAUUGGGCCCGGGCUAAAGUGAACCUUGCUAGUAUUGUUUUAAUUGGAAUAUGGAACAUGAAUUGGGCAUGAUUAGUUGUGAUGCUUAAGUGUCAUAAAGAGGCACUAAGCAAGUGUGUGCGUUGGAGCGUCACUUUGAGACUUUGGACUAGAUCCUUGGGAUGCUAGUGACCUUGCCAUGUGAGAGGCAUGAGAGUAGAGUACUUGAGACUUUGACCUUGCUUGUUUGCCAUUUGUGCUCAUUCGCACAUGCUUGUGAGGGUCGCUCCCUACAAGCCGGCACUCCGGAGUUAGCCUACGCGACUUAUGUUCGCUCGUGCGGUAUUGAGAAGCCUACGGGGUCGAGUGGGACAGACACAUUCCAAGAGUAGGGAUGUUGGGCUACCACAGGCACUUAGGCGGCACAAGCUGGACUACCUUUGGUAGGUCCUUAAUUGGAAAUGGAAAUCGACACGGUGUUAAGAAUGAAUAAUCACUGCUAGAUAGGCUUAGUAGUUGGGUUACUUGACACGCUCAUGACAUAGCAUUGGGAUAUAUAUAGUAUACUUGCCUGUUUCAUUCAUUGUGUCAUAGUAUACUGGGUCGCAUGAUAGAGCUCAUUCUUUAUGCAUGACAUCUUGGACAGUAGCGUUUACUUGUUGCCAUCGGACGUACUUAUUGAUGCUAGAGUAGAUGUACAUCAUACUUACAUCAUGCUUACUUGAGACAUAGUAAUAUAGCAUUUCAUAUAGGCUUUCUUUCAGCAGUUAUUGUACACGCUCUUUAUUGCUUAUUAUUAUUGUCGUUACUUACCCUUUUCUUUUGGGGCCUAGUGGUGCAUUGAGCUGAGGUCAGUAAUUGCCCACUGGGAACUAUAAAUUAUAGUUCUCACGCCCUCUGUUUUGUGUUUUCUUUCAGAGCCUCCUACGCCGGGAGAGGCUAGGGACCGAGGGAAGGGCGUGGCUUCGAGCUAGCUCUUCAGUGAGUGAUGAGUCGCUAGGUGGUCUACCUCUCGAGCUAGCUCUUUAGCCGUUUACUAAGUCCAAUGCCUCUUUAUGACAUUGUUGUUUUCUAUGUUUAGCAUAUGUUCAUUGUUCAUAAGCAAGGAAAAGCUUGUCAUAUCACUAAAUAUAGCAUGAUUUCUAAUAUAUCAUGAGAAUGCCAUUUCACAUGCAAUUUACUAUGCAAUUUUCUCCCUACUACAUAGGGGUUAUACAACAUGAUACAUAACAUAUGCAUUUUAAGCCUUCUAAAAUUCUAUUAUGCUCUAUUUAGAAUGAAUAUGUAUGAUUUGCCAUUUUUAAAACAUAAAAGAUAACAUAGGGGGAGUUUACCUAUUUCGGUGAGAUCAAACCUACCGAGAACUCCUGGUAUCCCCUUCGUUUGCGCGAACGAGGAUGUCCACUAGUCUCCUAGCUCCCUAAAGAAAAUUCUAAGAGGGUUAGGAGCAAUGAACGAACAUCCCACAAGCUAAUCUUUAACCACCCCAUAAAGAGGUCAAAACUCACCUUAAAUGGUAGAAAACCCUCCCAAAAUCUAAAUAAGAGCUAGAGCACUUCUAUUCCAACCUAGAAGAAGGUUCUACGCCUAUCAAUUUAGCCCCAAAGGCUACAAAUCAAAAACCCCCAAAAGAAACCCUAAUAUCUCAUAUCUAGGUUUUAUCUCAAAAAAUCUACAAAAAUAUGAUCCAAAGGAGGGAUUAAGAUUACUAACCUCUGAACAAACUCCAAGCCAAGCUAGAAAUGAGCUAAGGUUGAAGAUUUAUCCUCUAGUAAGCUCCAAUCCCCAAACCAAGGCUUCUCCAAGGUGGUCAAACCAACAUAAAGCUAAGAGGAGAGGAAAUGAGAGAUCAAACCAAGCUAAAUCCAUAAGAAAAGGGAGAAAAUCAAGAGAGGGGAGCUCUCACCUCUGGUCUGCACUGUUUAGGGCUCAAAAGAGCUCUCAUGGGGCUGUGGGGAGUUAUAUAGAGUUGUAACAAUUCCAAAAACACCCCUAAAAAAUGUGUAGACUGCAUCUGCACUGCGUACCGGUAUUCGGGCUUGCGUACCGGUAUCCGGGCUGGAGUACCGGUACCCCGCAGCCGAGUGCGCACAACCCGAGCCUCGGUCAAGCGAGAAAACACACAGGGUACUGGUACCCUCGCGAUGCAGUACCGGUACCAGGUCCAGUACCGGUACUCAGGCAAUGCAGUACCGGUACUGUCACGCCCCGCGACCGCUACCAAUUUGGCACGGCUCGGGCGCGUCGAACAGACGCCGAACGGACAGCACCUUCCCUGUCCGCCCAAGGCUCAACAACGAGAGUGUGUACAAGAAUUUACCCAGGAUAUUAAAUUCAAUACAUACACAAUCAACGGGCACAACCAGUGCAAACAAUAAAAGAGCAAGAGUCCACAAGCAUACACGAGUGAAAUAAAGAGAGUUUACUAACUAUUACAUCACAUUUGCAUUCUUUAUACAAUUACAUUUUCUUUCCCAAAAUGAAUACAUGCUCAUCAAGUACAUAGCUCUCCAAAGUCCUCACUUACAUGAAUCUCUCUCAAAUACAUAGGUGUGCUAAUGCAAAAGGAAAGCUACUACUCUACUAAAAAUCCUCACUGGUCGGGCGCGAUGCCCUUGUCGCGGUCCUCGCCCGGCAAACCUGUACCUAGCCCUGGAAGUAAAGUGGGGUGAGAACUAUCUUCCAUAGUUCCCAGUGGGCUCGGCCGCCGACUCCGCCGAUCUCCCCACUAGGUCCAAGUAGGCAAAAGUAACAACGAAACAGAUAGAUACAUAUAUAUUAAAACUGUAAAGACAUAAUAGGAAAGCUAUACUACUAUGCCCAAUAUCAUGUGAAAUGAAUGCAUGCAUCAUUUAGUAAAAGUUCACUAUCAUGCUAACAAGUUCGAUCCAUGUUCGAUAAGCAAUGUUCGAUGACAAUAUUAACUUUUCAUUUACCCAAUCUGCGGCGAAAUCCUUGGGUUUGCCUACGCCUCAUAUAUCCAUCCCAUAAGGUAAGGAGGCUCUAUGUGCCCCCGAACCCGGGACUGUCUGCGGACAUCAAUCUGUCCUUAUCGCCCGACACUCCGGAGUACUCGACGACCAAUCCUCUCCAUGUGAGGAUAUGGAUGGCUUUACCACCCCGAAUAACAGACCGUGAGCUUGAUUAUCCUCUCGACGUAAGGAUACCCUACGAACCAGGGCCAACAUUCCCUAGGAACUCAUCUAUUCCGGCAUUCAUGCAUAAUUACUUAGCUAUAUUGUCACGCCCCGAGACCCGGCAUAGACCCGCCCGGUGCGUGCCCAGAUCCGCCAUAUGCCUGCACAUAUAAGGCGUCUACAACAAAAGCGAUAAAUAAUCUGUGGUACAAACAUCUAGAGAUAUCAGAGUUAGUAUACUACUAAGUUCUAACAACAAGUUGAGUCGAAAGAGAACUAAACAACUAAAGCAUAAAGUAAACUAAUACAUCAUAAAUCUCAAGAUACAAAAACAGGGUAGUCUCUAUAACCAGAUACAAAACUCUCACAACCUCUCCAAAAGAAAACAAAAGGGAGGUGAACCACCUAUCACCAAGUCCCUCGAUAGCUAACUCGAGGCGAAACCUUUCCCGCGAUCCCGAGCCUCUCCCAGAGUGGAAGGCUCUGAAAGAAAAUAUAAAACAGGGGGCGUGAGUACUAUAAUUUAUAGUUUCCAGUGGGCAAUUACUGAUCUUAGCAAAAUGUACCGCUAGGCCCAAAUCAAAAGCAGAUAUGGAUAACAGAAAUUAACUGCGGUAAAUAAAGCAUAUAGUAAAAUGCUAUUCUACUAUGCCAUAAGUAAUCGGGAUAUCAACAUGGAGUCCAUCUACUCUAUAUGAUCCAAAUAUGCCAAUGCAUAGCAAUUAUGUUCUAUCAUGGCUACCAAGUAUAUUAUGAUGCAACAGGUAAUACUAUGAAGUAUACUAUAUGUCCCAAAGUCCAACACAUAUCUAGUAUGUACUAUCAUGGCAAUUAAGGGUACCACUAUUCCCAAUGUCAACUGAAUCCAACUACGAUAUACAAUCAAGUAGUGUUUAUCACUUAUUGUUUACUGUUCUAGUCAAUGUCCACAUGGCAUGUCACUACUUUAAAGUCUCAAUCUUGUAAGACUCGCCCGUAGGAUGUCUGGACUGAAGACCCACCCGUAGGCUGUCUGGCCUGCACCGUGCCUAAUGGCCCCGUGGUAGUCAACAUCCCUACUCUAGGAAUAAGCCUUCCCCACGGCAUCCCACUUCGGCGCCCAAUCCCGCACGAGCGAGCAUAUGUCGCGAUGGCUAUCUCCGGAGUGCCGGCUUGUGGGAAGCGACCCUCACAAGCAUGUGCGAAUGAGCACAAUUGGCAAGAAAGCUUAUAAGUCCGUCUUAAAUCCCAAGUCAUCAUGUCUAAAACAUGAAAUGUAGCAUAUGUCUCAGUGGCCUGUCACUAUGUCAUCAUGUCUAAAACAUGAAAAUACUCACUAGCAACCCAUAGGUCUAAUCUAUGCCUCAAGUGAAGGUUUACUAAGUUCACUAUGUCCAAUGCCUCUUUAUGGCAUCAUCUCACUAUGUCCAAAACCAUUCCAAGCUUAAUGUUGCUUUAUGACAUUAGCUUACUAAAUCCAUCUCUAGUCCAAGCCUAAUGCCGCGUUAUGACAUUAGCUUACAAUUUACAUACACUCUAGCUUAUGUCACUCAAUGACAACAUGUCCAACCAUGCCAAGCAUGCGUUCUAAUUCCAAGAGUGUAAACUACAUGUCAUAUGCACUACAUGCAACAUGAUCUCAAUCAAAUGUAAGAAUGCUAACCAUAUGCAAGGUUCCAAAUAUGAACAGUUCUCUACUACAUAGAGGUCCAAUGUACUUUAUACAUAAGAUGCACAUAUUAAGCAUUCUAAAAUUUUCAAAUAUUCUAUCUAGUAAGAAUAUGCAUGCAUUUUUAUUUUACGAAAAGUAAAAACCAUCAUAGGGAUGAUUUAUCCCAUUUUGGUGAGGCCAAACCCAUCGAGAGUUCCACACGGCCUUCGUUUGCGCCGACGAAGGUGCCCACAAGCUUCCUAGCUCCCUAAAGGUUAAAGUAGGAGCGAUACACAAACGUUAUGAACAACGAAUAGGUUAAACAUUAACCAACUUAACAUAAGGCUGAAAACUCACCGAAUGCGAAGGGUGCUCUUUCGAUCUCCAAACGGGAGUAAGAGCCAUUCCAAACCAACCUACACGCACUACAACAUAAUUGGGUUUUAGAGACACAUAUUUGGGACACUUUUAUGCAAGUGUCCCAUUUAUGUUCAAAAUUAUUUUUAAAAGAAAUUAUCAAAGCCCAAACAUAAAGCCCAAUUCAAAAAAAAAAAAAAAAAUGUUACCCUGCUUAAUCCACCAACUUGGCCCAGUUACGAAAAAACAAACGAAAGAGAAAAAACUGAUCUCUCUCAUCCUCCUAUCUCCUAGGUCAUCUCUUCCUUCUCCCCUCACUCAAACCCUUAAAACCCUAGACGAAGAGCCCUUCGAUCACCAUCUCCACGAACCCCUCCCACCUCGACGCCCUCCAACUUCGCGACCUCAUCCUCUUCUGCGGCCGUGCCGAGCCCGUCGAUGCAUGCAAGCUUCGCCACGCCCUCGCCCACAGCUUCGUCGUCGUCUCUAUCUUUUGCAAGGCCCGAUUCUUAGACCGGGAUUACGAGCGCGAUGGUCUAGGGUUAGGGUUAGGUUUUGAAGAGCUUCUGGAGAGGGCGUUCAUCGGUUGGUGGGGUUUGGGAGGGCGGUUUCGGAUGGCGGCCUCACCGCUUCGAUUCAUGAUGUCAUGGUAAUAUUUUGCUUCAGAUCGCACUUAAAAUUUGUCCAAUUUAUACUGUUUUUGGUGACGAUAUUUUGCUUAUUUUGAGUAUGGUUGCUGGAAUUGAUCGUUUCUAGAGAGUUUCUGUGGAUAGAUUUUGAUGAUUAGUUAUGAAAUUUGUGUAGUUUGAGGCCUAAUUCGUAAUAAAGUGGCUAUCUUAACAUUGUGCAAAAAAGUGCUAUGUUGUGCUUCUGAAAAUAAGGUUCAUUAAAGAGUAAACCCUUUGACUAACUGUAUUGUGUGGGCUCUUUGAUUUGUCUUGUUUUUGUUAUACAGUUUAAAAGAUAAUUUAUGUUAUUAGCCACAUAACCAAUAGGGCAUGUAAACAACUUAUCUGUAGAGAGCUUUCUGCCUGAACUGAGAGACUAUGCAUGCCAAAAGUGAUGAUCAAGGUAACUUAUGACCAAAAACAUAAGUUUAUAACUAGCCAAGAAGAGAAUCUUGUUGUUGCGAACUAAAAGAUUGUAGAGCAAUUGAUAGUGUUUGUUUACAUCUAAAUUUUUUCAGUCCUACGGAUGUUUUUCUGUAGACAUAUCAUUGGCAACACUUUUCAAUAAUAAAGCAUUGUAUGCAUGGGUUGGUGAUGAUGUAGUGAAAAUGAUUGCUAUUUGUAUGUUUUCAUACAUGAAAACUGAAGCUCUCUAUAGAUCUUUUCUGGUAUGAAUUUGAUUAUUAAUUAUUUUAUUUUGUAACUUAUAUGAUUUUCUCCAUGGUUGCCUAACUGCUUUGCUUCGGUCAUGGACUAAACAACAAUAGGAUGCAGCAGAACAAUAUACUAUGGUGGAGUUUCUUCUACUGGAUCCCGUAGAGGAAAACACACCGAGGGCAUGUUUGUUUCAUUAAAACAGGACUUUGGGUUGAAGUGAAGUUCAGUAAAUACUUCUUCCCCAUUGUUUGUUUUGUAGUUAUAGAAGUAAAGUUUUAUUAGUUCUGUUGUUUGUUUUGUAGGAAGUGUAUGAAGUAAAAUUAUAAUUUAUAUAUAAAUAAUAAAUAAUUUAAUAAAAAAUAAUAUAACUAUAUUUUUAUAUAAUUAAAAUUUAAUUUAAAAUAACUAUAUUAUUUUUUUAUACAUAUAUUAUAGUAAGACAACAAUAAAUUAUCAAGUAAAAAAAUUAUUAAUGCUUAAUUAAUUAAUUUUUAUUAUAUUUUAAUUGUACAAACUAAAUAAAGAAAAUAUUAAAAUUUAACUAAUCAAUUUUUAUCAUAUUUUAAAUAUGUCAACUGAAUAAAAGAGUAAUUAGUACCAUAAUUAAAUAUAUUUAAAUAUAACUAUCUUUACCUAGUAUAUUAUUUUAUUUUUUUUUCUUCAUCUCUCUUCACCGUAAUUGACUUCGGUCCACGAUGGGCCGAAGUCAAUUACGCCGUUUCAGGUUAACCUGAGUUUCGACUGUAACUUAUUUACGGCGAACCAAACUGUCACUCCCCGGGGCCGAUUUUAAAAGCCUUUUAAAAACAGAGUUGCGGAAAACGUGCCAUUUUUUUUUUUUUUUCAACCUGGACCACGUGACGUACAGACCCGCCACAAAUACAAAGUUCCUCUGUCCACUCGGGCAGAGUCUCCUUUGUAUUUGCACGGCGUACCAACGGAUACAACAGGAUCACAACCACAACCUACAUUUACCAAUCAGCAACCAAUUCAUGAUAUGCAUUUCCAUACAGCUAACAAUCCUUAGAAUGAUGCAUGCCUCUAAGCACUCCUUAGGCGCUGGAUGAUGCAAUGCACAAUACAACAACCAUCCUAUUUAAAAGUGCUCCCACACAGAAGCUUUUAUUUUUGAACUCUAAUUCAUUCAUCAUGAAAAAAUAUUUGAAAACCUUUUGAAAACUGUUUCCUACACGGAAACUCUAUUUUGAAAACCGACUAUCUCGAUGGGUAGAAAACCACGAUGCGUAAAUCCAUAAAUACAAAUCCGAGAACCACAAGGUAUACAAACAUCCCAAAACUGAAGAUCCAUAAACCAAAUCCACAAUUCCACAAAUCCAUAAAUUCAACCAGCUCACAACAUUCAAACAUCAAGUAUGAUCAUCUAAUUGAACCAUAUAAACUAACUAAGCUAUAACAACAGAAUAGUAAGGAUAAAAACUAAAUCGAUAACCUGGGUCGGAAGCUCUAUCGACCGCUACGAACGUACCUCACGUCUCGUCCCAAAACUCAUCGCCUGCAAUACCUGAAAAAUGGUGGGGGAGGUGAGAACAUGUAAACAUGUCUCCCCUCCCAGUGGGUACCGCAAGUCGAUGAAGGUGAGGAGUACUCACCGGAUCAGGAAGAGCUAAACAACAGUACGGGUCAGUAGAAAAUACAGUAGCAAUAACAAUGAAUGAAAGAGACAUAUAUAUGAAAGAAAGUACAACUACCGCUACUGUAAUGAACAACUGAAUGUAUACAUGUAACAAGACUAUAGUAGCAAGACAAUGUAACGAAAGAACUGAAGAUAUACAAGUGACCACUGCUACUAUAGUUAUAUGCGUCAACCGGACAAGUAGUCCAAAAGUACCCAAUCUAAACCGCCGUGUCGGUCUAAGGACCUCAGGCAAAAGCCACUACCUGCUCGCACCUGGCAUGUAACCUGCCAAAGAAGAACACCGCUGGGCUCACUGGGUCGGAUGAUACGGACACUUUUCCGAAAAACACACCUAUCUGCGGGGGUUAUCAACCGCUGGUGUAGUGAAAUGCACUCGAGCCUGUGGCUGAUCAAUGCGGAUAUGAUCAAUAGCUAAAUGUCGGCACAGCCGCAUCAGCCCUCGGGACAACCGCAAUUAGGUCACAAUAUAUAGAAGCACAAGAAACCACACCUACUCAGCGUCAACUAAGAGGAACAUAUCAACAGUCUCCUACAAAGGUUAUACAAGCACUGGACUACUAAAGUCAACUAAGCACAUAGUGCAUGACGAACUGAACGAACUAGUACCAGAGUAUAUCAUAGAAUCAACCGACAUUAACUAGGCCAUAGACGAACAUCCAAACCCUCAGGGUACACCGCAACCUCAUAGGUAUCAACGACAGGACUCACGAAGCUGAUGACUAGCGUCACAAAUAUGCCAAAGUGUAGGAACUGUGUAAAACGUAUAAUAUGUCGGUGCUAACCGACAUCCCCCUUAGGGUAUACGCGACUUAAGGAGUCAUCGAAACGAUAGUAUCGAACCCGACAAUCAGAGUCAACAGAUAUGGACUGCAAUAACCGACCAACGUAGGUCAACAUAUACUAUACGCAACAAAGACUAACUAGUGUCAAAAGGCUAUGAAGUGCAACAACCGCCAACUUCGUCAAAGUACGCAUGAAGAUGAGAACUACUACUACUCUACUCAGGAUACUAGUAUGCAAACAACGAGUAGAGUAUAACGAAUAAACAGGGUGCAAGGCUAUCAUAUAUUAUGCGAUGUAAUAUAGAAGAGUCAAGGGUAAGAAACCAUCACCAAGCGUGCCCAACUGUACGACGUCGGCAUCGAAGAUACCACCUGUAAAGGAUUGCGCGGUCUGUCCUGAUGCAAAAGAUGUCGACAGGACUAUAGAGGCGGUCACGGGUUAUAGUCUACCCAAAUUAAUAAUCACAGUCAUUCACAACCCCACAAACUGUUAGGAUUUUAUAAGUGUGGCGAAUUUCGUGAAGGGUUUGCGACGGAGUCUCGAAAGAUUAGAAGAUGAAGAUUGACGAAAAGAAUUGAAGUUCUUAUGUCAAAGACCCUUGAGAACUCAGGUAUGAUUAUAAAUAAUUUGUGGUGAAGUUUUUCAUGUUAAAAGAUGUUUAGAAGACUUGGUUUCCUUCUUGUUUAUUCAAACUUAAGUUUCUGGAAAAACUCAGGGGUCGGGGACGGUCCUUUGAUCAGAGGAGACCGGCCCAUAGAGUUCUUGCGUAGAGUUGGCGACCGGUUCUGUCAUGAGGACGGUCCCCGUACGUGGUUUUCCUUGCUUGCGACAGGGAGGGACCGGUCUCUGAAUGAGCGCGGUCCCGUAGCAUAUUUUGACUUACGCGCCGAAAAGACGGCACGCUCACCUUGAGAGCGACUUCCCAAGGAUCGGUCUCCUCGAGGCACGCGACCCUGGAGGCGUCAUCGUCUGUUUUUUAAUUGAGUUUUAGAUCCUAGGUCUAUCUCUAGAAGUUCUUCUAAAUCUAUAAAUAUGAUAUGAGAUCUCCAGUAUGACUGUGUUGAGCGAGAUAAACUUUGUAGAAACCCUAACGGCUUAUUUGAUUUUUGAUCAUUGUUCUCAAUAUCAAGUUUUAGGAUCACUUUGAUUUCAGUUUUGAUUUUAACUUUUCUUCAGAAUCAAAUUGGUGGAUGUUUUUGAUUUGGAUUUUCCUCAUAUCAUAUGUGCUUUCAAGAGAGUUUAAUCACCAAAAUUGUUUACCUGUACGAGUUGGAUGCGGCAGUUAAGCAGUGGAUCUCGCCGUGAACUGUGAUUGGUAGGCCGUUUCGUGGAGUCGAGGUGUGUGGGCCGAAGGAUUUGCAGUUGCUGUGGUGGUUGGAGGAUUUCAGCGAUCGAAACGGGACUGGCAAAGCUAUUCUACAACGAGUUCGGUAUUUGAGUCUUGUAUUUUUGAUAAAUUAUUGUACUACAUGUUUUCUUAUGGAAUUUCUUUGAGUGUGAUUCGGUCCCGUGGGUUUUUUCUUCCGGUUGGAGUCUUUCCCACGUGUUAAUUCUCUGUGGUGUCUUGCUGAUUUUGAUUUUUCCGCAUUCAUAUUUUAAAUUUGCAUCGGUUUCGAGAUUGUUGCGUUUUACACCUAUUACCCCCCUUUAGGGGUGUUUUUACCUUUUAGAUCUCUAAGGGAUCCAUAUCUUACAAGUGGUAUCAGAUGCAGGUAUGGCUUGUAAUCUAUUGGCUGCGGGCGGCAAAAUUAUCGACCCCAUCUCUCGAUGGCACUAAAUACGCAUUUUGGAAGUCGUAUGAGCGGGUUUUUAUUGCUAUCGACGAAAGGUUUUGGCAGCAUUGAAUUCGGAUGGAACAUAGCCUAUGAAGGGUCGAGAAUCCGUUACGGUCCGAAACGUAGAAAUAAGUGUGGACAAAAGCGGAAAAUGACUAUCUUCGUUCAAUGGGUAAGGAGUAUCAUUGCUUUGUUCAUGGUUGAAUUCAAACUGAAUUUUACGAGUAUCGGCAAGUGAAACGCAAAGAAUUUGGCGACACUUUACAAAUCUAUCACGAGGGUACAGUUGGAAAGUUCAGAAUUAAAAUGUUGAUAACCGUUUUGAUUUAAUUGUAUGGUAAGAAAUGAAUCUUUACGGAGUAUUACACUCGUUUCAAGAUUAUUUGUCAAUACCUUGCUGCAAAUUUGGGUGAAAAAAAUUUCUGAACACAAAAUCGUUCGAAUAAAUUUUGAGACUUUCCGACGUUUCGUACAUAGGUGUGCGCGCUAGAACGUGUAACCAUCGGAUGAACUCAAAGUAGAUGAAUAGUUGGUGCUCUUCAAACGUAUGAAAUGGAUUUUCUGCUAUAUUCUCUUAUUCCAAGUUUGCUCCCUCUUAAAGCUUGCGUAUGGCACUAAAAUCAACGCAAGGAGCCAUGUGUUGAAUCUUCUUUCGACUCGAGCGCUGAUGUACUUGGAGGUUAUGGAGAAAAAAUGGCUCUUUUGACUAAGAUCCCGUCGAAUUUUAGAAAGAAGUUUUCUUCGAAGCCAAUUCUUCUAAGACCAAACAUAAUCAAAAAGGCGUUCCUUUUUAUUCUUCAAGUUUAAAAAAUCGGAAAAUUUUCAAAAGAUUUUCCAAAUAGAAAAGAAAAGUUAGCGAAGGUUCAAAUUCCAAUGCUAUAAGUUGUAGGGGUUUUGGUCACAUUGCUUCAGAUUUGUGCCUACAAAAAGUCCUUGAAAGAAAUAGCAUGCAAGCAUUACUUGGGAUGAGUCCUCCUCGACAAUCGUACUCAAGUGUGUGCACGCUAAUGCCAUGACUUAUUGCACAGGCUUUACUUUUUUUUGUGUUUAGCACGACGACUCAAUAUCUAUGUCCUCUUGCAUUGAAAAUCUUGCUACGGAAAAACUCAACGGAUGAAGAAUCUAGAAGAAGAUAUGCCGCCGCAUUUCAUCAACUUGUUAUUGAAUCAAGAAAGUGGCCGAAACACAAAGAAGUUGAGCGAAGACUGUAUAUCAUAGGCCAAGACGAAUACAAGAUUAGAGUCAUUAACAAAAAGUAUUGGAAGCAAGGAAAUAGGAUAACUUUGGACCGAGUCACUAUAAUUACUUCUCUAACAAGUGUGUUAUGUUGAGAGGAAAAGAAUUGAUGAUAACAUUUGAUUUUCUUACACAAGCGAAUACACAGAAGCCAGCAGAAUCCAACAGAGAAUUUUACAACGACUAUCAUUAACUCAAAUCGGAGUUGACAAGUUUUCUGUUUCUCCGGGUAAGCAAAUAGACUAAGAUGUUGGAUUCGGUCAAACCAACAAUUACGGACUUGGAUACAAAAGAACAUAUUGUCGAUCAAGUAAUGAGAAAGUAGCAUGAACAUUUCGACAAAAAACGGUUCACGAAGGUCUAUUACUUGUUUUUUCUUUUUUUGUAGUUGUUCCCAGAAUUUUAUUGCUUAACAAUCUUGUUAUUUUGUGUGUUGGUCAGGGUAUGUGAAGAGAUUUUUGCAAACAAAAGCCGCAAAAGAUACUUACAACAACAUGAAUAAGAAAUCAAGAAAAUUACAAAGAAGCGAAAGAACAAAGACAAGGCAAGACAAACGUGGAUGACUAGAAUGAAUGAUCCGAAGAAAAGAACUACAAAAUCGUCGACAAGCAAAGCAUUUCUAAAUCUAAGUCGAUCAACACAACCCAAUGCGUAAGUUGGUGUGCGCAAUAGGUGAACUCUUUCCUUGCCUUGUCAUUCAACUUCGUUUCAUGUUGGACAAUAUUCUUAGGUAUCUGGAUAGUGGUGUUCACGUUACAUGACUGGGGAUAAAAAAUGCGUUUUUCGUCUUUAAACAAAUUCUAGUGGACUUUGUUGUUUUUGGAGAUUGGUCGGUCAUCAAAAUUGUUGGGGAAAGAACUGUCACUAUAUCAGAUGUGCCACUUUGAAUAUUUUUUAUGUUGAGGGGCUCAAAUCAAUUAGUGCAGCUUAAGUCAGUUGUGUGAUGAACGGGUACUCUGUUAAAUUUUGCUGACAAGAAGUCGCACUGUGACGUAAUGAUGACCAUCUUUUAAAGGUUAAGAAUCUGAGAAUAACUGUUACUGUUGUUCCUAGCUUCUUCAUACUGAACACUGUACCUAGCAAAUUAGACUGAAACUUAUAUGCGAUUGACGUCUAGGUUCCACGAUGAACUUUUAAGGAACUAUCUAAAAUAACUAAAAAGGAGGUUGUUCGAGGUUACCUAAGAUAAGACUUUAAGAAGAACACUGUGUGUGGAGGUUUGCCAACUGGGGAAAAACUAGAGCCCACACAUAAGAUUUUGAAUCAUUUAGGAACAUUAAACCAUUAGAGCUUCUACACAUGCGAUUAUGGGACCUUUAGGAUUCAAAGUUUGGGUGGGAAAACGCUACAUUUUCUGACUUAUUGUUUGACUGAUUUUACUCGUUUUGUCUGGUAGUGCUUCUUACCGGUGAAAAAGUGAAUACAUUUUGAAUUCUUUUUCUGAAUCUGUCUCCCGUCUUAUAGAUUGAAGGAUAUGAUAAAAUUGGGCAUUCUGAAGUGUAUCAAGGGGUGGAAUUCAUAAAGUUCAAAAAUUUGUGAUUUUCUGUGUUUAAAAAGGCAUCAAACAUGAAUUUUAUGCUCCCUAUAACCAACAAACAGAACGAGAGUGGUUGAACGUAAAAUCAGGUCGGGUUUUCAACAGGGGGAGAUGGCGUUGUGUUAUGUUCUAGCAAGAAGUUGCAUACACUUCUGCGCUGAAGCAGUUUAAACACGGUGUCUAUGUGAUUAACCGCAUCUAUUUACGCCGGGUUACGUAAACACCGUAUGAAUUGUGGAUUUGGGUAGAAAACGAACAUAAAUCAUUUCGUGUCUUCGGGAGUAAAUGUUUAUCCUUCGGGAUGCUGUUGAAAACUUGAAAAUUUGACUCCGAGUGACGAAGGAAUACUUCUUGGAUAUUCUACUUACUUAGUCGUGCAUAUCGUGCGUUACAUUUUACGACUAGACGGUGAUAGAAUCCGAUUAUAUAUAAAAGCUUGAUGAAGAUUCCUUCUGUAAGCUCGUAUUAGUGAUAUGAUUUCACUUCUGUGAUGAGUGAUGAUGAUAAUGAUUCUCAUUUAACUUGCGCUGUGAUGAUGAAUUUCCUGAUGACCCCUGAUAUUUUCGUGAUUUUUUUUUGCAAACUAGUUGAUUACUAUGCCUCACAUGAUUCAUCUGAAACCCCUAUCACCUCAUCUGAACUUAUCACCCGUGAAAGAUCAGCCAAUUAUCAAAUGUUUAUUGGAGUCCCUUACUGGUGUGAAAACAGAGGAGACAGCUUCCAGUUGUGAAUUUGCUUGGCUCAUGUUUCUCUCAGUUGAGCCAAAAAAUGUUGAUGAAGCUUCUUGUGAAUUACUGGAUUAAUCCUAUGCAGUAUGAUAUGGUCAAUUCAUGCGUAAUGAUGUCUGGAAUUGGUGCAACGUCUGAGCAACAAACACAUAAUUCGGAUACAUACGUGGAUUUUAAGACAUAAGAAAAUGAGGAAUGGUACAUUGUUCGAAUAAUAACGAAGACUAGUUGCUCAAGGCUAUCCAAGGUUGAAGGAUAGAAUUUGAGGAAAAUUGCCCGUUCUUGAUCAGUCUUGAAAUCAAUUGUAUUCUGUUUGUGCAUCGCCUGUAUUUUAAAAUUUACUCUUUUUUCAAUAGAGAUAGUAAGUGUUUUCUAAAUGGCUUUCUAAAGAGAGGAGUCUAUGUUAACAACCAACAGGAUUUCAAGGGGAGUUCAAAAUUUCCUAAUUCAUGUUUUCGUCUGAAAAAGGCAUCUUAUGGUUUAAACAGGCUCACGGGCGGCAUAGCGUAGAGCGUUUUGGACAAAAUUUCUUUUGGAAAAGGGCACAACCUGAGGUGGAGCGGAUAGAACUCUUUUUGUUAAAACACUCGAAAAGAUCAUUUUCAUCGUGGACACAAAUUUAUUGUUGACGACAUUCGUUUUGGAGCAAUCUAAGGAUAGAGAGCCAGUGAUUUUGCAAGCUUGAUGCGAAGAGCGAAUUUGAGAUGGUCAAUGAUGGCGACAGAGCUUAACUAUUUCUUGGAUCAGUCAACAACUAAAGAUGUGGAAUACAUUGUUUCAUAUCAAAUAUUGCAAAAAGAUUGGUUAAGAAUUUGGAUUGGAUAAGCAAAGGAUUUUGACACCGUCAAUGGGUACGAGUAACCAAAGGACUCGGAGUUGAAUUCGGAGGGACCGCAGUGUAGAUGAGAAACUAUUUACAGAAGAUGUUGGGAGCUCUAUAUGUACUUGAACUGCAAGUAGAGCAGAUAUGCAUUCAGCGUUAAUUCGAUUUGUGUGCUAUCAAGCUAAUCCUUAGGUAAAUUCAUCUAGAUAAGCGGAUCAAAAGGACUUUAUUCGAUACUUGUUAAAGUUACAACCGUUAUGUCUCUUGAUCCUUAUGGGAAAUCUCUUUGAUUUGAUUGGAUACUCGGAUGACAGACUGGCUGGCUCUGGACGAUGAUCGGAGUAGUAGUAGUGGGGGUGUUUUUUCGGUACAUUGUCUUGUUGCUUGGCAACAGCAGAAACAGAAAUGUAUUGCAGUAUCUACUGCUGUAGCGUGAUAUAUCUUGCUGGUCAGUUGCUACUCAGUUUGUUAUGGAUGAAAGUUAGCUGCAGCGCUAUCGAAUCCCUUCCUCAUCUUCUAUUUUGUGAUAAUAACAAGUGCAAUUAAUAUUUCUAAAAACCCUGUUUUUACAUUCGUCGAACAAACACACAUUGAAUCAGAUAUCUAUUUUUGGGGAAUCUUGGAUCGAAUCAAAUCUCUUCAUCUUGAAUCAUAUUUCUAUGAAACCAGCUUGCUGUUAAUUUGCAAAACUUUAGAUCAAAAACGUUUUCUUCAUUGGAAAAGCUAUUGUAUGAAUCCAUCUUUUAGAUGUAGUCUAUGGGCCAUAAGAUUGAACAAAAUCUUUUGCAAUCUGUCAAUUUUAAUUUGAUUCAUUUUUUAGAUAUCGCCAUUGGCAUGAUUUUAUUAUUGAAACGUGAAUAAUGUGGCUGCAAUUGGUCAAUAUCAUUUUUAUUCUCUGUGUAUAUUUUUUGAAAGGAUAGUGUAUUUAAAUUCUAUUUUUUAGUAUGUUUUUGCUAAAUUACAUAUCUUUUCACUUGAACUUUAAACAUUUUGUCUUUGUCUGUGUCAGAUUUAUGAGCUAUUGAUAUGAAUAACGAUUUUCCUAUUUUGAAUUUGUGAAUAAAUCGUCUAACAUUGAGGCGUUGCACUUAUGAGGCGGAGUUUUUAUCCUGGAAUUAAAUUAGAUGACAAAAGAUGAUGGAAAGGUUAAUCCUCCGAUGGGAAGUGUGAAAACUACAACAAUGGAGGAAGAAGCUACCAUCCGGUCAUCGUCGUAUGUGCUGCACUACACAUGUCUAUUUAAAGAAUUCUUUUUGAUAAAGAAGCAACUAUAUCGCGUAGAAUUAUAUACUAUAUAUAUUUUAAAAAAUGAGGGUUUAAAAAGGUGCGUUGUGAGAUUGAUAAGCAUAGAGUUACUUACAAUACUCUCGUAGGUGACAUAUAGGUGAGAUGUGAAAGAUAGCUCAAAGAGCCACUCCCUCGUCGAAUUUGCUGCAUUAACUCAAUUUGAUCAGUUCUUAUCUUAAUUCAUGAUUAUAUGGGAUCUUUUUGUUCUCUAUUUCAAGAAUUAUGAAGACAAUACGAUGACUAAUUUUUAGAUCUUGAUUGAUGCUGUGAAAUUCUUAGCAUUAUACUUAUUUAGAAUUUAUUUCUCUAUUUGUUACAACGAUUUUUUUGACAUUUGUAAUAUUUUGAAAUUGAUCUUGUUUGUCUUAUUUUUAUAAAAUUUUUAUUAUAUGUCAUGGACUACAAUUUAAAAAAAAAAAAAAUAAAAGGAGGAGGAAAUUUUUUUUGUACGGGCGACGGUCCUGUCUUGAAGUGACCAGUCCUCCGCCGAUCCGUAUUACCCAUUCAGUCCGGUUCUCUCUCUUACUUUACUUUUUCUUUCUGAGACUCUCUUUCACGCUCUGACCUUAGCGUCCUCCAGCAGGGAUUUUGCCUGCUCAUUACACAUUUCUUUAUCCUUGAUUGGUAAGUUUUUCGUUUUUUAGGUUUAUUGUUGCACAUACAUCCGACGUUGUUUAUUUUUGGGGUUUUGAUCAUGAAAUUUUGUUGGGGUGUAUCUUAUUCUAUGAAUUGAUCUCUGUAAUAAUCCUUGUGCAUCUGAUCUCCUCAUGCAUUCUUCAUUCUUUUGAUGCAUCAUUUGGCCUUUUUCCUGUGGCCCUAAAUUCCAUUCAUUUUUUUUUAAAAAAAUCUAGAUGAUAUCUUGUGCUUUCCUUCACUAUUGUUGAACAGGCAUUUCUUUCGAAUAACCCAAAAUGAUUUCACUCACUGGAUUGUGCUGUGUUCCUCAAUGGCUGCGUGUGUGGUCGUGGUGGUAAGCCGCGAGCUACUUCAUCUCAGCAAACAUGUCGAGCCACGGUAGAGGAUUGUCAGCAGUGAAUAUGCUCCUGAUGAGAAUCGGAAACGUUGAAGUCGACGGCAUUGGGAAGCCAUUUUCUCAGAAGUGGUGUCGCAUAAAGUUAAGAAAUGGGAAGGAAAGGUAGUUACCGGAAAAAAGAAAAGGGACAGAGCAAAGCCAAAGGCAGAAGACCGGAAAAAUUGCAAUACUCUCGGAGUAGAAAAAAGAUGGAGGUGUUGAAAUAGUGAAUUACUCGUGAUCUACCUGCGUCGCAGACUCAGGGAGGCACCGUUUGAUCCCAAAGAGACGACUAUGCUAUUCUUCAAAGACUUGUAUUGUACGUGAGCGCCACGAAGUUGCGAGUUCAGAACUUAAUUGAACGAAGUUCCUGGUCUUCCAAGCCUUGUUGAGAACGGAGGGGUCUUUAUGAGAUUAGCGAUUUCCCGAACAACUGGAUAUUUGUUUGGAAUUAAUUCGGUGAAUUCUAUAUGCGCGCGGGUAUAUUUGCGGAGAUUCCGAUCGGUGGACCGUUCAAUUUUUUAAGACCAAAGUAUUGCGUGGCAUCGAUUGACAAUUACCGCCUGAAACUAUUGCCUUCUGUUCUUGGUAUGCAAGCUGACUUUUAUGGCAACUGAAUACUUGCAUGCUGGUUUGUUGAUGCCGGUCGAGACUGUGCGUCUGUAUGAAUGGCGUAUGUUUGCCUAACGUCUUGAACGAACCGGCAUUUGUGUAAUGUCAAAGGAAUGAAGAUCGAGUAUUCGCUUUCCUGAAUUUUGUGUGGUCUGCUACAAGUAUAAUGCCGUUGGCUAACACGAAGGGGUGCGUCGGGAUCGCAUUUUAUAUGUAUUUGGUGGGUAUAUGCCGAAUGUGGUUCGUGAUAGAAGAUCAAUCUUAAUGUUCUAUUUUUUGGUUUGGCGCGUUUAUGGCCUAAGAUAUCAAGACUUCUGACGUCGAGUCUGAGGCUUGUCCUUAUUCUUGAUCAUUAUGCCGGAUACUGAGGAUGAUUUUGAUGUGGACACGCGAUGUUCUCAUAUGAGCAUAGUCUGGGUGUUGAUUAGCUGAACACUACUUUCAUACAAGUCUUCGGUGCAGCUUCAAGCUUCUCACGUUCCUCCUUACAACGUUCGUAUGCUCAGCCAGCGUUCACACUCCACAUCCUGGUCUCUCGUCUUCGGCCAGAGGUGUCUGAGCGAAGAAAUGUCAGUCAUCUUCUGUUUAUCGCGAACAACAAAGUUAUCUUCGCAGCAAGAACGCAUCUCUGACGAACUUCGACGGAUUUCUGGAGGAUCAGCUCGCAUGGUUGCCGAGCAGGAGCGCCUCACUCGACAAGUGGGCAAGCUUCGUCGUAUGAUGCGCGCUAUCUUUGAUAAACUAGGAUGUUGUAGUGCGGAUCUUCCUGCGCCUGGUGCUGACUCCGACUGAGAUCUUUUGGUGUUUUCUCUCCUUUUGGUCGUUUUGGCGUUUUCUUGACAAAAAGGGGGAGGAUGAUGAUGAUGAUGCUUGGUGAUGUUUACUUGUUGCUUAGGAUGUAACUAUGCUUGAUGAUGUUUGCUCGCUUACUUGCUUAGGAUGUAACUAUGCUUGAGAACUAUGAUGAUGCUUGCUUGUUAGGUUGUAACUAUGCUUGAACUUUGCUUAACUAUGCUUGAACUCUUGACUUAUAACUGAAUUCAUUGCAAAUUUUAAUGAAGUGUGUGGAGAUUGUUUUGCAGGGUAUUUCAAGACUUCGAGACUCUAUGUCAUGUUCUAAGUCAUAGAGUUUGUACUAGGAUGUUACAAAUGUAAUUUUUUGUUUUUAUUGGAUCGAUCACGCAGAAGGUUGUUGUUUGGUGAUUGCGAUAACCUUCUUAUUUUUGUCUUCAGAUAAGCAUUGUAAAUUCUUUUUGUAUUUUGUCACGAAAUCGCCAAAGGGGGAGAUUGUUAAGGAUUUUAUAAGUUGGCGAAUUUCGUGAAGGGUUUGGACGGAGUCUCGAAGAAUUAGAAGAUGAAGAUUGACGAAAAGAAUUGAAGUUCUUAUGAUCAAAGACCCUUGAGAACUCAGGUAUGAUUACAAAUAAUUUGUGGUGAAGUUUUUCAUUGUUAAAAGAUGUUUAGAAGACUUGGUUUCCUUCUUGUUUAUUCAAACUUAAGUUUUCUGGAAAAACUCAGGGGUCGGGGACCGGUCCUUGAUCAGAGGGACCGGACCCAUCAAGCUUCUCUGCGUAGAAGGUUUGGGAGACCGGUCUCUGAUCAUGAGGACCGGUCCCCGUACGUGUAUUUUGACAUCUACGCAGCGAAAGACCGGACCUCACCUUGGAGGACCGGUCUCCCAAGGACCGGUCUCCUCGAGAGCACCGGACCCUGAGACCGUCGUCUGUUUUUUAAAUUGAGUUUUUAGAAUCCUAGUCUAUCUAGAAGUCUUCUAAACCUAUAAAUAUGAUAUGAGAAUCUCCAUAUGACGUGUGUUGAGCGAGAUAAACUUUUAGAAACCCUAACGGCUUGAUUUGAGUUUUUGAUCCAUGUUUCUCAAUAUCAAGUUUUAGAUCACCGUUUUGAUUCUUCAGUUUUUGAUUUAAACUUUCUUCAAGAAUCAAAUUGGUGAUGUUUUGAUUUGGAUUUCUCCUCAUAUCAUAUGUGCUUUCAAAGAGUUUAAAUCACCACAAAUUGUUUAAUCUCUACGAGCUUCGGAUGGAGCGUUAACGCGUGGAUCUCGCGUGAAGACCGUGGAUUCGGUAGGCGUUUCGUGGAGUCGAGGUGUGUGUGGCUGCAAGGAUUUGCAGUGUGGUCGGUUGGAGGAUUUCAAGCGAUCGAGGACUGGCAAAGAUAUUCUACAACGAGAAUUCGGUAUUUCGAGUCUUGUAUUUUUGAUAAAUCACUUGUACUCAUGUUUUCUUAGUGGAUUUCUUUGUGUGAUCGGUCCCGUGGGUUUUUCUCUCCGGUUUGGAGUUUUCCCACGUUAAUUCUCGGUGUGCUGAUUUUAUUUUUCCGCAUUCUAUUUUAAAUUUGCAUCGAGUUUCGAGAUUGUUGCCGUUUACACCUAUUCACCCCCCCUCUAGGUGUCUUUUACCUUUUAGAUCCUAGGGAUCCAUAUCUUACAAGUGGUAUCAGAGCAGGUAUAGGUUGUAAUCUAUGGCCGAGGGCGGCAACAUUAAUCGACCCCCUCUCUUCGAUGGCACUAACUACGCAUUUUGGAAAGUCCGUAUGAGGGCGUUUCUUAUUGCUAUCGACGAAAGGGUUUGGCAAGCCAUUGAAUUCGGAUGGAAACAUCCUACUGAAGUGGUCGAGAAUGUUACCGGUCCGAAACGUAGAAAUAAGUGGACAAAAGACGAAAAUGAACUAUCUUCGUUCAAUGGGAAGGGUAUCAAUGCUUUGUUCAAUGCGUUGAAUCAAACUGAAUUUUCACGAGUAUCGGCAAGUGAAACCGCCAAAGAAAUUUGGGACACUUUACAAAUCACUCACGAGGGUACAAGCUUGGUAAAGGUUCAGAAAUUACAAAUGUUGACUAGUCGUUUUGAUNNNNNNNNNNNNNNNNNNNNNNNNNNNNNNNNNNNNNNNNNNNNNNNNNNNNNNNNNNNNNNNNNNNNNNNNNNNNNNNNNNNNNNNNNNNNNNNNNNNNNNNNNNNNNNNNNNNNNNNNNNNNNNNNNNNNNNNNNNNNNNNNNNNNNNNNNNNNNNNNNNNNNNNNNNNNNNNNNNNNNNNNNNNNNNNNNNNNNNNNNNNNNNNNNNNNNNNNNNNNNNNNNNNNNNNNNNNNNNNNNNNNNNNNNNNNNNNNNNNNNNNNNNNNNNNNNNNNNNNNNNNNNNNNNNNNNNNNNNNNNNNNNNNNNNNNNNNNNNNNNNNNNNNNNNNNNNNNNNNNNNNNNNNNNNNNNNNNNNNNNNNNNNNNNNNNNNNNNNNNNNNNNNNNNNNNNNNNNNNNNNNNNNNNNNNNNNNNNNNNNNNNNNNNNNNNNNNNNNNNNNNNNNNNNNNNNNNNNNNNNNNNNNNNNNNNNNNNNNNNNNNNNNNNNNNNNNNNNNNNNNNNNNNNNNNNNNNNNNNNNNNNNNNNNNNNNNNNNNNNNNNNNNNNNNNNNNNNNNNNNNNNNNNNNNNNNNNNNNNNNNNNNNNNNNNNNNNNNNNNNNNNNNNCUAUCUGAUAAAGAUUGCAGUUCGGUACAGUUUUCAGUGACCAAACGGGGUCGAAACUGGACCAGUGAUCGUCAGCUUGUUAAGUUAAGUAAAACCGAACAUGACUGUCAAGUUUGAGCUCAAACGGACAUUCAGGGAUUUCCGGCGAAAGUUAUCAGAUUUUAAGUUGCCUGGAUGAAUAAUGUGAGGGGGUUUCCUGCAAUUGUGGCAGCCCCAUAUAUGGUGCGGCUGCUUGGCCGAAGCAUCACACGCACACACACCUUCUCUUCUCCUUCUCUCCCUCACACUUGCAACCAUGGAGAGCUCUCUCUCUCUCUAGGAAUAAGAAGCCAAGAGAGGGAUUUUGUGAAGCUUGGAAGUGAUCUUCAUCAUCUUCUUCCUCUCCUUCAAGCUUGGAGGAAUCUUGUGAGGUAAAGCUCUAACCCUUUAAUGGUAGAAUGUUAGGGCUUCAAUUAUAUACUCUAGAAAUGGUUGUGGGCAAACCUUAGGAGGUUACUAAGAUGAUUCUAACAUGAAUCUAUGGUUCUAUUAGUGUGCUUUGCACUAAUUGCAACAUAGAGCUCCAAAAUGAGGGCUUUAAUGGUAGAUCUCUAAAGAUAGGUCUAAAUGCUUUGGAAAUGGUUUUAGUGGAACCCAUUGAUGCCUAAUAGAUGAUUAUUGCAUGAAUCUAAGGUUGUAGUAGAGUAUUCUUGCAAUAGUUGAAACCUAGGGCUCAAAAUGGGAUUUUUAUAAAUUGUUGGGUUUGAUCUCUUUUAACCCUCUGUUUACCUAAUUGCUAGGUCUACGAACGCGUUGGAAGCGACGGUUCGGCAAUUCGUCGAGCCGGUACAAAGUUAUUAAAGAAACGGACGUUAGGCUUCGUUUCCGCCUGGAGGGCCGAGGCGACGUCGUAAAAUCCUGAAAACGGAUUUGAAGCAUCGUAACAAGAAACCGAAGACCUUUAAUUUUCGGAUUUCGGAUCGGAGGUCGUUUGGUGGUCGCGCACGGAUUGGGUCAAGCCGAGCGGCGUGCGCCGCGGGAGGCCGAUUGCAAGUGACGACAAGCAAUCGGAACGCGAUAAAAGGUGGGGGAGUGCCAUCCCGAAGCAAUCGGGCUUCUUCCUAUGUCUUAGUGCUUAUCCAUUCACAUGUAGCAUAUUGUAUAUCGAUAUCUUGCAUUAUAGGAUGACAAUACAUGCAUUCCUAAUCCUUAUAUGAUGUUUAUGAUCAAUAUAGUAUUAUGAUAUGGAUAUAUGAUGUAAUGGACAUAAGGAUUAUGAGAUGACAUUGGUAAACCUAGGAUGCUAAAUGAAAGAAGAACCUAGUGUUGUUGUAUUUAAAGACAUAGUUUACAAGUGGCAUUGAACUCAUUGUGCUAAAAACACAUAUGACUUGAACUAGUAAUGGAUUGGUUGUUGUACUAGAAACUCUAGUUAACAUUGAUCAAGUUGCAUAUUGGGAUAUUGCAUUAUAGGGUACUAGUUGGCAAUUGUUACAUGUCAUGGCGUGCUAGUGGGAGUGUAGUGUUACUUGAUUAAUACUUGUAACUAGUAUGCAUGAGAUUGGGACUUAGUGUGGUGAAACCCUAUAAGGGCAUGAUUAAUGUAGAUUAAACCUUAGUUGAGUACAUUAAUCGAUCAAGUUGCAUAUUGUAUUUAUUGCAUAUAGGUGCUAGAUGAUUAUGGUUAUUGCUUAUAUUUGCAUGCUAGUAGCUAUACAUCUUGAUGAUUGAUCCAUGAACUAGUAUGCAUGAGACCUAGACCCUAUAUGAGAUGAUUAAUACUUAUGUUGUUAAAGAACUAGUAUGAUGUAACUAGUGUUGAUAAUGAGUCAAAAUUGACAAGUGGCAUCUAGUUAUAGAAAACUAUGAUGAGUGGCAUAUGAUUGUUGAUAACCUUGACACGAGAACCUUAGUGUAGUUGAAACACUAUGAGAUUGGGUACAAGAACACCUUGACUCCAUGAUGAGAUUACCCUUAGAGGGUAGGUUGUUGUUGCUCGUGAGAUGAUCACGCUCACAUUGCCUGUCUGCGCUUGGUGGGGUCGCUCCCCUCAAGUUGUGCGCUCCGGAGUUUGGUCACUAGAGAGGCAGCCGUGCUUGCUGCUCGGAUAGCCGCUUGUUAUCCACAGGCGUACUCGGGGAUAGUCCAGCUCGACAUCCCUAGGAGAUUGAUAUGUGAGCCUUGCUUGUGAACCACGAGUUCACCUUGAGAUUGGGUUACCUAUUGAGCCAUACCCAUUAUUGUUGUUCAUGAUAGCUUGCUUCCAUAGUUGUUGUUGUUGAUCAUAGUUGCCUUUGGCUUACCGGCUGAUUGGGUGGUCUAAUGAAUAGCCCUAUUGAUGAACCUAGUGGUGUGGUAGUUAACCUUCACUAGACUUACCUUGAUAGCGAGCAUAGUCGCUUGGUAGUUGGUUUAGCGGUUUUGCCUAUAUACAGUGAGUGGGUAUACUAUUCCUUCACCUAUGAGAUUUGAGUGGAGUAGCUCUGUACCUAGUAGGUUGAGAUGUGAGUCGGGCAAAGUGCGGGGUAGCCUUUGCCUAGGACCUUGAGAUGUGAGUCGGGCGAGGGGCGGGGUAGCUCUUUGCCUGGGACUCACGAGAUUGGGUCAGACCUUUGAGAUAUGAGUCGAGUGAGACAAGAGUGAGGUAGCUCUUCACCUACUAGAUUUGAGAUCUUAGGCAAGUUAGCCUAGCGGAUUGGGUAAUAACAUGAAUAGCAUAAGAGUAUUGCAUUCAUACCUUGAUUAGACAUAGUGCAUUGCAUAACUAUGUUGUUGUUGUAUUUAUUUCACUGUUGAGGCAUAUUAGCAUGAUAGUAGAUUGUUGCUAGAUGAUGUUCCAUGCAUACUUUGCAUUUGAUGGCAUAGUAGAUAUAGUAGUAGUAUUUCCAUAUAUCUUUCUAUCUAUCUAUCUGUGCCAGCUUGGACCUAGUGGGAAGAUCGGCGGAGUCGGCGGCCGAACCCACUGGGAACUAUAUUUAUAUAGUUCUCACCCCGUGUGGUUUUGGGGUACAGGUACACACGAGAGCGGAUCGGCAGAGGAUCGCGUUAUGGGCUUAGCGCCCUAGUGCUAGUUGAUAGUUUACUUUCCUAUUUUGCAUUAGAGUUACCCUAUACAUGUAUUGAGAGUAGAUGAUGUAUAGGAUGUGAGGUAUUUUGAGAUAAAUGUAAACUAAUGUUUAUCUUUUGAAGAAUGUAAGCUUAUAUUCAUAGUUUGGAAAAGAAUGCAAGUUGUAAUUAAAUGUAUCGAGCUGAAUGGUUGUAAUAGAAUAGUUAAGUAUCUCUCUUUUGUUUCACUUGUAUGUCUUCUACUUGUGACGCUUGCUCUUGUAUUGUUCAGCACUGUUUGUGCUCUCGCUGUUGUUGCAUGAUCAUGUAUGUAUUCAAGUUGAUUUCCUGGGGACUUGUUGUACAUGAUCUCGUUGUUUAGCCUUGGGCGGACAGGGGAGGUGCUGUCCGUUCGGCGGUCCGCCCGCCGCGCCCGAACGGUGCCAAAUCGGUAGCGGUCUCGGGGCGGGGCGUGACAUCUUACCUGCCAUCUCUAUUACUCUUCUUAUUGUCGCUGCCUGUGGAAAGGAGGUCGGGCUCUCUGCAAGUUCCUCUGCUUACUUCUUAUAUUAUGAUGAAGCGUACCUAUGUAUAUGUUUGGAAUUCUUGGUGCUGGGAUGCUUCAAUGUCUGGUGGUGGUUUUCCAUAGGGUUCCUGUUGCCCCCGCCUUCGGAGAUCUGAUGAUUUUUUUCCUUGAGAUUCUUUUUAACUAGGGCUUGCUUGGAUUUUGAGUUUUGAAAAAAAAAAAAAUACUUCAGCUUCUUUGGGUUUUUUUUGUGUCGCCUUCGCAGAUCGGAUGAUUUUUUGCCUUGAGAUUCUUUUCAACUGGGUCUUGCCUGAAAAUUGUUAUUCUUCGACAUUGUACUUCUGUAAUGGCAUGGCUAGAGGAAUGGCCUAUUGGCACCUGCUGCAGCCUAACAAAGUUUUGAUAUUCAUGAUGCCAGAGGUCGGCCUUUACCCUUGGAGCCUGAGAAAUCUAUAAGCCUCACUAUGUUGCUCAAUCCUUCUUGCUCUUCGAUUUUUUCUUGGAUCUUUGUUAGAUUUGCUGCUCUAUUGUUCAUUUUCACGUGUAUGGCAAGCCGAAUGGUUUUUUUUUAAAUUUAUAAUUUUCGAUUUGUUUCUUGAUUGACAUUAUGCUUAGUAUAGCAUACAUACUUUACCAUUCAAUAUAUUUUCUUCAGAACAUUAGCUUCAAUUGGAUUCACUGCCAUUUUAUCACAAAGAAUUGGAGAGCUAAAGUACUUAAGCACGCUGUCAGUAUGAUUUUUAGCCCGCAAACUAUGUAAAUGUAAAUCAUAAUAAUGUUGUGUAAUCUUUAACUCAAUGUGCAGGAUAGAUCCCCUUGCAUUUCAUAUAAAACAAUAUCUCACUGUAAUUUGAAGCUUUAUUGGCAAGCAAACUUUAUCAAUCCACUGUGCAUAGUGAGUUGAUAUGUGAUUUAAAAGGGUUAGGAGUUCCUAUUUAAAUCUUGGAUGUAUGAGAAGCAUGUGAUUUAGCAUUUAUUAGCACAACUCAUAAAACAACUGUUAGGAAUACCAUACUAGAUGUUUUAGAGCUUAUAUAACUUAAAUAUUUAGUUAUUUUUUGAGUGAGAAAAUGACUAUUCUGUUGGUGAACAAAUUCCAAAUUAGCUCAUAAAACAACUGUUUACUCAUCAAUCCUCAUUCUUUAAUUUUUCUUAUUAUUCAUAAAUUGCUAAUCGGAUCUGGUUAAUUGGUGAACAUAUCAUAUUUCUAUUGUAUUUCCAAUAUUCUUAGAAUUAAACAGCUUUUUGUUUGGACAAUUUCCAAAUUGACUGCAUUGAGUAGAGUCUCAAGAUAAUCAGUAUAAAUGAAGUAAUUUGGAAUUCCUGGGAGCCUGAGAAAUCUGAACCUCACUGUGUUGCUUAGUCCUUCUUGCUCUUCGUUUUUUUCUCAGACUGUUAUUAUAUUUGCUUCUCUAUUGUUCAUUUCCACACGCAAGGCAAGCUGAAAGAUUUUUUCUUUUAAACUUACUUUUUGACCGCAAUUUUUUUCCCCUUUCUUUUAAAGUUGCUUUUAUCUUUUAGACAGGCAUACGUUUAUCCUAAGGUUCAAAAGCAGGCUUACCUGAAGGAAAUACUACAUUUCAGGUGUUAACGCAUUACAAAAAUUUUUACCAGAUUUCUUGAAGAUAAAUCUGAUUUAACUGCAGAUGUGGGACAACAAAGAAGAAAGCAUCUUAGAUAAUUUCACUACAACUAUCUUACUUCAAUGGAAAAUUUUUACCAAAGAUCUAAUUUAUUUUUGCAUUAUGUUAAUAUCAAAUGCUCGCAGAUGAUGAUGGCACAAAUAGUAGUAGCAAUGAACCCUACCAAUAUAAGAAAAAUAUUUUGUAUGUUAGCCAUGCAUUUUUUUGGAUUUUUUUACAGUAUGCACUGUGUCGGUGUAAUGCGGUUAACAUAUGGCCUACUUUUUUGUUAUGUCUGAUUAACAUAUGGACAACUAUUUUGUUAAGUUUUUUGUCUCUAAGUAAUCUUUAAUAUUAGAAAUAUUUAUGUAAAUAUUAUUUUUUUAUCGUUUAAUAUUUAUUAAAGUGUGUUUAUUAUAAAUCUUUCCAUCCGCCGCAAAGAGCGGGUCCUUAACUAGUCCAUAUCUAUAAACCUAUAUGAAGCCACAAUACUUUUUGCCACGUGGCAUGUUAUUCUUACUUCUCAUAGCCAACUUUAAAUCAAACAAUUUUCUCCUCUUUUUAACUCUCAAUUCUUCACCUUCCCACUCCUCUAAUUAUAUGUAAGUUACAACAUUUAAUUAUAUGUAACUUUAAAUCCAACUUUAAAUCAAACCACCUUCUUCUUUUCUUAACGCCUAACUCACCUCAUCACUACUCUAAUUACAUGCAAUAUUUAAUUACAUGCACCAUAUUAAGAUUCUAUUUUAUAACUUUAACCACUUUCCUCCUCCAUUAAUCUCCUACUCCCUCUCUUUUGUAAUUCUUUUACAUGCACCACUCCCCUUCUCCAUUAAUUAAUCUCCUACCCCCUCUCUUUUGUAACUCUUUUACAUGCACCAUAAAAAAAUAUCAUCGUCUAAUCUCCUACUCCGCACUCAUCUCCCUCUUUCUCUCAUUGUGUUAACAAAGAAGAAGAAGAAAAAGAAGAGCCUCUGAAGAAUAUUGUCUCCUUCAAGAAGCAUCGUCCCGCGAAGCCGAGUCGCGACUUAUAUAAGUGCUUGCUGAGUCGGUCCGCGCGGGGGCCUCUACUUACUAUGUAAAUUUAGUCAUAUAAAUUAACUGUACUUAAUAUGUUAUAGCUUCCUAUAUAUCAAUAAAUCGUAAAUAUAAAAUUUAUUAAAAUUUUUAAAUUUUACUUCUAUUAUCUACUCGCUGUAUCGCGCGGGUCUCUGCACUAGUACUACAUGAUUUGCCGUUCCUUGUGAAUAAUAAUAUAAAUAUAAAUAUAAAUAUAAAUAUAAUGGAAUCAUUACUGAUAGGACGACAUUGAAGAUUAGGGCACCGAGGGUCUGGUCCUAAAUAUGUAAAGUUAGGGUGUGUGAGUUAAAAAAGUGCUCGUCUCUGGGCACUCCCUAAUCUCUUUCUCUCUCUCUCUCUCUCUCUCUCCCCGAUCUCGCAAUUCUCCGGGUUCUCGAAACCCUAGCAUGCCAUUUGGUGCGAAUUAGGGCUAGAACUCCUGCGGCCGAUGCAGAUGGAGAGUUCCCACAGAUCCGCCGCCAUGGAUCGCUCCCGAGCUCCCAAUCUCAAGAAGCCUAGGCUGUCCCCCGACGCCGCCGCACCCGCCCACAAUCGGGACCGCGCGUUCGCGGCGGCGGCACCGCCGCAGAGGGGCGGCGCCCAUGCAGCGGCGGCGGCGGCGGGGGCCUCGAGGCCAAGAGCGGCGGAGAGGGACGAGAGGGAUGAUCCCAUGAGAGGACGGGAGUCGCUUCAGCAGCAGCAACAGCAGCAGCAGGAGCUCGUGGCGCAGUAUAAGACGGCGUUGGCGGAGCUCACCUUCAAUUCGAAGCCUAUCAUUACCAAUCUCACCAUCAUCGCCGGGGAGAACCUCCACGCUGCCAAGGCGAUCGCCGCCACCAUCUGUGCCAAUGUCCUCGAGGUGACGAUCAACCGAUUUAUGCUUGAAUCUGCUUAUUAGUAUUUGUGAAAGGACGUGAUAGUGUAGUGGUUUGGUUAUUCCUGUAAGAAUGAUAGGAAGGAGAUCCCUUCGUUUCGGAUCCAUGGUCCGCUUCUCAAUACUUAACCUUCGUACUUGUGAGGGAGGGUGAGGGAUUCAGCCUCUGAAUAGUACCAUUAGGGUGCCCUCAAUUGUUACUGUAAUCAUUUUCUGCUGUUAUGAUGCAUUAUUUCUUAUGGUUAUUUGGUUUUUGUUCGCCUAAUGUGGAAAGGUUUGAUUACCUUGUAUAGCGUGCCUACCGAUUACUGAAAACGGAGAAUGUAUAUUGUGCUUAAAUGAUUCGUAAUUGGAAAUCUCUUAGUUCUAUUGCCAUUCAUAAUUACUCUUGAAUGGUGCCUCGAUUAGAGUUUGUUGAGUUAGUUUAAAACUUUUAAGGUUCCGGUGUCCCCCUUCUUUUCUCUUUUUGCCCCUCUGUGGUUUGGCCUUUUGGGGUGGUCAGCAGAGUUCUUUUGGAUGGUUAGAUGGUUACGGAGUUCUUUUGGAUGGUUAGAUGGUUACAGUAAGAUGGUAAAGGGUGUUGCAGAUCUGAUUAGGUUCAUGCUCUUUUAUGUAUGGUGGAAGUUCAGAUCAUCCUUUGUUAUGCCACUAAAAGCUGCACAGUCAUGAAGUUAUUCCUUGAUGACUGAUUCUGUCCAAUUUGUAUCACUAUCAUAUGGCUGGAUAAGGCAUUUAAACUUUCGGGAUCUUCUAAAGAGUGAUUUUUUAUGCACAUACAUUAUUGUAUCAAUUUUUGGGAUGUUGGAUUAUGCAGUUUAUAAUUGUGUAUGAAGGAGAUAAAUUGUUGUGCAUGUUUGAGUCCCUGCCUAUUGGUUCUCUCAUAAUGUCAUGAAGCAUACCAGAUGUAUUCUUGGUAUAGGGAUCUUAGUUUCGUAAUUCCUUGUUUUAUAUAUGUGCAUCUUACUAUCUUCAUGCCACAAUGGAUGUUCAGAUUUGAGAAACUAGGUACUAUGCGCAUGUGAUUUUGGAUCACAAGAAUAAGAAAAGAAAUAAAUGUUAGAGCUGUAAAUUGUAUAUCCCUUAGCAUGAAUAGGUUCAUGAGUUGAGCAUCUUAUAAGAAUAUUGUAUUUGUUUAUAUUAUUACAGUAUUGAUGCAAUUUCAGUUCACAAUACAAUGAUUUCUCACAAUGAUUUUCUCUUGUAUGUCUAUUUCUUGUUGUUUUCUCUUUUACUUCACAGAUAAUGUUUUACUGAUUACUGUUCCUUUAAAAGUGACUGUAUGUUAUCCAAGUUAUAUUAUCUCCAUAGCCGGAGUUUAACAAUUGAACAGCUCUAGUCUAGGUUUCUUGGGCAACAUCUGCUUGCAAAUGUAUGAUGAUAAUUAUUCUUUUGUUUCGGAAUAAGCUGCAUUUCUCUUUGUUAUCUUAUAAAUGUGACAAGCAGACUAUUGUAGAUGGAGAAUUUCAAAACUUCUAGUUCCAUGUCAUUGUUCAUUUUUCAUAUGUUUGAUGCAAAUAAUAUGCUACAUUCUUUACUGCCUAAGCCAUUUGUUUUCUUUUUGGAGAUCUCUUUGUUGAACUAAUUCCUGUCUUUUGAUUUGUUGGCAUCAGUCAUAUGAUCAGAUUUUGCCCUACCUAGCAAGCAUAAUUAUGAAUAUCAUAUCUAAUGUUGAUUACGGUUUGCAGGUUCCGAGUGAGCAAAAGUUGCCAUCACUUUAUCUUCUUGAUAGCAUUGUGAAGAAUAUUGGAAGAGAUUACAUCAGAUAUUUUGCUGCAAGACUGCCUGAGGUACAAGAAUCUUUCCGGUUGAACAUAGAGAGUUAUAGACUAUUGUUUCAUUUCCAUGUGGGUCUAUGAAAUCUAUUAAUUGUUGCUUAUUUUCUCCUUUAAUAAUUGUUAAAUACUUUGUGUUGGCAAAUCAAGAAAUUUGAAAGUGAGAAAUCUCUGUUCCAUAGGCAUAAACAUUUAAUUUUGUCAACUUUUUGUUAUAUUUAUUGUAAUGUAAAAGUUCCUCGAACACCUGUAGUCUUUAUCUUCUCCAAUAUUUGGUGGUUGUAACAUUGUGUUCAGAAGCUUCUUUUUUUGUUCUACCCUAUGAUUGAAAGGAAUUUUAUUUCGUCAUUUGCAUAACUAAUGCAUUUGAGAUGAAGUAAAUCCUUAACACUAAAAGUUUAGUGUUUUAUCUCUUUUCAAGACUACUCCCAUGUCUAGAGGGCUCUACAUAGGGAUUGCUCUUGACCUACAAAACCCUAAACUAUAGUAAAAGGGGUUGAUUAUUCUAUCCAUCAACCACCUUUGUAUCACUAUCAUGGCAAGUCCCUCAAUCUUUUGAUUUUCUUGGGAUGCAAAAACCAUCUGUUCUUUCUGAGCCUUCUUAUUCUUGAUCUGCACUUAGUUGACUCUGUACCGUUACUGAAGGACUUGCAGAGGCUGAUGCCAAUGUUUGUUAUGUUGCAGGUUUUUUGUAAGGCCUAUAAUCAGGUUGAUCCUUCUAUACAUCCUAGCAUGAGGCAUCUUUUUGGUACAUGGAAAGGAGUGUUUCCUCCUGCACCACUUCAAGCAAUCGAGAAAGAGAUUGGCUUCCAACCAUUGAUAAAUGGUUCGUCUGGACCUUCAAUAUCAAGGCCUGAUUCUCAGCCUCAGCGGCCGUCCCACAGUAUCCAUGUUAACCCAAAGUAUUUAGAAGCAAGACAGCGUCUUCAGCAAUCAACAAAGGUAAUCCGACUCCCUAGCAACUGCAGAUAUGCCCACCGAUGUAAUUUUAUUUACGAAUUAAGUACCAGUCUCGUCCUAGAAGUUUGACCUGGAAAUCUAGAAAUGUGGAAUUUCUUCUGCUUUUUUUUAAUUGUUACACUAUAGUCACUAAGGUUUGUCUAGCCUUCAAUGAAUCUUUCCUUUGUUCUGCCUGUGGAAAAAGUGCCAAGUUGGAUUCCUCUGUUGAAUUGAAACUCUAAGGAUAAAACAGAUUUAAAUUAUUGAGAAAAAGCAAAACUGAAGUCAAGGUCCAACUGCGGGGAUUGAAUUAAAACUUGAGGAGUGAUAUUGAAAUUUGGAACCAAUUACGGGGACUGAAUUGUUACAAUUGAAACUCUAAGUCUGAUCUUGAAACUUAUGUCAAUUUCAGGGACUAAUUUCUUAGCUUAAUUUUUUAGUUUACUUAGUGAACUCUAUGUUAAUACUUCUGAUCAAUUUUCUUUGAUUUCAUGAAGGGACGGGAAAUUGGCAAGGAUGACGUAAAUACCUCGAUUAAUUCUGGUGAUGCUGUGGAAAGGUCUGAUAGGCCAGCUGUAGAUGGAAGUACCGGGCGAUGGACAGAUGUACUGAACAAUAGGCCUGUACGUAUCUUGUACCUUUAUUUAGGCUUUUCAACUCAAAUAAUAUGAUUAGAUAUGCUGUGGCUAUUAAUUUGCUUCUGGUUAAAGAUGUAAGUUUAUUAAUCUUUUUAAUUUGUGCAGAAUAUGCAACAUCCUCAAAGAGACCUCUUAAAUGAUCCCAUACAUGUGAAAAAAGAAGUUAAAGAUGUUAGAUGUCCUGAUUUUCCCUCUGAUAUCUCACAGCAGCCAGAGCUGGGAGUUGGAAGGGUUGGCGAGAGGCUUAGAGGGCGAGAAGUGUUUGAGAGACAAUUUGGUGGUUUUAAUAUUGGUGCUUCGGGAUCAGAAAUCCUAAGAAAGAACAGUUUGGACGUAAAUAAGGAUUUGAGGGCAUCAGUUUCUGUGCGAUCUGAUGUAAAUUUGGAAAGAAGCAGCAGACCAUCAUCAAAAAACUGGAAAAAUACUGAAGAAGAAGAGUUUGUGUGGGGUGAUAUGAAUUCUCAACCAACAGAUUAUGGAGGUAGUAACAUCAGGAGGAAAGGUGAUUGGAAUGCUGAAAACUCGAAUAAGUUAACAGGCUUGCAUAUGAACAAAUGGAUGCCUCUGGAGACUGAUCAUCAAGGGUCCCACUUGAACAAACUUGAAAGCUUUUUUAGAAUUGGGAAGAACUCUGGACAGGAUGGAAAAGUUCCACUAUUUAAGGUAUCUUUCUUUCUGCAGUGCUUUUGUAAUUAUUGUCAUUUCAUCUUAAUCACUUGUUUAUUUAUCUAUAAUAAAUUUUCAGUUGUUCUUCAGCUUUUCUAUAAUUUUAGCAUAAGAGAAUUCUGAGUGGGAGGGAAUUCUGUUCUGCAUAUAAGAUUACAAUCCGAAUUUAGUUUCUUUUAUCUUAAGUUAGUGCAACAUCACUAGGGAAAACAUAGACUACAUUGACUACAUUGACACAUCCACAAGUUUGAACACUUCUAGAUCACAUCAUGCCAUUUUGAGAAAUGAAGGAAAAGAAGAAACAAAUCUGUAAUUUGUAUCUUUAUGCGCGUUCACAAACUCUCACUUUUGACCUGACUUUGAUGUUUAUCUGAGGGAAAGUACGACCAUCUGAUGGUUAUUUUUUGUGCAGGACCAUGAAGACUACCUCUCACAUCUUCAAACUAAGUAUGCUCCCAAUGCGAGAAUAGAUAGGGAGACUCCUUCACAGUUGCUAUCUGAGGGAGGACGUGCCGCUGAAGCUCACACCUUCUUAGAGAGGGUUCCACACGAGGCACCACUUCUGGAUAGUGGUUUGGAUCAUAACAGUGCAAGGUUUCCUAGCAAAUCAGAAGAGAGGCCCGUUUCUUAUGGUGGCAGUUUGUCUGCGAGCAUCAGUUCAUCUUUACCUAUUUCAGGCUCACUGUCUCAUCAUACUGUACCAUCAAGCUUAGGAAGUUUGACUAAUUUAAUCUCGAGAUCAGGUGACUCAUAUGGGCAACAGAGGAAGCAAUAUUUGCAUCCUCCGUCUCCAUCAGUUCAUUCACCCCCAUCAUCUUCUGUACCCUUUCCACAUAAGCCACCAAAUAAAGCGGAGCCUGAUGCAUUUUGGUCCAAGCCCUCUCAAAUGGGUCAAAAACCAUUUUCUUCUUUCCAUUCACAGCUGGGUUCUCCAAUGCCAUUUCAGCCUCAAAAGACGGUAAAGUUUUCUGGAACUAGUGAGUCAAAUAAGACUGCCAAUGAAACCUCUGGACAGCCUAGCGCAAGUGAUCUAUUGGCUGCACUUAUGAAGAGUGGACCUAAUCCAAUAAGCAAUCCCCAGAACAUAAACAUACAGCCUCCCCUGCCAACCGGACCUCCUCCUAUCCAUGCUCUCUCGUCACAUGGAAAUAGUGCACCAGCUCCUGUGCCACCCCCAAUGAACAACACAGUGCUUCCUCCCUUGCCGCCUGGCCCACCACCACCAUCAUCCUUGGUUCGUACGGCCUCCCAUAUCUCCAACAAUAAUACUGGUUCUGUAGGAAAUCCACUUUCGAGUCUCCUUCGUUCUUUAGUAGCAAAGGGAUUAAUAUCAUCACCAGCAACAGAAACGCCUGCUGCAACUAUAGCUCAACCUUCCCAUAAAGUUCCAAAUAUUGUUCUUUCAACUUCAACUACAACAGCUGUCCAGCCAUUUUCAGCAAAAGAGUCCCCUGCCGAAUCAGUUGCUCCAAUAGCUGCUGCUUUGUCUCAAUCUACUGAAACAAAAAUGCAGGUUCUCAUAGGCGUUGAUUUCAAGUCGGAGAUAAUGCGAGAAUACCAUCCCAUGGUAAUAGAGAGCCUGUUUGAUUCCCUUAAUCAUCAAUGUCGAAUAUGUGGUUUAAGAUUCGGGCUUGAAGAGCAGCUUCAUGGUCACUUGGAAUGGCAUGCGUCUAAGAAGUUGAUGAGUAAUGAUUUCAGCAGUGUGACUAGGAAAUGGUAUGCCGAUACAAGCCGUUGGAUUGCUGGAUCUGUUGAACCACAAAUUGGACAGAUGAAGCCAACUUCCUCGGGAGACGAUGUAGUAGGAUCUGUCGAAGAGCAAUGUGAAAUGAUGGUUCCUGCAGAUGAGAACCAGAUUAUUUGUGCAUUGUGUGGAGAACCAUUUGAAGAUGUUUAUUCUCAUGAAAGAGAUGAAUGGAUGUAUAAGGACACAGUUUAUUUAAACUUGCCAAGCAACCAAAGUGGUAUUAGAUAUAUGGAUGUGAAUAAAGGACAGGGACCCAUCGUGCAUGCCAAGUGUAUUUCUAGAAGCUCAACCAAUGAUUUAGAAGUGGGCGACCUUAAUAAAGGGGUAUGUAAUAUAUUAGUUAGCCUAUUUUCAUUCUGCACAGCAUGUUUUGGUCCUCCCUUGUUUGUGCAUUAUUAUUUUUUUUUUUUUCCUUUUGCACUUUUGCAUUGGAAACUACUUGAAGUGCAUUGAGUUAUUAGCCCCCUUAUAUAUUUAGAAAGGCUAAGGUUGAUGUGACGCCCCACUUCUUGGGGGACCACCCAUCCUAGAACAACAACUCAACCCUAUUAACCUAUUGGGACUAGUUAUCGUCCAAAAUGCUAUAGCUGAAUUUAGAAGUUUAGCGCUAUUAUACCUUAUAUGUAAGACUUUCAAAUUUUGGGGGUGUCACAUUUGUCAUUCUUUAAGCCCUUAUGUCUUCGUUAGGCUCAAGCACACUCACAAGCAUCCGGCGAUGUGAGACUCGUUUCGCUAGCCUUAGCAGCCUUGCCGGGAGCUGUGCUCCAACCACAAUGGGCGUCAGUUGGGGAGCCGUGCUCUUGCCCUUGUGUGAACCUAGCUCAGCUGAGACUUAUCUCACACUUUCAAUUGGUGAUUGACUCUGAUAUCAACUGCGACACCUUGCUUCCCAGGGAAGUCAUCCAUCCUAGAACUACUCUAGCCCUAUGCUCGUUCGACUCUCUUAACCUCUUGGACCUAACCACUGACCAAAAUACUAUAAUGGGGUUCAGAGGUUUAGUCUCACUAUAUUUUAUAUAUAGGACUAUUUCAAGUCCUAGGGAUGUCACAGUUGAAAGCAUCCACCUUGGUUUGCAAAGUUAGCAUGUACUGUGCCGAUUUUUUGAAUGACCAAGCAUGCCUACAACACAAGGAACUUCCUACUGGCUGUGUUCUGGACUGUAGCAGGUGUCAUGCAGAUGGAUACUAGGCAUAUCCAUGUUGCACCAGCUGAAUAUAUGAUGCUGAUUACUAAAACAUUUCACUCAUCCAUUAUGGUCAAUUUCUCUCUCAAUAAGCUCUUUUGUAUACAUAAUUUCACUGCGUAAAUUGCAUAUUAUUAUAAGAAUGAAAACUAAACAUUAUCGUAAUUUAUUACAUAUUCUAGUGUUCGUUUUUGGCUUAUUAUGGUUACUAAUGCAAACAACUGACCUGAAAUCUGUUCUAUUAGGGUACUGAUUUUUUUUUGUGUGUGUGUGUGUGUGCCCGCGCAUGCGUGCGUGCGUGCGUGUGUGCGCGCGUGUACUCUUUAGUGUUUUGAAUCUUUAGUAUUUUGAAAUAAUCAUCAAUAUAUUUCUUCUGUUGGUAGCUUAUUCCUUCUAUAUUCUUCUUUCUUUCAGCGUGGAUGAACCGGUGAUGUUUUGCAGAGAAGAAUUUACCGGAAGUUGAUGUUUUGCAGAGAAGCAUUUGCCACAAGUUGGUAUUUUGCAGAGAAGCUUUUGAAGCUCUUCAUAGUCCAAGGGGCUGGACAAGGAUGAACUGUGGUAAAGGUUUGCUCUUAACUUGUAAUAUCUUCAUGGCAGUGGUGCAAAUUCAGUAUGCAUGAAAUGAGCAACAGCUGUUUGGCUCAUGUCUAAUUCUCCUUUGGCAUACAAUUUUGAUAGAAAAUGAUGAACAAAGGUUUCCUUUGCCUUCUCUCUUACCAACUUGGUUUGAUGUUGGUCGGCAAUAGAUAAUAUUUCAGUUUGUCAAUGAAAUUGUUGAGCAUUAAAAGUGAAGCAAAUUCUACGUUAACUUUUCCAUUGGAUUUUGUAUGAUCAAUAAUUCUUUUUGUAACUUAUCUUCAUAGACCUCAAAUCAACUUCCAUGUUGCUUCGCUGUUUGUACUCACUCAACACUCUAGCUAUUAUAUUUUUCCUUUAAUGGUAGCUUUUCCUUCAUUUGAAAAUGAAACGGGCCCAUGUUUCGCGGCUAUUCUUCAGGAAUUAUGUCGCCACUAUUCAUAGAGGAACCUUGUUAAUUGAAUCGUUCCUGUUUGUCAAUGUGCGGGCCUCAUAGUUGCUUUCUUUAACUGCAAAUGGAUGUAACUCCUGGUAUCAAGGAAUGUUUGAGGUUAUCAAUAGCCCCUAUUUGUUGCUUCGAAGUUGAUUGACUUGUAUAAACAUAGUAUAAUGUCAUUUGGUUUCUAUCUUUUUGCAGUUUAACUUUUUGUUUCUUCUCUUUUUUUCCUUUUGUGAAGCAAAGGCUUAAUGAACAACUGUGUGAUUCAUUUUCUUGCUAGAUUGUAUCAGCUUUUCAGCUUUGCUCCUAAUUGAGUAAAAAAAAAAAAUCAAUGUGUGAUAAUGUCAUUGUUGUCUUUUACAAGGUAGAUUGCCUGUUAAUAUGUUGGAUUUCAUCUAGUAUAUUGCACAUUUGUCGUAAUUUUGUUUUCUUAUAACAUGAUUAGGUUGGAUAUUGAGAUUUUUAUGGGCAACAUUUUUAUCAUUCUUUUAUCAAACAAGGUCCAAGGGUACUGUCUAGGACACUGUUUGAUCUUAGAUUAUAUGUUUCUGCAAACAACCUGUGAUUGAAUAUUGAUGUUUGGCUAUAAAGGAACAACCGAUAAAGGAACACAUGCUCAGAUAUCCGUUCUCAAAUGCCGUACUUGCCGAUUUCUGAUUGUUCAAUGAAGAGGAAUUAGUGGUUCUAUCGGUUGGAGUAAGGUGCUUUGCGUUCGUAUGCUUCGCCCCUUGGAAGUAGGAUAAUUCCUACCUUUUUUCUUUUGACAUGUGUUUUGUAAGUGUGCAUUAGACAAAGGUAUCAUUAUCAUGUGUUAUACAUUCACUGCAAUGGGAUUGCAAUGUUACUGGUACUUGGACAGUCUUGUUUGCGUCACAAUCUGUCUGUGAGAACCGAUAUAUAAUGGCUGUCGACUGAGCUAGGCCAUGUGGAGAACUCUAUUGUCUUCUCGAUCGCUGUAAUGUUACUUUUGGUUGUGUGCUUGUAGUGUUGUCUCCUGCUGUGUUGCAUUCUCAUGUCCAAUGACCCACUAAAUAACAAAUGGCGUCACGUCCAAUUCUUAUGAGCUGAUGCUAUGGUUAUGCGGUGAUGAUGUUAACUUAUCAUUACGCAAGUUUUUUUUUUUUUUUUUUUUUUUUUUUUUUUUUUUUUUUUUUACCUCAUGGUGCUUGUGAAAUUGGUAAAGAAUCAAAUGUUUUGAUUUCGCUGUCUAAAUCUCUAAAUGUUUAAAUGUUCACCAUUCUGUUAUUUCAUUUAUUCUGUGGAAGCAUACUGACAUUGUAAACUUUGGUAGUAGAAAUGAACUUUUAAAGCGGAGAUUUCAAAUUUAAAAGUGAAAUUAUAAAAAAAAAAUGUCAAAACACAAUUUUUGAUGCUUAUUUUGAAAUGCACUGUAGCUUGAGUAAGGUACACGUAUUUGCUCGAGAGGGGCUUUUGAGGGUAGAUUGGUGGAUCAAUCAAACUAUAGUUGUACGAAUGAGUGUCAUUCCUCCUGCCUUCGUUUUUUAUUUCUCGCCUCGCCAUGCUGAGGUGUCUAACCAACAGCAGCCUCCUCCGCCCGUCGUACUUCGAUUCCAUGUCAACCCUCAGUCGCAUGGCGAGAAGAACUAUGACGUGCUUUUUUCCUUUAGGGUGCGUUUGGUUUGCAUUAUAAAAGAUUACUAAGAAUAAAAAAUAUUCGAGAAUCUUAUUCCUAUUCAUCCUAUUACUAAGAAUGUGAAAUUUUUGUAUUUGGUUCGCACGAUAAUAUUAAUUAGCCAUGUUAUUUAAUAUUACAAAAAAUAUACAAUUUAUUUAUUUAUUUAAUUUUAUAUAAUAUUACCAAAAGUUUCAACAUCUUUUUAGAAAAAAGGGAGAGAGAGUAUAAGUUAGAGAGAGAGAGCAUAAUUAAAAAAAUGGAAAGAAAAAUAUAGUCGAAAUUAAAGGGAGUGAGAGAGUUGAAAUUUUAGAAAGAGAUAGAGAGAGAAAGCUUAGUUUCGAGAGAGAAAAAAAAGUUGAAUUUUAGAGAGAAAAAUAAGUUUAGAGAGAGAUAUAAUACUAGAGUGUAAAGAAAAAUAAUAUCAAUUAGCAGGCGGAUAAAAAAAAAGAAAGAGAUUAGACAUAUUAUGAUUACCCUAAUUUAUUAAUAUGAGGAUACCCACCCUCCCUCAAGGGAAUGAGAUUAGUACUUUGAGGUGAAUCUUAUUCCCAAGUGAAUCCAAUAUUACCAACUAGAUUACUUAGUGCGUUUAGCCAAACACUGUCAUAUUUUUUUUAUUCCCAUUGGAUUACUAAGAAUCUUUAAAAGAUAGUGCGAACCAAACGCAUCCUUAAAGGGAUAAUUGUCUAUACACCCCUCAUGCGUCUGAAAAUAUCCGAUCUAUUAUUUUUUUUUUCUUUCUAAAAUGCCUCUUAUAUGUUUCACCGUUAUUUCAAAAUAUCCCCGCAGUUAUCCCCUGUUAGCUUAAUUCGAAUUAAACAUGGGUUAAAUGUAUACUAAAGUUAAAACCUAUAUAAAAUAUCUAUUUUAUCCCUAUCUUAUUAUGCUAAUCCCUUAAGUUAUCAUCUUUCUCUCCCAACUUGCGCCGGCUCCUCCGCCUCCACCUCGCCGGCUCCGCCGCUUUCACCUCGCCACAUCUCCUCCCAGACCACCACCACCUCCCACACCUCCACCUCCAACACCACCUCUCUCGUUGCUCUCGUCGUCCUCCUCCUCCGCCGAUCUCGUCGUCCUCCUCCUCCGCAGCCGCUCUCGUCCUCCGCCGCUCUCGUCCUCCGCCGCUCUCGUCGUCGCUCUCCUCCUCCGCUGCUCUCGUCGUUGUCGUCGUCCUCCUCCGCUGCCGCCUUGGCCGGCGCCGGGAGCAAGAGGGCCGCAGCGACGAUCCUGUCUCGCUCGAGGGAGCAAGAGGACUGCCGCCUCCUCUGUAGCUCCAGCGAGAACUCACUUCCGGGGCCGGGGCCGAGCCCGAGCCCGAAAUUCCACUUCCGGGCCAUCCCGGACGGACUCACCGACAACCGGGCUCGCUCGGCCGUGCGGUUGCUGGAGCUCGACGCGUCCCUACGUGGUCCACGAGGCCAGUUUGGCCUUCUGGACCGGAUAAGAGGGAGGUCCACGGUGGACCUCCCUCUCAUUAUANUCCACCUCGCCGGCUCCGCCGCUUUCACCUCGCCACAUCUCCUCCCAGACCACCACCACCUCCCACACCUCCACCUCCAACACCACCUCUCUCGUCGCUCUCGUCGUCCUCCUCCUCCGCCGAUCUCGUUGUCCUCCUCCUCCGCAGCCGCUCUCGUCCUCCGCCGCUCUCGUCGUCGCUCUCCUCCUCCGCCGCUCUCGUCGUCGUUGUCGUCCUCCUUCGCCGCAGCCUUGGCCGGCGCCGGGAGCAAGAGGGCCGCAGCGACGAUCCCGUCUCGCCCGAGGGAGCAAGAGGACUGCCGGCUCCUCUGUAGCUCCAGCGAGAACUCACUUCUGGGGCCGGGGCCGAGCCCGAGCCCGAAAUUCCACUUCCGGGCCAUCCCGGACGGACUCACCGACGACCGGGCUCACUCGGCCGCGCGGCUGCUGGAGCUCGACGCGUCCCUACGCGCCAGAUCGAGCCGCGCGAUUGCUGGAGCUCAACGCGUCCCUAUGUGGUCCAUGAGGCCAGUUUGGCGUUGUGGACCGGAUAAGCUCAUUAUAUAUAUAUAUAAAAAAUUUUAUUUAUAAAUAUUUAUUCAUAUAGUAUUUUAUUUUUAUGUAGAAAUAUUAUUAUAUAAUAUUUUAUUUAUAAAAUUGUAAUUAUUUAUUAAUAUUUUUAAAUAUAUAACUCUUAUAUAUUAUUAGUAUAUGUUUAUUAUAAUUUUAAAUAUAUUUAAUCUAUAUAUAAAUAUUAUAAUAAUAAUAUAUAUAGUAUAAUACCGAAUUUUUAAAANAUAUAAAAAAUUUUAUUUAUAAAUAUUUAUUCAUAUAGUAUUUUAUUUUUAUGUAGAAAUAUUAUUAUAUAAUAUUUUAUUUAUAAAAUUGUAAUUAUUUAUUAAUAUUUUUAAAUAUAUAACUCUUAUAUAUUAUUAGUAUAUGUUUAUUAUAAUUUUAAAUAUAUUUAAUCUAUAUAUAAAUAUUAUAAUAAUAAUAUAUAUAGUAUAAUACCGAAUUUUUAAAAGUUAUAUAUAAAAAUUAUAUUUGAUCUCGAAUUUUUAAUUGGUGAACGUAUAAUACCCGUAUAAAUCACGUAUCCGAAUAACUGCCGAAUCUGUUUUUUAGUCGUAUUUUUCAACGAAUUUAAAAAUUAAAAGACGAAUUUUAUCCGAAUUAUAUCCGUAUCGAAUUUUUGCCGAAUCCAAAUUAACUAACUAUGUCUCCAGCCACCAAGGUUGGUUUAGCUGCGAUCGAUCUCAUUCGUUCAUCUGCUCGCUCCCGACGUGCUUAAUUAAUUAAUUGAUAUUUGAAGGGCAAAAAAGAAAAGUAUUUGCUAUAUGAAGGGUAUAUAAGAAAAGUUAGUUACGGUAUGAGGGUAUAUUGAAAUGGGCAAAAUGAUAAUUUUUCAGAGAUAACGGUAGCUCACUAACGGAACUUAACUCCAUGGGUAUAUUAGAAAGAUUUGGAAUAUAAGAAGGGUAUUUUCAAUAUUAGCCUUCUAAAAGGGGUAAAUAAGAAAACCAGAAAUUUUUCAGGAGUAUAUAGGCAAUUGCCCCUUUUUUAAAAAUGACCCUAUGCUUUCCGAAAUUUUCACAAAAGUGAUAAAUCAUUAUCGUCUUUCUCUUAUUUAUUAUUAUUUUUUUUUAUAUCACAUAUAUAAUUUAAUAAUUGUAUAAAAAUUUUAACAAAUCACGUAUAAUCUUAAUAACCUGAAAAAUUCUAAUAAUCUACUCAUACUAUUCUAACAAUCAAAUAAAAAUUCUAAUUAUCUAUAUAUAAUCCUAACAACUAUAUAAAAAUUUCAACAAAUUACAUACAAUUUUAACAAUCUAAAAAAUCCUAACAAACAAUCUUCAAAAAUGCAAUGGAAUAAUUCACUGCUUUAGUAGAAAAUUGCCGUCUUCUUAAAGACAGUGAAUAUUACUGUCUUCUUAAAGACAGUGAAUAAUUCACCGUUUUUAAAAGAAUUCCACCCCCUAUGCUGAGUGAUUUGGCGAAAGGAGUGUUAUUUCGCCAAAUAUUUUUUUAGUAGGGUCCUUUAGCCAAUUAUAAUACUCUUAGGGUGCGUUUGGUUCGCGCUAUCUUUUAAAGAUUCAUAGUAAUCCAAUGGGAACAAAAAAUUAUGACGGUGUUUGGCUAAACGCACUAAGUAAUCUAGUUGGUAAUAUUGGAUUCACUUGGGAAUAAGAUUCACCCCAAAGUACUAAUCUCAUUCCCUUGAGGGAGGGUGGGUAUCCUCAUAUUAAUGGAUUGGAGUAAUCAUAAUAUGUCUAAUUUCUCUCUUUCUUCCUACCCGCCGGCUAAUUGAUAUUAGUUGUCUUUACACUCUAACCUUAUAUCUCUCUCUAAACUUAUUUUUCUCUCUAAAAUUCAACUUUUUUUUCUCUCUCUAAACUAAGCUUUCUCUCUCUCUCUCUCUCUUUUUCUAAAAUUUCAACUCUCUCACUCCCUCUAAUUUUGACUAUAUUUUUCUUUCUAUUUUUUUAAUUAUGCUCUCUCUCUCUAAUUUAUACUCGCUCUCCCUUUUUUCUAAAAAGAUGUUGAAACUUUUGGUAACAUUAUCUAAAAUUAAAUAAAUAAAUAAAUUAAUUAAUUGUAUAUUUUUUGUAAUAUUAAAUAACAUGGCUAAUUAAUAUUACCGUGCGAGCCAAACAUAGCAAUUCCACAUUCUUAGUAAUAGGAUGAAUAGGAAUAAGAUUCUCGGAUAUCUUUUAUUGCUAGUAAUCUUUCAUAAUGCAAACCAAACGCAUCCUUAUGGUUAUUUGAAAAAAAAAAAAAAUCCAACUAUGACAUGUCCCCCAGCAUAAUAAAAUCAAUGCAUCUAAUAGCACUCCUAUCCACAUUCCCCAGUUCGAUCCCUCACCAUAAAUGCAUCCAAUAUACCUUCUAUACACAUUCCCUAGCAAUGGCCACACCACUGUGGCGCAGCUCCUGGGCUUCUAUUGUUGACGACAAAAGGCAAGCUAGGAGACGACUAAAUUAAAGAAAUCAAAUAAUUCUGCUCGGACUAGGGGUGGAAACGAGCUGAGCUCGAGCGAGCUUACUUCUGCUCAAGCUUGACUUGAAAUUAAUUUUGAGCCUAAAUUUAGGCUCAAGCUUGGCUUGAAAUUAAUUCGAGCAGAGCUCAAGCGAGCUCGAGCCCUAAAUGAGUUGCUUGAAAUUCUUAAAAUCGUGCAAUCAAUAGUUUAAUUUUUAUAAAAUAUUAUUUAAAUUUGAUAUAAAAAAUAUUUAAUAAUUUAACAUACAAAAUGAAUGUAUAAAUACGAUAUUAUAAUAUUAAAAAAAUUAUGAAAAGCCGAGGAAGUGAAAAAGAGAGAAAGAGAGCAAUUAGAGUAAGAUUUUGCUGGUUUGGUUUUGUGGGCCCAAUAAUCUAAAUUCUAUAUACAUAUAAUUAAAAUACAUAAUAUAUAUUAUUUUAUAUAAUUUAAAUAUAUAUUAUAUAUAAUUAUAUAUAGAGAUAGUUUGGCUACUAUAUAUACUGUAGCACACUGAACUUUAACAAAUUGCAAGGUUCUAGUGUUCGAAUAGUAUUUGGUACUAUUUCUAGUGAGUUUGAGGGUCGUGGACUGUGUACCGACCUAAUACUCGCGUUUUACGAGGAGAAAUAGUGUACUUAGCAUCAAAAUCUGCAAACUGCAGGUUUUGGGGAGCUAAGUACCGGUACCGCAGUGAGGUACCGGUACCCCGACGCGUAAUCGAGAGAACUGCUCUCGGUUUUGAGCUGAGGGGUGCUGGGUACCGGUACAGACUUGGUCGGGUACCGGUACUGGAGCUGGGUACCGGUACUGCAUUGAACGGGUACCGGUACGCCGCAGGCUGCCCGCUUGACAGAGGCUCGGGUUGCGCAGGUUUGGUCGUCGGGUACCGGUACUCCUGCCCGAGUAUCGGUACGCAGUGCAGAAAACUGCAGUUCGUGCAGUUUGUAAUUUCUGUAUUUUUGAGAGGUCUUGAGAGAAUUGUUACAUCAUGUUUAUAACAUACUCUCUCCCCCACAUGUCUCCCUUUGUGCUGAGACUAAGAGAGGAAGAGGUGAGUUUUUCCUCCUCUCUCCCUUGGAUUUUUUUCUCCAAAACUCAUGUCGAUUUGGGUUUUUGAUCUCUUUUCUUCUUCCUCUUCAUGGUGGCUAGCUUCUUGAGCCUUAAAGGAGCCUUGGAAGUAAAGAAGAGAACUAUUUGAGGAUCUAACUAUAAGGGAGUGAAUUCUCGAAAUUCGAGUGUUGAACUUCGUUUGGAAUCGACUUAUCGUCGACUUGGUGGGCUUCAGAGAGUCCGAAUGCGAUAAAAAUGCGAAAAGCGCAUUAGGGAGGACCUUGGAGAGUUGAGGAUUUCAAAGUUGCAAAGUUGCACAACUUUCCGACUCUCGGGGUCCGGACCCUAGUGGCAGGGUCCGGACCCCAUAGCUGCGAAAAAGCCCCCUUGGGCUUGAGAACCUCAUGUGUGCAAAGUGCACACUUUUGCAACUCUCGGGGUCCGGACCCUGGCUUUAGGGUCCGGACCCCGUACCACGAAAAUGCCCAGAAUGGGCUGGCUGAUGUUGGUGAAGUUGAGGGGCUUUUAUGCAAAUUGGCCAUAUGAGGGGUUAAGAGAGGGCUUUCUCUCUCUCAUCUCCCAUUUCUCCCUCAACCCUCUCAACCCUAACACACACUCUCUCUCUAGAAGCUUUCUCUACCUCUCUCUAGAAAGGAAAGGAAGGAGAAGGAGGGAAAGAAGGAGAAGAAGAUCAAGAAGGGGAUCAUCAUCAUCCUCUUCUUCUUCCUCGUGCUUGGAGCAUCUUGGAGAGGUAAGCUCCCAAGCUCUCUCAUGGUAAAUCUCUAGAGUUAGGGUUGUAGGCUUUAGAGAUGGUUUUAGUAGAACCCAUUGAUGCUAGAUAGGUGAUUGCUGCUUGAAUCAUGGACCAAUUUUGGGUAUUCUUACAAUAGGGAUCACCUAAGGCUCUGAAUAGGGGUUUUGCUAUACGGUAAGGUUUGAUCUCGUUUAACCCUCUGUAAACCUAAUUGCUAGGUAUUCUGAUGCGUUGCCGAAGUCGGUUCGACGAUUCGUUGAGCCGGUGCGAAGAUAUUGAAGAAACGGAGGAUUUAGCUUUGUUUCUGCCUGGAGGGCCGAGGCGGCGUCUAUAAAUCGUGAAAACGGAACCCGGGCACUGCGGCAAAUAAACGAAGACCCUUUUUAACCGUGGCUGCGAAGUGAUGCACGGUUGAUGAGCGAUUGCAGAAUCGGGCCAAACUGGGUGCCGAGUGCUGCGGGAGGCCGAUUGCAAGUGUCGACAAGCAAUCGGAGAGCGAAUCAAGGUGGGUUGUGUUUAUCGAAGCGACUAGGUCGCCGUUAUGUCUAAGCGAAAUCUGAUUUUAUCUUGAUGCAUAUAAAUGCUAGAAGAUGCAUAUAGCUAAUACUAAAAGAAUGCAUAUUAAUGAUAUGAUGUAGAAAUUAUAGAAUGCAUGAUGAGCAUGUUAUAUAAAUGCUAGAUAAAUGCAUGAUUAGCAUUGAGAGGAUAGGCAUGUGAGUUGGAUCGAUAACUCUAGAGUGAGUAAAGAACUCGACCUUGGACAAUUAGGACGUCGAAUAGAUCGAGUAGCAUCGAACCUAGUGUUGCUGAACCUAGGGCGAAUCAUGAGUGGCAUCCAACCUAGUGUCGUGAACAUAGGUUGAAUAGGAGUGACAUUGGACCUAGUGUUAGUAAACAUAGGUUGAACAAGUAAACCUAGAAGCUGAGAUCUAGGUAGUAAUGAUAUAGAACCUAGAGUAUUGAAACCUAGGUUAUGACAUGUGGUAAACCUAGAGUGGUAUUGAACCUAGGUUGUUGAGUAUAGUGGUAGUAGCCACUAGGAUGUACUAGGUCGAUAGAAUAUGGUUGGAUAUGGACCCUUGACCUGUGGAAGUGGUUCUGGAAUAGGGUUGGAUAUGGACCCUUGAUCUGUGAUGACCUUGGUAUCAAGGCUAGGACGUGUGCGACGAUUUCGCCGCUGAGGUUGAUACCAAGGGAGGAUUGGGGGUGAGUACGUAGAGAUCAUCGCCCGGAGGCUUGAACCAUGGCUGGGCAUGUGCGACAAUUUCGCCGCCAGAUGGUUAAGCCGAUUUGUGGAUUAGGCCGCCAGGAUUGACUUGAGCCAUUGUUGGGUGAGGUGCGAUUAGUUUGCCGCCAGAUGGCUAAGUCAAGGGACUUAAACUAGUGUUCGGCGUAUGCGACGAUUUCGCCGCCAGCUGGCUAGGUCACAGAGGGCGGUAGGCUGUUGAGCAGCCAGUGCGCGGUAGUCCACGAAUGAUUGACUCAAGACCGAGUCAGGUGAAUAGUGGAAAUCUUAAAGGCUAGUGAUAUAUGAUAUGAUCUAAGGGAGUAGAGACCUUAGACACUAGUUGAGGUUGAGCUGUGGAACUAAGGUAAGUAGAAACCUUAGAGCUAGUUGAUAUGAACUAUGAAUAGCAAGAUUGAAAGUAGUAUCAAUGGAACUACUACCUGAACUGCAUAGUUGCAUAGUUGCAUAGAUUCCAUAUUGCAUAUUGUGAGGCAUGGCAUAUAUUUCAAUAUGGCAUAUAUAUAUAUAUAUAUGUUGUAUAUUAUUGGACUAACAUGCUGCAGUGCCUUCUUAGACCUAUUGGUCGAGCUUUUUUCUUGGGUGGCCGUACCCACUGGGAACCAUGGAGUUUGUUCUCAUCCCACGUUGUUUUGGGGUGUUAUAGGUUUGCACGUGAGCGACGCGGUGGCGAAGCAAGGGCGUAGCUCCAUAAAUAGCGCCCUACCCAGAGACCGAGAUAGAGGUACCCCGAGUCGGCAUAGCCUAGGGGUAGAGGGAAGGAAAAAAGUAAAAGUUGUAAUAAACUUGUAAUAAUUUAGAUUGCAUUUGGUUGAAGGCAAAUCGAAUUGAGAUAUAAAAUGUAUGAAUGUGAAUGCUUGUAAUAGCAAGUAGUUUUAUGUUUUUGAUACUUCCUUAUGCAAUCUAUAUGUUGAAUAUUGUUCCUGGUUGGAACCCUUGUAUUGUAUUGAUUGCGACGCCUAGGACGUACAGGGAAAACUCUGUCCGUUCGACGGUCUAUCGGCGUGCCCGAGCCCGACUAAAUUGGCGGGGCUCGGGGCGUGACACUAACUCCAACUCAAGUUUGAUUUGGGGCUUCUACUAAGGUUAGUAAUCUCCUUACUACCUUUGAUUGUAGAUUUUGCUUGGAUCUUGGAAGAAAAUCUAGUUUUCAAAAAACUAGGGUUUUAUUUGGGGUUUCUUGAUUUGUAGCCUUUGGGGUUAAAUUGAUAAGUGUAGAACUCUCUUUUAGGUUGGAUUUGAAGCUUUGUAGCUUCGAUUAGGACCUUGAUCAAGUUCUUCUCGGGUAAAAGUAUUUUCUACCUAUUUAGGCUUGAUUUUUGGGUAUUUUUGUAUGAUGUUCGUUCGAAGCUUGUAACUGUCACGCCCCAGGAUCCAGCGGAAGCCCGCCCGGUACGUGUCCAGACCCGCCAUAUGCCUACAACAUAUAAGGCGUCUAUAACAAAACGAUAAAUAAACAACAAUGAAUAACAACUAGAGAUAUCAGAGCAUUCAUAAUCUAAGUUCUAAUGACAAGUAGGAUAAAUAAAAGGACUAAUCCACUAACAUAAAGCAUAAAGUAGUACAAAAGAAAAAUCCCAAAUACAAGUGCUAGACGUACAAAAAUGAUGGUCUCUACUCAUAAGUACAAAACUCACACUCUCUACAUCAAGUACAAAAAUAGAGAGAUGAACCACCUAGUAGAAAAUACUCCUCACUAUCUAGCUAGUAGCGAUCCCUUUACCGCGAUCCCGAGCCUCUCCGAGAGUGGGAGGCUCUGUAAUAAAACAACAAAACAGGGGGCGUGAGAACUAUUAAUCAAUAGUUCCCAGUGGGCAAUUGCUGACCUCAGCGAAAUGCACCACUAGGCUAAAAGGCAAAAGUAGUAUGUUUAACUAGUAAAUGAAAAAAACAAUAUGUAGAUGAAAUAUGAAUAAACUUACUAACUACUAUGCCUCUACUUUAGCAUGUAUUUUCGCAAAUAUAAAUGCUAUUCUAACAUGAAUAUGCAUAAGUAUAACCAACAUGAUGCCCACAAGUGCAACUAGUAAAAUGUUUUUGUUUACUAAUUUGUCUAAUGUCCACUUUGCAUUUUAGUUCAAUAAUGUUCCGAUCAUAUAGAACCUACACAAGUGUAGUCUAGCUUGUGCCGCCUAAUGGCCCCGGGUAGUCCAACAUUUCUCUAGGAAUGUGACUGUCCCACGGUGACCCAAUAGGCCCUCAAUCUCGCACGUGCGAGUAUGAGUCGCGUAGGCCAACUCCGGAGUGCCGGCUUGUAGGGAGCGACCCUCGCUCACAAGUAUGUGCGAAUGAGCACAAAUAGCAAGCAAGCAUAAUCAUCAACUCAAGUACUCUGUCAUCAUGUCUAAACAUGGUAUAACACUAGCAACCCUAAAUGUCUAGUUCUAUGUCAUGAGGUAAAGGAUCAACCAUUUACUAUCUAAUACCACUUUAUGAAAUUAUAAUUUACCAAGCCCAAACAUAUUCCAAGCUCAAUGCCCCUUUAUGAUAUUGUAGCUCACUAAGUCCAUGCAUACCCCAAGUACAAUGCCACUUUAUGGUAUUAUAAUUCUACUAUAUUUAACAUAUGUCCAUUGUUCAUGAACAAGAAUCCACCAAAACAUGGAUUAAAUGAGAGAAACAUGUUACUAACCUCUUUAGAAGCUCGAAAUAAGGUUAGAAAUCAACUAGGGUUGAAGAUCUCUCCUCCAACAAGCUUCAAUCCAAGCUCCAAGACUUCUCUUAUGGUGAAAAUAGCACAAAGAAGCAAAAAGAAGCAAAAAGAGGUGAUUAAACCUCAAAAAUCCCAACUAAAAUGGAAGAAAUCCAAAGAGGAGGUGAGGAGGGCUCCCUUACCUUUUUCUCCUGUGAUGCCAAGCUCAGGGAACCUCCAAGAGGCGUAGGGUAACAUAUAGUGUUGCUACAAAUGCAAAAACACCCCUAAAAAACGAGCAGUUCGCAGUCUGUAUUGCGUACCGAUACACGGAAAAGAGUAUCAGUACAAAGCAGCAGUCUGCGCCAACCCGAGCAUCGGGUUCGCAGAAAAAUACACUGGGUACCGGUACCAGCCUAAUGCUGUACCAGCCUAAUGCUGUACCGGUACCACCUCCAGUUCCGGUACGGGCCCGAUGCUGUACCGGUACUCUGCUCUGCAGAGUCCAACCCGAGAGCAGCCUAAAAUAUUCACUUUAGAGAUUUUAGUGCUAAGUUUUAAACCUCGAUUCUCGGGAUGCGAGCCAUAGAUCGGAACACUGUCAACAACCCUCCAGAAUAUCCGGAAAAAACUCGAAACACAAAUCAAACACUCGAACCUUGCAAUUUGCUAAAGUUCAGUGUAUUACAUUCUUCCCUUCUAAAAAGGAGUUUUGUCCGCGAAACUAAAAAAUAAAGUACCUCAAGACUCUAUCUGAAAAAGAUGGGGAUAGCGCUCAUGCAGCGCGCUCUCCAACUCCAACGUAGCCUCCCGAUCAUCGUGGUUGCUCCAAAGAACCUUCACAUACGGAAUAUUACGAUUCCGAAGCUUUUUCACCUCGCGAGCCAAAAUCCUCACAGGUAGCUCCUCAAAGCUCAAAUCAUCCCUCAGCUCCACUGGUAAAACAUCCAAAACGUGAGCUGGAUCGAAGAUGUACUUCCGAAGGACCGAUACAUGGAAGACAUUGUGCACACCCGAUAGGUUCGGUGGUAGAGUGAGCCGAUACGCUAUCGGACCUACACGCUCCAAAAUCUCAUACAGUCCAAUAAACCGGAGGCUCAACUUUCUCCACAUGCCAAAUCUUCUAAUUCCCUUUGUCGGCGAGACCUUCAAGAAGACAUGAUCUCCAACUUGAAAUUCCAAAUCUCGUCGACGUCUAUCAGCAUAACUCCUCUGUCUACUCUGAGCCGUCAGCAUACACUCCCGAGCAAUGCGAACCUUGUCCUCUGCUUCCUAGAGCACAUCGGGGCCUAAAGCCAAACUCUCGCCGACUUCACUCCAAUGAAGUGGCGAUCUACACUUCCGUCUAUAUAACGCUUCGAAUGGUGCCAUCUUGAUGCUUGCUUGAUAACUAUUGUUAUAAGUAAACUCUGCUAUCGGUAAAUGCUGUGACCAUCCUCCCUGGAAGUCUAUCACACACGCUCGAAGCAUGUCCUCUAGAGUCUGUAUAGUACGCUCAGAUUGCCCAUCACUCUGAGGGUGGAAAGCCGUGCUGAAAUCUAAGCGCAUACCCAAGGCAUCCUGCAGACUUCUCCAAAAGUAGGAUACAAAUUGGAGAUCUCGAUCUGAAACUAUCGAAAUAGGUACCCCGUGAAGCCGCACAAUCUCAUCAAGAUAUACCUGUGCAAGUCUCUCACCUGUCCAAGUCGUGUGAAUAGGUAUAAAGUGAGCCGAUUUUGUCAACCUAUCCACGAUCACCCAAAUAGCAUCAUGCCCGGCCUGUGAGCGAGGCAAUCCCAUAACAAAGUCCAUAGUGAUCUUUUCCCAUUUCCACACGGGUAUAGACAAACUCUGAAGUUUUCCCGCGGGUAGUCGGUGCUCAGCCUUCACUUGUUGACAAGUUAAACAUCGAGCUACAAAUUAGCCAACGUCCUUUUUCAUCUUGGGCUACCAGUAAUGCAACUUUAAAUCCUUAUACAUCUUGGUCCCUCCCGGAUGCAUAGCAUAAGGUGCACGGUGUGCUUCUUGAAUAAUAUCUUCUUUAAUUUCCAAUUCCGCCGGUACACAAAUCCGCCCGCGAAACCGCAACAACCCUUGAUCAUCCAUAAGAAAAUCACCGGUGUAACCAUCAAUCAUCUUAGCUCGAAUCUUUUGCAACUCUACAUCGUGAACUUGCUGUUCUUUAAUUCUUUCCAAUAGUGUAGGUUGCACCACCAAUGUCAUCAAUCUCAAAGGUGUAUCAAGAGCCACCACCUCCAACUCCAAUCGCUUCUUCUGCUCAAUCAACGGCGGUUGAGUGAUACAAGCAUAGCUAAGUUAUCUGUCGAUUUUCGACUUAGCGCAUCCGCCACCACGUUAGCCUUGCCCAGGUGGUAGAGAAUCGUCAAAUCAUAAUCCUUGAGUAGCUCCAACCAUCUGCACUGUCUUAAGUUCAACUCCUUCUAAGUGAAUAAAUACUUUAAGCUCUUGUGAUCCGUAUACAGUUCACACCACUCGCCAUAAAGAUAGUGACACCAUAGCUUUAAUGCAAAGACUACAGCCGCCAACUCAAAGUCAUGCGUAGGAUGGUUCCUUUUAUAUUCCUUUAAUUGGCGAGAUGCAUACGCGAUCACUUUUCCGUCCUGCAUCAAGACACAGCCCAAUCUAUUAAAAGAAGCAUCGCUAUAAAUCACAUACCCUUCUCCAGCAACUGGCAAUGUCAAGAUUUGGGCGGUUGUCAAUCUUUGCUUCAACUCUAGGAAGCUUCUCUCACACGCAUCAUUCCAAACGAACUUGGUGCCUUUGUGCGUGAGCCGCGUAAGGGGAGUAGAUAAUUUGGCAAAUCCCUCAACAAAUCUCCGGUAGUAGCCGGCCAAUCCAAGAAAGCUCUGAAUUUUCGUGACACUUGUCGGUCUAGGCCAAUCCUUUAUAGCUUCAAUUUUUCUAGGAUCCACGGCUACACCCGAUCCUGAAAUCAAAUGUCCAAGGAAUGCCACCUCUCGAAGCCAAAACUCACACUUCUUCAACUUGGCAUAGAGUUUCUUUUUCUGAAGCAUUUGAAGUACAAGUCUUAAAUGCUCUUCAUGAUCCUUGUCACUUCGGGAAUAAACCAAGAUGUCGUCGAUGAACACCAUGACGAACCUGUCUAGAUAAGGCUUACAAACACGGUUCAUUAGAUCCAUAAAAGCUGCCAGGGCAUUAGUUAGCCCAAACGGCAUAACAGUAAACUCAUAAUGUCCAUACCAUGUUCUAAAAGCCGUCUUCGAUACAUCCUUAGGUGCAAUCUUUAACUAGUGGUAUCCCGACUGCAAGUCUAUCUUGGAAUACACACUUGAUCCUUGAAGCUGAUCAAAAAGAUCAUCAAUCCUCGGCAACGGAUACUUAUUCUUGAUCGUGACUUUAUUAAGUUCACGAUAGUCCACACACAAGCGAAGUGAUCCGUCCUUCUUCUUAACAAUCAAAAUCGGUGCUCUCCAAGGUGAAACACUUGGUCGAAUGAAACCUUUGUCCAAAAAAUCCCGCAGUUGUGCCCUCAGCUCUUUCAACUCUACUGGUGCCAUCCUAUAGGGCGCCUUUGAGGUUGGGGUAGUCCAAGGGACGAGAUCUACUACAAACUCAAUCUCCUCUAAAUAUGAUGAUAAUAAAUUAAAAUUUUAGAUCAAAGUUAUUGAUCUUGUUUUAUAUGGUAUAAAGAAUUUUCUAUCAAAAUUUCAUGUGAUUUGGAUAUUUCUACACCGUUAAACUUGCAAACGGCUCGCCACGGCCAUUAAAAUUAUUGAUUUUGAGCCACUUCGAUCGCUAGGCAAAUGAUAUCGAAAAAUCACAAAAUUUAUUUUUCAGGUGCUUCAAAUACUCUAGAUCAAGUCUAACGAAGCCGAUCGUCGAUUCGAAAGUCCGAACAUCGAAAACAACUUAGAAGCACGAAGGGCUCCGUGCUAUAUAUAUAUGUAUAUAUAUACAUAUAUAUGUAUAUAUAUACAUGUAUAUGUAUAUAUACAUGUAUAUAUAUACAUAUACAUGUAUAUAUAUACAUAUAUAUGUAUAUAUACAUAUAUAUGUAUAUAUAUACAUGUAUAUANCACUAAAUUGGGACGCCCCCGAUGAAUCUAGCGAUGAUGAAUCGGAAAACGAAGUUGCCCAAAUUUGCCUCGAGGAGCAAUGUAACACACUGGACCUUUGCAAAUUGCGAGGUUCGAGUGAUUGGCUGUGCUCUGAGCUUUUCCAGAUUUUCUGGCGGGUCGUUGACUGUGUUCCGACCUAUGGCACGUGUCCCGAAAAUUGUGAUUUAGAGCUGUGUACCAAAACCCAAAAAAAUAGGAUUUUGGUCAGCUCUCGGAUUUGCUUUCUAGAGGUCUUGUACCGGUACAAGGGUGUGCUUGUACCGAUACAAGGUUGAUGGUUGUACCGGUACAGCCAUCGGGCUUGUACCGGUACAGAGCAGCUGAACCCCGCAGAACGAGCCUCGGGUUUGGAUUUCGAGGGCUUUGUACCGGUACAAGGGCCCGUGUACCAGUACAAGGCGGCAAAUUUUGAGCAGUUCGAAACUGCAGGGGCUUUUUCGCGAUUAUAGCCUCUCUAUAACAGCACCCACGCCCCUUAGGGCUUUUUUUGUGCUAGAACCACAGGAAAACAAGGUGAGGAGCCCAUCCAUUCCCUCAUUUUUAUUUUCCUUGGUUAUAUUGGAGAUUUUUGAGGAUUAAUGCCUCAUUUUGCUUCUUGUUGCAUCUUGGAGGCUUUUUCCGCCAUUGAAGAGGACUUGGAGCUUUGAUAGAGGCUUGUUGGAGUUAAGAUCUUCCACCCCAUUUGAUUUGGAGCCCAAGUUGAGACUUCUAGAGAGGUUAGCAACAUGAUUUGAGCUUUUGUUUCAUGUUUUGCUAAGUUUUUGAGAUGGAACCCUAGAUUUGAUACUUAGAGUUUGAUUUUGGGCAUUUUAAAUCUAGAGCUUUUGGAGCUAGAUUGUUUGGAUUAGAACCUUCCUUGGGCUUGGAUUGGAAGGGAUUUAGCUCCCUUUUGGAGCUUGAGAGAGAUUUCCUACACAUUAGGUGAGUUUUAGCCCUUUUGCUAAGUUUGUUAAAGUUUGAUCUUAUAGUUGAUCGUAAUGCCCGUGUAUCUCUUCGCUCAAUACUUUUAGGAUAUUUUGAGACUCGUGGACAACCCCGUUCGGCGAAUCGAAGGAGCACGCAACGGUUCGGUGGGUUUGACCUAGCCACACAAUGAGAAAAUCUCAUUGUUGAUGUUUUAAGUGUUGUAAAAUGAAAAAGCAUACAUAAUCAUGUUAGAUACAUUUAUUAUGAAUUUUUGAAUGCUUAAUAUGCAUAUGUAAUGUAUAGUAAAUUUUUGGACCUCUAUGCGGUAGAGUGCAUGUAUGUGAGAUAUAGCAUCCUAGUUGAGAUUUGGAACUACGAUUCCUGUUAUGAAAUUGGACAUUGCUAUUAUGCAUUUAACCUUUAUGCCUAAUCGUGACAUCAGAACCUUAGUAAGCCAUAAAGAGGCUUGGGGACUUGUACUACUUGUUAAUAAUUGGGCUAAUGUCAUAAAGGGGCAUUGAGCUCGGUCAUGUGCGAACCUAGUGGAUAGUGCCAUUAAGAGAAUUGGAACAUGCUUGUACAUCGAAAUGUCUAAGUGUCAUAAAGGGGCACUAGACUUAGUAAAUAUGAGAAUUUCACAUUGUGACAUAGAACUAGAUCUUCGAGAUGCUAGUAAUUAUUGCCAUGUUAGAGAUAUGAUGAUUGGAUAUUUGAGACAUUGACCUUGCUUGUUUGCCAUUUGUGCUCAUUCGCACAUGCUUGUGAGGGUCGCUCCCUACAAGCCGGCACUCCGGAGUCAGCCUACGCGACUAUGUUCGCUCGUGCGGUAUUGAGAAGCCUACGGGGUCGAGUGGGACAGACACAUUCCAAGAGUAGGAAUGUUGGGCUACCACAGGCACUUAGGCGGCACAAGCUGGACUACCUUGGGUAGGNNNNNNNNNNNNNNNNNNNNNNNNNNNNNNNNNNNNNNNNNNNNNNNNNNNNNNNNNNNNNNNNNNNNNNNNNNNNNNNNNNNNNNNNNNNNNNNNNNNNUGUGCAUAUUUUGUUUUUGUUUCGUGUAUGAUUUUCUGUGUUGGUAGUUAGAUGAAUUUUGAGAAUAAUCUUGAUGAUGGGACUGUGAAUCGGUUUCUGACUUGAAUUAUUUCAUAUUUAUUUUUGAUUGAUCACUGUCGAGUUAUUCUCUAAUGGUCAUCGUAUUUUUAAACGAUCAAAAUCAUUAAGAUUCUAGUUAACAUGUAUGAACAUAUUCAGCACUCAUUGCGUCGAACUUUAAAUGUUGCUAAUCAUUUGUUUGAUUAUUAUUUUGAGGAUGAAUAAUCUUUUUGUUUGAAUAACUAUAAAUAUUUUCUAACUUGAGGUAGCACGUAUUAAGGGGAGUCUUGCCUAUCUAGCUAAUGAAUAUUUGUGAAAUUCAAGAUGUGGAAAGAGUUACAUCCCUGCUGGAAGUGUGUAUGGAAAUACUACCGCACAUGGAGGAAAGACUCCUACCACCCCGGUUCGUCCGAGUUAGUGUGUGCUAGCACCAUCAUUGUUGAUUAAAAAGUGUUAUGUUGAGACAAAGAAAAAAUGCCUGCUCAAAAAAAAAAAAAAAACACAAGAAUAAAUGCUCAAAAAGCUAUACAUCUUGUAGUGAUAUAGGUGCGCUGUGUAAAGAUGCUCAAAGAGCCACUCCUGUCUCAGACCAUGUGCAUAACUCACUUUAAUCAUAUUAUGUUAAUUUCACAAUUUUUGGGAAAUAUUUAUUUCAUUCUCUUUAACAAAAUAUGAUGAUAAAAUGAUGCGAUUUGUUUCUAAGAUCUUGCAUGAUGUGUGGGAUUUCAUUUUAUAUGUAUCAAGAAUUCUUAUUGAUUUUCGGUUUAAAAAUUUUUGACAUUUUGAAUAUCCCUGAAAUUGAUUUUUCAAAAUUCAUUUAUGAAAUUUUAUUUAUAGUUUAUUUUUGGAUGAAAAUAGGUUAUUUGUGAUGCUUACAUAAUAAGAUAUACCUUUCCAUUUUUUUUGGAUUUUUCGGGCUGAGUUUUAAAUUUUUGAAAAAUUUCUGGCUCGGAGACCGGUCUCAGGGAAGAGAGACCGGUCUCUCCGCGCGAACCGAUAUAAGGGCUUUUGCGAUUUCUUCUUUUCACUUUACCAAUCUCGCUUAGGUUUUUUCUCCAGAGCCUCUAAGAGUCCCAGGGUGAUUUUGCUUUCAUUCUUCAUCACUUUACACUUGAUUUUGGUAUGAUUCUCGGAUUUUGUUUCAUUAUUAUCAUAUAAUCCGGAUUUUUGCUUUAUUUUGAGUUUUUGGAGUUUUGAUCACAUUAUGUUGUUAAAUCUCUUCUAUUUUUGUCCUGAUUUUGUCUCUAGAUAUGUUAGUCAACUUUUUCUUGCAUUUCUUCAUGUAUUGACACGAUUGUUUGGUUAUUCUUGCAAUGUGUUCUUCGUCAAGACCUAUUGUUUCAGUUUUUUUUUAAAAAUUGAAAUUUUACUGAUUUUUAUGCUUGUUUUGUCAAUGAUCUUCAUGACUAAGUGGCUCAUAGGAUUAUCUAAUAUUUAUAUACCAUUUUGCUGACAUUUUUUUUGGAAAUUUUAUAUGUCAAAUUAAUUAUGUUUAACAGGUAAUUUUUAAAAAAAUGUACUCGUGGGUUCUCGUGCUUGUUGUCCUUAUGGCUGGGGGUGGUCGCGGUAGCAAGCGACAGCGCGCCUCAGCUAAGAGGCCGGUUGAGCAACAACCGGAAGAUGAAGGGAGUGAGUAUGCCCCGGGUGAUGAAUCUGAGGAGGAAGAGCAGGAUUGGGAGACUUUUGUUCCUGAAGUUUUGGCUAAGGAAAAGGACGCUGGGAAAGGCAAGGGAAAAGGAAAAGCUAUGGACAAAGGCAAAGGAAAAGCAACUGAUCGUCCCAGUCGUCGUAAGUCAGGUGGUGUUGAGAUUAGAGAACCGGGCUCUGAGCCACCACGUCGAAGUUUACAGGAUGUUCCAUCUAAUCGACGGUCAAUGUAUUCGUCGAAACAUUGCAUUGGUGAGCGCGAUGUUGGGGUGGCCAGUAUUAUUAGCUGUGUGCCAGGUUUUCAGGAUUUGUUUGAACAAGGGAAUCUUCAUCAGAUUUGUGAUUUCCCAGAGCAAACCGGGUAUUGUUUGGAGCUGAUCAGAGAGUUUUAUAUGAGAGCAGGUCACCUCAGUGUGAUUCCGACGGGUCCGUACGUCUUUAAGACUUCCUGUCGUGUGUUGAGUUAUUCAAUCACCUGCGACUAUAGCUUCGGUGCUUGAAUGGAAGCUAAGACUGAUGAGUGGAGUAUUUGCAGGCUGGGUUCGACUCACUUCGCGACUGGAACCGUUCGUGAACACUAUCUGCAUGCCGGUACUGAAUCCAACGAAUUAUGGUUAUGUCAAGGAUUUUAAAAUGGAGUACCGAUUUCGAACUUUGUGGUUUGCUACAACAUCAUGCCUCUCGCGAACACGAAGAUCUUGAGGUGGGAGGAUUCUGUACAUGUAUCUUUUGGUAGGCCAGAUAUUGUGAGUGCGAAAAACAUUAAUAUGAAUAUUCCGUUUCUGAUCUGGCGGCGGAUGGCGAAAGAUAUCAUAAAACCUCUGGACAAAAUGAGAGUUACCGUUUCCUAUGAUAAUUAUAGGAUUUGCGGCUUCGGGAGGUGGAUGUUCGAUGUUCUCAUACGAGCAAGUUUGGGUCGGAUCAAUGAGAGGAGACGUUUGUAAAGUCCUCGUGCAGCUUCGGUCGCCGUCUCAACGUGCUUCUUCGCCUCCUGCAGCUCACCUCCUGCUACUGCUACUUCUUCCCGUCCUUCUGUGGACAUUUCUGAGGAGGAUAUUUCUGUUUCUUCGUGUAUCGCGAGCAGCAACGUUAUCUGAGGAGCUACAAAAGUUGUCUGCAAACAAGCUGUUAUUCGUAAGGAUGUUAGCAAGAUGAAGCGUUGUUGAACAUGAUUUUUGACAAGUUGGGAUGUUUGUUCGGGCAGAUUUACUCCGGGAGAUGAUUCUGACUAGGGGUUACAGUAUUUCUCUUUUUGUCGUUUUUGGCGCUUUCUGACAAAAAGGGGAGAUGUGGAUGAUGUGGAUGAUGAUAGAUGCAUUUAGCUUAGGGCUUAUUAGAAUGUAAGCUGCUUUAGGUGUUUGACUUAGUGUUUUGUUUAGUUUAACUAUGAACCAUGAAGUGUGAAAUUUAGUUAAGUGUUUGAUCUUGUUUGAUCUUUUUGAUACUUGAAUUUGAUUAUGCUUUGAGAGUAUUUUUGUAGGGAUAAUUCAAGACUUCAAGACUUCAAGACUCCAUGUCUAAGUCAUAGAGUUUGUAUUAAGGAAGUAAAAGUGUAAAUUUUGUUUAUGAUUGAUCAUGCAGGAGAUUAUGUUUGGUGAUUGCGAUGAUCUUCUUUUUAUGACUUUUUGGUUGUAUACAAGCUUUGUAGUAUAUUUUGUCACGAAAUCGCCAAAGGGGAGAUUGUUAAGGAUUUUAUGGUUGCGAAUUCGUAAAGUGUUUGAGUCUUGAAGAGUUGAUCGCAGAAGAUUUCGAGAAAAGAUUCAAAUUAGAGGACAAAGACUUAUUCAGAAGAUCGACACCUAAGGUAUGUAGAAAAAAAUCAUUGUGGUGAAAUUACGUGAUUAAAAUAAGUUCAGAAGGCUUAGAUUGUUUUUUAAACAUAUUUACUGAACUUUUUGUGUUCUGGACCGGUCUCUGGAAUGGAGAGACGGUUCCCCAAGUCCUCACUGCGUAAUCCUGCAUCGCAACGUCCCUGUGAUGAGAGACCGGUUCCCGAACCUUGGUGGUUCUGUCACGCAGCGAGGGACCGGUCUCAAGUUUGAGAGACCGGUUCCCGAACGUGGGGUUUUUGGUCACGCAGGGAGGGACCGGUUCCUCACUUGAGAGACCGGUCUCUCACAGACCGGUCUCCUCGACAGGACCGGUCUCUGAGGACGACACAGGUUUUUGAAAUCGACUUUUUGCAAUCCUAGUCUACUUCUAAGUCUUCUAAACAUAUAAAUAAGCUAUGUGGGUCAUCUAAAAUUAAGGCUUUGAAUAUUUUACCAAUUCUAAACCCUAGAAACUCGUUUUCUUCGCUUCGAUUUACAUGAUGAGUUUCUAGCAAUCAACAUUGGCUUGUUUCUUCGUUUUUACACAAUAUUUCUUACAAGAAUCAAGUAGAUGAUUGAUUAAAGGUGAAUCCUCACAGCUUAUGGUUUUCAAAAGAUAAAUCACCGCAAAUCUUCAAUUCUACAAGCUCCGGAAGGAGGUUCGGCGCGAGGAUCUCGCGCGAAGCCGAGGAUUCGGUGGACGCUUUGAGGAGUUGAGGCGUUGACGCUGCGAGGAGUUGCAGCAAGGUCGAUUGGUGGAUUCCUAUCGAUCGAGGACCGGCAAAGAUCACCGUCAACAAGAAAUCGGUAAAUUGAGUCGCGUGUUUUUGGUCGAAAUCACUUGUACUCAUGUUUUCUUAGUGGAUUUUCUUUGCGUGAUCGGUCCCGUGGGUUUUUCACUCCGAAUUGGAGUUUUCCCACGUUAAAUUCUCGGUGUGCUAUUUUAAUUUCCGCUAUUGUGUUUGUUUGCAUCGAGAUUGUUUGAGUUUGCCGGAUUUACACCUAUUCACCCCCCUCUAGGUGUUACUUACCUUUUAGAUCCUCGGGAUCCAUAACUCACAUCUACCAUACAUAUAACCCCUCGGGGGCUCACAGGUUGACACCUACAACCACUUUUCCGAAAAAGAACACCCUCUUGCGGUGGAUCAGACCGCUGGCGUUCGUGAAAUGCGAACGAGUCUCGGGCGGUCAAUGCUGAUAUGCUCAAAGGCCAACCGUCGGCAACCAGCCGACAAUCCUGCCCCUCAGGGCCCCACCGACCGUAUAGGUCAUCAACUGUAAGGAAGAAUAAGAACUGACCACUCAAGUCAACUAGGAUGGAACAACUCAACAUCCUCUCAAAAGCAUGCAAAUACUGCUCAAUAGGUCAACUAAAGUGUAGAUGCAAGAACCGACAAUAGGUCACAAUACGACAUACAUGAACCGACCAACCAGGUCACUGAUACGGAGUGCGAGAAUCGACCAACCAGGUCACUGAUAUGAAGUACAAGAAUCGACCAACCAGGUCACUGAUAUGAAGUACAAGAAUCGACCAACCAGGUCUCUAAUAUGAAGUACAAGAAUUGACCAACUAGGUCACUGAUAUGAAGCACAAGAAUCGACCAACCAGGUCAUAGGUAUCACAAAUAGAUAGACUACUCUACUCCUACACCUGAUACUAAGCAUGGGAACAUCUAAGUAGAGUGUACUAUAAACAAUAGAGGUGCAAAGCUCAACAUAUAAUAUAUGCAUGGAUAGUAACCAAAAGAGCAAAGGUAAGAAACCAUCACUGAGAGUGCACCACUGUACCAACGUCGGAUCGAAGUACCUACCUGUAAGGAUAUUGUGCCUGUCUCCUGACUGCAAAAGAACGUCAACUGGACCUAAGGAAGGUCCACCGGGUUAGUGUCUAACCCACAACUAAUAACCAUAGUAUCACAACUCCACAAACAAUCCCACGGCGAUCGGUUUCCCAAAACCAAUUACCGUAACUCGCCGGAAGUCCCGAAAAUCGCACUGGGACUCCGCCGGGACCCACGAAUUGUCCCGGAACACACCGACUCAUGCUACGAGUCACCCGCUGCCACUAAACAUAAUUAAUCGUGCAUCAUGGCAGCAAACACAACUCCUCACGUCGAAAUAAUUAUCGUCGGAUAAUCGUUUUGAUCCGGGUUCCCGGAAGUGUUAAUUUCGACACCGGAACCCACCGUCGCUCACCCGUCAUUUCUGAACACUCGAAAUGAUGCGAGUGACCAGCCAACAAGGCUCAGCGACUACACAAUAGCUCACGAAGCACCGUCGGAAUAAUUCCGAACCGAACCCGCAUUCCGUCGGCGGAUUUCGCCGGGAAACGCUCCGAAAAUCACUUUUUGAUUUCCACAAAGGCUUAGGGCCUUGGACGAUCAGUCCAGAGGUUAUUCUCAACCCUAACUUGCUGCCAACAGCAGCCUCGAAGAAAAAAAUUGCAUAAAAGCCCUUACCGAUGCAUAAACUCGCACCAUUUAUGUGGUUUCGGAGCUUUUAUGGGCCGUGCGCGCAAACCAGAGAUCGAUUAAUCAGACCGUCGCACUUGCUGAUAGGUUUCAGCAUGUCGGAGGCCAUGCUCACCUUUCGGAGCACUGCCGGCCACUGUGGUGCGCGCACGAGCGAUGCAAAAAUCUGUGAAACUGCACGCACAGCGCAAAGAUUGCGAUUAACUCGCUAACCAGGGUAUCUUUGCCCCUGUCGGCGGUGAGCACAAUAUUCAGCACGAGUUGUAGAUCAUCGUGCUCACUUCCCAAAGUUUAGAAGGCUUAUCGGAUCACCGGAAAGAUGACCAGAACCUCGGAAUUUAGUGUUGGAGCAUAAAAUAGCCUUACCAGACCCGAGAGAGCUAGGGUUGACUGUCGGCGGUCGGACGGCGGGCGGUCCGGCCAGGGAAGGGUGCGGCCGGUCGGUGGGGUUCGGGGAACCUGCUGGCCGGCGGCGGGAGGCGUCCGGUGGCGCAGUGGUAGAGAUCAAGUCCCUCCACUCCUUCUCGGGUUCAAGCUUCCCGGCGGCGCGGCGGCAGCCGGAGGAGGUCGGGCCGGCGACGAUCCGGUACCGGAGGCCGAGGGGAAGGCGAUGCGCCCCGCAGUGGGCGGCGGUGAUGCGCGGUUGCCGGGAUGGCUCGGCCUCGUCUCGCACCAGUCCUGGGCGGCCGCAGGAUGCCCGAGUGGAGGCCGACGGCGCGCGGGGAUGACCGAACGGCAAGCGGGAGGUCGUCGGAGUUGACUGGAGGGCGGCACGGCCGGCGGGGAGCGGUGGCUGCGCACGCACCCCGAUCUCGAGCCCGCUUGGUCUGGGUUGACGCGAGUUGGCCCGAGCCUGCUCCAGCGGCGCCGGCGACGUGCGGCGACGGCGGGGAUGGCUGGUGAUGAUGUCGGAAGAAGAUCUUGGCCGAGGGGGAAAGAUUCCUGGGGGUUAUGAAGCUUUCCCAAUAAUUUUCGGUCAAGAUGGUGGAGAGGGUGGCCGAGGGAGGAGAAGAGGGGGUUCAGGUGGGUUCUCCCGCGACCGGAGUUGCUUGCUGGAGGUCGGGGCACGCGCACGGUGAGGGCAAGGGUUUGUUGGGGAGGUGAGAAGGCUUUAGGAUUAGGGUUUCCUUGUGAAACCGUAACACCUAAAUGUAUACAUAGAUGUAUAGUUGCGGAAGGGCCCUCCCAAGCAUUUUAUUUAAAGCCCAGCCCCUGCCAGAAUGUGUAUUAUGCGUACACGUCCCUUGGCGUUUGAAUUCAUGCGAAACGGCGCAUAAAAUAUAGGGUCUUUUCGUGAUUUAUCCGUUUUGCCAAUUUGACCCCUUAGUGGACUUUUCGCGAUUCCCGAAGAUCCGUCCGUCGGAUAUCCGAACAGAUUGCGCCAGCGCGUUCAGCAUGACCGGGGCAUCGAAUUUAGCAUCUCGUUUCAUCCGAUUUGGUCUCCGAUAUGCGACAGAACCUACCCUCUUUGUUUUCACUAUGUAGCCACUUAUAUUAAUACAUGUGAAACCAAUCAAACCCCUUUUCUCGACAACCGUGCAUUAUAACUCAAUUCCGUCAGUGCCAUUAGGUCCAGAACAGUCGAGCCGUUCGAAAUGAUCUAUUGGAGCGCUAUGUUCGGAGUCCAAUGCGCACCAGAACCGUCUUCUACUCACUGGCUCCUUCGAAAAGCCGGAGUUACUAUUCACUUUAAGUUAUCGGUUCAGGUCGUGAAACUUCUCCAUCUUAACUCGUUUUCUCCUGAAACUUGACGGGUGCUUAUGUAAUUAAUUACACACAUAAACAUCGUCAACAGAAAGUUUAGUUGCACUGUCAAAAUCUCAGUCCUUACAUAGAAUAUUUUAUAGGCUGCCACAUUUGCAAAUAAACCCUCUAUCUCUUUUUAUUUGCAGCAGACCCAGCCUGCUGUUCGUAGCAUUGCGUACCGGUACGCGGGAGGGCAUCACCGGUAUGCCCCCUGUUCAACAGCCCAACCCAAGAGCUACUGUCUCUCGGGUUGCUGCAGGGUACUAAUAAUACCAGGACAGUCAUCGGUUAAGUCGUCGUGCAGAGACCAAACUCGAGAUCUGCCAGUUCUCGGUUUGCUGCCUAGUACUGGUACGGCCUUGAUGCUUCACCGGUUAACAAUGCUCCAGAAUGCAGUUUUGCAUUGUUUCAACUCCAAUUUGUGCUGAGCAAUGCUAAUACUUUUCUAACUCACUUGGAACUCAACUUUAACCCUUCCAACAUUGUUGAAAUGUCAAAUGGACUUUGUCUAACUAUUUCUCUCGCACACUUUGAUCAAUUUGACUAAAGUUCGAUAUACUCUACCGAAGUUUCGGUAUAUUACAUUCUCCACCCCUUAAAAUUAGUUUCGCCUGCGAAACUAACCCAUACCUUAGCUCGUCGACUCAAAUAAGUGAGGACACGCCUUUCGCAUUGUCUCCUCGAGCUCCCAGGUGGCUUCACGCACCGCAUGGUUGCUCCACUGGACUUAGACAUAGGGGAUUGUGUGACUUCGCAAUUUCCUUUCUUCUCUACCGAGGAUACACACCGGGUACUCCUCAUAGGUCAUGUUCUCGUGCAAUUCCACGGGUUCAUACUCUAGCACGUGAGUCGAAUUGCGAAUAUACUUGCGGAGAUUUGACACAUGAAACACAUUGUGGACUCCCGCAAGCCUCGGUAGUAAUGCAAGCUUGUAUGCCACUGCACCGACCCGCUCCAAUAUCUCGAACGGUCAAACAUACUGGGGACUUAGUUUCCCACGGACUCCAAACCACUUUACUCCUCGUAUCGGCGAUACUUUCAAAAAUACGCGGUCUCCAACCGUGAACUCUAAAUCCUUUCUCCGCUUGGCGGCAUAGCUCUUUUGUCGAGAUUGUGCCGUCGCAAGUCAUUGGCGGGCAAGGCGAACUUUUUCUUUCGCCUCCCGCACCACAUCGGGGCCAAGAGUAACUCUUUGGCCCACAUCACUCCAAUGGAUAGGAGAGCGAUACUUCUUUCGAUAAAGGGCUCGAAUGGCGCCAUCGCGAUACUUUCUCAAUAACUAUUGUUGUAUCGAAUUCCGCCAUCGGUAAAUAGUUGUGCGAUCUGCCCUUGUAAUCAAGUACACAUGCUCGAAGCAUAUCCUCAAGGAUUUGUAUUGUCUUCUCCGAUUGACCAUCAUUUUGAGGAUGAAAUGCGGUACUAAAGUCGAGCCGUGUGCCCAAAGCGUCUUGUAAGCUCUUCCCAAAGUGAGAUGUGAACCUAGGGUCUCAAUCCAAUACAAUAGACACCGGAACCCCAUAUUGUCUCACAACCUCGUUGAGGUACACUUGAGCCAACUUAUCUCCGGACCAUGUAGUGUGGAUCGGCAAGAAGUAUGCCGAUUUCAUCAACCGGUCCACAACCACCCAAAUUGCAUUAUGCCCGGCUUGAGACCGAGGCAAACCGAUCACAAAAUUCAUUGCGAUAUCUUUCCAUUUCCAAAUGGGUAUAGAUAAACUUUGCAACUUUUCCGCCGGAAAUCGGCGCUCCGCUUUUACUUGUUGACAUGUAAGGCAUUGCGCCACGAACUUCCUAAUAUCUUUCUUCAUGCCCGGCCACCAAUAAUGCACUUUUAAGUCUUGGUACAUCUUAGUGCCACCCGGGUGAAUGCUAUAGGGAGAUUGAUGCGCUUCUUGCAUUAUCGCCUUUCGAAUGUCCUCGUCUUUAGGCACAUACCAACGAUUUCAGAAUCGAAGUGCGCCAUCGGUCCCAAUACCGAAAUCAUCGGUACUACCGUUUUCAACUUCAUCACGCAUCUUUUGGAGAUAUUCAUCGGAAGCUUGUAGCUCUUUAAUCUUCUCCAACAAGGUUGGUUGCACCACCAAUGCGGCAAGGCUAGCCGGCACCCCCGGGGCCACUACUUCCAAACAAAACCGUUGCAUCUCUUUUUGCAAUAACGGUUGGGGUGCGAUUGCCGUAACCAAGUUUUUUACCGAUUUUCUACUUAGUGCAUCGGCCACGACAUUUGCCUUUUCCGGGUGGUAUAGAAUAGUGACAUCAUAAUCUUUUAGCAACUCCAACCACCGCCGUUGUCGCAUAUUUAAUUCUUUUUGGUGAACAAGUAUUUGAGACUCUUAUGAUCCGUGUAAAUCUCACAAUGCUCACCGUACAAGUAAUGCCUCCACAACUUUAGCGCGAAUAUCACUGCGGCUAGCUCGAGGUGAUGAAUCGGAUAGUUCUUUUCAUAACUCUUCAAUUGGCGCGAAGCAUAUGUGAUGACUCGCCCAUUUUGCAUCAAGACACACCCGAGACCAAUAUAUGAAGCAUCACUGUACACAACGAAGCUCUCCCCCGGCAUCGAUAGUGCAAGCACCGGGGUUGACGUCAACCUUUCUUUUAAUUCCUCGAAGUUCCGAUCGCAAUCGUCGCUCUAAAAUAUACUUUACUCCUUUAUGCGUGAGACGCGUGUAGUGUUCCGAAGUUUUGGAUAGGAUUGGAUGCAGUAUUAGUGACUGGUCGACAUAUCUGGAGAGUGUCGGACUGAGUCGGAGUCAUUUCUGCACGAAAUGGAUGCAGAAAUGGACUUGACACACUCAAAUAGGCAAAACUGGAGUUUUGUCGGUUUCGGGCGCCCAGAACUGGAUUUGGGUCGCCCAGAACUUGAGUGCUGAACUGAGCAGAAUUGAAAACCAAUUCGGAUUCUGGUUUCGGGCGCCCAGAAGUGGGUCCGAAAAUUCACUUUGUGAAUAUCGCCUGUGCUGACACGUGUAUGUGGUAGGUGAGUUCUGUCGGACCACGUUAGGGGCACAGCAGACCGUAGGUGGAGGAACCGAAGAGGAGUGGUUGUAUGACUUGGAGGUUUUGGACGCCCAGAAGAGUGUUUCGGGUGCCCGAAAGUGUAGAGUUCUGCAGGGACAGCAGGUUAGUGUUUCUUAUUCCUUGGGCUUAUCAGACCAUUUCACCUCUCUAUAAAAGCUUGGGUGCAAUCCCCUGAGAAGCCUUUUCACCCUUCUUCACAAAGAAACCCAAUUUUUGCAUUUGAGCCCUUCAAAUCCUCCAAAUUUGCACAAGUUCACAUUAACGGCUGCAGUUUCAGCAGAUUCCAGCAGCGCGUUUUUACUCGUGUGCGACGUAGGGAGCUCCGAUUGCCACGAAAUUUGGUUUGUUGGUUAGAAGACUUCCUGGAGAUUUCGUGGAGCCCAUUUUGAUAGCAUUUGAUUAAGGUUAGCUUGGUCAAUUUAGUAUUUUUCUGAGCUAUUGGUGGUUUUGAGCUGAAUUUGGGAUUUCUUGUGUUUUCUUGGAUCAAAUCUGGGAUAAAGCUGGAUUUCGGACCUGAGGAGGUUACACCAUCACACUUCACUAGUUUUGAGACCUUUUCUCACCUGAAUUGGAGGUUGAAAGGUAAGUAUUGCAACUAAUUGGAUAUGAUUCAGAUUAGUUACAACAAAUUAGUAUUGCAACUAAUUGGAUAUGAUCCAAAUUAAUUACAAAAGAAUGUAUGCAACUAAUUGGAUAUGAUCCAAUUAGUUAUAACAGAAUGUUGAGGAGUGCCGAUCCGUACGGCUCAAUUAAUUGGAGCUGUGCAUAAAAGGACGCGGCUUCAUUAGUAGGCAACACAUGAAAAUUAAUGUGAAGAGAUUCACAUUAUUCUCUCUCAACCUUUCGUCAAAUAUUUUACUAAAAGGGAACGUGGAUAAGAGAAGACUGCUAGCACUGUCUUUGUAAUCUGCGACUCAUCUGUUCCGUGCGACGGAAGGCGUUGGAUGUGGAUCAAUUCCGUGUGGAUACGCGUAGAGGCCGGGCACGUGCGCGGCUAAUUGGAAUCUCAGUUUCAACCGUACAGUAGAUCAAGAGACCUUAACUGGUCCGAGGUGAUGUAGCCUGAACUUCAAAUCUGUUUAGGUUAGAUUAUUAUUUUACAUUGUAACAUGAGAAUGAUCCGCCGGCACUGGAUUGAUUUGUUUUUGUUUUGAUUCAUAUGCGAUAUGGAUUUUUGUUUUUCGAAAAUACAAUUUUAAUUUCCGCUGCGAUUUUUUUGUGCCGGAUAAAUUCUUAUAGCCCUAACAUCAAUCUUACAAGAUACCUCACCUUAGCCUAGAUGCCCACCAAGCUCCACCUUAUAGGAGAGCCCUAGACCCUUCAAAACUCCAAAUCUCCUCCAAAUCCUCUUCUUGAUCUCCUCCUUUCACUUUGGAGGAGAGUUUCUAGAGAGAGAGAGGGAGAGAAAUGAGAGAGGAGUGUGUUCUCACUACUGUGAAUGAGAGAGGAGAGGUUGGGGUAUUUUAUAGGCUGCCACAUUUGCAAAUAAACCCUCCAUCUCUUUUUAUUUGCAGCAGACCCAGCCUGCUGUUCACAGCACUGCGUACCGGUACGCGGGAGGGCAUCACCGUUUCCCCCCCUGUUCAACAGCCCAACCCGAGAGCUACUGUCUCUCGGGUUGCUGCAGGGUAUUGGUACUACCAGGACAGUCACACCCGCUCGGUAGGAUGCUUCCAGUUUAGGAAUGGUAGCAUUAUCGACGGCUUCGGUAGGAUGCUUCCAACCGAAUUCGAUAGCUUUCCACACCCGCUCAUCGAUUGCGAUUAGAAAAGCUCUCAUGCGAACUUUCCAACGGGCAUAAUUCGUGCCAUCGAAGAGUGGUGGUCGAUUAAUGUUACCACCUUCGGCCAUUAGAUAUCAAUAUAUCUAGAUCCCGCUCUGAUACCAAUUGAAAGUUUUGAGAAGCCCAAGGAUCUAUCUAGAUUGUAUCUAACACCUAGAGGAGGGUGAAUAGGUGUAAUAGCCAAAAACCACAAAUCUCAAUGCCAUCAAAAUAAAUGCGAAAAAUAAAAAUAACACCAAGAUUUACGUGGGAAAACUCCAACUUGGAGAAAAACCCAUGGGACCAACACGCGAAAAAAUAAUUCACUAACAGAAAAGAUUACAAGGUGAUUACCGACUCCACGGACUCGACCUCUCUUAACCUCUUACGAAUCUCGCGCAAUCCUCUGGGUUGUCCACGCCCUCACGUUCUAAUCCACAAACGCCACGUUCCGAAUCCACGAAACGCCUCCACUCCGAAUCCACGAAGCUCACGAUUCGAAUCCACGAACCGCCGUCAAUCACGCUGAAUCCAUGACGCCGUCAUAUGAAGAACAUCAUGUGUACGGUGAUCCUUCGCUUAGAGUAUCGAUGAAAACCAGGAAAGAGAUCUCCAUGCAAAGCGAAGAUCAAAUCGACAUAUAGAUAUGAAAUUCCAAUAUCUCGAUUUGACCUAAAAGAGGCUAAUAUGUAGAAAAUAGGUUUUAGAUGAAAUCUUCGAAAUCGUGAGUUAUUUUUCCGAUUUCUUCGAAAUCUUGAAUUCUUCGAUCUUCAACGAUACGCACCGAUUCUUCAAGACUCCGACUUACUUCACGAAACUUGCCAACACACAAGACUUAACAAUGUGUGCUACGUUUCAGGACGUGAUGGCACCAAGAGGACGCCCUAGUACGCAAUUUGCACCGGCACCGCCUCCUGAGGUGCUCGGGCAGACGUGGUCGGAUGAAGUGCGCGAGCUGCGGGCCUAAGUAGCGACUUUGGCCGGGGCUAUGCGGCAACAGGGGGAGCAAAUUGGACGGCUCCAUAAAUUGGUGGCUCAACAGGCGGCGGCGGCUGCACCUGUACCUCAGGAUCCGCCCGCACAUGUUGCACCUGUAGCACCGCCUCCUGCGGUGGCGGCAGCACCGGUGACGGCUAUUCCUCCGACGGCAUCAGGUUCAUCGGCUCCUAUUCCCGAUGUACUUGAGGCCGAGCAGGAGCGAUCGUUGGCGGUGUUGACGGCCUUCAAGCGAUUCAACCCUCCGACCUUCAACGGUGAUGUGAGGGAUCCGUGGUUGGUGAAGUCGUGGUUGGCCACGAUGGAAGCGUUGUUCAAGGACAUUUAUACCCUCGAGAAGGAUAAGGUUCAUCUUGCGGCCCAUUGCUUCGAGGGGUCGGCGCGGCUAUGGUGGACAUAAGCGAAGAAAAGUCACUCGUUGGAACUCGCUUCCGUUACUUGGGAGGCAUUUUGGGAGAUGCUAUUGAUGGAGUAUUUUUCCGAGAGUGACAAGCGGAAGAUCAAAGAAGAUUUUCGAAAGUUGAGGCAAGGUAGUCGAACGUGUUAAGGAUUUUAUAGGUUGGCGAAUUUCGUAAAGUUGUUUGGAGUCUUGAAGAGUUGAUCGCAGAAGUUUUGAAGAAGAGAUUCAAAUUGGAGAACGAAGACUCAUUCGGAAAGCUCGACACCUAAGGUAUAAAGAAAAGAUCAUUUGUGGUGAAAAUAUCUAAUUAGAAUAAGUUCAGGAGGCUUAGAUUGCUUUAAAACAACUUUUCUGAACUUUCAUGUAUUCUGGGACCGGUCCCUGAAAUGGAGAGACUGGUUCCCCUAAGCUCCUCACUGCGUGAACCUUGAUGCAACCGGUCCCCUGUGAUGAGAGACCGGUUCCCGAACCAUGGUGUUUCUGUCGCGCAGCGAGGGACCGGUCUCAAGUUUGAGAGACCGGUUCCCGAACGUUGGGAUUUUGGUCACGCAGAGAGGGACCGGUUCCUCACUUGAGAGACCGGCCUCUCACAGACCGGUCUCCUCGAGAAGACCGGUCUCUGAGGACGCAUAGGUUUUUAAAAAGGACGUUUUGCAAUCCUAGUCUACUUCUAAGUCUUCUAAACAUAUAAAUAAGCUAUGUGGGUCAUCAAAAAGUUUAAGACUUUGAAUGUUUACCGAUUCUAAAUCCUAGAAACUCAUUUUUUUCUCCGUUUUCAAUGUUUAGAUUUACAUAAUGAGUUUCUAACAAUCAACAUUGGCUUGAUUCUUCGUUUUUACUCGAUACCUCUUACGAGAAUCAAGUAGAUGUUUGACAAAAGGUGAAUCCUCAUAGCUUAUGGUAUUAAAAGGUCAAAUCAUCACAAAUCUUCGAUUCUACAAGCUCCGGAAGGAGGUUCGGCGCGUGGAUCUCGCGUGAAGCCGAGGAUUCGGUGGACGCUUCGAGGAAUUGAGGCGUUGAUGCUGCGAGGAGUUGCAGCAAGGUCGAUUGGUGGAUUCUUAUCGAUCGAGGACCGGCGAAGAUCAUCAUCUACGGGAAAUUGGUAAAUUGAGUCGUGUGUUUUGGUCAAAAUCACUUGUACUCAUGUUUUCUUAGUGGAUUUUCUUUGCGUGAUUGGUCCCGUGGGUUUUUCACUCCGAUUUGGAGUUUUCCCACGUUAAAUUCUCGAUGUGCUCUUUUAUUUUUCGCUAUUUUAUUUUAUUUACAUCGAGAUUUUCGAGUUUGCCAUUUUUACACCUAUUCACCCCCCUCUAGGUGUUACUUACCUUUUAGAUCCUCGGGAUCCAUAUCUUACAGAACGGUGCGGGAGUACGAAAGGGAGUUCACGCACCUAGUUAAUUACGUGCCGAGCUUGGUUCAUGGCGAUAGGGACCGGGCAGAGGCUUUUGAGCGCGGGUUGCGACCCAAAAUAUUCAAGGUUAUUCAUGCGUUCCGCUUGAAGACCUAGGAGGAAGUACUUGAUCGCGCGCUUUGGGUGGAGCGUGGCAAUGCUAUUGUGCGAGAGGAGCGCGAGGCAUUCGAGAGGAGCGCGAGGCAUUUGAGAAGGACAAAGAAAGGGAUAAGUCCAAGAAGCAGGCAGCUAGUGGAUCCGCAGGGCAGUCGAGUUCUAAGCGACCCCCUCGACAUUAGUGAUCACAGUGGCGGGGAGGCAGGAGUCAGACACAGAGCCAGACUACCUACCCGUGCGUGAUUUGUGGCGGAGACCACCGAGUUACUACUUGCCAUCAGCGGGAGGGGCGGUGUUUUCGAUGCGGCCAAGCGGGCCACAUAGGCCGAGAGUGCCCGGGCGGCGCAUCACCUGCUCCGUCAUCAGCUUCAGUCCAGUAUACUCCACGACAGCUGGUGGGAUUGCCACCCACUGUGCUCUGUUGGACGUUCAUCAGUGCCUCGUCAGCCGGAGGCUUCUCGAGCACCUAGUGGGCGGGUUUUUGCCACUCAGGUGGAGGAGCCACCAAUCAUCGUUCCCGACGACGUCGUGGCAGGUAUUAUUCUGAUCAGAGGCACUAGGGCUAGAGCCAUAUUCGAUACGGGUGCAUCUNUGUGCUCUGUUGGACGUUCAUCAGUGCCUCGUCAGCCGGAGGCUUAUGGAGCACCUAGUGGGCGGGUUUUUGCCACUAAGGUGGAGGAGCAGCUGAUUCCAGUCCCCGUCGACGUCAUGGCAUGUAUUAUCUUGAUCAGAGGCACUCGAGCUAGAGCAUUGUUUGACACAGGUGCAUCGCAUUCAUGCAUAUCGGCAUCAUUUGCACUAGCUCAUGACAUAGAGGUUACGCAUAAUGAGGACUAUUGGUCGGUGAACACACCAGGGCAUUCGUUUCGUGUUUAUGACAAGUGUUUGGAUUGUCCAGUACAGAUAGGUGAUUGGAUCAUGCCGAUCGACCUAUUGGUAUUAAGGCAGAUGUGGUGCUUCGAUGUAAUCUUGGGGAUCAACUGGCUCUCCAAGUAUUACGCGGUCAUCGAUUAUGAAAGUAAGGUGAUCACAUUCUGUGAACCUAAUCAAGAAGAAUUAGUAUAUCGGGCAUGUAAAAGUAGGCGCUUCGCGGCGACCGUGUCAGCGGCGAGAGCGAGAAAAAUAAUUAAAGGUGGGUGUGUGGCCUAUUUGGUGACAAUGGUAAAAGCCCAAAAGGAGCACCCGGAAUUGGAGAACAUUCGGGUUGUAUGCGAGUAUCCGGAUGUGUUUUCGGCGGAGUUGCCGGGAUUGCCACCGGACCAAGAAGUCGAGUUCGUCAUUGAUUUGAUUCCCGAGGCGGCGCCAAUCUUGAAGGCACCAUAUAGAAUGGCACCGGUUGAGCUAAAAGAGUUGAAGGCUCAAUUACAAGACUUGCUCGAUAAAGGCUUUGUACGGCUGAGCGUGUCUCCGUGGGGAGCUCCGGUGCUAUUUGUAAAGAAGAAGGAUGGUACGCUUCGACUUUGCGUUGAUUAUCGCGAGUUGAACAAGGUGACGAUCAAGAACAAGUACCCGUUGCCAAGGAUUGACGAUUUAUUCGAUCAGUUGCAAGGGUCAAGGGUAUAUUCAAAAAUCGAUCUUCAAUUGGGGUAUCAUCAGUUGAAGAUACGGCCCAAGGAUGUGCACAAAAUGGUGUACCGUACGCGAUAUGGCCACUAUGAGUUCACAGUCAUGCCAUUCGGGCUUACUAAUGCCCCGACAGCCUUUAUGGGCUUAAUGAAUCGAGUCUUUCGUCCGCUAUUGGACUGGUGCGUCGUGGUAUUCAUUGACGACGUAUUGGUAUAUUCUCGGACCGAGGAAGAACACGAGAAGCAUUUGAGGCUCGUGUUGGACAUGCUCCGAAAAGAGAAACUAUAUGCAAAAUUAAAGAAAUGUGAGUUUUGGCUUUCGGAGGUUACUUUCUUGAGUCACGUUAUAUCCAGUGAGGGCAUCUCAGUGGAUCCAAAGAAAGUUGAGGCAAUUAAAGAUUGGCCUCGCCCGACAAGUAUAGCGGAGAUUCGUAGUUUUCUUGGACUUGCGAGCUACUAUCGGCGGUUCGUAGAGGGGUUUGCUAAGAUAACUACUCCACUAACUCGCCUUGCGCACAAAUGGGUGAAGUAUAUUUGGAGCCCCGAAUGUGAGUAGAGCUUCAAGGAGCUAAAGAAAAGAUUGACAUCGACCCCGGUACUUGCUCUACCGACGCCGAGGGAGAGCUAUGUAGUGUACAGUGAUGCUUCUUACAUCGAUCUCGGGUGUGUUUUGAUGCAAAAUGGCCGAGUUAUAGCUUAUGCUUCGCGCCAGUUAAAGAGUUAUGAAAAGAACUACCCAAUUCACGACCCCGAACUAGCGGCGGUUGUUUUCGCGCUAAAAUUAUGGAGGCAUUACUUGUACGGUGUGCAUUGUGAGAUUUACACGAAUCACAAAAGUCUCAAAUACUUGUUCACCCAAAAAGAGUUAAACAUGCGACAGCGGCGGUGGUUGGAGUUGCUAAAGGACUAUGACGUCAUUAUUCUAUACCACCUCGGGAAGGCGAAUGUCGUGGCCGAUGCUCUAAGUAGAAAGUCGGCAGAAAAUUUGGCGACGGCAAUUACACCCCAACCGGCAUUGCAAAAGGAGAUGCAACGGCUUGGUCUUGAGGUUGUGGCGCCGGGAGUGCCGGCAACACUUGCCACGUUGAUUGUGCAACCGAUCUUGUUGGAGAGGAUUAAAGAACUGCAAGUUUCCGAUUCAUUUCUCCAAAAGAUGCGGGGUAAAGUUGAGAGCGGUAAUGCCGAUGAUUUUGGCAUUGGGACCGACGGUACACUACGAUAUCGAAGUCGUUGGUGCGUGCCCAAGUACGAUGAUCUUGAGUGUGCGAUUAUGCAAGAAGUGCAUCAAUCUCCCUAUAGCAUUCACCCGGGCGGCACUAAAAUGUAUCAAGACUUGAAACUACAUUAUUGGUGGCCGGGCCUGAAAAAGGACAUAGGAGAGUUCGUGGCACAAUGUCUCACGUGCCAACAAGUCAAGGCGGAACGUCGAUUUUCGGCAGAAAGUUGCAAUCUACCUAUAGCCGUGUGGAAAUGGGAAAACAUUGCCAUGAAUUUUGUGACCGGGUUGCCUAGAUCCCAAGGUGGACACGAUGCGAUUUGGGUAGUUGUGGACCGGUUGACAAAAUCGGCACACUUUUUGCCCAUCCACACUACUUGGUCGGGAGACAAGCUAGCUCAGGUUUAUCUCAACGAGGUUGUGAGACUUCAUGAGGUUCCGGUAUCUAUUGUAUCGGAUCGGGACCCGAGAUUCACAUCACAGUUUUGGAAGAGCUUGCAAGACGCAUUGGGCACACGGCUCGACUUUAGUACGGCAUUCCAUCCUCAAAGUGACAGUCAAUCGGAGAGGACUAUUCAAAUACUUGAGGAUAUGCUUCGAGCGUGUGUACUCAACUAUAAGGGCGGAUGACACGAUCAUUUGCCGAUGGCGGAAUUCGCAUACAACAAUAGCUAUCAAGAAAGUAUUGUGAUGGCGCCAUUCGAGGCCCUUUAUGGAAGAAGUGUCGCUCGCCGAUUCAUUGGAGCGAUGUGGGCGAGAGGGUGACUCUUGGCCUCGAUGUGAUUCCGGAAGCCGAGGAGAAAGUUCGCCUUAUCCGCCAAAGACUUGCGACGGCGCAAUCUUGGCACGAGCUAUGCCGAUAGGCGAAGGAAAGAUAUAGAGUUUGCGGUUGGAGACCGCGUAUUUCUAAAGGUAUCGCCGAUGCGAGGUGUUAAGAGGUUCAGUGUCCGGGGGAAGCUAAGUCCCCGAUAUGUCGGACCCUUUGAGAUUUUGGAACGAGUCGGAGCGGUGGCUUACAAAGUAGCAUUACCACCGAGGCUUGCCGGGGUGAACGACGUGUUUCAUGUAUCCAAUCUCUGCAAGUAUGUCCAUGAUCCGGAGCAUAUUCUCUCGUAUAUACCGAUAGAGCUUCAAGAGGAUAUGACUUACGAGGAGUUCCCGGCAUUCAUCGUUGAUCGAAAGUGAGAAAACUACGGAACCGUGAAAUUCCGUAUGUUAAAAUCCAUUGGAGCAACCACAACGAUCGGGAGGAUACAUAGGAGCUUGAGGACGUGAUGAGAGAGCGUCAUCCUCAUCUCUUCGAAGAGCUGGAAUGAGGUAUGAAUUUAGAUUGUCGUUAAGUUGGUUUCGCGGACGAAACUAAUCUUAAGGGGUAGAGAAUGUAACAUAUUGAAACCUCGAGAACGAUUAUCAGACUUUAGCCAAAUUCACUAAAGUAUGCGAAAAAGAUAGAUGGACAAGUUGCAUUUAGCAUUCCAAUAAUGUUGGAAGGGUUAAAAAUGAGUUAAAGAAGAGUUAGAAAGGUUUUAGCAUCGACCGGCGCGAAGUAGAGUCGAAUCGGAGCUAAAACAGCAUUCUGGAGCAAGUGUACCGGUACAACCAGCGAGUUGUCACCGGUACAGCCCUGCAGCCCGAGAAGAGUAAGCUCUCGGGUUUGAGAAAAAUUGGAAGUGUAUCGGUACACUUUGAAAAUGUACCGGUACAAAUCCCGCGUAACCGAGAGAGUUGCUCUCGGGUUUGGCCUCUGCGCAGAGUUGUACCGAUACAAAAUAACGUGUACCGGUACACUUUGGUCUGGCAGUAAGGAAUUGAUCUGCUACAAAUAUAAAGAUUGGGAGGGCCUAGUUGCUAUUGUUGCAACAUGUUAUAACCAAAACACUCUUUCUCCUUCUCUCCCACAGCACACUCUCAUCUCCCUCUCAUUUUCCUCUUUCUCUCUCUAGAAAUCUUGCCCUAGAGCAAGGAGAAGAAGGAGAAGAAAACUUUGGAGAGGAUUUUUAGAGGGUUUGAAGGCUUUAAAAGCUCUCCAACAAGGAGGACUUGCAAGAGCUUGGGCCAAGGUGAGUUGCUAUGCAAAGUAGAUCUAGGGUUUUGGGUUUUUACCUUAGAAUUUGGAGUUUUAAUCCUCUAGCAAGGCUAGAAUCAUUGUAGAGGCUAUGAACACCAUGAAAUCCAUAAUUCUCAAAGUACUCUCAUGGUGAACUUCUAGGGUUCAUGUUUGAUGCCCUAAGAAUGGUCCAAAUAGCUUGGAAAUGAUAUUAGAGAGCUUUUUGAAAGGUUCUAACCUUGUUUUUUAUCAAACCAAGAAAUCCCAUUAUGGCAUUGUUAGGGCAUGGAUUUUUGGGCUUUUGCCUCCAGUUAUUUCUGAGGUAAAUUUACCUCUUGGAAACCUAAUUAGGGGUAUUCCCAACGUGUGGGACAACUCUGUUUGACGUUACGAAAAGUCUAUGUAAGAGAUCUUGUAUAUAGGGCCUAAUUCGGCACUAUUGUGGGUAUAGGUCGCGGGAAAGACGUCCUAAAAUCACGAGGGUCGAACUCCAAACUUCUACAAUAUUCAAAGUGGGGGGUGCACGCCGGAAUCAUUGGAUUCCCUUUUAUGUCUAUUUCGCCUUUUGUUGAGCAUUCUAUGUAUAGAACCAUUCAUGCAUGAUAGGGUAAAUUACAUGUGAAACUUGGUUAGACUUCAUUUAUAUACUUCUAACGUAGAUGAAUAUAGAGAAUGACAAGAACCAUAAUGAAUAUGUAUGGUAGAACCCUAAAGAUUGUAUGAAUGUAAGACUUGGACCAAGACAAUAGUAAACAAAGGUGAUAUUGACAAUAGAGACGAGAUUGGCAUUGAGACAUUGGUUGUUAAACAAAGUUUAAUCAUUAGAGGUAUUGUGACAAGAAUGACUUAGAAAGUAACAUGAACAAAUAGGUAGAAACCUAUUAUGAUAGUGGCAUUGUGGCUAGUGGCUAUACAUUCCCUAAGUGGGAAUUGGAUCGAUACUCACGAUAAAUCUUAGCUUGAGGGUGGUAGCUCCCUCUCAAGCGAUGCGUUCCGGAAUUGUCACCACGGAGAGCGUGGCCCCCGAAGAUGGUCCCUCGGGUCUUGUAGUGCUUAGAGCCUCCCCGAAUGUAAGGAAUUUUGGGUUGUGGGUUAUUGGGGUUAACAAGGUUAACCGGUAAGAUGGAGUAAAAGUCAAGGUACAGUUAUGGAAAAGCAUGCAUGCAUAUUUAAUAUUGCUUUGAUUAUAUAUCCAUUAACAGUUUUCUUGCAGACAUAGUAUUAGCAUUUGUAUGGUUACUACUUUUCUUUCCUUUAAAAUACUUAUGCCUGAAUAGACCUAGUGGGUAAGUCGGUGAGGUUGGUUGCCGAACCUACUGGAAACUUCGUUGUAGUUCUCACACCACUAACCCUACAGAUCCGAGCGCGAGCGGGGCGGUGGAGGAUCAAAGUAAGGGUAUCACGCCAUAGCUAGUGGCCACCGGAGUACUUGCAUUUUAGUCAUUCCCUUUUUGGUUCAUGUAUCAACUUUUAUUUUGUUGAUUUAUAGAUGUAAAAGUUGAAAACAAUUCAUAUAUUUUGGAGAAUGAUUAAGAUAUAAAAGCAUUUAUUAAUGAAAGCAAAGAGAAUGUAAUAGUUGUAAUUUACUAGUAUUUGGUUUAAAUGUAAUCAAAUAUUAUGUAUGGUUGUAUGUUUUAGCUUAGAGCUUUCGCUUCUAUUGUUGCUUGCUCUCGUGCAAGCCUUGUAUAAUUGUAUAUCUCUUUGUUUGGUUGCUUAAUUAUACUUGUUGUUAGAACCUUGGGCGGGCGGGGGAGGCCCUGUCCGUUCAGUGUCUGUUGGCGUGGCCCGAACCCGACCAAAUUGGCGGGGAGCGGGGCGUGACACCAAUAGUCCAUAUCGGAUGGGAAUAGGGUUAUAAUUGCUGAUGAUCCAAAUCGUUACAAUAGUACUUUUAGCUAUUAGUGUUUGUUUUGUUGAUUGCCAUGAGACUGCUGCACCAUCUAGAAAAAGUACAUAUCCGGUAGUGAACUUGAUAUCUAAGGUUUCACUAAUUAAAUUUGCAUCACUGUAGCCCUCUAAGACUGAAGGGUAACCACUAAAAUGUAAUACAUAUAACAGAGUGCCUCCAAUAUAAGCAAGUACGCUUUCAAGCUAGUGCCACCCAAUGCUCUCUACUUGAGUUACACAAAUAUCUACUUAGCCUAUUUAUAGCAAAAGCUAAACUAGAUCUAGUAAAAUUAACUAAAAAUUCUAAUGACCCUAUGAUUUGUGCAUAUUAAAUAUCAACACAUAUAGGAUUGAAUGUAUUUUUCUUUAAAUGUGUCGAAGGGUUAAAAGGAGUAUAACAGAUUUAAAAUCAAAGUACCCAAAUUUCCUUAGCAAUUGUUCGGUGUAAUGUUCUUGUGAUAAAAUUAUCAUAUUAUCCUUUCUAAUGAUUUUUGUCUUUAGGAUUAUUUUAGCUGCGCCUAAAUAUUCCAUAUCAAAAUUUUGAAUUAAUUAGUUUUUAGCAUAAUGGAUCACUUCCAUAUUAAUUCCAAAUAUUAAUAUAUCAUCUACAUAUAAGCACAUGAUAUUGCACCUUGAUCCCCUAUUCUUUUACUAUAAAUGCAUUCAUCGGACAUAUCAGUUUCAAAUCCAUUUGAAAUUAGAAGCUUGCUUGAGACCAUAUAAAGAUCGAUCUUUUGUCAAAUGGACUUUGUCCAACUAUUUCUCUUGCACACUUUGGUCAAUUUGACUAAAGUUUGAUAUAUUCUACCGAAGUUUCGGUAUAUUACAAGUUGUAUCUAAUUCCUGCUCGUUUCUCUAGGGAUAUCUUUGACCAGGUCAAAGGUUGAGGAGAGAGAGGCAUUAAUUUCUACUUCUAAAUUUUAAAUAGAGCCCCUCUCAAAUAUACUAAUAAAACUCCAUAUGAGCUAUAAAAAAUAGAAAGCCUAAUUUAAAUUUUAUUUAAGUGAGGGAUUGUUUAGCAAAAGUAAAACUAUCUAAAAUUAAAAGAACUAAAAUAGGACCUAAAACAGUUCAUGUAAUUUUUGUAGGACACGCAACAAAUAGCUAUGCAAAUAGAUUUUUAGUAAUUAAUUUUGAAAUAAGUAAAUUAAAUAAUACAAUUAUAGUCUAGAGAUGCAAUUUAUUUCGAAGACAAAUUUCCAUAUAUAAUUAACAUAAACAAUAAUAUACAGACACAUGAUCAAGUUUUAUAUACAAGAAUUAGACCUAGAGAUCAAAAUGAAGAUGAAAAAUAAAACCUAGAAGAAGUAAAAGAACAGGAAUAUCUAAAGUUUAUGAAGAAGAUUCCUACAUAAUUCUAUUAGAAGAUAUACCUACAACUUAUGAGGAGCAACGAAAUUCAUAGAUGCUGAAUUUUGGAAAGAGACUAUAACAAAUAAAAUUCAAUCAAUUGGAGAAAAUCAAAUUUGCAUUUUAUCUAAUUUACCUCCUGGAUGAUAGCCAAUAGGUUGCAAAUGGAUAUUCAAAAAGAAAUUGAGACCGGAUGGUACUGUAGAAAAAUAUAAAGCUCAAUUAGUAGCUAAGAAAUUUACCUGGAGUCAAUUAUUUUGAUGUUUAUGCUCCAGUAACUAGAACUACAACAAUUAGAACUCUAUUAGCUCUAACAUCGAUACAAAAAUUAAUUAUACAUCAAAUGGAUGUUAAAACCGCAUAUUUUAAUGGAGAUUAGGAAAAGAAAUCUAUAUGAUGCAACUAGAAUGAUUUAUAAUACCGGGCCAAGAAAAUAAAAUAUAUAAGUUAAAUCGAUCUUUAUAUGGUCUUAAGCAAGCUAAUAUGCCUGAACAAUAAUAAAUGUGAUGCUCAAUAGUAUGCUCAUGUUGAAUGCAAGGUCACAAUCUCAUACCCAAUCUCUUGGCUAAUCCGUAGGUUUCGCCCUCAACGACUCACCAACCAAAUCCCUAAUAUCGGGGAGAUACCCGCUACAACCCGACCGGACCGUCCUCUGGGGGAAACUCGCUACGACCCAGUGAUGACAACUUCGGAGCACAUCGCUCGAGGGGGAGCUACCACCCUUGAGCAAGGACUUACAGGUGAGUAUGAUCCCAUCCUUAACUAUAAGGAUGUCAAGUCUAAUCCAUUUCUUGACUACAAGGAAACAAUGCACAUAUGACCCUUAACUCUAAGGUUGUUAUGUCAUAAUGUCGCUAUCUCUAUUUACUUGCAUUCUUUAACCUUUUUCUAGUGUCAUAUACACUACAUUGUUCUUAUACUCAAUCAUCGAUGCCACACUUAUUUUCUAAGUGUCCACUCUAGCAUAUCUUGACUCGUCGAUGCCACUCUCUACAAUUAUGUCAACAUGUCACUUUUGUUCUCUAAAGCUACUAAGUUCUUGUCAUUUCUCAUGUAUACAUAGGGUAAAUAAAUUUCUCACAUUCUUACAAAUAUUUCACAUGCAUUUAAACUCACAACAUGCAAAUAGAAGCUUACAAUUACCCUACUAUGCAAUAUGCUCAAUAUACAUACAUAUGCUCAAAUGUGACACUUUAGACAUAAAAGAAAUUUCGAGGUCCUUGGAAUGCACUACCUACCUUAGAAGGUUGAGAGGAUACUACGGUGAAUUUCUUGAAAUUUUUGAAGCUUUACUUUUUCGUCUGCGGCAAAACGAAGCCGAAUUAGGCUUUUUAUCAAUAACUCCAUCUAAACCUUUUCGUAACGUUAAACGGAGUUGUCCCACGCGUCGGGAAUACCCCUAAUUAGGUUUCUAUGAGGUCAAUUUGUCUUAGAAACACUCGAAGGCAAAAACACCAAAUUGGGUGCCCUAAUAAUGCCAUAUAGAGUUUUCUCUUAGAUUGAUCUCAUUCCUAAGCAAAAACUAGCUUAGAAUCAACUAGAAAGCAUUCUAAUAUCAUCACUAAGCCUUUCCAAGCAUCCCUAGGGCAUCUACUUUAAACCCUAGGUGUUCACCAUUAGAGCACCUUGGGAAAACCAUAGUUUCAUGGUGAACAAAGCUCAACCAAGCUUCUAAACAUGAGAGAAUCUCAAAACUCUAAGUUCUAUAGUGAAAAUCCAAACCCUAGAUGAGUUUUUACCCUAAACUCACCUUAGCCAAAAGCUAUCCCCAAGUCCUCCUUGUAGGAGAGCGUCUAGUGCCUUCAAAUCCACGAAGACCUCCUCUCAAGCUUCUUCUCCACCUCUUCUUAGCUCUAGGGCUUGGUUCUAGAGAGAGAAAGAGAGAAAUGAGAGGGGAGAGGGUGCAGUGGCUGUGGGAGAGAAAGAGAAGGGUGUUUGGGGUGUUAACAUGUUGUAACAAUAGCCAAAAAGCCCUCCAAACACUUGUAUUUGCAGCAGUUUUCAUUUUGCUGUCAGACCCAAAGUGUACCGGUACACUGUAGCUGUCACCGGUAACACGAUUACGCAGAAGCAAACCCGAGAGCAAUUCUCGCAGGUUUUUCCAAAGUGUACCGGUACACUAUAGCUGUCACCGGUAACACAGGCAAAAUUUUCUCAAAUUCGAGAGCUUUUCCUUCUCUGCCUGCAAUGCUGUACCGGUGACAACUCGAUGGUUGUACCGGUACACUUUGCUCCAGAAUGCAAUUUUGCGCCGUUUUCGAUUCUGUUUCGCGCUGUUCGAUGCUAAAAUCUUUUUAACACCUCUUAAACUCAUUUUUAGCCCUUCCAAUCUCGUUGGAAUGCUAAUUGGAACUUGUUCAUCUAUUUGUUUCGCAUUAUUCACUUUUAAAUCGCGCUGAGCAAUGCUAAAACUUGCUUAACACUCUCGGGACUCGACUUUGACCCUUCCAACAUUGUUAGCAUGUCAACUAGAGUUUGUCCAUCUAUUUCUCUCGGCACUUUAAUCCAUUUUGGCUAAAGUUCGAUACGUUACGUGGAGGGUUUCCAAAGCCAAAUGUAGAGCGACAUGUGGUACACCAGGAUCUAGGAAGAACGCACCCAAAACCAAAAAUUGGUUGGGCGAUAUGCAAUUAAGAUCAGCCAGGAGCGGCCUGCAGAAGCAGGGACAUGGCCAAGACACACUCCGUAAUGGGGAAUAAUUGAAUAACGAUAGGCGGGAUUAUUAAUAAAUAAAAUAUGCCUACCAAAAAGGCCUUUUUUCUUGUGAACUAGAAGACUAUUCUAUUUCCAACAUUUUUCUAAUUUUCUAGUAGUAAUUUACUUGUAAUUUUUAACUUUCUUGCAUUUCCUGCUUUUCUAGGAAUAGUUUGUUAAGAUAGAUUUGGGUUAAUUACACAAUUGGUCCCCAACCUUUGCAGUGUUUUCAAUUUGGUCCCGAACCUUUUAUUUUUUGCAAUCGAGUCCCUAACCUCUUAAUUUUACUACAAUAAAGCCCCCGUUAAAAAAGGUGAUAAAUUAAUAGAAUCGCCACUUCAGCGCCACGGAGGUGCCAUGUCAGCACCAGUGAAUUAUAUAAUUUAAAUUUAAAUUUUAUAUUAUAAAUUUAAAUUUAAAUUUAAAUUAUAUUUUGAAUUAAAUUAUAAAUUCAAAGAAAUAUUUUAAUUUAAAAUAUAAAAUUUAAAUUUAAAUUUAAAUUUUGAUUUUGGAUUCAAAUUCAAAUUCCAAUUUUAUAUUUAAUUUUAAAUUAAAAUUCACAUUUUGAAUUCUAAUUCUAAUUUAAUUUCAACUUUGAUUUGGAACUUCAAAUUCAAAUGUGAAUUUGAAUUUGAAGUUUAAAUUCAAAUUUAGAAUUGGAAUCAAUUUCAAUUCAAAUUUAAAAUUUGAAUUCAGAUUAAAAUUUUAAAAUCAAAAUUUUGAAUAUAAUUUUAAAUUUAAAUUUAGAUUUUAAAUUUAAAUUUUAGUUUCAAAAUUUUCAUUUUAAAUGGAAAUUGAAAUAUCAAAAUCAAAAUCAAAAUCAAAAUUUUAAGUUUGAUUUCAAAAUUAAAAUUCAACUUAAAAUUCAAAUUUAAAAUUUGAAUUUCAAUUCAAAUUUUAAUAAAGCUUUAAAUCAAAAUUAUAGCUUUAAAUCAAAAUUAUAGCUUUAAAUUCAAAUUCAAAAAUUUUAAUAUCUCAUUAGUUUUUAAUUUUAAAUCAAAAUUAUAGCUUUAAAUUCAAAUUCAAAAAUUUUAAUUUCUCAAUAGUUUUUAAUUUUAAUUUUAAUAAAGCUAUAUAUCAAAAUUAUAGAUUUAAUAAAGCUUUACAUCAAAAUUAAUGCUUUAAAUUCAAAUUCAAAAUUUUUUAUUUCUCAUUAGUUUUAAAUUUUAAUUUUAAUAUUAAUUUCAAAUUUCAAAUUUUUAUUUUUUGGAAACUAAAGUGAAAAAGGUGCAAAGUUUGGGAACCAAAAUUGAUGUGCAAAAAGAAGCCAAGUAGGCGCUGACGUGGCGAUUCCGUUAAUUUUAACACUCUUUUUCAGGAUUGGGACUUUAUUGUAAUGAAAUCAAGAAGUUAGUUACUCGAUUGCAAAAAAAAAGGUUGGGGACUAAAUUGAAAAAUAACGCAAAGGUUGGGGACCAAUAAUGUCACAUUCGGGCCCCAGCAGAAGCCUACCCGACAGUGCACAUACCCGCCCGCCGUGUGCACAAGGUGCUCCCGGUGCACACAAGGCGUCUACCACAAAACAAUCAAUUAAGGAAAAUAAGGAAAUUAUACUAGUAUGGUAAUCAAAGCAUAAGUACUAAGCUAUACAAUAAAUCAACAAGCACUAAUGGAAAUAACGAGUUACUACAAUAAAGAUACAUCUAUCACAAGAUAUACAUCAAGUGCCAACAAGAGAGUAUAUCACAUGAAUAUGGUAGUCUCUAUACAAAAUGAUCUAAUACACAUUUCGUGACUAAAACAAAAGAAAGGUGUCCACCUAGGCAACGACUCCCAAAAGGCUCACCGACCGUCCCUAGAGUAAGUGGCAAAGGGCUUGGUGGUUGGUACCCGAGACCCAAGUUCGAAUCCUAGUUGAUUCACAUUUCUAGCUAAGUUUAUUUCUAAAUGAAAUAAACGAAGCGGAUAGCGUGCUACCUAUUUCUCAAAAAAAAAAAAAAAAAAAAAUCCCAAAAGGCUCUAACUAGUCGCAACUCCCUUGCCGCGAUCUCUAACCUCUCCCGCAGUGGAAGGCUCUGAAAUAAAAACAACAAACAUAUGAGGGUGAAAACUAUUAAACAAUAUUUUCUAGUGGGUAAGCCGCCGAGAAAAGCGAAUUACACUACUAAGUCAACUGGGCAAAAGUAGAAAUAGUUACUAAUAAAGCAUGAAUAAAGUCAAGCAUUAAGGUUCAAAUACUACUAUACCUCCAAAUAACUAUAUUAUUUAACAUAUGUGAGAUUUACACUAUCACUUGUACAUGCAUACAAUGUCUAGUAAUUAUGUCCAAAUGUCAUGCACUAUUUAAUUGUGAUGUCCAACAAUAAAUGUAUUUACAAUUACCCAACCAUCGGGGACGUACACAAGGUAUAAUCCCGACUUGUGCUGUACCUAAUGGCCCCGUGGUAGUUAACACUUCCCUGCUAGAAAUAAGUCUCGCCCACGGCAAUUCACUUCGGCGCCCAAUCUCGUACGGGCAAGCAUGAUGUUGCAAAGGCUAACUCCAAAGUGCCGGCUUGUAGGGAGCAACCCUACAACUUCCUUCCCUUUAUGUUGAUAAACAAAUCCGUAAAGAAUUAUUUGAAAAAACAUUGCCAACUACAGGAGUUUCAUUAAGAUAAUCAAACUACUGUAAAACUAUAUACAAAUUUUUCCAGAUAAAAUGUUUAUUUAUUUUAUUCUAACUUUUAUAUAAAAUUUUAUUGUCAGCUCCACACAACCUGCUGAUGACAUCCAAGAAAUCCAACCUGCGAAAUGAUGUCGAUUUAUGUAAUGUCUAAUAACAAUUCAACAAGCUAUUCAUAUAUUUAAUAUAAUUUAUAUUUAAUUGUUUAAAUUUAUUUGUAGAUGUCAAAAGGCUACUACAUGUACAAUAAGAUGAAGAGGAAGAUAAAGAAUUAAAUGAAAUGAUGAUUUUAAUUGCUGCGGUUGCUGCUUGACAUUUAUAAUUGUUAACUUAUUUGAUAAAGCUAUUAGCAUAAGAUAAUCGCACUCUACUAUGAGUUUUUUUUUUAGGAUUUUGAUUCUAAUUUUAUUUAAUUUUAAAAUUUUAAUAAUAAUUAUUAUAUAUAUUAUUUUUCUAAAUAAUUAACCCGUAGCGAAGCGUGGGCCCUUCACUAAACAAUAAUAAAAUGAGGGUCCAUCUGCAGAGAACAUCAUCAAUAAUACAGUACAAUCGUGCUACCAAAAAAAAGAAGAAAAGAACGAGGCUGCUUCCAUUUAAAGCCGAUAAAUAAAUAAAUAAAUAAAUAAAUAAGCGCGUGUUAAAGUUAAAAUCCAAACUAUGCUAUGCACCCUUCUCUCGUCUGCUACAGAGACAAACUCCACCGCUCUCUGAGACCCUUGCUGUUCCCGCCACUCGUUCGGCGAAAUGUCGCGGCCAAAUCUUGCGGAACUAAACCAUUCACGACUCAUGAAGCAGUUGGUCUCUUCCUUCGAGCCCAUCGUUCGGACGUAUCCCCCCUCGACGAUUCCACUCUUUCGUCGAUCCUCAGACUAUGCGGAGCAUUAUCGGAUGUUGUAUUCGGAAAACAAUUGCAUUCGCUUUGUGUUAAGUAUGAUCAGGACAAAGCUCUUAGUGUGGGAACUUCUUUGUUAGGCAUGUACGCCAAGUGCCACAGCAUCGAAGAUGCAGCGAAGGUGUUCGAUGGAAUGCCCGAAAGAAAUGCCGUCGCAUGGACGACACUGAUUGCGGGGCGUACCCAGUGCGGGUCCCGUGAAUCCGUGCCGGAACUCUUCUUUCGGAUGCAAGUGGAAGGAUUUUGGCCCAACCCGCUCACCUUCUCCGGUGUUCUUGCAGCUGCCGCGGCCGACAGAGCGAUCGAGCAAGGGAAGAGGGUGCACGGCCAGCUGAUUAAAUUUGGGUAUCGGUCCACCGUCUUCGUGUGUAAUUCGCUUAUUAAUAUGUACUCAAAGUGCGGACAAGUAGAAGAAUCCGUGUUGGUAUUUGAGAGGAUGGAGAACAGAGAUGCCGUGAGUUGGAAUUCCAUGAUCGCGGGUCUCGUAUCAAAUGGCCGCGAUCUCGAAGCAUUACAGCAUUUCUAUCAAAUGAGACUUUUGGGGGUGAAGCCAACUCAGCUAAGCUUCGCCACGGUGGUUAAACUUUGUGCAAAUCUAAAACAGUUGGAUUUCGCACGGCAACUCCAUUCUUGCGUAGCGAAAGAAGGGUAUGGAUCGGAUGGCAAUAUCAUGACUGCUCUAAUGGUCGUCUACAGCAAAUGCAAUAAACUAGAAGACGCCUAUGCGUUAUUCUCUUCAAUGGAAGGGGCUCGAAAUGUGGUCUCUUGGACUGCUAUAAUUAGCGGGUAUAUACAAAAUGGAGAUGCUGCUCGUGCUGCAGUUCUGUUUGGCCAAAUGAGGAAAGAUUAUGUCGAGCCGAAUGAUUUCACCUACUCUGUAAUUCUGACGACUUCUCCAACUAUAUCACCCUUUGAAAUCCACGCGCAAGUAAUCAAAAGCAAUUAUCAGCAUGCUCCUUCGGUCGGAACCGCUCUGCUAGCUGCGUACUCUAAAAUUGGGAAUACCCGAGAUGCCCUUUCUAUUUUUGUAAGGAUUGAAGAUAAGGACAUUGUCGCGUGGUCGGCAAUGCUAGCGUGCUAUGCCCAAGCAGGGGAUUGUGAAGGUGCGGUGAAACUGUUUGAAGAAAUGGGAAAGAAGAAAGUAAGACCAAACGAGUUUACUCUUUCGAGCGUUAUCAAUGCCUCCACUUGCCCGACCGCUGCUGCAGACCAGGGCAAGCAAUUCCACGCGAUAUCGAUCAAGUAUAGAUAUCACAACUUUCUCUGUGUUAGCAGUGCUUUACUCACUAUGUAUGCGAAAAAGGGUUGCAUAGAGAGUGCACAAAAAGUGUUUGAGCGGCAAUUAGUGAGGGACUUGGUCUCGUGGAAUUCGAUGGUAUCUGGGUUUGCUCAACAUGGAUAUGGAAAGAAGGCCCUCAAAAUAUUCAAACAAAUGGAAGAUCAGGGCAUGGAAAUGGAUGGGAUCACAUUCAUCGGUGUUCUAUCCGCAUGCACUCAUGCAGGUCUUGUAGAAGAAGGGCGGAGGAACUUCGAUUCGAUGGUGAAAGACCACCAAAUUAGUCCUACAGAUGAACACUAUUCUUGCAUGGUCGAUCUGUAUAGUCGAGCAGGUAAGCUUGAAGAAGCAAUGAGUCUCGUACAGGGGAUGCCGUAUCCAGCUGGCACGACCGUGUGGCGGACACUCUUAUCUGCGUGUAGGCUUCAUAAAAAUAUUGAGCUCGGAAAGCUCGCUGCUGAAAAGUUGAUUACGAUGGAGCCACAAGAUUCGGCUGCUUACGUGCUUCUGUCCAAUAUUUAUGCCACUGCGAGGAGAUGGGAUGAGAGGGCGAGCGUACGGAAGCUUAUGGAUGAGAGGAAAGUGAAGAAAGAAGCAGGGCGCAGUUGGAUUCAGGUUAAGAACAAGGUGCAUUCGUUCGUAGCAUCAGAUAGGGUCCAUCCCAUGUCGGACAAGAUAUAUGAGAAGCUCGAGGAUAUGCUGAGUAGAUUGAAGGGGGAAGGGUACAAGCCUGAUACGGAAUAUGUGCUUCACGAGAUGGAAGAAGAGCAGAAAGAAGAUAUGUUGUUCCGGCAUAGUGAGAAGCUAGCACUCGCAUUUGGGUUGAUGGUCACACCAGAAUGUGCUCCAAUCCACAUUGUGAAGAACCUUCGGAUAUGCGGGGAUUGCCACACGGUGAUGAAGAUGGUGUCGGACGUUGAGGGGAGGGAGAUUGUUGUUAGGGAUUCGACCCGAUUCCACCAUUUUAUGGGUGGUUCGUGUUCCUGUGGGGAUUACUGGUGAGGUGAAGCAAAGAAGAGUUUCAGCUCUUCUUGUGAAGCUUUGAGGAGGUUCGGAAGCUAUCGAAUGCUCGAGCUGAAGCAUUAACGAACAUAAAAUGCAUGACCAUUGGGGCAUUUUGUAAAGAAAGGGAGGUCACCCCAGACAUUUGUACAAUACUUUCACGUCGAGCCACUCCUGGAGCGAGUUAAAGGGCCUGCCAGCGAGAGUAAGAAGUGGGGUUAUUAACGAACAACGAAUAAUAAACUCAGUGGCUCAUUAGGCAUCCAGAAUUGGCUUUUUGAUGGAAUAAGACGAGAGAGAUGUUUUGGGGCUAGCUGAUCAGAAGCAGCAAGAGUUAAUGAUAGGUUUAGGUACUUGUAAGAAUCGAGAGUUACAAGAGGUUGAGAUUAUCGAAUUUGGUUGGACCAAAUAAUCUCCCUCCUUUGGGCACUGUGACCUGGCUUCGAAUCCUGAUUUGAGCAGGAUGUGUGCUUGCUUGGGGCCUAUGGACAUUUUUAGAAAAAAAAACAACUCUCUAGGAUGAGAUUACCGAAUCGCAUUCAAGAAGCCUAGAUCGAACAAGAUUGGAUUUGAAUAAUUCUAUCGUAUAGUAUCGAACCCAUUCGUACAUAUUGUGACCUUCAACACCUCAGAGUUGCUAAACCUUCCCUACCCCCAACAUCAGUCUCUUAAUCCAAUUGAAAUCAAUCUUGAGUGCUAAACAAGGGCUCCAGAUAUAAAGUUAGAGAUGGUAUAUUUCCACCACAAUGCAGAAUGCAGAAAUGGAAGGUCAUGUAUGCAAUAUCUGGAUAAGUGAGUGCUUUUUAGAAAUCCAGGGAGUAUAACACUGGACAAUGAUUAAGGAAGUUAAGAUGACAGAAGAAUACACUUGGGAGUACUGAGAAACUCGUCAUCAAGUGAGGCUUUUUGACUUCCAUUUAUUUAUAAUGCAUUGAAACAGUUUUCAUGUUUGGAGCGUUGAAGUAGAUGUCACUGUUUUUCUUUCCUCUAAUUUGGCUUGAUUACGCUAUACUACAACACUGUCUUUAGGGUUUUUUUUUAAAAAAAAAAAAUUCUACACUGUACUCUUUUUUUUUCUUUUUUUUCUUUUUUUAAACACACUACUAAACUGUAUGCCUUUAUCAAUGUGUACAUUACAAGUAAUAAAUCAAAAGUUUCAGACGGAAGCAAACAGAUCCAUCAAAAAAAUGCUGCUUGAAAAUAGCAGAGUAUAUUCAACCUAUUUUGACAAGUAAAAAAAAGUAAACAAAACUUAAAAUUAACAUGAAAAAUAGUUGAAAACAACUUGAUAAAAUCUUUUAAUGAUUCCAUAUUAGAGGCUCAUUUUGUUUUUUUCACGACUAUCUAAUAAACAGAUGUCAAUAGAGUAGUUAGCUUCUAUUAGGAAUAGUAAAUUUAUUGAUAGUAAUAUAGGAGCAGAUAAAAAAAAAAAAAUUAUUAGUUUAGUGGUGCCCUUGAAUAAAGUAAUAAAAGAUGGUAAAUAAAAAUAAAUCUGGUGUGUAGUAUAAAAAUGAAUAAAAAAUUGAUAUUAGUACAAUUGUAUCUUCAAAAACAAAUAGUGCAAUGCAGCAAACAAGAAAACAUUGAAGCAUAGUGCGGAAGGGUGCAAUCAAGCCCUAAUUUUUCGGUUGCUUCACCUACUAAUCCUCGAACUUGUAAUGAACUUUCAAUUUUGUAUUCGAAACUUGUAUGUUCCACAUUCCACAUCCAGUACUUUUUGAAAUGUUUUUAUUUUGUCCAUAUCUUAACGGAACUACUGUUGCCUAUGCAUCAGUUCACGCACACCAAGUACUAAUCAUCAGUGAUUCCAUUUCGUACUUUAAAUCCCAAUGACUCACAAAGUUGAGGCCUUCUCUUUACUGUAAGACCAAACGAAUGGACUCAAUGGGUGCAUGUUUCAUAGAAUAAAGAAUGUACGAGGUGCAUGCGUGGGGCUAAAUGACACAGAUCUAAAAUUUGGGAUGUCGAAUGUUGAAGUUAAAAAUUCAGAGGGGGAAAGUGAAAUCCGACAAUAAGUCCAGGCACUAGUAUAGCAUUUCACACACCUGUCUCUUUGCAUCGCAACCUUCAUAUGUUUUCCUCGGCCAUAUCAACAAUUUAUUUUGAUCUUACAGAAACAAAAUUCUCAGAGGUUUCCUAAAGAAACUGGAGAAAUGGUUUUUUGCCAGUCACUCAAUGCCUCUACAGCAGAAAUUCCAUCAUAAUAUGUAACAAGAACAACAACAGCAAGAAGUAUUAGAAGCAGCGCAUGUGAAUGUGCUAAUGUUGCUAUGUUCAAACUUUUGAAGAGCCAUUCAUUUAGUAAAUAGCGUAUGAAUCAGUUAAGUAUACUUGGAUUCCGCAGAUUGACAAUUUAGAUUCCGACAUUUUUGCUCAUAAGGCAAUGAAAUCUCCAUAUUCCGGGACGAAAACUAAGGAAAGUCGACUAAUCAUACUUGCAUAAGCAGGCCUUUGACAUAUGCAAGAACCAUCGGAACAUCAAUUGUCCAUGCGACCGAGAUUGGCAAGUAGCCAGACCAAGGGUUGGUUGAAUUCCACCUGCACCCACGUUCAAACACAGUAAAGGGAAGAACCAGGGAGAAGAAACCAGAAAAGUUUGCAAUACAUAGAAAACCAAGUGAAGCCCUACUUUUUCAAUCCCUGAUCCAUUAAUGUAUGUCCAACACAAAUGCCUUGCGUCUCAACUCUCACAACACCCUUCUUGAAGGAGAAAAGAUCCGGGCGAACUAGCGCUGCAAAGCUUACAGGGUCAUGUAGGAAAAUCCCUACAUCAAGAGAUGUAUUUUGGUUAAAGCCAUCUGACGUCUCAUUGAGAGAGAGAGAGAGAGAGAGAGAGAGAGAGAGAGAGAGAGAGGGAGGGAGGAAGGCGGUUCCAGAGGUACCAUGAACACCGUCGGAUUUGACAUGCCAGUCUCUGUAGAAUUUGCACAUAUCACAUACGAAUUGUGCAUACUUCCCUUUAGAAUUUCUUAGCUCCAUCAGGUCUGCGUCUGAAAUCAGAAGAUAUCAUGGUUAGUGGGUUGUGCUAGUAGAAAAAUAUCAAGAUAUGAUAGAGAGAACACAACAUAAAAGGAGGACAAAAACCUGUUAAAGUGACUUGAGUGGUGAUGUUAAUGCCAACAACAGCAAUUUCAGCUCCAGAUGUAAAUACAAUGUCAGCUGCUUCGGGAUCUCCAUAGAUCUGAAAAGGUCAGAUGAGUUUCUGUAGCACUUAUUUGUUCAUCCAUAAUAUUCGUAAAGUUUUGAACACAGCUAAGACAAAGAUAAUUCCCAUUGAAAUAGUAACGGACUAAGAUUUACAAGGAUUAAAAAGUCUCCAGUUGAAGAAUAAAGAGUCAAGGUAACAUCUAGAGACUUCAUAUUUUCUUUCGAGCAUUUAAAGAGCAAAGAUAAUACCUAACACUUGAUUGUGCAAAACUGAGAUUCUGUGUGGAUUAAAGCAUCUGUUAAUGAAAUGGCCCAGAAAGUGGUUGUAUUUGACAUCAAAACAUAACAGCAAGCAGGUGAAAACAACCAAGGAAAUGCAUUUAUAAUGACAUCACCCACCUCUAAAAUGAUUAAUAAUUCUUUACAGAUAAGAAUGACUUCAUUAGGAUUCAUAAUGAAGUGGUUGGUGCUUAUCAAUGAGUUAAAAGAGGUCCGAAUAGCUCUAGACAUGUUAUUAAUAUCAUAGGCUGGGUACUAAAUACAAAGCCUAGCCCUGGCUACUCUAAUGAUAGAGAUCCAUUCUUUGUGGUUCAAAAUGUCAAUGGAGGCAAUUCAAAUUACUUCGGUUAUUAGUAGCUGAAGUCUCAGUUGAAAGCAUCCUUUACAUCAUUCAUUAAAUCAAGUUUGCACGAUGUUUAAUAAAAAAAUUGAAAAAAACAAACAAAAACCAUAUCCAAAUUAUUCUUACAUUUGCUUCAGCAGCAGGAUUCACAUUACCGGAUGCAAAAAAAGCUCCACCCAGUAUAACCACUCUUUUCACGUUCUUUGCGAAGGAGUCAUCUUUUUUAAUGGCCUGAAAUAGUAGGUAAGAAAACUUGGUUAUGAACCUGAAAAUUGGAUAUGCAAUCACUUAUAGAGACAUCCUGAGAUAGUGACUAAACGCAGUAUGGUAAAAUUUAUAGUGUUAAAAGGUCACUAUCAUAGAUAAACUUCUUCUGUGAUUACUAGUGGAUCGUAGAAUCUUACCAAAGCUAAGUUCGUAAGAGGUCCAAGUGCAAGUAUAGAUACCUCGCCAGGAAACUCAGAAACCUUAUCAAUCAAAAACUCAGCAGCACUUUUAUCAUGCUUUUUACCAUUAGGUGGUGGGAGAAAUAUAUUCCCAAGACCAUCAGAUCCAUGGACAAAGUCAGCAAUGCGUGGCUCUCCUCCCUAUCCAAACAAAAAUCGCAAGUUCUAUUAGAAAACAAUAAAAUUCAAUAAAGUAAAUAACAAACUAUCCUGAGCAUCAAUAUAAAGCAUAAUGCACUAAUGAAAAUAUGGCAAAAUGAUGUGGCCACUCCAAACAAGAGAAAAAUGCUAGAAAAUCAAUAUAGCAAUCCCUUCAUUAUAAAGACAUUUAAACACUGAAGUAUAACACCAUUUGGUGAGCACAUCAAACACAAGAGGCUAGAAAACUAGAGGUCUCAACAUUUUUAGGCGGAAAACGAAAAAUAAAAUGGCAAAAUCAAGAUAUAACCGAAGAAGUGGGGAAAUUAUAUUACAAAAUCUGUGAAAUAUUUAUUUGAAGUUGAAAAUAAACCAGACAAACUUAUAAUAACCUCCAAAGGGAUAAGAAAGUUUAUUCAACAAAAUUCAAAUUCAAUCGUAAUUAGCAUUCCCUCAAUCUAGCUAAUCAACCCACUAUUCAUCAACAAGUGUUUUUAUUUUGUAGACAACAAUCUAUAGAAGUGGUUUAACAUUCAUCGAGCAAGCAACAGCCGUCUUGAAGGAAGCUAUUCAAAAACAGAUCAAACUCUUUCUACUUCAGGAACAACCAUAUACUGUAUACCUUGUGCAUGGUUGAGAAUAAGAACAAUAUCACAUCCAACCCAGUAGUCAUUAUCAAUAUAUGAGUUUCUACUAAAGGAACUCAAAAAAUGAUCAAAGACGCAACAACUGAAAAAUCACAUUUCAGACUUGAGAGUAAGCUUAUAAGAGCAUCACACUAUGACAGAAGGAAACCUCCAGAGAGGGACGCUCAUUCAAGCCACAAUCCCAGUGGUGGAAAAAUGUUCUAGACACUAGUAGACAUAUUUAAAUGUGAGAUUAUGUUUGAUGUAUGGAAUGGCAAAAGCAUGAAAUUCUGGACAGAUAUAUGGAACAAAAACACCUCAUUGGUCACUUCUUACACGGGCAUAUACGAAAGAAUAGCACGCAAGGAAAUAGGGUCUCAGAUGGAUGGUCCAGUAGAGAAUGAAGUUAGAAUUUUAUUUUCCAAGGAUUCAAGGCAGGGACACAGCAGGCAACAAAUUGGUUCAAGAGCUUAAGAGAAUGCUUGAUGAGUUCUCUCUAAAUGAAAGGACCACCGUUGUCAAAUAGAGAUGGUCCACCAAUGAAUGCUUCACUAUGAAAUCGUGUUACAAGCUCAUUUCAGACGAAGGGAUAAGGGACCACACCACCCCGUAAUUAUGGAAUUGAAAAUUGCAUUGAAAGUAAAGAUUUCAAGAGGGGAUGGGCAGGGGAACAAAUAUGUGUAUUAUGUAGCAUUGAGAACAAAGAUGUGUAUUUUGGCUUGAUUUUCUGUAGUUUCUAUUUUUAUUUUCAUUUUCUCUAUUAUUGUACUUAAUUUUACCUCCUUUUUCGAUUUCAGAGGCCUAGUUGCCUCAGUUUCUAUUGCCUAGUUCAUUUUACUAACGAAUGAAGCCGGUGGUAUACUACCUUUUCUCAAUAUAUAUAUAUAUAUAGCACUCUUCGAAAAACAACAAUAAUUAAUAAGAAUCACUUACCUUUAGAGGCUCAGGGCUACCUUCUGCAACUGGAACUUCAGUAUGUCCUGCUAUCUCACACUAUCCUUUUACACAGUAUUGAAUCAUAAGUGACAAUGAAUGCCACUAAAAUAAUAAGCAAAUAAAGCAAAUUUACAAAUAAUAAUUUAUUUACUUAUAUUGCGUAUUUUAUAAAUCAGCAUCUAAAAAGGAAAAUACCAGUAACAAAGCAUUGCGAGUAGCAUCUUCUGUGCUGACAUUACCAAAUAUUGUUGUCAAACCUAUAACUUCAAUCUCUUUCGCUUGAAAUGCCAUCAAUAUUGUCAUGCUAUCAUCUGGAAACAAAUCAGCGGACAAAAAUAAAACAAGAACAGUCUAUCUGGAGGAAAAGAAUAAGCAGACCAAAUUUAUUAAUAUUGCACUCUUCAUCAUUGUGACUAUAACAUAGAAAGUAACAGAAGAAAAAAAUAUUAAGUUUAAUCAAAUUUAAAUUAGUUUCAAAUUUGAACCUUUCCUGGGUUUUGAUAUUAUAUCUUUAUGGUAUCUAGCGUGUCAGUUUAUUCUAUAUUGGCCAACUUUUUCACUAUUAUCUUUUUUCCUGUUCUUCAAGGACAUUUUAACAAAUUUUAGACUUUCCGGCCAUAUUUCUAAGCAGGCUGGUUUUCUCAAUUGAAAGUUCUAUUUGAACUAACAAAGAGUUAGGUUGAAGAAAAUUAGGUGAGGGGAGUUCUUAUAGGUACUUCCAACCAAAUAACAAUCCUAAUUGUCCACAACAACGUUAGGUGAAUUUAUUGAGAUCAUAAUCAGACAUAUGGGUUAUUUCCCAUCUAAGAGGAACUUUAAAUAGCAAGAAAUUCUUGAUUGUCUGCCAUAGAGAACUCUUGAUGUAUGUAAUUAGGAGGCGUGAUUAUUUCAAUGAAUUUCCAAAUGAAAAUCAACCUUUCUCAAGUAGACCUUUAUGAUAUCUUACAACUUAUUUCCUCUCCUUUUCCUCGUAUCUCCACAAUCUCCUCUACUUUUUCCCCCAUAUCUUCAGUAAAUUUUCUAAAUGUCCUGCAAGAAUCACCUCCGUUGGAAGAAAACUCUUUAUCUCUUACGUACAGAGAGAGGACAAUUACUACAAACCUAUGAAGAAAUUUUUUUUGCCUAAAUUUUUCAAUUCUCCAACAUCUGCGAUCUUAGUUCAGGGACUAAUCUUGCAUCAACCGGAGACACAGGAUCAAAAUACCUUCUCUAAGACUGUAUGAAUACUUGAAUACCAUUUGAAAGCAGACAAAAUCAUAACAUAUUAAAGAUUUCAAUUUUCAAAUGUUCUGCACGAUUUGAACAAAUACAUUUAAAACCAUCCUGACCGAAUUAAGCGAUGUAACAACCGGAGAUCAAUAAAAGGAAAAGUUAGGGGGUAAAAAGUUAUUAGCUCCGAGUCAAGUCGAAAACUACGUUAUGCAACAUCGGCGCCUACUUUGUUGUACUUUUGUCCUAUCACGUAACUAUCACAAUCGAGGUAGGUCGAAUAGGAAAAACCAUCACGACAGUGGAUCUGGAUCCAACGAAUCCACCAACCUUUACACUCUGUAAUCCAAAACACUCUAAAGCAAUCGCAUUAAUUGGAGAAAAAGAUAGAAAGAUAUAGCAUAAGAAUCGAGAUGACGAGGCAAUGUGGAUCGAUACCAAUCCCGGGAUCCGUGUCGAUGAUGACUUUGUCGCACCCAAUCGGAGCCGCGCGAUUCCCACCGUUCUCCAUGGAUCUCCUCUUCUCCCUCUUCCUCUUCCUCUUGCCCUGGAUCGGAGAGUUGAGGAACUAGGGUUAGGGCAUAGAAAGGGGGUGAGGACGAAGACGAGGGUGGGGUGGAUUCAAUUCAAUAAUUAUGAAUUAACCACUCUCGCACUUUCGUUCCCUCUCCCUCUCCCUCUCCCUCUCCCUCGCUCCCCCUCUCUCGCUUUAUUAGUUCCCGUUUGAUAUAGAUGCGACACGUGGCUUGCUUCUACUGGACGGCUGUUUGUAUUUUCCAGGAAUAUAUAUGAAUGGACCGGAAGUGAAUAUAAAGGGACCAGCAUCUAUUAUUUACACCUUAUGGGACAUUUUUUUUGCUUGCACCGGGUCCACUGUGGACCAGUCUCGUAAACUCCAUCAUAAAAGUCUUUAAUUCUCCAGGAAUUUAGAACACGUUUGUUUCGGCUAAAAAUAGAAAGUUGUGAAGUUAAUUUUGGCUAUAAAUAUUAUUUAUUUAUUUUAUAAUAAAUAGGGUCAGAGAGUAACUCAAUUUUUUCCGAACAUCAUAAUUGCCUUUGAUGUAGCCGAUGAUUCGAAAUAAUAGGUAUACUCUCUUGCCUAGUAAUUUGAAAAAUAUCAUAUCACUUUAGUAUCUAUAUUUAUUUUUGUCUCUACAAAAAGACCAGUCGUAAAGAUUAAGAAGGUUAAGAGUGCAAGUUAGGACUAGAAUAUUUUCUAGAAUAGAUGACCUCUGGAAAUCGGGGAGUUAUAAAAAAUUCAUUCCUUGCUCAUCUUAUAUGACAAUAAAUUUCACCAAAUUUUUACUCAGAUGAUACUUUAUAAAUUUAGUAGUCUAAGUUAUAGAUAGUGAAAAAAUUGUCGCUUAAUGAAUAAUAUAUGGUUGAAAUAUAUGAUGGGAUAGAAAAUCAACAAAUGCAAUCGAGAUCGUCUGCUUCACUAUGCCAGCAUGGGUAAGCUCGGGAUGGAAUACCCGGUGGAUGUUAUCCCGUUCCUGGUAAAGUAGAUAUACCUUGGGCGACGCGUGGCGCAAUCGCUGCCGUCCAAACGAUCGGGGGCGGAUGAGGUGUGAGCAUAGUCGUCGCCGACGCCCACGUUGAUCCCACUAGUAUAUGCUGAAGUCGGCAUCGAGAUCGUCUCCUUCACUAUGCCAGCGUUUCCUGCCUCUUCGGAUUCUUCUUCUUUUGGCCUCUAUCUUCAUUAUUAGAUUAGAUGUGUGUUCUAACAGGACAAGCAAUUUCUGAAAAGGAUUUCGUGUGGUGCUUGCUUUCUCUCUCUUAAUUUCUCUCUCUUUUUAUUUGUAAUGGCUACUUGUUAAGGUCAAUUAUUAUAAGAAAAAACAUAAAUUUGUCCACAAACUUUUGUGGUUUAUGUUGUUUUUAUUUUCCAUUCCAUUAUGUGAUUUAAACACUUUUACUUUGCUGCCUAUAUUUUUCUCUUUGUAUUAAUGUAAGUACUAGCAAAAUACCCGCGCCACGCUGCAGAUAUAAACAUAUAUUUAUAAUAAAUUUUAAUUUUUAAUAUUUUUAUAUAAUUUUAUAAGUCUAUUUAUUAAUUAAAUAAAAGUUAUAUAAAAAUAAUUUAAUAGUUAAAUAUAUUUAAAUAAAAGUUAUUAAAAUUGGUAUAUGCGCAAAGUAAAUUUAUACAACAAUUUAUUUUAUAAAGAUUUAUAUGAAAAGGAUUUGAGAUAAAUCUAUCAAAAUAAUUUUUUAAAAAAAUCAAUAAAUAGAAGGAAAAUAAAAUUAUAAAAGAUAUUGUUUAAUAAAAUUAAUAAUAAAAAGAUAAAAAUGAAACCACGUAGCACCAAAUUGAUACACUUUAAACCACAGAGCACUCGAGUGAGAAAGUGCAAAACCAAACCACAAGGGGAUUUUUUAAGUUUUUCCGAAACUUUGUAAACCAUAAAAUAGUAAAGUUAUAUAUUUCACAAAUCACAAAAUGGUAAUUAAUUUACAUAGCCAUCCCGUGAUUUGUCAAAUGCAUCGGUUUACUAUUCUGUGGGCCGGUUAUAAAUUAGUAUCCCAUUUCAUGAAAGUUCACUGACCAGUGUAGUUUACGCUAGUUAGUUUUAGUAAAUUUUAAUCAGUAAAUACAAAGAUCCAUUUGGUUAGAUAUAAUUAUAAAUAAAUAAAACACAAUUAAAAAUAUAUUAAAUUAAAAAUACAGAAAUUAAAAUUGCACUCUGAUUUUGUACAAAUGAAAUUGUUGCAACUAUAUUUCUUCUGAUUAGUACGUAGCUUGAAGAUGUCUUUAUUAUUUUUCUUAAAAUGGGUGAUCUUUUUUUCCUUUUUUGCUAUCGGCCUAUUUCAGUGUAGUUUCAAUUGCAAUUGUUGAAACUUUCGUAUAAUUCUAAUCAUAAGCUGAAACUUCUCACACAGGUCUAAUUAUAACAAUUGGACCCAAAUAUAAGGAUCCAAACAUUUUGCUUGAAUUGCCAUGCAAUUAAAAUAUAGUACAAUAGUAAAUAUGUGCAACCAAAUAGUCCUCUAAGUAUUUCUAGCUUAAUAAAAAUCGUUAUUGAAACUCUUGAAGCUCUAAUUUAAUACUUCUUUGUAUGCUAGCUGUAGAAAUUUUAAUAAUGAGUAAUACUAUUAUACUUUUAUAAGUACUAAGUCCUACAUGAUCAUAAUUAAAUUAUUUUUUAUGACAGAGUUUUCAAAUUGACGAUCCGAAUCAUUAAAUACAAUUUAGAGCAUGUCAAAUCCAAACAAUCGAAUUUUAUAAUUUUUUUAACAUUAUAUAUCUUUUGAUAAAAAAAAAAAAAAUAAAAUUGAUAAUUUUAACGACUAGUAUUAAGCAGUUCCUAGUUAACGUAUAAAAGAAUUAUAAGUCUAUUGACUGUCUAAAGUCAAGUAGAUAAUUCGGACCUUGAAUUGAGUAAUCUAAUCCUUUAUUUUUAGAAAGUCAUUUAAUUUUGACCUUUUUAUAUCUGCUUGAUAAGUUUUUAUUAUAACUUUGAAAAAUUUGCAAAAUCCAGUUUAUAAAUUCUUUCAGUUGUUUUAAAUCGUAUUUAACAAUAUGGAUCAUAGAUUUAAAAUUUUAUCAUCUGGAACAACUUUAUGAAUACGAAGUCGGUCGAUCGUAUUCAUAAUAGUAUAAUAUCUGAGCUCUUUUAAUAAUAUAACAUUUUACAGAGAAGCACCAUUUAGAAUAAUUUUUUUUAAUCUAAUAGUACUACUAUAAAGAGUCCAACAAGGCAAAGCCAAAGCCAAAAAAGAGGCUUUUACUUCGUCAUUAUCGUUCAUACGAAGGAAUAUACGAAUGAGGUUGAUUCCAACUACUUUCCAGGCGAAAUAGCUCCAAAUCACUCGUCGAAAUUCGCCGAAUCUUACUAUGAUAUACUUGUCACAUGCACGAAUAGUAUCAACAAUCAAACUAUACCAAGUAUUAUUAUAAUGGAUAUUCUAAACCGAUUCACAUGGCAUUGUUUUAUUAUGUUUAUCUGUUAGAGACUGUUUGGUUGCAUACAUUUUUAAUUGCACUGUAGUUGUAAAUUUAUAUAUUUAUUAAAUUUUUAUUUGGUUUAGUGUAGUUAGGUCCAACUGUUGUAGUUGAAUCUGCACGAAAAUACCCAACUGCAGCUGUUGGGCCGGAGACGGCUCAUCCAUUAAAAAAAAUAAAUAAAGUGUGAUUUUUUUUUCAUACGUUUUUCUUUUCUUUUUCCUUUACAAGAAUACCUAUUCAUGAAACCUUCUACGAUUAAAUAUUGUCUGUUAGAAUCAAUAAAAUUUUUUCAUACGCUUAUUUUUUUUCCAGUAUGCUAGUUUAAUAAUCUCUUAAUUUUUGUUGACCAAAUCUAUAAUAUAUGUGCAUUUAAAAUUCAUUAAAUUCAUACAUAAUUUUAUAAUAUAUAAAUUAUAUAUAGAUAUAAAAGUCUUAAUUAAAGCUAUAAGUUUCUCUUUUUUCUCUAGCAAAUAAUUUUUUUCUAUUAAUAUUUUUAUAUCAUUCUACAUCUUUUCGUUCUAAGUAAAUAUUAUGAAAUUAUCUCAAUAUUAUCUACUAAUAUUUGGUUAUUAUAUUAAUAUUUUAUUAAUUACAACAAAUAAUCAAAUUUGAUCAAUUUAAUAUCAAAUAUAUAUUUAAAUUUUAAUCUUAUAAAAUUUAAAUUUUUAUUUCAUCUUAAAUUUAGAAUUGAAAUUUAAUUAUAUGAUUUCAAUUUACAUUUAUGAAAUUUAAAUUAAAAUUAAAAUUUAAUUUUAAAUAAUAAUUAAAUUUAAUUUUGGAUAUCAAAUUUGAAUUUACAGUCACAAAUUUUAAGUAAAUUAGAUCAAAUUUAAAUUUAAAUUUGAAUUAAAUGUGAAUUAAAUUUUUAUACUUUAGUUUAAAACGCGUACUUAAAUUUUAAAUUCAUAAAAAUUUGAAAAAUAUGUAAAAAUAUUGGCCUUUUUGCAUAAAAAAUCCACUUAUUUUGGGCUUUUGCAAAAUCGGGUCACUUUUUUCGUUUUUGCAGAUUCGGUCCGUUUUUUUAGUAAACUGACCAAAAUACUCUUAGGGCCCGUUUGGUUCGAGUUAUGUAAUAUUACAAAGUAUCUCGACAUAUCUAGGUAUUUUGGAUUUCGGCGUGAGAUUACUACUGAUGCUGCAUUAGCGUGUUUGGUUUAAUGCAGUAAUAUAAUACUAGAUUACAGUGUUUAUAGCAUUAAUACGUUUGGUUCAGUUUAUAAAAUUUAGUAAUCCUGACAUAAGAGUAUAGUUUUUUCCAAAAUUGCCUUUGUUGUGGUCAUUUGAAUAUUAGUUUUUACGGAAAUGACGAAUGGAGGGAAGGAGAUCGUGAUGCAUGAUUACCUGGAAGGACGACGCAAUAGAAGAUGAUAGGUGUUCGUGCGCGCGAGAGAGAGAGAGAGAGAGAGAGAGAGAGAAAGUGGCAUGAGAGAGAGAGAGGGAGGAAGGCGAGAGAGAGAUGAAAAUAAUAUUGUUAAUUAGAUUUGGGGUUGUUGGAGGGUAAAAUUGUCAUUUUACAUAAUAUAUAGUAUUAACGGGUUUCAGUAAUGCAAGAUACAUGACCCCCCCUCCUGUUAAUAUUUUCGAUGUAAUCCUGCUCGAUUUGUAAUGCUACAUUAACGAUUAGAUUACAUAGCCGAUUAACCAAACACAGUUAUCCUGAUAGAAUUGCCUGUAAUCCUGCCAGGAUAACUCGAACCAAACGCACCCUUAUUACUUUUUCUCUUUCCUCUUUCUCUCUCCUCUUUGUUUCUUCCGUUAUUUUUUUUUUUUUCGUUCUUUUGCGCAAGCCGAACCCCCUCCUCCUCUCCCCGGCCGCCGCCGCCGAGCCCACCCCACCGUCGUCUCGCCUCCUCUUUCUCUCUCCUCUUUCUCUCUCCUCCUCAACCCCUCCUUACCUUCCGUCGCUCCGCCCUCCAAGCCCGCUGCGAAGCUUGCGUCCUCCUCCUCCGCCUCCAACAAGCCGAACACCGUCGCCGGCGUUCGUCACCGAAGUUGCAGGGGCGGAGCAAGCUCCUCGUCAAGCUCAAGGUCGAGGAGUCCCCGAUCGUCUCCCUCUUCACGCGAAGCUCCGCUGCCGAGCCCCUCCUGCUCUCCCCCGCCGCCGCCGCCGCCGCCGAGCCCACCCCCACCAUCGUCUCCGUCGCCGUCGCCGAGCCCACAUCCCGCCCCUUGCCGACCACCUCGUCACUCCCCUUGCUGAGCCCUCGUCACCCCCACCGUCGUCUCCGUCGCCGUCACCGUCGUCUCCGUUGCCGUCGCCAAGCCCACGCCCCAUUAAUGGUGUAAUGGUGCACCAUUAAUGGUGUAAUGGUGAAAUGGUGCACCAUUAGUGUAAUAGUGCAAUUAAUGGUGCAAUGGUGCAAUGGUGCACCAUUAGUGUAAUGGUGCACCACUGCACCAUUACACCAUUAAUGGUGCACCAUUGCACCAUUAAUGGUGUAAUGGUGCAAUGGUGCACCAUUACACUAAUGGUGCACCAUUACACCAUUACACCAUGAAAUUAUACCAUUAAUGGUGUAAUGGUGCACCAUUACACUAUGAAGAAGAAGAAGAAGAAGCAGCCGCAGCGCGCCCGCGUGCCCGCCCGCCGCCGCUGCGUGCACCGGCCCCGCCGCCGACCCUGCCCCGCACCGUGGCUGCGCGCCCCGCGCCAGGAGCAUCCCGCGAUCAGCGCCUCCCCCGCCGUCGCCGACGCCUUAAGCGGCAUCGUUGGCCCGCAGCCCGGGGGCUCGACGUCGGCGCCGAACUCCAGCAGCAGCUGGACGAGGUCCGGCCGGCCUUGCGCGAUGGCCGAGUGCAGCAGGCCGACGCCGGACGCGUUGACGGCGUCGACCGGGCGCCAAUUCGGGUCGCUCCGCUCCAGCCGCCGGCGACGAACUCCGGAGCCUCUUCCUCCGCCGCGCCGCCGACAGCGACGACGACCGCGGCGGCGGACGAGGGGCUCGGCGACGGAGACGACGGUGACGGCGGCCAUGGGGCCGCCGCCGCCAUGGCCGUGGGCUCGGCGACGGCGACGGAGACGACGGUGGGGGUGACGAGGGCUCAGCAAGGGGAGUGACGAGGCGNGGCGGGGGAGAGGAGGAGGGGUCGCGGGCGGUGGAGAGGAGGGUGAGGAGGGAGGCAACGGUGAAGAAGGAGGGUGAGGAGGGAGGCGACGGUCCGAUCCGCCUCUUUUUUUCGGCGAGAAAAAAAAAAAACGACAGAAACGAAGAGGAGAGAGAAAGAGGAAAGAGAAAAGGUAAUAAGGGUAUUUUGGUCAGUUUGCUGAAAAAGCGGACCGAAUCUGCAAAAACGAAAAAGGUGGCCCGAUUUUGCAAAAGUCCAAAAUAAGUGAAUUUUUUAUGCAAAUUGGCCAAAAAUAUUUAAUGUAUAUAAAAAGAAAAAAAUAACAUAAUAUAUGAUAUUGUAGAUAUUUUCUAAUAAAAUAGGACAAUUUGCAUAAAAAAUCCACAAAUUUUGGGCUUUUGCAAAACUGGGUCGUCUUUUUCGAUUUUACAGAUUCAGUCCGCAUUUUCAAGUUUUUGACCAAACUGCCCCUCACCUACAUCCGCCCCAAUCGUAUGCGCUUUCUUACUCGUAUACGUAUUGUAAGGUAUUGACUCCCCAGAGUAUUGUACCAAUCUUGGUCGAAAUGACCAAUGUAUGGUGAAGGGAACGAUUGGACAUAAUUCACAUCUUGUCCUGAAGGCUUCGGAGCCGUUGGAAGUAACCCCUGACAGUGUUUGAGUGUUUUCAGCAUUAUCCGGCGCGAAAACAGACUCAAACAAUAUUAAAGCUGCAAAACUUGUGUUGAGUACCAGUACUAGAACCUAGUACCGGAACCCAAUACAAGUGCAAAAAAUUCAGCUCUCGGGUUCUGCGGAAUUGGGCCUGGGGUACCGGUACUGGAAGGUCGUGUAUCGAUAUUGGAGGUCACGUACCGGCACUUAAUAGAUGAUCCGAAAAUCCAACAUUCGGGUUGAGGUACCGAGUUGCGUGUACCGGUACUAGGGAGCUCGCAUACCGAUACGCCAAUUCGAGUACCGGUACUCAGCCUUAUAAAUUGCAGAAAUUGAACUGCUGCAAUAAUAAAUUGUUGGAGGGCUUGAAUGCAAUUGUGAGAACUUAUAAAUAUACCCCAACCCCUCCUCUCUUGUUCUCAUGCUGAGAACACAUCUCCUCUCCGUCUCUUGACUCACCCCUCUCCCUCUCUCUAUAAUCUCUCCAACAAGAGCCUUUUGGAGAAGAUUGAAGGUGGAUUGGAGUAUUUUGAAAAGAAGAAGCUCUAGAAUAGGGUGAAGCUUGGAGUGUUUGAAAGGCUAAGGUAAGGUUUUGAAAAGUUUAAGUUAGGGUUUGGUUUUAUUGCCUUAGAAAUUGUAUUUUUGGGAUUCUUGUAACAUUAAAACCUAGUGUAAUUCAUGAAUCCCUAUUGUCACGCCCCGAGACCCACCUAUUUGGUCGGAUUCGGGCACGCCGACAGACCACCGAACGGACAGAGUUUUUCCUGUACAUCCUAAGCAUCACAAUCCAUAUAAAGUGUGAGGUUCCAACUAGGAACAAUAAUCAAGCAAGGAUUGUAUAAGAAAGUACCAAAAACAUAAAUACAACUAUGCUAUUACAAGGAUUCGUCUCAGGUUUUUUUUUUUUUUUUUUUUUUUUUUUUUUUUUUUUUUUUACAUAUUACAUUUUCUUUCACAUUUAAUUUUCAAAUACAAUCGACUAUUACAAGAUUAUUACAAGUCUGUUUCUUUCAUUUCUACAUUCCUAGCUAGGCUGACUCGGGGUACCGCUAUCUCUUGUCUCAGUGGUAGGGCGCUAUCUACGGAGCUACGCCCUUUCCUCGCGCCGCCGCGCCGCUCGCGUGUGAACCUGUAAUCCCCAAAACAACGUCGGGUGAGAAUUAUUGUCCAUAAUUUCCAGUGGGUACGACCACCCAAGGGAAGAGCUCGACCCACCAGGUCCGAAGGAGGCACUGCAACAUGUUAGUCCACAAAUAUCCACAAAUAUAUAUUCUUCAUAUAUUAAGUUAUGCAACUAACAUUUAUCAUGUUCAUGCCUCAAAACAUGCAACCAUGCAAUCAUGCAAUGAAGUAAGUAAAUCUACUAAUUCUACUUUCUAUUUCGCUAUCCACAGCUCAUCCAAUUGACUUCUAAGUUUUCCUCUAUAUUAGAUUCAUAUCAAUUACAAUUCUGCUCAUAAGGUUUCAUCUACCUUUACCGUUUGCUCAUAAGGUUUCAUCUACCUUUACCGUUUGCUCACAACGUUUCAUCUACCUUUACAAAGCUAUCCACCCGACUCGGUCUUGAGUCAAUCAUCCGCAGAAUACCGCGCAAAGCCAGACUCGAGGUGAAGGACGGCUCAUAUGCACCUCAGCCUUAAAUCCACUUAACUGGGAUACAACUACAGCUCAUAUGCUUGUCACCGAAUCAACUGGCUAACCUGAAGGUUUCGCCCCGACUCACAUCUCUUAUCUCAUAGGUGAGGAGCUACCCCGCUUUUAUCCCACCCGAGACCGCCUGCAGGACAACUAUAUCUGCCCCUCGUGUGACAACUUCGGAGUGCACUACUUGCGUCGAGCGACCACCCGAAGCUCAAAACAGACUAUGUGAGUAUGAUCCAAUCCUCGCCAACUGAGGAUACCCUGUCAACUAGGGUUAACAAUCACUCGGGAACUCAACUAUCCCUAUGUUCAAAUGCCAUAGUGUUCUACUACACUAAAUUUCAAAUGCCACUCGAUCUACUUGACAUCCUAAUUGUCCAAAUCGAGUAUCAUAGAUCACACAUUCUUGUUUUCCAAUGUCGAGUUCUCUAAUCAACCUAGAGUUUAUCGACCCAAGUUAGACAUGCACAAAUAUCAACUAGCAUCCCAUGAUAUGUCAACAUGCAUAUAUUUUCAUCUAGCAUCUCAUGAUAUGUCAACAUGCAUAUAUUUCAUAUAGCAUCUCAUGAUAUGUCAAUAUGCAUAUAUAUCAUCUAGCAUAAUCCCGAAACAUGUCAACAUACAUCUCAUCUAGCAUUUCUAUAAUAUGCCAACAUGCAUAUAUUUUUGUCAUCCAAUGAUAGUCAAGCAUCUCAUGCAUUCAUAUAGCCUCACUUUCAUGCAUUCAUCUAGCAUUUAAUUCAUACAUUCAUCUAGCAAUUAACUACCAUUAUAUGCAUAAAUAAGAAACAACACUUCACUUCGACAUGGAAGUAAGCUAAUAUCUUCGAUGAGCACAACCCACCUAGUAACGCUCUCCGAUUGCUUGUCGACACUUGCAAUCGGCCUCCGGCGACACUCGUUGUCCGGGUCUUCAAGGGCCCUUUUCUAACCUCUAAUUAGAGAAUAAAAGGGUUUAAUUAGAUCAAAACCCACUAUUUGCCGAAAACCCCACUUCCAGCCCUAGCUUCUCAUUUCUCCCAAAUAACCCAAGUAUUCAUAGAGAAAACAUGCUAGAAACAUUCUAAAGGCUACUAGAACACUAAGCAUUAAGGAUUAAACCAAAUCUCAAAAGCUUACCAAAAUGCGAACGCCGAGUCAGAAGCACCCCGCUCCAACGGGCGCACGAGGACUCGAUCCGACGUUCCCAACGCGUUCCCAAGCCUUUUCUCCACCAAAUACCAAAGUUUGGGAGAGAGAUCUAGAGUGAGGAAGGAGAAAUCUAGAGAGAGGGAGAUGUGUUUCUCUCUCUACCUUAGUAUAUGUGUGGGUGGUGGGUUGAGGGAAGAAGACGAAGGGGACCAAACCCCUUUAUAAAAGCAACCCACCCCAUUUUACCAAUAUGCCCCUGUUGUUUCUGGGCAUUUUCGGGCUUUAGUGUCCAGACCUUGAAGCCACGGUCCAGACCCCGUAGGUCCAGAAAAACUGCACUUUUAAGGACUUAGCCAAAUUUUCAGCAAUUUCAGCCUUUGGUCCGUUUUCGCUCGUUUUCGCUCCUGGGGCCUCUGAUUCAUUUCUAAUCGUAUCGAGACUCCCAAAACAUAUUUUCGAGCGCGUUUAAACCAUCUUUUCAUCCACGCCUUGCCGGAUUUCGGCCAAGGUCCAAUCGUAACUUUUCAGGUUCUGUUUUCGAGCCCGAUGCGUACCGAAAACACCCGAAUGCUCCCGAACUUUACCGGAACCAUUCAAAUGGCUUUCCAAACUAAUAUACCCCGUAAUUUCAUAACUUUCAAAGUUCGGUAUGUUAUACCUAUGGUGUUGAGUAAAUGACCAUUGUAUGAAACCCUAGGGUUACUGUCAUGCCCUGAGACCUUCAAUUUGGUCGGUUCGAGUUCGUACACAGACGCUGAACGAACAGUUGUUCGCCCAAGGCUCAACAACAACUAUCAAAAACAGUUGUUCGCCCAAGGCUCAACAACAACUAUCAAACAUGUAUAAGGAAAUGCCCAGGAGAAAUUUCAAUAUACAUGGCUUGCACGAAGGUAAGCAACACAAGCAAGUGAAAGUAAACUAACUAAACCAUUCAUACAUUGUAUCUUGAUUAUUUUAAAUUAAAUACAAAGCUUGCAUAAUUAUUACAUUCAUUCUUUCAAUAUAUACAUUAGCCAUCUUUUAAAUGAAUAAUUUACAUUUGCUUUCACUAACUAUAAAUAGAUGAAAUGUAUAAGGUACAACUAUACUCAAUGGAUGUCUGCUAUCUAUGGAGCGCUGUCCAAGUCAUGAUCCUCAACCACCCCGCACGAGCUAGAACCUGCAUGGUUAGUGGGGUGAGAACUAUUGAAAGUUUCCAGUGGGUUCGGCUGCUGACCUCGCCGACUCACCAACUAGGUUUACUCAGGCAUAUGUAGGCAAAAAAAGAGAGCAGAUAGUAACCAACUAUAUCAUACAACUACUACAAUCCCUGUACAAAGAUGGAAAGAACAAUAUAUAACUCAUGGAGUUUAUGCAUGCAUGCUAUCAUAUAUCAUUACCCAAUUAAUCUAGUUAACCCCUUGGUUAACCACAACUCACCAACCAAAUCCCUUUUUAUUGGGGAGACUUUCACAUUCACCCGACGGGACCGUCUACUGGAGAGAAUUCAGCUUACUAACCUAGUUGAUGACCACUCGGAGCUCAUCGCCUAAGUAGGAGCGACCUUUACCUCGAGCAUUAAACUAAUGUGAGUAUGAUCCAAUCCUCACUUAGAGGAUACACUGACAAUGUCACACUUUAACUAGCUCUUUAUGCUAGGUUUACAUGUCCAAUUCUAGAUGCUAAUCAAUUCAUCUAGUUCUAAUGCCACAUAUUUUACAAGUUCAUUGUUCUUGUUUGACAUUCACAAUACUGGGUGCUAUUCAUACAAUCAAUUCACAAUGUCAUUUUAUCAACUAUUUCAUAGUCCAACACAAUUUCAUACAUCUAUAGGGUUCUAUAUUUACUAAUCAAUGUCCACAUGCAUUUUGCUUCCAAAGCAUACAACUAGAGCACAUAUUAUAUUUAACCAUAAGACAAUCCCAACCCUAUCAUGUAUGAAUAUCAACUAAACAUGUAUAAUCUAUGUAUGCUCAAGAAAAGUGACAUAAAUAUAAUGGAUCAUUUGAUAAUUUCGGAAAGCACCACCCACCUUUAAAUGAUGUCGAGAUGCGAGAAAACCACUUCCCGCGAUUUCUGAACAAUAACGACCCUCGCUCGCGACAAACGAGGCUAAAAUGAGGUUUUUCCUCACUAGCUUGCCGUAUGCUCAUCAAAACACCGAUCUGAGCUUUCCAACGCGUCAGUUUUAUUCUCAAUUAGGAUUCUACGUGAUCAAUUUCGAACUAAGCCUCCAAUCCUACAAAGUAGCAUUUUCGAGUUAGAGCUAUAUACAACCCGCUACUAUACAAACGUCACAAAAGUACAUAAAGUAAUACAACCCUAACAAGCCCAAGAACCUCAAAACUAAAUAAUUUAGAGGGUUUACUUCAUUCCCUAACAAAAAUCUGCAUGUUGGUACAUCAUGAUUUCUAGCUGCCUAGAUUACACAUAUACUACAGGCAGCUUUUCUAGAUUUUUUACGGCAAAAACAACUUUUAGUAUUCAAGAAUUCUAUUACUCAACCUCUUUGUAGAGUAAUUACCUUGAGCUUUAACCAGGAAAUAGCAAACUUCACUUUAGGUUUAAUACUUCACCAGCUGGUUACUUCCUAGCUUAUAAACUCCCUCACAUCAAAACAUAUAAAGUAAUCCAAAUCCAACCCUCAAUACUCCAAAGACCUCAAAACCAAGUAGUGUUAACCUAGUAGGGAGCAUAACAAACCUUACCUUGAAUUUUACUCUCUACUAGGUUAUCUUGCUCUCGAACUUCUUGUGAUAUACCGAAACUUCGGUAAAUAAAUAUCGAAUUUUAGUCAAGUUGACCAAAGUGCGAGGUUGGUACGCUUCGGAAAGGCCAAAGACGUUAAAAAGGAUAAAAGUGCAUUGUUCUGGGUUUUCGAGAGCCAAAGAAUCAAAAAUCUGCUUACUGCAGCUUUUGAGCUCUCGGGGAUUGGUCCCUGAUGGGAGAGACCGGUCCUUGAAUGUGAAAAAUCUCAGAGAUGAAAAGUCGGCUAAGUCCCAGAAAAUCAGCUCUUGGGAACCGGUCCCUGCGGGGAGAGACCGGUCCCCGAGAGACCGGUCCCAUUGGGAGAGACCGGUUGCAUAAGGCGAGAGCCCUGCUGAGCUGCGGGAGAGCUCUCUGGGACCGGUCCCAUGCUCGAGAGACCGGUCUCCGAGCCCGAAAACUGCCCAGUCUGGGUAGUGUGACAGGAUUAAAGUUGAGGGGCUUAUUUGCAUUUAUGCACUAAAUGAGCUAUGUAUGAGGGGGGUAUGAGAUAUUAUUUCUCUCAUUUCUCACCCUCUCACACACUCUCUUCUCUUUUUCUCUCUCUAGAAGGCAAGGAGAAGAAAGAAAGGAAAAGAAGAAAAACAGAACGAAGGUGAAGAAGAAGAAGAAGGAGUGAAGAAACUCCCUCCUCUCCUUCCCUAGCUGGAGAAGUGAAGCUUUUAGAGGUAAGCUUCAACCUCUUUCAUGGUAGAACCCUAAGUAGGGUUUUGAUAGGGCUAAAAAUGGUUUUAGUAGAAUCUUUUGAGUAUUUGAAGCUUUCUUUUGCUUCCUAAUGAGAUCAAAUCCUAAGGUUUUGAUAUAUGUGGAGCUAGGGCACCCAAAUUGGGGCUUUUGCUUGCGAGGGUUCUAAAGUUAAAUUGACCCUCUAGAAAUCUAAUUGGGGGUGUUUCCGACACGUUAGUGCGCUCGGAUUAACGUUACGAAAAGACUAUGCGAAGUUAUGAGCGAAAAGCCUAAUUUGGCUUCGUUUUGCCGUAGGUGAAGAACUUGGCGGCCGAAAAUCGUAAAAUUUGAACCUGAGCACCUUAAUAAGCCUACGAGGUGGGUGGUGCUUUUCAAACUUGUUGAAAUUUCUUUUAUGUCUAAUGUGUCACUUUCUUGAGCAUGUGAGCAAAUGUUUGUGCAUGCAUUGUGGGGUAAAUGAGAUGAUAGUAAUGUGAAGUGCAUGUUGUGAGUACAAUUUGCAUAAUGAGAUGGUUGAGAACCAAUAAGAAUGUAAUAACCCUAUAUGUGCAUGUAAAGAGACAAGAAUUGAGAAUAGUUAAAGAACAAGUGACAUGUGACAUGAGGACAAUGUAAUGUUAAGAACAAAAGCUAGAGUUAGCAUCAAAUAUGUGGCAUAUAAGAACGAAAGCUAAAGUUAGCAUCAAAUGUGUGGCAUAUAAGAACAAAAGCUAGAGUUAGCAUCAAAUGUGUGGCAUCAAAGAACAAAAGCUAAAGUUAGCAACAAUUGUGGCCUAAAGAACACUAGAGUUAGUGUAAUGACAUGAUCGAGAACAAAGAAUGCAAAGAACUUGAGAUUGAGACACAAUGACAUACAACCUUAGAGUUAAGGGUCAUUUGUGCAUAAUUUUCUUAGAGUUAAGGAACGGAUUGAACUGAACAUCCUUUGAGUUAAGGAUUUGAUCAUACUUGCUAUAAGUCCUUGUUCGAGGGUGGUCGCUCCCCAUCGGGCGAUGCGCUCCGGAGUUUGUCAUCACUGGGUUGGUGCUGUUCCCCAGAGGACGGUCCUAACGGGAGGAAGCUAAGGGCCCGUUUAAUGGGAUUUUGAGUGUGCGAGUUAAUGAGGCGAAACCCUCGCGUUAGCCGUGAGAUUGAACGAAAGAGAUUGAACGAAAGAUCAAAGAACUUGCAUUCUACAUGAGUUUUUUAUUGAGCAUCUUUAUUGAUAGCAUUGUUCAGGCAUAUUAGCUGCAUAUAUAUAGUUGGUUACUUAUCUUAUUCUUUCUAUUAUGCCUGAGUUAGGCCUAGUAGAAAAGUCGGUAAGAUUGGGGCUGAACCCACUGAAAACUUAGUUGUAGUUCUCACCCCACUAUUUUCACAGAGCCGGGACCGAGUGAGCCGGCGAGCAACCGCGGUAAAGGUAUCGUGCCGUAGACAGCGACUACCAAAGUUGGGCUUUACAUUUUGUUAGUAGCAUACCUUAUAUCAUCUUUUGUAUUCGAUGAUUAGAGAUGUUAAAAAAAAGAAUAUAAACCUUCUAUUUUGAGAAGACAAUGUGGUGUAAAAAGAAAUGAUGAAAAGUAUGUAUAUGUAAAAGAAUCAUGAAUGUAAAGGUUGAAUGCAAUGUAUGUGAUAAAAAAUGUAUCAUAGUACUUGUGUAGAUGUUUAGCUUCCAUUCUUUCACUCUUGGCUAUUGCUUACCCUCGUGUAAGCCAUUGUGUAUGUUUCUGCUUGUACAUUCUCUUUGCUUGAAUUGUACAUGUGUUGAGCCUUGGGCGGAUAGGGAAAACUCUGUCCGUUCGACGUCUGUUCGACAUGCUGGGGCCGGCCAAAGGGAUCGGUCCCGGGGCAUGACACUUCUGUUUGCUUAAAUGGGCCAGCAUCCUGCCUUGUGGCGGGAGGCCAUGUGGGCCGAGUCAUGAUCGAAAUGGCGUGAGGCUGGGUUCAGCCGAGUCAUGUUCGAAGUGGCAUGAGGCCAGGUGGGUCGAGUCACAAUUGAGAUCUGUGGGUGCUGUUUCUGUACGCUUUAAGUGAAUUGGUUCCGUAUUUCUAACAGCUCGAGCUUUUGGGAUUAAUGGUUAGCGCCAACGAUCCGACAAGUGGUAUCAGAGCUAGAGUUUACGGGUUCGAUUCCCGCAUGCUGCAAAUGUGUGCAGGUGCUGGAGGGGGGAUUGUUGGCUUAAAUGGGCCAGCAUCUUGCCCUGUGGCGGGAGGCCAUGUGGGCCGAGUCAUGUUCGAAAUGGCGUGAGGCUGGGUUGGGCCGAGUCAUGUUCGAAGUGGCGUGAGGCCAGGUGGGCCGAGUCACAAUCGAGAUUCGUGGGUGCUGUUUCUGUACGCUUUAAGUGAAUUGGUUGCGUAUUUCUAACAGCUCGAGCUUUUGGGAUUAAUGGUUAGCGCCAACGAUCCAACAACUUCUUCUCCACCAUAACAACCUUGUUCUUGCAGUUCCUCACAGCCAAGAACAUCAAUUCCCCCAAAAUCCUCUUCGUAUGGUUCUAGAGAGAGAGAGAGAGUGAAAGAGAUAGAAGAGAAGGAGAUGAGAGGGAGAAGAGAGGUGGUUCACUGCCUGAGAACCACGUAAGACCUGGGGUUUAAAGAUAAGGCUGAAAACAAUUGCACAUAAACCCUUCACACCAGCUGAAAUUGUUGUUUGCAAAUUAGUCCUCGGGUCUGGUUACCGGUACUCCCCUGCACUGGUACCGGUACCCAGUGCAAUUCCUGCACUGCUUGCAGCAGCACCAAUCCGGGGUCCAUUCGCGCGUCCACUUUACACCGAACACCACCAAACAUCUCCGAAAUCUGCCUUUAACUAUCCUCACGCUUCCACAAUGAUUCGGAAACACCACAAACUAUAUUCAUACUUCCAUUUGAUCCAUUCCAUCAAAACUAACCUUGUAAUCCGGAGAUUUUCUUUCAAAUUCGUUUUGCGCCCAAUUUGCGCCAAAACACUCAAUUACCUCCAGAAAUCAUUCCCAUACCUCCAGAAUCACUCGGGAAAGAUGCAUAUCCAGUUCAAACUUUACUUUGAUUCUCCAGCUUAAAGUUAGCAUUGUAAUCCGAAAAUUUUCAGUAUUUUACAGUUACAAUUAGGAUUUUUGUGGUUAGAGGAUUUGUAAUGAAAUUGACCCCUUAAUUCCUUAAUUGAAUGAUAAAUCGACGCGUUGGGUAACUCAAAUAGGAGUUCCUUCGAGCCUACGACGUUUCGUUGGAAAAAAAUACCGAUUUGCCUUUGUUAUCCUUGGGUAGAGCUAAAACAGUGACGAUAAAUUGCGAGGCUUGGUUUCUCGCCCCUUAACAUCGAUACGAGGUGGGUGGUGCUAUCUGAAAUAGUUAAAUUUCUUUCUAUGUCUAUAUUGCUAUUGUUAGUCAUAUUGUAUAUCUAUAGACCGCAUGCAUUGUAGAGUUAUUAUGUUUUGUGUAUUCAAUUCCUUACAUGCUCCUAUAGUUCAAUUAGAAAACAUGAGAUCGAAACACAGAUAUUGGACACAUGAGGAUUGGGUCUUGAACAUUGGAAACUCUAUAGUGCCAUGAGCUAAAUGUGAAUUUAGACAACAUAGUGAUAUGAACGGGUGACAUUUGGAUUAUUUGUGUUGACAUCACUCAUGACAUUAGAUGUUAGGGAUUGGUAGAUCCCCGAGUAUUGUUACCCUUAGUUGGUAGGGUAUCCUCAAGUUUAGAGGAUUACAUCGUACUCACAUAGCGUUUGUCGGCUUGUUGGUAUUCGCGACACCUCAAGCAGUUAGCUCUGCAGUAGUCACACCUGGGUUAAAGCUACCCAGCAGACAAUCCCCGAUGAGUUGUAGUGAGUGUCUCCUCAUUUGUGAGAUUUGGUUGUAAGUUGGGCUCAAACUUCGGGUUAGCUAGUAUGAUUGGGUUAUAAAAACAGAAAUGACCUGCAUUAUGAGCAUAGCAGCAUACUUACUCAUUGUAUCAUAUUGUUGAUACAUAGUAGCUUACUAGUUGUUUCUCGUUGCUUUCCUUUUUCUACUUAUGCCUACUUAGACCUAGUGGGAAAGUCGGCAGGAUCGACGGUCGAACCCACUGGGAACUUCUUUUAAUUCUCACCCCACUAUUUUGCAAAUCCCAGUACUAGCGAAGCGGUCGAGGAUUGCGGCAAGGCAUAAUGCCCUAGGGAGUGAACCUCGUGCAUUAGAGUACCUUAUAUAUAUAUAUAUAUAUAUAUAUAUAUAUAUAUAUAUAUAUGUGUGUGUGUGUGUGUGUGUGUGUGUGUGUGUGUGUGUGUGAGAGAGAUGUUUUGUAUUUUGGAGAGAAAGACAACAAACAAGUAUAUGUACUAUGAAUCAAAUGGUUGUAUUUUAGUGAGUUGUAUGUGAAUGUUCAAAUGAAUGGUUGUAAUAGCUAAGUUAAUCUUCUCUUUGCUCUUGUAUAUUUGCCCUCGUGCAAAUCAUGUAUAUUAAUUAUUUUUUCCUGGGCAAAAAUCGAUGUAUAUGAUGUUGUUGAGCCUUGGGCGGGCAAGGGAGAUUCUGUCCGUUCGGCGGUCAGUGUGCGUGCCCGAACCGACCAAAUUGGCAGUUGCGAGGGCGUGACAUGUAUAUUGUACUGCACGAUGCUUGCCAGGGCAUUAAAUGCGCCCUUGUCGAGUUACGCAUGUAGUGUCCCUGGGUUUUGGCGGUCGAAAUGACUAUAAUAUCAGCGACUAGUCAAUAUAUCUGUAUAGUGUCGGGACGAAUCAAAGUUGUUUUAGCACGAAAUGGAUGAGAAAAUAAACUUAGCACACUCAGUUAAGCCAAAACUGAAGUUCUGGCAGUUUAGGGCGCCUACAUCCUGUGUAACACACUGGGCCUUUGCAAAUUGCGAGGUUCGAGUGUUUGGAUGUAUUUCGAAGUUUUCCGCACUUGGUGGAGGGUUGUAGAAUGUUUUCCGACCUAAAAAGUUCGAAAACUGGAAUUCUGGAUAAGUCCUGAGAGUUUUUACUCUCGGGGAUCGGUCCCUGGGAGGAGAGACCGGUCCCCCAGUGAACAGUGUUGCGGCAGCCCUGAGGCAACGGGUCCCUGGCGGGCGAGACCGGUCCCCGUGCGCGCUUUCGCAGAGAGAGACCGGUCCCACACGGGGAGAGACCGGUUCCCGAACGUUGGUUUUUCGGGUUCGCAGCGAGAGACCGGUCCCUGCUGGGGACAGACCGGUCCCUCUGGGCGAAAAUUGCCCAGACCGGGCUGAUGCAAUAUUGAAUUUUUGAGGGGCCUCUUAGGAUUUUGUUGCAAUAGAGGGUCUAUAUGACCCCUCCACUCUCUCCUCUCCCCAUUUGUCUUCUCUCAACCCUCUCUACACCCUUGAUAGAGAAGAAGAAGAAGAAGGAGAAGGAGAGGAAGGAGAGAAGGAGAAGAAGUUUGGAGCUACUAGUGGACUUGGAGCAUCUUCCCCACCCUCUCAUCUUCCUUGGUGCUUGAAGGCUUGAACUUGGAGCUUCCAAGGGGGGAGAUCUUCUUCCUUGGAGCUUGGAUUGGAGCUUCUAAGGAGGUUUGUUGCUCUUUUCUUCCUCUAGACCUUGAUUUGAGGAUUUUUAGUAGAUGGAACCCUAGAAAUGAAAUUUAGGGUUGAUUUUGGGGCUUUUUGAUCUAGGGCUUUUGGGGCUAGAUUGAUUGGAUUAUAACCUUCCUUGGGCUUGGAUUGGAAGGGUUCUAGCUCUCUUUUGGAGCUUUGGAAGAGAUUUCUCCUCUUGAGGUGAAUUUUGGCCCUUUUUGCUUCUAGGUUAAUGUUUGAUCUCUUAGUUGGUCGUAAUGCUCUCGUAUCUCUUCGCUGAUCGCUUUUAGGGUAUUUUGAGGCUCGUGGACAACUCCGUUCGGCGAAUCGAAGGAGCACGCGACGGUUCGGUGGGUUUGACCUAGCCACACAAUGAGAAAUUCUCAUUUGUGCUUAAUUAAGUAUCGUUAAAUGAAAAAGCAUGCAUAUUCUUGUUAUAUGUAUUUAUUGUGAAUUUUAGAAUGCUUAAAAGGCCUAUGUUAUAUAUGAUGAAAUUUUGGACCUCUAUGUAGUAGAGAGUAGCUUGGUAGGCCUAUAGUUGCUCUUAGCAUUCUAUAUGAGACGUGGUUCCAUGCUCCUAUAGUGUAAAUAAGAUUGGAUUUAUGCAUUUAAACCUAAGUUUAUUUGAGACAUGAGAGUUUACAAAAUUGCCAUAUAGAGCUAUCGAACUAGAAUGUAUGUGAUUUGGAGAGCUAAUGUCAUCAAGCGGCAUUGAGCUCGGGACAUGUGUGAACCUAGUGGUUAGAGCCAUUGAGGGAUUGGGUAUAUGUUGAACAUUAGAUUGUCUAAGUGUCAUCAAGGGGCACUAGGCGUAAUGAAUGUUGGAACUUCAUCUUGUGACUUAGACUAGAUCUUCGGGAUGCUAGUUAUGAUACCAUGUUAGAGACAUGAGGAUUGGACACUUGAGACUUGGACUACGCUUGCUUGCCAUUUGUGCUCAUUCGCACAUGCUUGUGAGGGUCGCUCCCUACAAGCCGGCACUCCGGAGUUAGCCUACGCGACUUAUGUUCGCUCGUGCGGUAUUGAGAAGCCUACGGGGUCGAGUGGGACAGACACAUUCCAAGAGUAGGGAUGUUGGGCUACCACAGGCACUUAGGCGGCACAAGCUGGACUACCUUUGGUAGGUCCUUAAUUGGAAAUGGAAAUCGACACGGUGUUGAGAAUGGUUAAUCACUACUAGAUAGGUUUAGUAGUUGAAUUACAUUUAUAUGCUUUUAGCAUAGUGUUGAGACAUGUAGUAUACUUGAUAGUCUCCUUUUGCAUUAGAGCAUACUUGGUUGCCAUGACAGAACUUAUGCAUAAUGUAUUCAUAAAGGUUAAUGACUUACUAUUUUGAUAUCGUAGAUGUACAUCACCAUGACAUCGUUUAUACUUGAGUUUAGUAAUUUAGCAUUUUAAUUAUGCCUUUAUAUCGCAGUCAUUAUUGCUAUUAUUAUUGUACUUACCCUUUUCUUUUGGGGCCUAGUGGUGCAUAGAGCUGAGGUCAGUAAUUGCCCACUGGGAACUAUAAAUUAUAGUUCUCACGCCCUCUUUUUCUCGAUGUUUUUCAGAGCCUUCCACGCAGGGAGAGGCCAGGGAUCGCGGAAAGGGUAUCGCCUCGGGCUAGCGUGCUUACCGAGGGAUCGUUGGAUAGGUGGUCUACCUCUCGUGUUUUCUUUUUGUGAGAGGUUGAGAGUUGUACCCGUAUAUGUAUAGAGACCACCAUUUUGUACUAGAGACGGUUAUUGUACUACUUAUGGUUAUCUUUGUUUGACUAGUUUUAUUUUCUUUACUUUGGUGUAGAUGAUAGAACUUUACUUGCUCUGAUAUCAUUAGUUGCUAGUUAUUUCACUACUUUUAUUUGUUCUAUCUCCUGCUUUACUUCCGCUUUUGUUGUAGACGCCUUAUAUGUGUAGACAUAUGGCGGGUCUGGGCACGCUACCGGGAGGGCCUCAGCCGGUCCCGGGGCGUGACAUCCUGAGUGCUGCUUUGUAUUAGAUGUUGAAGUCAUUUCGGAUCCUAUUUAGGGCUCCCAGAAGUUAGGCCCAAAAGUUCACUUCGUGAAUAUCGAUCGUGUUAACACGCGUGCUAUGGUGAAAGUUCACUUCGUAAGGUGGUGAAAGUUCACUUCGGAUCCUGUUUCGUGAAUAUCGAUCGUGAAAGUUCACUUCGUAAAAAUAGGAGAACAUACCCUGAGAGCUCUUUUCACCUCUUCUUCACAGGGAGCUUGCAACUUUACAUUUUUAGCCCCUCCAAUCCUUCAAAUUCCAAAUUUUACCUUAAGGACUCGAAAAUUUAGUAGGGUUUCAGCAGCAAUCUUUGGAGUUUUGGCUCGUGUGCAGUCUACGAGCAUCCAAAUUCUGUGAAACAUGAUUUGGAGGAUUGUGGACUCGUGGAGGAGUGUGUUGAACCUUUCCAACAGCAAUUUAAGUAGGUAUGUAAGCUCGAAUUGCUGUUUUUUCUGAAAUUUUAGUGUUCUUGAGCUGAAAUUGAGAUUUUCUUGAUGUUUUGAACCCAAAUCUUCUUGAAGCUGGAUUUUUUAUGCGGGAAUUAGUUUUCCAUUAUUCUCUACUGAUUUAGAAGUUUUUCCUACCUAAAUUUGAGAUUUGAGAGGUGAGUUUUAGCUCAGAUUUGGAUAAUUAAACUUAUAUACUGAUUUUUGAGAGUUUUGAUGGAUUUCUUGGAUUUUUUAGUCUAAAUUUUUAUGAAAAGCUUAUUGAUGAAUUUGGAUUGAUUCUCUACUCUAUUUGGAAGGUUUGCGACCUAACUCCACUGGUUUUAUAAGUUAGAAUUUUCAGAUUGAACUAGAACAAGCAGAUUGCUUAAGUGCUGAAGUUCUGGAUGCAGGUUAUGGGCAUCCAGAAGUGGGUUCGAAUUGGUGUGAAGGCUUUUUGGUGAUCGUAUCGAGCCCAAUUUCGCUGUUUGCACUAAAGGCGGUGAACCAUUCACCGCCUUUAGUGCAAACCCCAGGGUGCAGAACCUGGGGAAGCACUGAUAAGACGGUGAACUAUUCCACUGUCUUCAUGAAAAUGAUUAACCAUUCACCGUCUUAUUUGUGUUUCAGCCCCGACUCUAGGACUUAGCCAAAUUUUGUUGAGUUGGGUUUUACACUAAAGGCGGUGAAUGAUUCACCGUCAGCCCCCAGUCCAAGACUUAGCCAAUUUUUUUUAGUUUUUGGAGAUUUUGCACUAAAGGCGGUAAACCAUUCACCGUCUUUAGUGCAAACAACCCCAGCACCUUUUUUCAGUUAGAUUUUAAAAAUAAUUUGAACAAAUUUGAGUUAAGAAUUUUCACGAGAACAAAUAUUUCAACAAGAAACACAACAAGACAAGUAGAACAACAAGAUACAAUCAGUAGCAUAAGAAUAUUAACAAAAACGUAGACAAAUAUUCAAAUAUGAACUAAAUAAAGUGAUAUAAUAUUAUACAAUCCAAUUCGAUCUAAAUCAACAAGAUACAAUCAGUCUCUCGAUCUUCCUCUCCCUCGACAUCCUCAGCCACGUCCUCGUGCAUGGCUACGUCCAUGUCUACGGCCACGAUCCAUAUCGAGCUCAGUAAUAGGUACGUCAUCAAGUGGCUCGAUACCGGCCAUCUAAUCGAGAUCUGCAAUAAUGAUGCCCUCGGGAUGCUCCGAAAUCACCUAAGUCUCCUCUGGCUCAAGUCGAUCACCCUCGAUAGUGGCCGAUGUAGAUGCUCGGCGGGCCUGUGAUGAUGACGCACCAUGACGUCGAGAAUAGACAUAUCUGAAGUAUGCUCGAGAGACUAGCGGCGAAAGUGAGUCCAAUGUCAAGAAAGAAAAUGUCGAAGGGACGACAGGCAUAUCUACAGCAUUAGUAGGAGAUGGAGAUCGUGACACCCACUGGCUCGAUGCCGAGUAUGAUCCAGUAGGAGUAGCCGACUGUCUCCUGUGAUGACCCGAUGUCGAGGCAUGACGCAAAUCUUGACCUCCGAUAUCAGCGACAACAGAUAUGGCAGGAACGUGCUCCAGUACCGACUCAAUAUGGGCACAAAUGCCCGUCAAUAACUCCAGCAUCGUAUGGAUCGCAGGUGGAUCAUCAACUAGCUCUUUGAUGCUAUAAUGAGUUUGUCGUAAUGCGUCCACCUGCAUUAUAGAUAAAAACUCACUUUUUUCAAUCUAUAUUAAAUAUAAUAUUAAAAAAAUAAGGUUAAAUUAUAUAAAACCUCACCGUCAAAAUCUGAUUUUUCACUUUCCCCUCUGUCAUUUAAAAACCUACACUUUGGCCCCUUGUAAAAUAAAAAAUAUUCACUUUCCCCCCUGCCGUUAGUAAUCCGUUAGGGUUUCGUUUAUAAAAUAUUAUUAUAUAUUUUUUAUGCCAAAAAUGUCCUCAGCCUUCUCUUCUGUGAACAUGGCGAGGGGCAAAAUGGUGAGGGGCAAAAUUGUCAUUUUAUCAUCACAGUUCACACUGCACCUUCUGUGAAUAUUUUUCAUUUUACAAAGGGGCAAAGUGUAGAUUUUUAAAUGACAGUGAGGGAAAGUGAAAAAUCGGAUUUUGACAUGGAGGUUUUCCGUAAUUUAGCCAAAAAAUAAUUAAUAUAUGAGUGAUCGUACCAAAGCUCUCUCAGUCUUGCUGCGAGACUGGUAAGUUAAUGAUGGACGCUGUACUGGAUGAGAAAUUCAUCUUCUCGUGAUCUACCAAUACCACUGCAUAUAAUAUUGGAGGUCGCCUGUAUCGGGUCAUCACCGGCAAUCGGCAGCUGGUAAAAAAUGGCCUGUAAUCUCUAUCCCCAUCUCUCGAUGUGUGCAGCAUGAAAGAUUGCCCAAUCCUCAUCUGGCCGCCCCUGAGAAGUGACACGAUGGAUGGUCUCCACGUUAACGAGUAUAUGCUGGAGGAGACCAAACUGUCGUAGGACUCGAUUCGAUACAUGAAGCUCAACAAUAUGAAAAGAAAUCAGCGUCGUCCUUGACCACCAGACCUCACAGAAUGCCGAUAGCGCGGCGAUAAUAGUAUAUGUGUACGGCCUCCUUAUAAUCUGUGAAAAAGGCAAUAAUAGUCGGCUGAAUGCAUUAAUACGUUUGUAUUAUAUUGAAAAAGAUGGUUGCAUUAAUACGUUCCUGGGACUCUCUCUGCUGAUCUAACUCAUCUCGAUAGAACUCAAUAUCCGUUGUAACAUAAUGACGCAAGUUUUGUAAAAACCAACGCCAACUUCCACCAUUUUCUCCUUCGUAAAUUGCAAAUGCUAAAGAAAAAAUGCUAUCAUUUGCAUCAACGGCCGUCGCUAUCAAUGCAUGACCUUCGUAUUUGCCAUACAAGUGAGUGGCAUCAAUGCUCACUACCGGCCGACAGUGCGUGAACCCAUGAAUAGAAGGAGCAAAUGACUAAAAAACACAACCAAACCGACAUAUUCCGUCUGAUGGCCAUCUAUGUUCAAGGCGCCAUGAAGUAUCAGGAUUACUACUCUGCACCAUAGUAAAAUACCGAGGCAAGUCUGUGUAUGAUUGCUCCCAGCUCCCAUAAAUAAUUUGUAAUGCUUUGCUCCUUGCUAGCCAUGCCUUCCAAUAGUUUAUGUCAAUAUGCAAAGUGGAUCGCAUUGUUUCCUGUAUUUCCUUUGGCGUCAUAUUCAAUCUUGCCUUCAUUAACGAGAGAAUCACUUGGCAUAUAAGACUUGAAGUACAAUUACGUACGGUGAGCCGCAUUUAGCAUUAGAAUAACACAAGUGUGUUGACCUGCAUAUGUCUUAACUUUGAAAUAUGUUGCAUCUUUAGGAAUCAAAGCGUGUAAUCUCUAAGGACAUCCCUCAACCGUGCAUUUUAUUGUAUAAGUUGUUUUGGUGGAUUUCAAAACCUUCAUCUGAACAUUCUGAGCAAUGUGCCAUUAAUCUAGCACGGCCAUUAAAGAUGCCUUAUCAUAAAAGAUUUGACGAAGCUAAGUCCCGUCAAUGCUAGGUAGAUCAGUAUUGGUACGUCUAACAUCGAACUCAGUCGAAUUUACAACAUAUUGAUUUAUCCAAUUGUUAUCUGUAGGAAAUUAUUUCGGAUGGUCAAUAAAAUCAAGUUCCUCGUCAGGAUUAUCUACAUAUUCGUUGUUUACAUAUGGGUCGUCAUGAAUACUGUAAAAGGCAUUCGCAAGGCAAUUUAAUCUUCCAUCGUGAUCAUCCUCAACGUCAUUAGCUAGAUAAUUCCAAUCGUCGUCCUCACUGGGGUAAUGUGUUAGAAAAUUGCGUACGGUAAAAACGCAGCGGAAAAAGAAAUCAAACAAAUUUGAUUUUUGAAAACUCUCGAGAUCAAAUCUCAAAAACCACGCAAUUAGGAUCCCUCAUGUUUUAAGAUUAAAGAAGAAAAACAAGAUCGGAUAUUUACCUUUUUCGCAGAUAGAUCUUCCCCUCAAUUUGAUGAUCGUGGAAUUCGGUUCUCUUGAAGCCGCACACGCGUCCGACCUCUAUAGGUAUCCACACGAGGUUCUUGAUUUGAUCGAUGUCCUCACCGGGGUGCUAGCUCCCUUGCAAAAGGACGUCUUUCUUGCUAGAAGAUGGAAGAGAGAAGAGAGGAUAGAUGACGGCUAGGAUUUUCUAAAAACUCCCGUAUAUUACAUAUAGGAAUAUAAUCCUAUUCCUAAUAAUAUAAUGACAAUUAAGUAUAAAUAUAAAUCUAGAUUUAAAUUUAUCUUUUCCUUAAUUGGUUAGAUCAAUCAAAUCCUAAUUUGAUUCGACUUGAAUUUUAUAUUAAUUUGAUCUUAUCAAAUUAAUAAUGCAAUAUUUGCACAUAAGUCCUCUUAUAAUUUACUAACUAUUAGUAAGUCCUCUCUUGUAACAUUUACACCUUAAUACCACUAAUUUGUAACAAUUACAAAUUAGUCCAAUUAUCAUUAUAUUGACAAUUAGGUCCUCCGACGAUUCAAUAAUCGCGAUCUAGCUAUUCGAUCAAUCACAACCUCUUAUGUGUGUGACCCCAUAGGUUCUAUUCUAUCUGGUAGUGAGAUAUAUUUUGAUCACUAUCAACAAUAUCACUGAAACUCCUUUCAGUGGAUCGAAACAAUUCCAACUCAGCCCAAUGAGAAUUAUCGAUCAUCUAGAUAAUUCUUAUAAGUCUCACAAUCCACCAGUGACGCCUAGCAGCAUGUAGUGGCAUUCCAGUAGAAUGGAAUAAUGAACCUCUUGGUGCAGUUACCGUGUGAUACAAUCCUUCUAUCAUGAGUCCCGACUAGACGGAGGUUAUGGAAUAACUCGUCAAACCCCAUCGUCUGUCAUAUGUUAAAUUUAUUCGACUCGAGUUUCUAAUAUCGGAAAUCCUUUUCCGCUAUUUAUUCUGCCCUGGCCAAGGUCUUCUAAACUCGGUCUCAUAAAUCACAUAGGACUAACACCCCUAUCUACCAAGGGAGAUAGAUUCCAUCUGAGUGCGCACCCUAUUUCUACAAUGAACUUACUGCAGCCAACAUGCACCGUAAGGACCCGAAUGGCUAGGGACCAAGUCUAUGUACAGUCAAACUACAGUAACCUCAUUGUGAAUAGCCGAGGCACCGCAGGUCAAAGGACCAGUCACACUACUGCAACAAUUGAGUAAGUCACUGACGAGUGAGUAGACAUCCAAGUGACUUCUCGCGUUGGUCACGCUCGGUACCCUUGUUCUCUAACAACCACCUGCAUAUUCGCUUCAGUGUCCCCACACUGUCGACUCGAGACUCGUCUACCCAAAAGGGAAGCGGCCUAUGCACCAAUCUCACUGGAUCAAUCACCGUCCACGUAAUGAUCCAUUGAUCGGGAGCAUUUAGGAAUUAACCACCAAUGACACAUGUCUCAAAUUCUCAACUCUUGAGAAUAUAUGUCAUCAUCUUAUUAAUUCCUUGGACGAUUCAUGGACACAUACAUAACAUGAAUGGAAAUAAAAACCCAAAGUUAUUCAUAAUAUUUAAAAGUCAAAUACAAAUUUAUGUCCUAGAAAGAAUAUAUGUGUCGGCCUGGUUGGCUUCUAGGGCAUACAUCUAACAUAAUGAUCAUCAUUAUGAAUGGAUGUAUCAUCCUGAUUACUGUCAUUACCAUCUCCUUCAUUGACAAUAUUAUCAAGAACUUCAUUCCAAUUUUCAUAGGAUGUAGAAAGUUUGCAAUGGGUCCCGAAUUUUUACUAUAUUAGGUAGAUUUUUACUUACUAUUAAUUUAAAAAGAAUCAAAAUUUUCUUUACCCUCAAUCAAAAUUUUCAUUAGGUGCAUGAAAUAUCAUGGGUUCCUCGCGUGUAGUCAAGGGUUGCGCACGUGAGGUCGAGGGUUGCGCACGUGAGGUCGAGGGUUGCACACGUGGAGACUGACUUUGUCUGCAAUAUUUACAUUUUAAAUUUAUCAAAAUAUUUAAUAAUUAAAUAAAAUAUUCACCGAAACAUAGCGAUAUCACUUACCUUGAGGUCGGGGUUCAUUACCAACUUUGCGGUCACCAAUUGGAUUAUCCGAAAAACCUACAUCGAUAUCAUUAUGAAGCAGUCUUGUGUAAUAUCCUCGCGAUUGAUAUUGCGUCUCUAACGGAUAUAAAUCUUUCUCGAUGUAUACCGAUACACAUCCAUAAUAUUCAAACAAUCUAAUUAAUCCCUCCAAUGAUUCAUCAUCUACUAUAUCGUGAGCACUAUAUUCAUUUGCUCCCGUAGGGCAUCGAAUAGUGAAUUUAAGACGAAAUUCUUCUCUAUUACAAUUUACUAAACGAUACAUUCUCGUCUCAAAAUGAGUAUAUGUCGUAUCUGAACGAAUCACGAUCAAUUUCUUUCGACUGCUGACAUAUCAGGGACCAUUUUCAUCCAUAAUUAAUUAUCUAUCUCAAUGAACACUAAGAGACAUCCGACGAGCCAUUUUAACUACAUAGAAAAAACUUUCAAAUCUCCUCUCAAAAUAUCUAGUGAAUAUAAUACAAAAGUUUAAACCUAAAUAAAGCUAAUUGCUAGUUUAAAGUAGGUUUAAACUAGGUUUAAACUUAGUUUAAAAUAAUUUUAAACUACAAGCCCGUCUCGUCAAAAAGUUUAAACCUAAAGUAGACUAAUAGCUAGGUUUAAACCUAGUUUAAAACUAGUUUAAACUACAAGCUCGUCAAAAAGUUUAAACCUAAGCUAAUAGCUAGUUUAAAGUAGGUUUAAAUUUAAUUUAAAACAUAAUGAACUACAAGCUUGUAGUUCAUUAUGUAACAUAAUGACACAAGUUUUGUAACAUAAUGAACUACAAGUUUGUCAAAACAAGUUUAAAUAGGUUUAAACUACAAGUUUAAACCUAAAUAGGCUAAUGGCUAGUUUAAACUAGGUUUAAACCUAAUUUAAAACAAGUUUGAACUAUAAACUUGUCAAAACAAAUUUAAACAAGUUUAAACUACAAACCUAAAUAGGUUAAUGGCUAGUUUAAACCUAGUUUUAACUAAAUUUAAACCUAGUUUAAACCUAGUCUAAACUAACAAUGCUAACAAUGCUAACAAUGUGGGUUGCUACCUGCAAUGUGGGUUGGUGAGGGAAGGUUGGCACGGGCGGCGGAUGCGGGGGUUGACGGUGAACGGCGGGGGCGACGUCGGCAGGGGUGACGGUGACCGACGAGGGCUCCUGGAGAUGGUAUGGCAGAGAGAGAGAGAGAGAGAGAGAGAGAGAGAGAGAGAGCGUAGAGGGAAGGAGAGGUGUCGGGGUCGGGGUGGGGUGCGGGUAUACCUAAUGAAGACGGUGAAUUGUUCACCGUCUUCAUAAAGCGAUGAACGAUUCAUCUUCUUAUCUUGGGCACUGCAAGGCGGAGGUGCUUUGCACUAAAGGCGGUGAAUCGUUCACCGCCUUAUUAAGACGGUGAACGAUUCACCGUCUUCUCUAGGGCACAGCCGUGUUGUGGUGAUGGUUUUGUACUAAAUGCGGUGAAUUGUUCAGGUGAUGGUUUUGUACUAAAUGCGGUAAAUCGUUCACCAUUUUAUGAAGACGGUGAACGAUUCACUGUCUUACUAAGGCCACGCCCAAGACUUGGAGAGAUUUGCGCAGCGGGAUGGGGAUUUGCACUAAAGGCAGUAAAUAGUUCACCGUCUUCUCAAGGCAGUGAACCAUAUACCGUCUUCACAACAAAUAUUACAAAGACGGUGAACAAUUCACCGUCUUUGUGAGAAAAUCUUGACAUGGCGCCCACGUGACAAAAGAAGGAUAAGUUUUACAAAUAAAUUUUGGCAGGGACAUUUUGCUAAUUUCGAUUUUUUGGAGGCUCGUUUUAUAAAAAAGUCCUUUUUGUGUGCCUUUUGUGCGGGUAUCGCAACCGCAUAAAACUGGUGUUUCAGACAGCGGGUCUUCUGCCGAGACUCAUCACCGCACGUGCAUUCCACGUGCCAAGGGUGCUGGCUCCUGUGGAACUCCACGAGUGACGGAGUGAGGGACAACUCUCGACCGCGACUGGACGCGACGGAAGAUGGGGAAGCGCGGGAAGAAGCAAAGAGACAAUCACAGACCCCGCCGACUUCUCCCUCGAGACGACGAAGACGGCGCCGACUCCUUACCCUCCUCUGCCUACGACCUCCAUUCCCAUCAACAGCAAGAAGAAGCCGACGCCGGAUUUAAAGAAGACGCCGGAGACGAAGACGAAGGCGAAGGCGAAGGCGACAGGGAAGAGGAGGAGCAAUGGCGCGUCGAAGGAUCCCCAUCGAAGUUCCAUCUCUACCAGAUAUCGGUUCAGGUACUCAAAAGCUUUAGCUUCUUAUACUUCUUACCCUCCCAAAAGCCCAAAGACUAGGGGCUUUUUCUAGAAGCUAGGGUUUUAUUCGUGCUGUGCUUCGUGUAGUCGCCGAAAGGGGACAUUAGCUAUUUGCAGAAGUUCUUUUUGAUGUACGUCGGGGGGAGAUUCCCGCUGCACUUGCAAGAGGAUUUCUGCGGCACCGCGCUUCUCAGGUUCUUCUUCCUUUGGAUUACUGUAGUUCCUUUUUUGGGUAUAGUUUGGAUUUUCUUUCUUUUUCUUUUUUUGUAAGAUUCCUUAUUUGCUUGUUUUCUGUUAUGUUGGCAAGAAAUCUUGAUGUUUUUGUGCAUAAAUGGUUCAUGAAUAGUAUGUUUGAUUAAUUGCCUCAAAGAAACUUGGUUGUUAGCGAGACUAGUAUGUUAGCGAGACUAGUAUGUUUGAUUAAUUGCCUCAAAGAAACUUGGUUGGGCCUGUUGCAGGAUGUAGAGCUGUUCGAUGAACUACUGUUUGAGUAGUGUUAAGUAAUGUGCUUAAGUCUUUCUAACAGUUUCUUUCUGCAAUAGAAUCAGAAGCAUUAUAAAAUUCGAAUUGAAGCUUCCACUUUUGAUGCUCGGAGUAUCAUUUCACCCUCUUGUUAAAGUAGAAGCACUGGACUUUUCUGUUCAGCAAACAUUCUAUUGAGUGGCAGAAGUAGAAAGAAGCCAAAUAGGCAUUUUGGGUCAGAGAGAAAAGUAUUUUAGUUUCUUCACGAAGUCAGUAUGGUAAAUAUAGAUAAUUACAAACGUGCUUGUUCACCUAGAUGAUAUGUCAAUAAGAGAAAUAGGACUGUUUAGUCAUAUAUCCUAUAUGCUAAGUUGGUAAGAAGACAACUAUCAGUAUAGUCUCCUUCGAUGCAAUACAAGAGGAAGAACUUGUUCUGCUACCAAUUUGAUUCAAGCGUAUGAAGGAUAAAAUUAUGAGAUUUUAUUCGUGAGAUUUUUCUAUAAAUCAUUCUUGGUAGCAUGGUCAGGAAAUUUAUGUUUAGGGACGAUAUUUUUGUUUGAUUAAUUGUCAUAAAGAGCCUUAGGAUGAGAAAGAUGAUGCCCUUGUUCACCUAAUGAGAUCUCAAUAUGAGAGAUAACACUAUUUAGUGAAAUAACCGAUGUAAUAUGAAAACUAUUAUAUUUAGUUCAGUUUGAGGCAAUAUGAUAGAAAGAAUUUGCUCGAUGCUGAUUCGUUGCUAGCUUAUGAAGUAUAGAUUUCUAUCUUUGGGAUCUUUUGUGUGUGCUUACAAUGGAUAAAACAUUUGAUGUUGUCCUCUGCUUUAGCUGGGAAAAAACAUGCUGUUCAAUUUUUUCAAUGUGGGAAAGCAUGGUAUGUUUUGGAAUUGCCAAAAAGUUGCAUUGGGCAAUGUUACUGUACAAGCUCUCCUUCCCAAUCUUCUGUGGUUGCCACGCAUUUCGGGGUCGAGGGCGCGGCGCUGGUGACUAGGCGACUUGUGGGGGAGAGGGGGGUUGGUGCGGUGGUGAAGCACUUGGGUGGGAUGGGGAGGUCUGAUAGUGAAGCAGUAGGGUGGCAAGGCUAGGGGGUGUCAAGUGGCGUGGGUGAUCUGCAAGGGUGGUGUGGCGAUGCAGCCCGAGUGGUGGGGGGAGCGGUGGGCUCAGAGUGACGCGGCAUGUGAAAUGGCAGUGUGUACAGGCUACAUAGGCGGGGAUGGGUAGUGUAGAGUAGGACAAUAGCAAGGCAGGGUGGUCAAAUAGUGUGUGGGACGGCAACAAGGUGUCCAGAUAAAAGAAAAUUUUUAAUUAAUUGUUUUUUAAAAAAUAAAUAUAGAAAUGGAGAAAGGAAAGAAAAUAAUUGUGGUUUGAUUAUGACUUUCCGGAUUGGAUACCAACAAGAAAAGAGAUAAAAGAUAUGGUGUUCUCUUAUUUUGAAAUUUUUUUGAAUUGUUUUUCAAAAUGAAGAGGUCCUAAGAUCACUAUAAAUUGGACCACGGGAUUCAAGGAAAAAAAAGAAAAAAAGAAAAAGGAUAGAAUAUAAAAAAGGAGGAAGGAUUUAAAAAAAUAAAAGAAAAAGAAAAUAAAGAGAGAGAAGGUGAAAUGUCAGACGGGAGCCCCGCCCCUCGCUCUCUCGUUCGUGCACAAAGAGAAAAGGAGUUGGUGUCCCUCUUUCCAACCAACCAAAAUAAAGGGUGAUGGUGACAACGAUAAGGACACGCGAAGGUUCUGCAAUUUGCUUCUUCUCCAACGAUGACAAAAGUGUGCGAGGAGGCCUCAUGGCCUCUUCUUUCUUAUUCGAUUGUGCCGCCAUAAUGACGAUAGGUUAGUGUAUACACGCAAACGGUAUUAUGGUGAUCCUUUUGUUAGUUUAAUCACACAUCUUUCUUCUUGAUAGGCUUGACUGAUCAAAUCCGACAUUGGAUUGUUACUAUGCCAUGCACGCGUAUUCACUAAGCGUCCAUCUCCCCAAUAUUGCUUUUGCUGUCAUGAUCAAAAGAUCAAUAUGUGCGCGUGAAUGACGUGAUGACAAUUCUCUUACUGGUUUGAUCGUGCGACCGCCUUCGCGAUAGGCUUGACAUGAUCAAAUCCUUAUUCAACAAAUAAAAUAAAAUAAAAUAAAAACAAAAUAAUAAAAUAAAUAUUUGCCUUGGAUCCUUGUCUUCGUGAUAGGCCUGAUCUAUUCGGCUUAAACCAAAUCGCCAUCUUUGUGAUAGGCUUGAUCUGAUUAGUUCAAACCAAAUCUCCAUCUUUGUGAUAGGCUUGAUCUGGUUUGUCUUAAACCAAAUUUCCGUCUUCGUGAUAUACUUGAUUUGGGUUUGCUAUCACCAAAUUGUCAUCUUCGUGAUAGGCUUCAUCCGGUUCGGUAAAAUCAAAUCAUCCUCUUUGUGAUAGGCUUGAUUUGGGUUCGGUUAAACCAAAGUUACCGCCUUCGUGAUAGGUAUGGCUCAAACGUCUUCGUGAUAGGUUUGAUUUGAGUUCGGUUGAACCAAAAUCGCCAUCUUCGUGAUAGGCAUGGUUUGAUCCAAUUGCUGUCUUUAUGAUAAGCCUGAUUUGGGUCGGUUAAACCAAAACCGCCAUCUUCGUGAUAGGUAUGGCUCAAACGUCUUCGUGAUAGGUUUGAUUUGAGUUCGGUUGAACCAAAAUCGCCAUCUUCGUGAUAGGCAUGGUUUGAUCCAAUUGCUGUCUUUAUGAUAAGCCUGAUUUGGGUCGGUUAAACCAAAACCGCCAUCUUCGUGAUAGGCGCAUUCCAGCUCGCGCAUGUCAUUAACCACAACUUGACGUGCACUAAGAUUUGAUAUAAUGCUGACUUCUUAGUAAAAUAUUGAAAAAAAUUGUACUACUUAGCCAAAAGGGCUCUUGAACUCGACAUAGGUUCUAAUCCAAAUCAAUUGCAUAAAUGGUUGGGUUUGAAUCGAGCCCAACAUAAGUAAUAAAUUCAAUUUGAACUUAAUAAAAAAAAAAGAAAAAAAAAUGUUGGAGUCGAGCCUAAGUCAAACCGGCUUAAACGCAAACUCAAAUUGAACCAAACCCAAGUCGACAACGGGUCAUGCCGAUGAUCAAAAAUAAACUAAAUGCAAGUUGGUGAACCAAACCUAAGAUGGUAAACUGAACUCCUAAUGAUGAACCAAGCCCAAAUAUUAAACCAAAUGCAAGACACUGAGCUAAACUCGCAACAUUGAAUUGGACCCAAGAUGGUGUAGCGAAAAUCAAAUCCAACACGGUGAAUCACAACCACUGCGUUGAGCCAAAGAUAAACCGAAUCUAAGACGGUGAACUAAACCUAUGGUGGUAAACCGAACUGAUGAUGAUGAAUUAAAUCCAAAUAGUGGACCAAAGCUUGAAUCUAUAACGGUGAACCAGACAUCGAAUGGUGAACCAUAUGCAAAAUGGUCGAAUCAAUCCAAAAUGAACCUAGGAUAGCGAGCUGAACCCAAGCCGACGGAAGGCCGUGCUGGCAAUGGAUCAAAGAGGGACCGAGCCCAAGUUGUAGAAUCAAGCCAUAAGUUGGUUCGGCGCUAAUCCAAACAAUAAGUUGGUGCAAUCUAAAACCAAACCAUAAAGGAUUCAACUUGAACCGAAGCCAGUUCAACCCGAACUGAUACAAUUUGGAUCAAAUCAUGAGCUGGUACAAUCCGAGGAAGUCCGAGCUAAGCCGAACUGAAACAGAAGUCGAUUCAACUUAAACAGAGUCAUAAAAGCUUCAACUUGAAUUGAACUAGAGGCCAUUUCAACUCAAAUGGAAUGACAGGAGGUCUGAGCUGAGUCGAAACAAACAGAAGCCGGUUCUACCUAAACCGAGCUGUAAAGGAUUCAACUUGAACCAAAUCAUAAGUUGCUACAACCCGAAUGAAACUACAAGAGGUUUGAGCCAAGCCAAACCAAACUAUUAAGAUAGUUCGACAUAAACCAAGCUAUAAAGGGUAUAACCAAGUUGACCUAAACCCAAAUUGAAAUACACAAGGUUUGAACCGAAUCAAACAAUGAAAUAGUUCGACCCAUCGAACUACAAUUGGUCAAUGAAACCAUAAGGAUUUGACUGCAUGAAAUUCGAGGAGACUCAGACUAAACUAUAAGGGUUCGAUCUAAAUCAAACCGAACCUCAAGGGUCUCGAGCCAAACCAUGAGGGUUUUGACUCAAAUCAAACUCAAAGAGGUUCAAGCUGAGUCAAAUUAUAAGGGCUCAACUUAAAUUAACUUCAAAGAGGUUUCAAGCUAGGCCAUGCCAUAAGGGCUUGACCUGAACCAAGUUGAAAAGGAAUCUAAAUUGAGCGAAAGCAUGGAGUACAACCCAUAUCAAACUCGAAAGGUCUUGAACCGAACUGGUUCGAGCCAAGCCAAACCCAAACCGCUUUGAUUUAAACCAAACCAUAUGUCAGUUCAACCCAAAUUGAACUAUAAGCCAGUUCGACUUAAACUAAACCAUAAAGGAUUCAACUUGAACCAAAGUGGGUCAACCUAAACUGAAUCACUGAGAGCCAAGUCGAACCGAAUUACAAGACGAUUCAACCUAAACCGAACCAUAAAGAAUUCAAUUUAGUUCAACCUGAACUAAAUCGCAGAUGGUUUGAGCCAAGUCAAACCUAACUACAAGCCGGUACAACUUUAAUCGAACUACAAAGGAUUCAACUUUAAUCGAAGCUGGUUCAAUCCAAACAGAGCCACGGGAGGCCCGAUCGAGCAAAACUGAAGUACAAGCCUGUUUGAUCCGAAUCGAACCACAAGAGGUUUGAGUUACAAGCCGGUUCAACCCAAACUGAACCACACGAGGUUCUAGCUGAACCUAAUCAAAUUACAAGUUGGUUCGACUUAAACCGAACCAUAAAGCAUUCAACUUGAACUACAAAUUGGUAACCCAAUCUGAACCAUAGAAGGAGUGAACCAAGUCAAACGAAACCAUAAGCACAUUCAACCUAAAUUGAAUAUGGACCGAAAUAUAUGUUGGUUCAACUCAAAGCAAACAACUUGAACCAAACCAUGAACUAUUUCGACUCAAAAUCAAAAUCAAAGAGCUCUCAACCGAACAACAAAGUGUUCAACUAAUCAAGCUCAAAGACGUCUUAAAUCAAACCGCACGGGUUUGAUCCAAACCAAAUGUAAAAGGGUUCCACGCUGAGCUGAACCACAAGAGCUCAACUCGGAUCAAACUAAAACGAAUCUUGUACCAAACCAUAAGUGUUUGACCCGAAACAAACUGAGCUAUAAGAGGGUCUAAGUUGAGGCGAAUCAUAAGGGGUCAACCCAAAUCAAAUUUAAAGGGGUCUCGAACUAAGUCAAAAGGGUUGGAUUUAAACCAAGUCUCAACGGAUCCAAGUGUCAACAGAUCUUGAACCAAAGCAUAAGAGUUUGACCUUAACCAAAUUCAAAAGGGCCAAAUCAAGCGAAAGCCUAUGACGGCUCAACCUAUAUCUAAUACCAAAGAUUCAAACCAUGUCAAACUGAGCUCAACCUAAACAAAAAUUCCGACCAAACUUUAGGGAUGAUCAGUGUUGGCAUUCGGUUAAAUCGAAUCGGGUACGCCCAUAAGCGGGUUCGAUCCGACGGAUAUUAUGUUAUCUAAUUGGAUUAGGAUUAAUCUCGCUUUCAAAUUGGAAAGCUAAUUAGAGAUAAAUCUAAUCAUAUUAGGAUAACAAAUAAUAACCGAUUUGGCCUUAUCUCUAACGCUAUUAGGAUUUUGGAAUUCCUUAUAAAUAGACGGGCGAUCCCACAUGAAACGAUGCACAAAAAGAACGGAAAAAGAGAGAAUAAGAAACCAAAAAGAGAGAAACCACAUCCUCCACUAACCUAUUAUUCUAGAGGGACUUGAACGGUGGAUUUGCGAUCGUGCUCGUUUGUAGUUCGAUCCACCGCGAGUUCGGAGCGCAAGAAGACUUUCAAGGACGAUCCAAGGACACGUGAACCAACCUCCACGAUCCGGGCUCAUCGCGUUCUAGCGCGAAUCGCUUCCGCAAAAAGGUACGAACGAAAACUUCCGCUGCGUUCUACAAUCAGAAUCAAGGAAAUCAGCUCCGCCCGAACUGAAGCAAAUCAAGGAUUCAAACCGAGUUGAAUUCAAAUUAAUCGGCUAAGUCAACUUAAUUGACUCACAAGCCAUAAUCAAACAGACCGUCACAUCGUUAAAUUGAGCAAUUCGACUUAAACUGCUGUUAAACUGAGCGCGGAGCGCCUAAACUUCAAACCGUCUUCCAUGUUGUUAAAUUGAACACCUCAACUUCAAACGACCGCCACGUUGUUAAACUUAGCAUCUCAAGUUUAAACCAACUGCCAUUAUUAAACUGAGCAUCUCAACUUCAAACUAAUCAACACGUCGUUAAAUUGAGCAACUCAACUUCAAACCGACCGCUAUGUUGUUAAAACUGAGCAACUCAACUUCAGGCCGAUCGCCAUGUCGUUAAACUGAGCACCACAACUUCAACUGCCAUGUCGUUAAACAAGGCACUUCAACUUCAACUGAUCGUCAUGUUAUUUAACUAAGCACAUCAACUUAAAAACAACUAUUAAGUCGUUAAACUGAGCACCUCAACUUCAAACCGAUCGCAAGUCGUUAAACUGAGCAGCUCAACUUCAAACCGACCGCUAUGUCGUUAAAGUGAGCUUCUCGACUUCGAAUCAAUCACUAUGUUAUUAAACUGAGCAAAUCAAGUUUAAACUCAACUUCAACCAACCUCUAUGUCAUUAAACUGGGCAUGCCAAACUCAAACAACUGUGAAGUUAUUAAACUAAACGAAUUCAACUUGAUUGGCAAGCCACCAAGCUGAGCAAAUCAAGUUUAAACUCAAUCCAACUUGAUCGCCAAGUCAUUAAAUUGAGCAAACUAAGUUCAAAAUCAAACUCAACCCAACUUGACCAUUGAGUAGUUAGACUGAGUAAAUCAAAUUCAAACUCAAACUUGAACCGACUGUCAUUUUAUUAAGGGCAUGUUUGGUUGCCCGAAAUUGGUUGAAGUGAAAAAAGUUACUUUCGCAAAAGUGACUUUUACAAAAGUGACUUUUCAAUUCGAUUGUUUGGUUUGCUAUAAUGUAGAUCAUGAAAAACUUUAGUUUUGUAAUUUUGAUUCUUUAAUUAUACAUAAAGAGGUGAAAAUAUAAACAAACGACUUAUACUCGCAAUUUAAUUUAAAUUUAAAUUUAUAUUUUGAAUUCAAAAUUAUAUUUUAAAAGUUAAAUUUAAACUUAAAUCUGAGUUAAAUAUAUAAUUAAAAUUUAAGAGAUAAAUUAAAUUUGCAAUUUGAAUUUAAAGUUUAAGUUAUAACUCAUAACUAAAAUUAAAUUCUAAAAUAAAAGUUCAACAUAGAAAUUACAACAUUUGUUCAAAUUUGAAUUCAUAAUUUGAAUUUAUAAUUUGAAUCAUAUUUUAAUUUACUCUUUGAUUUUAAAUUCUCAAUUUAAAUACGAAUUCACAAUUUGAAUUGAUAUUUAAAUUAAAAUUAAAAUUUGAGUUUAAAUCACAAUUCAAACUGAAUAUUUGAAUUCAUAAUUUGAAUUCAAAAUUCAAACUGAAAUACAAUUUAAAUUAAAUGUAAAUAGCAAAUUUAAAUUUGAAUUUGAAUUUAAACUUAAAAAUUGAAUUUUAAAUUCAAAUUUCGAUCAAUAAUUUGAAUUUAUGGUUAAAAUAAUUUGAAUUCAAAGUUCAAACUGAAGUUCUCAGCAAAAUAUAAUUAGAUUAAAAUUUGAAUUUCAAAUUUUAAAUUUUAAUUCUAUAAUUCAAAUUUAAAUAAAAAUUCCUAAAAUUUAAAUUUAAAUAUAAAGUCACAAAUCUGAUUUUAAAAAUUUUAUGUUGAAUUUGAAUUUAUAAAUAAAAUUUAGAAUGUGAACAUGAUUUUAAUUAAAAUUUAAAAUGAAAUUCAACUUUAAAAAUAAUUUGAAAGAUUAAAGUUAAGACCAAAUAUUACCUCUUAACUAAUUCUUCACUUUCGGUGACUUCUAAAUUUUUUAAGCCAAAGUCAAAAAAGUGAAAUUUAGUUAUAACUCACUUUAUCAGCCUAUUAUCAGCCUACUUUGCUGAAGUGAUUUUCAUAUUCACUUUCGCAAACCAAACAACCGAUAAGGCGUUACUUUUCAAAAGUGCCACUUUCGGUAUGUCCCUUUCAGCCAAGGAUUUAAGUGUCGUGGCACGGGAUCGUGCCGGAAACUUGCUGGCACGGUACGGCACUGUGUGUGCCGAGCCGUGCCGAUGCAUGUUGGUCAAAAAAAUUCUUGUGUGCCGACAGCCUGACACAUAAUAGCAUGAAAUAUUUAUUUUCUUUAGAAACAAAAUAUUCUAACUAUUUAUUAUGUCUUUUUAUCACAUCUUUUGAACUUUAUUAAGGAGAUUACUUACUAAUUUAAAGAAUAGAAGGUUUUGAGCUGUGCCAUCGGCACGGGGUCUGUAUCGUGCCGGUAUCUUGUUGGCACGGUAUGGCACGGUAGAUACGACCCGUGCCGACGGGCACUUAAAAUCUUGCUUUCAGCCAAUCAAAAAUGCCCUAAACUGAGCAUGGCAACAUCAAACGACCGCCACUGUAUUAAACUAAGCAAUUUAAUUCAACUUCAAACCAAUUGCCAUAUCAUUAAACUGAGUAACUCAAUUCCAAAUCGAUUGCUAUGUUGUAAAACUAAACAAUCCAACUUCACUUUAACCGCGAUGUCCAUAAACUGAGGAUUUCACUCAUGUACAGUGGAGAUCUGUCUUUGCUUAAGCUAUGUACCAAAAAUUAUAUCAAUAAAAGUUCAUCUUUAUACUCUAGUCUCUUUAUAUUAUCAGUAUUAAAUUUGGUCUUUUAAUCGAGGGUUCCUUAACACUGUGAGUGUGGGGUAAUUAAUUGUAGAUUCUUGAAUUUGCUGGAAGUCAUGAACUUAUAAAUAUGAUUUCAAAUUAAAACUUAAACAAAUUUGAUCUAUACCAUGAAUAACCACUUGUCGGCACAGAACUGCAGUAGGCAGCAUGGGCGAGCGGCACUGGAACAAAGUGCGGGGCAGCUUAGCGCCUUCGCAUUCUGCACCGAUCUUCUCUCUAUUGACUUAUCCACCGAAUCACAAUAUUAUUAAUUAUUUUUUUCUACACUAAUAAUUUUCUAUUUUGUUGUUGUUCUUUUUCACUAUUAUUACAACCCAUUCUACACUCUAAUAAUAUAUUUUGGAUAUUGGGAUAAUAUCUAACAUACCCUUCAAAACUUUAAAAAAUCUAAUAUAUCUUUGGUUGACAAAAAUGCCUAUUGAUUUCCAAAAAUUCCUUAAAGUAUCCCAAAACCCACUAGGGUUUACUAAUGGGAUUUGGGUUUUAGAAGGGUAUUUUGGUAAUUUCAGAGUAAAUAUGAAAAUUUUGAAUAGUAGUCAGGGGUAAAUAAGCAAAAGUCCCUUUGAUAUUUAACUUAUUAAAAGAAUAAUUCUGAGUUAAGAAGAAUUUUCUUAAUUAUGCUAUUUUUAAAUUGUGUUUUCUAUUAGAUAUUUUAAAUAUAUUUUAUUAAUAAAAUAUUAAAAAUAAUGUUUUGGUAGUGUUUUAUCGAUUUAUGAUAUUUACGACACUUUUCAGACGAAUGUUAGCUAAACAACAUUCAAUUGCAAACAACACUUAUAUGACAGAUUAUUAAACACUUUACAGCUUUUUUAAAUGCUGCAUCUUUAUAUCUACAGUACUUCUACAAUUGCAGUAUUUUCUACAACUUGGCCAAACAGGCCCUUUAUCUGAGAGAGGUGAGAUCCCAGUGAUUUGACAUCAUAGGUGUUGUAUUUGCAUUAAAAACCCAAAGGAGAAGGAAAUGAGAGUCUUAAAAAGGAGAAAGGGAAAUAUAAGGGAUGACAUAAGAACACCUAAGGCUAAAAGAGCUCAUCAUUCGUGUGUGUUCACCGAGCAAUGACAUUCUCUUUGUUCCUGGCUGACUGCUCUUCCUAUUUUCAUGGAGCAAACAUGAUCAACUCGAAUUCUCUCACAGAUGGGUUGUGUUUAAUUCUGACCUUCUCUUCGCAGAUGGGUUGUGUUUAAUUCUGACCUUCUCUUCACAUAGUCUUGUCCAAUCCUAAUCUUGUAGCUAUCCUUUUAAAUCCAGAUUAUUCUAUUUUUCAAUUGUAUUUUGUGAAUGUCUGUUGGACAAAUCAUGUGAAAGUAGCAAUGGUCUGUUUUCUUGAGAGUGGUUUCCUUCCAUCGUUCGGCAUUUGCAAUCUGUAGGAUGCUUUCUAAGUUUUUGAUGCUUAAUCAAUUGAAGUCAAAUAUGCUCUCAACUUGAUCGAUUGACAUGUGUUUUAGAGUAUAAAGUUAUUUUCUUUGUGGCAUAAUAUAGUUUUGAGGGGGAAUUCAACAUACAAAAUGUAAAUGUAUUUCAGACUCAACCUAAUAGCUAUUAAAAGGAAUCAUGUGAUUCAUGUUAUAACUUUGUAUUCUUUGCUUAGCAAAUGAAAGUUGUUUGUAACCUAUUUUUGCAUCUAAUAAUUAGACAGUUCAUCUCAGUUAAAUAUCAAUGUUUUGAAAACCGAACCAGUCAUCAAAUUGGAAAAAGAAAGAGUUUUGAGGGUCAGAGGUUCAACCGGAGUUGAUCUGGGGUCAAACUGUAAAAACAUAUGAAUAUAAGAAUUUAUAUAUGUAAAUCUGUUUUUACAUUUAACUCAUUUAACUACUUAAGCUGUAACACUUUUACAUUUUUUAUCACGCCUGUUGCUUAGACUUGGUAGAGUCAAUGGACGGGUAAUAAUCAAUUGUAAGUUCAAUUUUCCUUCAUAUCAUUAAUAUGUUUAAAGUAAAUAACCAAAUUUGCAUGUUUAUUUAAACCGGAUUUGAGCCGGCCGGUUUGUUUUUUUCACAGUUUACCAGCCAAUUCAUCUGGUCUAGGCCGGUUCAAUCUGGUUUCUCCUCUCUAACAGGUUUUAUACCUGGGUUGGACUGAACCAGCCAUCGGACCGAUUUGUGGUCAACCCAGUUUGAUCGGAUGGUAUGGUUCGGUUUUCAGAUUCUUGGUAAAUAUAAGGAUGAUUAGUAUUUCUUAACAUGCUUUUCUUCUUUUGAAUAUAUUGAAUAAAUUUAUAGGGCUAAACUUAUUGUCUUGUAUGUUUUGCAGUGUUGAAUGGCUGCGGAGUGACCCAAGAAGAACAGCAGUGGGUCUAGAUUUGGAUCUCGAGGCACUAAACUGGUGCCUCGAAAAUAAUGUAGUGAAAGUUGGGGCCGAUGGAUAUUCGCGAAUAAAUCUUUUUCAUGGUAAUGUUUUGCAGCCAAGUAGAGCCUGCCUAGUUAAGCAUAAAGUCGAAGAUCUCGUGAACGGUGUAAUUUUAGACGAGAAAGAUGAUUUGUCUAAAUUUGUAGAUCUUGCUGCGCCAACAAACUCAACCAGUGCAACUAUAGUAGGGGCUGUGUUGCCCAAUAGAGACAUUGUAUGUGCAUUCAACUACAGCUGUUGUUGCCUCCAAAAACGUAGAGACUUAGUUUUGUACUUCAAGCAUGCUUUAGAAGCCUUGUCUAAGAAUGGUGGCAUAUUUGUUAUGGAUUUAUAUGGAGGUACGUCCUCAGAACGCAAGCUACGUCUCCAGAGGAGAUUCUCCAACUUUACUGUAAGUAUUGUAGAAUUAUAUGGCCAGCUAGUAGUUUACAUUAAAAUGUUAAUAAUUACAGCUAAAUAGGCAUUUUAGAUAUUUACAUAGAAAGACAUGCUACUGUACAUUGUGGCCUGAUAUUCAUUUGUCUUAGCUAUUUUUGUUUUGUAAGAUUGAUAGUUGCUUCCAAUUGAAGUUUGUCAUAGGAUACCAUAGCUGGUAAAAUUACAAGGAGAAAGAGUAAACAACUAAAAUUGUUGGAAAUUUCAUGCAUUGCUAUGAUAUAGUAUUAGAACUACUGAAUAUUCUUUGUAACCUGACAUCUUUGUGGUGUAAAUUUGCAGCUUGUACAUGGUUGUUUUGCAUUUAUUUUUUCGUGUUAUUUGCUGUUUUUGCAGUAUAUUUGGGAACAAGCGGAGUUUGAUGUAGUACAUCGUCGAACAAGAAUAAGUCUUCAUUUUCAUCUGGGAAGGAAGAAGGCACUACGGCAUGCAUUCUCAUAUGAUUGGCGCUUGUAAGUUGCAUCAAGCAUAUGGAUUUAUAUACCUCCACCAUGAACUAAUGCUCAGUUAUUGUAUAUCUGAUUGUUUGUAUGCUAUUUUGUUCAAAUGAAAAAUGAAUAAAUUAAUUGUUCAAAAUCCUUGUUCUUGCAGAUGGUCAUUACCAGAAAUCAAGGACUGUUUAGAGGAGGCCGGAUUCAAAUCCAUACAUAUCUGGAUAAGGAAGAUGCCAAACACACAGGAAGUUGAAAAUACAGAAGAAUAUAAUGCUGGCGCCGACAUCAAGUAUGAAGAAUUUUCAUCUUUCCAACAGCAAGAUGCGUGGAAUGCAUACAUAGUUGGCAUAGCAAAUGUCUAGUUGGUUGGUUGUCAAAGGUACAAUAACCUCAACUGGUUUCACAUGUGCAUCAUUCAGAUUUAAUGGUGAUCUUUUUUUUUUUUUUUUUUUUUUUUUUUUUUUUUUUUUUUUUUUCUUUUUAGUUCUACAGAAAUUGACAAUUUGCUAGAAAUGCUCCUCCAUAUACAGCCUAGCAAUGAAUGAAUAAGAUACUUUUUGGAUUUAGUUUCUAAUAAACUUUGUGCAUUUUUGAAUUUUCAUCAACAAUUUUUAUAGCUUCUUGGCUGACUUGUUACAUCACAUAUGAAACUUCAGCAUCAGCUUUGAGUUGUCGUAUGGAUAGAGUUGAUAUAGUUUUCCACUGCUCACAAUAGAUGUGUUGUUGAAUUUUCUUCAGUGAGUUGUUCGUAUUGGACGGUUACUGCCUCACCUUCGUCGUUUUUCUACGUUUUAUUCCAGCCUCUGCUGUAGAUAGUAAGAACAUUGAGACUCAUUAAAUUCAAAUGCUUGUAAAACAGCUUUAUUUGAUUUUUCAUAUUACACUUGUCCAAUAUGAAAUGAAAGUAUUCGAGUGGCACCUACUUUACUGAAUAGAUAGCCAGCCUAAUGACGACAACACCAACUGCUAGAAAGUAUAACCAAUCCAUCUGUAAUGGAUUCUAAACUCAGCGAGGCACAACAAUGUUACACCAUUAAUGCCUAGUUUGAAUCUCCGAGACAGAAAUUUUACCUGUUGGAGAGAUUGAACAAAGUGGCUCCACUUAUCUGCAUCAGAAAUGUGCUUGAGUUUUCAUUUUUCUAGUACAUUUUCCUUUGGACUCGGAACCUGAUUUAUAUGCUUUUCAUUUACAACUCACUUGUAUGCGGCAAAUUCAUUAUGUCAGUGGCUUACUAAACAUUGUUAUCAGAGGAGAAAUUGUGUUAGGAAUUUAACCUUUAGGAGAAAAGGAACGAUGCUGGUUUAAAAAAAAAAAAAAAACCCGAUGCUGCAGCUAAACUUGCAAACAGCGAUGUCUGCAAAGCUAAGAAAGAAAAGAAAAGAAAAGAAAAGAAAAGGUCUGAGAAUUUAAAAAGCAUAAAAGAUCAUUAAAAACAAGCUACUUGUAAAUGAAAGUUUAAGUUAUUGGAGAACAAGUGUUUUUAAAAUUUAAUUCAACUAUUUUCUCUAAUCUUUGAUGUCAACAAUCUUUCCUUGGCAUCAAUUGUACCAUCAUGGCUUGUUAAAAGCUUGACGGUUGUUAUGCGAGGUCUCAAUUUCAAAAUGUAGUUGCUUUACAUUUUUAAAUUCAAAAAUCCUAAUUUUACCUAAGGUUUUCCCAAAUCUACAAUAAAAAACCCAGUCUCUUUACAAACUCCUACAAUUUGUAAUCUAGAUUUGUCUAGGAUUUGUAAAAACUUAUUUUCUAGGGUUAAAUCCAAAAUCCUAACCAUAAACUUUAAAAACUCAUCUUUGCCCUAGCUUCUCCAAGCCCUUUCUUGCUUCAAGAAUCUUGCUUCAAGAAGCUUGCUCUCCACCUUCAAAAGCUUUCCCAAGCUUACAAAUCUGCAAGUGUUGGAGAUGAUCUAGAGUGAGAGAGAGGAGAAGAGAGUAAGAAAGAAGAGAGAAGGUGUGCUUCUCUCUUGGGUAAGGGGAGAAGAGGUCGUGAUCCCUUUUAUAAAGGUUGCAACAGUUGCAACUAACAUCCCCAAACUCUCUUAAUUACAACCAGUCAAAACUGGGCCUUCUCUGUAUUGAAUACUGGCACUUGGGAUUUAGUACAAGUACACGGCUUCCGGUUUCGGUACUCAAUGCCUAAUUCUGCAAAACCUGAACGAUAAUUUUCUAAAUUUUUUACUGUGUAUCGGUACUCACCCGUAUCAAUACUGGUACUCAACAAAACAAUAUCGGUAUUCAAGAAGAGUUCUGCAAAAUCCGUUGGAUUUCUUCCUACACAACAGAGUUCUAGUACCGGUUCUCAAUCUGCAUUUUCAGCAGAUUUGACUUUUCAAAGUCCAUUUUUGCACCAAGUUUGCGCCGAAAAUACUCGAAUACUCUCCUAACCUCGUUGAGACUAUUCAAAUAGCUUUUCAAGCUACUUUUCAUUGGAAUUCCAUAAUUUGCAGAAGUUUAGAUGACCAUGCGAAAUAUGUUCUUUAUCAAGUUAAUGAUACCACGAAAAGAAAAGAAUUACAAAUUUUCUCCGAGAAUAAUCAUGUUUGCUUUCAGUAAAUUCAUGAUAUAAGUUUGAUGUAACCAUCAUCACUAACGCAUGGAAAAAGAAAAAAAAGGCAAAAACCCAACAUCCUAUUCUAUAUAAAGUGGACAAUAUUCUAAUCCAUCUACUAACCUGAAACUAUUCUUAGCCUAUUCAAGUCUAAUUACUGGUGGAAAAUUCUUUUUAAGAAUUAGAAUUCUGAUAUAAGUCGAAAUAUUACCAAGAGCGAGGCCCCUACAUCUAAGAUGAAACUCAUGAACUUUAAUCAUAAAAUUUAGCAGGAUUCAUCUAAAUUUUAGUUCACUAUUUUGUUACAAGAGAUCUGCAAUUGGUUUUGGGGUUUUAUUGUAGAUCUAACCUGCAAGUUUUCAUCAAAUUAUUGAUGAUCUAAAUGGCAACCUGAGAGGGGAUGGGAGAGGUUGUGAAUGGGUUUUUAAAAUGAAAAUGCAAAAAAGUCAAAUCAACAAAUUCACAAUAAAAUAAAAUGAGAAGAGUUAGAGAAAAUCAAACUCAAAAAAGCACUCGGUCGAUUUGUUUUCAGGUUCGGCCCUUUGCCUAUAUCCCCGCCAACUUCUAGACACGAGAACGUUGGAAUUCCCAACAGAUGAUGCUCUUGCGGAUAAGCACCAAGUCUUUACACCAAAAGACUCUUCUUCUUACAAUAUUAUUACAAGCCUCUUUCUCUCUUUUACAAAAUAUAUCUCACUGUAAAGAUCACUCAAGUUUAGAGAGAGAAUUGAGAGCUAAGAGUAUUGAAUACUAGCAAUUACAAGCUCAAGUAUCUAUGUUUGAAACACCAAAAUCCUCUAUUUAUAGGCAAAAUAAAAAAGUAGCCAUUUCAGUAAUUAUGUACUUUCGGGCGGCCUAACCAGUUUUCAAUCAUCAUUUUCUACAAUGAUACAGUGUCAACAUUCAGAAACUAUUCAUCAGAGUAUUUUUGAAUGCCUAUAACAGAUUUCGGGCGCCCAAAUCUGGCCACCAACUUUCACCUGCUUUGUACAAUGAAAAAUAAUAUUCAAUCUUCUGAAAUCUAUGUUUCCGAAAUAGCUUUCGAGUUCAAUUUUCUGAAAUCCAUGUUCCCAAAAUAGCUUUUGAGUGCCCGAUACUGUUGAAUCAUGAUUUCGAUUUUGAAUAGAGAAUUGAAACAUACAAACAUGUUCAAAUUCAAAUUUCAGCACUUUCGGACGCCCGGAACCACUUCCGGGUGCCUGGAACCACUUCGGGGCAUGCUUACGAGCCCAAUUCCAAGAGUCUGAAAUUCUUAUACCUAUCCGAACGUCCGAAAGAAGAUUCAGGUGCCCAAAAACAAUUUCAAGUGCACUUUUGCACUUUCCGGAUGCCCAAAAGCACGAGUCCAAAGCCAAAACACUUCCGGACUCUUCUUUUGGGCACCCAGUCCGGAGUCCGAAAUCUUUAAUUUGCUAAAUUUGACUUUAAACAAAUUUGGACGCCUUUGGAUUUUGAUAAAUAGAGUUUUGGCAUUCAUUUUUAACACAUAUUAAGUCAUGUCCUACUUUUGGUCCAUAACUGCUUUAAGUAUUCAAUUUUAGCUCAAUAAUCUCAACUCAAACCAAAAGUGAACUUAAGUUAUAUUUAAGCUCUAAAAGAAGAGAAAGUCUUUUUGACAUUGGAAACAUAGAUAGCUUCAAAUCAUAAAGCUCUUUUCCUUACAAUUUGCACUCCUUUGAGUCCUUUCAAAAUUGGAAGAACUAAAUACAAAACUCACGAAAAAAUGUUAGUUCAAAUUUCACUAUUAUUUGCAAUCAUCAAAAUUUAAUUAUAGAUUGAUUCCAGCCAACGAUCUCCUCCUUUUAGAUGAUAACAAGUAAUGUGAUAUAAUAAAAUAAUUGAGCAAAUAGUGAAUAAAAUUGCAUAGAAGGGAAAGGGAAAAAAAAAAAAGCGUUAUAAAAAAAAAAGGCUCCCCCUAAGAUUAUGCAUGGUUUCAACAACUUAUCAAAUUCAUCAUCAAUUUUAAAUUCAAAGCCUACAUGAUAUCAAAAUAAUAAUCACAUUAAUUUUUAAAGCAUGCAUGAAAGAACAACCAAGCAAAGUUAAGUAUAUAUCACAUAUUAAUUAUCAAACAUUUCAAGCAAUUCAAGCAUAAUUAAGCAUAUAUCACAUAUUAUCAAAUAUAUCAAGCAAUUCAUGAUAGAAUUACUAUGUAUGUAAAAUACGAAGCAAAUUAAAUACAUACCAAAAUUCAGGAUCAAAAUAAAAUAAGAUAACUCGCAGAGCGCCAUCGAAAAAAAAAUCCUGAUCAAUCUGCGAAAGCGUGAAGUCCGGCUAUGAUCUGAAAGUCACGAAUCCAAUUUGGGUGAUUUAGUUUCUCCUCCUAUCUCAGGCACUUUAUUGUAUGGUGUGGAACUGAUGAUAGUCCUUCAUCAGAAUGCAUAUGAGAAGGUGACAAAACCAAUACCCCUUUAUAUAGAGUUCCAAAUCGACUUCCCAUCAAAGUCUGAUUAGAAUUCUAUUUAAAUUUAAAAUAAAUAGGAUAGGGAUAAAAUAUAUCAAGUAGUUAUAUAUCAGUUAGAAUUGACCUUUAUCUAUAGCAAAUCUUAAUUUAAAUAUAAUUAAUUGGGCCACAAUAUUUGGAAAUCCUAAUAAUUCAAGCAUAUAUCACAUAUUUUACUUCCCCUUUGUUAUCAUAAAAAGAAGGCCAAUUUGCAUAAAAAAUCUACUUAUUUUGGGCUUUUGCAAAACCGGGCCACCUUUUUCGUUUUUGCAGAUUCGGUCCGCUUUUUCUGCCGCCUGACCAAAAUGCCCCUCCUAUACAAUAGCCUCCCGCGCGUAUUUCUUGACAGACGUACACUACCCUACUACCCUGCCGUACGGUCUGGCGCGCAUUAAAUGACCGCUUAUUUCUCGGAACCCGGACAACAUCCGCCCCCGCUAUUCGCCGGCCCCGCUGUUUCCUGUUCUGCUUAAGACUUUACGAAAUUUUCGAACGCUAUUGACAAAUAGUGCGCGCUCCGCAACAGGGAUAAUAGUGCAAUGCGAAGACUGCGAAAUGAGAAAUGGUGCAACCAACCUCUAUAACAGUGCAUCCUAGCCUCGUUCCAGUGCAACCAAACCAUAAUCAGUCAAAAUUUACUUUCUCCAUUUCUUAAUAUAAUCUGAACUUAAAAGUGCAAAUGAACGGCGUCCCCUCCAAAUGCAGGCGAAGCGUUGGCGGCGCAGGACGGUCGCUACCGGGUAGGACGGUCGGCGAUGUGCGACAAAAGAGUCGGCAGGCCAGGAAGCUCUGCGGCGGGGCUGGACGGUCGCCGGCGGGGUUCGGAGUUCGAAAGGGGCGACAUAAUGGCUAAACGAUUGUGUAAAGUUUUCCUAUAAAAGAUCACGCGUCCUUUUGCUUGUUAAAUAAGUUCACAGUUAAGCGCGAAUAAUAGUGCAAGGCAGUGUUAACUACAAAACAAUAUUUUUCAAAAGAGUGCAAAGAAGCUCGUAAGAGUGCAAUACGGGGAAAUAACAGUCUAAUGGAUUUUAUCUACGAGUGCAACGAAACUUGUAAAAGUGCAAUACGGUAGUAAUACCAGUGCAACUCAGAUGAAAUGAGUUCAAGAUUCUCCGCUAAAGCGUGUAACAGUACGAUAUGUAGUACAAACUUUUCACAGAUUUGGUGUUAACAUGAACAUAAUAGUGCAAAAAUGAUCUAAAUUUAUAUUAUACCAUGAUGUAAACAAUGCAUCCGUAGCUGGUAAAUAGUGUAACAUAUUCCUAAGCAGUACAUUAAUUUGUGAACAAGAAUUACAUUUUCUUUAAAGCUGAGUACACGAUUUUAUAGAAGUUUGCAAAAUACAAAAAGGAUUUGAAUACAAUGCAAAUUUCUAUUACAUCGACUAUAACAAAUUGAACAUAAUAUAAAAUAUUUAACAGAAAUAUGUAAUCAUCGAAGCUUGUCUGCAAUUCCACGCGCACAUAGCCUAAAGUAACAGGUAUAGGCCAGGGGAGACUUCCGCAGGAGACUGCGAGGAGGAGAUUGCGAGGAGGAGACUGCGAGGAGGAGACUGCCGAAGGAGACUGCGUCGAAGAGGAGGGUCGUUCGGAAGGGUAGAUCCAGCAACGAGGCGUUAAGAUUGAUUUGCACUAUCUGGAGUGCUUUAAUUGCCUCAAGCCCUUUGGAGCUCCGCUCUACUAUGAAACAGACAGUUCAAUCAGCAAACAUAAGAAUCCAUCAAUAACAAUAAAGAUCUGCAAGAAUUUAAGAACCUGUAUGAGAAGAGGGCCAAUGGGCUCGUGGCAAAUAAAGCACUCCAGAUAGUGCGAAUCAAUCUUAAUCCCUCAUUGCUGGAUGGUACCCUUCCGAGCGAGCCGCCUACUCCACGAACUCUGCUUCGGCUCACUUCGGAGCGACCAGCCUACUCCUCGAACUCUGCUUCGGCCAUCUAUCGUCGUUGCCUAAACGUCAUGAACGAACUGUAGCCGGGUACCAGUCGUUGUGGCGCCUACCCUGCCGUACGGUCUGGCGCGCAUUACAUGACCCGUUUCCGCCUUACGCAAUCUCGCUCAUUUCUCUGAACCCGGACCACAUCCGGCCCGGGUAUUCGCCGGCCCCGCUGUUUCCUGUUCGGCGUCCCCUCCAAAUGCAGGCCAAGCGUCGGCGGCGCAGGACAGUCGCUACCGGGUAGGACGGUCGGCGAUGUGCGACAAAAGAGUCGGCAGGCCAGGAAGCUCUGCGGCGGGGCUGGACGGUCGCCGGCGGGGUUCGGAGUUCGAGAGGCGCGACAUAACGGCUAAACGAUUGUGUAAAGUUUUCCUAUAAAAGAUCACGCUUCCUUUUAACUGUUAAAUAAGUUCACAGUUAAGCGCGAAUAAUAGUGCAAGGCAGUGUUAAUUACAGAACAAUAUUUUUCAAAAGAGUGCAAAGAAGCUCGUAAGAGUGCAAUACGGAAAAAUAACAGUCUAAUGGAUUUUAUCUACGAGUGCAACGAAACUUGUAAGAGUGCAAUACGGUAGUAAUACCAGUGCAACUCAGAUGAAAUGAGUUCAAGAUUCUCCGCUAAAGCGUGUAACAGUACGAUAUGUAGUACAAACUUUUCACAGAUUUGGUGUUAACAUGAACAUAAUAGUGCAAAAAUGAUCUAAAUUUAUAUUAUACCAUGAUGUAAACAAUGCAUCCGUAGCUGGUAAAUAGUGUAACAUAUUCCUAAGCAGUACAUUAAUUUGUGAACAAGAAUUACAUUUUCUUUAAAGCUGAGUACACGAUUUUAUAGAAGUUUGCAAAAUACAAAAAGGAUUUGAAUACAAUGCAAAAUUCUAUUACAUCGACUAUAACAAAUUGAACAUAAUAUAAAAUAUUUAACAGAAAUAUGUAAUCAUCGAAGCUUGUCUGCAAUUCCACGCGCACAUAGCCUAAAGUAACAGGUAUAGGCCAGGGGAGACUUCCGCAGGAGACUGCGAGGAGGAGAUUGCGAGGAGGAGACUGCGAGGAGGAGACUGCCGAAGGAGACUGCGUCGAAGAAGAGGGUCGUUCGGAAGGGUAGAUCCAGCAACGAGGCGUUAAGAUUGAUUUGCACUAUCUGGAGUGCUUUAAUUGCCUCAAGCCCUUUGGAGCUCCGCUCUACCAUGAAACAGACAGUUCAAUCAGCAAACAUAAGAAUCCAUCAAUAACAAUAAAGAUCUGCAAGAAUUUAAGAACCUGUAUGAGAAGAGGGCCAAUGGGCUCGUGGCAAAUAAAGCACUCCAGAUAGUGCGAAUCAAUCUUAAUCCCUCAUUGCUGGAUGGUACCCUUCCGAGCGAGCCGCCUACUCCACGAACUCUGCUUCGGCUCACUUCGGAGCGACCAGCCUACUCCUCGAACUCUGCUUCGGCCAUCUAUCGUCGUUGCCUAAACGUCAUGAACGAACUGUAGCCGGGUACCAGUCGUUGUGGCGCCUACCCUGCCGUACGGUCUGGCGCGCAUUACAUGACCCGUUUCCGCCUUACGCAAUCUCGCUCAUUUCUCUGAACCCGGACCACAUCCGGCCCGGGUAUUCGCCGGCCCCGCUGUUUCCUGUUCGGCGUCCCCUCCAAAUGCAGGCCAAGCGUCGGCGGCGCAGGACAGUCGCUACCGGGUAGGACGGUCGGCGAUGUGCGACAAAAGAGUCGGCAGGCCAGGAAGCUCUGCGGCGGGGCUGGACGGUCGCCGGCGGGGUUCGGAGUUCGAGAGGCGCGACAUAACGGCUAAACGAUUGUGUAAAGUUUUCCUAUAAAAGAUCACGCUUCCUUUUAACUGUUAAAUAAGUUCACAGUUAAGCGCGAAUAAUAGUGCAAGGCACUGUUAAUUACAGAACAAUAUUUUUCAAAAUAGUGCAAAGAAGCUCGUAAGAGUGCAAUACGGGGAAAUAACAGUCUAAUGGAUUUUAUCUACGAAUGCAACGAAACUUGUAAGAGUGCAAUACGGUAGUAAUACCAGUGCAAUUUUUUGGAACAGACUCGUACUAAGCUUUUAAGAGUGCAAUACGGUAGUAUUCCUCAGCGUAUUCCUCAACGGAUGUUACCAUGCCGUACUGUCUGGCGCUCAUUAAAUGCGUCGCGUCCGCUGUACGCAACCCAACCUCCCUCGAUCAUUACUCGGAACUCGGACCACAUCCGCCCCAGCUAUUCGCGGGCCCCGCUGUUUCCUGUUCGCCUUUAAGACUUUACGAAAUUUUCGAAAGCUAUUGACAAAUAGUGCGCGCCCCGAUAAUAGUGCAACGCGAAGAGCUACCAAAGGAUAAAUGGUGCAAUAGACGUCUAUAACAGUGCAUCCGUAGCUUCGUUCCAGUGCAACCAAACAAUAACAGUCAAAAUUUACUUAUUUUAUUUCAUAUUGUAAUCUUAAGCUAACAGUGCAAAUGAAAGGACAUGGGGGCCGUCGAUAAUAUAGGGGCGGAAUGGGAGGAGGCUCCACGACCUCUUUAUCGCCGCCGCCGCCGCCGCCGCCGCCAGACCAACUAUUCAAAAGCCGUGUCGAAUUAGCCUCCGUGCGCCAGAGAUAAUAGUGCAACGAGAAUGUUCUACUGCAGUAGAAAUGGUGCAAUGACCGCUAUAACAGUGUAUCCGUAAGUCGUUUCAGUGCAACAUCAGUUAACCAGUAAAAGUUUUGGGAUCCUCGUUACACUAUUUACUAAAUAUGUUGAACUGUUAUCCUCUAUUUUAUACUAUUACAAAAUUUUACUUAAUCAAAUUAUCACUAUUAACAUCAGCCUUGAACUAUUACAAUAAGACAUAUGGAUUUAACGAUGUUUCCUGCGGUGCGGCCGCGGAUGUCGUCGCGGGCGGCUGGUUUGCUCUAGCCACAGGAGGGUUCUUGCAUGACCUUUUGUUGUGCCCCCAUCUCUGGGAAUUCCGGUAGCGUUUCUUUAUUAAGCCGUUAGCAAUAGACUCUCGCCGCGAAACCUUUCUUCUUCCCGGUUGUAUGCGGACGUUUGGCGGCCGCGGACGAACAACGUUACUUGGUAUUGCAGGCCAUUGCUCUUUGCCUGUCGUGGGGGGGACGCAAUCGUUGUAGGUUGCGCGAUAAGUCGAGGUCAUAAACCAGUCCUCGACAAAAUCGGACGAAUCCCGUAGCCUAAAUGAAAUUGCUGCCAUGGCGUGAUUGCAUGGAAUGCCGUCAAUGUCCCAUCACUUGCAGGAACAUGUCUUUUUGGAAAGAUCCACAACAUCCGUACGGUCGGCUGCAAUUACCUGGAAAACAACAAGCCAGUCCAAAGGGUGGGACAAAUAGUGUAAUGACUACAAGUAACCGAUUGAUAAUUAGUGUAAUAUACAGACUAAAUGGUGCAAAAUAAACGAUAUUACCUGAAAGAGGACAUCGGUCGAAGGAUUCAGCGUGUAAAAGCGGGACGUUUCCCUCGAGCUCCCUAAUAUCUUUUCUGCGUAGGGUGUUACUACACUGGUAAUAUUCUCCCCAUUAUUUUUCCUCCGGUAAAAAUAACAAACUGUUUUCUUUCGUGUUUCCUCGACAAGGUAGGUAAUUGGAAGGCCCUUUAAAUGUCGAAUUACACUAUUUAUCGUCUCGGCACAGUUGGAAGUGAGCAUUGAAUAACGCCUUCCCAAGAAGCAAUGGGUAGCCCACCUAUGCCGAGGAAGCUUGACCACAUACUUGUACUGUUCGGGGUUCAACUCCUUCAUCUUCUCCAUGUGUUCGUUGAACUUCGCUACAGUGUAUGCACGAGCCGCAGCCCAAAAUCUUCUCCAGGCAGGUGUAUUCUUUGGCGCGUGCGGGAGAUUGGUAGACAGAUGGUAAAUGCAAUAACCAUGAGCUGCAUCCGGAAAAACAUCGGAUACAGCAUCAAUCAAUCCUUUUUGGCGGUCGGAAACAAUAGUAAGUAGAGUAUUUGCUCUGCUGGAGUCGCGAUCACCGACGACGCCAUCCCGUAACUGUUCCAGAAACCAUUGCCAGGAAUACCGAUUUUCACCUUCAACAACUGCCCACGCCAAUGGCAAUAUGCAGUUAUUCCCAUCAAUACAUGACGCCGUCAGCAGACAACCUCUAAACUUACCAGUUAGGAAGGUUCCUGGAAGAAUAAGAAACCGUGUAUAUUAAUGUGUAAUCGUGCAAAAUAUUGCAUUACCUUCAUGAAUAUAAUAUAUAAUAGUGCAAUAUAGUAAAAUAAUCAUGUGACAGUGGCGUAAUUGUGCAAUAACGUACCAUCCAGACCAAUAAGCGGCCUGCAGUGCUUCCUGAAUGCUCGAAUCGCUGCACUGAAUGCCCAGAAAAAACGGUGAAAAUGACCCUCGUCCUGGUAAAGUAAUCGGAGACAUCUUUCCGCAUCUCCACUCUUCAACUCUUGUAUGUACGAGGGAAGUAGAGCGAACGAGCCCUCGAAAUCGCCGCGCACCUCUUGAAUGACCAAUUCUCUGGCCCGGUAGGCUUUCCAGUAUGAAAUUUUUACGCAGUGCUGCCGAAGAAUCUCGGUCUGAAUCAUUUUCGGCGUGUAUUUCUCGUUUGCCACCACCUGCUCCCUAACAAAUGAUGCAAUAAAAGCCGCAUCGCAAUUCCUGUGGCCCAAUCCCCCUAUUGCCCUACUACAAGUGUGUUGGGAAUCAAAUUUCUUCACCCACCAUUGAGCAAUUCCUGGUACUUGACGCGCCUUUAUUCUCCAAGGACAAUCUGAGACACGGCAUCGUGCGGUUAUCUUAUGGUCGUUGCAUUUCGUGGGUGCGUACUCAAAACCUCUUUUCAUUGCGUAUGCUUUCAGAGCACGUUUGAAGUCGCCUUGCGUCUUGUAGAGCUGGCCCUCGUGGACAUCGUCCGCAUCUGCGACGUCAACAACUGCAUCCAUCGUAGAGCUGUUUACAAUGAGGUCUUCUUCAAGCUCGUCGUCGCGAAAUUGCUCAGCAGUAUGUCCCACUGUAUCACCUUGCCUCAACGGGGGGACAUCCAUGGCGCUGUAUGUCCGAUGAGCUGCGUUGGGAUAAGUCGAGACGAUGCGGAUGCUAACGUCGGAAUCUGACUCGUCUUUCAGAUCAGUGAUAAUAAAACCGUCGUCAGUGUCUUCCGAUUCUGGAUCGUCAAUGAGAAUAGGAUGAGAAGAUCUGCAGCACAAGUGAAAGCAAGGAGUGUAUUGUAAAUAUUAAAUAGUACAAGAACCCUUAAGUGUAAAUUUCAUACGAUGCAAGAGGUCUAAGUAAUGAUGCAAAAUACAGCAUAAAAAUAAUCAAAAUGAAAAAAUAUGUAAUAGUGCAACCGUAUAAUAUAUAUUGCUUACACUUGAAAGCGGUAGAAUAUAAUGGUGCAAAAGUGCGUUGAGAGUAGUGCAACCUCUUAAAAUAAAGAGGUUACAAGUGCAAUAAGGCUCGGUAAUUGUGCAAAAGAAAUAAUAGUGUAACUUACGAGCCAACUAUUUCAAAAAUUGUCUGCUGAGGAGUAGAUGCAUUCCCGGAACGCCUGUUAAUCAGCAGAUCCAGCUGUUCGUCUGUAAGCACUUCGUCUAUAUCAUCGGGAUCACAAGUAGCAAACUUUCUCUCGACUAAGUUACUCACAGCAUAUAGCUCCAUCAGAUACGCGUGGGCUUUAUAGAGUCUCCGCAUGUUUCCGACAUCGUCGUCGUCAACAAUGUCGAUGAGUUUGCUUAGAUUCCCACUAUAGCAAAGUUUAAUUUCGAUAUUGUAGGAAUCCUGUGAAGUAUUAAUGUACUUGCAGAACAUUGCUUGCAGGGAUUUAAAAUUAUCGCCUUGCCUGAUGAAAUUGAGCCGGCUGGAUCCUCCUACAUAAUUGACAAAGCCUCUUUCCUCCUUAAAACACCCAUUAAAAUUGAAGUGCACUGGAAUUUCAUCAGUGUUAUCCAUGACUUGUAAGAAUUGGAUAUAGGAAAUUAGCUAUUAGUUAUCCAAAAACACUCUUUAUAUAAUAUCAUCCAGUUAACGCAAUGAGUUGUUAAGUUGUGCAUGGGGCGGGAAAUAGUACUUGACACAGCGGAAUCAAUAGAUUUUAGAUUUUAUUCCCUUCAGUCCUUGAGACAAGUCCAAGUUGCACUUCCAAAUAAUAUAAAUAAAAAAAUAAAAAACCUAACAGCAAACACAGGCUCUGGCGAAUAGAAUAUCUACGCCCUAAACCCACCUUUCCCGCGCUUGCUGCAUUAAUGGCUCUUUAAUGGUUUGCAUUUAAUGCUCUGUCAUAAAACGGCGCUGUUGCGUAUAGCGCAUGGGCCUCAUAUAAUUACAGGAUUAUAAGGGAAUUUCGCCUCGGGAAGGUAAGCAAGUUUCGCUGUUUGGUAAUGGAAAUAAAAUAGUGUAACAGAUGUAAACAGAUCACCAUUUUAGCAAGGAAUUGCACUAUUAUAUCUAUUACAUUACACUGUUAUAAUACAAGAUGAAUUUUUUUACACCACUUGUACAAUAAAAUGCACCAUUAUGUACAUUACAUUGCACUGUUACACAGAUUGUAAACACCCUAGACAAACCCUCCGGGGCAUUAAAUGCGGCCCAUGCGCUUCACGCAACAUGGCUCUUUUUCGAAACUCGGACAACAUCCGUUCCGCUAUUUGCAAGCCCAGCUGUUUGCUGUUCGGCUUUAAUAAUUUAAAUAUGUGAACCUAAAACAUGACUGAAAUAAUAGUGCAACGAGAAGGAGCAAUGAUAGGUUAAAUGAUGUAACAGCCCUUCUGAGCGUGCAUCACUACACUCGUUCCAGUGCAAACACCUUGAAGCAAGGAGGGAUAAUAGUUCAACAUUCUUGUAAAUAGUGUAACGAAGAAUAUUACAAGUAAAAUUCUAUUAAUUUCUUUAUAACAAAGGUAAUGAGAAUUACAUAUGUACACCAAUUCGUCUUAGUGUGAAAAAAAUGACAGUACAAAUGAAAGAACUGUAACUCGAAUCAGCCUCGAAUUAUUACGAGUAAAAAAGACGCAAGAAUUCUGCUGCUAUCUCGCCGCGUCUCCUCGUCAUAUCCUUCUGGGAGAAGUCCAAGUUCCACCCCUUCUGCAAGUAUUCCUCGUAUGCUAACAGGAAGAUUGCGCAGUCACUGGACUGAUCUUGAAUCGGGAUGUCUUCCAUAUUGAUCUUCUCCCAGUCGACGGGACGGGUACUGCGGCGCCCAAACAAAUCGGAAAAUUUUUGUUGCAAAUAAUUUCCUAUGAACUUACACUGCAUAGAAAUCAUUGCACUAAUUAGAAAUAUAAUGGGGUAAUGCUGGUAUGAUUUCAAAGUAUUAUGAAACACUUACUGCUUUUUCAAACCCCACGUUGUUGUCUGCCACCACGAAUGACGCACCUCGUACGGUCGAUGGAAUUUUCGGGGCCGUGGGGUAGUAUUCAUGAUUCAAAUGAGUAUUUAUAUGUAUGUGUGGGUAUCAGGUAUUGCGAGUCCAUGGCUUCCAAUAGAUGCAAGCAUCUAUUGUUAAUUACCCCCUAUAGAUUGGGGUACCUUCGAUUAGGAGACCUUUAUAGAUGGGAUGAGAUGAAUCACGUCUCGGAUUAUUGAAUCCUAAGUAUAUGUAUUAGGAUUCAGUUGGAUUUGAGGUUGAUUAGGCCCUAAGUAUAUGUGUUAAGACCUGAUCGAUAUUAAACUCUAUGUAUUAGAGUCUAAUUGGUUCAUGAGAUAUGGGUAUGAGUUUAUGGGAUUUGGGUAUUGGUUCAUGGGAUAUGGGUAUUAGGUUGGAUGUAUGGUUCAUGGGAUUUGGUCCAUAAACUUGGUUUUGGCUCAUGGGAUUUGGUCCAUGAGGUUUGGUUUUGGUUCAUGGGAUUUGGUCCAUGAACUUGGUUUUGGCUUCAUGGGAUUUGGUCCAUGAGGUUUGGUUUUGGUUUAUGGGAUUUGGUCCAUGAACUUGGUUUUGGUUUAUGGGAUUUGGUCCAUGAACUUGGUUUUGGCUUAUGGGAUUUGGUCCAUGAGUGUCACGCCCCGGGACGGGCGGAGGCCCUCCCGGUGACGUGCCCAGACCCGCCAUAUGUCUACAUGUAUAAGGUGUCUACAAGAAAAGCGGAAGUAAAAGCAAGAGAUGGAACGAAUAGGAGAAGUGAAAUAACAAGCAACUAACGAUAUCAGAGCGAGUAAAGUUCUAACAUCUAUACUAAUAGUAAUAGAACAACUAAAAUAUAAAAGUAAACAUAAGUUAUACAGUAUCAGCCUCUAAUACAAAAAUGGUGGUCUCUAGUACACCGGUAAAACUCUCAACCUCUCCAAAAAGUACAACGAGAGGUAGACCACCUAGCAAAUCGUCCUCGAAGGAAGCUAGCUCGAAGCAACUCCCUUCCCGCGGUCCCUGGCCUCACCCUGAGUGGAAGGCUCUGAAAAACAUCGAGAAAAGAGGGCGUGAGAACUAUGAUUUAUAGUUCCCAGUGGGCAAUUACUGACCUCAGCUCAGUGCACCACUAGGCCCCAAAGAAAAGGGUAAGUCUAACAAUAAGAGUAAUGAGUAAAUUGCAUACUAGAAAGCAUAAUAAUUAGGAUGCUAAGCUACAACUUGCAAUUAAACAUGGCAUUCCUAAUGCGACUUUAUCUUGUCAUUGAUAUAUAUAUAUAUUCACAAGUAAUAUCAUGCUUUACUUAAUACAGAUAUGAAAGUAAUACUUGGUCAUGACUACAAUGCAUAUAAGGAUGCAAUAAACAACAUCUCCUAGCAUACUACAUGUAUGUAUGAAUACCCAAAUGUCCACAACUAUGCUAGAAGUAAGUCCAAGUAAUCCUACUACUACUCUCUGACUAGUAGUGUUCAUAAUAAACUCAACACCGUGUCGAUUUCCAUUUCCAAUUAAGGACCUACCAAAGAUAGUCCAGCUUGUGCCGCCUAAGUGCCUGUGGUAGCCCGACAUUCCUACUCUUGGAAUGUGUCUGUCCCACUCGACCCCGUAGGCUUCUCAAUACCGCACGAGGCGAACAUAGGUUCGCAUAAGGCUAACUCCGGAGUGCCGGCUGUAGGGAGCGACCCUCACAAGCAAUGUGCGAAUGCACAAAUGGCAACAACCAAGGUCAAACAGUCCAGUAUCUACUUCGGCUCGCACAUGGCAAGGCACUAGCAUCCCAAGGAUCUAGCAAACUGUCUCAAAGUGAACGUCCCAACACUCACUUGCUUAGCUGCGCGUCUUAAUGAAACUUAACAUCACACUGUCAACUCGACCUCUUGUUCUACUGUUUCAUUUUAAACAUUAAUAACUAAGACUAUAUAUGCCCUGCGGCCCAAUGCCUGCUUUAGACAUUGUGCCCAAUCCGCAAAUAGCCAGUUCUCACCCUCUCUAGCUUCUAAACAAUUCCAAUGUCCCCAUUGGCAUCAUAGCUUAAAUUGCCAAGAGAGCAAGAUCCGUUUUCAUAAUAGAUCCAUGGUUCCCAACAUAAAACAAAUGCCUAAGUCUCACAAUACAACUGCACUUACCACAUAGGGUAAAAUUCAAAUGUGGAAAAGCUCGAAAUAACACAACACACUCGACACCUCGCAAUUUGGCAAGGUCCCAGUGCGUACAAUGAGCGUUUGGUUUUGGUUCAUGAUUUGGUCCCCAUGAGAUUGAAUUUUGGUUUCAUGAGAUUAUGUCCAUGAGGUUUGUUUUGGCUCCAUGGCAUUUGGUCCAUGAACUUGGUUUUGGCUCAUGGGAUCUGGUCCAUGAAGGUUUGGUUUAGGUUCAUGGAAUUUGGCUCCAUGAACUUGGUAUGGUUCAUGUAUUUUGGUCCAUCGAACAUGAUUUCUGAGCUCAUGGAUUGUCCAUGACGUUUGGUUUGUGUUAAUGGAUUUGUCAUGAACCAGUUUGUCCAUGGAUUUGUCCAUGAACUUGGUUUGGCUCAANNNNNNNNNNNNNNNNNNNNNNNNNNNNNNNNNNNNNNNNNNNNNNNNNNNNNNNNNNNNNNNNNNNNNNNNNNNNNNNNNNNNNNNNNNNNNNNNNNNNNNNNNNNNNNNNNNNNNNNNNNNNNNNNNNNNNNNNNNNNNNNNNNNNNNNNNNNNNNNNNNNNNNNNNNNNNNNNNNNNNNNNNNNNNNNNNNNNNNNNNNNNNNNNNNNNNNNNNNNNNNNNNNNNNNNNNNNNNNNNNNNNNNNNNNNNNNNNNNNNNCCUGGUUUAGGGUACUCGGUUUUGGUUCAAGUACCUGGUUUAAGGAUGAGGUUUGGUUUUGUUUGGGUCCGAGUUUGGGUUCUUGUUUUAUGUGUGGACUUGGUUUGGGUUUGGAUUUAUUUGGGUCCAAGUUUGGGUUCUGGUUUUAUGUGUGGACUUGGGUUUGGAUUUAUUUGGGUUUGGGUUUUGGUCUUAUUUGUGGACUUGGUUCAGGUUGGGUUUGAAUUUGAUUUGGGUUUGGGUUUUGGUUUUAUGUGUGGAAUGGGUUUGGAUUUUAUUUGGGUUUGGGUUUUGGUUUUAUGUGUGGACUUGGGUUUGGAUUUUAUUUGGGUUUGGGUUUUGGUUUUAUGUGUGGAAUGGGUUCGGAUUUUAUUUGUGGACUUGAUUUGGGUUGGGUUUGCGUUUGAUUUGGGUUUGGGUUUUUGGUUUUAUUUGGGGAAUGGGUUUGGAUUUUAUUUGUGGACUUGGUUUGGUUUCGGUUUAUUUUGGUUUUGGGUUGGAUGUUUAUUUGGACUUGGUUUGGCUAGGUUUGGGCCGUUUGGCUUUGUAUGUGGACUUGGUUUGGUUUGGGUUUAUUUGGGUUUUGGAUUUUGGUUUGGAUGCUUAUUUGGACUUGGUUUGGUUAGGUUUGGCUUUGUAUGUGGACUUGGUUUGGUUUGGGUUUAUUUGGGUUUUGGGUUUUGGUUUGGAUGCUUGUUUGGACUUGGUUUGGUUAGGUUUGGCUUUGUAUGUGGACUUGGUUUGGUUUGGGUUUAUUUGGGUUGUGGGUUUGGUUUGGGUUUAGACUUGACUUGAUUUAGGUUUGUAGGUGAACUUGAUUUGCAAUUUGGGUUCGCAUAUGAACUUAAUNNNNNNNNNNNNNNNNNNNNNNNNNNNNNNNNNNNNNNNNNNNNNNNNNNNNNNNNNNNNNNNNNNNNNNNNNNNNNNNNNNNNNNNNNNNNNNNNNNNNACAAAAGAGAGAGAUUUUUCAGUCGAAAAUCAUGUAUUUGGAAUGUUUGAGUCUAUUAAACCUUUCGGUUGUUCAAAUAAUAACUUCCUCUUUUAAAAAUCCAUUUAAAAAGCACAGACUUUUGACAUACCUUUGGAAAAGUGUAUUAAUUGAAAAUGACUAAGCAAUUCGAACUAGGAUACGAAUGUAGUUCAAGACGAGCAACCGAGCAAAAGUUCUUCCAAGUUCUAUUCCCUAAUUGGUGGUACCCAUGAGCAACAAGUCUACUUUGUUCGUAUGCAUAGUACCAUCCUCGAUCUUUCUUAUUCUUAAAGAUUCCACUUUGGUACAUAAUGUGUUGUUCGGUCAAGGGCGAAUGGCACCAAUUCCCAUACCUCAUUGCGAACAAAUUGACCAUAGUUCUUCUGCAUGGCGUUAUCCAAUAUUCAUCACUAAGAGCUUCGUCAAGCUAUUCUUUGAGCUCUAAUCAGAGAAAUAUACAUGCGAAUCAUCUUGUAACAUGACUCUUGGUUCGCACAACCACAUUUGAUCCCCAAUCACAUUUGACAAAGGAUGAUUCUUUGACUCAGUCAAGGAAUAAUUCAGGAGAUCCGCUAGGUAAUUUCAGGCUGUGAUAUUUUGUGGCUCAUGAAAUCAUUUGAUGGCAAAGUUUUACCGAUAGAUGCAAUGAAUUAUCAGGUAAUAAGAAUAUAUCAUCUCACUAGGUUAUUACAACGGAGAUCAUUAUCAUUCAUCAUUCUCAAGGAUUUGGAGAACCAUUCACAGAAGAACUUACAGGAAACGUUCAUCUACUUUUUAUAUGAUAGACUCUAUCACCCGGUCUAUAGUUCGUAAAAUUGUGACGCACGAUAGGCACGCACUGUAGUAGAAUAACAAGAAAUAUCCUUACGUCACUGCGAGAGGUCAAAUUUUUCAAGAUUUCACCGAUCCCUAAGGUAUAAGCACUUAUGUCCGAAGACAGAAAGUAUUUAAUAUUCAGUUUUCUACCAAGCCAAAUUUCAUAAGGCGUUCAACGUGCCGGACGUAAUAAAUCCGAUUGAUGAUAUAGACAGCUGGUUAACGCUUCGCCAAAAUGUAAAGCAUUUCUUACUAUGCAGAUAAACGAGCAUCUCCUGUAAACAACCGCAUUCUUAGUUCAACCACUCCAUUUUGUUGGGUGUAUAGGGGGCCGAGAAAUUCAUGUUUUAUACCGUUUGAAACACAGAAAUCAACAAAUUUGGAAUUUAUGAAUUCUCCCCCUUGAUCACUUCGAAUGCGUACAAUUUAUCAUUUCGUUCGAGUCAUGACGGAGACAGAUUUCAGAAAAGAAUUAAAAGUAUCAGCUUUUUCUCGUAAGAAGGCACUCCAUACAUAGCGAGUAAAAUCAUCAACAAAUCAAAAUAUAACGUUUUCCACCCAAACUUUGAAUCUAGAUGGUCCAUCAAAUCCAUGUGAAGUAGCUCUAGCAGUUUAGUUGUCCCUAAGUGGUUCAAGUUCUUAUUGUGGUCUAGUUUGUUUCCCUAAUUGGCAACCCCACACACAGGUGUUCUCUUUUAAGUCAAUCUUAGGUACACCUCUAACUACUCCUUCUUUAGUUAUCUUGGAUAGCUCCUUAAAAUUAAUGUGACUAGUCGUUCAUGCCAUAAAGUUUCAGUUUCUAAUACGCUAGGUUACAAUGUUCAGUGGGCGAACUAGGAACAACAUAACAAUUAUUCUGAAUCUAAUGCCCUUUAAGAAUAGAUUGUCAUCACGAGUCACAUGGCAUUCUUUUAUCAGAAAAGUUCACCGAAUACCCAUCAUCACAAAUUGACCUUAUGCUUACGAGAUUAAGAUUGAGCCCUCCAACAUAAAAAACAUUCAUUCAUGUAGGGCCAUCAGAGAUAGUCACUGUUCCUUUUCCCAACAUUUUUGACGAUCGACCGUCUCCAAACACACAAAAGUCCUUCCGAGAUUUUGGUCAAAGAGGUGAACCAUUAUUUAUCUCGCCAUUGACGGGAAACAGCCACUAUCCAGAUACCUGAUGAGUUAUCGUAAGCAUGAAGUGAGAGUGUGAAUGACUAGGCAUGGGAAGAGUUCACCUUUGCGCACCAAACCUUACGUGUUUUGUUUGUGUCCAUUCGUUUGCUUUGUUGAUCGUGGCUUGUCGACGAUUUGAAUUGACUUCCUCUUCAUAUCCUCCUUCUUUGGUUUCCAUGCUUGUUUUGCCUUUGGCUUUGGAGUGUUUGGCGUCCGAAUUUGGCUCUUCUUUUGUUCUAUCUCUUUGAGGUCACAAUUGACUUCAUCGUCGUUUUAGGUUACUCUUCAAGAGAGCUAUUGAGCUCUCUCCUUUUGGUAGCAGAAUUUCUUUAUGUGCCUACAACACCACAAAUGUGACAAGUUUUGUUAGUCAAAUUAUUUUAGGAGAGACAAACUUACCAUAAAGUUUAGUACAGCAGUUGACGAGUUUCCAUCAUCCUUCUUAGUAACUUGAUCAAUAUAUGCCGUUCAUAACCAAGUCAAGUUAUAUUGUCUGACCAAGUCCAAGCAUCUUAUCUAGUUUGCUCGAACCAGAUGAAAAUUGGUUCAAAUCUGACUUCAGUUGAAUGAUCGUCUUGGUGAAUUCCAUAUUUGCUUCUCUAGCUUCUGAAUUUGUUUGGUAAGAUACUUGAUGUUCUCCGCCUGAGUCUCCUUUCUUUUUCAGUAACGAACACUUCUCAACAAGGAUUGUACGCCUUGGUCAACCCAUCUCUCUCUGUUCUAAAUCCUUUGUUAGAGAGGCCAACUUUGAAUUUUCUUGUUCCAACUCAUGUAGGCUUCGCCGCAAUUUCUUGUAUGUUUAGCCAUCUUCUUUGAUCAACAACUAAUUGUUGAUAUGCUGCGAUCAUUUCAUCUUCGUCCGAUUCUCCAUCCGAUGAGUCCCCGAAGAUGAUUCUCUUGGAUAGAUGUAGUAGAGAUCGAGUCAGAAGAUGCUAGACACAUGAAAGUUGAUUCUGGUGGGCAAUUAGAGCCGUGCAUUCACAUCCUCUCACUCGAAGUAGAAUCGCAGAUGAGGAGUCUCCCGUCCAAGUCAUAGCUUGCAUAGCUUUCUUCUUCAACGACUUUUUAAUUUGGAGCAGUCAGAUGCUAUAUGGCCAAAGCCCUACAUUGUAGCAUUGGAUUUGACCUUCACCGCUUUUCCUCUCUUUUGUGGAGUCCUUUUGAGAGUUAUCAGAUUUUCUGUAUUUUGACGAAGAAGAAGAGGAUGGACCCCUUUUGAUUUGUUAGUCUUUGAUGAAGUAGACUUGGGAGGAAACUUCUUUCUAAAGUUCCGACGGAACUUCUGUUGUUAGAAGUGCGAGUUGUUUCUCAAAUUCCUCCAAGCUUUGCUCCGACUCUGAAUCUGAUGAGGUGACGAGACAUCUCCUUUUUGAUUUUAGAGCCAUCCCUGAGCUAUAGAAAAAGACUUGGACGAAGACGAAUUAGAAGGAAAAGUCAUUUCGUACGUUUGAAGAGCACCAACUAAUUCAUCUACUUUGAGUUCAUCCGGAUGUUCAUCGUUUCAAUGGCCGCAACCUGGACCGGAAACGUUCGGGAAGAGUUCUCAAAAUUUUUCGAACGAUUUUUGGUUCAGAAAUUUUUCACGUCAAAUUUGCACAAGUAUUGACAAUAUCUGAAGACGAGUGUAAUACUCGGUAAAGGUUUCAUUUUCUUCCAUACGAAUAGCAUCAAAGCGACUAGUCAACAUUUGUAAUUUCUGAACCUUUACCAAGCUUGUACCCUCGUGAGUAAUUUGUAAAGUGUCCCAAAUUUCUUGGCGUUUCACAUGCUGAUACUCGUGAAAUUUCAGUUUGAUUCAACGCAUUGAACAAAGCAUUGAUACCCUUUCCCAUUGAACGAAGAUAGUUCGUUUUCGGUCUUUAGUCCACUUAGUUCUAGGUUUCGACGGUAACAUUCUCGACCACAUUCAGUAGGAAUGUUCCAUCCGAUUCAAGGCUGCCAAACCCUCUCGUCAUAGCAAUAAGAAACGCCUCAUACGGACUUUCCAAUAAGCAUAGUUAGUUCCAUCGAAGAGAGGGGGUCGAUUGAUGUUACGCCCUCAGCCAUGAGUUACAACACUAUACCCGCUCUGAUACACUUGUGAGUUAUGGAUCCCGAGGAUCUAAAAGGUAAGUAACACUAGAGGGGGGUGAAUAGGUGUAAACCGGCAAACUCAAACAAUCUCGAUGCAAACAAACACAAUAGCGAAAUUAAUAGCACACGAGAAUUUAACGUGGGAAAACUCCAAUUCGGAGUGAAAAACCCACGGACCGAUCACGCAAAGAAAAUCCACUAAGAAAACAUGAGUACAAGUGAUUUCGACCAAAAACACGCGACUCAAUUUACCGAUUUCUUGUUGACGGUGAUCUUUGCCGGUCCUCCGAUCGAUAGGAAUCCACCAAUCGACCUUGCUGCAACUCCUGCGCAGCGUCAACGCCUCAAUCCUCAAAGCGUCCACCGAAUCCUCGCUUCGCGCGAGAUCCUCGCGCGCGAACCUCCUUCCGGAGCUUGUAGAAUUGAAGAUUUGCGGUGAUUUAUCUUUUGAAAACCAUAAGCUGUGAGGAUUCACCUUAAUCAAUCAUCUACUUGAUCUUGUAAGAAAUAUUGUUAAAACGAAGAAACAAGCCAAAUGUUGAUUGCUAGAAACUCAUCAUGUAAAUCGAAGCGAAGAAAACGAGUUUCUAGGGUUUAGAAUUGGUAAAAUAUUCAAAGCCUUAAUUAGAUGACCCACAUAGCUUUAUUAUAUGUUUAGAAGACUUAGAAGUAGAUAGGAUUGCAAAAAGUCGAUUUCAAAAACCUGUGUCCCUCAGAGACCGGUCCUGUCGAGGAGACCGUCUGUGAGAGACCGGUCUCUCAAGUGAGGAACCGUCCUCCUGCGUGACCAAAAACCCCACGUUCGGGAACCGUCUCUCAAACUUGAGACCGUCCUCGCUGCGUGACAGAACCACCAAGGUUCGGAACCGGUCUCUCAUCACAGGGGACCGGUUGCAUCAGGAAUUACGCAGUGAGGACCUUGGGGAACGUCUCUCCUAUUCCAGAGACCGGUCCCAGAACACAAGAAAGUUCAGUAAAUAUGUUUAAAAAACAUCUAAGCCUUCUGAAUUAUUUUAAUCACGUAAUUUCACCACAAAUGAUUUUUCUACAUACCUUAGGUGUCGAUCUUUCUGAAUAAGUCUUUGUCCUCUAAUUGAAUCUUUUCUCGAAAUCUUCUGCGAUCACUCUUCAAGACUCCAAACAACUUUACGAAAUUCGCCAACCUAUAAAAUCCUUAACAGUAAGUGGUAGUGGGCACGCUUGAGGUCUGGCGGUGCUAACCAACAGAGCACAGAUUUUGGAUUAGGUAUAUUUGGAUUUCUUGUCCGGUUGAUGCAAUAGCUAUAGUAGCGGUUGUUUGUUUGUGUAUACCUUCAGUUCUUUCGUUUCACUGUCUUGCUGCUAUAGUUUUGUUGCAGGUAUACUUUCAGUUGUUCAUUAUAGUAGCGGUAGAUGUACUUUCUUAUAUACAUAUCUCUUUCGUUCAUUAUCGUUGCUACUGUAUUUCCACUGAUCCGUACUGUUGUUUAUCUCUUCCUGAUCCGGUGAGUACUCCUCGCCUUCAUCGACUUGCGGUACCCACUGGGAGGGGAGACAUGUUUACAUGUUCUCACCUCCCCACCACUUUUCAGGUAUUGCGGGCGGUGAGGUUGAGACGAGACGUGAGAAACGUGGAUAGCUGUCGAUAGAACUUCUGACCCGGUUUGUUUAGUUUAGUUACUACCUUUGUUAUUUCUGUUGAUAUGACUUAGACAUCUAUAUGGUUCAGUAUUUCAUUAUGUUUAAAUUCAAGAUUUCAGUUGGUUUUCUGAAUGAGAUAAAGAUUUUUGAAUUUUUGUGAAAAUGAAAGGUUUUCUAUCCCUCGUGGUAGCGUGUUUUAAAAAGAAAAGGUUUCCGUGUGGGAAACAGCUUUCAAAAGAGUUUUCUCAUGGUUUUCUUGAAUUAGUAUUUCAAAAUAAGUUUCCUGGUAGGAAACGUUACAACUGAUAGUUGUGGAUUUAUACUCAGAUCUCUGUUUAUGAAUCGUAGUGAAUGGUGUAUGGAUAUUGAAUGUAUGAUGACUUAUAUAUUUAUUUAGUUGUGGUUGUAUCCUGUUUUACACCUUGUACUUGUGCGACGCCGUGCAAAUACAGGAGAGACUCUGUCCGUGUGAACAGUGGAAUCCCCGUAUUUGUGGCGGAUCUAGCAUACCCUGGGGUCAGGUUUUCAAAAAAAAAUUUCUAAUCACUUCCGCUGUAUUUUCAAACUAAAUGGGACCUUGGGGCGUGACACCCUAACCUCUCCUCUCUCAUUCACAGCAGUGAGAACACACUCCUCUCUCAUUUCUCUCCCUCUCUCUCUCUAGGAACUCUCCCCCAAAGUGAAUGAGGAGAUCAAGAGGAGGAUUUGGAAGAGAUUUGGAGUUUUGAAGGGUCUAGGGCUCUCCUACAAGGUGGAGCUUGGUGGGCAUCUAGGCUAAGGUGAGGUAUCUUGUAAGAUUGAUGUUAGGGUUUGGUUUUAUGCCCUAAAUCUUUUAAUUUUGAGCUUCUUGCAAUAUUAGAAACCUAGUAAAGACCUUGGAACCUCAUGAAAUUCAUGAGCUCUCAUGGUAGAAACCUAGAGUUUGUUUUAUAUACCCUAAGAAUAGUUUAAAUGGCCUAGAAAUGGUUCUAGAUAAGUUUCUAGAUGAUGAUUAAGCUUGCUUUUGCUUAUCUUAGAAAUCAAAAUGGUGUAUCGGCCAAAUGACAUUGUUAGGGUACCAAAAUUGGGGCUUUUACCCUAGGUUGGUUUAAAGAUAAAUUGACCUUGUAGAAACCAAAUUGGGGGUAUUUCUAACUCGUUGGUGGACUCAGUUCGCCAAUCGACGAGUCUACGCAAAGAUAUGGGAAAAAAGCCUAAUUUGGUUUCGUUUGCCGCAAGCGAGAGAAUAGGCGCUCAAAAAUCACGAUACUUGAACCGUAACACCCUAGCAACCAUACGAGGUGGGUGGUGCUUUCCGAAAUCGAUGAAUUUUCUUUUAUGUCUAAAGUGUCAUUUCUUGAACAUAGUUUAUAUAUGAUCAUUAUGCAUUAUAGGGUGAAAUGAGAGCAUGUGGACAUGUGUUGUUGCAUGUUAUGAGUACAAAUGCAUGUGAGAUGAUUGUAAACUAGUGAGAGCUUGUAAAAACCCUAUGUAUGCAUGAAUGAUGACAAGAACCUAGAAAAGGUAAAAAAACUAGUGACAUUGAGAACAAAUGACAUUAUGACAUAUGGAUUGUGUGGCAUUAGCAAACAAAAAGGAAUGCUAGAAUUGGACUCUUAGUUGAGUGGCAUCAAUGAGUUUUGAAUGCUAGAGUUGAACACUUAGUGUGUGGCAUUAAUGAAACAGGAAUGCAUGUGAUUGAGUAUAGAGAACAUUUAGUGUAUGUGGCACUAAUGAAAGUAGAGAAUGCAAGUACAUGAGAAAGUUGACAUUAUGACAUAACAACCUUAUAGUUAAGGGUCAUAUGAGCAUUGCAUCCUUAUAGUUAAGUAUUGGAUUGAACUUAGAAUCCUUAAAGUUAAGGAUUGAUUAUACUCACCUAUAAGUCUUGGUUUGAGGGUGGUCGCUCCCCCUCGAGCGAUGAGCUCCAGAGUUAUCAUCACUGGGAAGGUGUUUGCCCCAGAAGACGGUUCCGUCGGGAGGCAGUUGAGGGCCCGACUAGAGGGAUUUGAGCUAGUGAGUUUAUUGAGGGCGGAACCUACGGGUUAGCGAAGUGGAUUAGAAAUUGGAAAGUAAUCUUGCAUUCAUCAUGAGCAUUCUAUUUGAGCAUAAUCAUUGAUUAUAUCUUGUUCAGGCAUAUUAGCUGCAUUUGUUUAGUUUGGCUACUAUCUAUCUCUAUUCUUCUAUUAUGUCUGAUUUAGACCUAGUGGGAAAGUCGACGAGGUCGACGGCCGAACCCACUGGAAACUUUGUUGUAGUUCUCACCUCACUAUUUCCACAGAGCCGGGAUUGAGUGAGCCGGCCGACGAUCGCGAUAAAGGUAUCGCGCCAUAGACAGAGACCACCCGAGUUGGUUUCAUAUUUUGUAUAGUUGCAUACCAUUUAUAUAUCAUCUUUUGUAUUUUGAUGAUUAUAGAUGUAUAGAUGAUACAAACGUAUUAAUGAAAGAAUGUAAAGAAUUCUAUUUUGAAGAAUAUGUGAUGUAAAAAAAAGAAAUGAUGCAAAGAAUAUAAAUGUAACAUGUGAUUGAAUGCAUGUAUGUGAUUAAAAAAUAAUCAUUAUACUUGUAUGAAUGUUUAGUUUAGUACUUUCACUUUCGGCUUUUUGCUUGCCCUCGUGCAAACCAUGUAUAUCUUUAUUUCGUUGUGCAAAUUUAUAUAUAUAGAUGAUUUGUACUCGUUGAGCCUUAGGCGGACAGGGGAGGUGCUGUCCGUUCGGCGUCUAUUCGACGUGCCUGAACCGUCCAAAUGGAUCAGUCCCGGGGCGUGACACAGCUUCAAGUGGUGACCCUCGAAGUUUGCUCCCUUCAACGGAUCAAGCGAUUCGGUUGAUGAGGAAUCGGAUCAGCCGAGUUCAAAUACCUUCACUGUAGACUGGGUUCGGCUAAACGAGCCGAAUGAAUGAGAUGCACAGUGGUUGGGUCGGUUGAAGAGCUGCAUACCUUUAUAUAUUGAUAUUAGAUCUAGAAACUUGUACAAAAUAGAGUGUGCCUCUGGGACAUACAGACUCUGAAAAUCUAACUCUAAGACUACUCCUAAGAAAAACAGUAAAUACGAGAAAGGAAAAGAUUACAAGUAGACUACCCCUAGAAAUGCGAGAAAAAUGCAGAGAGAAUAAAAUGUGGUCUUCUGUUCACAAAAAAAGACCCUACUUUUAGGCGUUACUUACCUAUUUAUAUUCCGCUGUUAUUGUUUAGUUGUUGCUCAAGAUCGGCCACUUUCCUAUUUUUGCGGGCCACUACGAGCCGAUCCAAACUACUCAUAACCGUUUGCAGUUACGUCUUGCAGUUAUGCCAUUUAUUCCUUUAUUACUCCGGUGCACAAAAAACCCAUUAACCCCGACUUCCGAAUGUCCUGACUGAACCGUGCACCAACAUGCCAGUGUGUGAUUUGUAGAAAUCUAUUUCACUAGCCUGAUUCAAGGCCUAGUCCAUCAAGUGCCUGCAGUUGUAUACAAUCAAUACUAUGCUGAGGUUCAAACCGAAAGGUACCUUUAGCCGAAUGCACAGUAUAAAGAUCUUAAUUAAUUUGAUGGCUUUUAACUUUUGAUCUUUAUUAAAGUUUCUAAUUGUUUAUAUGUUUUCAAUGUUUGAGAAGCUUUUAAAUUAAAUUUUAAAUUACGUGGGGGACUGUUGUAAAUAGUUAAAUUUAAAAUAUUUAAUUUAAAUCUAAUAGAUUAUUAAAAGGUUUAUUUAAAAUUUAAUUUAAGUACAAUAUAUUUAAUAUGAGAAAAUUGAGCGCACAUAUUCCCUCUCCUCUAUUCGGAAAAGGAGGUAACAUGCCCCGCUUUGUCAGGAGAUGGGGAUCAUGGAUUCCGCUUUAAUAGAACGUCCCACAACGGUCCUUUAGACCGUCAACUUUAUAUUAUUAAACAAAGGAAUAAAAGAUCUAUAUCUAUAGGAAUUUUAACCAACAGAUAUCUAUAUCUAUAAGAAUUCUAACUAACAGAUAUUUUCCCUUCUUUACUUUAUUUUUUUAUUAUUAAGUUAAGAUUUUGAAAGCCGAAUUGAUAUUCAGUCUUGUAUGUUGUAUUGCUAGAGCAACUACGCCGGAGACUUGCACGUGGGGAGGCUAAAGUUACUCUAGAAUAAUGCAUUGCACGUCUCACCGGGCUAUUUUCCGAAAUUCCUUAUCUUUUAAUUUAGUUUCAUAUUUAACUUAAUAUUUAUUUAUUAGUAGAUUUAAUCAAAAAUCUGUGAAAGAAAAUCAAAUUUCAAAAUUUAUCCUAACAGAUGCUUCAUGGUGGGGAUUCUUACCAUCAUUCUUUUUUUCUUUUCUUUUUUUUGGUGUUUUGGCAGUGGUGAAGCUUCAAAAAGUAAUUUCGAUCUUCAUGAUUUCUUUGGAAUCUUAGACUCCAUUUCGGUCUAUUUUAAUAAUAUAGUGGAAAAAAAUAUUAUUUUUGUUGGCAUUCGGUUAAAUCGAAUCGGGUACGCCCAUAAUCGGAUUCGAUCCAACGGAUAUUAUGUUAUCUAAUUGCGAUCGUGCUCGUUUGUAGUUCGAUCCACCGUGAGUUUGGAGCGUGAGAAGACAUUCAAGGACGAUCCGAGGACACGUGAAUCAAUCUAAACGAUCCAGGCUCAUCGCGUUGUUGCGCGAAUCGCUUCCGCAAAAGGUACGAACCGAAUACUUCCGCUGCGUUCUACAAUUUUUAUACUAUAGAAAAUUUAAAAAGUCUAACAACGUAUUCAUCUUCUAUUUUUUAAAGUUACGGUUGCAAUCUCUACCAGAGAAAGAAGUUACAAUCUUAAUUUUAUAGUAUAAGAAGUACUUUUCAAAUUUUUAAGCAUUCUAUAAUAUGAAUAUAAAAUGUAUAGCCAUUACAUUACCAAAUUAGGUCUAAGAUGUGCAGGAUACUUGUGAUGCUGUAUAUCAUACAUAGCGGAAUUCAAGUAGUUCAACUCAGCAAUUAGUACGCCCAUUCUGUAACGCAGGCGAUAUUUGUUUCAAUCAUUCUUCUUCGGUUCGGUUUACCCAACAGACGGAAGCGAAAGCAUCUAACGUCGUGUUGUCAUGGCCCUUGCGAAAAGUGUAUCGCAAGGAAAUCAUCAAAGAGUGUCUCAAGCAAAUCACCAAAGAGUGGCAUCAUUUGGAGAACAAACUUCUUGUCAAACUAUAAUAAUAAGCCUUAGACAAAACCCUGUAACAAAGGCGCGCGUCUAGGGCUUUUUUUGCGAAUAACCUCCUGAGCAAUUUUUAUUCUAAAAACAGCCCUAUCAAAAUAAAAUUUACAAAAAUGGCCCUGACCCUGCCACACAGGUGCCACGUCAGCGCCACGCGGGCAGAACUGGGGCCAGGGUAUUAAGUUGAAUACGGUGAACCAUUCACCAUGUCUAAACACGGUGAAUGAAUGAUUCGUAUUUUUGUAUAUUGAAAAGAGGAAUAGGGAGUAGAGAUGUCAAUAGGUAUGGAUAUUCGAAAUAUUAUCCGAAUCCAAACCCGAAUAAAUUAUAUAUAUAUAUAUAUAUAUAUAUCAUAUAUAUAUAUAAGCUAUAGUAUAUAUAUAUAUAUAUAUAUAUAUAUAUAUAUAUAUAUAUAUAUAUAUAUAUAUAUAUAUAUAUAUAUUAUUUGUGUUUGGAAAGUAUAAAAACAGAAAGGAAAAAACACCUUAUAGGUAACCCGUAUACCCGUCAGUGCACCAGCGGGCGGAUAUAUAUAUAUAUAUAUAUAUAUAUAUAUAUAUAUAAUUUAUUCGGGUUUGGAUUCGGAUAAUAUUUCGGAUAUCCAUACCUAUUGACAUCCCCACUUCCUAUUUCUCUUUUCAAUAUACAAAAAAUACAUACUAAACACGGUGAACCAUUCACCGUGUUUGAACAUAGUGAAUGGUUCACCGUGUUUAACUUAACACACGGGUCCCAACCCUACCCGCGUGGCGCUGACGUAGCGCCUACGUGGCAGGCUCGGAGCCAUUUUUAUAAAUUAAAUUUUGACAGGACUAUUUUUAAAAUAAAAAUUUGCCAGGAAGCCCGCGCAUCUAUUGUAGCUGAAGUAAUAAUAACUUCAAAGAAAUUUAAAAAUUGCCUUUCAAGUUUCAAAUGAAGAAGCUUAUUUAACUUCGCCGUCAUAUAUAUAAAAAAAAAAGAAAAAAAAAAAAAAGAAAAGAAAGUCGGACAAACUCGUAGCAACCACUCGCUUUUGAGCGGGUGUUUCCGCAGAGCAAGGGAAAAAGGACACUUAUUAGGAUUCACGAGCUAAUUUCUUUUCCGGUCUUCUGUUUCUGUUUUAACUAGCCAAUUGAUCCCUUCCCAACUCAUCUAUCUGCGAGUCCGCUCGCAGAUCUGUCAUCGUAUCAUUUUAGCAGCGAGGUUUUUGUUGCGGAGCAAGCAAGGAAGCAGAGGUGCAGUUUAAAUAAUAGGGGAAUACGGCAAUUCCCAUAAUAGUUGCCGACUUCUUCAUAUUAUCCUAGCCGUUCAUCAGAAUUAACUCAAUUAACAGCUGGGACCCGCAUUGUUGACUUUCUUCUUAAUUACAGCUAUGCCAUUGUAACUAAAUAUAAAUGGACAGAGUNUGUUGCGGAGCAAGCAAGGAAGCAGAGGUGCAGUUUAAAUAAUAGGGGAAUACGGCAAUUCCCAUAAUAGUUGCCGACUUCUUCAUAUUAUCCUAGCCGUUCAUCAGAAUUAACUCAAUUAACAGCUGGGACCCGCAUUGUUGACUUUCUUCUUAAUUACAGCUAUGCCAUUGUAACUAAAUAUAAAUGGACAGAGUAGGAGAAUUGUAAGAAGGCGAUGAGUAUCAAUAUAGUUUUCCCCAUUCCUCUACACUUCUCUCUUUCUCUCCCCUCUCUCCUUCUCUCUCUUCUCUUCCUUUCUAUCUCUGUGCUGUGAAGAAGAGUGCACCAGAAUUCAUCUUGAAUUCUCUGCUUCUCUUUUGAGUUGGAUACAAACGGCAUCAGUGGUAUCAGAGCACGUCGAACCUCGGCCCUCCCGCUGCAGUACUAUGGAAACAAGGUCACAAGAGUUGAAGAAGAUGGAAGAAUUGUUGCGGACAAUGAUCAAGGAUGCUACCAGCCGCCAGGAUCAAUCCAUCCAGGAUGUUAGAGAGCAACAAGUGAAAGAUAUGGAGGAUGUACGCCAAAUGUUUGUUAAAUUGCAAGCGUCUAUUUCAACAGGGAUUAAUUCAAAUUACACCUCGUCGUCGAGAACUGAAGGUAAUUCCUCUACUAAACUACAAUUUCCGACAAGAUUCACUAAGGUAGAGUUUCCUCGCUUUCAUGGUGAAGAGCUUAAGGGAUGGUUGUAUAGAUGUGAGCAAUUCUUUGAGAUUGACGGAACUCCUGAAGAUUCAAAGGUUAAGAUAGCUGCCAUUCACUUAGAAGGGAGAGCCUUGCAAUGGCAUCAAGUUUUCAUGAAAGCUAGACUAACCAGAUCGAUGCCAACUUGGGAAGAGUAUGUGACGGCCCUCAACAUCCGAUUUGGUUCUGAGCUAUAUGAUGAUCCCAUGUCUGAGCUAAAGAGAUUGAGGCAAACUGGAAGUGUUCAAGAGUAUCAAGACAAAUUCGAUGAGUUGUUAAAUCGGGUGGAUCUCUCGGAAGAAUAUGCUGUUAGUUGCUUCUUGAGUGGAUUAAAAGAAGAAAUCCAAAUACCGAUACGAAUGUUUCAGCCAAGAACUCUUCAAAAGGCCUUUAGCUUGGCUAAACUACAAGAGGUAUCUGUGGAAGCUUCCAGCAAACACAUCAAGGGCGGAACCAAACCAAUGCUUUCUAGUUCUCCACCUUUGUUACCCACACCCAAGAACAUUGGAGGCCAUCAUAAUUCCAGCAACCUCAGAGCUCCUAGACCUUCCAUGCUGCCGGGGAGCGCAAAUCCACAGGGUACAAACUCAACUAAGACUGUGAGGAGUGUGUCGAACUCUGACUUCGACGAGCGCAGGGCCAAGGGGUUGUGUUUUUGGUGUGAGGAGAAAUACACGCCAGGUCACCAGUGCAAAAAAAGGCAAUUAUACAAAAUAGAAGUAAUUGAAGAGCCCCAAGAAGUCACCCAGGGAGAAUUGGAAGAAGAAAUUUCAACAGAUGAGCUCCUUAAUGCAGCACCCUUAAUAUCCUUGAAUGCACUAGCUGGGACCAACCAAUUGUUGGAUUAUAGAACUAUGAGGCUUUCUGGGACAGUGAAGAAUAGAAAAAUACAUAUUCUGAUUGAUUCUGGGAGUACACACAAUUUUUUGGACCUAGCUGUAGCUAAGAAGUUGGGUUGCCAAAUUGAGCCAUUUCCUCCAGUAAGAGUAGCAAUAGCAUAUGGCAACAAGGUGACUUGCUCUUCUAUCUGCAAAGCCUUCAAGUGGAAAAUGCAAGGACUAGAAUUUGAAGCAGAUUUGCUCUUGUUACCAUUGGGUGGUUGUGAUGUAGUGCUGGGCAUACAAUGGUUGGUGAAGUUAGGCCCUAUCUUAUGGGAUUUCAGGCAGUUAAAGAUGGAGUUUCACAUCAAAGGUAGGAAGAUAUCCUUAAGAGGCUCUCCACAAGCUGCUCUACAAGUCAUUGAAGGCAGACAACUGAGAAAGAUGAUGCAAACUGAUACCCAGCUAUUCUCUAUGCACCUGUGCUGUAUUCAUUCUGCUAAACCUUCUAAUGGUGAGUCUGAAGCUGAAAUUGUCAAUAGAACUCCAGAGAUCCAUUCAACCUCAAUAUUUCUACAACAAGUGCAGUCCUUACUAUUGGAGCACUCAGAAUUGUUCGCCGAACCUGAAGGGCUACCACCACACCGAUCACAUGACCAUAAAAUCAUCCUGAAGGAAGGAACUAACCCUGUAAAUGUAAGGCCUUAUAGAUUUCCGUCUUGUCAAAAAAAUGAGAUUGAGAAAAUUGUGCAAGACCUGUUAGCUCAAGGAGUAAUUAGACCUAGCACUAGUCCUUUUUCCUCUCCAGUGGUGUUAGUAAAAAAGAAAGAUGGCUCUUGGAGAAUGUGCAUUGAUUACAGGGCCCUCAAUGAGUGCACAGUGAAAGAUAGGUUCCCAAUACCGUUGGUCGACGAACUAAUUGAUGAAUUGCAUGGGUCGACUCAUUACACUAAGUUGGACUUGAGAUCCGGGUACCACCAAAUCUGGAUGCUCGAAGAUGAUAUUCCAAAAACGGCUUUCCGGACGCAUGAAGGACAUUAUGAAUUUUUGGUUAUGCCCUUUGGGUUGACCAAUGCCCCCUCCACCUUCCAAGGUCUCAUGAAUGAAAUUUUUAGACCAUAUUUGAGGAAAUUCAUCCUUGUAUUCUUUGAUGAUAUUCUUGUGUAUAGCAGAGGAGAGGAGGAACAUCUUGCACAUUUGAGAAUAGUUUUUGACAUCUUGAAGCAACACUCGCUAUUUAUCAAGGAGAAGAAAUGCACUUUUGCUACACCUAGAAUAGAGUAUUUGGGACACGUCAUUGAUCAAAACGGAGUUUAUAUGGACCCUCAGAAAGUCGAAUCCAUUAAAAGGUGGCCUAUGCCUACUACGGUGAAAGAAUUGCGAGGAUUUCUGGGGUUGGCAGGAUAUUACAGGAGGUUUGUGAAAGAUUAUGGUAAAAUCAGCCAACCACUACACAAUAUGCUAAAAAAAGAAGGGUUCAAGUGCACUGACGAGGGACAACAAGCAUUUCAAGAUUUGAAGAAGGUUAUUAGUAGCGCACCAGUUUUAGCACUACCAGAUUUCGAUGAGGAAUUUACUAUCGAAACAGAUGCUUCAGGAAUUGGCAUUGGAGCAGUUCUUCAGCAAAAAGGGAGACCAAUUGCCUUCAUGAGUAAGGCUUUAUCCUUCCGAAACAGAUCUUUAUCAGUUUAUGAGAGGGAGAUGCUAGCAAUUGUAACAGCAGUCCAAAAAUGGAGGGCAUAUCUAAUCGGAAGACAUUUUAAAAUCAAAACAGAUCAUCAAAGACUUAAAUUUUUGAUGGAGCAACGAGUAUCGACACCAAGCCAACAGAAGUGGGUAUCAAAGUUGAUGGGAUAUGACUAUGAAUUAAUCUACAAGAAGGGCCAAGAGAACGUGGUAGCUGAUGCAUUAUCUAGAGUCCCAACGCUAGCUGCAAUUUCUGUUGUGAAAACAGGGUUGAUUGAUGAAAUUCGAAAGAGCUGGGAGGCAGAUAAAGAGUUGAAGUCCUUGAUAGAAACAAAGCAACACAAUCCAGCGUCUAGACAUCACUAUACAUGGGCUCAUGAUCAAUUAAGAAGAAAAGGGAAGUUGGUUGUGGGAAAUGAUGAUAAAUUAAAGCAAAAACUUCUCCAAGAAUUUCAAAGCAGCAGCACUGGAGGACAUUCAGGUAUUGAUGUUACUACUAAAAGAAUUAGUAGUUAUUUCUACUGGAAGGGCCUCCGCAAAGAUGUAAAAAAGUUUGUGAAGGAAUGCGACACCUGCCAAAGAAACAAGAGUGAAAAUGUGGCACCUGCUGGGUUACUACAACCCUUACCAAUUCCUGACAGAAUUUGGACUGAAAUCUCCAUGGAUUUCAUAGAAGGGUUGCCUCCAUCUUAUGGUAAGGAAGUGAUUUUUGUUGUGGUUGAUAGAUUGAGCAAAUAUGCCCAUUUCAUAGCACUUUCGCACCCUUAUUCUGCAUCAACGGUGGCUCAGGCUUUCUUUGAUAAUGUAUAUCGACUCCAUGGCCUUCCAAGGAGCAUAGUAAGCGAUAGAGAUGCUGUUUUUCUUAGUCAUGUGUGGCAGGAAUUGUUUAAACACUUGGGGGUCCAGCUAAAUAUGUCCACAGCCUAUCAUCCGCAAUCUGAUGGGCAAACCGAAGUGGUGAAUAGGUGUUUAGAGACUUAUUUGAGAUGUAUGACAGGGGAACGACCUAGAGAUUGGGUUAAGUGGUUGGCUAUGGCAGAAUGGUGGUAUAACACUUCGUUUCAUACGGCAAUUAAAUCAACACCUUAUGAAAUUGUUUAUGGUCAAACCCCCCCCCUACAUGUUCCAUACUUAGCUGGUGAUUCUCAUUUCGAGGCAGUGGAUAGGGAUCUUACUAAUAGGGAGGCUAUUCUAAAAAUGCUCAAGAACAAUCUACAUAAGGCGCAAAAUCGCAUGCGACAAUUGGCUAAUAAGAAGAGGAUUGAGAGGGAUCUACAAGUUGGGGAUUGGGUGUACGUGAAGCUUCAACCUUAUCGGCAAGUAUCCGUACAACGACGAACUUCACAAAAACAAGCCCCAAAGUACUUUGGACCAUUCCUUGUAAUUGCUAGAGUUGGUCAAGUUGCUUACAAACUGCAAUUGCCUGAAACAGCAAGGAUUCACCACACCUUCCAUGUCUCACAGCUGAAGAAGAAGAUAGGGUCAGCAGAGUCAUCUCCUACCAUUCCUGCCUAUAUUAAUGCUGAAGGUCAACUAUUGGUGGAGCCAAUUGCGAUCCUGGAUAGGCGCAUCGUAAAAAGAGGUAACAAGGCUGUCACACAAGUUCUUAUACAUUGGUCCAAUCUAUCUAAGGAGGAAGCAACAUGGGAGUACUUCUUUGAUCUCCAAAAAAGGUACCCAAACUUUAAUCCUUGAGGACAAGGAUUGCUUCAAGAGGGGGAAUCUGUUGCGGAGCAAGCAAGGAAGCAGAGGUGCAGUUUAAAUAAUAGGGGAAUACGGCAAUUCCCAUAAUAGUUGCCGACUUCUUCAUAUUAUCCUAGCCGUUCAUCAGAAUUAACUCAAUUAACAGCUGGGACCCGCAUUGUUGACUUUCUUCUUAAUUACAGCUAUGCCAUUGUAACUAAAUAUAAAUGGACAGAGUAGGAGAAUUGUAAGAAGGCGAUGAGUAUCAAUAUAGUUUUCCCCAUUCCUCUACACUUCUCUCUUUCUCUCCCCUCUCUCCUUCUCUCUCUUCUCUUCCUUUCUAUCUCUGUGCUGUGAAGAAGAGUGCACCAGAAUUCAUCUUGAAUUCUCUGCUUCUCUUUUGAGUUGGAUACAAACGGCAUCAGUUUUAUAUUAACUUAACAAAUAAAACUUCCAUGGCGAUUUCUCAUUAAGAAUAAUAUAAUAAGCUAUUUAGCAAGAAUUGUCACGCCGCCCCGCCGGUGGGGAAUGCGCCGGUGCAUCCAUCAUUUUUGCAUAGUAAUAGUAGUGUGCUCCCACGCCAAUGCGGCACUGCCACGGUGCCACCGACCCACCAUCCAAUGCGGCACAUUGCAUGCCAAUGAUCCGCGCAUGGGUGAUCCUCGCGCUGUAUAACUAGAAAAACAAAAGAAAAAAUAUUAAAAAAUAAUAAUAAAAAAAUCCUGAUUACCAUUAAUAUUACAGCUGCUGAAAAACAGUGGAACUUGCAGAGCUGCUAGAAAGGGCAGGAAAAUAAAACAAAAAAAAGAAAAACGAAAAAAAGAAGAUGAUGAGAUAGAUAUAUAAUGAAAAUGGCACGCACAUGCUAAUUUCACGAAGAGGACGAACAACGAGUAGAAUAACACAACCGUUCAAUCAUUAACGACUAAGAACUUGUCGGAGAACAGAAAAGAAAAAUUACCUUCCCCAAUCCCCGCCAAUUUUUCAGGCUGAGCAAAAAUGCCACCCAUACCAAUUGAUAACUGCACUGCACUAAAUGAUCAAAUGAUGAGUUCAAACAAAGCUUCCGAAGAAUUUUGCCGAGUUACAAAACAGUCACUUAUAGCUCCGUCAUCCACUGUAUAACAGACAUAUAAUUGACAAACCACAUUAACAAGGGGCAGCAGACCAGUUACCUUCUCGAAAGUUAGGCAAACAGAAAUUUGAUAAUGACAAGAUAAUACGCUAUUUUGUUAUAUAUACAGGGUAUGCAGGUGAAUAAUUUAAUUCUCUGAGUGUCAAUAAGGCGAAAACUCUAUGUGAACUAUAAGUUGAAACAUCCUGUGGACCAAUCAUACGGUGGUGGCAGUGGUGCUCGGUGGUGGCACAACAUCCAUUGGAUCUGGAUCUCUUCCAGCAGCUUCAUAUUCUGAUAGAAGGUCCAUGAACUCGUUGAGGAGUCGUUGGACUUUUCGGUUUGUUGCCAUGGCUGGAAGGACAUCUUCUCUUAGAAGUGUGUGCUUUUUCAUUCCCUGCCAAUAAAACAAAAAAUCAGUCCAUCACAUUAUCCCCAAAAAGAGAAGAGAAGAUGGAAUAGCAAAUCAUAAUCAGCAGGAGGUUACUGCAAAAAAAAAAAAAAAAAAAAAAAGGUUUAUUGCUUAGAGAAUGAUUCCACAACAAAAAACUUCAAGUGUUUGGAUAUCAAGUCAAUAUCAAAUUCCAAUGUGCAUUUAGGUUUUCAGGGAACUGGGCAACAUUUUAUUUCCACUGACAUAUAAAGCAAGAAAUAAAAUGUAAGAUUUUUAAUACCAGUCAAUACAUUGGCUGCAAGAAUGUAAUUUUUAAAUUGAAACAGAUCAUUCGAGUAGAGAAAAAUAGGCUCUGACCAAAUUAAGAUGAAAAAAAGGAGAGAAAGAGAGAGAGAGAGAGAGAGAGAGAGAACUUGUUGUUGUUGUAAUACAAGCAGCGCAUAAAUGACAAGGACAGGUAGAGUAUAAGCUUACAAGAAUAUCAGGAUCCCAAGCUGGGAUUUUAGGAUCAGCAGAAGCAGCUUCAAUCAUGCUGAUGGGAGGUCCGAGAAAGCUCUCACAGACCUCACGCAAACGGGACUCGUCAGCUUCUCUGCAACCAAAAAGAAAAAAAGGCUGCUUCACAUGUAUGAAAUUAGCAGGAGGUGCCAGAGGAUUAUAAACAGCUGUUGUAGCUUGCAUUAUGACCAUACCAAGGCCACAAACCCCAUAAGAAAUGUAAUAAAAAUUUUGUUUUAAUGACUGUAAUUAGGUUUACUAGUGUUGUUGUGGCUGAAUUUCUUAUAGAACAUGGUAUAAAAAUGGGAAAUAUGUUAUUGUACAGAUUCCACUUGUCAAGGCACAAGGGGCACAGGAUAACCAAACUAUAUUAAGAUGGAAUAUGAAACCCAAACUACAUAGAAAAGAUUGCAUAUAAAAUCAUAUUAUAUUUGUCCCUAUCAAUCUAAAUCACAUAUAAGCACCUCAAUUAUUCUUAUUUGUUCAGUUUUGAGGGGUCUGAAAACUUUACAAUAUGAAGUUGUUAUUUGCAUACCAUGAGAAAAAGUACGAAUCCUUUCAAUCUAACCUAUCAGGAAAUAUAAAUGCAACAUUACAUUUUCAAAGGUAAGCAUACAAUUAUACUUUCAAGGUGUGUAAACCAUUUAUCAAACCUUCAGCUCAGAACAUAAAUCCAAGAAAUUUUAUAAUUCUGAGGAUGUGCAAGAAGAACAUAUACCUAGUUAACAGCACAUGAUAGAAAAUUAGUGAAAGGGGCAGCACAAUAAAGGAGGCGGCUCCAGGCCCUAACAGGCAUUGUGAGGAUCAAAUCUACAGCAUACACCAUAUGUGACUUGAACCCAUGAUGAUAAGGUUUUAUCUAAGAUCCCACCCUUCAACCCACAGACGCACAUCCCAUCAUGAAGGAAAAAAAUUACAAAGAGAAAAAAGAAAAAUCAGUGCAGUAACCUUGCCAAGAAACGUAUGUAGGAAAGGAGACAUUGUCGAUACUCUUGAGGUGACUUUAAGGCCAAUGCUGCUGCAAGCUGAGUCUCUAAAUGAGCCCGUGUCUGCACCCCAUCAUCUGUCACCCUGUAACCGAAAAAAAAAAAAAAAGGAAGAAAAGAAAAGGCAUACCAUUCUUAAUUAGGAUCCCAAUUUUUCAGAAGCUGCUAAAAAUUAAGCUCAAACAACUUUUGUUUGUACUGCAAAUUUUAAAAUAUUCUGAAACCUGCUCCAACUUGGCUUUCUAGCCAUGAACUUUCCCACAUCCACUUGCAAUUUGCCCAGCUCGCCACUUUGAGUAGAGCUCAAACUAAAAGAGCUGGCAUAAUUUGAACCAGGAAAACAAUCAUCGGCUAUCCUCAACCAGCACUUGAGGCUCAUGUCAAAAAGGAAAGCAUGGCGAGUAGCAAGAACAACCAAUGGUGAACCAGAUCUAGAGAACCUCACAGAUAUAACCCUAAUUGUGCCUGUCACAAAGGUCAGAUCAUGCUGAUGAAUGAAUUUGUUUUUAAAUUAGAGAGAACAAUACCAGCAUUAACACAGAAAAAUGGUAACAUAUACAUCCCUGACCAAUCAUUUAUUUAAAUAUGUAACCCUAUAAAAUCUGACUUUCCACAUACACUCUUCAAAAAUAGUCUUAUCUUAAAUGGGAGAUUGUGCAGUCAGGGGAAGCAAUAGAAUAGCUCUUAAACUAGAGGCUUUUUCAUAAGUCCAAGGGCCUUUCAUUAAAAAUAAUUAACAUUUUGAAGGGCAUAUAUAUGUAAGUCAGAUUUUGCAUUAUACAAAUCUAUCCAGAAAAUUAUGCGCAUAUGUAAACAUCUCAAAGAUCUAUUUCCUGAAUCAAGAAUAUAUAAAUUACUUCUUUUUUUUGGAGAGCGAGCGAGUGUGCGCGCGCGCGCGCGAGAGAGAGAGAGAGAGAGAGAGAGAGAGAGAGAGAGAGAGAGAAUGGUAGCAUGCAACCACUUUGUUUAUUUUUUGGGAAUGAACUUAGCUGAAAAUGUGACGUAACUAGGCUUCGAAGUUGAGAAUUUAGGAACCAAGCAUCAAGCUCUUUGUCAUUUGCGCUAGAGACUGUCGGUAGAAUAUAUAAAUUGCUUAACAAUUGACAAUAAAAGGAGACAUGAUGUUAUUCCAUACCAGUAUCUUUUGCAGAUGAGUCCACUUGCGGGGCGACAAGAGAAGCUAAAGAGUCAUUAAGAAGACAAGUUCUGCUGAAAAGAUCCCAGACAUACAAGAGCCCUCUUCUUGUGACGAGAAGUAGCUUCCAACACUCGUCGCAAUCUAUAAAAACUGCUGCAGACCCCAUCAUCAUUGCCGGCAUCGCUCGUCUUCCACAUUUUGUGUAAAUCUUCUCAAAAAUAAGAAGCAAUCAUGAUUCACAACAAAUCCAUAUAAAUAAGCAGAAAAGAAAACAUACUUACGCAUCGACUCACAGCCAAACACCCAUUUAUUCCUUAGAAGAUGCACAUUUAUGAAAAGCAUAUUAAUACAAAUGUUACUAAAAGAUGCAAAAGAUGGCAUGAUAUAGGAGUAAAACCGGUAUAUGAGCAGGCAUAAGCAUGCUAAACCGGCACUGAAUAGCACAUCUAUUGGAGCAUCUCGAUAUAAAAGCACCCUAGUAACUAGUGUUUUACCGAACAAUUACUCAUAUAAGCCAUGAGAAUCAGUGUAAACCAUUUUCUUUUUAUAAGGAAAAGGAAUAGGCAAUGCACAAAAGCAUAGACAGAUGCUUCUUGAUCCCAAUUAAUCAUGUCAUCUACCAAUAAGAAAAUUAAGUUUGAGCACCAUAAUGUCAGGAAGGCUAAUAGUUACUGAAAGAAAACAGAUUCCUAUUAACAUAUUGACUAGAAAUUUUGAGUAGAGCUGAAAUGGCAGGAGUAAUUUAAGUGUAGCUGAAAUGGUAUGCUGUCAAGCAGUGAUUCUACCAAGUGCCGACUGAGAAUUUCAAUUUUACAGUCAUGCAGCUCCCACAGCCUAAUAACAAAAAGCCAAAAUACCGUGAGAAAAUAAUAAAUUUUAGAGACAUGCGCAAAAGAAAAUGAAAAAAAAUUGAAGGGUUUUUUGUACCAUUUCUGUCUCCACACCCAUCAUCUUAGCUGAUCACGGGCAAUAAGAGAACAUUAGUCCUCAUACAAUUCUCAAUUCUCAAGUACCCAAACUUUACUAAUCUUUUGAAUGAAGUAAUAUGGCAUACAAAGCACAAUUCAAAAAGUUUAACCAAAAUUUGUAUAUGAUAAGACAGCUCACAAAGGAAAUUAUCAUUUUAGUACCUGUAGGCAGCCAUCUUCACAACCAACAGCCCAAAAGUUGGUGUUACCAGCCAAAACAGUUACUUUUCCAGAUAUACGAUCCGACCAAAGGGUUUGAGUUCCUUUAGUGCAUCUAAUUUCAGUUUCUUUUGAUAAAAAUGAAUUAGUAAGACCGAUUACAUCGCUUGCAGCUCGUUCUACUGUUGUAGCCUCCAAACAAACUGGCAAAGUAUCCUCAUCAUCCUUCUUGUUAAAUACACGAAUAGAAAGAGUAUCAGAAGUCAACGAGCUCGCCAAUCCUAGCGAACCUGAGUAUUCUAUGUUCGUCCUUCCCUCAUUAUAAGUUGAAUCUGAAGUCUUCUCUAUAACAAGACUUUCGCUGAUAUUAGCCCUAGCCAUGACACCCAACCGCUCCCUACCCCCGCAAUUGGUGCAAUUUGUAUCAGUGCUUCCACUGAAAAAUCUUUUGGCAGAAGCUUCUCUUACCAUAUUACUGCCAAUAAGCAUUUUAUCAUCCUUUUGCUGUUCCAAGGCUAACGAUGAAAAAUCAACCAGUUGAGAUUGAGGACCACUAGAAAGAGCUUCUUGGUUGGAAGGAACUCCAAGUGCUUCUGGAAUUAUUCUUUUUCGCCCAUCUGGACGACGGUAUUCUCUUUGUUUAACCGGACUAGAUAGACAGCCAGAUGGGAUUUUGUUUAACCCAUCAGCAGAAGCUCCUGUUUUCUUGGCAUCUUCUUGUUGGGCUUCUGGAACAUUCUGAAUUGGUUGAUUGAUCGCUGGAUUCCCCAAAUCAACAGAAGUUUUCACGGAUAUUUCAUUUUGCUGGGCAUUGGAAGUUGCUUUAUUAGUGGGUGUUUGCUUUGCUGAGACUGCUUCUAAUAGGAGCUGUGCAGGGGUUUCAGCCAAGUUUGCUUGCCUCCCUCUCACAUCCCCAUAUCUACUUCUCUUCAACUCGUCAAGCUCAGCAUCACUCAAUCUGUGCCCUAAUUCCUUCACUUCAAAAUGAAAAGUAGCCACUGUCCCAUCCAAUGAGCAGGCAAAUAGAUCAUACCCAUCCGGACUCCUGUCAUGUAGAAUGUUUGGAUUAGCUUACAGUCAUGUAUUACUGUUUACAUAUUAUAAUCCAAGAAAACAAAUUAAAACUGAUUGGGUUAACUACAAAUUUAAUCUCUAAAUUUAGACCCUAGAUUCAAUUUUACCACAUCAGAACUAUUGACUUUGCUUUGUAAAAUUUGGAAUCAAGGAAGAUAUCAAAAUUGGGAUCAAACUUUAGGAGUAAAAUUGUUAAAAAUAAAACUUCAAGGACGAGAUUGAAAAUCAAACAAAGGACUAAAUUGUUGCAAUUGAAACUCUAAGGACGAGAUUGGAAUAUAGAUCAAACUUCAAGAAGCAAAUCUGCAAUAAACCAAAGAUUUUACCAUGACAAAUCAACGACACUUUGUGUAAAAAAAUGCUUGGCAACAAACAAGGGGCGAGCGCUUGCUGUUGUCCAAACAGUAAUCGUGCGAUCUUGACUUCCGAUAGCAAUCACAUUGUAGGGCUGUUGGUCCUUUGUUGGUGUCUUUGAUGCUCCAUUGGUCCAUCCUCCAGCAAGUGCAGCCUUCAAGCCUUGACCAUUAGAGAAGUGCUUACGAAAUAAUGAAUGGUUAAACUUCACCACAAUAACGGGGGCAUUGUGUCCUAGAAAGUCAAAGGUAGCAGACCAUUCGCCUCUUUCUAACACAGGAGCAGAAUGCCUUGGUUUCUGAAAACCAUGAGUCGUAGUAAUAAAGUGGCCACAAGGUGACCAUGCAAGCCGCCUAAAAAAGGUUGAACCUAGCUGAAAAAGACCAAUUAUUGAAUAAGCAAAACUUUCAUUGAAAAAAGAAAAGAAAACGCUAUUAAAAUUAUGCCCCUUUAAAUCUAUAAAUAUUUAUAGAGAGAGAGUUAAGCUAUUGAUAGCAAACGGUCUACCGAUAAGAAAGAAAAUGCUUUUAAAAUUAUGCCCCUUUAAAUCUCUCUUCACAUAUAUAUAUAUAUAUAUAUAUAUAUAUAGAGAGAGAGAGAGAGAGAGAGAGAGAGAGAAAGUUAAGCUAAAAUACUAUUGGUAGCAAACGGAUUCCAUUGCUACCAAUUUAUUUUCGACAAUAGAGCCUCUGAACCGACGAUCCACACUAUUGAACAUGAUCUAGACUACUUAAAAUAUCUAGAAAUUAAAUUACAAUUUUUUUUUUACAUCAGUGACCUAAUGAUCAAAGGGUCGCAAAAUUUGUAAUUUUAAUAAUGGAUAUGAGAAGAAAUUCAAAUCAGUUAAAUUUUUGUUAGAAAAUCCUCUAAACUAUUUAAAACAAGAUCUACACUCUUGAUCUUGAUUACAAAAACCUUAUCGUAACUUUUUGAAGGAUAUUUAAUUUCAGCCGUUCAUUUUCUGUCUACUUGAUGCAUAAGAGAACAAUAUCAGAAAAAUAUAAAAUUUGAUUUCUAGACACUUUAAGUGGUAUAGAUCAUAUUCAACGGUGUUGAUCGUUGAUUCGGAGGUCCAUCGUCAAAAACAAGUUGGUAACAACAAAGCUCGUAGACUAGUGAUAGUAUUCUAGCCCAACUCUCUCUCUCUCUCUCUCUCUCUCUCUCUCUCUUUCUAUGUAUAUAUACUAGUUAAGGAACCCACGCUAUGCGCCAGGUAGACAUUAUUAUAGUUAGUCAUUACGGCAUGUAAAUUAAUACGAAAUUUAAUAUUAUAAUUUAUAUUAAAAAGAUGAUCUCUAAUACAUAAUUAUUGAAGAAUACAAACACACUUAUCAUCUGUAGCUAUCAUUAAUUAUAUGCAUUAAUAUUUUUAAAUAUUAUUUAUCUCAGUAUCGAAUAAUUAAAAAUUAAAGAAUGAAAUUAAAGCAUAUUUCUUUCUAAAAACAUUUAAACCUAAUAAGUAAAAUGAAUAAAUCAGUUUAAAAUAAAACAAAAGCUCAUUAAAGUAUUAAAAAAGAUGAAUAAUAUUUUUCUAUUAUCAUCAAGGUAGAAUUUACAAAUAAAAAAAAUAAAAAUUAAUUUUAGUGAAAGUACUAUCUUUAACAUUUUUGGCGAUAACGUCUUCAUUGUCGUCGCUGACGAUGAAAUGAAGCCCUCGUUAACUUUUAUCAUCACAAAUACAAUUAAUAAAGUAUUUGAUUCCUAAAUUUUAUAUUAGUGAAUAAAUCAAUGGGCCCUACUGGAGUGAGGAGGCCAAUCAUAUUUGGAUAUUCCAAAAAAUUUUAAUUAUAAAAUUGAUUGUUCAUCAAACUAUAAAUAUGACAUUAUAUGUUAAAAUAUCUAAUAAAUUUUAGAAUGUCUAAUUGUUAAAAUUAAUAGACCAAUCAUAUUUGGAUAUUCUAAAAAAAUUUAAUUAUAAAAUUGAUUGUUCAUCAAACUAUAAAUAUGACAUUGAAGUUUGAUAUUAAAAUCAAAGUAAAAUUGUAUAAAACUUUUCUAAACUAUGAACCAUUUUGAAUCAUUUAUCCAACCUUCCAAAAUUUUGUUUUUUCUAUCCAAUCAUUCUAUAUGUUAGAUUUGAGCCAAUCAAUAAUACUUCGACUUCAAAAUUUGACUGUGUCUUUUAACUUUACAAAUUUACUUCGUAUACUUUAUAUAAUUCUCGUAACUAAAUUAUUUUUAAAAAAAGGUUUGGUUCGUGUCUCAUAUACUCGGUGUACAACUUUUUUUACACCGUAUAUAAAAAUCUAUUAAUUUUUGUAUAUGAAUUUUUUAUUAAUUAUAGAUUGUAUUGAUUAGAUGAAAUUUUAAUUUUGUUAUAUUGACUAUUGAAAAAUAGGCAAAAGCAAAAAAGAAAAUGUAUAAAUAAAUUUUGUAACUAAAAAGCUAAAGUUCGAUGACUUAUAUUAGAUAGUUUUAUCUUGUUAAAACUAAACUUUAUCUUAUACAAUAAAUGAACAUGUCUUAUACACUCGGCGUAUAACUUUUUUUACAUCGUAUACACUCGGUGAACAACUUUUUUUACACCGUAUUUAUAAAACUUUAUUAUAAAAAUAAAAAAACUAUUAAUUCUUAUAUAUGAAUUUUUUUAAUAAUUAUAGAUUGUAUUUAUUAGAUGAAAUUUUAAUUUUGUUAUAUUGACUAUUAAAAAUAGGGUUGGUUCAUGCGAUAAAAUUUUACACUCGGUGUAGACAAAAAAAAAAAAGGGUGUUGAGAGAAAAAAAAAAAAAAGAAAAAAAAGAAAAAAGAAAGAGGUGUAGGGUGUGUGAGAGAGGGUGAGAGAGAGAGAGGAAAAAAAAAAAAAGUGGGCCCCACCGGAGCCCCCCAAUUAAGGGGAGGGCUGCCGUACUAUGAAUUGCAGCAUCCCCAAUUCAUAGUUUCUAUAGAUAUAUAUUCCGGCUGGGGUGCUCCCAAUAGUACCAAGCACUUGGUACUACCAAUUUUUCCACUAUUAGAUCUACCCCUUUGACUAUUUCUACCCCUUAGAUCAUGCUAUUCCACCAACUACCAUUAAACCCUAUAGGGACCUCUAUCAUCCUAGCCACACAACACUUUAUCCAAGGGCCAAAAACCCACAAGCACCAAUGACUUGGUGCUAUUAAAAGCAUUCCGCCCCAAUUUCCUCUCUCUCUAUCUCCAUAUAUAUAUGAAGAUUUUAUAUGUAUUUAGGUAAUAUUGCAAAGGUGUAUAUAUGUAAACACCAUAACAAAAAAAAAGUCACUAGAAACAAUUAUAUGAACAAAAUCCCUGUGGUUCAUAACGUACUGAUUUUGACCAAUGCCCCUCCGUCUUAUGCGCAAGACUCCAAUCACUGGUUCGCCAUAUGAUUACCGUUUUGUCAUCUGAUUGGCUAGCAAUAAAAGAACCAAUGGGAUCCCAGGCAACUCCUUUGACUAAGCUUGAAUGCCCUCUCAAUACAGCGGUGCACAUACCGUUAGUCAUGUUCCAUAUGUGAACAGUGUUAUCCAAACUGCCACUAGCCAAUGUUUGGUCAUCGGGCGACCAAUUUAGAUCUACCUGUUUAGGCAUUGGAAGAUAGGAAAAAAAAAAAAGGAAAAAAAAAGACUCCAGUAUUAAGUCAUUGUUCAACUCCAACAUAAGCAAGAAGGAAUCAAAAUUAGGGUGUUUUUUUUAGAACAAAAUGUAUGGACAGUCAUUGUACUAUCUGAAAUAUCAACUAAAUCCCUGACUUUUUAUGUAAACAUAUUAGUCUCCUAACUUUUUUCAUAUAUUGAAAUUCCAACAUUGAUAAUCAAAUUAGUCUUAAGUUUACCCUCUCAAAUGACUAUUUUUCCCCUUUUCCUGCAAAUAACUUGUUGUGGUAUACUUGAAAUAAGAUUAAGAAGAUCAUAUUGUAGGAAAAACGCCACAUGUUGUCAGAUAUACUCUUUAAGUGGCCAGGGAUGGAAUGGUAGAAUAUAUGAUAAAUUCUAGGGAUUGAAGUGUGUAAAUCUCUUGAAAACUCAGGGACUAGCAAGCAUGCAGUAUCUUGAUGCAAGACAGUGCAGAGAUUAUCUAUGCCUUUUGCUCGGCUUUUUUCUUCAGCCAGAAAGAAAGCAUUGACAAAUAAUUACCACAUCAGCAGUGUGGCCUCUUAAAGUCAUAACGACUUUCCAAUUUUCUACGUCAGGGGGCUCUUUACUGCCAAACUCUGAUGUCCCGGAUCCGGGUUUCCUUUCGUGAAUUAGAAUGACCUGAUCAUCUGAACCUGAAGCAAGAUACCUGCCAUGCUUGGCCCACCUCACACAAUUAACUGAUCCAAAAUGGUCGCGGAGAGUUGCCAGUAGUCUCUGUGAUGAAUGGUCGUUAUUAUGGUUCUUUCUCAUUGAUUUCGUGUUCCAUAUCCGAACCUACACAAAGAAUCAUUUAAAACAGAAGUCUCAGCUAUAAAGUGCUUUGCACAACAGACAUUUAUGCAUGCAAAGCUUGUGCAUCAUGAAAGUAUAAUCUUGUCACAGGUAAGUGUAUUACUAAGGUUUAAGUAAAGCAAUGCAGAAGAAAUAAAAAAGAACUGAAAAAUUACUUUGGUAGCUUAUAACAAGAAUAUCAUGGCAGUCGUGAAUAUCACAGCCACAUGCAAAUGACGAACACAAAACCAAUCCACAUGUGCAAAUAAGGAGUAAGGAUAUGUAUUAUCUACGGUGAAACUCUACUAGAACUAAAAUACAAACGAAUUGUUAGAUUGACGAUUUUUCUUCAACAAAUUGUAAUUCAACUGCUUGUGCCAUGCAGAAGUUCUGAAUCGACAUAUCUGAGUAACUAUCAUCAGAAAUAGCAAAGAUUAAUCCAGAUAUAGCACUAAAUAUAUUGUUAGUUUUCUCAUCCUAAUCGUAUGUUGUAGUGAAAUUACUAAAAGAUGGACAUCAUAGGCAAAUAACAUCACAAAGUAUACUAAUACAUACGAUUAGGAUGAGNGUUGUAGUGAAAUUACUAAAAGAUGGACAUCAUAGGCAAAUAACAUCACAAAGUAUACUAAUACAUACAAUUUAAACACAGUCGGCAAAAAUUAAAAUAAAAAAACCCUUAAACUAUCUGUUAAAAAGCAAACAGAUGGACCAAGGAGGAACCUCAAACAGAUGAAGAGAAGAAGGUACUCUUAAAUCCACCAAAUAAAAUAAAAAAAAAAAAAAAAAAAACAUGAAAAAUUGCAACAAACUAUGCUCAACUAAACCUAUAAAUAACAAUUGAGGGAGUCUAACAAGGAUCGAAAGAUACAAAUACAUUAGGAAUGUCACCUUUUGAUCUCCUCCGCCAGUAGCAAAUCUGAGACCUCCCGGCUGCACAUCAAUGGAGAAGAUCUGAAGACCUUCGUGCCGAAUCCAACUCGGCUUCUCCGUUAUCAUCUCCGAUCACCACAUCAAUUGAUCUCCACGCUUUUUUUGAAAACCCUAACCCUAACACCCCCUAACCGUUCACCUCGAUCUCGAUUCAGCGACGUAAUCGAGAAUUCUGCGGCCAAAAUCGCAGAAACCAGGAUGGAUCAAGAAGAUAAACCCUAGGAUGAGCUCAGACGAAUCGUGGAGUGGAUUGUGAGUGAGUAGUAGAACAGUGGAAAGAGUGGUCAAAAUCAAACCCUAACAAGAGGAAGUAAUUUAGGGAUGUUUGCAGGUAAUUAGGGAAUUUUUCUUGGAUUUCUGUCAGCAAGCAAAAAUUUUGAACACGGGAAGCAUUAAAUAAUAAUAAUAAUAAUAAUAAUAACGAUAAUCAGUUUUUGUACAGACCCUUCUGUAUCUAUAUCUAUAUCUAUAUCUAUAUAUCUACCUAUAGUUCUACAGUCCACAUGUAAAUCCUUCUCUUUUUGGUCUACAGUCCUCCCCUCCCCGGCUCUCACUCCGCCGCCCCAGGGACGCCGCGAAGGUCCUCCUCUGGCUCUGCCGCGCCGACUCCCCCGAGUUUUGCAGGCUCGAGGUCUACGAGAUCGCCAUCGGAGGGUUUUGCAGGCUCGGGAGAAUGCUCGAUGCGCUAAGGAUCGUGUUCUGAGUCUUGUGACUUCUGAGAGGAGGGGGUUUGUGGGGUACGGGGUUUGCUUCCGGAGAGGCGAGGGGAACUAUCAAUUUUUGGAGAAAAUUUUUGAAUAAUUAAUUUUUUUUAAUUUAUUAAAUAGUUCGGUAGACCGUAGUAGUACUUUUUGGCACCGUUUGGAUGGGGAUAACCCCUUUUAACCCCUUUAUACCCGAUGUAAAUUUUUUUUUCGAAAAAAGUAAUUCUCGGCUACCUGAAAUAAACCGGUAUAAUUAUCCUCACCAACAUCUUUAUUUUCUAUAUACAGCUCUACCCACUAUUUUUCUUAUUAUAUAUUAUCUAUCCAACGCUAUUUUUCUUAUCCCGGGAAUUACCCAAUUUUCAUCCAAACGUUAUUUUCUUAUCUCCAUACUUGUAUCUAUUCCUGUAAUAGCUAGUUCUUGCUUAUACCCAAACCAAACGCUAUCAAAUUAAUUAAAGUUAUUCUUGCAUAUAAAUACUACUAGUGAAGGCACCUGCACGUUGCGAUGGAUCGAUUCUAUAAAAAUAAAUAAAUAAAUGUCACGCCUCAGGAUCUCUUUUUAUAAAGAUGUCUGAAAAAAGAGCUAAUUUAAAGCUAACGGAUCAGUGAAAAAUACCCAAUUUUUUUAAAAAAUCUUGACCGAAGGGCUGACAGAACCGCCACAAAUACAGAGAAUUCACUAUUCACACGGACAGAGUCUCCUCUAUAUUUGCACGGCGUCGCACACAAUACAAGUCACAACCACAACCAAUCGCAAUAGUAUAUUCACAAUAUUUCACAACUAUCAAUUGAAAGUGUUUCCCACCGGAAAACGCAUUUUUGAAAUACAAAAGUCACAAAAAGUCGAGAAAACCUUUUUAAAACUGUUUUCCACCAAAAAAUCUUUUAUCUCGUUUGAAAACGAGCAACCACGAGAAGUAAAAAACCAUUUCUAUAAAUCCAUACAAUGUUUCCAAAAAUAGCUUUAUUUAAGAUUUUGAACCAUGCCAUAGUUGAAAUAAACCAAACCAAAACCUAAUAAAGCUAAAUUGAACCACAUAUGCAAUUUAGAUUAUUUAUCAAAAAAAAAAGGGGGUGAAGUCUAGAACCGAAAUGCCACCAGGUCGAGACCUCUAGCACUCGCUAGCCACGUCCUCAUGCCUCAUCCCGACUUGUACCCCUCCAAAAUCACAUGAAAUGGAUGGGUGGGGUGGAAGUGGGGGUGGGAGGGGGAGGAGAAACCAACAAGGGUCUCCCAGUGACAGAUUAAUUUGGUAACAGAACUGGUUCACUAGCCGGAAGUGUGAGAUAAGUCUUGGCUAAGCCAGUGUCGGAAUGAUAGACUAAGUUAGGGUCGGUGAAUUACAAGCUAAGUCAGGGUUGGAAUAAAAAAGACUAGUGAGACAAGUCUCACAUCGCCUGGUAAUCUUGGGCUGUGUGUGUUUAGGGCUGACGAGGAUGUUAGGGCCUAAACGGGGGAGGCUAUGACACCCCAAAAGUCCCACAUCAGAUGGCAAUUGGAUUGUCAUUGGGUACAUGAGACGAUUCCACUUUAGUAAUAAUAACUGGGCUUAAGCAUUUGGCCGGUGAUUGGGCCCAAUGAGUUAUUAUUGUUGGAGAGUUGGGUCGUUAAAGCCAAGUUUACAACCACGGCUCCACUCACGGAUUCGUUUAAAAAAAAAAAAGGCAAACCAAAACCAAAUAAAGCUAAAUUGAACCACAUACACAGUCUAAAUUAUUUAUCAAAAGAAAAGGGGUAAAGUCUAAAACUGAAAUGCCACUAGGUCGAGACCUCUAUUGCUCGCUAGCUAUGUCCUCACGCCUCGUCCCGACUCGUACCUCCAAGAUCACCUGAAAUGGGAGGGUGAGAAACCAACUAGGGUCUCCUAGUAGGCCGCAAGCGGACGAGGGCGAAUGUACUAACUGGUAACUGUCUGCCACCACGAAUGACGCACCUCGCACACUCGAUGGGUUUGGCUGUGGGGUAGUAUUCAUGAUUCAAAUUAGUAUUUAUAUGUAUAUGGGUAUCAAGUAUUGCGAGUCCAUGGCUUCCAAUAGAUGCAAGCAUCUACUGUUAAUUACCCCUGUGGCAUUGGAGCACCUUCGAUUAAGAGACCUUUAUAGAGAGGAUGAAUCUAUCUUGAUUUAUUGAUUGAUUGAACCCUAAAUAUAUGUACUAGGAUUCAGUUGGAUUUGAAGUUGACUAGGUCCUAAUUAUAUGUGUUAAGACCUAGCCGACAUUAAAUUCUAAGUAUAUGCAUUAGAGUCUAAUUAGUUCUAAGUAUAUAUCUUAGAGUCCGAUUAUAUUCAAAUUGAUUGUAUAUUCUAAGGUGGAGAUAUGACCAAACCCCAAGUAUAUGUAUUGAGGUAGGUCGGAUUUGAUUUUACCCGUGUUACGCCCCGAGCCCGCCUAUUUGGUCGGUUUUGGGCACGCCAACAGAUCGUCGAACGGACAGGGUUUCCUCUGUACUGCGGGCAUAGUCUUCCCUGUAUGUUCAAGGCAUAGCAAUCAAUACAAUGUACGAAGUUCCAACCAAGAACACAUUUCAAUCAAGAUUGCAUAAUGGAAGGUAUCAAGUCAUAGUGGCAGCGCAAGUCGGUACUUGACGACUCUACGCGCUCCAACACCACUCGCCACUCGGUACACAAAGAACUCUUCUUUGCACUGGCCUUCCCUUUUGGGAAUACAUUCCAAUUCGAUCACCGACAUUGCUUAGAAGCAAUAUCACCGGUGCAUCGCUCCGUCGUGAGUGCUCUAAUUUGGCACUGACCCUAAACGUUAACAUGAGAUGGCCUAUCUUAGCACAUCCCCAAUUCCAUUCCUCCAAGUCCACGUGGCUUACUACUCGCUCAAGGUCUCACCAAGAGCACUUCAUCUUCUGAUACCAUAUGCCACGGUCAACAUCGAACUACUUUCGCAACGAGCUCACGCGAGCACUUCGUUCGUGAAUUCGAGUCAAACUCCUCGAUAAGGCUAUCUGCCAAAUCGCUCUCUUCGGUCUCCACAGGUGGACCAAAGGCCACCAAUCCUACGUAGGCCUACCACCUAAACCUGUCUCAAUACGCAGCGUCUCUCGCUCGCAAAUGCAGACCCAAUCAUGAUCGGGCGAAAUUCUCACUUGGGAAUUCGCACACACUCCAACCAGGAGCAACUAAGACCCCAAACCACGUCAAGUCCUCGGGUUGGGUCACAACCAUACUCGGUGUACCAUCGGUCACACAAUCUAUCACGUGGCAUUCCACGCUCCCGGGCCUAAACUCGGACUACCGUCCUGACCAGAACUCUGCCCUACCCGUAGGUACCGGGCCGCUGUCACUCACAGCUGACUGCGCCUGCCCAAAGGGCCCAGGCUCCACAGUCCACAAAUGGUCCAGGCACGGGUCGUCCCCAAGCACUACCCGCCGUCGUCGUCCUACACGACAUACUCUACCGAGUCACACGUACCAAUAUCGGCUCCUAUGCACCUAGUGCGAGUCACCAGUCCCACGAGUGAUCCAUGGCACGCUUCACACCUAGCAAUGCUCAAGUGCUACUGCCAAUACACUCUCUCGGCUGAAUCCACAUCCGCACUCUACGGGUAUCUACACUCGAGCGCUCUACGCCUCUACAGCGUUCCACACGAAGUCCAGCAUUAGGCAAUCUUGCCUAUGCACACCGGCCGCACGAGCACAACCGCCUACCUCACCUUGAGGUACUACUAGGCCCACGUGCUCAAACUUGGCCACUAAUCGACCGUUCUCUCAACAGUGAUGCUACUUUCACUGUUCGAUCUACCAGAAUGACAUCCGAAAUUUUCGGACCACUCGGGUGUUCUCAUAAGCAUCAUGGCUCAACUCUCGCAAUUUACUACUCAUAUUGCUCUGAGAGUCAUUUCGCCACUUCUAUCUCUACCGCGAGUCUCACUUCUCGCCAUAGAUUACUUCUAGCACUUCGCUAGUGCCAUCUGGCUCUAUACCUGUACUGGCAGGUACUACGCCCUCACAUAAUACAAAACUCCAUUUCUAGAGCAAUCAAAUCUAUCUCUAGAAAUCCACCAUGAGAGAGAGCUUAGAAGCUUACCUCUCCAAGAAGCUCCAACCAAGGAGAAGAUGAAGAAGAUGAGGUAGACCUCCUUCUCCUUCUCUUUCUUUCCUUUCCUUUCUUCUUCCUCUUCUUGUCUUCUAGAGAGAGAAAGAGAGAUAUGAGAGGGUGUGUGGGUGAGAAAUAAGAGAAAAGAGCUCUCAUACCCCUCACAUAGCCCCACAUGUUGCAUAAGUGCAAACAAGCUCCUCAACUUUUAUUCUUUUACACUGCCCUGACUGGGCCAUUUUCGGGUUCGGGGACCGGUCUCUCCGACGAGGGACCGGUCUCCGAGAGCUUCUCCCCGCAGUCAGCAGAGCUCACACCCGAUGGAACCGGUCUUUCUUUGGGGGACCGGUCUCUCAGGGACCAGUCUCUCCAGCAGGGACCGGUCUCCGAGAGCUGUUCACCAAGGACUUAGCCGAUUUUUCUCUCCUCUUGCUGCCUGCGCGUUCGGGGACCGGUCUCUCCCCACAGGGACCGGUCUCCGAGAACAGAAAACCUGCAGUUUGUAGAUUUUCAUUUCCAAGGCUCUCGAAGAUCCCCAGUAAUGCACUUUUGCAUUAUUUGACGCCUUCGGCCUUUCCAAAGCGUACCAACCUUGCUCUUUGGUCAAUUUGACCAAGGUUCGAUACUUGGUUACCGAAAUUUCGGUAUAUUACAUACCCACUCGAUAAUUAGCCGAUCCCGGACGAAGUCCAACUCUCGGCGCUCGAGAGUUCACUUCGUUACGACCAUACUAUACCGGUACACCCCUGGUGUUAAAUCGGUAACACAUGUUCCAGAACUUCGAUUUUGCACCGCUUCGACUCCAAUUCGCANNNNNNNNNNNNNNNNNNNNNNNNNNNNNNNNNNNNNNNNNNNNNNNNNNNNNNNNNNNNNNNNNNNNNNNNNNNNNNNNNNNNNNNNNNNNNNNNNNNNGAUUAUGUUUUGAUACUUCCUUAUGCAAUCCUUGAUUGAAAUGUGUUCCUGGUUGGAACUUCGUACAUUGUAUUGAUUGCGACGCCUUGAACGUAAAGAGGAGACUCUGUCCGCGGUACAGGGGAAACCCUGUCCGUUCGGCGGUCUGUCGGCGUGCCCGAAACCGACCAAAUGGGCGGGCUCGGGGCGUGACACUCCUCCUCCAAAGACCAAAAGCAUAUUCUUAAUCCUUCUCAAGUAUUUGAGUAUGUCCUUCACAGCCGUCCAGUGCUUCUCACCUGGAUUAGAUUGAUAUCUAUUUGUAACACUCACAGUAAGCACAAUACCAGGUCGUAUACACAACAUGGUGUACAUAAGACUCCCUAUAGCUGAGGCAUAAGGGAUCUUACUCAUAUGUUGAAUCUCUUCAAAUAUAUUGGGUCACAUUUUCUUGGAAAGAUAAAUCCCAUUUCUAAGGGGUAAAAGUCCUAUUUUGGAGUUUUUCAUGCCUAACCUCUUCAACACCUCCUCUAUGUAUAUUUUCUGUUGGAGGCCUAGCAUCCUUUUAGAUCUAUCUUUAUAGACCUUAAUCGCCAAAAUAUAGGAUGCUUUUCCUAGAUCUUUCAUGUAGAAUUCUUUAGACAACCUGUAGUGUACCGAGUUUCGAAGUAAUAUACUAAAUGUGGGCCAAUUGGACAAGAUACAAUAGAGAUCUAAUUUAAACAUGCUAAAAAAUAAGAUUUGAGGGUUUUGGAAUGAUUAGAAAUGGAUUAGAGGCUCAAGGAGUGAAAACGAGAAUUUUCGAAAAUGUCGAUUUUUGAGCUUUGGACCUUCGAAUUUCGGACCCUGAGCCAAAGGUCCAGACCUUGACUGCAUAGCGCGAAAAGCAGGCUACGGGAUUCGGACCCUGGUGCCAUGGUCCGAACCCUCCGCUCACAGAACACCCAGUGAGGGGUUAGAGAAGUACCCCAAACAAAUUCAUGAUCCUUUAAUUCGCUAAUUGAAGGUUAGAGAAGUACCCCAGACAACUUUUGUAUUGUACCGAAAAGUCGCGUUGCAAUGCUAACUUUGAUCUACAAGAUUAAAGUGAAGCUUGAGCUGGUCGUCCAUCAUUCCUGAGCAAUUUUGGAGGUGUGGGAAUGAGUUUGGAAAAUAAUUGAAUGUUUCGGCGCAAUUUGGGUGCGAAAUGAAAUUGAAAGAGAGCCUUCGGGUUAUGAUGCUAACUUUGUUUGGAUGAAUCAAAGUGAGGUGUGUGGGUAAAUUGUAGCAUCUCCGAAUCAUUUUUUGAUGCUUAGGGAUAGCUAAUGGCAUGUUUUAGAAGUGUUCGGAGGUGUUCGGUGCAAAGUGGAAGCGAAGAACGGCCUCGGUACCCAGUUGCUGCUAGAGUGCAGGAAUUACAUUGGGUACUAGUACCAGAACAGGGGGGUACCAGUACCCAGUCCCGAGGACUGAAUAGUAAUAGCUAAUUUCGGCUGUUUUGGAGGGUUUAGUUGCAAUUAAGCAACCUUAUCUUUAAACCCAGGUGUACGCAGGGUAUUUUCCUGCAGGAGCCAGCUCACCUCCUGUCUCUUUUCAUUUCGUUCUUCUUCCCUCUCUCUACAAACCCUACGGUGAGGGAUUUUGCGAAGAGAAAGUGUGGAGUUGGUGUUGUUAGCUGUGAAGAGGGUUCAAGCGCUGGGUUGCUGUGGUGAGGAGGUAAACCUAAGGUUAAGAGAUGAGAUUUUUGUGGUAAGGAUUGUUUUAGUUGCCUUAGAAGAGAUGUAGUUUUGGUUCUCUUGGUUACUAAAAGCUGUUUUUAAUAUGAGAAAGCUAGAAUAGGCCAUAUGUUAUAUGUGUAUAUAUAUGGAGUAAUCAACCUGAGGUAGGCUGAUUGUAAUUCUUGGAUAGAAUUUGUUGUAUUUAGCCUAAAGAAGGGACUUGGCUUGGGUUUCUUGGUUACUAAAGCAUGGUUGCCAUGAAAACCUAGAGAAAGGCUAUGUUGUGUGUAUGACAUGUGAACUUUUGGGUUGAUAUGAAGUGAAGGGUGUGGAAGGUUGCGAGUAGCAUGAGUUUAAUCCCUGGUAAUCCUCUAAAUUAGUUGCUGUUGAGGUUCUUGAAUUAUUGGAAUUGGUAAUGCUUUAUAAACCCUUAUAGAAUCUGUAUAGUGGCAGAUUGUAUAGAACCCUAAGCUUGAAAAUGCUAAUUUGUAGGAUUGAGGCUCUAGCCUGGGAUUGAUCGCAUGGAAACCUAAUUGAGGGUAAAACUGACGCGUUGGAAAGCUCGGAUCGAUGUUCUGACGAACCUACAGCAAGCUAGUGAGGAAAACCUCAUUUUAGCUUCGUUUGUCACGAGUAAGGAUUGCGAUCGUUCGUAAAUUGCGGGAAGUGGAUUUCUCGCAUUCCUGUAUCAAUUAAAGGUGGGUUGUGCUUCACCGAAGCGAUUAGGUCGCUUCCAAGCCAAAGUAAAGUAUGGUUAUUAUUGAUGCAUAUAUGUGUAGUGGUAAGUUGUGAUUAAUAAUAUGAAUGCAUAAAUCAUAUUGUGAUAGUUAAUGUUACCUACCAUUGGAAUAUGGAUAUUGAUAUAUUGUGGAUAAUGCUAGAUGAUAUAUGAAUGUUGACAUAUUAUGAACAUGCUAGAUUCAUAUGAGUUGAAAAUGGGUCGAUAACUCUAGAUUGAUUAGAGAACUCGACAGUUAUAAAAUGAGAACGUGUAAACUACAAUCCUAGGUGUGGACAACUAGGAUGAUAAGUAGAUCGAGUGAUAUGAACCUAGUGUUAUUAAACAUAGGUUGGAUAUGAACCUAGUGUCAUAGAACAUAGGUUGAAUAAGUGAACCUAGAGUUGAGAUCUAAGUAGAAAUGACAUAGAACCUAGCGUGAUUGAACCUAGGUUAUAAUGUAUAGUGACACUUAAUGUAUUUGAAACUAAGUUGUGGAUUAUAGUGGUAGAAGGACCACUAGAAAAUGAAUGGUUUGGACCUAGAGAGGUCGACAAUAUAGGGUAAGUGUUUAACCCUUAAGAUUUGAAAGUGGAUUCCAGAAUCUCCAGGAAUGGUGGCUGCAAGUGCAGUGGUUGAUAUACGUGGAUUGGCAAAAAUAGAAUUAUAACUCNUGUAUUUGAAACUAAGUUGUGGAUUAUAGUGGUAGAAGGACCACUAGAAAAUGAAUGGUUUGGACCUAGAGAGGUCGACAAUAUAGGGUAAGUGUUUAACCCUUAAGAUUUGAAAGUGGAUUCCAGAAUCUCCAGGAAUGGUGGCUGCAAGUGCAGUGGUUGAUAUACGUGGAUUGGCAAAAAUAGAAUUAUAACUCCGGGUAUGUUGGUUCUCCUCGCCCGACAGUGAUUCAACGGGUAUGUUCGUUCUCCUCGCCCGGUAUGCCAUGAAGCAAGUUAAUUAGAACUACUGUAAGGAAGUGAAUUCUCGAAAUCCGAGAGUUGGACUUCAGUCAGAAUCGACUAAUUGUCGAGAAUACUUCGAAAAAGCCGAAGAAGUCAGAAAUCCAAAAAGCGCAUUGGCGAGGGCCUUGGAGAGCAAAGGAAUGGAAAUCUGCAACUUUGCAGAUUUUGCUCUCGGGGACCGGUCCCUGGUGGGAGGGACCGGUUCCCGUAAGCCUGGUAUGCAGCAGAAAAUCUCUGCGCACAAAGUUUGCUCUCAGGGUCCGGUCCCUCGUGGACAGACCGGUCCCUGAAGGUCCGGUCCCUCAAGCGAGGAUCGGUCCCCGUACGCGUGGGAAAUGGAUCAGGGUGUCCUGGGAGAGAUCUGCUCUCGGGGACCGGUCCCUCUGGGGGAGAGACUGGUCCCCGUGUGCGUGAGAGGCAGCUGCAGGCUGUUGCCUGAAGAGCAGUGCUCUCGCGGACCGGUCCCUGGAUGGAGAGAUCGGUCCCUGAGCGCGAAAAUGGCCAAGUCUAGGCACUAUGAGAGAGACAAAGUGGAGGGGCUCUAAUGCAAUUGUUGCAUUAGUUGAGGGUAUAGAUGGGAGACCACUCUCUCCCUCUCUCAUUUUCACACCCUCUCUCUCUCUAAACUCUCUCUCCCUCUUUCUAGAAGUGAAGAAGAAGGAGAAGGAAGGAAGGAGAAGAAGGGAAGCAAGCUAGAGAAGACUUUGGUCAUCUUCUUCUUCCUCCUCUUCACCAUUGGAGCAAGCUAAGAGGUAAGCUUCUAAACCCCUCUCAUGGUAACUUGCUAGGGCUUGGAUUUCUUGCUCUAGAAAUGGUUUGAUUAGCAUUCUAGCAUGCUUAAUAGAUGCUUAAUGCUAGAAUCAAGGAUUUUAAUGGGGUAUUUUUCUAUAGUGCAAACCUAGGGCUCCAAAAUUAGGGUUUUUGGAAAUGAGGGGUUUUGAUCUAAAUUGAUCAUGUAUUAACCUAAUUGCUAGGUGUCUGAACGCGUGGGAAGCGACGGAUUGAGCAUUCGUCGAGCGGGUGCGAAGAAAUAGUCGAAACAAGUGUUCGGGGCUUCGUGUUGAGCUGAAGAGUAAAAGCGACGACCAAGGAUCGCGAAAUCGAGUACCUAGCAUCGCAACAUUACCCAAGAGGUGGGGGGUGUCCAUCCCGAAGCAACUGAGCUUCUUUCUAUGUCCGAGUUAGAAUGGUUGAUCAUAUUUCAUAUAUAUUGUUCUUAUGCAUUAUAAGAUGUAUGUAUAGUUGCAUUUCUAUUUCCUUGCAUGCAUGUCUAGUUGUGUAGCAUUAUGGACUUGACACUUAAAUCUAGAAUGCAUGAGGAUUAGCGUUUGUGACAUAAGAUCCUAUAAUGAUAAGAAAACGGUGAACUCGGACUCGAUGAUGAUAAUCGAUGACAGGUGAACUAGUGUAUAGAAAACACUUAGAACUUGGACGAGUGGCAUGUAAACAAUGUUAAUAACAUGACGAAUGGCAUCAGAACUUAGUGUAAUAGAAACACUUAUGGCAUUGAGCAUAGGGAAUAGAUGAGUUUCCCUAGUCGUGGCAUAUUGCAUGAGAAUUAGUGUAAUUGAGAUACUACGGCAUCAAACAUGGGGAUAGUUAAAUUCUCUAGUGCGAGUUGAUUAGUAUGAUUGAGACACUUGACAUGGACCUAGGGAUAGGUGGAUUUUCGAGUGUUUGUUAACCUAGUUGACAGGGUAUCCUCAGUUGGCGAGGAUUGGAUCAUACUCACAUAGUCUGUUUUGGGCUUGUGAUGGUCGCUCCACACAAGCAGUGCACUCCGGAGUUGUCACGCGAGCUGGGUAGCUCACGAGCGGGGUAGCUCACCGGGUGGGAUACGAGCGGGGUAGCUUCUCACCCAUCGGACUGGGAAGUGAGUUGGGGCGAAGGGCGGGGUAGCCCUUCCCCUAUGAGAAUUGAGCGGGGCAGCUCAUUACCUAUGAGAUUAGAGCGGGGUAGCUCUUCACCUAUGGCUUUUGAGAUGUAAGACGGGUGGCAUAAAAGCGGGGUAGCUCCUCACCCGUGAGAUUUGAGAUAUCAAUCGGGGCGAAGAGCGAGGUAGCACUUCACCUCUUCACCUACUAGAUUUGUAGUGUGAGUACCUAUGGGAUUUGAGUCGGGGCGAAGGGCGGGGAUGCUCUUCAUUUAGGACAUCUGAGUUGUGAGACAGGUGAGACAAGAGCGGGGUAGCUCUUCACCUAUGUGAUUUGAGAUCUUAGGCGGGGUAGCCUAGUGGAUUGGGUAAUGACAUAAAUAGCAUAAGUGGAUUUGCAUUCAUCCCAUGAUUAAACAUAGUAUAUGAUAGUGGAUUGCAUAACUAUGUUAUAUUUGUAUUCAUUACAUUGUUGAAACAUACUAGCAUGAUAGUAAGCUUGUUGCUAGAUGAUAUUCCAUGCAUUGCUUGCAUUUGAUGGCAUAGUAUAGUAUAGACGCAGUUUCAUUUCUAUAUAUAUCUAUCUAUCUAUCUGUGCCAGCUUAGACCUAGUGGGAAGAUGGGCGGAGUCGGCGGCCGAACCCACUGAGAACUAUAUUUUUAUAGUUCUCGCCCCACCUUGUUGCAGGGCCGAGUGCGAGCGUUCUGGGGGAGGAUCGCGGUAAGAGCGUAGCGUCCUAGCUAGCUAGUUGUGGCUUUCCCUUCUGUACCAAAGUACCCUCGAGUACAUAGGUGAUAUGGUUGUAUUUUGGAGAGUACUCAUGUAUCUAGAUGUUGAGAUGAAAAUGUAUUCAUUUUGGUGAGACGAGAAUUGUAAAAAUAUAUACAAAGAUUGAAUGUGAUGUAAUAGCUAGAUGUAUCUCUCUUUAUACACUUGUAUGUAUACUUGUGUUACUUGCUAUUGUUGUAUUGCACUCUUUGUGCUUUUCUCCUUGUCGGAUCGUGUAUGUAUUGAAUUAUCCCAGGGCAAAUUCCUUGUACAUGAUCCCGUGAUGAGCCUUGGGCAGACAGGGGAGGUGCUGUCCGUCCGGCUUCUAUUUGUGUCACGCCCCGGGGCCCAACGUAAGCCCGCCCGGCGCGUGCCCAGACCCGCCAUAUGUCUAAAACAUAUAAGGCGUCUAAACAAAACGAUAAAUAAGGCAUGGAGAGAGAAAAACAUCUAGCCGUAUCAGAGCAAAAUGUAUCUAUGAACUACAAUAAAGAAAUGAACAUAAAGCCGAAAGUCCACUAGAUAAAAGCAUAAAGUAGUACAACUGAAGUCCCAAAAUAAGUGCUAGAAAGGUACAUAGGUGGUCUCUCUAUAAAUGGUACAAAAUCUCUCUCUCUCUCUAAUACAAUAAAAGAAAGAGUAAGCCACCUAAGCUCAAAAGUAGCUCUCCGCUAACUAGCUACGCGACUCCCUUGCCACGAUCUCGUGCCUCCGCCGGUGCCGAAGGCUCUGAAAUAAAACCAUAAAACAGGGGGCGUGAGAACUAUUGAAAAAUAGUUCCCAGUGGGCAAUUACUGACUUCAGUGAAAUGUACCACUAGGCCCAAGAGCUACAAAAAGGGGUCAGUAAGCAUAUGUAAACAAAUACGAUACGUACGACAAGUAAAUAAGCAUGAAUAUUUGCUACCACAUGAUAUCUCUACUUAGCAUGAUUUAGCAUAAGUAAAAAAAGCUAUUCUUGUAUGAAUGUACCCAAGUAUCGCUAGUAUGAUGUCCAUAAGUCAAAUAAUAAAGAUGUCAUUAUUUACUAUUCUAAUCAAUGUCCAACCUAGGUAAAGGUUCUAAGCCAAUCAAUUGGGUCUCCAAGCCCUUAAAUCAAAAAUCCCCAAAAUAAACCCUAAAUCUCAUUUCUAGGGUUUCAUAUGGUAAAACGUACCAAAACAUGGAUCAAAUGCUAGAAUCAAGGUACUAACCUCUCUAGAUGCUCCAAAACAAGCUCCAAAUCUUCUAGGGUUGAAGAUUGAUCCUCUAUCAAGCUCCUAGCCCAAGCUCUAAGCCACCAAUGGUGAGCAAAGGGAGAGGAAGAUGCUCCAAAGCCUCAAGAUCUUGCUCUCCUCCAACUCCUUCUUCUUCUCUCCUUCUUCUUCUCUCUCUAAAGUGAGUGUGAGGGAGAGAAAUGAGGGAGUGAGAGAGUGGAAGGACCAUAAAAGCCCUCUCAAGUAACAAUAUCCUAAUAAGCCCUCCAACAAUCCAACAAAUGCAUCAACCCGGACUGGGCAACAUUCGCCCAGAGGGACCGGUCUCUCCCUGCCUGGGACCGAUCUCUCGGUUCAUCCCGCAAAACCAGCGUACGGGAACCGGUCUCCCCAGCCGGGGACCGGUCGCAUCGCCAUGGGGUAUCGGUCUCCCCGACCAGGGACCGGUCCCCGAGAGUGAAAACUCUCAGGACAGCCCAGAACUCAGAUUUUUCGAGCUCUUUAAGUCGGAACACCUUCCACGACCUUCCACCAAGUGUGGAAAAGCUCGGAACCCAAGUCAAACACUCGAACCUCGCAAUUUGCAAAGGUCCAGUGUGCUACAUUCACCCCUCCUAAAAAAGGAGUUUCGUCCGUGAAACUCAAAAGCAAACACAUACCUCAAAGCUCCAUCUGAAAAAGAUGGGGAUAGCGCUCCCGCAGCGCGCUCUCUAGCUCCCACGUGGCCUCCCGCUCCCCGUGGUUGCUCCAAAGCACCUUCACAUAGGGAAUAUCCCGAUUCCGUAGUUUCUUCACCUCGCGAGCCAAGAUCUUCACGGGUUGCUCCUUGAAGCUCAAAUCAUCCCGUAGCUCCAUAGUUGUAGCAUUCAACACAUGAGUCGGGUCGAAAACGUACUUCCAAAGAACCGAUACAUGAAAGACGUUAUGCACGCCCGAUAGGUUCGGUGGUAGAGCAAGUCGAUACGCUACCGGACCUACACGUUCCAAAAUCUCAUACGGUCCAAUGAAACGGGGGCUUAACUUACCCCGAACCCCGAAUCUCUUAAUCCCUCUAGUCGGCGAGACCUUAAAAAAAACAUGGUCUCCAACUUGGAACUCCAAGUCUCGCCGUCGUCGAUCGGCGUAGCUCCUCUAUCUACUCUGUGCCGUCAAAAGUCGCUCCCGAGCUACUCGAACCUUGUCCUCAGCUUCCUGGAGCACGUCAGGGCCUAAUGCCAAUCUCUUGCCGACUUCACUCCAAUGAAGUGGCGACCUACACUUCCGUCCAUAAAGUGCUUCGAAGGGCGCCAUCUUGAUGCUUGCUUGAUAACUGUUCUUAUAAGCAAACUCUGCCAUAGGUAGAUGCUGCGACCAUCCUCCCUAGAAGUCUAUCACACAUACUCGGAGCAUAUCCUCUAAGGUCUGAAUGGUGCGCUCCGACUGCCCAUCACUCUGAGGGUGGAAAGCAACGCUAAAGUCCAUUCGAGUGCCUAGGGCGUCCUGUAGACUCCGACAAAAAUGAGACACAAACCGAGUGUCUCGAUCCGAUACGAUCGAUGUAGGCACUCCAUGAAGGCGCACAAUCUCAUCAAGGUACACUUGUGCGAGCUUCUCUCCGAUCUAAGCAGUAUGAAUAGGUAUGAAGUGCGCCGACUUCGUCAACCUAUCCACGAUCACCCAUAUGGCAUCAUGCCCGGCCUGAGAGCGGGGCAAUCUAGUCACGAAAUCCAUGGUGAUCUUCUCCCACUUCCACACGGGAAUAGGCAAACUCUGAAGUUUUUCCGCAGGUAAUUGAUGCUCAGCCUUUACUUGUUGGCAAGUUAGACAACGAGGUACAAACUCUCCAACGUCCUUUUUCAUCCCGGGCCACCAAUAAAGUAACUUAAGUCCUUAUACAUCUUGGUGCCUCUCGGAUGUAUAGCAUAAGGCGCUCCGUGCGCUUCUUGAAAAAUAUCCUCUUUAAUUUUCGAAUCCGCCGGUACGCAAAUCUGCCCACGGAAACGCAUCAAUCCUUGGUCAUCCACAAGGAAGUCGCCGGUGCAACCAUCAACCAUUUUAUCUCGAACCUUUUGCAACUCCACAUCGGAAGCUUGCUUCUCUUUAAUUCUAUCCAAGAGUGUAGGUUACACCACCAAAGUCAUCAAUCUCAAAGGCGUAUCUGGAAUCACCACUUCCAAAUCCAACCGCUUCAUUUGCUCGAUCAACUGCGGUUGAGUAACAACAUGCAUCGCUAAGUUUUCCUUUGAUUUCCUACUUAGCGCAUCCGCCACCACGUUAACCUUGCCCGGGUGGUAAAGAAUAGUCAAAUCAUAAUCUUGAGCAGCUCCAACCAUCUGCGCUGUCUCAAGUUCAACUCCUUCUGAGUGAACAGGUAUUUGAGGCUCUUGUGAUCCGUGUACACUUCACACCGCUCGCCAUAAAAAUAGUGGCGCCAUAACUUUAAUGCGAAGACUACGGCCGCGAACUCCAAAUCAUGCGUAAGGUAAUUCUUUUCAUAUUCCUUCAGUUGGCGAGAAGCAUACGCGAUCACCUUGCCAUCCUGCAUCAAAAUGCAACCCAAUCCAUUAAGAGAUGCAUCACUAUAAAUCACAUACCCUGCUCUAGCCAUCGGCAGGGUUAGGAUCGGGGCGGUCGUCAAUCGGUGCUUCAACUCUUGGAAGCUUCUCUCGCACGCAUCAUUCUAAAUGAACUUGACACCUUUAUGCGUGAGCCCCGUGAGGGGAGUAGAUAGCUUAGCAAACCCCUCGAUAAAUCUCCGGUAAUAGCCUGCCAAUCCAAGAAAACUCCGAAUCUCCGUGAGGCUCGUCGGUCUUAGCCAAUCCUUGAUAGUCUCAAUUUUCUUAGGAUCCACGGCUAUACCCGAUCCCGAUAUCAAAUGUCCAAGGAAGGCUACCUCUCGAAGCAAAAAUUCACACUUUUUCAGCUUGGCAUAAAGCUUUUUUUUCCGAAGUAUUUGAAGUACUAGCCUCAAAUGCUCCUCGUGAUCCGCAUCAUUUCGGGAAUAAACCAAAAUGUCGUCGAUGAACACCAUGACGAACCUGUCUAGAUAAGACUUAAAAACACGGUUCAUCAGAUCCAUAAAAGCUGCCGGGGCAUUGUAAGCCCAAACGGCAUAACUGUGAACUCAUAGUGUCCAUACCGUGUUCUAAAAGCCGUCUUUGACACAUCCUCGGGUUUUAUCUUUAACUGGUUGUAUCCCGACUGCAAGUCUAUCUUGGAAUACACACACGAUCCUUGAAGCUGAUCAAACAAGUCGUCGAUCCUCGGCAACGGAUACUUAUUCUUGAUCGUGACUUUAUUGAGUUCACGAUAGUCCACACAUAGGCGAAGUGAUCCGUCCUUUUUCUUGACGAACUAAACUGGCGCUCCCCACGGUGAGAAGCUCGGUCGAAUGAAGCCCUUGUCCAACAGAUCCUGUAGCUGUGCCCUCAGCUCUUUCAGCUCCACCGGUGCCAUCCUAUAGGGUGCCUUCGAGAUUGGAGUAGUCCCAGGGACGAGAUCUACCACAAACUCGAUCUCCCUAUCGGGUGGCAUACCCGGUAGCUCCGUUGGAAACACAUCCUGAAACUCCCGUACCACUGGAAUAUCCUCAAUCCUAGGGGUGUCAUCCUCGCCCCUCAACACAACACUAGCCAAGUAGGCUACACAUCCUCGGCUGAUCAGCUGCCUAACUCGAGACAAGCAGAUCGACAUCGCAAAAAGCGAACUCCGGCAUCCUCUAAACACGACCUCAGUCUGCCCCGGUUCUCUAAAAGUAACCGUGCGAUUCUUGCAAUCAAUGGUGGCGUAAAACUUGGUUACUAAAGCUACACCAGAACCUAUACCUAACCGNCGAGACAAGCAGAUCGACAUCGCAAAAAGCGAACUCCGGCAUCCUCUAAACACGACCUCAGUCUGCCCCGGUUCUCUAAAAGUAACCGUGCGAUUCUUGCAAUCAAUGGUGGCGUAAAACUUGGUUAGCCAAUCCAUAUCCAAGACCACAUCGAAAUCUCCUAGCUUGCGCAAAGCUAGCAAAUCCACGGCCAUGAUCCAAUCUCCUACCCGAACAGGGCAACUAGGGCAAUACUCUCUAAUAUCCAGAGUGUGGUUUGGUACUACAACAUGUCCCGGAUGCAACAAGAAAAUCAAAGGGAUGCCAUGCAACUCGGCAAACAGUCGAUCUAUAAAUGAAUGCGAUGCACCAGUAUCAAAUAAAGCACGAACUCUAAUGCCAUCAAGUAAAAUGAUACCUGCAACCACAUCCUCGGCUGCUGCUGCCUCCUCGGUCUGAGCAGCAUACAAACGCCCACUCGAGGCCUGUCGAGAACCAUCGCUCUGGCGCUGGACGGAUGGCUGCCCAGGCUGAUACUGCGCUGAUGGAGUUCCGUGGCUGGCGGCUGGUAGAGCCAGUGCCGAUGCAGUUGACGGUGCCGAUGAUGAACCUCUCGGGCAGUCAUUCCGAACGUGGCCCUCCUGGCCACACUGGAAACACCUGCCCUUUCGCUGUGGACACUGCGGUGGGUAAUGAGGACCACCGCAGAUCACACACGGGGAGGGCCGGCGACGAUCAGAACCUCCUCGCUGCGUCGCUGAGCCGCGUCCACGCCGCUGGCUCCUAGGAUGCUUCGGCGGUCUCCUAGAGUGCGUCUGGCUCGCACCCUCAGCCGCAGACCUCUUGGCCUUACCCUUGUCCAUGGUCUCUCGCCGCUCCUGGACAUCUGUCGCGCCGCUCUCCACUAUGAGCGCGCGAUCCACCAACUCCCGGUAGGUUUGAAGGUUAGAGGAUUGCACGAACCGAAAAAUCGACGGUCGCAACCCUCGCUCGAAAAUGCGGGUCUUGUCCUUUUCGUCCCACACGACGAAGGGCACGCAGUGUAGAAGCCGAGAAAACUCCUGCUCGUACUCGGCUACAGUUCGAUCUCCUUGGCGCAAGUUGCGCAAAUCCUGCUCCAUCUUCCUCUUGACGCUGGUCGGGAAGUAGUGCGCCAAUAGAAGCUCCUUAAACCUCUUCCAAGAUAUAGCCGCCAAGUCAGUGCUGGUGUAGCACACUGGACCUAUGCAAAUUGCGAGGUUCGAGUGAUUGGUUGUGUUUCGAGCUUUUCCACACUUGGUGGAGGGUCGUAGAAUGUUUUCCGACCUAAAAAGUUCGAAAACCAGAGUUCUGGACGAGUCCUGAGAGUUUUUACUCUCGGGGACCGGUCCCUGGUUGGGAGAGACCGGUCCCCCCCCGGAACAGUAUUGCGGCAGCCUUGAGGCAACCGGUCCCUGGCGAAUGAGACCGGUCCCCGAGCGCGUCCAAGCGGGGAGAGACCGGUUCCUGAACGUUGGAUUUUCGGGGCAGGCCGAGAGACCGGUCCCAUGUCGGGGACACCGGUCCCUCAAUCCGAAAACUGCCCAGUCCGGGCUGAUGCAAUAUUGGAAAUUUGAGGGUCUUUUUGGAUUUUGUUACAUUUGAUGGCUUAUAUGGCCAUUUCACCCUCUCCCUUUUCUCAUUUCUCAUUUUCUCAUUCUCCCAACACCCUAGAUAGAGAAGGAGAAGAAGGAGAAGAAGAAGAAGGAGAAGAAGAAGAGAAGGAUCUAGCUUGAGGACUUGGAGCAUUUUCCUCCCCUUCUCUUCCCACCUUAUUGGUGCUUGGAGGCUUGGACUUGGAGCUUGCAAGAGAGGAGAUCUUCACCCUUGGAGCUUGGAUAGGAGCUUAUAAGGAGGUUGGUUGCUCAUUUCUUCCCUCUAGACCAUGUUUUGUUGGUUUUUAGAAGAUGAAACCCUAGAAUGGGAAAUCUAGGGUUUCUUUGGGGCUUUUUGAUUUAGGGCUUUUUUAGCUAAUCUAAUUGGAUUAAAACCUUGGUUUAGGUUACUUUGGAAGGAAUCUAGCCCUCUUUUGGAGCUUGGAAGAGAUUUUCUACUCCCUAGGUGAGUUUUUGCCCCUUUGCUUGUGGUGGUUAAUGUUUGAGCCUAGAGUUGCUCGUAACGUUUGUUUAUCUCUUCGCUCCUUACCUUUAGGGUACUUGGAGACUUGCGGACAACUCCGUUCGGCGAAACGAAGGGUUUCGAGACGGUUCGGUGGGUUUGACCUAGCCUAGCAUAUGAGAAAUUCUCAUAUCCUAUGUUUUAUGCUUCGUAAAGUAGAAAUUCAUACAUUUCCAUGAUAAAUGUAAUUAUUGUGAAUUUUAGGAUGUUUAACAUGCCUAUGUUAUGUGUAAGACAUUUCGGACCUCUAUUGUGACGCACUGGACUUUUGCAAAUUGCGAGGUUCGAGUGUUUGGGUGUAUUUCGAGCUUUUCCACACUUGGUGGAGGGUUGUAGAAUGUUUUCCGACCUAAAAAGUUCGAAAACCUGAGUUUUGGUUUGGUCCUGAGAGUUUUCACUCUCGGGGACCGGUCCCUGGAAGGAGAGACCGGUCCCCCAAUGAGCAGUGUUGCGGCAGCCCUGAGGCAACCGGUCCCUGGCGGGCGAGACCGGUCCCCGAGCGCGUCUACGCAGUGGGAGACCGGUCCCGCACAGGGAGAGACCGGUUCCCGAACGAUGGUUUUUCGGGUUCGCAGCGAGAGACCGGUCCCUGCUGGGGAGAUACCGGUCCCUCUGGGCGAAAACUGCCCAGACCGGGCUGAUGCAAUAUUAGAUUUUUGAGGGACCUCUUGGGAUUUUGUUACUUUGGAUGGCCUAAAUAGCCCUUCCACCCUCUCUCUUUCUCAUUUCUCUCCUCACACUCCCUCCAUACCCUUGUUAGAGAGAGAAGCGAGUGAGAAGAAAAAGGAGAAGGAGGGAAGAAGAGAAGUUUGAGAGCCACUAGUGGACUUGGAGCAUCUUCCUCACCCUAUCUUCUUCCUUGGUGCUUGGUGCUUGGACUUGGAGCUUACCAAGAGGAGAUCUUCAUCCUUGGAGCUUGGAUUGGAGCUUCUUAGAGGUUUGUUUGCUUUUCCCUCCCUCCUAGACCUUGAUUUGAGGAUUUUUGGUAGAUGGAACCUAGAAAUGAGAUUUAGGGUUGAUUUUGGGCAUUUUGAACCUAGGGCUUUGUGGGCUAGAUUGAUUGGUUUAGAACCUUCCUUGGCUUGGUUUGGAAGGUUCUAGCUCUCUUUUGGAGCUUUGAAGAGAUUUCUUCUCUUGAGGUGAGUUUUGGCCCUUUUUGCUUCUAGGUUAAUAUUUGGUUUUAUAAGAUGGUCGUAAUGCCCUCGUAUCUCUUCGCUGAUCACUUUUAGGGUAUUUUUGAGACUCGGGGACAACUUUAUUCCGCGAAUCGAGACCCUGCGCGACGGUUCGGUGGGUUUGACCUAGCCACACAAUGAAAAAUUCUCAUUUGUGCUUAUUUAUGUAUCGUUAAAUGAAAAAGCAUGCAUAUUCUUGUUACAUGUAUUUAUUGUGAUUUUAGAAUUUUUAAAAUGCAUAUGUUAUAUGUAGUGAAAUUUUGGACCUCUAUGUACUAGAGAGUUGCUUGGGAGAUCUUUGUUGCAUUUAGCAUUCUUCAUGAGACUUGGUUUCAUGCUUCUUAUAGUAUAAAUGAGUUCGGAUUCUGCAUUUAAACUAAUGUUAUUAGAGACGUGAAAGUUGACAAGAUUGUCAUUUAGAAGGUAUGUGAAUUAGAGAGCUAAUGUCAUCAAGGCGCCAUUGAGCUCCGGACAUGUGUGAACCUAGUGGAUAGGGCCAUCGAGGGAUUGGGAUACAUGUUGGACACCAGAUUGCCUAAGUGUCAUCAAGGGGCACUAGGCGUAGCAAAAGUUGAAAAUUCACAUUGUGACUUAAACUAGAUCUUCGGAUGCUAGUGGCUAUACCUAUGUAGAGACAUGAGGAUUGGUUACUUGAGACUUGGACUAUGCUUGCUGCCAUUUGUGCCAUUCGCACAUGCUUGUGAGGGUCGCUCCCUACAAAGCCGGCACUCCGGAGUUAGCCUACGCGACUUAUGUUCGCUCGUGCGGUAUCAGUAAGCCUACGGGUCAGUGGGGCAGACACAUUCCAUGUGUAGGAAUGUCGGGCUACCACAGGCACUUAGCGGCACAAGCCGGACUACUUGGUGUAGGUCCUAAUUGGAAUGGAAAUCGACACGGUGUAGUAUAUAUGGUCAAUCAUGCUCGAUAGAAUCGGUAGUUGGAUUACUUGGACAUGCUCAUGAUAAUGGCAUUGGCACAUUUAGUAUACUUGCGCGUUUCAUUAUUGCAUAGUAGUGUACUCGGAUGUUUGAUAGUGUUUACCCUUAUGCAUUGACACAUUGCAUCGUGAGGUUUACUUGUUUAUUACGUUGAACCAUAUUAGUAUGCAUUACCAUUUGAUAGCGUAGAUGUACUCACCAUGGCAUCAUGCUUACUUGAGACAUAUGGAUUAGCACUGGCUAUAUGCUUUUCUACAGUUGUUACUUAUUAUUCUUAUUGUUGCUUAUUAUACUUACCCUUUUUCUUUUGGGGCCUAGUGGUGCGAUGACUGAGGUCAGUAAUUGCCCACUGGAACUAUAAUUAUAGUUCUCACGCCUUUUUUCUCGAUGUUUUUUCAGAGCCUUCCACGCCGGGUGAGGCCAGGGACCGAGGGAAGGGCAUUGCUUCCAGCUAGCUCUUCAGCGAGGGACGAGUUGUUAGGUGGUCCACCUCUCGAUGUAUUUCUUUUUGCGAGAGGUUGAGAGUUUUACCCGUGUACUAGAGACCACCAUUUUUGUACUUUUGAGACAGAUAGUGUUCUACUUAUGGUUAUCUUUGUUUGACUAGCUUUAUUUUCUUUGCUUUGGUGUAGAUGAUAGAACUUUACUUGCUCUGAUAUCAGUAGUUGCUAGUUAUUUCGCUACUUUUAUUUGUUCUAUCUCCUGCUUUUACUUCCACUUUUAGUCUAGACGCCUUAUAUGUGUAGACAUAUGGCGGGUCUGGGCACGCUACCGGGAGGGCCUCCGCCGGUCCCGGGGCGUGACAUCUAUAUAGUAGAGAGCUAGCAUGUGGGACUUGUACAUGAUUGGCAUCCUAAUGAGACUUGGAAUCAUAAUUUCUAUUGUGAAAAUGAAUAUUACUUUCAUGCAUUUAAAGCUAUUUCCUACUUGAGACUUAAAGAAUCUUAGUAAGCCAUAAAGAGGCUCGGGGACUUGUAGUUCUUGAGAAUAAUUGGGCUAAUGUCAUAAUGGGGCAUUGAGCUCGGAUUAAAUGAGAACCUAGUAUAUUAGUCAUGAAUGGAACAUAGAUUAUGAAAUGCGUUAACUUAUAACAAGCUUAAAUGUCAUAAAGAGGCACUAAGCAUAGUGAGUGUUGGAACAUCACUUUGAAACAUUGAACCAGAGCUUUGAGAUGCUAGUGACUUGUACCAUAUUAGAAACAUGAUGAUUGGACGUUUGAGAUGUUGACUAUGCUUGUUCGCCUUUUGUGCUCAUUCGCACAUGCUUGUGAGGGUCGCUCCCUACAAGCCGGCACUCCGGAGUUGGCCUACGCGACUUAUGUUCGCUCGUGCAAUAUUGAGAAACCUACGGGAUCGAGAGGGAUAGACUCAUUCCUAGAGUGGAAAUGCUGGAGCUACCACCGACACUUAGGUGGCAUAAGCUGGACUACACUAUGUAGGUCCUAGAAUAUGUUGGAAAUAAUGACAUUGAACUGAGAAAUGACUAUCUCUACUAGAUAGGCUUAGUAGUCUGAUUACCUUGACAUGCUUAUAGCAUAGUGUUGGGACUUGUAGUAUACAUGAUAGUCUUAUUUGUUGCAUCAUAAUAUACUUUGCUGCCAUGAUAGAGCAUAUUCAUCAUACAUUGACAUAGUAGAUCAUGAUACCUACUUGCCCGUUAUGUUGGGACAUAUUAGUCAUGCUUGGACAUACUUCAUUUUGAUGAGUAGAUGUACAACACAUUUGACAUCAUGUUUAUUUGCGACAUAGUAGUUUAGCAUUUUAAUCAUGCUUCCAUAAAUGCAAUCCAUUUAUUAUUAUUAUUGCUCUUUGGACUUACCUUUUUCUUUUGGGGCCUAGUGGUGCAUUGAGCUGAGGUCAGUAAUUGCCCACUGGGAACUAUAAAUUAUAGUUCUCACGCCCUCUUUUUCUUGAUGUUAUUCAGAGCCUUCCACGCUAGGAGAGGCUAGAAACCGCGGAAAGGGUAUCGCCUCGAGUUAGCUUGGCUUCGAGGGACGCGUUGAUAGGUGGUCUACCUCUCGUUGUUUUCUUUUUGGAGAGGUGGAGAGCUGUACCAGUGUAAUAGAGACCACCUAUUUUGUGUACUUUUUGGAGAUGGUUAUUGUAUAACUUUGUGUUUCCUCUUUAUUGCUUAGUCGUUCCAUCUACUCUUAUCAUAAAUUAUAGAUGUGUACUUGCGCUGAUAUCUCUAAUUGUAGAUCAUCUCUUGCUUUAUUUCCGCUGUUGUUGUAGACGCCUUAUAUGUGUAGACAUAUGGCGGGUGUGGGCGCGCUACUGGGAGGGCCUCUGCCGGUCCCGGGGCGUGACAUAGAUAGCUAUGCUGAAUUGAAAGCAUUAACGAUAAUUAAGCAAGUAUGAAUAAGAACGUCUAUCUAUGCCUCAAUCCAUAGUAAUGCAUGCAUGCAACAUAAGGCAAAGCUAAGUACUAAGCUACUAUGCACAAUAACAACGUAACUCAUCAGGUUACCCAAUCACUUGGCGAACUCAAGGCUCGCUCCCAAAUCUCACGUGUGUAAGCCUCAUAGGGGAGGAGUCCCACUGUUCAACUACCCCCGAGACCGCCUCCGUACAGAUACUUUAGUCCAAGGGCAAUUAUGUUAGCCCUCCUCGGGUGACAACUCCGGAGUGCACUACCUGUAUGGAGCUAUCGCACCAGGCGCAGACAGGCUAUGUGAGCUCGAUCCAAAUUCUCAUAAAAUGGGAACCUCCUAUCAACUGGGGAUAGUAUCAUCAUAAUACGCAAGCAAAUCCCAUACUCAUCAAUCUAGUGUUACUAACCACACUAGGGUUCUCAUAGCUACUCAUCAUAGGUUAACAUUAACUAGAUGCCACUCGUCAUGGUUAACAUUAACUAGAUGCCACUCGUCAAAGUUCAAGGUUCUCAUACACUAGUUAUUCCACACUAGGUUUUCAUUCACGUGACACAUUCAUCACAUAUAAGGUUAACUAUCUUAUGUUCAACUCAUGCAUACUAGGUUCAGCGCUAUAUCCACGAAGCUAAGCUAACAAUAGCAUGCAAUAAUAUGUAACAAUUACAUUCAGCACCCUAUAAUGCGAUUUUACAAUAUGCACUUGAUCAACAUGAUGACUUAGACAUAGGGAGCAGUUCAACUGCUUCGGGAUGGCACCCCCUACCUUUUGUUAGUGCUGCGAGGGUUGGGAAAACUUGACUUUGCGAUCCUUAGUCGUCGCCUCGACUCCUCGGACCAAUACGAACCCUUGAGCGCUUGUUUCGGCGAUAUCUUCGCACUCACUCGUCGUAUCGACGAACUGUCUUCACCCACGCGCUCGAAGACCUAGCAAGUAGGUUUUCAACCUAUCAAAAUAGAUCAAAACCCUAUAUUUCCAAAAAUCCCAAAACAUGCCCUAGAUUAGCAACGAUAGAGAAAUUCGUGGUGCAAGCUUCGAAUUCGAGCUAGAACUACCUAUUUAACUCCAAUAGGUUCCAUUCGAACCAUUUCCAAAGCAAUAAAACCCAAGCUCCAAGAAUCCACUAUGGUAGGGUUUAGGGCUUACCUCUAAAAACUUCUCAAAGCUUAAGGGACAGAAGGAAAAGGAUGAUCUUCCUCUUUGCCUUCUUCUUCUUCUACUUCUUCUCCUCCUUCUUCUUCUUCUCUUUCUUUUCUUUCUAGAGAGAGAGAGGGAGAAAGAGUGUGAGAGGGUGGAGAGAAAAUGAGAGAGUGAGGGAGAAGAGUGGUCCCCCAAGCCCUCAUAUAGGUGUUUUUGCUAUUAAGCCCCUCAACUUUCCACUUUACAAAACAGCCCUCACUGGGCAUUUUCGCAGUGAGGGAUCGGUCCCAGGUCGGGGAGACCGGUCCCCGAGAGCCUCCCAUUCGGGCAGAGGGAAUUUUGCGUUCGGGAACCAAUCUCAGCCUGAGAGACCGGUCCCCGGGAGAUCGGUCCUUGCUUAAAAGACCGGUUCCCGAGAGUUGGAUUUUCGGGACUUAGCCAAAUUUCGGCUUCUCUCGCUUGUUGCGCGCUGGGAGACCGGCCCGACUGAUCCAAGGGACCGGUUGCAUCAAGCAACCCCGCAACCCAUAGCCUCGGGGACCGGUCGCUCCCUACCAGGGACCGAUCCCCGGGAGCAAAUUCUGUCUAGUGCAGAUUUUGUACUGAUACUCUCGCGGACUCUUCCUUAAUGCACUUUAUGCAUUUUAAUCGCCUUCAGACUUUUCGAAGCCUACACACUCGACAAUUGGUCGAUUCUAAACGAAGUCUAAUCCUCGGAUUUCGAGAAUUCACUUCCCUUACAAAAAUGAGGUCAGCUCAAAUUCCACUAAGUCAAUUCCAUGGUCCGUACAAGUUUCGGGCGCCCAAAAUAUUUAAGGCAUGUUUGGUUUGAAGUAUCACACUUGGAAAUCGGAAUAAGCCCAUUUUGGUGCUUGAAUUGAGAGAUAGUAUUCCCCAGGGGGAUUUGAAUCCCUCAAAAGUGACUCCCACCAUAGAGGUCCGUAGAGGUGGGAGUCAAUUUUGAUUCCAAAGUGAUUGAGAAAAAAAAUUCACUAAUAACUAUUUGAAUUCAAAUAUAAAUCUAAAUAUAAAUUCAUUAAAUCAAAUCAUAAUUUCAAUUUUGAAUGUAAAUCAUGAAUUUAAAAUUAAAUUUUAAAUUUUUAAAAUUUUAAUUUAAUAGUUCUAAUUUUAAAUUUUGACUUUGACCUUGAACUUGAAUUGUAUAUUCAAAUUUAAGUUCAAAUUAUAAGUUCAAAUUUGGAUUCAAAUUUUUUAUUACAAAUGUGAAUAACAAAUUUAAAUUUAAUGAAAAUUUUAAUUUGCACAUACUUCUGAUUUCACUUUCUCUUAUGAGCCAAAUAAAUUCUUGAUUUUAUCAUUUUGUUUGCGCUUCCGACCUUUCAAUUCCUAUUUUGAAACCAAACAUGCCCUUAGUUCAUUAUUGGAAUGGAAAUUAAAAUUAACAAUUAAAAUAUCUAGAAUUUUGUAAGAGAGCUUUGAUAAAAGAAGAGAAUAAUGAAGAAGAGAGAUGUUUGCGAAAAAAAAUUGAGUGGUUUAUUAUAAGGUGGGUCAAACCAUGAUUCAAAAUCGAAUCGAGCCAUAAAUAGAUUGAAUAUUCUCAUUCCAAAGUGGAAUAAGAAUGGAAAUUUGAUUGCUCUUUGGAAUAAGAAUGGAAGUUUGACUGCUCUAAAACAAGCAACUACGAAGCAAUGAAUCUCAUUCCGAUUCCGGAGCCUAAAUUAGAUAAACCAAACAAAACCCUAAAUAUAAAGACAUAUUUUAAGCACGAUGUUAACAAUAUUGAAAACAAGCUCAAUACAUCAUAUAUACAAUAAUGUAAAAUAGGAUAAAAAAUACUAGAAUUUUCAAAAACAGAUCACGUUCUAACGAAUUUACUGGUGCAUGUAAAUUCAUGUAAACUCCAAAACUCCAGCAUCAGAAAAUUAAGACUCGUGGCUGAGAAACUCAAGUAGCGCCAACCGUUGCAUACUGUAGCACUCUCAAGAUUUAUGUUUGUUUUCAUAAAAGUACAAAUCGUUAGAUUCUCAUUGAAUGAUCACAACAUCUUGCACAAUCGAUACAAACAUUCUUCAGAAACAAACAGGGCAAAAUUCUUCUUUGCUAUAAAAUUUAGAUACCACAACUGUCUCACUUGAAAGUGAGAUCCAAAAUAAAUUUGCCACACAAUUUUUUAAAAUUACACUGGAUGGGGAACUACCUCCAGGAAAGGAAAAAGGGAACUUUGAUAGAAUGCAGUCGAGGAUCUACAACUUACAGGUGCUACUCAUUUGCUGAGGUAUCAGUCCUGCUGCCACUAGCACCUCAUUUGCUGAGGUAUCAGUCCUGCUGCCACUGACAAAAAAUGGCACGCUGAUUUAGUUCGGAUGAUUCUGAUGUUCAUAGCAGACAUCUCUGGAAAAAAUUUCCCCACUUUUAGCUUUUCAGUAAGCACGAAGAAUAUAAAUAAUGAUAACCACAUUUAAACUGAAUAGUGCAGUAUGAAUAUCCAAGAAAAUUUGCUGGAUGAAACUUAGCUAUCGUUUGUUGACAAAAUCACUAUCUAAUAGUAAUAAGCAUUAUUCUUCGAGUUCUUAUUCAUAGGUUAUUGGUGCAAGCAAAGAAACUGCUGUAGCGAAUGAUUAGAAUAGCGACCGUUUGAAGUCUGGAUUCCACCAGAGGAAAGAAAGGGAAAGAAAAUUGUGAUCAAAUCAAUUCCGAAAACGUUAAUUCAACUUACAUUUAAAGCCCACAAAUUUAAAAAGUGCCAAACCUAUCCUAUCUUGAACGACAAACCAUAACAAGCUUAUGGACCACUUACGACUUAAGACUUGACUUCACUCUAAUUAUCCAGCCAUAGAUAAUUCAAAACCAACCAAUCAUAAAACCUUAUCAGCUAGAAAAGAUCGAAAGAUUUGACUCAAGUCAUCAACCCAAUAAGAAAUUUAUCUAAAUUAUCCAAAAAAAAUGACAAAUUAAACUUAAUUAAUCAACAAGUAAAACUCUGAUCAAAACCUCAGUAACAAGUAGAGCUAACCUGAACCUGUCCUGCAUCAGUUAUUCUCUAUUGAGUAGAUGGUACAGCAAAUGUUUCCUUACAAAUGGCCUCCAUAGUUAUGAUCUAAAGUACUUCUAACCAUGAAUUUAAGUGCCGUGGCACGGGGUCAUGCCGGAAAAUUACAGCACGGUGCUUGUCGGGUUGUACUGAUGCGUGCCGGUCACAAAAAAUACAUGUGUACUAACACAUAAUAACAUAAAAUAUUUAUUUCCUUUAGCAACAAAAUAUUCUAACAGUUUACUAUGUAUCUUUAUCAAAUCUUUUGAACUUUAUUGAGAAAAUUACUUACUAAUUUGAAAAUUAUAGAGUUUUGACCUGUGCCAACGAUACGGGGGCUGUAUCGUGCCGAAAUCUUGUUGGCACGAUACGGCACCAUGGGCACUUAAAUCCUUGCUUUUGACAACUACUCUGCGAGCUAUUGACCUAGUGCCAAAUUCAAAGUGCAAACAUAUAGGCCUCCUUUGGUAUUGUUGCCAUUAUUUUUCACUAUGUGCUUUAAAUGUACCGCUGGACAAUUUUUCCUACUCUUAGCAUUUUGGCUAGCUUGCAAUGUGUUGGCAUUCGAUCAAACCAAAUCAGGUGUACCUAUGAUCACGCUGGCUCUGACGGUUAUAUUGUCUAACUGGACUAGAGUUAAUUUCGCUUUUAAAUUGGAAAGCUAAUUAGAGAUAUAUUCUAGCCAUAUUAGAAUAGUAAUUAUAAACCGAUUCGGCCUAAUCUUCUACUUACCUAUUAGAGUGUUGGGAUCAUUCAUAAAUAUACAGGCGAUUCUCUCAAAAAAGACGAACAAGAAGAAAAUAAAAAAAUACGUAGAAAUUCAUGAGAAAUUUGUGAGCCAUCUUGUGAGAGAGAAAAAACACAUCCUUUAUUAACCUAUUGCUUCUAGAGGGUCUUGAAUGGUGGCUUAUAGAUUUAGCUCAUUCAUAGCUCGAUCUACAGCAGGUUUGGAGUGUUAGAAGACCUUCGUGGACAAUCCGUGUCGUGAAUCAACCUCUAUGAUUCGGGACUUAUCACGUUCUAGCGCGAGUCGCUUCCUUAAAAGAUACGAAUGAAUACUUCCACUACGUUCUACAUUGGUAUCAGAGCAUUAUUAGGUUUAUUUCGUGCCAUAGAUGAAUUUUUAAUAAGAUUACAUGCGUAGAUCUAGAGUUGCCAUUGUUUAGAGCUCUUCUUGCAUGCUUGUGGGUGUUAAAGGCGGAUUUUUUUAGGGUGGAUAUAAUUGCAUGAUAUUUACAUAUCUUAUAGCUCUUAUAUGAUAUGUUAAAUCUAUAGUUUGAUUCAAUUUGGUUUUGUAUUUUGUGAGAAAAACAAAAUCCUAGAUCAAAACUUCACAGAUGGCUUGUUUGUAUGUGUAGUGCAUAUCCCAUUGUGAAUCUUACAUGAUUUGGAAGAGCUCCUCAUAUGCUUUCUAUUGAUAUAUUAUUUGCAAGAUUUGAAGUUCUACCUAGAAAGGUUUAAAUAUUCCAUAUUUUUCCAUCUAAAAAAAAGGGUUAUUAUCUUGUGGGGAAGAAAUUCCAUGUGGGCCAAGCCAGUCCCGCCCAUGCGUGUGAGCACUAUCCCAUUCGGACCAAGCUAGUCCUGGCCUGCUAGGGCCAAUCCUGGCCUACCCGGGCCGGUUGCGGGCCGUUUGCGGGCAUACCCGCGCGUGCAAGCCUAUGCGGGCUAGGCCAAUCCUGGCCCACCCGGGUCGGUUGCUGGCAGACCCGCACGCAUAGGCCCAUGCGGACUGGGCCCGUACAGGCCAAUCAAUAAACUAUAUAUUUUAAAAAGAAUAAUAAUUUUGAAUUUUUUAAUCAUAUUAGAUGAUUUAAUAUGCCUUGGUGAUGUAUGUUGAAUGCAUUUAAAUAUUGCGAUGAUUUUUAUUACGCUUUAUGAUGUGUAGAUGUAACUUCUGGCAUAAUAUAAAUUAAUUAUGUACGCUUAGUCGAGUGGGAAUUUAUUGUGGUAGAAUAAAUUGUAUGUUAUCCUGCAAAAUGCUAUAAAUUUGUGCAACUUAAUUAAAUAAUGAAAACAUUAGGCGUAGGGUGUGUGAUGUGAUUAUGAGCACAGCGAAAUUUUCCUUUACGCACCUAUGAUCUAAUUUUUCAAUUUGUUUAAUUAGAGAUGCGACAAAACUUAAUAUAUGUAUUCUGUGCUAAUUUAAAAUAUCUUUUUCUACGCACUGUGUGAACUUAGUAAGAUAGUAUGGACUCAAAACAAGUUGUUGCUGAUCUAAUCAAAGGUUUGAAAUUGAACAGUGACAAUUAUGAUAUCGGCACGAUAAAAUUCAAUAUAUUCUCGCUAAGUAGGAAGUCCUGGAAAAUUUGAGUCAUAAGAUGGACCAACCCAUAGAGGGCAAUAGCACUCAGGCUUGCAGAGAGAUGGAAGCCUAUAACAAUUGGCUUUGAAAACGAUCACAUUACUCGCAUUACGUUGCUGAACGGUAUGAGAAAUGAUCUGUUGUGCGAAUGAGUAGUACCCUACUGUUUAAAACAUGUGGGAGGCUUUCAAAACUAAAUUUGGUGCGAUUUCGGCCACAAGAUUGCUCAACCUGACUACUGUGUUUUGACAAUUAUAAGAAACAUGCCGAUCAGACUAUGAAACAGCACGUGAGAAUAAUGUCAAACAUGAUACAUGAGUUAAAGUUGAUCGGCAGCACUUUGACUGACUCAAGCUAUGAUUCGCUCCCUUCCCAAUUUGUGGGAACAUAUGCGAAUCAAUUUGACACAUAAUAAAAGCGUUAAAACCUUUGAGGACGUUGCACGACAACUAGAGUUGGAGGAGCACCAUGAGGCUGCUAAAAUCUCAACUGCUAAUACUGCUGAGUCAAACUUUUGCAUAACAUCCGAGUUCAAGCAAAAGCGGACUACUGACUCAAAAGCCAUAGCGGACCUGUGCCUAAAAAACGAAAAACACCCAAAAAAGAGAAGCAGACGAGAUGGCAAGAAGAACAAGUCGAAGAUGACUUGUUACAACUGUAACCUUGCACUGAGCCAAAAGAAGAUAUCCCUUUAUCCUGAUCCUCACUAUUUUGUUUAUUCUACAUGUUUGUUGCUGAAUCUCUCUGUGUGGAUUGUAGACUCAGGAGCAACAGACCACGUAGCGAGAGAUAGGCUAGGAGUCGUCGAGUACCGUCACAUAGCUGCUGGGAGCGUGAGAGUAAACAUAGGGAAUGAUUCCAGUGUCGAUAUAUUAGGCGUCAGCACGUACAAGUUGAUCAUGCGAGGUGGUCGCACGUUGUAUCUUCAUGAUGUACCUUAUACUCCAGAAAUCCGACGGAACUUGUUUUCUAUACUUGCUAUGCUCCAGUUAGGCUUUUCUUUUAGUUUUGAGAAUGUAGUUGAGAAUUAUCUUGGGACUAUUUAUUAUGGUAGAGUUUUUAUUUCAAAUGAUUUUAUGGUUUUGGACAUUAAUUAUAAAGGCAAACUUCAAAUACCACCCCUGUGGUUUUGCACUUUCUCACUUUAGUACCCUGUGGUUUAAAGUGUAUCAAUUUAGUACCCUGUGGUUUCAUUUUUCUCUUUUCGUCAGCUCUUCCGUUAACAUUUCGUUAAAUUAUAUACAAAAAAACUUCAAAUACCCCACCUAGGUUUAUCAAAUAUUCACCGUAGUACCUUUUAGUUUUAACUUUGUCACUGAUUUAACGAAAAAAAAAAUAGUGAAAGGGAUAAUAAAAAAAAAAAAAAAAUGAAACCACAGGAUACUAAAUUGAUACACUUUAAACCACAGGGUACCAAAAUGACAGUGCGAAACCACAAGGGUGGUAUUUGAAGUUUUCCCUAAUUAUAAUAAUAAUGAUAGUAAUUCGUUUUUCUUGCUAUCUUCUAUUGAUGAUCACAAUGUUUCUAUUAAAUAGCAUGAUCGUCUUGACCACAUUGGGCAGGAUAGAAUGACUAAAUUAGUUAGAGACGGGCUGUUGAGCUCGCUCACUAAAAUCGAUCUGCACACUUGUGAACAUUGCCUAGCGGGAAAAGAGACCCAAAAACCAUCUAAUAAAGCUUAUAAAGCAGAAUUUCCUUUACAAUUGAUCCACUAUGACAUUUGCGACCGAAUAAAUGUGGGGGCAAGGCAUGGUGCUGCUUAUUUCAUUACAUUUAUAGAUAACCAUACGCGCUUCGGUCAAGUCUAUCUGAUCUCCCAUAGGUCUAAAUAAUUGGAUUGUUUUAGACAUUAUAUUAAUGAGGUUGAGAAUCAACUAGAUAUGAAAAUUAAAACCUUAAGUACUGAUCGAGGCCACGAGUAUCUAUCUAAAUAAUUCAAAGAAUUGUGUAAUAAAAAACGAAUAAUCAGAUAGCUGACAUUUCCUGGAACUCUGCAGCAAAAUAGUGUAGCAGAAAGGAGAAAUCGCACUUGCUUGACAUGAUUAGGUCAAUGAUGGUGCAAGCAAACUUGCCUGUCUCUUUUCGGGGAAACGCAUUGUUAACAACUGCCUACAUUCUUAAUCGUGUGCCCUCCAAGUCAGUGCCUUCCACCCCUUAUGAGUUGUGGACAGGCAGGAAACCAAAUUUGGAGCACCUACUUCAUUGGGAUUCGGCGGCUUGUGUGCACGAUACUUCUCACAAGUAUGAGAAGUUGGGCUUUAGCGGGAAGAAGUAUAUCUUCAUAAGAUAUUUUGAACACACUAAAGGAUACGUGUUUAUUGAAAAGCAGCCAGAACCACAAGAUGAUGAAUUCCUCAAGAAAGAUUUUCCUUACAGAAGUGAGGUCCAAAAUGAAAUUGAGUUCCAUGAAAUAAACUCCGGUAUUGGCACUCUUGUUCGUUCGCCUGAGGUAGAGAAGGCAACUCCAAUUUACCUCCUGGGGAUAGUGACUCCCGACUUACCUUUAGAACAAGAGCCUCAACUUUGUAGGAGCACACGUGUGAGUAUUCCCCGUCUUCGUUUUGAGAUUGAGGGGGAAACUUUCAUGGUUGUUGCACAUAAUGAUGAUGAUGAGCCUAGGUCUUUCCAAGAGGCUCUCUCAUCGCCUCUAUAGCACACUGACCUUAAGCAAAUUGUAGAGUUCUAGUGUGAGAAAAGCUUUGGUUGAUGUUUCGAGUGUGUCGGCCUAUUUUCGGAGCUUAAUGAGCGCAAGAACGGAUUUUGACAUCAAAAUCUGCGAAACUAUAAUUUUUGCUGUUGAGUACCGAUACUGGAUAUGAGGUACCGGAACUCGGUAGAGAGCAGUUUUGGGCAGCUCUCGGAUUUUACAAAACUCGACUGUGUACCGGUACCGAUUGUGGUGUACCAGUACUACAUCAGGCGGGUACCGAAACACAAUAGAAACCGAAAAUUCCAACGUUCGGGUUUUGCAGAAUUGCAUUUCGGAUACCGGAAUUAUCCGAGUACCGAUACUCCAAUUCGUGUACCGAUACUCAAUGCUGCAGAGACUGUUUCUUGCAGUUUGUAAUUUCAGAGAUUUGAGGGGCUUCCAGGUAUAUUAUUACAUCAUGUAUAAUACCCCUUCACACCUCUCAUUCACUUUUGUGUGGUUGUGCUUGAGAAUGAAGAGAGGUGAGUUCCUUUCCCUUUUUCUCUUAGAUUCCUCCCUCCAACCCCUCUAAUCCUUGGAUUUUUCUUCUCUUCAUCUCCUCCAUGGAUGCAUGCAUCUAGAACCUUGAAGGGAGCUUGAAAUUGAAGGAAGGAGCUUGUUUGAGACUUGGACUUCAACCCUAGCAUCUUAUAGCUUAGUUUGGAGCUUUAAUUGAGGUUAGUAAUCUUCUUGCAUUCUCUAUUUGUGAGUUUUGCAAGAAUUUUUGGUAGAAAACCUAGUUUUGUAGAAACUAGGGUUUAUUUUGAGGUUUUCCUAUUAUGAGCUUUUGGGGUUAAAUUGGUGGGUGUAGAACACUUUUAGAUUGGAUUUGAAGCCCCAUUGCUUUAGUUUCGACCUUGGACAAAUUUUACUUGGUCAAAGAUAAUUUUCACCUAGUUCUACUUGAUUUUUGGUGAUUUUUGUGGUGAGCUUUUUAGAAACUUGUAACCCCUUGGAAAUUUUUCUUAAGGUGCAAGAAGUCUAGAGGACAACUUCGUUUGGAAAACGAUCAAGUAUUCGAAGGUUAUCCGAUGGGUUUGACUCCCCCUAUGUCUCUUAUCAUGUUAUAGGGCCUAAUAGAUGCUUUAUUAUGUUAUUCAUGACAAUCUAGAAUUUUUUGACACAUGGCAUAUUCAUGUUAUAUAUGAGACUUUACAUUCUCUAUGUAGUUAGAGGGUUUGUGACAACAACAUGCAUAUCAUGACAUAUGAAUUUGUUUUGGAAAUAUCAAUCUUCUUUUGUUCAAAUAUAUGUAUGCAUGUAAGAUAUUAUAAGUAUCAUAUGAGACACUACAUGACUAGUAGAACUAUAGACUAGAACUUGAAAUGUGCAAUUCUUUAUACUUGCUAUAGUUAAACGCAAAACUAAUACCUUGCAUGUUGAUGAUAUGUUGGCAAGUGUAAGUAGAUUGUACUUAACCGAGAAACACAUUAGAGAUGACAUUACGACAUGUACUCGACCUCUAGGUCGUUCAAGUGAUAUCCAUGUUUUAGACAUGAUGAACGAGGUUCCAUACGCAUGAUCACCUGUUUGCCUUGUGCUCAUUCGCACAAGCUUGUGAGGGUCGCGUCCUACAAGCCGGCACUUCGGAGUUAGCCUUGCGACAUCAUCUCGCUCUGUGCAGGAUUGGGCGCCAAAUAGACGCCAUGGGCGAGGCUCAUUUCUAAGAGGGGGAAUGUGUAGCACACUGGACCUUGCAAAUUGCGAUGGUUCAAGUGUUCGAUGUGUAUUCCGAACUUUUCUCACACUUGGUGGAGGGCCGUCGAUGGUAUACGGCCUAAAAGUUCGAUCUCGAGAGUUUUGGCCGAGUCCUGAGAGUUUUACUCUCGCGGGACGCGCCUGAUGGGAGAGACGGUCCCCAGAGUGAACAGUGCUAACGCAGCCGGCGAGGCAACCGGUCCCUGGCAGAUCGAGACCGGUCCCGAGCGCGUCUGCGGGGAAGACGGUCCCGCGCAAGGAGAAGAGCCGGUUCCGGAACGGGAUUUUCGGGGGCAGGCUGAGAGACCGGUCCAGGUCGGGAGACCAGUCUCUGGGCAAAAACUGCCCAGACCGGGCUGUUGUGAUUUUGGGAUUUUUGAGGGGCUUAUCAGGAUUUUGCUACUUUAGAGCCUAUAGAGAGCCUUUCUUCUCUCUCUUUCCCUCAUAUUCUCUCAACUCUUUGCAUUCUAGAGAGAGAAGAAGAGAGGGAGAAGAGAAGGAGAAGAAGAGGAGAAGGAGCUUGCUUGAGGCCUGGAGCACCAAUCUCCUUCCCAUUUUCUCACCUUGGGCUUCGACUUGCGGUUGGAGCUUUGUGGAGGAGCAAACUUCAACCUACGUGUUUUGAGCUUAGAUGGAGCUCUCUUGAGUUGGUAGCAUGUAAUCCUAUUUGAUACAUGUUUUCCUAGGUUUACUAGAUGAAACCUAGAUUUUGGGAUUUAGGGUUUAUUUUGGAGUUUUUGGAUUGAGGCUUCUUGACCUCAUUUGAAUGGUUUGGAACUUUAUAUAGGUUUAGAUUGGAGACCUCUACCUUCCAUUUGAGAUAAAAAAGAGAUUUUUCACUUGAGGUGAGUUUUCUUCAACCCUACUUGAGGAGCCUUCAUGAUUGAGCUAUUUGCUCUUCGUUUCGUUUAGAUGACCUAUUUUGAUGUUUCUAGAUACUAGGAAGCUUGUGGAUACCUUCGUUCGGCGAACGAAGAAGUCGAUUUUGGUGGGUUUGACUUCAUGAAAAUGGGAACAAAUGGCCCUAUGCCUUCUAAACUUUUUGUAAGUAUUUUGAAUGCAAAUUCAUGCUAAACAUGAUUUAUAUGAGUUUAGAACACUUAACAUGCAUGCCUCAUGUAUCGUAAAAUCUGUACUCCAUAUAGUAGAGCUAUAUGUGUAGAUUGCAUGCAUUGUGGAUAGUGCUUGGUUUUGCAAGUUGAGAACAUGUCUCCAUGCUAGAAUUGAGUGAACUAUGCAUCAUGAACAUAUUAAUGCCAUGCUUGGGACUCGUGGAACAAAAGUGUCAUAAAGAGGCACUGGAAUUAGUAAACUAUGCAAUCCAACUUAGAGACAUGAUGAUAGCCAUUGCACAUCUGCUAUAUAUUCCAUGUUAGAGACAUGAUGACAUAGAGAUAGGCCUUUGGAACAUUCGAUACAUUCCAUGUUAUUAGACAUGAGGACUUGGUACUUGUGAUAGGAAAUACGACUACUUGCCAUUGUGCUCAUUCGCACAUGCUUGUGAGGGUCGCUCCCUACAAGCCGGCACUCCGGAGAUAGCCAUCGUGAUUCAUAUUCGCCGUGCGGGAUUGGGCGCCAAGUGGAUUGCCGUGGCCAGGCUCAUUCCUAGGGUGGGGAUGUUGACUACCACGGGGCCAUUAGGCUCGACACAGCCAACAGCCUCGGGUGGGUCUCAGGGCCAUAGACAGCCUUCGGGGUGGUCUCUUCAGAUUUGACUUGAGUAUUCAUUAUACAUUGGACAGAUGAUGACUUAGAGUAUUACUUGGACAUUGACUAGAAUAGUAAACAACGGAACUUUACUAUUUCGCAUUGUGAAUAUUAUGAUAGUUGGAGACUUUACUUCAUACAUAAUUGCUUCAUACUUAUGCUAAUUACGCUAAGUAGAGAUAUCAUGUUGUAGUAGGUUACAUUAUUUUUACUUACUUUCGCUUUUCUACUGUUACUGUCACUGACAUCUUUUGUAGCUUUGGACCUUGUGGAGCAUUCACUGAAGUCAGUAAUUGCCCACUGGAACUAUUUUUAAUAGUUCUCACGCCCUGUUUUAUGGUUUCUUUUCAGAGCCUUCGGCACCGGCGAGGCACGGGAUGGCGGCAAGGGGAUCGCUAGCUAGCUAGCGAGAAGGCGUACUUUGCCUAGAAUGGGUUACUCUUUCUUUUGUAGUUGAGAGAGUGAGAGGUUUUGUAUCCAUGUAUAGAGACCACCUAUGUAUCUACCUACAGCACUUGUAUCUGGGAUUUUCUUGUAUCACUUUAUGUUUUAUUUAGUGAAUUUACAGUUUUAUCCUUAUCCCUUGUUGUAGCAUUUAGACAUUUAUUAUGCUCUGAUACUCCUAGAUGUCUUGUAUUAUUGCUUUUAUUAUUGUUGUUUUUAGACGCCUUAUACGUUUUAGACGUAUGGCGGGUCUGGGCACGCGCCGGGCGGGCUUCCGCUGGGUCCCGGGGCGUGACAGAAUGUUGACUAUCACAAGGCCAUUAGGCAUGGCACAAGCCAGGACGUUACCUUGUAUAAGUCCCCGAUGAUUGGGUGAAAGUUAAUUAAAUUUGGCAUUGUAUAUCACAACUGGUUGAUGCAUUCAUAGUGCUUGGACAUACUUGUUAGUCGUUACACACUUAACACAUUUGAUAGUGGUAGAAUUGCAUACAUGUUAAUUGGCUUAGUCGUUUAGAGGCAUUAUAGUACUUGAAUCUCAACUUCAUUUACUUUAUCCAUGCUUUAUCUUUAACUACUUACUAUCUUGCCUCAGUUGACCUAGUGGUGUAAUUCGCUUUUCUCGACGGCUUACCCACUGAGAACUAUUGUUUAAUAGUUCUCACCCCCAUUGUUUAUUUAUUUUUAUUUCGGAGCCUUCCACUACGGGAGAGGCUAGGGAUCGCGGCAAGGGGCUAGCGACUAGCUAGAAUCUCUUUGGUGUGCCUAGGUGGACCCGAGACACCUUUCUUUUGUUUUAGUAGUGAAAGGUGUAUUAGACCAUUUAAUUCAUGAGAUGCACUUUUGUAUGUGACUUAUUGUAUGUCUUAUGAAAGGUUUAUAUUUAUAGUAAAAUUGUUGAAUUAUUUCAAAGUUUAGCACGCAUGCUCUAAUUACCUUGUUAGGAUUAUUUUUCUACUCUCUUUGUUAGCUGGUUCUUUUGGUAGACACCUUGUGUGCACUCGGGGUGUCUUGUGCGCACGACGGGUCUGUGCACGUGCCGGAUAGGCUUCCGCAGGGGCCCAGGCAUGACAGCCUACUUGUAAGAAAUGGUUAAAUGCAAUGGUAAAGAAAAUGCAAUCAAUGAAGUCAAAUCAUAUCUUGGUUGACUUGAGAUCGCAAGACCAUUAGAAAUAAAUGGGUUUUAGAGGUUAAGCGCAAAGCGGACGGUUCAAUCAAUAGGUAUAAGGCUCACCUGGUAGCAAAGGGUUUCACCAACUAAGGUGUUGAUUACGAGGAAACCUUCUCUCCUAUUGUAAGGUUUGCUUCGAAUCCCUUGAUCUUGGCCAUUGUCGCGCAUUUGAAUUUGAAACUUUACCAAAUGGACAUCAAAACUACAUUUUUCAAUGGAGAGCUAGAUAAGAUCUACAUGGAUCAGCCUACUGAUUUCGCUGUGGAAGGUGAGGAGCAUAAAGUUCGCAAGCUCUUACGAUCCAUCUAUGUAUUAAACAGUCAUCCAGACAUGUUGUACAUUCGAUUUCAUCGAGCCAUCACUGAGAAUAGGUUUACGAUGAUUGAGGAAGAUCAUUGCGUGUAUGUUAAAUGAUUCAAGAAAAAUUAUCUAAUCAUUUCCUUAUAUGUUGAUGACAUUUUAUUGGCCAAGAAUGACAAGGAGAUGAUUGUCACCACUCAAAUGCGGCUGUCCUCUAAUUUCCAGAUAAAGGACAUGGGUGAAGUGAAUUAUGUGCUUAGAAUCAAAGAUCCUGCAAAAUAGUUCAAAGAAACUCUUAGGUUUGUCUCAAAAAACUUAAAAAGAUUUUAGAACGAUUUCAGAUACACAAUUACAAACCCAUUAACACUUCUGUUGCUGAAGGUAAGAGUCUGAACCUUAAAUAAUGCCUUAAACUUCUGAAGAGAAAGAUAAGAUGAAUUGGAUUCCAUAUGCUAGUGCAAUUGGGAGCCUGAUGUACGCUAUAAUAUGUAUUCCACCUGAUAUAUGCUAUGUUGUGGGCCUAGUCAGCCGUUUUCAAUCCAAUCCAGGAUUGGACCACCGGAAGGCAGUUAAGAGGAUACUCCGCUACCUUAGAGGGACUUUGAAUUAUGUGUUAUGCUACCAAGGUACAGAUUUACGUCUCGUCAGUUAUAGCAAUGUGGAUUGAGCUGAUGAGAUUGAUGAGCGUAAGUCGACAUCAGGAUAUGCCUUCUUGCUUAAUAAUGGCGCCAUAUCUUGGAAUAGCAAAAAGCAGACCUAUGUGACUCUAUCCACCUUGGAAGCAAAGUUCGUGGCAUGCUCUGUAGCAACUCAAGAGGCUAUUUGGUUGAAGAGGUUCCUUCAAAAUCUUGGAGUUGUCACUUGUGCUUCCAUUCCGUAACGAUCUAUUCUGACAGUAUGGCAACAAUUGCAUACUCGAAAGAUCCUAAACAUCAUGGCAAGACUAGCAUAUCGACUUGAAGUAUCACUUUAUUCGUGAAGUAGUGGCACAGAAGGAAAUAAUUCCGAAACGCAUUUCCACAAGUCAAAUGAUUGCUGAUCCUCUGACUAAGCCCAUUGUUAGAUAAUUAUUUUUGGCUCAUGUUAAAGCCUUUGGACUUCGUAAGAUUUGAUUGUAUAGACAGUCAAUUAUUUAGUCUUUUGGUAAUAUUCUUUGGUUAUUUAAAUGCAAAUAAUUCUUUUGGCAAAGAUAUUCAUUAACAUUAGCACGCAUACAUAUAUAUCCUAUCUUGUUGAAAAUAGGUUGAUAGUAUGUCGCACGCUGAUUGGCCCUCUCACACGGGCAAUCAUUUUUUUCGGCGCUGCAAAGAGCGAGCAAAAAUUGAGGCAUUCAAGGAAGCCGCCUUGGUUUGCACCAAGAUGAGGUCAUAAGCGAGACCAAAUACGGAUAUUUCCGUGAUUCAGCCAGACCAAAAACGGAUAUUUCCGUGAUUCAUACGGCGACUAUGGCUUGUACAUUUAGAGCCGAAUGUGAACUCACCGUUUGGCGUUUGAGAUAGCGACCAAAUGAAGAACUCAGGCUAGACACUUCGAGAGUGAGAGAGCUACGAUCCAUAUGGCAUUGAGAAAGACAUACGCUUAUUGAGAUUCUCUGUCAUAGCAUGUAUUUCAUACUACAUAUGCUUAAGCGACCAAAUGAUGGAGAUGAGUAAAUGGAUUCCUGCUUCCUCGUCGUGUGAGUUUUUAUGGACAUCAAUUCUUUUUACCUAACGACAUAGUCAAAAGUCACUAAGAGCAUCUAACAUAUGCCGGACAUCGCCUCAAAAUGAUGUCCGGUAUAUGUUAGACGCCCUUAGUGACUUUUGACUAUGUCGUUAGGUAAAAGAAUUGAUGUUGCUUUGACAUGUUUCCUACAGUUAGGAGUGAUGCAGCUUCACAAGGCAUUGUUAGAAAAGCAAUCAGUUCUCAACUUAAUAGCAUAAAUGCUCAAGGAAGACCAGCUGGAUUACAUUGAGACACUUUGACUCAUUGCUGACAGGUUGUGUCGCUUCAACAUAGCGAGAUAAUCAUGAGUAUAGUGUCAUAAUGUGCACAAUAGAGGUUAGCAUGGCCCUUUGAGGGAUUAGAGAUGCUGAACCUAAUGUAAUCUAAUGGUCUAGGGCAUCGCGAGUUAAUAUUUUUUGUGGGUUGAUGUCUCUAUACUAGCCUUAUGCGGUUUCUAGUGUAGAGCUCCCAGAAUGCAGAUUGACUCGACAGUCUAACCGUUCAUUUCCAUGUAUGAAUGGAAUCAGUAGUGGUGUAAUGUUGAGGAAGUAGUCACGAUGGCAUCGAUCCCGUUAUGUACGAGUGGGAAAUUGAAUCGUUUGCGCCCAUGAUCAGGCUCAAUCUGACGGUUGUUAUGUUGUCUAAUUGGACUAGACUCAAUCUCGCUUUUAAUUUGCAAAGCUAAUUAGAGAUAUAUUCUAGCCAUAUUAGGAUAGCAAUCAUAAACCGAUUCAACCUAAUCUUCUACUUACCUGUUAGGGUGUCAGGAUCCCUUAUAAAUAUACAAGCGACUCUCAUAAAAUAUGAACAAGAAAAAGUAGAAAAAUAUCUAGAAAUUCAUGAGAAAUUUGUGCGCCAUCUUGUGAGAGAGAAACCACAUCUUCUAUUAAUCUAUUGCUUCUAAAGGGUCUUGAGCGAUGGAUUAUAGAUCUAGCUCGUUCGUAGCUCGAUCUACCGCUUACAAGACCUUCGUGGACGAUCCGAGGACACGUGAAUCAACCUCUACGAUCCGGAUCAGAUUCUAGCACAAGUCACUUCUGUAAAAGGUAUGAAUGAAUACUUCUGCUGCGUUAUACACAAUGCAAUGUGGUAAGAAGCCAAAAGGCAUCUUUUUUUUUAAUUAAAAUAAACAAGAAGAAAAUUACAACUAGUUUGUGUUUUUUAUUGCCAAAUAAUCACCUAGACAUAUGGACUGCAAGCACUCAAACAAAGUAACAUAUAAACAUUUUGACAGAGAAAGCUUAGAAUAUCAUUAAGAAACCAAGGAAAAAGUUUCUAAGCAAAAAACAGAUCAAUUCAACACAAAAGUUGAAACCAAAGAACCUUUGAAUUGACCUGGAAGAGGCUAAUUUGUGGAAGAAACAUUUAGAAGGAAAUCUAGCCUCUAGAGUUGCUCUCAGAUGGAUUCUGAGUUAAUUCACGUGAUUGAGAAACCCUAAGUAUAUGUUUAUAGCCUUUUGAAUCAAUUAGAAUCGGAUUAGAAGUAAUAAAACAAAUAUGCAUAUUGUGUACCGAUAUACGAAGCUGAGUUCAUGUACUCAAAGACAUAACCAGCAAAUUUCUAUAUUGUAUACAGGUACGCAGCCGAAUCAGUACCAGUACUCCAGUAAAUCAGUACCGGUACUCAACCUUUGGUACCGAUAUGCAGUUCAAAUUCCAAAACUGCUACUCGCGGAUUUUGAGGAACUAAUCUUUGGGUAUCGGUACCCAGCAUAAAAACUAAGAUUUUUCAAAUCUGUUUUUGAGUAACUCUUUUUCAGUACCAUUAUUCAAUGUAAAAUUGAGUAAUAUUAAAAACCCUAGUUCCAAAAACUUUUCUAAUCCGAUUUAAAUAUAUUUCAUCACUUCCAAUGCUGUAAAUAGAUAUGAAUCACCAUGAAAACAUUUAGAUUAUACAUAAGCAUCAUGAAUUCAAUUUGUGAGUUUUCCUUGAGUUCUUCGCGGAAUCUUCGAGUCUUUUCAGAUACUAUAAUAACAAACCGAACUCUUCAAAACUUCAACUCAAAUCACGAAAUAUGCCAACACAAAAUCCAUAACAAACCCAACUCUAAAAAUUCAUUCAUUUAAAUCUCUUUCACAUUGGCCCAAAUGGGACUUAUUUAUAAUAGAUCUGAACUUAACAUAUCCCGUAAAAGGAAUUUUACCUAAUACCCGCACAACCAUAAAUCCAUAUUAAAUCUAAAUAAGCACCUUAAAACAAGAGAUUCAAUUCUAUCUUUAACUAACUAUUAUUCAAAAUUCAAAAACUAAUCCAACUAAGUAUGAGAUAUACAAUUUCCUAAAAAUAGAAACAAAAUCGAGUAAAAUUUAUUUUAUUUUUUUAUAUCUCAUUAGUGGACUCCUCACAUACUAAUGGAGUCUUUAAAUUAAAAAAUAUAAGAUAAAUUUAUUUUAUUUCGUUGUUUUGGAAAACUGUAAAUCCCGUAUUUCGUGGGAUUAUUUUUAAAUUGUGAAUAAUUUCUAGUUAAGGAAUAUAGAGAAUAAUUUCAUUUAAAGGAUUUGCCUAGAUUGCUUAGAUAUGUCGUAAAUGUCAAACAAUGGUCAUUAAAGGGUUAAUGUAGAAUUUUCUACUUUAAGUUUUCAAUCCAAAUCUACUGUAGCUAAUGCAGUUAAAUUGUAAAUGAAUGAAAUUUUUGAAGAUUAGGGUUUUCCUAAUUACCUUCUCUCUCUGUCUCUUUGGCCUGGAUUGGUCGGUAUUCUUCUUCCUCUUCUUUUUUGGCAUGGAUUGGUCAAGCUUCUUAACUCUCUCCUUCUUUAUCUUCUACUUUAGUUUUAAGUAAUUUAAAGUUCCUUUUAAACAUUGGAUUGCAUCAACUGGAAUCAGAGCUUAUGAAGGAUUCUUGGGUCAGAUUAUAUUGCUUUUCCUAACUUCAUCCUUAGUCUUCUACCAAUAUCUUCCUACUGUAUUUCUUACUUUUCCCAAUGACUCUCUUAUGUGCAUCACAAUAUUUGAUGCCAAAAUACGAAAUGGUUGCCCAAAAGGUGCAACACGAUUAAUCUAAGUUCCCUAAGAAACGUCACACAACUCUUUGGCAAAGAUCGAGUCAAUGGCGCAACAUUUCCUAAACAAUUCAAAUGUUGGAAUUCACCAUCAAUUAGCACAGUGUGGCACUUUAUUGGACCCAACAACUGUAUACACCUCAAGGGCGCGAUGCUUGCAGCAAAAGCAAUUAAUGGAGUCUAUAAAUUAACAAUAUAAAAUAAAACAUUUUUCUUUUGUUACCUUAGAAAACUAAAAUCCUAGAUAUCGUUGGAAGUUUUUAUGUUUCUAAUAAUUGUUGGUUUAGGAAGACAAAGAAUCUCUUCAUUUCAAGAAUCUGUUUUAUAUUCCAAAGAGGGUUGUUAAAGUGUUUGGUAGAACUCCUUUCUUUUAAGGAAUUUGUUUCUAUUCAAAUCUAUUAUAAAUAAGUUCCAUUGUACCUAAUGCAGCUAAAAUAUGAAAGAAUGAAAUUGUUAGAAAUUAGGGUUUUCCCAAUUAUCUUCUGUCUCUCUAGCUUGGAUUCCUCAGUAUUCUUUUCUCCUUUCUCUCAAUAUGGAAGAAUUGGUCAAGCUUCCUAACUCUCUCCUUUAUUUUCUAAUCUAUGCAAGUUUGUAAAUACCGAAUAGUAGAUACAUAACGUUUGGGGAUUAUCAAAGCGGAAAGCAGAUAGCGGGUUUCUUAGCGGCCACUAUGAACUCGUAGCGGGGCUCAUAAGGACUUAUAUGCUUUAUUCCUAACUGCAUUUAUAUUUCAAACUGAAAGCAUGAGACGAAAGCGCAGGCCCCUAGGAUUUUCAUUAGUAUUUAUAAACAAUACACAAGUAUAGUCAUGCGACAUUCAUGUGACUCACUAAACCAAUAAUACAAAAAGAAAAUACAAAUAAACCCUAACUACGCCAGCAUCCCUCAGAACCGAGAGGUAGAAAAUAGUUGGUGAAGAUGUCGACAAGCUGCUUGUCGGAAGAAAUAUGCAUUAAGUCACCCAUUGUACUUUCUCAAUGAUGGUCCGGCUCGCUGUAGGGGUGUAAACGAGCUAAACACGAGCGAGCUGGGGCCAGCUCGUGUUCAGCUCGUUUAAUAAACGAGCCGAACACAAGCUGGCUCGUUAAAGUAUCGAGCCGAAAAAGAGCUGGCUCACGAGCUGGCCAACGAACAAUAAGUUAAAAAGGAUUAGAUUGAAUAUAUAUAAAAAAUAAAUUUAUAAAAUCUUAUCCAUUAGACUUUGAUCUAAUAGUUGAAACUUUACAUAUAAAUAAGUCUUUUUAUAAUUAAGCUCGCAUUUAUAUUUUUAUUUUGCUAAAAAUUAAAUAAUAAAAAUAUAUAUUAUAUAUAAUUAUUUAUUUAUAUAUAAAAAUAUAAAUUAAAUAAAUUAUAUAAAUAUAAAAUAUAUGUAUUUGAGCUGUUAUCGAGCCGAACACGAGCGAGCUGACCCCAGCUCGUGUUCGGCUCGUUUAUUAAACGAGCUGAAAAAUUUAGCCCGUGUUCGGCUCGUUUACUAAACGAGCAAUUCGAUCUCGAGAUCAUUUCGAGCCGAACACGAGCUGGCUCACGAACAGCAAGCUGGAUUGCCACCCCUAGCUCGCUGUGCUUGGUGCACGCAUGUAAUAUCGAAUUGGUCGCCAUGUAUGUCGCGCUGAGAUUAUCACAGUAGAUGGUAAUUGGAUGUCGUAGCUGUGCACUAAGAUCACGAAGAAGACGACGAAACAAGACAGUCUCGGCAAAUAUCACCGAAGUGAGGAGUUUUCUUAGGCUUGUUGGAUAUUACCGUCGGUUUGUGGAAAGAUUCGCAAAGAUCUCCACUCUACUCACUUGAAUUACAAAGGAACUAUACAUUUGGAACAACGAGUGCCAAAGAAGUUUUGAGGUACUGAAGAGUAAACUGAUGUCGGCUUCUAGUCUUGCCCUAGUAGUUAUGGAAAAAGAAUUUGUGAUUUAUGGUGAAUUGGUGAUGCCUCGCAAGGUGGAUUGGAUUGCGUAUUGAUGCAGGGUGAUUGCCUAUACUUCCUGACAACUGAAAGAAUAUGAAAAGAAUCAUCCUGCACAUGAUCUGGAGUUGGCAGCUAUGAUCUUUGUUCUUAAGUUCGGGCGCCACUACUUGUACAACGAACAUUGUGACAGUUAUACUAAUCACAUGAUGCGGUGUAGGCGAUAAAGGACAAACUAACAAUUUGCUCACUUUUUUUCUAUCUAUACUACUUGGUCAAAGGAUAAGAUUGCACAAAUUUACUUGAACAAGAAUGUGCGCCUUCAUGGAGUGCGUACCUUGAUUGUGUCAAAUCGAGACCCAGGAUUUGUAUCGCACUUUUGAAAGAGCCUAAAUAAAGCCUUAGGGACUCAGUUGAACUUAAGUAUGGCAUUUCGCUCACAAACUGAUGGACAAUUGGAGAAAACAAUUCAAUUUUUAAAAGAUAUGCUUCGAGCUUACAUCCUUAACUAUGUUGGUGGAUGGCAUCAACACAUACAAAUGGUGGAGUUUGCUUACAAUAACAGUUAUAAAGCAAGCAUUAGAAUAUCUCCCUUUGAGGCAUUAUAUGGAAGAAAGUGUCAAUCGCAUUUGCAUUGGAGUGAAGUUGGUGAGAAGACAACUUUGGGCCCCGAUGUGUUGGUGAAAGCAGAAAAAAAAGUAGGAAUUGCACGACAACAUUUGGUGACAGCUCAAAGUCGACAAAAGCUAUAUUCUGACAAACGAAACAUGACCUUGAGUUCCAAGUUGGAGAACAGGUAUUCUUGAAGAUUUCGCCAUCUAAAGGAGUGAAGAGAUUUAGGAUGCAUGGGAAGUUAAGUCCCUGAUACAUUGGUCCUUUAGAAGUGUUGGAGCGAGUUGGACUAAUGGCAUACUGGAUUCCUUUGCCGCUCAACCUCGUGGGAGUUCAUGAUGUAUUUCAUGUAUCAAAAGCAUACAUUUGAUCUUUCUCAUGUCAUUGAUUUUGCGCCUUGGAGUUGCAUUAAGACUUUCACCACGAAUAACAACUGGUUCGCAUUUUGGCUCAAGAAGAAAAGGAACUCCGAAACCAGACUAGGGAUGUCAAUGGGUGUGGAUACCCGAAAUUUUAUCCGAACCCGAACCCGAAUGAAACGGAUAUAUCCGAUGAUAAAUGGAUAUGGAUUCGGAUAUGGAUAUCAAAAAUAGAAACCCGACGGAUAUGGAUUCGGAUAUGGAUUUUGACUGUACCCGACCCGAACCCGAACCCGACCCAAACCCAACCCGAACCCUAAUUUAUUUUGUAUUAUAAUAUAUAUAUAUAUAUAUAUAUAUAUAUAUAUAUAAUUUAAUGUUAUAUUUGAAUUUGUAUUUUAAAAAUUUAGAUUUAAUAUAAUAUAUUUUGAAAUAUUGAAAAAAGAUAAUUGUUUCGGGUUCAAAUUUUCGGGUUCGAGUUCGGGUUCGGGUUCGGGUUCGGGUUUCGGAUUUUUGGUCGGGUUCGGGUUUGGAUAUGGAUUUUUAAAAUCCGUCGUGUUCGGGUUCAUUCGGGUCUCGAGUUUGGAGUCGGGUUCGGGUUUCUGAAAAUCCGCCCCAAAUCCGACACGUUGACAUCUCUAAACCAAACUAUGUUACUUCAUAUACGAGUUUCUUUUUGUUGAUUACUAGGACAUGAAAUUAUGUGAAGUUAACACACAAAAAGAGAGUUAUGAGAUCUUGUUGAUCAUGACAUGUGAUUAUAGCCUACAAAAAGCAAAUUGAGCUCAACUACUUAUUUACUCAUGUUGGGGUCCUCACGAGAUGGUCCUCCGGAGGUGUAGCCAUGCAGCUAUGCGAGUGUUCAAGCUGCCUACAGUUGAGAGCCUUAAGGAGUUCAUGUGCGAUUGUUCGAUGUCUCACUAGGCACGGUGCGAGCUUGGGUGAGCUAUAAGUCAGUCGUUGGGAUCGGAUGGUAUGAUGUUUGCUAUUAGUCAUCACAUUUGUUACAUAAUAAAACAUGUAAUCCUACCGUUGGUAUUUCAUUUGUAUUGAGGCAUAAUAGUAAGCAUAGUAGUUGAUAGUUUAUUAUACUCGUCAUUUUACUGUUCUGUCUACAGCCAAUACUAAUGAUGCAUUGAGUAGACCUAGUGGCGAAAGUCGCCACUAUCGGCGACUAUAUCUACUAGAAACUAUUUUUCAAUUUCCUUUGUUGUUGUUUUUCUAUAAUAUACUGGACCUUCGCAAAUUGACAAGGUUGCAGUAUAAGAUGAUGGUUAGUGCUUUUGUGAAGUUCUGGGCUGAGUUGGAUCUGUUUUUACGCGAAAGGGACACGAAAACAGUACUCGAAAGCAAACUUUACCGAAACUAUAGUUUCAGAGUAGUUCCGGAGGCCGAAAGGCGUUGUGGGUGCUCGAAAGUCCAAAGUUGAGAGAGAGGUUGAUUUGAAGGAUCUAGAUGGUGGACCGAACGCCCGAAAAGCCCGUGCGUAGUUCCAAACACCCAAAGGUUGGCGAGAGUACUAUACUAACUUGAUUAGACGUAUUUAUGCAUAUCUAGUUUAGUUGAUAUAUGUGAGAGCUAUUGCGUCAAAGGAUACAGGAUUAAUACACCUGAGUUUAUGUGAUAUUGCCAAGGGCCAGAAAAACUGUAAAAGAAAAGUGAAAUAUGAUUUGAAAGUGCCAAAGGGCGAGUAAACAGUAUGAUUAUGAUCUUGUUGAUAAUCGCAUAUGACUAUAGCCUGCAAAAGCCAAAUUAAACUUGACAGUGUUGUGGUAUUUGAUCCUCAGUUAGGGUCACGCCCCGUGAGUAGGCUUUUCGAAGGCUAGCCUUCUGAAACAAUUGUGACAGUUACCUGCAUGGUAGCGGACCACUAUAGGUGGGGGCUGGACGUGAGACGACGCAGGCUUGACCGGACAUAUGAGUCAAUUGGCAUGAUUGGGUGGUGUGGCGUUGGUUUUAUCAAUUAUUUUCGUUGAUGCAUAUGAGACAUAAUUAUAGUUUCCAAUAUUUACUUGUAGAGGCAUGAUAGCAGUUGUUUAUUUCCAGCUCAGUAUAGUAUUAUUUAUUCAAUUCAAUUUUCACUAUCGAUGCCUCUGAUAGAGAUAGCGAUGUAGGUCAUCGCUAUCGUCGACUGUACCUACUAAAAAUUAUUUUUUAAUAGUUCUCACACAGUCCCAUUAUUGUUUUAUUUUAGAACCCUCAGAGCCGAUGACCGAUCAAGGUAAGGGGAUCGCAAGUUAGAUAGCGUCUCCUACCAUGGCAAGUACUAGAGAAGGACCACAUGAUGUAUAUGUUGUAUAGCUGACUGUACAUAGUGGGCCAGAGAAGGCUAGCAGAGUUGUAUUUAUUUUUGGGUGUGCUAAAGACUUACAUAUUUGUGUAUUUACACUUAGACUGAUACAUGUUCUUUUGUAUAUAUACUCCUGUUACAUGAUUUGGACAGAUUGGUUGUAUAUGCUUCAUAUGUGCAGGGUGCGCCCUCGUGCAUACGGCGGGUUCGUUAGCGUACCUGGAAGCUUCCGCUAUGACCCGGAGAGUGGCAUUUUCUUUUAGAGCCAUUGUCAUCGGCUAGUGAUCGUGGUAAGAAAAUUGCGAGCUAGAUAGCACCUCUAGUCCUGGACGAGUCUAGUGGAGUGACCCUUGUGGACAUGGAACUUGCUAGUUGUAUAUCGAAAACGGAUGUAAAUGUUGUUUUGGGUUGAUUAGUCGUAUGGACAUAACUAGUAAUAGUAUAGUUAUAUUUUGGCUCUGGUACAUCAACUCAUAUAUUUUCUUAUAUAUGUCCACAUGUAUAUGAUAUUAUCAUGUUGGUUAAGUUACGCUUCGUAUGUGCGGGGAUGUCCUUGUGCACAUGACCAGUCUGUUAGCGUACCCGGAAAGCUUCCACUACAACCCAGGGUGUGACAUUUUAGAUCUAUUUAUAUAUGGGUGCAGUAUAUAAUACCACUCCAAGAAUAGGAUGUACUACUCUCUCGUUCCUAGUAAAUAAGGGAUAAGGGAAAAUUAAGUUUAUGGAACCUUCAGAUGAAGCAUCAGGAGAUAGAGAAAAUGCCGGUAACUUAUUUGUUUUUCACAAGAUUCUUCUGGUUUCUUGUCCAGCUUCUAGAAUAUUACCCAGAAGAUUAAUCACACAACAGAUACUCGUAUAUUUGUUUCUAGGGCUGCAGAAAAGGACAAAUGGUCACAUUACAAUAAUUUCUAGGACAUCAGUUCCGUGGACAGCUCCUAACACAUUCCUAGUUUCAAGUUGUACAAACACAUAAAAUAAAUUUUAUAGCGCCUAAAUUAUACCAUUAACUAGAGGUUUACAGAUUAUGAAUUAAUUCAGGUAACAACUACAACGUGAAAAAUAAUGCACAAACAAAUAUGAAAUGCACUUGAUUACCACCAGAAUAAUCCUAUAAGAGAUGGAUUCAGCAUACGGUUCAAGCUUGAAGACAAAAGAAUAACCGUCAAGAUGCAUGUGCAUAUUGAGAAGACUACUAGUCACCUUGAAGAGGAAAUAUGCUUUUCAAUCGUUUUUUCUUCCUCUUCGUCAAAGGCAAACCACUUGUCUUCAUUUAUAACCAGGUCCCAGUUCUCAAUAUCUGCAGAGAGAAUAUAAUGUUCAAAUUCACUAUUUGUAAAUGAAUUCCAGGAGAUCAAAUAUUUUAGUAAAGAACCUUGAAGCAUAAUUUUCAAGUUACUGUAGUGGCCUUCCAAAUUCCAAUAUGUACGCCCGUUUCCUUCCAAAAAAAUAGGCUCAGUUCUUACAGCGUCUCGUCUUUGUUUCUCUGCAGUUGUAAACAAGGGAAAAAAUAAUAAUAAUAAUAAUAAUAAUAAAGAUAUUAUCAAUACCAAUGAUCAACUGAAUGCUCUCAUGGCUAAUGUAACACAACAAGAGUUUAAAAUGAGAGUGUCAAAGUUUAUGCGAAGAUUAUUAGACAAAUGAGGACCAUGAUACUACAACUCAGGUGUAGCAUCCAGAUCACACAAACCGGCAGAGAUGGUCUCGUCGAUGAAAGAUCAUUUGACGCACCAGUAAGAAAUGGAAUUUCAUUGAUGUCGAUGGUGUUUUAAUGUAUAGAAAGACCAAAACUAGCAUUAGAGGAAGUAGAUAUGAUAACACUAGGUUUGCUCAAAUAAGGGGAAAAAAAAGAAAAACCACCAAAAGUUGAACUGAUAAGAAGAAAGAUAUAUAUAUUGGGAAAGAAUUGAUCCAGAAGCUAAUGAUUAGCCAAAAGGGGUCCACUUUAAUAACAAGAAACAGGAAUGUUGCAACAUACUUUGAUGACAUUAACCCAGUGAAAUACUAUAUAAAAUGCUAAACUCAAGCACGCAUAAAUUAUUAAAAAGAGUCCUCUUUUUCUUUAUCGACACGUCAUCAAAAAAAAGAUAAUAAUAAUCUUAAACAUUUUGUCCGCCAAAAUGACGUAAUGAGAAUAAUGAAAAUUUAGUUGACAGUAUUCAUCCUACUCUAUUCAAAUAAGCUAUGAGCCUAUGACCCUCGACACUAUGCAGGAAUUGUAUAUGUGCUUAUGUUACUUGUGGCAAUUCUCCUUGAAAACAGGUUGAGACAAUGAAAAUGAUAAAUUGGACAAUGUAUACAACAGAAGGGUCGAGUAUUGAGAUUCUAUCUUUAGACAUGAUGCAUGAGACCACGCUUGCAAGGGCCAAUUAUGCACAUGUGCAAUGUUUGAAAGGGUAGCUCCCUAUAGAUUAGGCACUCCGGAAUUAUAGCCAUCACGACACUAUGCUCGCCGGAAUUCUAUCUUUAGACAUGAUGCAUGAGACCACGCUUGCAAGGGCCAAUUAUGCACAUUUGCAAUGCUUGAAAGGGUAGCUCCCUAUAGAUUAGGCACUCCAGAAUUAUAGCCAUCACAACACUAUGCUCGCCUGUGUGGGACUGAGUGUUGAUUGGGACGUCGCAGGAAAGGCUCAUUUCUAGGGAGGAGAUAUUGACUACCAUGGGACCAUGAGGCACGGUGCAGAUUAGGACUUUACUUUAUGUAAGUCCUCAAAGACAUUGGGUAAAAGUUAGUAAAACUUGACAUUGAACAUCACACAUAGAUUAUGCAUUUAUGAUAGUUGGACAUUCAUGUUAAUACUUCACUUUGUAGAGGCAUGACAGUAAUAGAUCUACUUUUCAUUUCAGCUAUUUCAUUCCUACUCUUUACAUUUCAGUAGUUGAUAUUAUCUAUGCCUCAGUUGACCUAGUAUAGUACAUCCCUCUCGAUGGCGGUAUCCACUGGAAACUAUAUUUUAUAGUUCUCACCACCAUUGGUUGAUAUUUUUUUUCUUUUCAGAGCCUUCUAGCACAGGAGAAGGCCGGGAUCGUGUGUAUGUGAGGUGUGUAUAUGUAUAUAUUUAGAUAGUUACCUUGAGGUGUAUUUGAGAUGUACUUUUGGUGGGUUGAUGUAUGAGGUGAUUAUAUGUAUUUUGGAGCUCUCGUGCCGAUGAGAUCAAGGUUGCAAAUAGCGGAUAACGGGUACAUAGCGUUUGGAGGUCUCAUAGUGAAAAGCGGAUAGCGGGCGCCAUAGCCCAUAGCGGGUUUCAUAAAAACAAACUUAAUAUAUUUAUAUUCCUUAUAAAAAGUACAUAAUUUUGAAGAAAAGACAAUUUUGAAGAAAAGAUGACUAAUCAUUCCUUUUUUUUAGUAUAGCAAGCCUAUAAAUAUUUAAUGUGAUUAUCAAUUAAGAUUAACUUUAAAAUAUUAUGAUUUAGCAAACCAAAAGAGGCAUAAAACUCGAAAAUCUAUAAUCCAUAAACAAUCUAAAAAAUUUGUAAAUGGAUGUCAAAAAGGAUAAUCUUAAGUAAAUAAUUAAAAUCUUAUUCAUCAGAAAGACAUUCUUCUUCUCCUUCACUAGAGGUAUUAUGGUCAUCCACUUGAUAACCCGACUCGAUUAGAUAUUUUAACCCGUUUGCACUUUUUUAAGUUUUGGGCUCAUAUCGUCCGCUUUCCGACUGCUUUAUAGCAGCCGCUUUAGCAGGCCCUAUGCAGCUAAAGCGGCCGCUAUGAACCCGAUCCUCUAAAACCCCUUUAGAGAUUAUGGCGUAGCGAUAGCACAUAAAAUCCACUAUAGCAGCCGCUAUAGCGGGCAUAGCGGCCUGUCACGGACUUAAAUUUUUUGAACGCAAAAGCCCGUGCGGCGUCCGCCUUCCUGCUCGAAGAUGGGCAAGCCUACCCCAAGUCCUAACACGGACAAGUCUCCCAAACUUAACAGCGGAAUAUCAAUCCAAGCAUUUGCCAAGCUUGCUCCUCCGCCAGACUGAUAGCUCAACCAAUCGCCUGCAAUCGAACCCCUCGUCGGACUCCACGAGUUCCCAACGAGCAACCCCAAUACUGAGACUGGCCACCAAGCAAGGUCAUAUUCUCCACCAUUGUGCCUCAUGCGCCUGACAGCAUCCACGGCCAUACCGCCUACGCGCGGCCUGCUCGCUCGGUUCACUAACACACGUCAGAGAAGCCACCCAAGUGUGCGCCACAAGCUCGUCUGUCUUCCAACGCCAGCGACCAGCGCGACAAACCGCACGCCCAUGCUCCGCACAUCCGUGCUUCGCAUGCGACCCGUACGGCACACGUGCCCUCAACGCUCCUCGCAAGGAAGCCAACAAGCCCACACAGUGCUCCUCGACUGUCCCCAUGACCUCGCAUUGCCAUGGCGCUCCAUGCCCUUGAUUACCAUAGUUUCGCCCCAUACAAACGAGCCGGCCUCACUCCGCGUACUGGCCGCCCUCUGUGACUUAACCAGCUGGCGGCGAAAUCGUCGCACACGUCGAACACUGGUUCAAGUCCCUUGACUUAGCCACCUGGCGGCGAACGCAUCGCACCUCACCCAACAAUGGCUCAAGUCAAUCCGGCGGUAAAAUCCACAAACUGGCUUAACCAUCCGGCGGCGAAAUCGUCGCACACGCCACGACAAUGGUUCAAGCCCCGGGCGGUGAUCUCUGUGCACUCACCUCCCAAUCCUCCCUUGGUAUCAACCUCGGCGGCGAAAUCGUCGCACACGCCCUAGCCUUGAUACCAAGGUUAGCAUAGCACAAGUCCUGGGAUUCCGGAAUCCACUUCCACAGGUCGAGGGUCCAUAACCAACCCUAUGCUAUCGACCUAGAACAUCCUAGUGGUUGCUACCACUAUGCCCAACAAUCAAGGUUCAAUGCCACUCAAGGUUUACUACAUGUCAUAACCUAGGUUUCAAUACUCUAGGUUCUAUACCAUUCAUAUCCGACCUAUGUUUAUUAACACUAGGUUCAUUGUCAUUUCUGUUCAACCUAUGUUUACGACACUAGGUUGGAUGCCACUCGCCUAGAUCUAUUUACUCUAGGUUCAAUCACAACCUAUGUUCUUUAACACUAGGUUAGAUGUCACUCGAUCUAUUCGACUCUCUAGUUGUCCAAUGUCGAGUUCUACAUUCACUCUAGGGUUAUCGACCCAUUCACAUGCCUAUUCUCACAAUGCUAACUAUGCAUCCAUACAUUUAUCUGGCAUUUACAUAACAUGCUUAUCAUGCAUUCCAUAUGCACUUCUACAUCAUAUCAUAUGCAUCUACUUGCAUUUUACAUUAUAGUAUUAUACCAUUAACAUGCAUUAACUAUAUGCAUCAUUCACAUGCGUCAUCUAGCACUUAUAUGCGUCAACAUGGAUUCUUAACUCGCUUAGACAUACAGGCGACCUAGUCACUUUGGUAAGCACAACCCACCUUAGCUUGCUGUCCGAUUGCUCGUCGACACUUGCAAUCGGCCUCCCGCGGCACUCGGCACCCGACUUGGCCCGAUCUUGCUGUUGCGCUUCAACCGCGCAUCGCUUUGCGAUUCCGGGUAUUAAAGGUCUUCGCUUUAUCGUUACGGUGCUCGGGACCCAAUCUCGCGAUUUAUGGAUAGCGCCUCGGCCCUCCAGGCGAUAACGAAGCUCCGAACAUCCAUUUCUUCAAUAUUUUCGCACCGGCUCGACGAAUCGUCUAACCGACUUCGCCAACGCAUUCACAGACCUAGCAAUUAGGUUUACAGAGGGUUAAUCGAGAUCAAACCCUACCAGAUAGCAAAAUCCCAUUUUGAGCCCUAGAUGAUCAACAUUGCAAGAAUACCCCAAAUCGAUCCUCGAUUCAUGCACUAAACAUCUAUCUAGCAUCAAUGGGUUCCACCAAAUCCAUUUCUAGAGCCUACAACACUAACUCUAGGGAUUUACCAUAAGGGAGCUUGGAAGCUUACCUCUCCAAGAUGCUCCAAGCACGAGGAAGAAGAAGAUGGAGACGAUCCUCCUCCUCUUUGCCUUAUUCUCCUUCUUUCCCUCAUUCUCCUUCUUCACUUCAAGAGAGAGGUAGAGAAAGCUUCUAGAGAGAGAGAGAGAUGCUAGGGUUGAGAGGGUUGAGGGAGAAAUGAGAAAAAAGAGAGAGAAAGCCCUCUCUUAACCCCUCAUAUGGCCAAAUUGCAUAAAAGCCCCUGAACUUUAUUUCUCUUGCACAGCGCUCACUGGGCGUUUUUCGUUCUCAGGGUCCGGAUUAAGGUCCGGACCUCCGGACCCUGAGGGUCCCAACCCCGAGGGUCCUGAAAAACUGCAAAUUUCAGUUUUCGCCGAUUUUGCUCCGUUUUGGUCCGUUUUCGCUCCGUGGGUCUCCGAUUCACUUCUAAUCGAACCGAGACCCCCAAAACAGGUUUUCGAGCGUAAUUACAUCAUCUUUUUAUCUACGCUAAUGCCGGAUUUAAUCACAGCAUAACAUAGCCUUUCAGGUUCCGUUUUCGCGCCCAGCGCGCACCGAAAUGCCCGUAUGCUCCCAAACUUCACCGAACUUCACCCAGCCCAUUCUGGGCAUUUUCGUGGUACGGGGUCCGGGCCCUCAAGCCAGGGGCCGGACCCCGAGAGUUGGUAAAUUCUGCAAAGUUGCAGAUUGCAACUUCACAAGCCUUUCGCAGCUACGGGGUCCGGACCCUACAGCUAGGGUCCGGACCCCGAGAGUGGAAAACAUGCAGAAACGCAGAAUUGCAAACUCCAACUCUCUAAGGUCCUCCCUCAAUGCACUUUUCGCAUUUUCAUCGCAUUCGGACUCUCCGAAGCAUACCAAGUCGACAACAAGUCAAUUCUAAACGAAGUCCAACUCUCGGAUUUCGAGAAUUCACUUCCUUACACCAUAGCUUCGUCAACUCAAUGACUAACAAAUGUGGCCCCCAAGAGCGUCACGGUCGAGCCCCAACGAUUGACCCGUGACAUCGGCCGCUAUUUAAAACACGAUGAGAUAUGUAGUUGGAUGUAUUAGUCAUUGAGGAUUUGGAUUCCUUGUAUAUGUUUUAGUUGUAUGGUUUAUGUUUAAACUAGUUUUGUUAAUGUUCACUUGCGCUGAUCAUUAUGUGUAGGAUUUAUUUAUCUUCUUGGUGGAUGUUGUGAUUGUAGACGCCUUGUGUGUGCUGGGGUGGGGUGUCCUUGUGCACACGGCGAGUCUGUGACGUACCCAGGUAGGCUUCCGCUAGGGCCCGAGGCAUGACAAGUGUUGCAUACACCUAUAUAUGCAUCAUUCUGCUCAUAGCUUAAUAUUGCACGAUGAGUACAUACGUAAUCUAUUAUACUCAAAGACUUCGAGUAUAUAUAUAUAUAGUAUCCAGCUAGAAUGGUCCUAUCAACUUGUUUUCGAUGAUCAAGAAUCUGAAUCAAUGAUCGGCACCAUUGAACUUCAUCUAUCUGGAAGUCAAAUUUGGUGAUUUUUGAACAAUUUACCUAGUGAUUGAAAGGUCACAAAAUGAACAAUCAAGAGAAACUUGUAAAAAUAGAGGUUCAAAUUUCUCAAUUGAUGAUGGGGGUUGUUGAACAUGAUUUAGAUAGUGAAAGAAAGUUCCUCUCAUAUUCAACUGAUUUAGAUUGCUCUAUAUCAAUAAAUAAGCAAACAGCACAUAUAGGUCAUCAAAAAUUGAGGAUUUUAUAGCUAUUUGAUCACUAGGAACAUGAUUUUAAAAAUUAAUUAAAUUCGGUUCAUAGGUACUUCAAAUACUUCAACAAUGCUAAUCAUUGAUUCAAAUUCCUGAUCAUCCAAAAUGACUUGAUGGUAUAAGCAACUAUUUUAUUAAUAGGAUUGUAGCUAGAUUCCAUAUAUAUACAUAUAUAUAGGCUAGAGCUACUAUACUCUUAUGAAUAUAAAGCCCUUUGUACUCAUAAGUUUUCGGAAAUUGGAUGAAGAGAUGUGCUGUUAAGAUGAUAAUAGUCUCCGGUUAGGAUGAUAGUGGUCUCCUAGGGUUGAAUGGGUGAUUGAUUGAAUAGUAUGAUCUAACGGAUGAAAAUGGUCAAAAAGGUAGAUCUAAAGGCCAAAAACUUAUGAGUACAAAUGGACCUAUACUCAUAAGAGUAUAGUCGCCGGACUACAUAUAUAUAUAUAUAUAUAUAGUUGAGCUGGAAUGUUAUUAGUAGCAAACGAGCUCUCUUACCACCUAUCUGUUUUCGAUGAUGGAGCCUCCAAAUCAAUUAUCGGCACCGUUGAACAUGAUCUAUACCAUUUGAAGCAUCUAAACCAAAUUUUCAUGAUAUUGUUCUCUUGUCCAUCAAGUGAACACAAAAAUGAACUGCUGAAAAUGAAUAUUCUUUAAAAAGUGAUGAUAGGAGUUUUGUAAUCAAGAUCAAGAGUAUAGAUCUUGUUUUAAAUAAUUUAAAGAACUUUCUAACCAAACUUCAAUUAAUUUGAAUAUCUUUACACCGUUAAAUGAAAAAAUGUCUGAUAUUGACCAUUAAAAUUACAAAGUUUGAUACCCUCUGAUCAUUAGGCCAAUGAUGUCAGAAAGAUUUAAAACUCAGUUUCUAGAUAUUUCAAGUGGUAUAGAUCAUGUUCAACAGUGUCGAUUUGGAAGCUGCAUCAUCGAAACAAAUCGGUAGCAACAGAGUCCGUUGGCUACUGAUAGCAUUCCAGUUCAACUCUCUCUCUCUUUAUAUAUAAAGAAAGAGAAAGAGAGAGAGAGAGAGUUAAGCUAUGAUACUAUUGAUGGUAGAUGAAUAGUAUUUACUAACAACUUUUUAGCACUUGGGUCCAUUGUAGUAUUCCUGGUUUUUGGGUUGCUUGUGGAUCUCAGCAUCUGAGGCUUGGCGACACAUCUGGAGAGUGUCGGGACAAGUCGGAGUCGUUUUGGAGCGAAAUGGACUCAAAACGGACUCAGUGCGACGCGAGAGCAGAGCUUGAUAUUAAAAUCUGCAAAGUGCAUGUUUCAGUAUCGAGUACGGGUACCAUGCAGGGGAGUACCGGUACCCCAGUGUAUUUUUCGAACUGCUCCUCUCGAGUUGCGAUAAUUGAUGCGGAGUACCGGUACGGCAUCAGGCUGGUACCGGUACUCCAACUGGGAUGUUGAGUUGGUGAGGGGUAGAAUGGUCUUUUUGGUUGGUGGAUAUGUACGCCACCUACUCCCUAUUUAUGUUUAUCAACUCAACUUGGUCAGCUGAGCUUGGAUAAUUAUCCUUUUCCUCUCUCUCUCUAGUUUUGAUUGUGUGCUUGGUGGAGGCCACGGCUUAAGCUCGGAACGACGUCGACGUUGCGCCGGGGAGCCGUUCGAGACCGUGGACGUCGCGGUUGCGCCGUUGGAGGCAGGGCGAGCGCGUGUUUUCCCUUCUCUUGACUUCUCGCCGUAGUUGGAUUAGUUUUUCGAGGUGGGUUGAAGUUUACCGAAAUCGCCGGAACAUCUCCUAAGUUUUUAUAUCGUCUACAUGUAUCAUCUGUUUAAUUUUUGCUAGUACUCGAAUUCAUGGAUUAGGCUUAAAAUCUGAAUUUGGAGUUAAGUAGUAGUAGUAUAAUUUUACAUGUUGGACUUGGAAUUGACUUAGGAGAAAACUGUAGAUCCUACACUGUCAGUUUCUGAAAACUACCAGAUUUAGCUUUAGGAGCUGUAGUUUGUUUGUAUUGCCGCAGUUUGUAUGCGGUAGAUACCCAAAUUAGUGUAGGAUGGGUUUACGCUCGUGCUGGAUUGCCGAGUUUAUUUUACAGUAGUGUGUAGACUGUUUCGGAUUGUCGGGUGCCAUCGCGGUUGACGGUGGACCCAGAUUUUUGUAUUUGCAUCAGAUUGUGUCAAGGGCACGUGAGCUUUGGUUGUUAGACCCAUUUGCUUUAAUUAUAACCUGUGAGAGCCUGAUUAAGCUCAACAGAAACACGCUUGCAUACUCGGUUGGGUAGCGCCCACAAGUGCCACUCCGGAGUCGGGCUUUGUGCUUUUGCAUUGUUGUCGCAGCAGUCCUGUUUGGACGGUGCUUUAGGACCGGCCACCUCAAUGGUGGUAUGCGGUAUAGCUCGGACGCAGGCAGGACGGGCCUGUUGGCAGUCCCUUGACAGUAUAGUCGUUGUUGCAGGGGAUAUAUAUCUACAGAUAGCUAGAGAUGAUUAGUGAUAGUAUAGGGGCAUAUAGCUGUAGGGUUUCCAGUUUUCCUUACUAUCUCUUGCAUACCAUUCUGCAGACUUAGUGGGUGACCCGUUGAGAUCGGUAGCGGUACCCACUAAGAACUACUUUUUGCAGUAAUUCUCACACCUAGUUGUUGGCCCCUUUUUGCAGAGCCUUCUUCUGCGGCUGCUACUGUCGCUGUCGCUGAUACUGAUCGUGGAAAAGGAGUGGCAAGCUAGAUCCAUUCCCUGGUUGCAGUUUUAGAGUACCAUCUAUAGGCAGUUUUGGGUUUAGGUUCAUGUACAUACUUAUGCUGGUACUCGCUAGAGCAAGUGAUGUCUGUAUUUUGGAGACUAUGUAUAGUGAACCUGAUGUUUAUUUAUUUAUGUUUACAGUUCUGUUAGCAGCUCUAUACUCGUAGUUAUAGUUUUGUAUGAUUACAGGUACUGUUACAGCUAUUGCUUCGUAUACAGAGGGAAUUCUUUUGUAUACAGCAGGUCUGUUGGCGUGCCUGGGGAAACGCGGUAAUCCGGGGCGUGACAUCCAUAAUAGUACCACCACCUGACCACCAAAUAAUAAACCCUAAUGCAUCCAAAAGAUAAAAAGUAUAUAGGCAACACUAUUCAUCUAUUAUCAAUAGCAUGCUACUGAAUAGCAUUCUACUCUCCCUCUCUCCCUCUCUCUUUCUCUCUCUAGCACUACCAAAUAGUAAACCCUACGCAUUCAAGGGAUAGAAAGUAGAUAGUUGUUAGAUAUGCCUCGAAGUUGGUAAUCGACUUCAGUUUUGGGACUCCGACUCAUCCACAGUUUCGCGGUGCGACUCAUUUUGGAAAAUAAAAUGUGAAGAAAAAAUGAAUGUAUGUGGUGGGUAGCUAUCAGCCCGAGCUCAUUUAGAGUGAAGUUCUACGGAUCAGAUCCGAAACCCAUUAAGAGUUUUCCUUUAUCGUUUUGCCCUAAAGGCGACAAAUGAUGCAUUGUAGUUUGAACUUUGUAUUCCUUUUUUGGAUAGUGAAGUUCUUUCCUCCCUCGCCCGUGGUUUUUCUUCCUGCAAAGGGUUUUCCACGUAAAUCUGUGUUCUUCUAUUUUCUACUUGUGAUUUGUCUAUUUUCGUGUUCGCUAUUUUCAUUUUCGUUUGUGCAUUUGUCGUAACAAACUGGUAUCAGAGCCCUAGGUUCAUCGAUUAGGGUUCUCUUCAUCAAUGGCAUCCAUGAAAUAUGACCUCCCUUUACUUAACCACAGUACACGGUUUACGUUAUGGCAAGUGAAGAUGCGCGCAAUCCUGGCUCAGAUGGGCCUAAAAUAUGUGUUGCUCAGGAUGGAAAAGAUGGUUGUGUCCCUCAGUAUGGCGAAAAAGGAGAGGAUGAACUGGAAGGUCCUUACACAGAUUCAACUACACAUUUCGAAUGAGAUCUUACAACACGUCAUUAAGGACAAAAACGUUGCGAACUUAUGGCUAAAACUGGAGUCGUUAUGCAUGAUUCUCAACCUCAUUAAUGUAACGUCUAAAACAAUCCAAUGCUUCAGACCUAUGGGAGAUCAGAUAGACAUGACCAAAGCGCGUAUUGUCAUUUAUAAAUGUGAUAAAGUAAAAAAAGCACCAUGUCUUGCCCUCACACUUAUUGGAUCAAUUGUAAAGAAAAUUCUUCCCUAGAAGCUUUAUCAAAUGGUUUUCGAGUCGUUUUUCCCGCUAAAUAAUGUUCACAAGUGAGCAGGUCGACUUUAGUGAGCGAGCUCAACAGCCCGUCUCUAACUAAUCUAGUCAUUCUAUCAUGCCCAAUAUGACCAAGAUAAGCGUGCCAUUUAAUAGAAACGUUGUGAUCAUUCUCAACAAAAGAUAACAAAAAAAACGAACCAGUAUUCUUAUUAUUAUAAUCAAUGUCCAAAAUUAUAAAAGCAUAUGAAAUAAAACCUCUUCCAUAAUAAAUUGUUUCAAGAUGAGUCUCAAAUAUAUCAUUCUCAAAACUAAAAAAAAAGCCUAACUAAAGUAUAGCAAGAAUAGAAAACAAGUUCCAUCGAAUUCCUAGAGCAUAAAGUAUAUCAUGAAGGUACAAAGUGCGACCACCUCGCAUGAUCAACUUAUAUGUGCCAACGCCUAAUACAUCGACACUCGAAUCGUUCCCCAUAUGUACUCUUCUGCUCCCAGUAGGCAUACGACGAUACUCGACGAAUCCCAUCCGAUCCCUCGCUACGUGGUCUGUUGCUCCUCAGUCUACAAUCCACACAGGAAGAGAUUCAGCAACAAACAUGCUAGAAAAACGAGAAAGCGAGAAUCAGGAUAAAGGGGUACUUUCUUCGGCUCAGUGCAAUCACGAACGAAGUGUCCCAAUUGGUUACAAUUGAAACAGAUCAUCUUUGACUUGCCUUUCUUGCCAGCUCGUUUGCUUCUCUUUUUUUUUGGGUAUUCUUCGCAUUCUUAGGUGCAGAUCCGCUAUGGCUUUGAGGACCAGUAGUCCUCUUUCGCUUGAACCCGAAUGUUCUGCGAAAGUUUGACUGAACAACAUUGGCAGUUGGAGUUUUAACAGCCUCAAGGCGCUCCUCCAACUCCAGAUGUCGUGCUACGUCCUCCAAAGUUUUAACACUUUCAUUAUGUGUCAAAUUUACUCGCAUAUGUUCCCACGAAUUGGGAAGUGAGUGAAUCAUAGUUUGGAUCUGCUGCUCAUCAGUCAAGGUGCCGCCAACCGACUUUAACUCGCGAAUUAUGUUUGACAUUAUUGUCACGUGCUGUUUCAUGGUUUGAUCGGCACGCUUUUUAUAACUAUCAAAUCGCAUAGUCAGAUUGUGCAACCUUGUAGCCGAAGUCGCACCAAAUUUAGUUUCGAGAGCCUCCCACAAGUCAUGCGCAGUCAGGUACUGCUCAUAUUCGCACAAGAGAACAUUCUGCAUACCGCUCAACAACGUGAUGCGAGCAAUACGAUCCUUUUUACGCCAAUUAGUAUAGGCUUCCAUAUCUCGGCGAGCCUGGGCACAGUUGCCCUCUGCGGGUUGGUCCAUUUUAUUACUCAAGUUUUCUAGAUCUUAUUACUCAGCGAAAACAUAUUGAAUUUUACGGUGCCAAAUAUCAUAAUUGUCACCGUCCAAUUUCUCACCUUUGAUCAAAUCCGCAACUUGUUUGGAGGCAAUUUAAUCUCACUAAGUUCACACAAUGUGCAGAAAAAGAUAUUUUAAAAAUUAGCACAUGAUACAUAUAUUCAAUUUUGUCGCAUCUCCAGUUAAAUAAACUAAAAAUUAGAUCACAAUUGCGUAAAUAAUUUCGCUAUGCUCAUAAUCACAUCACACACUCUAUGUCAAAUUUUUAAUUAUUUAAUUAAGAUGCACAAAAUAUUUGGGAGUAAAAUAUAUAAUUUACUCUACCAAAAUAAAAACUCCCACUUGAAUUGGCAUGCACAAAAAUAUAUAUUAUACCAUAAAAUUUCAUCCAUAUAUCAUAAGGGCAUAAAAAAUAUAUUAUAAUAUUUUAAAUGCAUGCUCAUAUGUCACAAAAGCACAUUAAAGCAUUUUAAUAAAUGGAUGCAACAUAUAUCAUCUAGGCAUAUUAAACAUCAUUAUAUACUUGAAAGGAAUUUAAAUAAAAAAUUAUGUAUUUACCCUUUAAAAAAAAAUACAGUGCAAAAAAAUAGCCCAAAGUGCAGCCUUUCUGCAGCCCAUGCAACCUGCGGACCUGUGCAGCUUGCAGGCCCGUGUGGGCUGCAGGCCCGUGCAACCUGCAGACCGGCAUAUAUAUAUAUAUAUAUAUAUAUAUAUAUAUAUAGAACUAGGCUACUAUGCUAUCGGUAGCACGGAGGGCUCCAUACUACAAAGUUGUUUUCGAUGAUACGGCUUCCAAAUCGACGAUCGGCUCCUUUUAGGACUUGAUCUUACACUGAUUAACAAGUAUUUUAGAAGCUGAAAUGCAUAAUUUUUUAUAUCAUUUACCUAUUCAAGCAAGUAGUUCUAUAAGAUUGAACUGGCUGAACAAUAAAAUCUCAUUUAUAAAAAAAUUGAAUAUAAAAUAUUUUUAAAUUCAAAGAUCAAUAUAGCUGAUCUUAUUCUAAAUACGUGAAGGAAAUUUUCUAUAAAAUUCUUAUCGCAUUGGAUUGUUUAGAUCUCAUUUUUUUAAAACUCACAAAACAUACCACAUCGGCCUAAAAAUUGUCAAUUUUGAGCUCUUUUUGAUCACUAGUUCAAAUUGACUUUCGAAAAAAAUUUGAAUUAGUUUUCACAUAUUUUCGAGAUAGUUCUUGUACGAGAUCAUUCUAACGGAGCCGAUCGUCCGAAUUUGGAGAAGCCGCUAUCAUCGAAAACAACUGGUAGCAUGGAGCCUCCAUGCUGCGAUAGCAUAGAUAGCCGACUAUAUAUAUAUUAUAUAUAUAUAUAUAUAUAUAUAUAUAUAUAUAUAUAGUAGGGCUACUAUACUCUUAUGAGUAUUGGGCCCUUCGUACUCAUAAGUUGUUUUCAAUGAUGGGGCUUCCUUUUCGACGAUCCACUCCGUUAAAUAUGAUCUAGAGUAUCUGAAACUUUUAAAAAAUAAAUUUCAUAAUUUUUCGAAAUCAUAAUAAAGGCCAUCAAACGGGCAUAAAAUGAACAGUGAAAGUCGAACGACGUCCUAAAAAUGGAUAAUUGGAUCCUUCAAUUUAAGAUCGGAGUUAUUGAUCUUUAUCUAGGUAGUGCAUAGAAUUUUCUAUAAAAAAUUCAACCUAUAUCAAUUCUUUUAAACUAGCAAGUAUCUCAUACCGGCCGUUAAAAAUUGUCAAUUUUGUAAGCUUUUGAUCGUAAGGUAAAUGAUGUCGAAAAAUUAUGAAAUUUGAUUUCUAAAAGCUUUAAAUGAUCUAGAUAAUAUUUAACGGUAUGGAUCGUCGAUUCGGAAGCUCUAUCGUCGAAAACAACUUAUGAGUACGAGGGCGAUCAUACUCAUAAUAGUAUAGUAGCCGGACUCUAUAUAUAUAUAUAUAUAUAUAUAUAUAUAUAUAUAUAUAUAUAUAUAUAUAAACAACCUAAGUGGGCCUGCAUGCAUACGCACCCACGCAGCUCCAGGCCACGUGGGGUUCCUCCCCACAGGAGAAACACCUAUUUCUUUUUUUUUUAAAAAAGAUGAAUAAAUUUCAAAAAACGAUAUAACUUAAAAAAUAAAGUAUUAAAUCUUGCAAGAAAUAUAUUAAUGGAAAACUUGUGAAAAGCUCUACCAAAUCAUGCAAGUUUCACAAUGGGAUAUACAUUACACAUCAAACAAGUCACCCACAAAGUUUCGAUUUAAGAUUUCGUUUUUUUCAUAAAAUACAAAACUAAAUUAAAUCAAACUUUGUAGAUUUAAUCUACAACAUAAGUGUUGUAAGAUGUGUAAAAAUCAUGCAAUAAUAUCUAUCCCAGAAAAAUCCGCCAUUAACACCCACAAGCAUGCAAAAAGAAAAUCCAAACGAUGAUAGAUUUAAUUCUACGCAUACAAUCUCGUUAAAGAAUUAAUCUACGGCACGAAAUCAACCUAAUAAGGCUCUGAUACCAAUGUAAAACGCAGCGGAAGUAUUCAUUCGUACCUUUUGCGGAAGCGACUCGCGCUAGAACGCGAUGAGCCAGGUCGUAGAGGUUGAUUCACAUGUCCUCAGAUCGUCCACGAAGGUCUUCAAACGCUCCAAACCCAUGGUAGAUCAAACUACGAACAAGCACAAUCUCUAAUCCACCAUUCAAGACCCUCUAGAACAAUAGGUUAAUAGAGGAUGUGGCUUCUUUCUCACACAAGACGGCUCACGAAUUACUCAUGAAUUUAUGAGUAUUUUUCUGUAUUUUUCUCGUUGUUUUUAUGAGAGAACAACCUGUAUAUAUAUAAGGGAUCCCAAAACCCUAAUAUAUAAGUAAGAGAUUAGGCCGAAUCCGUUUAUAAUUUUUAUCCUAAUAUGGUUAGAAUAUAUCUCUAAUUAGCUUUCCACUUUAAAAGCGAGAUUAAUUCUAGUCCAAUUAGACAACAUAAUAAUCAUCGGAUCGAGCCCGAACAUGGGCGCACCCGAUUUGGUUUAACCGAAUGCCAACACUUAUGUUAUCGGAUCUUAAACUCAUUUAAAAAAGAAUGUUCAAAGCAUUGGCACAUGGCAACCGCUUUUUUACCGCUUUAUGGCGGCCCCCGUGGCAAGCAAAGCCCGCAAUAUUAGCCUACUUUGUUCCAAAACACCAUGAAUUCCCACUAUCUAAAAGCGUGGUGAUGACUAUGUAAAUCCACCAUGCGGCGACCACGACCACUAUUUAAAACAUUGCUUACAUUAGAUUUCUCACAUUCUAUAGUAAUCGCUAUAUUUUAUUCAAACUCAUGUGAAACGCAUAUGCAAUAUGCCGUAUGCAUAUGCGAUGGGUCAGUCACCUGACAGCCAUUAUUCCAAAAAACGGCCUAUGCAGUCGCAUAUGUUGCUCAGAACCGCAACAGAUAUGUAAUAUACGGUGCAGCACGUAGUCGGACCGCAUAUGCAGCCUAUAUGUCACAUAUACGGCAGUUUCCUUUUUUUAUGUGGGAUUGAAAUGCAAUGGUGAAUAGGAUUAUUUGAUUAAUGAUUAUACAUAUACAUAUGACUAUUUUCAUACAAGUUUAGUUAAUAAUAAUGCACAUAAUUGCAAUUAUCUUUAUACAUAAUCUAACUCUCUUCCUAUUUUAGUAGGUAUUAUUCAUAAUAUACCUUGUAAUUAUACUCAUAAAUAUUGGUGAUAAUUUUGUAGCUAUUAGAUGUUGUUAUUCUAGCUUUUUUUUUAUUCUUUUAAGUGGAUGAUGUGAAUGACAGUUUAUUAAUAUCAUUACUAUUCAUAAAGGUUUAGCAUGCUGCUUUUUAGAACAUUAAUUUUUGCAAAACAUUUUUUAUGAUUUUGCAUCGCAAUCCAACUUAUUUUUUAUUUAAUAAUUAAGAAUAAAUUGCUAAUUAUUAGUUUAGACUUUAGAGACACAGGUGUGCAUAUAAGGUCCAUUACUUGAAAUUAAUUAUUUCAAUUUGUGAAUUCUAAAUUCUUACUUUAGUUAUUUAGCUUCGUUAGGAAGCAUUUGUUUAUAUAUUUUUAUACCUAUAAAUACUUUUUAAUAUUGUAAUAGUUAGACCGCAUAUGUGCCUGUUGCAUACCGCAUACGCGCCAUGCUGUGGGUAACCGCAUGGGUACCGCAUACCGCCUUUUAGAACAUUCCUGAAAUCCACAUUCCUCUUUUUAGAACCUAACUAAUGAGAUAUUUCUUGGCCAUAAUAUUCAUUACCAAGCCCAUCUAAAUAAUAUGUGAAUACAAGUUGUAAUUUAUGGGAAUAUGACUAGUUCACGAGAUUAUAUUGCCAAAUAUGUACUUCCUAUUUUGAAUUUAGACAUAAUGCUUAUAAAGCAUUAUGUCAUCAAUUGAAGUAGCGAAAGAAUAAAGGUUGUAAAGAAGCCCAAAGUAUCCAAGAAUGCCCUGCAAACAGGUUUACUGAAUCACAUAAAUAUAAUAUUUACCAUGUUAGAGCCUUGGAGCCCACUUUAAUGCAUGAAUAUCUUCCCCGGCACUAAUAUUAUUGUUUACUCAAAUUGAUUAUUGGUUGACGACAAGCUUGAAAAGAUGUCAACUAGUAAGGACAGUGAACCCCAUAGUUUAUCUAUUUAAAUGACCUUGUUAAUUAAAUCUACUGUCCUAGAAAAGCGAAACUAUUAGGAUGCCAAAAUAGCCAAAUGUCAACUUUCUAUCUUAUCAAAUGAAUGGAAACUUACAUCUAAUACAAUUUAUCACCAAAAAACAUGUUCCAACAUCCGAACAAACCCAUAAUAUAACUUUGUCUCAUAAGUGAAACCGCCAAUUACAUGCAACAACAGGAUAAAGAAAAAUAAUAUCCCACGAUUUAUUCUUUUUUCCUUGAAAUAAUAAGAUUGACCUGAGACUCAUACCUAUCCCCAUAAAUCAUUUUAACUUGGCCAGCAAUUUUUGUACAAUGAUAAUGCAACAGUUGCCCAAGGAGGUAAAAUAAUCUCCAAGGAAACCAACAUAUAUAAUACAAAUUUGCAUAUGAAAGCCUAGACUAUACUAGAGUGAAUUCCAAGAGUCCUAAGAUGUAGUCAUAAAAGCUCUGAAAUCAAUAAGGCCACAGUUGGUUACACUUUUGUUCUUUUUUGUUUAACUCAAAUUUUUUAUGCAAUUGAAUGCAUCGACUGAUGGGCUUAUUUAUUUAUGUUAUUGUUGGUUGCUCACAAUAAACUUACCCUAAGCGAAAAAACAAACAAACAAACAAACAAACAAACAAGUGAAAAAUGUACUACCAGAUUUUUGUUUUUCAUUGCCAACAAACACCAUAGAUGUAUUAAUUGCAAAUAACCCACCAUCCAGUGGGGCAUUAAAUUGCACAAAACCUGCCUUUAAAGAAAAAGAAAAAAAUAUAAGCAUAACUAAAGUUCCUCUAUAUGGUUGGAUGUGUUCUACAGAAGCUAGUAAAAUUAAGCUCCCAUAUCUCUCAAAGAAGAAAAUGUAUAAUUUGUUUUACCUGCGGGCCUUUUCAAUGUUGUAGGUCGCACUCAAUGAUUUGCAUUUCAAUUUUAUCCUUAAUGGUUCAAUUUUUUGUUUUACCUGCAGGCCUUUUCGAUGUUGUAGGUCGCACUCAAUGAUUUGCAUUUCAAUUUUAUCCUUAAUGGUUCAAUUUCACACUUAGGAAUAGCACCCAUUUUUGGUACAUAGAUAAGUUAUAAUGGUAGGUUGACAUUAACAAUUGCUUUCCAUUCCUUCUGCGCAAUGAGUAUCUCACCCAUCUUUCAAGUGCUCUCCUUACAACUCAAAAGCAGCACCUUAUGCAGAGUCUUCUUAUAAGCAUGUGGUUCUUUUAUUCAAUUCAAACACACACUUCCAUUUCAACCCUAAUAGCUGGAAUAGUAUGCUGUUACCUUUUGUCUUAGAAACCCAAAACGUGUGUAACUCACACAUGCAUAUAUAUUUGCAAAUAUGGAAGCAUUGUUGUGAUGUGAGCACAGAAAGAAUGCACAGAUGAAAAAAACUACUAUGUUAAGUGCUUCCGAUGUAACUACUAGGGAUGAAUGGAUUGGAUAUCAUCCUAUCUGACGUGACUCCACAUCCGAAAAUUAUCGCAUAUGGAUUGGAAUUUACUAUCCAACUCGCAUACUGACCAAGAUGGUUCCAUUCUAGCAUACUUACCAAGAGGGUUCCAUUCUAGCAAGUGAGCUAAGAUGAGUUCAUUUUAUUUUGAGUUAGGGUUCGGAAAUAACCAUAGGAAAAUGGAAUUUUGAAAAACCCUAAGUGAAUCUAUGCUAGUGUUUUGGGGGAUUUACCCUCUUCAUGAGGUUUUGCUGCGAAUAAUAAAAACGUAAGUCAAAAUUGGAGAUUUUGUACCUAGGGGGUUUCAAAUUGAAUAAAUCCCUAGAAACUUUAAUUGAAAGGUACAUUGAUGCGGGAGACAGCAAAAAUCUACUUCACAACAAGGUUGUGAAACCCAAUUGCAAGACUUGGGCCAAUUUUGAAGGUUUUAUGUCAAAUUGGCCUGGAAGUUAGGCGAAUCGUCGACCACCAUUCAAUUACUUGGUUUUUCUAGCAAUUAGCGACGUGGGUGAUGCCUUCCGAAGUGAUUGGAUUUCUCUCUCUGUCUACUUUCUCCAUUUAGGCUCAUGUAUUACUAAUUCUUCAUUCUUACUUGACAUGCAUGGGUUCUUGCGAUUACUCUUCCUUAUUUUGGGAGGUUAUUGUCACAUGCAUAAGUAGAGAAUGCCAUCUAACUCACUUGGAAACCUUUGAGCUUGUAUGUGACUAGUAGAAACUAGUUUCGCAUUGACAGAGAAUUCAUUAUGGGACACUAGAUAUCAAUGAAGUUGUCAUAUAUGGAUAUGGUGAUCAUACAUGAAUAUGAACGUCGAGUGUAGCUAGAAAACAGUGCCAAUGCAUAUUGAAGUAAUGUGUAUGUUAGUAUGCGAUAUAUUAUCAUAGUCGUAUUUCUUUCGAGGUAAGCACGCUAGGGAUUGGUAGAUCCCAAGUACUUUCACCAUAGGAUAGUGGUGGGUUCUCUCAUAUAAGAUAACAUAAUCAUGCUCACCAAGUCUGUCAAAACUUGUGGAGGUCACAACUCCACAAGUUGUGUCCUCCAGAGGUGUCGCGAUUAAAAGGGUGGCAGAGCGCGGUAGCGACUUCCCAACAGACAAACCGAGGUGGGUGUCAGGGCGCUGUAGCGACUCCCAAUGAGGCUUAGAGGACACGAGUAGGGCUCAACCUUAUGGUUGACCAUUAUGAUUAGGUCAAGAAACAGAGAGACAAGUUGAACAUAUUGGGUCCUUUACUUCGUAAUUUCUUAAAGUCACAGUACUAGUUCUUAUUAUUCUUGUUCAUAGAUACCUGCAAGUAUUCACUACUUUAUUAUCCAUUUACUACUAAUUACUUGUUAGACCAAGUGGGAAAGUAGCCAAAGUUGGCGGCCGAACCCAUUGGAAACUUUCUUAUAGUUCUCACCCCCUAUUUUACAAAUCCAACCAUGACCGGAGUGGCGCAAUCAUGCAGGACCGAGGCAAGGGCAUUGCUCCAUAGGUAGCAAGGUCACCAUUCGCUAGAAGAAUCAUGCGAGUAAAACCAAGUAGUUGUACUUUUGGGAAGCAAUGUAUAGUUAGUACAUUUUGGAAGUGGGAACAAAUGUAAUCGAUUAGUGUAUGUAUAUGGGAAAAGAAUCAUCUAAUAUAUUCAUGCUUAUAGUAUGUAAAAGUUGAAUGGUUCAAAUUUGUAAAUAGUUAGCUUUACUUAGUUGCUCUUGUGAUGCCCACCGUAUGCAAUUCAUGUAUGUAUUGUUCCUAUAUGGAAUGCAAUGUACAAGUUUUGUGUACGCUUCAUGCGGACUAGGGAAACUCCGCCCAUUCGGCGAGUCUGUGCGCGUGGCAGGAAGGCUGCCGUUGUGGACCCGAGGCUUGACAGCAAUUCUCUUCGACUCUACAUAUAUGAGGACAUCGACACACAUUUUUGUCCGCGCAUCAACACGAAUCACAUCGCUCUCAAUCUUCUCAUGUUGUUUCAUUGUGUAUUUUGCUUGUUCUCACUUGCUACAGAAAAUAAGGUAAAAUACAAAGUGCGUUGUGUAAUAUCUCAUCAAAUAACAUCACAGCAAUACUGCACAGAGGUAUAGGAGUCAGCAACUUCCAGAUGCUAAGCCUCUUCCUUGACAGAUUUACAUUCCAUAUGGAAUAUUUUUUUUUGCACAGUCGGUUUCCUUCUGUUUCAAAGAUAUGGAAAGAGAAAUACGUAAUCAUACUUCUAUGACUUGAUUCAUGUCGUAUAUGUCAGCCCAUUGAACAGAUAUAAUCAGCAAUCAACAAAUUAGUACGAUCAAUUAUAAGCUAGCAUGCAUUGACUUUGCAUAGAAAUGUUUAGCAAGAAAACAGCAAGUAAACAAUCAGGAAGAACAAACCACAAGCUAUCUAAAGGCGUACUCUUGGGAAAAAGUGCCAUUGUGUUUAACAUCUCAGCACGUGCCUUCUCUGCCUCUUCCUUUAUUUUUAAAAUAAGAUCCUCGUGCUCAGAAAUGGUAAUUUCCUUUCCUUCUCGCUGAGAAAGCAUCAAACUGGCAACAUCAUUCUUUACCUUUUCCUUAAGAUCCUUUACCUACAGAAAAGUUGAUUAAAGACUCUUUGAUUAACCAGCUCAAUAAGAAGCAAGUGAACUACACAAACUACUAACAUGAGGUAGGAACCUUUCUUUUGGCAGCAAGAACUUUUCCCUUGGCCACCUUCCUUUCUUCUACAAAUUUUGCAUUUUCUUUAUCUAUCCAGCUUCUUAGUUUCCUGGAAAAAAAUGAACUGUGGUAUACCAUACAAUUUAAUAGGAUGACAAAGCAAAUUACAAGAGAAACAAUGAUACCACUCACUCAGUAUUAAGGGUCUCAUCACAUAGGAAAUUUAGAACAUUAAGUUUUCCGGACACAUCCAAGUUAUCAUAUCCGACCAACCCAUUAUUUAAGAAUUCCAGAGAAAGUUUGCUCAAGCAACAUUGUGACUCACUGAUACAUUUGCCAAGUGUUUUGAGCCAUGCAUCACCACUUCUUGCAGAGCUUGAGAGAGGCCUAACAACAUAACAAAUAACUCUGACGGUGAUUAUAGCUGAACUAAGUAGCAGAGCAUUUCUAGAAAAUUGUAAUAUGGUAUAGUGUCAUACUUUUUCCCCCUGUCCUUCAAAAUAAUAGAUAAUAAAUUAGUAUGGAACUGCACAACCGCUGGAAACACACACUGCCGCUGAGCAAAUCCUCUCGUUAUUUCUUGAAGGAUAGAUUCAGGCAAACCUUUCCUUAUAUUAAGAACCUAAAAAAAUAUGCAUACUUGAUCAAAAACAGAAGCAACAAACUGAAUUUUCCAAGGAGAAGUGGCAAUGCAGAUAGAAAGAUUAUUCUGUGAGCGAACAAAAAUUUUGAGUUCCAUGAAUGGAACAAAGAUAUAUGUUGAGAGUAAACAACUAGCUUUAUCCAGAGAGGACUGAAACUUCUACGCUCAUAAUUAUCAGUAGAAAAUAUUUGCUAAACUCUAAGGUCAUUCAAGCAGAAGAAACUUCAUGACCCAGCCAGAUUAACUCAAGGAGACUAACAAUCGUAUCAAUAUAGACUUGCAGUAGACAAAUCAUUUUUCGUGUUAUACACAAGUGGCUGAUUUAUGUAACCUUGUCCUCAGAGAAAAUUAGCAAUGAACAUUUACCUUUGAAAAUGUUGUACAAAAUUCCAUGAACUGCAGUGCCGGUCCAACAUCUUCAAGUGGCAACUCAACACCUGCAACCUCUGCUAAGGGAUUGCCCUGAGGUAGCACAAUGGCUUCUUUCAUUGGCGAAGUUUUAGUUUCAGCAUUAAUAAUAUCGUUGACGAGAUUAUUUGUCACCCCAAGAAUGUCACACUUAUCCCAAGUGCUAUCGAAGUCUUUUUGUGCCAUGGGAACUUUCACAUUUGCACAAUCCCUGGCAACUUGUAGUUGACUCUUGCCUGCCAACCUCCUCUUCUUCUUACUGGGACCCACUGGCACUUCAUUAAGAUCUAUUUCUAGCAUAUUUACCUCCUCUUCUUUCACAUGGCAUUUUUCGCAAUCAAUAAUAGAACGCUUGCGCCUACUUUCCAUCUUUAGCUUUUUCACAAGCUUCGUUUUCUUUUCCUUGUUAAAUACACAACCUCUUUCUUCACCCGUGCCUGGCAUCGUUUUCUUCUCCUUCCUCUCGACAUCAUAAUUCUCAUUAUUCCUACCGACCAACCCCUUCCAGGAGCAACCAAGAGUGGGAGACUUAUUAGGAAACAGAUCAUUUGGAGGAGGGAGUGCGAACAAAAGAAAACAGAGAAAGUGAGACAGGUAAGAAAGACUAACUGAAUCACACCUUACUCAAAGCCGGAGAAUUAUUUGGACUCGCAUUGCUCACCGAGUUUACAGCAUCUAGGAUUUGAAGGCCUUUGUUAUCCAAAAGCUCAAGAACCGAGGAGCACCCAGUAGCCUUUGCAGCGUGGACGAGUAUGCCGGUUGGCUUGUGGCCUCUCUUCUUCCUACAAGAAGAACACCCAUCAACAUAAGGCACGAGAACAACGAAGGAGUCCCCGGUAGUUGGCAGGCUGGCGACGACUUACAUGCAAAAGCUGCAGUUGCAUAUGCCACGGCAUUUGGGGCAACUCCAGUUAUCCAACACCGCCAUCUCUUCCGCGUUCUCCCCAUACCUAACAAUACGGAUUUCCAUACCAUCACCAUCCACUAGUGUAAACCCAAAAGGCCAAAGUAGAAGCACAUCGUCAAUCGGAAAAAAUGAGGCGGAGAAUAAGAAGUAACCUGUUUCGGAGGCAUUUGUGGCAGAAAUUUAUGGUGCAGGCCUUGUUCCCCUUGUUGAUCUGCUUACAGGAGGCAGCGAAGUCCCUCGUCUUCUGCCGGCACUGACGAUGCGGCAAAAAUAAUCAACAAACCAAAUAAUUAAUUAAAAAGGAAAAAAAAAAUAAUAAAAAAAGAGAGAGAGAGGAGGUACAUGGGUUUUGCUCGCUCGGAAGUGGAGAUAUACCUGAUGGCAGGUCUUGCCGUGCACUGGGUCGUAGAUGCGACCGCUUUUAACCCGGACGCCGGCAGAUGCGGUGCGCUUUCUAGGCUUCGCGGAGGCGUCUUGCCGGUGCUGCUGCUGCUGCUGCUCCUCCUCCUCCUCCUCCUCCUUGCCGGUCUUGCUGAUCUUGUUGAUGGGAGGCUUCCGGGGGGUGAUGGCCAUGAGAUCAGUACGUGGAGGAGGAGAGGAUUGGCGCUGGGUGGUGAGCUCGGACUUGAGAGGAAGGUUACAUGUUACAUAUGCUCGCUGCGCUCCUUUCCCAAGUGGCGCCUUCAGGAGAUUUGCUGAUUACGACAAACUUGAAACUUUACCUUCCCUCCUUCCCCGCUCUGGCCACUUUCGGACACGAGAGAAACGCCCAUUUCCAGUUGGAGCACCGCUCCGAUUUUUCAGAUGCAAAAAAAAUCAUUAUUAUAAGGGAAAACUUCCAAAAAAACCCAUGUGGUUUUGUAGGUUCUCACUUUGCCACCCUAUAAUUUAAAAUAUAUCAAUUUGUGCCCAUGUGAUUUCUUUUUUCUUUUUUUUAUCAAUUUCAUUAUUCUUUUCUUAAGAUAAAGUUAAAAUUAAAGGGUACUAAAGUGAAUAUUUGAUAAAUCUAGAUGGGUAUCUGAAGUUUUUUGUAUAUAAUUUAAUGAAAUAUUAAUGAAAAAGCUACCGAAAGAUAAAAACGAAACCAUGGGGGGGCAAAUUGAUACACUUUAAACCACAGGGGGGCAAAGUGAGAAACUACGAAACCACAGGGAGGUUUUUUGAAGUUUUACCUUAUUAUAACAACUAUUAUAAACAAUUAAAAUUAAAAUAUUUCUAUAAAUAAAUUUUGGUGAAUGUUAUAUUUGGUUUAGAUUUUAAGUUAUCUAAAUUGGAGUUAAAUCCUAUUCUAAUUAGGAUUAUAUAUAAUAUAGAUUUAAUUUGACAUAUAUGGGUUAUGAGUCGGAAUCUAGUUCAAAUUGAAUUAGAUUAGACUUGUGUUUAGAAAUCCAAUUAGAUUAGAGUUCCAAUUAGACUCUAAUUCAAAGUCAUGCCCUAUAUAUACAGGGCCAAGAAGCCGGGCAGCGACCAAAUUGAGAAGCCAUGCCUAAUUAAGUUCUCAAAAUUAAGAGAAAACACCCCCCCCCCGCCCCGUGGUUUCGUAGUUUCUAACUUUGCCCCCCUGUGAUUUAAAAUGUAUCAAUUUGCCCCCCUGUGGUUUCUUUUUUCUCUUUUUCUUAUCAAUUUCAUUAUUUUUUUUCUUAAAUCAGUGAUAAAAUUAAAAUUAAAGGGUACUAAAGUGAAUAUUUGAUAAAUCUAGAUGGGUAUCUGAAGUUUUUUGUAUAUAAUUUAAUGAAAUAUUAACUAAAAAGCUACCGAAAACCGAAAAGAUAAAAACGAAACCACAGGGGGGCAAAUUGAUACACUUUAAACCACAGGGGGGCAAAGUGAGAAACGACGAAACCACAGGGGGGGUUUUUGACGUUUUUCCCAAAAUUAAUGGGAAAAUGCUAACUGGACAACAUGGUUGGGUUGUAGAUCCUACAACUCAAAGAUCCAACGGUUGAUAUUAAUCACUUUGCACAGUAGGUUAUAAACUCACCCUCUUUUAUUUUUUCACAUACUACUACACCCACAACUGUCGCCUUCUCUCUCUCUCGCUCUCUCGCUCUCUCGGUCUCUCCACCAUCUCUCUCUCUCGCUCUCUCUCUCUCUGUUUCUCGCUCUGUCCCGCACACCUCUCGCCACUCUCUCCCGCACAGGUCUCGCCAUCUCUGAGUUUCUUCGUUUUGCUCUCAUCUCUUUCUCUCUCUCUCUCUCUCUCUUUCUAGCUCGCUCGCUUGCUCGCUCGCUCGCAGAUCACUCCAUAGGGCGGUGUUCGGCAGGGAAGGCGGUCGGUAGAAGCUCAUGUCCGAAGCUGUCUCGAAGGUGUCUCUCGCCCUCACCUCUCUCCAUUGGUAGGAGGUCGCGUCUCAACUGCUCCACUGUCCAUCUGUGACGCGUUCCUUUAGUCGUGGGCGUCCGAAAUUGGGAACGAUUUCGGAGCUAAUUCGGCCACAACCGAACAGAGGAUUCAACUCAAACAGGGGAUAUUUUUAAAUUUCUAUAAUCUUUUAUUUUUAAUUUUAAAUUUAAUAUAAAAUUUAUAUUUUGAGGGUUUAGGGUUGCAGCUUGGGUUCGUCUGUGCGUGCUCCGGAUUUCGUCACCGACGGCUAAUUCAUUUUAUUUAGGGUUUACUCAGCUGGUAUAUUAUAUUAUUUGUUGCAUUUAUAAAAAUAAAGCAUUUAUGAUUUUAGUGUUUAGAAUAUGAGCCCACAGUAACACACAUAUAUUUAAUGCAUUUCAUAAAUUUUGCUUAGUGUUGGUGGCCGAAAGUCCCGACCCUUGACCCGGUCAAGAAUUCUCCUCGGGAAGAACGUCGGGAUGAUGAGCGGCCGCGGAUGGUAACUCUCGAAGUUUGCGCCCACGACGGAUCAAGCGAUUCGGCCGAUGAGGGAUCGAAUCAGCCGAGUCCGAAAGCUAUUUUCACUCUUCGAUUCAGCUGGAUGAGCCGAAUAUGCGGGAAAAGUCGGAAAUUAAGCCGGGAGAUGAGCCGAAUGGCUAGCACAAUACAAAAUCUGGUCGGCCUGAAUAGCCGAACGUGACUUUCUAUUGAAUAGAAAAUGGAAAAGUACAAGAACAGGGGAGUGAUGCCCGUGGGGCAGACAGACUCCAAGUAUAUUCUACAAGGGAGUGAUGCCCAUGGGGCAGACAGACUCCAAGUAUAUUCUAUAAGGGAGUGAUGCCCAUGGGGCAGACAGACUCCAAAGAUCUAAGUUACAAGAACUACUGCUAGGGAAAGCAGUAAAUGCGAGAAAGAAAUAUGCAGAAAAAUAAGGGUGGUCUUUUGUGCGUAGGGGCAAAGACCUCUAUUACAGGCUUCAAAGUUACUAUUUAUAGCCCACAUUAUUAGUUGGUUGAAAGUAGUUGGGGGGAGUGGUUGCAACCAUGAUCGUGGAAGUUAUACUAACUCCUCAUGAAAGUUACGCUAACUCCUCGUGGAAGUUACGCCCCAAUCUGCAACCGUUCCCGCCUUCUUGUCCUUCAGGCGCCUUAUUGCCGACUCCUGGUGUACUGCGUGUCCUUAUUGGCUCAUACGUGGGUUAGGUCGGCUCAAUUUUGGUAUCAACAAUGCCCCCUUAAUAGUCAUUCGAAUGAACAUUUGGAUGACUCUUGGUGCCAAAUUGAAUGUUCAAAAGCACAGCCGAGACCCAAGCUUUAGUUUCGCUGGUCUUGGUCGGCUUUAGGCAAACGGCGCUUUAUCAUCCCAGCCACAUAUAUCUUGGCUUCAUUAGCCGAUUCUUUACUUUUGUUCGAUUAGUUCGGCUCUUCUUGAACCGAAUGUUUUUCUAUCAAGAAAUUUUUCUUAAAGAAAGUGGCUAUAUCUCGGCUUCAUCAGCCGAUUCUUCACUUUCACUCGAUUGGCUCGGCUCUUCUUGAACCGACUGUUCUUCUAGCAAGGAUUUCUCCUUGUCUUUGCUUUGAUUUUUAUAUCGGCUCCAUUACAGCCGAUCGUUCUCACUUUUCUUCUGAAAUUGCUCGUAUUGGGCAACUCGAACACCUAGAUCAAAUAGGUUAGAAAAAUACUUAUCUUCAAAAUGGUCUUUUAUCUUAAAAUGCAGACUAUUUAACGCCAUUUUGGCGAACUCUGAUUCCGGCAUUCUUAUAAAGCACCGGGUUUUGGCUAUUUUGAAACGGUCCAAAUACUUUUCGACCGUUUCACUUGACAUUUGUCGGUAUAAAGCCAAGUCGGCGACCGAUAAUUGUGGCUCUGAUCUAUAGAAUCGCUCAUGAAAUUUUCUUUCCAAUUCGUCCCAAUCUUGGACGGAAUUGGCUGAUAAACUUGUAUACCAAGUAAACGCCGUUUUAGUUAACGACGUGUUAAAUAAUCGAAGUUUCAAAAAUGAGUCAACGGCCGCUUCUCUACAUUGGGCCGUGAACCGGGCUAUAUGCUCGACCGUAUUCUCGGUCUCAUCGCCCGAGAACUUGUCGAACUUCGGCAUUUUCCAGUUUGCCGGAUACGGAUGCUCUGUAUUUAUGUUUGCUGGGUACGGGGAUCGAAAAACAGGCCGCAUAGCCGGCCUGGCCCCUACCCCGAAGGUAUUCCGAAUGACUUCCUCAAUUUGAGCAUACAGUGGAGCUUGUGCUUGAGCCGAAUUUGGCCCUUGAGGAACUCCAGAAUUCUAUAUUGCAGGGUUCGCUCCUUGCAUAUCAUUAGGGGCCUACCCCCCAGCCCUAAUCCCUAUAUUUUGGGACUGAUAAGCUGGUAAAGGAGGUAAACCCGAUGCAAUCUCCGAUUGAGGGCCGGCGUUUAUAUUCACCGGCCUGUAAGCAACCGGGAAAGGUGCCAUUUGCGGUUCCGCCUGUGAGACCGCCGGCGUGACGGGAUUUUGUUGCACCGGCACAUUUAGGGGCCCUUGUUGCCCCCCAUAAGGUUGCUCAUUUCGGGUAAAUAAUUGUCUGAUUAGACCAAUAUUUUCAUUAUAGGCCGUGAUAGCGGCGAGCACCGCAUCUAGUCGAGCGGUACUUUGAUGGAUGUUUUGAUCUAAAGUUUGCAGGACUCGGCUCAUCUGGCCGAGUGCCUGAGUUAGACUCGCCUCUUGAUGAGCCGACUGUCCAAUAGUUUCUCCUUCAACUGGCAAAACUGCUUGACAUUCGCCAGCAUUGUCUGAAUUACUAGGUUGAUCACUCCCAGAAUUUCUAGGAAUUGCCCUUUUACGUAGAUUUAUGGCGUUAUCAUCAACCAUAAUCUUAAAAAUAGAGUCCCACCGAGCGUGCCAAAAUUGUUGGUGGCCGAAAGUCCCGACCCUUGACCCGGUCAAGAAUUCUCCUCGGGAAGAACGUCGGGAUGAUGAGCGGCCGCGGAUGGUGACCCUCGAAGUUUGCGCCCACGACGGAUCAAGCGAUUCGGCCGAUGAGGGAUCGAAUCAGCCGAGUCCGAAAGCUAUUUUCACUCUUUGGUUCGGCUGGAUGAGCCGAAUAUGCGGGAAAAGUCGGAAAUUAAGCCGGGAGAUGAGCCGAAUGGCUAGCACAACACAAAAUCUGGUCGGCCUGAAUAGCCGAACGUGACUUUCUAUUUAAUAGAAAAUGGAAAAGUAUAAGAACAGGGGAGUGAUGCCCGUGGGGCAGACAGACUCCAAGUAUAUUCUACAAGGGAGUGAUGCCCAUGGGGCAGACAGACUCCAAGUAUAUUCUAUAAGGGAGUGAUGCCUAUGGGGCAGACAGACUCCAAAGAUCUAAGUUACAAGAACUACUGCUAGGGAAAGCAGUAAAUGCGAGAAAGAAAUAUGCAGAAAAUAAGGGUGACCUUUUGUGCGCAGGGGCAAAGACCUCUAUUACAGGCUUCAAAGUUACUAUUUAUAGCCCACAUUAUUAGUUGGUUGAAAGUAGUUGGGGGGAGUGGUUGUAACCAUAAUCGUGGAAGUUAUACUAACUCCUCAUGGAAUUUACGCUAACUCCUCAUGGAAGUUACGCCCCAAUCUUCAACCGUUCCCGCCUUCUUGUCCUUCAGGCGCCUUAUUGCCGACUCCUGGUGUACAACGUGUCCUUAUUGGCUCAUACGUGGGUUAGGUCGGCUCAAUUUUGGUAUCAACACUUAGUUUAUGAUAGAAAACAUGUUUAGGGUUACUAAUAUGUAGAAAGGUAUAGAAAAUAUGUUUGGGGUUACUAGUAUAUUCUCUUAUUCAUACUUCUAUACUUGUAUUAAUAAUUAAUUUGUUUGUAUUCGUAUAUGUAUAGUUGGCUAGGAAUAUGUAUGCAUUGCAAUCUGUCACUCUUAUACCAUAAAGGGUUUACUCUUAAGCUUAUAAGAACACUCUUAGUAGAACACUCUUAUAGAAUUUGGUUUGCGAACAUGUAUGCUUGACAAUCUGACACUCUUAUGCCAUAAAAGAACACUCUUACAGCUUAAUAGAACACUCUUAUUAGCUUUAUGGUUGUGAACACUUUUUUUGUCAUAAUAGAACACUUCUAGGGCUUAAUAGAAUAUUUUUAUCAGGUUUAUAGUUGUGAACAUGUAUGCAUUGCAAUCUUACCCUCUUAUGACUUAAUAAAAUAUUCUUAAGUAUUCAUAGAACACUGCUAUCAGUUUUAGGCUUUAUAACAGUUUUAUGCCAUAAUAGAACAGUUGUAAAGGUUAAUAGAACAUCUGAAUAGCUUUAUGGUUGUCAACACUCUUUUGUCAUAGUUGAAUAAAACACUCUUAGAGCUUAAUAGAACACUUUUAUCAGAUUUGCAGUUGCGAACAUUUAUGCAUUGCAAUCUUACCCUCUUAUGAUUUAAUAAAACAUUCUUAAAACUUAAUAGAAGUGUGCUAUCAGUUUUAGGCUUUAUAACAGUUUUAUGCCAUAAUAGAACAACUGUAAAGGUUAAUAGAACACUCUUAAUAGCUUUAUGAUUAUCAACACUCUUUUGUCAUAGUAGAAUAGAACACUUUUAUGCCAUAAUAGAACAGUUGUAAAGGUUAAUAGAACACUCUUAAUAGCUUUAUUGUUGUCAACACUCUUUUGUCAUAGUAGAACACUCCUAGAGCUUAAUAUAACAGUUUUAUCAAGUUUACAGUUGAGAACAUGUAUACAUUGCAAUCUUACUCUUUUAUGACUUAAUAGAACAUUCUUAAAGCUUAAUAGAACACUGCUAUCAAUUUUUUGGUUUAGAACAGUUUUAUGCCAUAAUAGAACAGUUGUAAAGGUUAAUAGAACACUCUUAAUAACUUUAUGAUUGUCAACACUCCUUUGUCAUAGUAGAAUAGAACACUCUUAGACCUUAAUAGAACAGUUGUAAAGGUUAAUAGAACAUUCUUAAUAGCUUUAUGGUUGUCAACACUCCUUUGUCAUAAUAGAAUAGAACACUCUUAUACCUUAAUAGAACAGUUGUAAAGGUUAAUAGAACACUCUUAAUAGCUUUAUGGUUGUCAACACUCUUUUAUCAUAGUAGAAUAGAACACUCUUAGAUCUUAAUAUAAUAGUUGUAAAGGUUAAUAAAACACUCUUAAUAGCUUUAUGGUUGUCAACACUCUUUUGUCAUAGUAGAAUAGAACACUUUUAUGCCAUAAUAGAAUAGUUAUAAAGGUUAGUAUAACACUCUUAAUAGCAUUAUGGUUGUCAACACUCUUUUGUCAUAGUAGAACACUCUUAGAGCUUAAUAGAACAGUUUUAUCAAGCUUACAGUUGCGAACAUGUAUACAUUGCAAUCUUACUCUUUUAUGACUUAAUAGAAUAUUCUUAAAGCUUAAUAGAACACUGCUAUCAGUUUUUUGGUUUAGAUCAGUUUUAUGCCAUAAUAGAACAGUUGUAAAGUUUAAUGAACACUCUUAAUAGCUUUAUGGUUGUCAGCACUCUUAACCGUUGUAUAUAUUAUUUUUGCGAUUAAUAGAUAAUAGAUGUUCUAUAAUGCAUAGCAUUUAUAUGUUUGCAUUCAAAGAAACAAAAAUUAAAACAUGAUAAGAGUGUUCUAUUAUAUCAUAAUUAAUAGUGUCAAACUGUACAUAUUCUGCAUUCAUAGGAUGAACAUAAUUAAUUUAUUUUCUAGUUACUUUCAGAAUGAAGUUAUGUGCUGACUUAUGGUUCAUAAAAUGCAGGUGAAAAUAUAAUUUCCACCAGAGCGAAGUCGGGCAAGAAGGCCACUACAGGUGGUGAAGGCACAUCUGCGCAUUCUGCAGAGAAAAAAAGGAGAGGUCAUUGAAAGCUAAAAGGGCGAUCAUGGAGCUUGUUGUGUGCAGAUGUUACCCAGAUCAUCUGCACACCACAAUGUGUGUUUCAAAGUUGCCGAAGACUGCGGGCAGAAUUCAAACAGCUGGCCCCGCGUUACGUGAUAUAAUGUCCGAUGAACAGAUGGCACUUCUGAAGACCACUCCAUUCUUUUCUUAUCUCGACUUGCCUCCAAUUAAACAAGAUCUUGUGUUAGUCAAUUCCCUUCUCAGUUUUUGGGACGAAGAGAGAAGGGGUAUUAGAAUUGGAGAAACCUUUCUUCCCUUUAGUCCAGAGGAAAUAUCCAUUUUGGUAGGGCUGCCAGCAGAGGGGGAACCAAUAGAAUGGCAGAACAAGAGUGUAAAGUCGAGCACUCUUGGUAAAUACUUCAAUGGUGACUAUCGGCAUGCUGAUAGGUCGAAAUUAAGACAUAUUUUGUACAGUAUUACUAGUCAGAAUGGAGAGAAGAUGGCAGCUGAUUUUGUGCGUAUAUUUAUAUUAUAUGUAUUUGCAACCGUCCUUUUUCCGACCAGCCACUACAAUGUGCCGAAGCCACUAUAUAGAUAUAUAGAUGAUGUACAUAGAAUAGGAGAAUAUGCCUGGGGUCAUGCUGUAUGUAAUUAUUUUGUAAGUUCGAUCUCCAGAGCAUCCCCACGUGUGAAGCAUCGGAAUAGCGGCCAAGAAAGACUUGGCGGCUAUAUUGACGGCUGUACAAUAGCAUUUUUGGUAAGUAAUAUCAUAAAUUAGUAUGUCAAUAGAAUAUCUUUUGCACAAUUUUUUUAUAAUAAUAAUAAUCUUAAUUCUUGAUAAACUUGCAGAGUUGGGCUUAUGAGCAUAUAAAGGGGUUGGGUAAUUCCGACGGAGAUUAGGCUAUCCCUCGGAUGAGAAAAUGGAAGGGUUCAAAAGCCUAUCGGAGUUACGAGAAGUUUCUAACAAAGCUGCAGAGUUAUACUCCUGCAAAAGUAACCAUUUCUGUAAUGAAUGUAGUUUUAUAAAAUUUUCUUAUAAUACUUAUUAAAUAAAUUUAUCUUUUUGACAGGUUAUACCCACAUUUACCUACCGCCCUACUGACAUGUCUAUAUUGAAGCCCACAUUACGUGGCAGCCUACCGGAGCAGGUAUUACUGAAUUGAGUUAGUAGAAAAUAUUAUUUUGUUAGAGUUUAUUUGUCAAAUUGUGAUAUUGUCCUUUCGUACAUCUCUCUCGAAAGUGGUACAGGCAGCGGUCCCCGUGGCAACAACUACUGGCGAUGAAAGUAGCAAUAAUAUUAGCUCCUUAUUGAAUCAAUUGGAGCGAGCUCUAAAUAAACUAGAAGAUCGGAAUAAAAUCUUAGAGAAGGAGAAUGUAAUGUUAAAAGAAAAAAUGCAAAGCUUGAAGCACAACUAUCUAGCGCCAGCACAGCCGCUGUUGCAGAAGGCGGAGCCGGAGCCGGUGUUGAUACACCUCAAGGUGGCCAAGGCGCAGCGGUUGAAGAAAGUAGCCAACAGAGAGUUGAUGUUGGCGAGAGUGUAAUAAGGGACAUUUCUUCAAGAAUUCAAUGACUUAAAGGGCGUGAAAGGAAACAAAAGAGAAUGUCCCCUGAUUUUAUGCCGGGCGAACGUCCUUUGACUCGCCAAUAUAGAAGAAAGCAACGGCAUCCUUUGAAGAUCGGAGGGGCCGAAGCUGGUGAAGAGGCAUCAGAUACUGCGACAGGGACCAUUGCGGAGGUCCUUAUGGUAUGAUGUACUUGAUUAAGUGUAGUGUGAAUAAACUUAUAUCAUAUAAAAUAUGACUUUUGCACGUGAUUUGGUUCAAUAUAGGAAAUUAAAGCUGAACUUGGACAGUCAGAAAGUGCAAUACCAGCUGUUGAGAUUGAUGAUGUCCUUGUGCCGGGUGAGGAGUCUGGGGUAAUUAUUGAGCGUCGUCGCAACUACCCCGGAAGAGAUAAUAUUCCCAAAGUUGAGGAGGAUGCAAUAAAUUUUCUAAUUUCUCGACCUAUUACAAAGUUCGUCAAUCUGACUAGACAUGUAAUGAUUAGUUAACAUUAAAUAUCUUUGUCAAAAUAUUCUACCUUAACUUGACAGCAAUUCUUUUCUUUCGUAUUAUUAAUUAAAUUUUCUUUUUAUAGGGGACCCAUAUGGCAAGAUGAUACAAAAGGGUCAGAUUCGCCUUCUGUUAGCGGUCAAGUCCUCCUUGAUUACUUAUUUGGAGGCCCGACGCGCGACGAGGUUAGUUCUGCCACAAAUUAUACAUUAUAGUUAGCGCUUGUAGCUUGAUAUAUACAUAUCUAAUUAUAUAUAUAUUAUUCUAAUUCUUUUUGUUUUGCUGACUUUCUUAUUUAGGUGAUUAAUGUAUAUUUCCAUAUAAUUGAUAAGCUCGAUUGCAUGGGUGUACAUAAAUUUAGUUAACAGGAUAUUUUCUUGCUAACUGAAGUUGCGGUGAGUUUGAUGCUUUCACUAUUAGAUUAGUUGUUAUCUAUUUCUCUUUUGUUCUCUAUUUCUGUAAGCAAACUUAAGGAAAUAUAAAAGUGAGUUGCAAUGGAAGAAAAAAUAUGUGUUGAGAUCCGAAUCCCAAUUUGUUGAAUAAUAUUGAUUAGCUCCUGUUCCAUAAUCUGUGAACAUAUGAACCGUCCAAAUAAUAGCAUUUGAGUUUCCCGCAAGGUUUCGUAAGGCAUCUUGCUAUCUUGAUUCCUAUUUCUAUGCAGAUGCACGUACUCAAUAAGAUGCAGGGAUUUGGAAAGAAUAAGCCAGUAACAGCUGAUUUUCUGAGGGAUGUGGCAUUUGGAUCCGCAUCUAUACGUCACUUUCUUGAUAAAAUAAAUACACAUACCUGCAGCACUUCUAAAUAUGUACUUAUUUUCUUACAUAGUAAUUGGCAUUGCAUUUACUAUCAAUUGAUUUGAAGGAACGACGCUUUGAGAGUUGGAACUCUUUGUGGAGCCACAGCGGGGCACAGAACGCGGCACAACUGCUGGUAUUAAUUUAUUCUUCUCAGUAGACAGAGUGUUUUAGUUAUUUAUUCACUCGGCAGUAACAUCUACUAUCCACUUGUUUUAAUUAAUUUACCUUUUUUUUUUCUCUUGGACAGGCGAAGUGGUUUGCGUCCUAUUUUGAGCAUAUCCUCCAAAUCCCCGUCGGCGCUCCUGACGUCAUAUUUUAUAAGGAAUGUCAACAACAGGGUUCCACGGAAGUCGAUUGUGGCAUGUACACAUGCCUUUUUGCCGAAAGAAUCGUAAGAAACAGCCUCCCCGAUCUAUCAUUGUACGAUACUGACCCCCCUCCUUCCGUGCUCAUAUGGUCAGUGCGAUCUUAAAGGAUCCAUAUUGUGUGACCUAUACUUCUACAAUUGAGUCUACUGUCACAAAAGAUGAUGUCUGAAUGUUAUAGAAUUUUACAAUUGUGACUGGUGCUAUGCAAUUUGUUUAUAUAUUCUCUCAUAUGGCUUGCGUGGCAAUGCUCCUUAGCUUCUCUCUCUUUAGCUGGCUUGGUUCCCGACUAGCCCGUCUCUCUCCCAAGAGCAAGAAUACCGCUUGACUAUCUUGUGCAAUUGUGACUGAUACAGGGCAAUUUGUUUAUAUAUGAUUGUGAAUGUGCAAUUGUACACAUUGUGAGUGAUACUAAGCAGAUUUUUUAUAUAUGAUUGUGAAUGUGCAAUUGUGAAUUUGUGGCUGGUAUUGGGCAGUUUGUUUAUAUAUGAUUAUGAAUUUGUUUAUAUAUGACUGUGAAUUUAUUUAUAUAUUGACUGUGCAAUUGUGCACAUUGUGAGUGGUAUUGGGCAGUUUUUUUAUAUACGAUUGUGAAUGUGCAUUUGUGAAUUUGUGACUGAUACUGGGCAGUUUGUUUAUAUAUGAUUAUGAAUUUGUUUAUAUAUGACUGUGAAUUUGUUUAUAUAUGUGACUGUGCAAGUGUGUACAUUGUGACUGGUUCUGGGCAAUUUGUUUAUAUAUGAUUGUGAAUGUGCAAUUAUGCACAUUGUGAGUGGUACUGGACAGAUUGUGUAUAUAUGAUUGUGAACUUAUUUAUAUAUGACUGUGAAUUUAUUUAUAUAUAUGACUGGUACUGGGCAGUUUGUUUAUAUAUGACUCUGAAUUUAUUUAUAUAUGAUUGUGAAUUUGCGACUGGUACUGGGCAGUUUGUUUAUAUAUGAUUGCGAAUGUUUUAUGUUGUAUUGGAUGUUGUCGAGUUGCUUGGUGAGCCAUGGUAGUUUUUUAUAGAAACACUUUAUUAUUUUGCGGAUGGUCCAUGAUCUUGUACAUAAGUACGUAGGUUCAUCCCUAUACUAUUUCAAGCUCUGGCAUAUUUGUAAUCUUGUAUUCUGCUUAAUCAUAUCCUUGAUGUAUUUUGUAUAAUGCAAAUUGUUGAUGUGAAAGGUAUAUGGGUCUGCUCAUUAGCCCUACAGAUGUUCCAGGAAGUAGUAUAACUGUUUUAGUUUAAGCUAUAAGUACAAAAAUAAAGCCUACCAUAUAAAAGUGGACAUAUAGAUGUGAAAGGUAUAUGGGUGUGCUCUUUAACCCAACAGAUGUUCCGUGAAGUGUUAUAACUAUUCUAUUUAAGUUAUAACUGCAAAAUAAAGCCUACCAUAUAGAAGUGGACAUAUAGAUGUGAAAGGUUUAUGGGUGUGCUCUUUAGCCCUACAGAUGUUCUAGGGAGUGGUAUAACUGUUCGAUUUUAAGCUAUAACUACAAAAAUAAAGCCUACCAGAUAGAAGUGGAUAUAUAGAUGUGGCAGGUAUAUAAGUAUGCUCUUUAGCUCGGCAGAUGUUUCGAGGAGUAGUAUAACUGUUCUAUUUGAAGCUAUAAGUACAAAAAUAAAGUCUAUCAUAUAGAAGUGGACAUAUAGAUGUGGCAGGUAUAUGGGUAUGCUCUUUAGCCCUACAAAUGUUCCGGGGAGCAGUAUAACUGUUUUAUUUUAAGCUAUAACUUCAAAAAUAAAGCCUACCUUAUAGAAGUGGAUAUAUAGAUGUGGCAAGUAUAUGGGUGUGCUUUUUAGCCCUGCAGAUGUUCUUGGAAGUAGUAUAACUGUUAUAUUUGAAGCUAUAAGUACAAAAAUAAAGCCUACCAUAUAGAAGUGGACAUAUAGAUGUGGCAGAUAAUGGGUGUGCUCUUUAGCCCUACAGAUGUUCCGGGGAGCAGUAUAGAUGUUCUAUUUUAAGCUAUAACUGCAAAAAUAAAGCAUACCAUAUAGAACUAGAUAUAUAGAUGUGGCAAGUAUAUCGGUGUGCUCUUUAACCCUACAGAUGUUCCGGGGAGCAGUUUAACUGUUCCAUUUUAAGCUACAACUGUAAAGUAAAGCCUAUAAUUUAGAAGUGGACAUAUAGAUGUGAAAGUUAUAUGGGUGUGCUCUUUAGCUCUACAGAUGUUCCGGGGAGCAGUAUACCUGUUCUAUUUUAAGCUAUAACUGCAAAAAUAAAACUUACCAUAUAAAAGUGUACAUAUAGAUGUGGCAAGUAUAUCGGUGUGCUCUUUAGCCCUACAGAUGUUCCGGGGAGCAGUAUAACUAUUCCAUUUUAGCUAUAAAUUCAAAAGUAAAGCCUACCAUAUAGAAGUGGACAUAUAGAUGUGGCAGGUAUAUGGGUGUGCUCUUUAGCCCUACAGAUGUUCCGGGGAGUAGUAUAACUGUUCUAUUUUAAGUUAUAACUGCAAAAAUAAAGCCUACCAUAUAGAAGUGGUCAUAUAGAUAUGGCAAGUAUAUGGGUGUGCUCUUUAGCCCUGCAGAUAUUCCGGAGAGUAGUAUAACUGUUCUAUUUGAAACUAUAAGUACAAAAAUAAAGCCUACCAUAUAGAAGUGGACAUAUAGAUAUGGCAGGUAUUUGGGUGUGCUUUUUAUCCCUACAGACGUUCCGGGGAGUAGUAUAACUGUUCUAUUUAAAGUUAUAAGUACAAAAAUAAAGCCUACCAUAUAGAAGUGGACAUAUAGAUGUGGAAGGUAUAUGGGUGUGCUUUUUAGUCCUUCAGAUGUUCCGCAGAGCAGUAUAACUGAUCCAUUUUAAGCUACAACUACAAAGUAAAGCCUACCAUAUAGAAGUGCACAUAUAAAUGUGAAAGGUAUAUGGGUGUGCUCUUUAGCCCUAUAGAUAUUCCGGGGAGCAGUAUAACUGUUCUAUUUUAAGCUAUAACUGCAAAAAUAAAGCCUACCAUAUAAAGUUGGACAUAUAGAUGUGGCAGAUAUAUGGGUAUGCUCUUUAGCCCUAUAGAUGUUCCGCGGAGCAGUAUAACUGAUCCAUUUUAAGCUACAACUGCAAAGUAAAGCCUACCAUAUAGAAGUGGACAUAUAAAUGCGAAAGGUAUAUGGGUGUGCUCUUUAACCUUUCAGAUAUUCCGGGGAGCAGUAUAACUGUUCUAUUUUAAACUAUAACUGCAAAAAUAAAGCCUACCAUAUAGAAGUGGACAUAUAGAUGUGGCAGGUAUAUGGGUUUGCUCUUUAGCCCUACAGAUGUUCCACGGAGCAGUAUACCUAUUCCAUUUUAAGCUACAACUGCAAAGUAAAGCCUACCAUUUAGAAGUGGACAUAUAGAUGUGUAAGUUAUAUGGGUGUGCUCUUUAGCUCUUCAGAUGUUCCGGCGAGCAGUAUAACUGUUCUAUUUUAAGCUAUAACUGCAAAAAUAAAGCCUACCCUAUAGAAGUAGACAUAUAGAUGUGGCAAGUAUAUGGGUAUGCUCUUUAGUCCUGCAGAUGUUCCGCAGAGUAGUAUAACUGUUCUAUUUGAAGUUAUAAGUACAAAAAUAAAGCCUACCAUAUAAAAGUGGACAUAUAGAUGUGGCAGGUAUAUGGGGGUGCUCUUUAGCCCUACAGAUAUUCCGGGGAGUAGUACAACUCUUCUAUUUGAAGCUAUAAGUACAAAAAUAAAGCCUACUAUAUAGAAGUGGAUAUAUAGAUGUGGCAGGGAUAUGGGUGUGCUCUUUAGCCCUACAGAUAUUCCGGGGAGUAGUACAACUCUUCUAUUUGAAGCUAUAAGUACAAAAAUAAAGCCUACUAUAUAGAAGUGGACAUAUAGAUGUGGCAGGUAUAUGGUUGUGCUCUUUAGACCUACAGAUAUUCCAGGGAGUAGUAUAACUGAUCUAUUUUAAGUUAUAACUGCAAAAAUAAAGCCUACCAUAUAGAAGUGGACAUAUAGGUGUUUCUGUAUUUUGCGUUAGAUGCGAGAUGACCCAAAUAGGUAAAACAGGUCGCACAAUUGCAGAGGUCGACAUUUCAGUCACGGGUCUAUGGCUGUUCCCUAUAUCGCUUUAGAUGUACUAAACUGACUUAUAACAGUUCCAUGGAAAGCUAUAAUUGUAAAUGUAAAGCCUAGCAUAGAAAAGUUGACAUAUAGAAUUUGAAGUUAUAUGGGUGUGCACAUUAACACUAGAACUGUACAUGUGAAGUCUACAACUGUUCAAUUCUAUGCUAUACCUGCAAAAGCAAAUCCUAGCCUAUGAAAGUGGCACGUAUAUGGGUGUGCCUAUUAGCACUAGAGAUGUACAUGUCACAUCUACAACUAUUCCAUUCUAAAAUAUAACUACAAAAGCAAAGCCUACCCAUUCUAAAUGGGCACUACACAUGUACCGAACUGCCCUUUAAGUGUUCCGUUGUUGGCUAUCUCUGGUAGGUACAUGAAUUCUCCCUUUCACCACUUAUAGAUGUAUUUUGGCACACCUAUAUCCGUCAUUCCUUUUUAUAACGUAGAAGUAGGUUUUGAGUAAUGUAGAUAUCUCAACAAGACGUACAACGGUAAAUCACUUUCUAACAAGACGCACAAAUUUAAAAGUGCACAAGUGUAUAAAAAUGGCAGUACAUUCGUAUUGAACAUUGGAGGUAACUCACAUUACAUAUGUAGGAUUAACAUUAGAACAAAAUUUUUCUUUACGCCAUAAGUUGUAACACGAUAUUACAAUAAAACGUAGAAUUUAAAGCAACAUAACCACACGGCACAAAGACUAUUGAUAUAUCGUAAAGUCUACCACAAAAUAGUACAACACGUUAUAUUUGUACAACACAACGACUAAUAUAUAUAUUACUACAGCCUGCAUGAUACAGGGUGGUCAUGUACUGUAACAUAUGGAAACUUGGAGUUGCGAUGUCAACUUUGACCUAGAGGGUCAAAGUGAGGAUUGAGCUAGUUGGACAUCAUCCCCGAGGGAUUUGUGAUGCGUUGGAAUGAGUUCCAAAGAGAAAAGGUAUUAGUAGAGAUUUUGCCGAAUCCUGACUCCGCCAACUAGAUGGCGUUCUUUACCCUCAUUGGUUUAUACGCGGUCAAUCAACUUUAGGACUCCUAUUUUUAUCAAAAUGCAGUGCCCGGGGUCAGGUUCUCAAAAACAGCUAUUUAAUGCAAUUUCACAAUUCAUUACAGUAAAUUCAACCUUAAGCCCAAGGACCCAAAUCAGAUUUAGUAAAAACUGUCAUAUAAUACUUCGACUUCAUCUUUCACUCUAUCUCAUAUCUUUCUUCUUGGGCGCUUCUUCUUUUCUUAUCCUUUCUUUCCUUUCUUUUCUUGCUGCUUGCCCUGCAGGCAGGACUGCUGCGCACUGCUGCGCCAGUGCGCUGCCGCUGCUGCUGCUGUUGAGCUGCUGUCUCAGCGCAUACUCGCAGCCUGCUGCUGCUGACCACGCGCUGGCGCUGCUCCGCUGAAGCUGCCUGCUCAGCAGCUGCCUCUGAGCUUGACUGCCAGCAGCUCCUGCUGAGCUGCUGCGCUGCUUGACUGCGGCUGCUGCCAGCUGCUGCUGAUCUAUUGCUGCUGACACCAGCAGCUGCUGCGCUGUCCACUGCUGCUGCGCUAGCUGCGUGAAGCUUACUGUGCUGGCCGAAGCUGCUGCUGCUGAGGCUGACUGCUUGCUGAAGCUUCUGCGCUGCUGAAGCUGCUGCUGCUGAGCUUGCUGGAAGCUGCUGGCAAGCAGCGUGCUGAGCUGCUGCUGCGACUGAUUGCUGCUUGCUGCUGCUGCUCGCUACACUACCAUAGCAGCAGAGAGGUGAUAGGAGAGAGUAAAUCCUACCCUCUUUUCUCUCUUCUUGCCUCUAUUGCUUCUUCUUCUUACUUCUGCUUCUUCUUCCUUUUCUCCUCUUUUCUCCUUCUUUUCUCCUUCUCUUCAGUCCUCUCCCUCUACGUAUGGAACCAGAAGGGGGAUAAGGAAUGGGCGGGGAACAGGCUCGCCUGCUGGCCAGGUUAGUGGAAAUCACUAACCAGAUGCAAUUUACAAAGGCCCGACUUAUACUUCCGUCGGCAAACUCGGGAUCAUUACCUUUCGUAGUGCAUCUGUCCAAAAUCCGAUUGAGGCUCAAAUUUGGCAGGAAGUGUCGUUUUACUUGACUAAGUCCACUGAAAUUUAAACAUUUCAGUUUGACCCCUGUUGGUCACUGCGAACUGUCCCGAACUGUACAUCUUUAUGCAGAUACUUCCAAUGCAUUUCUCUCUACAGUCGUCCAGAAUAAAUCUGAAACUGAAAAAACUAACUAUAAUAAUGCUGAAUCUCUCUCUGCCAAAUUUCGUAAUUUCUUGACACUGUGCAUUGCUAACUAAAUUUCUUCUCAUCCCGUUCCUUAUACAGAUAAAUUCUAAAUUUUCCGAUUUUCCAGCUUCCGAUGUCACCCUAAAACACUUCUAAAUACACAAGGACCUUGCCAACUACCAAUUUAAUUUGGAAGCAAGAUUUCUUUUCAUUUCGACAUAUUGAGCCGAAUUAUAAAUAGAACCGCUCCAAAUUCAUUACAUGACCUUUUUGGGCACUAGCCUACUUCGCACGAGCUUUCAAAAACCCUUGAACACACGCCUUGCUUUACAAAACUUCACAAUUGAUGUCGAGGUACCAACAAUUAUCCUACAACCUUACUUAUUUCUUAAUCAAAGUUAGCGUCGGAAUUUUCCGAAAAUUCUCUUUACCUCUCUUUACAUGUCAUUUCGCUGCCAUUUUUUUGGGCCGCCGAAACACUUANNNNNNNNNNNNNNNNNNNNNNNNNNNNNNNNNNNNNNNNNNNNNNNNNNNNNNNNNNNNNNNNNNNNNNNNNNNNNNNNNNNNNNNNNNNNNNNNNNNNUGUUGUACAUAUCACUUGGCUCUGACCAAUCUUACGGCUUACCAUGUUAACCCCAAUAACUCACAACCCAAAAUCCCUUAAUACGGGGGACUCGAACCUCCUAGGGACGUCUUCUGGGGGACUUUACCACGCCCAGUGGUGACCAACUCCGGAGCGCACGAGCCCGAGGGGAGCACCUCACCUCAAGCCAAGACUUAUCGUGAGUAUCGAUCCAAUCCUCAACUUGAGAUUAAUAGCCACUUGUCACAAUGCCAUUGUCAUAAUAGGUUUUCUACCUAUUUAUUCAUGUCACUCUCUAUGUCAACUUGGUCAAUGCCACUCUUGGCUUAAACUAUGUUUAACACUAUAUCCUCUAUGCAAAUCAAUGUCUCUCAUUGUCAAUGUCCCUUUGUUUGCUAAUGUCCAAGUCCAACUCUCACAUUCACACAAUAAUAGGGUUCUAACAUAUAUGUCCAUUAUGGUUCUUACUUUCUCUAUGUUCAACUACGUUAGAACAUGUCAUUGAAAGCAACCAAGGUUCACAUGUACUUAGCCCUAUCAUGCAUUAAUGAUACGAAAUAUAUAUACUCAAAUGCCACAAGUGUCUGCUAGGUUCAUGACACUAGUUUACACUAUACUUGUUCAACCUAAUGUUCAAUACACUAGUUUAAAUGCCACUGAUGAUCCAACAUAGUUCUUUGACACUAGGUUCAUAUCCUCCAUGUUCAACAUAUGUCCAAUACAACUAGGUUUAAUGCCACACGAUCUAAUGUAUAUAGAUUGUCCAUAUGCACAUUUCCAUUUCUUAACAUUAGUAUCUCUCAACAUGAUCAUCAAGUAUAUAUUAGUAUUAGCCACAAUGCUUGCAUUUAUUAUUUCUACAUCAUGCUAUAUACCAACUUCUUAGCAUUAUCCACAUGCAUGCUUAUGAUGUAAACUUUAGCAUUACUCAAUGCAUUCAUCUAGCACUAUUUACACAAAGUCAUCACGCAUUCCUCUUAUCAUGUUCUUAUAAUGUUAACAUUCAUAUGCCCUUUAUCUUAUGCAUUCAAACAUUAAUCACACUGCAUUUAUCUAGCAUUUCUAUAAUAUGUUAACAUGCAUGUAACACACUGGACCUUUGCAAAUUGCGAGAUUCGAGUGUUCGAGCUGUGUGCUGAGCAAUUCCAGAUUUUCUGGUGUGGUCGUUGACAGUGUUCCGACCUAUGGCUCGCAUCCCGAGAAGUGAGGUUAAAGCCGAGCACGAAACUCGAAAAAUCGGAUUUUUGGUUAGCUCUCGGGUUGCCUUCAGAGGCUGUGUACCGGUACCGGGAGUGAUGCUGUACCCGUACAGCCAUCGAUCUGGCCGCUUCUCAGCACACCGAGGCUCGGACUGAGCAUUUCGUAGAUGGCUGUACCGGUAGCGGGCCGUAUACGGUACGCAGUGCAGAAUUUUUGAACGUUUCGAAACUGCAGGGUUUUUCGCAUUUGUGAGCUCUUAUAUGUGUCCCCACGCCCCUUGGAGCUCUCCCUGAGCUGAAACCGUGGAGAAGCAAGGUAGGGAGAACCUUUCUCUUCCUUUGGUUUUGAUCACCUUUUGCUUGGGUUUUGAUGGUUUUUCCCUCUCUUUUUGGCAUUUUGGAGCUAUUUCACCAUCGUUGAAGCUUGGAGGUUUGUUUGAAGCUGAUGCGGAAUAUUCUGUUGAUAAAGUAGUUGAGACUAUGAGCUUGGUUUGAAGCUUUCUAAGAGGUAAGUAGACAAGAUUCCUUCCUUCUAGAUUGUAUUUGUUUUUUUUUGAAGUUUCAUUGAGAUAACCUAGAUUUGGGGUUUUAGAUCUCUCUUCUGGGUUUUUGGGGCCUAGUGGAGCAAGAGCUGAGGUCAGUAAUUGCCCACUGGGAACUAUAAAUUAUAGUUCUCACGCCCUCUUUUUCUCGAUAUAUUUCAGAGCCUUCCACGCAGGGAGAGGCCAGGGAUCGCGGAAAGGGUAUCGCCUCGGGCUAGCGUGCUUACCGAGGGAUCGUUCGAUAGGUGGUCUACCUCUCGUGUUAUCUUUUUGUGAGAGGUUGAGAGCCGUACCCGUAUAUGUAUAGAGACCACCACUUUUGUACUAGAGACAGAUAUUGUACUACUUAUGAUUUCCUUUAUUGUCUAUCCUUAUCUCUUUACUUUGGUGUAGAUGAUAGAACUUUACUCGCUCUGAUAUCAUUAGUUGCUAGUUAUUUUACUACCUUAUUUGUUCUAUCUCUUGCUUUACUUCCGCUUUUAUCCUAGACGCCUUAUAUGUGUAGACAUAUGGCGGGUCUGGGCACGCUACCGGGAGGGCCUCCGCCGGUCCCGGGGCGUGACAAUGCAUCAAUAUAAAAUCUCAUUUCUUAAACAUAAAGGGCGACCUAGUCGCUUCCGUAAACACAACCCACCUCAUUUCGCAUUCUGAUUGCUUGUCGACACUUGCAAUCGACCGCCCGCGGCACCCGGCACCCGGUUUGGCCCGAUCUCUCGCGCGACUGCGCCUCAACGGUGCUCCGCUUUGCAGCCCCGAAAAUUAUAGGUCUUCGGUUAUGUGCCACGAUGCUUCAAAUCCGUUUUCAUGAGUUUACGAUAUCGCCUCGGCCCUCCAGGCGGAAACGAAGCCUAAACGUCUGUUUCUUUAAUAACUUCGCAACGGCUCGACGAAUCGCCGAACCGUCUUCGCCAACGCUUUCGUUUACCUAGCAAUUAGGUUUACAGAGGGUCAAAUGAGAUCAAACCCUCAUAUUUACAAAACUAGCAUUUUUGAGCCCUAACAUGUAUUAACCACCAAAUAAUCCAAAUUAAUUGAAGUAACAUACUAACAAUGCUCGCUAUUAGAACACUUAAAGCUAAGGAUUAAGCCAAAUCCCAAAAGCUUACCACCAUGUGAACGCCGCGACGACAACACACCGCUCCAACGGCCGCAUGAAAGCCCGAUCCGUCGCUCCCAACGCGAUCGCAAGCAUCAUCUCCACCAACCCCGCAAAUUUGAGCGAGAAAUAUAGAAAAACGGGAGAGAAAUCUAGAGAGAGAAAGGAGGGUUUCUCUCUCCCCUCUCCAUGCGUGCGGGUGAUGGUGGUGUGGGGUGGUCGGCUGAAGGAGAAGAAGAAGGCAACAAGUCUUCUUAUAUAAUUAACACCCCAAAACACUAUUCACUUCAGGCAGUUUUAGCAGUUCAAAAUAGUUGGAGCCCUUCUGAAUGUCCGUUUGAGCUCAAAUUUAACAAGCAGACUCAGUUUAACGUACUGAGUAAGAAUAUAUCUUAAGUUUUCAGUUUCAACCCCAUUUGGUCACUGAAAACUUUACCGAACUGUAAUCUUUAUCAAAUAGCUGUCGGAUUUUAUUUCUCACUCUACGGGUGUCAGAAAAAUAUGAAACUUUAAAUCUACCCUCAUAAAAAUAUUUCUGACUUAUCCUCCAAUUUUCAUAAUUUUCUGAGACUAUGCAUUUUCUGCUAACUUAUCUGUCCCGUUUCCAACAGAAAAUUCUAAAUCUUCUGUUUUCAUUCCGAUUUCAGCACAAGUCAUUUCUGACUUAUGUUUUACUUCUACAAAACCAAUAAAAAUAGCUUCUCACACUAUUUUUAUUUAUUUUAUUUUUAUACCAAAAUCUGGUAUGUUACAACUUACUGGUAAAAUAGUUUCAAAGGAGAGUUUUUCCUAGUCAGAUUGUUGUUCUUGGGGAGGUAUUUUCCAUGGUCUACCUGCAAUUUAUAUAUUUCAAUUCCUUCCUGGAAAUGCACAACCAAGUUAGAUCAUAAUAGCUGUAAAUCAGUGUCCUUCAGAUGGCCGAUAAGAGUUCUCUUUGCCCAACCAGUUGAGAAUUCUUGAUUAGGGACAAAGAAUCAAUACAUUGCAUAUAAAAUUACCUAGAGCAGAUAAAUCAGGCGCUAUUUCAAAAGGUAGAUGUAGGAAAAAUAGCCACCCAGAGAAACUCGCUUGCAGCAAAAAAGAAUGGAGAUGGAAUCCCUUUGUAAUGCUGCUGUUAUUUGUUCACGCUGCUGUUAUUUGUUCUUUUGUUUUCUAUUGUUGGGCAAACACUAACACACAAGAGGUCAGGUAACAUCUACUGAGCAAAGAACUUGCUUGGUAGUGGUUUCUAACUGCAUCGUAUAAAUGGAAUGUAUGGAGGGCUCAUUGGGCCUCAAAGCAGGUCAACUACAAGGCUUUCAAGAUCACUACUGAUUUCGUAUGCUCUGAUUCUAUGAUGAAAAACCCUCAUCAAAUAUUAUAUAAUUUGUCUCCUCAUAGCACUUCCGAUUCAUCUAGAUCUCUUCCCCUAACGUUCCAUGACAUUCUAUCAAAUUCAUGGGUAAUCAUAACUAAAAAAUAGAAAAUUUUUCGUUAUCAGUGUUCAUGAAAAGAAUAACAUUAUAUCAUGAAAAUACCAUAUGCAAACUAAACACCGUAUUACAAAGAAAUAAUAUAUACAACUCAAAAACGCAUUUCCAACUCUUUGUUACAUUAAUCAAAAAGGGCUGCUUAAUCGGGGAAACAUAGUAGUGCUAGCUUUAGUAGGUAGAGUACCUCAUGCACUAUUGUUAGGCGUCGUCGACUUGCUCAUCCAUCUAUCCGUCACAGAAUCAGGAGAAUAUGGUGGAUUCUUCCUCAACAAGUAGGCGUCCUCCUGAGCCAAAGCACCCUUGCCCACAUUCUCCACAUUGUUGGCCCCGUCUCGUAUACCUCUCAGCACCUCCAAAACCUCCUUCAUAGGAGGCCGCAUAUCCCUCUCUAAUCUCAAACAUCUAAAUGCCAGUUCAGCCACUUGAGCAAUCAUCUUCUUCAUUUCCGAGUCUGAGUGAUGCCCAAUUUCCGGGUCCACCAACUGAUCAAGUUCAUUGCUCUGGAUCUUACUGAUAGCGAAGCUAGCCAGAUUGACCUCAUAUCUGGACCUAUUUAUGUCAACCGCCGGCUUGGAUGAUAUCAGCUCCACCAACACCACCCCGAAGCUAUAUACAUCACUCUUAUCUGUGAGCUGGUAGCAUUGGUAGUACUCCGGGUCCACAUACCCUGGUGUGCCUUGUGGUGCCGUGGAGACAUGGGUGACAUCGAGAGGGAAUAAUCGGGACAUCCCGAAGUCACCUACCUUUACAUGAAAACUGUUAUCAAGGAGGAUGUUAGUUGUCUUAACAUCACGGUGUAUAAUUUGAGGCUCGACAGCAUGGAGGUAAGCCAGUGCAUCGGCUGCUUCUAUGGCAAUAUUCAACCGGAGGGACCACGUUAGGGCUCGUUCCCCAGCACGGGAACCAUGGAGGUGGUCUGCAACAGUUCCAUUCGACACGUACUCAUACACGAGGAGGAGCUCACGGCUGUUGCUGGAGGUGCAGCCAUAGAGGGUAACAAGGCUCUGGUGACGCAAGCGAGAAAGGAUGUCCACCUCAUUCAUGAACUGCUCAACCCGCUUGUAGCUGUUCUCGUAUAGGCGUUUCACUGCAACAGUGCGUCCAUCUCGGAGCUUCCCUGCAGGCAAUUAUGCAGAAGGUAAAGAUUGAAUUGAUUUAACAAAAAAGCCCUUAAAAGAGUUUUUGAUCCUCGUAAAAGGCAAGUAACCAUAUUGUACAAAUAAUGAGAGAAGAUAAUUUGUACCUUCGUAGACUCUGCCAAAGCCACCAUCGCCAAGUUCUUUGGAGGCAUUGAAGCCAUCGGUGGCUUCUUCAAGUUCCUCAUAGGAGAAAAUGUGGGUACGAUAUUGUGCAGUAUUUAACUCAAGGUCAAGAAUUUGCCGAGAAGAGUUGGUUUGUUUGAGCUGAAGUGAAGAGGAGGGUGUCCGCUUUCUUUUCUUUUGUUUGUACACAAGAAGGCAAACAAAACUUAUUACAAGAAUACCUCCUGCACCUGCACCAAUUCCUGCACUUUGCAAUAUAUACAAGAGGUUAUCGGUUGCUGUGAUAGAUACAUGCAUUCAAAGCAUUAUAUGAUGCCAAAAUUAAAAGUAAAAUAUAUAUAAAAAAAGAUUAUAAAAAAAGGAUAAUACGACAUGACAAUCAUAAAAGAUGUGAUCACUUGCUCCAAAAGUUUGACAGUUUAUGUACAAGGAAAUGCAUGUGGUUUAGAUUAUUUAUUUUUUAGAACUAGAACUGUAGUAAGGACAUAAUUGAUAUGAUAAAAGUUAAAAGAAAGAGACAUCAUGAUAUAUAAAAACGAAUUAGAAAUAGUGAAUUGGCCGCUUGCAAAAAGAUAAUGUUUACCUAUUCCAAUCUUCUUCCCAAGAUUGCUUUUCUCUGCAGUAAACAGUGAAAAAGACAAGCAGAGUUUAGUGAAGAGCUUGCAAAUUCACAAAAGAAUUACAUAAUACUAGUCUCAAGAAAUUUACGUCUACACAAUAUACAAGCACAGUAUAAAAUGUUACGACAUUAGUCUAAAUCAAAGUUUUAAGUACACGUCUUCACGGGCCGUAUCAACCGUGCCGUACUAUGCCAACAAAAUACCGACACGAUACAGACACCGUGCCGAUGGCACAGUUCAAAACCCUCUAUUUUUUAAAUUAGUGAGUAAUUUCCUCAAUAAAGUUCAAAAGAUGUGAUAAAAAGAUAUAAUAAAUAGUUAGAAUAUUUUGUUGCUAAAGAAAAUAUAUAUUUUAUGCUAUUAUGUGUCGGCACAUAAGAAUUUUUUUGACUGGCACGCAUCGGCACAACUAGGCAUGCAUCGUGCUGUACCGUGCCGGCAAGUUUCCGGCAUGACCCCGUGCCACGGCACUUAAAUCCUUGGUCUAAAUGUCGUUACAUAUAGCAACCUUUACAUAAAGCUUGAAUUAUUGCAGUCACUUUUUUUCCUUCAAAGCAAGGAUUUAAGUGCCGUGACACAGGAUCGUGCCGGAAACUUGCCGGCACGGUACGGCACGGUGCAUGCUGGGCUGUACCGAUGCGUGUCGGUGACAAAAAAAUAUGUGUGUGCCGACACGUAUUGGCAUAAAAUAUUUAUUUCCUCUAGCAACAAAAUAUAACAAUUAUUUAUUAUGCAUUUUUAUCAAAUCUUUUGAAAUUUACUGAAAAAAUUACUUACUAAUUUCAAGAAUAGAGGUUUUUGUGUUAUGCCAUCGGCACGGGAGCUGUAUUGUGCCGAUAUCUUGCUGGUACGAUACGGCAUGGUAGAUACGGUUCGUGCCGAUGGACACUUUAAUCUUUGCUUCAAAAUAUUAUGUGAUAACACUCUCUUCCUCAACUUCAUGAGUAAAGCUAAUUUAAUAAUAGCAAGUAAUAAAUGUAAAAUAAAAAUCUUGAGGCCUAUUGGGAAGGUAAGCAAAGCCUGUCAAAAGGAUUAUAAUCGGAUCUGAACAUUAUGCUUUUUCAAAAGUUAUAUACUCAGCAACUCACAAAUGCUCCUGAGCCUGAGGUCUUUGCUGAAGUUUAGAAAAUUUCAUUUGGAAGAGCACAUUAGCUAGUAGCUACAAUACCAGUACAGCCAAGGAAUUAUCAUUCAUGUAACCACCUUGCACAACCUAGGAAAUAGUGAAUAAAUAUUUACAACUAAAGCAAGCAUUAGAUCUCAUUCACAUUAAUGCGGCAUAUUAUCCACACAACCCUAUAGAGAUGGUUUUGUAAAAAUUACUGGAAAUGCUUGAGAUUUCAUUGAUGGCGGUAAUGCCUGUCUAGGCGCAUACAGCAAAGUACCUAAUUAAUCUUCGAAAGAUAUAAACCUAAUUUCUAGCAUAAAAUAAUACACCAGGAGAAAAUACAAGAUGUAUUUGUUAAAAUUAGAACGGCGAAAAUUAAAUCCAGAAAAAAUACUUAAUGCACGAAGAGAAAAGAAAAAGGAAAGACCACACCGAUAUUUAUGUGGUUCGGCCAACGGCCUACGUCCACGAGCGAAGGCGGAACAAAUACUUUAUUAAUAUCGAAAGGUGGAGUACAAAGAAGAUCUCUCAAAAGAACCAAAACUUAAUUAGAUCCGAAACGCCGAAAUUUGCGUCCGUACAAGAGACUCCAAAGUGGCUCGGCUUAAUUAAUACUACGGCUCCUCGAUACCGUACGGAACAUCGAAACUUGAAGCUCAGUUCUCUUGGCAGCAAGGGUACGGCUCAAGAGAACCUAAUUAAUUAGCACGCCACAGGAGUAGUCUCAGCCGAUGGAGCACCAACCGCAAUUGGAUCUUGGUCAACUCUCUUUAACAUACAUGGCUUAAUUAGAGUCACCGCGGCUUCAUUAACUUGGCCGUAGCAUGUAUAUAUAAUACAUGUCUCCAAACUAGAGUCUAAUUCUAAUUCAAUUAGAAUUAGAGUACUACUUAUAAUCCUUAAAUCUAUAAAUUAUUUCUUAUCCUAAUUAGAUUAGGAUUUACCUUCAAUUUAGAUAACUACAAAUAUAAACUAAAUUAUAACAGUAUUAGGGCAUACAAAGUAUGGAAAGAAUAUGAAAUAAGAAAGUAUUCAUGCACUCAAUAAACGUAAUUGAGAUGCAUAAUCGAGCACAAUGAGAAGUUUAUUCAUGCACUCAAUCAACAUAUAUAAUUGAGAUGCACAAAUAUCAGGCACAAUUAGCUCAAAAUCAAAAUCACGUUCAGAAAGUAUGAGAAGGAUUAAUAAGAAUGAGACUACAAACUCGAAUUCAUCUCUUCAAUCAUCCUCUUUUGAACCUUUUUUUUUCUUUUGGGUGAAACCUUAAGAUUUACCACACAUAAUCCUAUUUCAACUAUUUUCAUCCAAGAUUUCAUCAUUAACAUGUAAGAACAAGCAGAAUGGAAUCCAGUUUGAUAUCUGAAUUGAACAUAUCAAAGAAAUUGGCAUCUACAAUUUUUGCAAAUCCUUCGACCGACAACGUGUUUAUACCAUUCAUUUUCCCUAUUCCUUAUGCCUUCCAUUUUUCCUAGUCUUCCUCAUUUAAUUGUAUAGAUCUAUUUACUUCCACAUCGGAAUUGCAACUCUUUGAUAUCUCUAGCACUACGGUUCUUUUAAAUUGUCAUUGAUUCUUCCAAGUAAUAUGCUUAUCAUUAUGCUUCUUGAAGCAAAAGUGCGCAAAGUGUGGUUAGACCAAUAACGCCAACCCUUGCAGAUUGCCAAGGCAUAUCAUAUACUUCUUCAGAUUGAUGAAAUUUUAACUCUACUAAACUACAGUUGGUGAUAAUCACCUUGUUCCUCCACCUCACAUAAUUUGUCUGGUGCAACUUCACAUUCAAUGCUUCUAUUUGGUGACAAACUUCAGGAUGGAAAGUUAAAACUGUCUUAUCACAAGCUUCUUUUCUUUUUAGGGUUCAAAUCACAUAUAUCCCCUGAAUUUUAGUACUUUUUGGAAGCAGACCUCUAAACUAUCAAUUUUUACAAUCAGCACACUGAACUUUAUCCGAGACGGCGCUUGUUUGUAGGUAAGUAGUCAAUAGAGGUAUAGGUCCAAAUUGGUGUGACAAUUUCCAUUAAUUUGUUUUGAACAAAGUGAAAGUGGAAAGUGGAAGGAUCGAAGUGAAGUCUUGACUUAGCAAGCUUGCUUGUGACUGGCUCGUUUACACCCUUUAGUCUGCAUGGCUCAGUUUGGCUAGCUUUGAGAAGAAAGCUGAACUAAACUGAUUAAAUUGGUUUACUAAAAAUAAGAAAAGAAAUCUAUUAGGUUCCGACGAGAGUUUGUCAAUGACAGUUUGGACCUCAGGUUGGGCUCGGAAGCAUCUCCUGGUUACUCUAAGGCUCAACGGAGCGGGUCCAUUAUCUCCGACCGUCUAAGCCACAAAGCUUGUGGUUUAAAUACAGGGUUUAAAAACUUCCAAAACUACCAUCUUUGCCCUAGAUCUUGUCGGGCUGCUUCUCAAUCCUAUUCUGUUGAAACCUAACUCACCACCAUCUUCUUCUCAGCCCUGUCGGAGCCUCUUUUCAACCUUCGAUCUCCAUGGAGUCUACCUCCAUGAGCUCCUACCUAGGCCUCUGUUCUCGACUACUUGCUUUCUUUAUUACCUUUACACUCGCUAUGUGUUUUAUUUCCUUUACUCUCACUCUUUGAGAUUAUACUACAUAAAUAUACAUCUACUACUGCUUAAACUCUACUCCAUGAGCUUUUUAAUUCAAAGUCGAAUUGGGAGCAAAUUUAAGACUAACUCAAUAGACUCGCAUAAGGCCACAGGAUCAAGUAAUAUGAGCUUUAGAAAGGUAUAUAACAAUCCUAUGUUCAUCAUGUUCAAGGCGAAUGUUUCAGGUUUGAGAUCAGAUCAUCCGAUGGAAUUUGUCAAAUGCAACUUGACAGCAGCAGUUACCGGUUCUAUGCUGCUACAAAAAACCAGUAAAAGCUCGUAUCAGCAACCGUUCACGCGGAGGAACAAGUUCUCUCCAAAAUGCUCAAGAUAAAGUUCUUCAGUUCAGAUUAAUCUUCUUGCUGAAACAAUUGAGGUAGUAGAUUUUCAACACAGACUGCAAUCUGUAGAAGUUGAAUCUACAAACAUAACAUCGGAACCAUAUGAGAAAUGACACAGCGCAUUUAGAAAUAGGCAACUUGGCAACUAAACUCAAAGUUUUCGUAUUACAUGUAACCUCUUUUUGCUUUUGAAUUAGGCACCUGAACUUAAUAUUUUUUAUUCUAGUACCCAAUCUUACAGUAUCUGCUAUGUAUCACGAACAUUUUUAUAAGUCUCGCGUGUCCGUGUCGGACUCGUGUCCAACGUAAACACGUCAUGGACACACAUUCGACGCGAGUCCAUAGCACAUCUCACCAAAAAAUAUAUAAUUUUUUUAUUUUAAUUUUUUUUAUGCAUAUAUAAUAUAAGGUGAUAAAUAUUUUGGCUUUUUUUAUGAAUGCAUAUAAUUUUUUGGAUAAUAUGAGUAAAGUAUGUAUGAUGGAGAAUUUCUUUUCUUAAAAUAUAUAAAAUAUCAAUGAGAAUUUUAACACUUUAUAUAUAGUAAUAUAUACUAUUAUAUUAAUCUAUUCUAUUUUAUACGCGGUGUCCAUAUCGUGUCCGUGUCCUAAAUUUUGGAAAGUGCCGAGUUACAAUGUCCGAGUCAGAGUCGCAUCCCGUGUUCCGUGUUCAUAUUCUUGACGCCUAGCAAAUCUGUAACAUUCUUGAUGAAAAUUCCAUAACCUUAACCGAAUAUGCUGUUACUCGAUGGAAUCAACAGAAUGACCUACGUACUAUCACAAAUUGCACAAAUUAUGUAAAGUUUGUCAUGCAUAACGAGUUCAAAAAGAAAAUUUAGCAAAAGGAGAAUGCUCGGAAACUGCUAAUUGCGUACUUAUCUUUAACAACUACAUGGUUUGAUUGGUAAUAAUGUAGAAUUCUCCUUUUUCAAUUUUAGCUGCCUAUUAAUCAUAUAUAUAUAUAUAUAUAUAUAUAUAUAUAUAUAUAGUCCGGCUACUAUACUCUUAUGAGUACGAUUGCCAUCGUACUCAUAAGUUGUUUUCGAUGAUAAAACUUCCAAAUUAACGAUCCACAUCGUUAAACGUUAUUUAGAGCAUUAAAACGUCUAUAAAUUAAAUUUUAUAAUUUUUCGACAUCAUUUACCUUACGAUCAAAAGGUCACAAAAUUAACAAUUUUUAACGACCGGUAUGGAAUAUUUGCUAGUUUAACGGUGUAAAAGAAUCGGAAUCGAUUGAAUUUUUUAUAGAAAAUUCUAUUCAUUAUAUAGAUAAAUAUCAAUAACUCCGAUCUUAAAUUGAAGGAUCUGAUCAUCCAUUUUUAAGACGUCGUUCGAUUUCGACCCUUCAUUUUAUACCUGCUUGAUGAAUUUUAUUAUGAUUUCGAAAAAUUACGAAAUUUAUUUUCUAAAAGUUAAAAAUACUCUAGAUCAUAUUUAACGGAGCGGAUCGUCGAUUCAGAAUCUCCAUCAUUGAAAACAACUUAUGAGUAUGAAGGGCUCUAUACUCAUAGCCGUAGCCUCUAUAUAUAUAUAUAUAUAAUUAUAUUAUAAUUGAGCUAGAUAUUUUUAUAGCACUACCUCUGGUGAUUCUAAAUUUUUAGCCUUUGGAUCUACUCCUUGAUUACUAAUAGCCUUUGAUCAAACACUAUCACCCACCACCAUCUACCCAUCAUCAUCUCAACCUCAACAUCUCUCCAUCCAAUGGUUAAAAACUCAAAAGCACCACCUUCAUGGUGCUUUUGAGAGUAUUCUAGCUCAGCGCUCUCUCUCUCAGCCUAGCGCGCUCUCUCUCUCUCUCUCUAUAUAUAUAUAUAUAUAAACAUUAUUCCAAACUCCUGGAAAGGAUUUAAGAUUCGGAAUUAAUUGGUAAGCAAUAGGAGAAAAAUUAAACUCACUGCAGCUUCUUAAAUGGGGCCGGUCAGGGCAAAUGCACAUGAAGGCGGAGCCAUCGUAGCCACACUGGCCGUUGCUCGCCUCGCACUGGGAGCAAUCGGCCACCGUCCACUCCGCAAUGACCCCGUUCCGCAAGAGCUUCUCAUAGCCACUCGCGUUUACUCCCUCGAUCCCCACGACCGGCACGACGGCCGCCUCGCACUCUCUCGACGGAUUCAGCCCCUCGAGCCCCGCAUCGAACCCGCCGAGAUACACAGAGGUAUCAUUCGCGCAGGGGACACGGUAGUAGUAAUUCGCCGCAGGACUAAUUCCCGAGCAAGCGUAGAAGAAGAAGAGCUUCGCAUUGACGGCGCUAAUGGCCAGCGGCGAGAGGCCAAACGUGAGAUUGAAAAGCGGGAGGGGGCACUUGCCGUGUAGCCAGUUGCUGUUGCCGAGCCAAACGGAGCUAUUGUGGUAGAAGAUACUGCGAACGAAGUAGUAGCCAUCGUAGGAGGAUUUGAGGGCCGGCACGCCGUCGCCGCCGCAGACGAGCUCGAAGGCGGGGUGGCCGCAGUAGCUGGGCUGCCGCCCGCCGACCCUAAAGGGGUACGAGAUGCGCGUCACGUUCCCGCAGCUGGCGGGCUGGCAAUCGCCGAUUCUCGGACUGACGGAAAGAGAAGGAAUGGGCGACGAGGAGAGGAUCGCGAUGAGGAGGAAUAGUUUCAUUUGGAGGGGACGGAGAUGCAGGGAUAGACCGAUACAGAGAGGGGUUUGAGACGUGGGUAUUUGUGCCAGCCAGAAGGUUUAGGUGCUGAAAUUUUUGACCGGUCAUUUUAGACCAACAUGCUUUCCGAAUUGAUGAGGAAAGUCUUGGGCGCUGAACUGGGAAUAGAAGGAUAGAACAUGGCCGGUGGCGCGAGUGGUUUCUGUUAGCCCCACUUGCCCGAGCCCGACGAAGAAGUGCCAUCGCAAUUGUACUUUGUCGAAUCUCCCAGAAAGAAAAGGCGUUCAAUCCUUUGGAUACGACUUUUUUUGGGGAAAAAAAAAAAAGUCUGCAGGAAUUUUUUUGGGUAAAAAAUUUCUGGACAUUGUGCCCAUCUAACAAUACUUUAAUUUGACUGUACAAAAAAGUCAUGUUGCGAGAGGAGGCAAGUCUAUUCCACAUGACACGUUUUUAAUGAGACGGGAUCCACAAAGAAAAAAAAAAAUCUGUUAGAGCUGUAAAACCUCUCUCCCCUCCCUCCCCCUCUUCUCUAUAUAUAUAUAUAUAUAUAUAUAUAUAUAGAGUCCGGCUACUAUACUAUCGAUAGUACCAAGUCUUUGGUACUAUUGAGUUUUCUACCAUUAGAUCUACCCUUUGAUCAUUUCCACCCGUUAGAUUAUACUAUUAAACCAACCACCCUCUCAACCCUAGGAGAUCACUAUCAAUUUAAUCGGAGACCACUAUCAUCCUAACCGCACAUCCUUUCAUCCAACGGCCGAAAACUCAAUAGUACCAAAGGCUUGAUACUAUUGAUAGUAUAGUAGCAUAAUUCUAUAUAUUAUUAUAUAAUAUUAAUAUAAUAGAUGCGGCUACUUAUGUGCUAUCAGAAGCAGCGGAGCUUCCGUGCUUCUAGCUCGUUUUCGAUAUUGCGACUUUCGAAUCGUCGAUCGGCUCCGUUAAACUUGAUUUAGAGUAUUUGAAGUACUAGAAAAUAAAUUUUAUGAUUUAUGAUAUCAUUUGCCUAGUGAACGAAGGGGCUCAAAAUCAACGGCUGAAAAUAAAAAAUCUUAUAAAGUAAUAAUAUGACAUUAAAAUUUUAAAUCAAAGAUAUUGAUCUUGUUUAUAUAGUAUAAAGAAUUUUCUAUCAAAAUUUCACGUGAUUUGAUAUUUCUACACCGUUUAAACUUACAAACGGCUCACUUACGGCCAUUGAAAUUUGUUGAUUUUUGAGCCCCUUCGUUCACUAGCAAAUGAUAUCGUAAAAUCAUAAAUUUAUUUUCUAGGUACUUCAACAUAUUCUAAAUCAAGUUUAACGAGCCGAUCGACGAUUCGAAAGUCGCAACAUCGAAAACGAGAUGGAAGCACGGAAGGCUCCGUGCUUCCGAUAGCAUAGUAGCCUCACUCUAUAUAUAUAAUAUAUAUAUUUUAAAAAUUUUGAUAUCAAAUUAAAAUUUUGAUACUUUCAAAUUUAAAAUUUAAUAUUUAAUAUUUUAUAUUUAUAGUCUAAAUUUCAAUUUUAACUUAUAAUAUUAUUUUCAAAUUUUAAACUUUUAAAUUUAAAAUUGUUAAUCUUUAAACUCUAUGAAAUUAAUUAAAUAAUUUUAUUAAUUCAUUAUAUAUAUCUAAUUAAUAAUUGUACUAAUAAUAUGCAUAAUAAAUCGAUAGUAAAAUCUAACCUAAUAGAUGCAAUUUAAAUCACGUAAAAUAUCAUUGUAUAAAAAAACUACAGCAUUUUAAUUUCAGGAAAAAAUUUUAGAAAUAUAUUGUAUUUGUGUAUAUAUAAUUAAUUUUAUUAAAUAAUUUCUUCUACAGUUUUAUUUUUCUUCUUUUUAUUGAUUUUCUUAAAAUUAUUUUGAUAGAUUUAUCUCAAGUCCUUUUCAUAUAAAUAUUUAUAAAAUAAAUUAUUGUAUAAAUUUACUUUGCGCGUAUACCAAUUUAUGAUUUUAUUUAAAUAGAUUUAAUAUUAAAUUAUUUUUAUAAAUUUAUUUAACUAAUAAUUAGACUUAUAAAACAUAUAAAAUAUUAAAGAAAAGUAAAAUUUAUUAUAAAAAUAUUUUAUAUCCGCAGUAUCGCGUGGGUAUUUCAGUAGUGAAAAGUAAUUUGGGGACUUCCCAAUGAGCGCCGCGUAACACCCUCCACGCGGGGCCCAUUGCCCCACUGCUAUGUCAUUUGGGAGGGCAGUGUGAUUUUUUUAUAGUGUUGCUUGAGAAAUUAGAAGUUUGUACAAAUAGUAUGUUAAAAAAUGCUAUUUUAAUUUUUUAAAAAGAUUUUUUUUAUUCUAAAAUGGAUAUCAUUACAUUGGACCUACAUUUUUUAUUUUAAAUUCACACUUCUGUUGAAAACAUCCAUAUCUUAGCAAGACAACAAUUGGCUCCAAAAAAUGCUUCUAAUAGUUGACAAAAAACAAAUGGGUAAAUUUCUGUUGGUUUUCAAACUAUAAGAUAUGUGACAUUUUAGUUCGAAUUUUAAUUUAUUGUAAUUUUUAGUUUGAACUUUCAGAAUUAUAAAUAAUCAAUUUUCACAAUUCAUUUUAAUUGAUUAAAUUUUGAUGUAUCGUUGAUAAUAAAGUAACGCUGUAUUUUAAUUAUUAGUGUAUCAUCAAUCACAACACUAUCUACAUUAUUUUUAUAUUAGUGAUAUAUCAAUAUUUAUUUAAUUAAAUUUGGUUAUAAAAUUUGAUUGUAAUAAUUCUAAAAUUGAAGUAUAAAAUUGUAACAUAUUAAGUUUAAAGACCAAAAUGUCUCGAUCCUCAUAGUUUGAGGACCAAAGGCACAAUUAACCAACAUAAAUGACAAAUGCUAUGUUCUUAUUUCUAUUGUUCUUAUCUAACUAUUCAAAUUUAUUUUUCUUUAUUUUUAAAUAAUAUCUAAUUUUUAUUUAAAUGCAAAUUAGUUUUUUUAAUAUUUAUUUUCGAAAUUGUACCUACUUUUGAAAUAAACAAAUACAUCUUAUUUCUGAAUCAAAGAUAUCUUGGAGAGAUAGCACCGAAAUAGGUGUAACAAUACCCUGUUUAGGCUGUACAAGAGUACAAGUUUUACCCAAAUAAACUGGAACUUUUGCAUACAUAACCUUGCGAAAUAGAAUUGCGCAUUUAUUCCUAUAAAGUUGCUAUACAUAGAGGCACUUUGGAAAUUACACUUAGGUAUCGUUUGGCUCGAUGAUAAGCAAAAGUUGCUAUUUCAGAGAUAGAUAUAAAUUGAUGUAUAAGCGGGAUUAGAUUAAUUUUGUGUUUGAAUGAAAUUGAGGUAUUCUUAGGAAUAGGAAAAAUAACGUUUGGUUAGGUAAGAUAGAAUAAAAAUUAAAGUGAGUAGUUUAAAAUAAAAAUAAUGUAUUACCCUUCUUAUUAUAUUUAAAUUUAAAUUAUAUAUAUUUUAAAUUUAAAAUUUUAACUUUUAAAUUUCAAAAUUUGAAAUUAAAAUUUAAAAUUUAAAAUCUCAAAUUUUAAAUUCAAAUUUUAAAUCUAAAUUUAAAUUUAAAACUUUAAAUUUAAGAUCAAAUUUAAAUUUGAAAAAAUAUAAAAUAUAAAAUUAAAUUUUAAACAUUUAAAAUAUCAAAUUUUAAAUUUAAAAAUUUAAAAUUUUGAAAAUAAGAAUAGGGGUGGGAACAAUUAAUAAAAUAAUUUAUUAUAAUAAAUUUAUAAAUUUGAUAAUAAUAAAUUUAUAAUUUUUUUAUUAUUAAUAAUUUAUUAAUUUUUUUAAAUUCUACUUAAACUUAAAUUUAAUAAAAAUAAUAUUUUAUAAUAUUUAAAUAUAAUUUAUUAUAAAAUUUAUUAUAAUAUUUAAUAUUUAAAUAUAAAUAAUAUGUAUUAAUAUAGUACAAUUAAUAAUUUUAUAAUAAAAUAAUAUAUUAUAAUAUAUAUCAUAUUAUAUUUAUAUAAUUUAGUUUUAAUUUAAUUUAUAAUUUUAGUAAAGUUUGAAAUUAAACAUUGGAAUAGCACUAUUCCAUUAAAAUGGUGGAAUAAUAAAUCCCAAGCUAUUCCGGAAUAGCCGGGAAUAGCAAGGUUUGACCGGGAUAAAAUAUCUCGGUUAUUUCGUUUGGCGAAAUAGUGGGGAUAACUCCCCGCUUAUUCCGCAAACUAAACGGACCUUACUGUAUAAACACCCCUUCCAAGGGUAUAAGUUUGGAAAACAAUUUUGCAUGUAAAUUAAUUUUUAUUAGCUUGUUAUUUAUACUACUCAAAGAAUGACUUAAAAAUAGUACAGUUUGUAUGCUAUCUAAUUUAGUUCUAUACUAAUUUGUCUGUUUAUCUAUACCGUAAAAUAUCCUAUAAAGUAUCUGAAUUUCCUUUUUCAAGAAAUAAUAUACCAAUACCUAAAUUUACUGCAAACUAAAUAAUAAGUUUUUUUUAAAAAAAAUUACAUCUAAAUAGUUGUGAUGAAGCACAUUAACUGCAUUACACAAGUUUUGAGCAGUCAAAAGGCAAAAUUAGCUCUUCAAACACAACCCAAUUCCAAAACCGAAUUUGCACAAGUUGCUUGAUAUAGGGCUUAUCAUUUAUAGAAAGAGAUCUUCGGGUUGGGUUUUAAUCUAGAUGAAAUGCAAAUUUGUUCUUUUUUUUUUCUUUUUCUUUUUUGAGUGAUAGAUAGCACGCCACCCGCUUCGUUUAUUUCAUUAAAAAUAAACUUAGCUAGAAAUGUAAAUCAACUAGAAUUCGAACUUGGGAUUUCGGGUAUCAACCACCAAACCCUUUACCACUUGCUCUAGGGACGGUCAAAAUCAAAUCUAAAUUCGAAUAUGUUUAAAUCAGGUUCGAACUAAAACCUUAUUCAACCACAAUCUAAAUAAUAUAUUAGUACAUAACAAAGGUCAUAAAUGUUAACAGCGCUAUGAUUAAAAGACACUCAUAAAUUGUUAAGUAUAUUUCUAAACCAUUUUUAUUACAUCUAAUAAAAUCACAAUAGACUAAAGAGAAAAUAUGGCAUCCCAUUUUUUUCUUUAAACAUAAAAGUAAAAGAUUGAUUAAUUUGCAAAACGGUCAGUUCAUAGUGAUUAACGCCAUUAAUUAAUUAGAGAUUUGUUGGAGAGCAAAUGUACGGUACGUACAACUGACAUAAACGAGAAGCCUAAUGUUUGUUUGGUUAAAAGUGAGGUGGAAGUGAAGAGAAGAGAAAUUGUUUUCACCGUAAACGGUCACUUUUAUUGUUUGGUUCACCAUAAAAAAAUUAUGGUAUUAAAACUCGAGUUAACCUCAAAUGGCGUAAUUUUAAUAUUUUUUUAUUUAGUUGUACAAUUAAAAUAUAAUAAAAAUUAAUUAAUUAAAUAUUAAUAAUUUUUUUAUUUUAUAAUUUUAUUGUUGUAUUACUAUGAUUUAUGUAUAAAAAAUAAUUUAGUUGUUUUAAAUUAAAUUUUAAUUAUAUAAAAAUAUAAUCAUAUUAUUUUUAUUUAUUAAAAUAUUUAUUAUUUAUACAUAAAUUAUAGUUUUGUAUUAUAUACUUUCUACCACACAAACAGUAAAAUUAAUGAAACUUCACUUGCAUAACUAUAAAAAAAAUAGCAGAGAAGAAAUAGUUUUUACUGAGCUUCAUUUCGACCCAAAAUCUACUUCAACUUAAAGUCCAAUUUGGAUAAAACAAAUAAACAAUUUUUGAAGUCUAUUUUUGAAGCUUCUAGAAUACUCAUGUUAAAAAAAUCUAUCAACUGCAGGUAAGGUAUUCAAAUUUUCAUUGUACUAGUUGAAAAAGUCAAAAGUUGAAAAGUCAGGCAGGAGGAGGUAACAGUUUUCGUACCGCUAGUGAUGCCCUGCUGCUUACAUUCGUUGCCGGACGAGACCAUUCCGUUGGGACAGAAGCAGUUAGGUGUGCUGGAGUUGCCCAGAACGCUCCCGCACAUACCGCCGGAGCUCUGGCAGCUGCCGCACCACUCGGUCCCUAACGUCCAAUUCACCCCGAACCCGCCCUGCAGCGCAUCCCUGAUAUUCGUCCUCCCCCCGUCCAAGAAAUCCGAUGCGGCCGUCUGAUUUAUCGCGAACACCCCGACCGAGCUGCAGCUUUGCAGCAACUCAACUAUAAGCGGUGUCUCGUUCACGCUGUAGUAGUAAUAGUUGGAACCGAACUCCGUGCAAUUGGUCGGGAUGAGCCAGGGGAAGGUGAAGAUCGAGGAGCAGUUUGAGAAGAAGGUGAGGUUGAGAUCGAACGCGGCGUAGGUGAAGAGAGAGAAGUCGAGGGUCGUGUUGGUGAUGCGUUGCGGGCAGGGCUGAUUGCCGGAGACGAGAUCGGGGUCGACCACCGUCAGCACGUUGGUCGCGUAAUCGAUGCUCUUCACUUGGUAGGAUUCGCUGCCGAUGCUGAUCGUCAGCGUUUCGUUCGCGACGCACAUGAGGUCGAACCCCUCGCUUCCGCAGUAGUCCGGCAUGGUCUCGGGCAGCCGGAAAGGGAACGUGAUGUUGUAGGUAUUGUCGCCGCAGCGGUACUGCGACAGAUUGCAUUUUGCGAAUUCAACGGCGUCGUCGGCUUUGCAGCGGGAGAGAAGCUGAUAGAAAGAGAGAAAGAGCGGAAGGAAAAAAUGGAUUGGUUUCAUUUUGUUGGCUUAAUUAAUUAUAUCUUUCCCAAAGAUGCUAGCUAGAGCCUGGAGGGGAGUUUUUCGAUCGGGGGCUAUAAUAUAUGGGUGUAUUAGGAAAGAAAAUGAGUAGGUUUUAACGUUGAAAUUAAACGUUCGAAAGACAGAAAAGGUCCGAACGUUGAAAAUGAGAAAAAUCCUUGAUUGGUAUUUGGUACUGCAUGGUUUGUCAAAGGAGGUGCGUUUAUAGCAAGAAUAAGCUGACAAAUGAUGGAGCUUGGUGACGGCAGCUGUUGGCCGUUUUCACCCGGGAGUGAAGGUGGAAAUGCUCGAAGGUCUAGAAGCUGAUUUCUGUAUGGUUGCGUAACGAAGGAGUUAUGCGACUAAAUUCUUCAGACUCUGUCGGCUAAACAGAACGGGCAAACGAAUAGAUUGGACAAUUCAAUUCGUGGGCAGAUUAUUAUAUCUAAAAAUAAUAUAAUAUUAUCCACACCACUCCCCAGGUGCGUGGGCGGAUGAAUAAUCUCUUUUUUUCCCCUUUCUAUAUUUAUAUUUUUCAAACACAAAUAACAUAUAUUAUUUUUAUAAAAAUAAAAUAUCACAUUAUACAACAGAUAAUAGAAAAAAAUAAUAUUAGGGAAAUUAGGAAAAAUUAGUGGAUAAAAUAAAAAAGUAUUCACUAUUUUGAUUUUUUAAAUUUUUUUAAAAAAAUUAUAUAUGCUGGUAUUUAUGAUUACUCGUGGGUUGCCCAAAAUAAUCAUAAUUUAACGGAUAUCCACCUAUUUUUACCAUAACUUUUUAGUAAAAAAAAAUUAGUAUUUAUAUCUAUAAAUUUAUGAGUAAUUCGUGAGUACGUACCUAUAAGUGCGAAUUGCGAUUACCAGCUCUACAGCUAAGAAAGAAAAUCAAAUUGAAUCUUCAAUUAGUAAAAUUGCAUGACUAGUAUCCCCAACUUUCCGUCCCAAGUCAUUUUAGUUCUCAAAUUUUUAAUUUUAAUAUUAGUGGGCCCCAAACUUUUAAAAAUGUUUCACUUUUUUCCUUAUAUUUACAUAUAUAUUUAGAAUAAAUUAUUGCCUACACACGGGGCAUCUAUUUAUAAAUCUAUGUCUUAUACAUUAUUUGAGUAUUCUUUUUAGGAUAAAUUGCAUGUUUGGUUCUUAAACUAUGAGACACGUGACACUCUAAUUUUCAAACUUUAAUUUAUUAUAAUUCUUACUUAAACUUUUAAAAUCACGUCUUACAAUUCAAUUUAAUUGACUAAAUUACCGCAUUUUGAUUAAAAGUGAUAUGACAUUUUAAUUAUUGGGACAUUAUCAAUUGUGACAUUAUUACAUCACUUACAUUAGCGAUUUAUUAAUACUUUGUCAACAAAAUUAGAUUAAAAAACUUGACUAUAGUGAUUUUAAAGGUUCCAACCAAAAACUAUAAUAAAUUAAAAUUUGAGGACCAAAAUAUCAUCAGCCUCAUAGUUUGAGGACUAAACAUGCGAUUUACUCUUUUUAUCAUAUAUUUCAAUCUUACUAUCCAUUUGAAAUAUAAUUUUUUUUUCUUUAUAUAAAAAUUAGAUUUCUGGAUUAAAAGUAUGAGAUAAAUGAAGAAAACGAUGAAUUUAUGAUAUACAAAGAUAGAUUAACUAGGUGCAAGCAAAAUUUUUUAAUUUGUGAUAAAAAUUAAAAUAAAAUACUGUUGAAAAUUUAGGAUUAAAUUAAAACUUUAUUUAGAUUCAAGAUCUUUAAUAUAAUGAUGUGAAUCGAAUAUGUUAAUAUUGGUUUCUUGAAAUCUACUAGUAAUAAUAAUUUGUUGGGCCUACAUCACUGGCCCAAAAUGCUUAAUAAGAUGACGGAUUAACUGGGUGCAAGCUAAAUUUUCAAUUUGUGAUAAAAUUAAAGUAAAAUAUUGUUGAAAAUUUUGGGACUAAAUCAAAACUUUAUUUAGGAUUUAAGAUCUCAUUAAGACCCACUAACAAUAAUAACUUGUUGGGCUCUCAAACUUCUGAUUGGUAUUGAAACAACCCGAUCCACUAGCAAUAGUAACUUAUUGGGUCCAAACCACCAGCCCAACAAUAUACUUAAGUCCAGUUAUUAUUACCAGUGUCCAUGGUCUUUUAUAUAUCGAACCAUAAUCCCAUUCCUAUUUGAUGUGGGACUAUUGAGAUGUUACAAACUCCUCCUUAGACCCUAACGUCUUUGUUAACCCAACCACACACACAACCUAAAAUCACCAGGUAAUGUGAGACUUAUCUCGCUAGCCUAGUCAUUUUAGACCAUUGUAUACAGCCUAUCACACAAGACACUAGCUUACCCUGUUAUUCUAACCCCGACUCGGUCAAGACUCAUCUCACAUUUUCGGCUGGUUAUUAGCUCAACGAGUUACUAUGUCAUGCCCUGGGGUCCUUUUUGAAAGCCAAUUCGAAAUCGGGCUAUCUUUAUAAAUCAGAGUAAACGGAAUACUGCUCUUUUUUUUUUUAACUUGAACCCGAAAGAUAUGCACAGACCCGCUAUAAAUACAAAAUUUUUUUGAAACAAACGGACAGAGCCUCUCCUGUAUUUGCACGGCGUAGCACAUAGUACAAAUUAACAACCAGACUCCACUCACGCACGCAAUAACAGGAUGUACAAAGAUUAUCAUAUUGUUAGAUGUAUGUAACACCCUGAACUUUAGCAAAUUGUAAGGUUAUAGGGUUCGAAUAGUGUUUAGUACUAUUCCUGCGGUGUUUGAGGGUUGUUGAUUGUGUCCCGACCUAUUUACUCGCAUCUUGAGAAGCGAGGUUGAGUACUUAGCACCAAAACCUCCAAACUGCAGGUUUUGGGGUGCUGGGUACCGGUACAAGAGAAGGAGUACCGGAACUCCCCUGCGUAACCGAGAGAAGCUGCUCUCGGGUUUAAGCUCUGCGAGGCAGAGUACCGGUAUGGCAUCGCCCGAAUACCGGUACUGGGGUCUGGUACCGGUACUGCAUCGUGCGGGUACCGGUACCCUACACGUUGUUCGCUUGACAGAGGCUCGGGUUUGGCAGUUUUGUUGACCUGGUACCGGUACUCUUGCCCGCGUACCGGUACGUAGUGCAAAAACUGCAGUUCGUGCAGUUUGCAAUUUUUGGUAUUUGGAGAGGCUUUUUGGGGAUUGUUACAACAUGUUAUAUAAUACCUCUUUCUCCCCCACAGCACUCUUUGUGCUGAGCUUGGAGAAGAAGAAAGGUAGAGUAUUUUCCUCUCUUUUUCUCUAGAUUUCUCUCCCAAAUCUUGGUUGAUUUGAGGUUUGAUCUCUUUUCUCCUUUCUCUUCAUGGUGGCAAGCUUGUGGACCUCAGAAGGAGCUUGGAGGAGAAGAGAAGAGCUUCUUGGUGGAUCAAUCUUCAACCCUAACUCAAGAUAGUUUGAUUUGGAGCUUUCUUGAAGGUUAGUACUUUUCUUGCAAUCUCUAUUUGUGGUUUUUGCAAGAUUUGGAGAUGAAAACCUAGUUUUGGAAAAACUAGGAUUUAUUUUGGAAUUUUUUGAUUUGAGGCUUUUGAAACCUAAUUGAUGAGUGUAGAACUCUUCUUUAAGUUGGAUUUGAAGAUUCUUUGAGUUGAUUUAAGCUUUGGACAAAUAUAGCUUGAUUUAAAUUAAUUUUCUACCUAUUUUAUAGGUUGAAUUUAGAUGAGCUUGUGGGGUGUUCGUUCGUCACCCCUAACCCUCUUAGAAAUUCUUUUAGGGUGCUAGGAGCUUGGUGGACAACUUCGUUCGAACGAACGAAAGGGUUCGAAGAGCAUCCGAUAGGUUUGACCUCACCAAAAUAGUGAACUCUCCCUAUGUCUUCCUUAUGUUUUUAAGACAUAAUUAGAUGCUUAUUCAUGCUCAAUAUGACAUGUUAGAAUUUAUGAAAACAUAAUACUUACAUAUUAUGUGUAGUGAAAUUCAUGCUCUAUGUAGUAGAGGCAUAUAGGUGGAGUUGGUCAUAAAAUGACACUUCAUGAUUAUCUCCCUUAUUAUGUAAUAAUAGAGAGCAUAUUAGAGAUAAAUAAGGGUUUGAUCUUGUUAACCUUGCAUGAAUUGUGAAAUGAAGGAGACUUAGCAAUUAGUUGCAUGUUGAGAUAUACUUGUGGUAGACAAGGGAAAUACGAUAUUUUGACAUAAGUGCAUGUUAGGAUCAACAUGAAACUAAGUUUGAUGAAUCUAAUCUAGUUGAACAACUAGUUUAUAACAUUGUGAUAUUGCAUUCGAUUUAGGGAUCGAUAGUUGCCUUCCAUGUGUCGGACAUGUGAAUUGAGAUUUGAACGCCCCUGGUCGAAUGAUAAGAAGGAAAAGUGUAUAUAAAAUUAAUUGGUGGAACUCACUUGCAUGAUUAAAGAUGAUAAUUCUAUUUCAUAUAGUAGGGACUUGGUAGAAAAGUAUAUGCAUGACAUGCAUCAUAGGCAUUGUAAAUAUUUUGUAAUAUCUAUGCAUAUGGCAUAAGGAAGUGAUUCCCUUAGCUAUAGUGGAAUAGUAUAAGCGUGAACUCUCAUUUGAGACUUGAACAAUAGUGAAUGAUCCUGGAUAGGAUAAUGACAAGUGCUAUGUGCUUAUGAACUAGUGACUUACUUGACAUAGUAAACAUGAACGUCAUGUAGUAACAAUUGAAUUAGUAAAUGACUACACCUUGACAAUGUGACACUAUAUUGGACCUUUGGGUCGUUGGUGCUUAUUCCAUGUUUAGGCAUGAUGACCGAGAGCUGGAUACUAUUGAUCAUGCUUGUUUGCCAUUGUGCUCAUUCGCACAUGCUUGUGAGGGUCACUUCCUACAAGCCGGCACUCCGGAGAUAGCCUACGCGACACAAGCUCGCCCGUACGGGAUUGGGCGCCGAAAUGGGAUGCCGUGGGGGAGGCUCAUUCCUAGAGUGAAAAUGUUGACUACUAUGGGGCCAGUUUAGGCACAGCACAAGCCGGACUACACACGUGUAGAUCCAUGACGAGGAUUGAACUAUGACACCUAUAAAGUGUAAUGUGGAAACUAUUACUAGAUGGUGCAUAUUAGUUGAACUAGUGGACAUGCAUGAUAGUGCAUAUUGCGAACCUUAUGUUAGUCAUCCAUAGCACUGACACUCUAGUGGUAGUAUGUUUACAUCUAUGUUGAUUAGUAUAGAUGUAUGGAUAGAAUAGCAAUGAAAAGCAUAAUUCACUCUUUGUAGCAUUAUGGACAUAAUGAAUAUGCAUGUAAAUCGACAUCGACAUAUAGUUGAACAUGCAUGUAAAUCAACAUUGGCAUAUAAUUGAACAUAUGGAAUUAGAACAUCAUGUACAUGAUAGUUAAUCCUAUAGCGGAGGCAUGACUAUGAUUAAACAUGUUUAAUUUACUUGCUUUUCAUAUAUGGAAUUAGCGUGACUGGUCCUUUGACCUGCGGUGCCUCAACUAUUCACAAUGAGGUUACUGUAGUUUGACUGUACAUACACUUGGUCCCUAGCCAUUCGGGUUCUUGCGGUGCACGUUGGCUGCAGUAGGUUCAUUAUACGAAUAGAGUGUGCACUUAUAUAGAAUCUAUAUCCCUUAGUAGAUAGGGGUGUUAGUCCUAUGUGAUUUAUGAGACCGAGUUUAAAAGAUCUUUGCCAAGGCAGAGUUAAAAUCAAAAUAGAGAUUCUGAUAUUAGAAACUUGAGUCGAAUAAAUUUGACAUAUGACAGAUGAUGGGGUUUGACGAGUUAUUCCAUGGUCUCCGUCUAGUCGGGACUCAUGAUAGAAAACUGUAUAACACCAUAACUGCACCAAGAGGUUCAGUAUUCCAUUCUACUGGAAUGCCACUACAUGCUGCAAAGCAUCACUGGUGGAUUGUGAGACUCAUGAGAAUUAUCUAUAUGAUCGAUAAUUCUCAUUGGGCUGAGUUGGAAUUGUUUCGAUCCACUGAAAGGACUUUUAGUAAUAUUAUUGAUAGUGAUCAAAAUAUAUCUCACUACCAGAUAUAAUAGAACCUAUGGGGUCACACACAUAAGAGGUUGUGAUUGAUCGGAUAACUAGAUCGCGAUUUUUAAAUUGCCGGAGGACCUAAUUGUCAAUAUGUUGAUAAUUGGACUAAUUUAUAAUUGUUACAAAUUAGUGGUAUUAAAAUAUAAAUAUUACAAGAGAGAACUUACUAAUAGUUAGUAAAUUAUGAGAGGACUUAUGUGCAAAUAUUGCAUUAUUAAUUUGAUAUGAUCAAAUUAAGAUAAAGUUCAAGUCAAAUCAAAUUAGGAUUUGAUCGAUCUAACCAAUUAAGGAAAGGAUAAAUUUAAAUUUAGAUUUGUACUUAUCCUUAAUGGUCAUUGUAAGGUAAUGAAUCCUCGACGCGUAAACCGAACUUUAGUCGAAACUAACCAAAGUGUGGUAUUGGACGCUUCGGAAGGGUCCGUUGAGCGUUCCAAAAGUUCGGAAUGACUUAUAAGGGUGUAAAGGACCUUGGAGAGCAUUAUGGAGAAGUUCUAGAAAUUUUUGCAGUGGAAAUGCUCUCGGGGUCCGGACCCUGGCUGUAGACCCUGGCUGUAGGGUUCGGACCCCGAACACGAAAAGUUCUGAGUUGAGCCGAGUGUGUUGUGUGAGGGGCUUUGUCACGCCCCGGCCCAGCGGAAGCCCGCCCGACACGUGCACAGACCCGCCGUGUACACCGAACAACCACGAUGCACACAAGGCGUCUACUAAUACAAGAAUGAGCAAGAUCAAGUCCUAACAAGGCUAUCAGAGCGAGUAAUAUAAAAUCACUAAUGUUCUAUCACAAAGAGAUCCACAAGAUAUACAAAGUGUAUAAAUAUAAAUCCAAAAGUCUAACAAUAUCUCUAAAUCAAAUACAUAAUAUAUCUUUCCACAAGAUACAAAAAGAAAGAUGACAUCGGGUCCCUCUAAAUAUCUCCGUAAAGGCUCUAACUAGUCGCUAACCCCUUACCACGAUCCCUAGCCUCUCUCGCCGCGGAAAGCUCUGAAACAAAAACCAUCAACAAAUGGGGGUGAGAACUAUUAAACAAUAGUUCCCAGUAAGUAAGCCGCCGAGAGUGGCGAAAUACACCACUAGGUCAACUAAGGCAUGCUAUAAAGGGGUAAGUAAACAACAUAUAUAAAGCAAGUAAAUUAAACAUGUUUAUUCAUAGUCAUGCCUCCACUAUAGGAUUAAAUAUCAUAUAUAUGAUGUUCUAAUUUCAUUUGUUCAAUUAUAUGCUAAUAUCAGUUUACAUACAUAAUCAUUAUAUUCCGAUGUCAAUUUACAUGCAUAAUCAUUAUAUGCCGAUGUCAAUUUACAUGCAUAAUCAUUAUGUCCAUAAUCUACAAAGCGUAAAUUAUGCGUUUCAUUGCUAUCCUAGCAAUACAUUCAUAUUAAUUCACAUAAGUGUAGGUUUACUACCACUAAGGUUGUCGAUGUCAUAAUGUCUCACAAAAUAUUCAACUACUAUGAAUGCAUCAAGUAGUAACAUAAGGUAGCAAACCACAAGUAUGAACAUCUAUCAUGUAUGCAUCGACUACGGUGAUGUACAAAGUCAAGUUAAGUCUCAAUACCCAAUUUACGAGGAACGUACACGUGGUAACGUCCCAGCUCGUGCCGUGCCUUAGUGGCCCCGUGGGGGUCAUCAUUUUUCCUGCAAGAAAAGAGACUCUGCCCACGGUGUCACGCCCCGGGACCGGCAGAGGCCCUCCCGGUAGCGCGCCCAAACCCGCCAUAUGUCUACACAUAUAAGGCGUCUACAACAACAAUGGAAAAUAAAACAAGAGAGCAAAAGAGUCUAACGAUAUCAGAGCAAAGUAAAUAUCUAAGUUCUACACGGAAGAGUAGACAUAAAACUGGAAUCCAUUAAUUAAGCCAAAGAGUAGUACAGAGGGAAUCCCAAAUACAAAAACUAAACAUAAAGAGUAUAUAGGUGGUCUCUGUAUACAUGGUUCUCAAAAUCUCUCUCUCUCUCUAAUACAAAAAAAAGAGUAAACCACCUACGCUCACACGUAGCUCUCAGCUAACUAGCUACGUGACUCCUUUGCCGCGAUCCCGUGCCUCCGCCGGUGCUUAAGGCUCUAAAACAACAACAAGAAAAAGAGGGCGUGAGAACUAUAAUUUAUAGUUUCCAGUGGGCAAUUACUGACCUCAGCUCAAUGCACCACUAGGCCCCAAAAGAAAAGGGUAAGUCCAAAAAGCAAGAAUAAUAAUAAUAAAUAGUUUACAUUUAAGGAAGCAUGAUUAAGAAGCUAAACAACUAUGUUGCAAAUAAACAUGAUGUCAAAUGUGUAGUACAUCUACUUUAUCAAAACGAAGUAUGUCCAAGCAUGACUAAUAUGUCCCAACAUAACUGGCAAGUAGGUAUCAUGAUCCACUAUGUCAAAGUAUGAUGAAUAGGCUCUAUCAUGGUAGCAAGCAUACUAUGAUGCAAUAAAUAAGACUAUCAUGUAUACUACAAGUCCCAACACUAUGCUAUAAGCAUGUCAAGGUAAUCCAACUACUAAGCCUAUCUAGUAGUGUUAGUCAAUUCCCGGUUCAGUGUCAUUGUUUCCAACAUGUUCGUGGACGUACAUAUUGUAGUCCAGCUUGUGCCACCUAAGUGUCGGUGGUAGCUCCAGCAUUCCCACUCUAGGAAUAAGUCUAUUCCUCCCGACCCCGUAGGCUUCUCGAUACCGCACGAGCGAACAUAAGUCGCGUAGGCCAACUCCGGAGUGCCGGCUUGUAGGGAGCGACCCUCACAAGCAUGUGCGAAUGAGCACAAAUGGCAAGCAAGCAUAAUCAUCGUCUCAAGUACCCAAUCGUCAUGUCUCUAACAUGGUAAUAGUCACUAGCAUCUCAAUGAUCUAGCUCUAGGUCACAACAUGAAGUUCCAAUAUUUACUAAGUUUAGUACCCCUUUAUGACACUGAGACAUUCCGACGUACAAGCAUGUUCCAAUUCUCUCAAUGGCCCUAUCCACUAGAUUCACACAUAACCCGAGCUCAAUACUGCUUUAUGACAUUAGCUCACAAUUUCACAUGUCAAUCUAGUCCAAUGCCCCUUUUGUGGCAUUAUAAUAAUUCCAUGUCCAACUAGGGUUUAAGUCCAAUAGCGUUUUACAUAGAUCAAUUCUACUAUAUAAAUAAGAACCCAAGUCCACCAUAAGAAUGCUAAUGCACACAUAAGCCUCAUAUGCAAGUUCCUUACUUUAUAGGGUCCAAAAAUACAAUGUAUGUAAUAUAGACAUUUUAAGCAUUCUAAAAUUCAUAAUAAAUAUAUCUACCAUGAUUAUGCAUGCUUUUUCAUUUAACGAGACCCAAAUCUUCACAAUUGAGAUUUUCUCAUUUUGUGGCUAGGUCAAACCCACCGAACCGUCGCGGUGUCCUUCGUUUCGCCGAACGGAGUUGUCCACAAGUCUCAAAAUACCCUAAAAGUAAUAAGCGAAGAGAUACACAAGCGUUACGAGCAACUCUAGGCUCAAACAUUAACAAUCACAAGGAAAGGGCAAAAACUCACCUAGGGAGUAGAAAAUCUCUCUCAAGCUCCAAAAAAGAGCUAGAAUCCUUCCAAUCCAACCAAAAGGAAGAUUCUAAACCAAGUAAUUGAGCCUCAAAAGCCCUAGAUCAAAAAGCCCCAAAAUCAACCGUAAAAUCCCAUUUUAGGGUUUCAUUUACCACAAAGCAAUAAAACUCCAAUCUAGAGGGAGAGAAUGAGCUACUAACCUUUUAGAAGCCUCCAACAAACUCCAAAGUCCUCCAAGUGUGGAGAUCUCCCUUCUCUCAAGCUCCAAAUCCAAGGUCCAAGCCACCAAAAGGAAGAAGAGAGGGUGUGGGUGAAGAUCCAAGCCUCCAACAAGCUCUCUUCUCCUUCUUCUUCCUCUCCUUCUUCUUCUUCUCUCUCUAAGAGCAAGUGGAAUGGUGGAAUGAGGGAGAAGAGAAGGAGAAGUGACCAUAUAGGCCUUCUAGUGUAACAAAAUCCAACUAAGUCUCUCAACUUUGCUCCCUGUGCAAAGCCCGGACUGGGCAGUUUUCGGAUUGAGGGACCGGUCUCCCCGACAUGGGACCGAUCUCUCGGCCUGCCCUGAAAAUUCCGACGUUCGGGAACCGGUCUCUCCCCGCUCAGGACCGGUCUCUCCCCGCGUGGAUGCGCUCGGGGACUGGUCUUGCCCGCCAGGGACCGGUUGCCCCAAGGCUGCCGCAACACUGCUCACUGGGGGACCGGUCUCUCUUAUCGGGGACCGGUCCCCGAGAGUAAAAACUCUCAGGACUUAUCCAAAACUCAGGUUUUCGAACUUUUUAGAUCGGAAAACAUUCUACGACCCUCCACCCAGUGUGGAAAAAGCUCGAAACACAUCCAAUCACUCGAACCCUGCAAUUUGCACAGGUCGAGUGUACACACGGCAUCCCACUUCGGCGCCCAAUCUCACACGGGCGAUCUAUCGUCGCAAGGCUAAACUCCGGAGUGUCGGUUUGUAGGGAGUGACCCUCACAAGCAAGUGCGAAUGAGCACAAGGGCAAGCAAGCGUGAUCAUAGCAUAGGGUCCACAAUUUGGGAUACUCAAUCAUCAUGUCUAAAACAUGAAAUUUUCACACAUCGACUCGACGGUCGAGUAUUAGAUCAUUUAUGUCAUGUCUUGUCUUGUUUUCAACUACUUCGGUGAUAUGUCCCUACCAACACAUAUAAUGCUUAAAGCAUGCAUAGUUCAUAUGACAAUAUCCUAUAUAGGAUAGUUCACUAUUGUCAUGCCCCGGGACCCGGCGUAGGCCCGCCCGGUGCGUGCCCAGACCUACCAUAUGCCUGUACAUAUAAGGCGUCUACAAUAAAAGCGAUAAUAAACCUGUGAUACAAACAUUUAGAGAUAUCAGAGCGAGUAUAUAACUAGGUUCUAUCAACAAGUAGAAUCAAAAGAGACUAAACCACUAAAAUAAAAAGUAAAAUAAUGCAACCCAAGUCUCAUGAUACAUAUAAUGGGUGGUCUCUACAAAAUGGUACAAGUCUCUCUACCUCUUCAAAAAGAAACAAAAGAGAGGUAGACCACCUAUCGACAAAUCCCUCACUAGCUAGCUCGAGGCGAUUCCUUUUCCGCGAUCCCGAGCCUCUCCCGAAGUGGAAGGCUCUGUAAGAAAACAUAAAAGAGGGGGCGUGAGAACUAUAAUUUAUAGUUCCCAAUGGGCAAUUACUGACCCGAGCAAAAUGCACCACUAGGCCGAAAACAUAAGCAGAUAUGGAUAAUAAUAAGUAACUGCGAAAAAGAAAGCAUAUAAUAAAUGCUAUACUACUAUGCCACAAAUAUACAUGAUGUCAACAUGGAGUACAUCUACUCUAUCAUGAUCCAAUAUGCCAUAACAUGUCUAGUAUGCUCUAUCACGGCAUCCAAAUAUGCUAAAAUGCAAUAAGCAAUACUAUCAAGUAUACUACAUGUCUAAGUGUCCAAUACAUAUCUAGUAUGCACUAUCAUGGCAACAAAGUAUCUAUAUGUCCCAAUGUCCACUGAAUCCAACUACGAUAUACGAUCAAGUAGCGAUUAUUACAUAUAUGACUCCGUGUCGAUUUCCAUUUCCAAUCAAGAACCUACACAAGGUAGUCCGGCUUGUGCCGCCUAAGUGCCAGUGGUAGCUCCAGCAUUCCUCCUCGAGGAAUGAGUCUAACCCUCCAGGCCCCCAUAGGCUUCUUAAUAUCGCACGAGCGAGCAUAAGUAGCGUAGGUUAACUCCAGAGUGCCGGCUUGUAGGGAGCGACCCUCACAAGCAUGUGCGAAUAAGCACAAAUGGCAAGCAAGUAUAGUCAUCGUCACAACGAUCCGGUCAUCAUGGCUCAACCAUGGAAAUGAUCGCUAGCAACCCAUAGGUCUAGUCCAAUGUCCCAAGUGAAGGUUUAACCCUUCAUUACGUCCAAUGCCCCUUUAUGGCAUUAUAUCUCACUAUGCCCAAAUCUUGUGCCAACACUAAUGCCACUUCAUGACAUUAGGUUUACUAAGUCCACACAUAUUCCAAGCCUAAUGCCCCUUUAUGACAUUAGCUUGUUAAGUCCAUAUCUAGUCCAAGCCUAAUGCCUCUUUAUGACAUUAGCUUACUAUAUCAAUUCCAAGCCUAAUGCCCCUUUAUGAUAUUAACUUACUAUACCAAGUAUGAGUCUAAGUCCAAGAAUGCAUUGCACUUGUCAAUUUCACUAUAUGAAACAAGAUCCAAAUCCACACAUAGGAGUGCUAUCCAUAGGCCCAAGCCCAACAUGCAACUCUCUACUACAUAGAGGUCCAAAAAUGCAUUAUAUAUAACAUGUGUAUUUUAAGUAUUUUAAAAUUCACAAAUAAUCUAUUUUACAUGAAUAUGCAUGCAUUUCCAUUUUACGGUAUGUAAAAACCAUUAUAGGGAUGAUUUAUCCUGUUUUGGUAAGGCCAAACCCACCAAGUCUCCUCGCGACUCUUCGUUUGCGCCGACGAAGGUGCCCACAAGCCUCCUAACUCCCUAAAGGUUAAAGUAGGAGCAAUACACGAACGUUACGAAUAGCGAAUAGGUUAAACAUUAACCAACUCAAUAAAAGGGUCAAAACUCACCUAUAGUGGUGAAAAUCCCUCACAAGCUCCAAAGGGGAGCUAGAACCCAUCCAAAGCAAUCUAGAUAAAGGUUCUAAUAAGAUCAAUUGGACUUCAAAAGCCUCUAAUCAAAAAUCUCCAAAUCACACCCUAAUUUCACAUUUCUAGGGUUUCGAUACAAAAAUCAUGUAAAUCAUGAUCUAGGGAGGGAAAACAAGCAACUAACCUUAAGAGAAGCUCCAAACCAUGCUCAAGUGGAGAUCUCUCCUCCAACAAGCCUCAAUCCAAGCUCCAAGCCUUCAACCAUGGUGGAAAAGGCACCAAGAAGCAAAAAGGAGCAAAAUAAAGUGAUUAAACUUCAAAAAUCCUAACUAAAAGGAGAAGAAUCAAAGAGAGGAAGAGGAUGGCUGCCCUACCUUGCUCUCCUCUAUUUCCCAGCUCAGGGAACACCAGGGGGCGUGGGUGGUAUUUGUAGAUAGGCUACAAUUGCAAAAACACCCUCCUAGAAUAAGCAGUCUGGGGACUGCAAAGUGUACCGGUACACGAGAAAGUGUACCGGUACAAAAUCCUAUACGCGCAAACCCGAGCCUCGGGUUGGCAGAAAAUAGCCAUCUGUACAGGUACAACCAUAAGGUGUACCGGUACAAAAUGUGUUCCGGCACAACCAUCAAGGCUGUACCAGUACACAGCCCUGCUGAGGCUAACUCAAGAGCAGACCAAAAAUCUAACUUUUUGGGUUUUGGUGCAAAGUUUUAAACCACAAUUCUCGGGAUGCGAGUUAUAGGUUGGAACACUGUCUACGACCUUCCAGAAAAUGUAGAAAAGCUCGAAAUACAAACCAAACACUCGAACCUUUAAGAUAAGGGGCGGAUGUAGCCAAGUGGCAAUUUGCAAAAGUCUAGUGUGUUACAACUAUUUUAUUCAAGUCUCCAAAUAAGUUCUCAACAUACAAUUACAACAAUUGUUGAGAGAAACAUUUACUAAUGUCAUCUGCAAAAGAAUUAUGAUAUGUCCAUAAGUAUCACAAUGCAUGUCAUGCAUAUGUCCUUCCACUAACAUCCCCACUACAUGGAGUAGAAAUAUUAUGAUGCAAAUAAUUAAUUCCACUAGUAUUACAUGCAAUCAUCUCUAUUAGGAUUCGCCCCAAAGGCUUUAUACUCUCUUUUCCUCAUGUCUAAAACAUGAAAUAUAACUAUCGAACCCUAAAUCGAAUGUAAUGUCGCAAUGGCAAAUACUAGUUGUUCUACUAGGUUAAAUGCACCAAGUUACAAUGUCACAUGUCAAGUUCUAGUUGUCAACUAGGUUAGAUACAACAAUCUUAACUUCAUGUUUAGCCUUGUUNGAACCCUAAAUCGAAUGUAAUGUCGCAAUGGCAAAUACUAGUUGUUCUACUAGGUUAAAUGCACCAAGUUACAAUGUCACAUGUCAAGUUCUAGUUGUCAACUAGGUUAGAUACAACAAUCUUAACUUCAUGUUUAGCCUUGUUAUUCACUAGGUCACAAAGUCACAUUUACUUGUCUACACAAGCAUAUUAUUCAUCAUGUGAGAUAAUCACUUUUCUAACCUAUUCACUAGGUACCCUCCAAGUAAUGUAUCAUCAUUCAUACGCUAACAUACUUCCUAAGAUUGCAUAAAACAGAAGUCAUCAUGAAGUGUCAUUUAAUGUACAAGUCCACAUGUAUGCCUCUACUACAUAGAGCAUUUAUUUUACUACACAUAACAUGUAUGUAUCGUGUUUUCAUAAGCUCUGACAUGUCAUAUUGAGCAUGAAUAAUUAUCUAAUUAUGUCUUAAAAAUAUAAGGAAGACAUAGGGGAGUUCACCUAUUUCGGUGAGGUCAAACCCAUCGGAUGAUCUUCGAACCCUUUUGUUCCUUCAAACGAAAUUGUCCACCAAACUUCUAGCACCCUAAAAGAAUUUCUAAGAGGGUUAGGGGCAACGAACGAACACCCCACAAGCUCAACUUUAACCAACCGAACAAUAGGUCAAAACUCACCUUGUAUGGUGUAGAACCCUUCCAAACUCCAAAUGAAGGCUAGGAUACUCCUAAUCCAACCUAAAAGGAAGUUCUACACCCAUCAAUUUAACCGCAAAAGCUACAAAUCAAAACCCCCAAAUAAAACCCUAAAUUUCUCAUUCUAGAUUUUCCUCACAAAAAUUCACAAGAAAUAUGAUCUAAAGAGAAGAUCACGGUUACUAACCUCUCUUGAAGCUCCAAACCAAGCUAGGAGUGAGCUAAGGUUAGAAAUCUUUCCUCGAACAAGCUCCAAUCCAAGCUCCAAGGCUUCUCCAAUGGUGGGAGAACCACCAACAUGCAAAGAGAAGCAAAGAGAGGUGAUUAAUCCUCCAAAAUCCAAGUAAAAAGAAAAGAAAAUCAAAUAGGGGAAGAAGAGAAGCUCCUUACCCUUCUCUCCACUGGUUCCAAGCUCAGGGAACCCAAAGGGGGGCGUGGGGUAUAUAUAGAGUUGUAACAAACUAAAAGAAACCCCUCAACAACGCGCGCAGUCUGCAUCUGCACUGUGUACUGGUGACACGGGCUGGAGUACCGGUACCAGGCAGCCGAGCUCGCCAAACCCGAGCCUCGGUCAGGCGAGAAAAUACGCUGCAUACCGGUACCCUCGCGAUGCAGUACCGAUACCAGGUCAAGUAACGGUACUCUGCCGAUGAAGUACCGGUACUCUGCCCUGCAGAACUCAAUUCGAGAGUUGCCCAAAAUAUGCAAUUUAGAGAUCUUGGUGCCAAGUUCUCAUCCUCGCUCCUUGGGACGCGAGUCAUAGGUCGGAACACAGUCAACGACCCUCCAGAAAACCCAAAAAGGCUCAGAACACUAAUCAAAUACUCGAACCUUGCAAUUUGCUAAAGUUCAGCGUGUUACAGGCUUGGUGCAAUUGUGGCUAGUGGGAGUGUAUAUAGAUAGGUCUCCAACUCAUCUCUCUCAUUUUCCCUCACUUUACCAACCAAAGAGAAAACUUUUUCUCUCUCUAAGCUCUCUCUCUCUCCUAGGGUUUGUACUAAGAGGUGGAGAAUAGUGGAGAAGGCUUGCUUGGAGGUGAAGCUUCUUCUUCUGCUUCCUUAGCUUGAGAAGAAACUUGGUUUAGAGGUAAGCCUCAUGAGAUUUGAUGGCUUGUGGUUAGGGUUUUGGUAUAAUCCCUUAUAAAUGAGUUAUAUGGAAACCCUAGGUGAUGCUAUACUUGAUUAUUGUAUGAAUCAUGAGCUAUUUUGGUGUAUUCUUGCAAUAAUGAAUUUUAGGGUUUCUAGAGAGGGUUUUGUCAUGUGAUGGGUUUGGAUCUAAAUUGACCCUAUGAAAACCUAAUUGAAGGUAAAACCGACACGGUGGGCAACUCAAAUCGGAGUUCCUACGAGCGUGCGGCGAAUCGUUGAAGAAAAGUACGAUUUUCGGUUCGUUUGCUUUGGGUCUAGCCGAAACGACGUCUAUAAAUCGUGAGGCUAGGAUUCUCGCACUUCGGCAUUGUAAAAAGGUGGGGGGUGCUAUCCGAAACAAUCGGAUUUUCUUUUAUGUCUAUGUUAUUAUAUUGACCAUGUAUGCAUAUGUAUUGAGAUCAUGCAUUGUAGAGUAGUUGUGUUAGUUCUUCCAUUCCUUGCAUGCUCUUAUGGUACUUGUAGAAUUAUGAAAUGGAUCAUAGUGAACUAUGUGCAUGAGGAUUGGGUUGUGAAUAAGGAACUCUAUAGUGCUAUGACAAUGAGAACUAAAGACAUUGUGACAUACAAAGGUGGCAUUUGGAUAGAGACAUUGAGACAUGAAUGAUGGCAUUUGGAUAGUAAAUUGAGAACACUCAACAUAUGAGGAUAGGGAUUGGAAUCUUCCCUGGCUUUGUUACCACUAGGUGGUAGGGUAUCCUCGGGAUAGAGGAUUGGAUCAUACUCACAUUACGUCUGUUCGCUUGGCGGUGGUCGCUCUACCCAAGCAGUGGUCUCCGGAGUACUUCACGGUAGGGGUUAACGUAGGUAUCCCGCAGACGGUCCCGGGUGAGUGUAGCGGACAUCUCCUUACUUGCGGGAUUCGGUUGUGAGUCGGGGCUUAACCUUCGGGUUAGCCGGAAUGAUUGGGUUAUGAAAUAUGAAUGGCAUGCAUCAUGGGCAUAGUAGUUGCUAGUACAUGUUUACUGUACCUGUUUAUUGUUUCAUAUUACUGAGGCAUAGUAGCAUGCUAGAUGUUUAUUAUAUUGCUAACCCUUCUACUUAUGCCUGCUUAGACCUAGUGAAAAAAUUGGCGGGGUCGGCGGCCGAACCUACUGGGAACUAUUAUUAGUUCUCAUCUCACUUUGUCGCAGGGUGUAGUACACUGAACUUUAGCAAAUUGCGAAGUUCGAGUGUUAGAAUAGUAAUUGGAACUAUUCUACAUCUUUUGAGGGGUUGUCGGGAGGUUUUCGGUAAGUUACUUGAGUGAUCAAAUGGCCGGAAGAGUGAAAGUGUAUCACAAAAUGCAAAUUCUGGACUUUGCACUGAGUAUCGGUACCAACAUGCCCAAGUACCAGUACCCAGCAUAGUAGCUGCGUGGCUGAGGUUGUUUUGGUCAUUUCACUCUUUAGGCUUAUCCCCAGCUGAUCCUUAUCAUGUUUAAGCUCAGAGAACAGGGUAAGAGCCCUUUCCCUCUCCCUCUCUCUAGGUUUUUCUAAUUUUGAAGUGAGGUUUGGUGGAUUUGAGCUUAAUUUCUUCCCCUUUCUUGUGUUAGCUCGUUUGGAGACUUGAGGGAUAGCUUUUGGAACAUGGGAGGUGGUGUUUUGCUGAGUUUCCUCAACCCUAACUCAGCAAGUAGCUGAGUUGAAGCUUGGUGAGGUAAACUAUUCAACUUCUCCCUAGUUUUAUGCUAUAGUAGUGAAGUUGAACUUGUUCUUGAUUUCUUUGUUACCAGUUGAUUAGGGAAGGUUUAGAACAGCUAUAGAGGAGUUGUUUGCUGUGGUUCUUCAACCCUAAUUCAAGGAAAAGCUAAAUUGAAGCUUUGGAAGGUGAUUAGUUAACUACUCUCCUUAGUUGAUACUAUAGUAAUAGUAUUGGUAGUAGUAGUAGUGAUGCUUUUGAGAUUUGUUCACAGCAGCUUAUGUGAACCCUGUGGUUGAGUUUUGGUGACUCUUAAAGCUGGUUUUGGUGUGCUUCAACCUGUAGUGAAGUGGAAUUCAAGUUUGGAUUAUAAACUAGGUAUGAUUCUACCUAGAUUAUAUGCCUAUGUGAGAUCUUUAGUAAAGGUCGAAGUCAAGCUUCUAACUUGAUUAGUAUACUUACUAGGGUACUUGGAGGCUAGCGGAUACCUUCGCUCGCUAGAUCGACGAGAGUUGUCGGCUAUUUCGUGGGUUUGACCUUACUGAAUUGGGUGAAUUCUCUCUAUAUCUUCUUUGACAUUAUGAAAUUGGAAUUGUUGCAUAUUCAUGUGAAUAUAUGUAUAUUUGAAUGGAUUGGUGCAUGCAUAAAUUCGCAUAUUGUAUCGGAUAAAAGGAAACCUCUAUGCAGUAGGGGAGAACCAUGAAAUUGCUUCGCAUAUAGAGAUUACUUGCUCGUUUAGCAUGCAUUACAUGAUAUUAGUAUACUUGUGUAGACAAGUUAAGUAGGACACUAUUUACAAGUGAAUAGACAGGAAGCUAUGAAUACGAUACCUAGUUUAGAUGUAUAACUAAGUGAAUGUGGUAUUAUGGGUCUUAACCUUUGAGUUAAAUCAUGCAAUUUCAUGUUGUAGACAUGAUGAUAGAACUUCUAGCAUAUCAUAUGUAGUGGAAACAUAGGUAUAUAUUGAUAUUGUGGGAAUGAAUCGUGGAGAAAUCAUGUAUAGAGUAUCUUAUAUGAUAUUUUGCAUCCUUGGGUUGAUCAGUUGAUUAUCACUUUCACAUGAUAGAACUAGCAUGAAUUUCGUAUUCUUGUAUAUGACCUAGUUAAAUAAUUAGGAUUGGACAUAAUGAUAUACUUGUGUAGUCAACUAGAAGUAAUUGCAUAAUGCUUGUUUACUCCAGGUAGUGGAGGCUUAUGUAGAAAUAUAAAAUAUAUGCCACGAGUGGUAUGAACACCAGAGUGAUUCAUUGAUUAUGAUCUUAGUAAACCACUUUCCUUAUGUAUAGGGAGUAGUGAGAGGACUAUAUGUGAGUAUGCGAGUAUAGCUCAUUAGAAUCAUUAAGAAGAUGCAAACCAUGUACUUGUUGAAGUCAUCCUAUCUAUUGAUAGAAAUAUGUUACUAAGUAGUCAAUAGUAGAAUUUGACUUAUUGUCAAUUGUCGACCUUGUGUCAAAGAUGAAAUUCCAUGUUAGAGACAUGAUGAACUUGCGAAUACUAUACUAUGAGUUAAGCUUGCUUGCCAAUGUGCUCAUUCGCACAUGCUUGUAAGGGUCGUGCCCCACAAGCUGGCACUUCAGAGUUGGCCUACGCGACAGCAGAUCGCUUAUGUACUGAGAGCCGAAGUAGAUUGCCGUGGGUAUUGUUGACUUCCACUGGGCCAUUAGGCAUGACACUAGCCUGGACUUUACCACGUGUAAGUCUCCUGUUAAUUGGGUUACUAUAGUGAAUUUAGACUUAGAUGGACAUAGUAGUAAAAGUACUUUAUGUCAGUAGUAGAGAUAUACCUAGUAAUGAUCAUACUAGAUGGUUGACAUUUCUAUGAGUCAUUAGUUGUAGUGACAUUAUCUGUAUGAUUACACUCCUACUAAUAAUGAAAGAUAGUUACAAACAUUAUUAUUCUGUUGAACUAUAAUAGUGGAAUCCGGCUUUAACAUUGACAUAUAGUUAAAGAUGAACAAACCGGUAGUUAGCAUAACAUACAGAACUUAUAUCCAGGACGAGUAGCAUGUAAGAUAUGUUAGAAACAUAUUUCGUUGAGGCAUGUUAUAAUUGAAUUAUUUCAUUUACUUGUUGCAUUUAUUUUUCUUACUUGUUAUAAUUUACUUAUGCCUCAGUUGACCUAGUGGUGUACUUCGCCAUACUCGGCGGCUUAUCCAUUGGGAACUAUUGUUUAAUAGUUCUCACGCCCUUUUAUUAGUUGCUUUUGUGCAGAGCCUUCCACAGCGGGAAAGGCUAGGGUUCCCUGCAAGGGGUCAGCGGCUAGCUAGAGCCUCCUCGAUGUUAAAUAGAUGGAACCAUACCGGCUAUUCUAGUUUAGUUCAAAGUUGUAUAUUGGGAUUAUGUAGAGUGUACUUUAUACUUUACUUUUAAGCUAUAGUUUGGUUUUAUGUUAAUAUAAGCUUAAGAACUUUUAAGGUUUGCUCUGAUUACCUGAUUAAGAUAUUAUGCUUUUGCUAUAUUGAUUGUAGAGGCCUGGUGUACACUUGAGGUUGUGGUGCACUCGGCGGGUCUGUGUACGUGACUGGUGAGCUUCCGUUGAAGUCCAGGGCGUGACACAAGGCCUAGCACGAGCGGACCGGCCGAGGAUCGCGGGAAGGGCAUAGCGCCCUAGAUAGUAGCCUCCUAUGCAUUAGAGUGCCAUGUACAUAUUGAGAGACUUAAUGUAUUUUGGGAGAGGUUACUUUUGGAUGAUGUAUAUGUAUCUUGAGAUGUAAUUUGUAAACCAAAUGAAUGUAAUAUCUAGUAAUCUCUCUUGCUCUUGCUUGUAUCAUAUUUGCAUGAUUCAUGUAUGUUGACUAUGUUUAUCUGGGUAAACUAGAUAUACAGAUUGAUAUUUGUUGAGCCUUGGGAACACAUUUAUUAAAGUGCGUGCGUGAUAUAUAUCAUAUUUAAUUAAAUUAAAUUUGAAUUUAUAUGAUUAUUGAUGAUAUAUUGAUAUGAGUCUAGGGAUGCAAAUGGAUCCGGGUUGGUGGAGCUCCUGCCACUAUCCACCCCAACGGGGGCAGUAAAUGAAAGAAAAUAAACGGAUUCGGGGUAGGAAACGGGAUAAAUUUUACGAUCCGAGACGGAUUCGGGGCAGAAAACGGGAGAAAUUUUGACCCGCCCCAAAUCCGCUCCGCCAUGAUCCGCUCCGAAUCCGUCCCGAAUCCGCCCUGAAAAUUAUUUAUAUUUUAAAAAAAAUAUUCUUAAAAAAUAAUAUAUUUACAAAAAAGUUCAAAAUACAAAUAAGUUAGUACUCUUAUUUCUAAUGUAUUUGAAACUUAUGAAUUUUGUUUUGAAUUAUGAUUGAUAUUUUUAAUUUUUAUAAUUAAUAUUGUUAAAUUAUAUAUAUAAUAUUAUUAAAAAUUAUUAUUUUAUAUUUUAUAAAAUAUUAAUAAUAUUAUAAUUUUAUAAAAAAUAUUAGUUGGCAGUAGAGAUUCGGGGCGCCGGCGGGAGGCGGGUUACGAGGCAGGGCGGAUUAUGGGAUGUAUUUUUUAACCAGUCACGGAUUCGGAGCAGAGUCUUUGUGUCGAUUGAUUGUUUUUUCUCUUUAUUUUGUUUUCAAGUAAAUUUUGUUUAUUUCCAAUUUAGUAUACCUAAAAAAAAAAUUUUAAUGAACUGCACAGAGCAUGGUCCUGGCCCUAUCAGUCGCGUUUUAUUUUUCCUUGUCUCAGGCAGAAAACGAAAAGCCCAUUUUUUCCAUUAUUUGUAAAAGUGGUUUAUGUGGAAAAAAUUUUUACACGAAAUCAAAAUUCCACGACCCAGCUAAGUUUAUUUCUAAAUGAAAAAAACGAAGCGGGUAGCAUGCUACCUAUCUCUCUCAAAAAAAAAAAAAAAAUCAAGAUAUAAAAAAAAAUGAGUAUGGUUAAUAUUUGAAUUUUUUAAUAGUAUUAUAUUUUAUAUUAAUAAAUUACAUAAACUCAGAUUCCAAUAUUCUAUUUCCAUCCUUCUAUUUUAAUAUUGUGCUUUAAAAUUUUCAGAUAUGUAAAAAAGAAAUUUCUAGAUUGUUUAAUUGCUUAAUAUGUGUGGGGAGAUAAGAAGGGUUAAAUUAAAUUUAUUUUUUUUGUGUGUGAAGAUAAAGGUGGCUUAAUUGCUACAAGUGAAGAGAUAAAGAGGAGUUUAUUUUUUUUUGUGUGUUCUUCUUUUGUUUUAUUAUAGUUUCAUAUAAAAAUUAUAUUUGUGUUUGUUAAAUUUUAUAUUUUAUUAGAUGAAAUAUAGGUAUUUAAAAAUUUGAUCGUGAAUGUAAAACUUUUGUGCAUUGUUAGUUUAUCAUUGUUAUAUACGAAUAUAUAUAUAUCUUAUACGCAUUUGAAUCUCAAGAAAUAUUCGAUCAUUUCCGAUUUCAUCUUUAGUGGUUACAAUAAGGAAAAUAUGAUAUCCGACCUAUAUUCGUAUCCAGAAAAAAGAAAGUAAAUGCAAUUAUAUUCUCAUCAAAUAUUUGCCCAUACGUGAUCCAGGCUCCAGGCACAGCUCCAGAUCUGGGCCGUACCAUGCUAGGCCGGGUUUCUCUAAUGACCUCAACGACCAAUUUUCUUUAAAUUUAAAAAUCCAACCGCGGGCCGUGCCGAGCCUUUGGUGGUGUGCCCGGCCACGGCCCAUUAUAUUUGUAGAGAGAGGUUGGUAAGUAUUGAAAUAAUGUUGGGGGUCUUUACUAGGGGUGGCAAUCCAGCUCGCUGUUCGCGAACCAGCUCGUGUUCGGCUCGAAAUGAGCUCGAGAUCGGUUCGCUCGUUUAGGUCAGCUCGCUCGUGUUCGGCCCGAGAACAGCUCGAAUACAUAUAUUUUAUAUUUAUAUAAUUUAUUUAAUUUAUAUUUUUAUAUAUAAAUAAAUAAUUAUAUAUAAUAUAUAUUUUUAUUAUUUAAUUUUUAGCGAAAUAAAAAAAUGAAUGCGAGCUUAAUUAUAAAAAGACUUAUUUAUAUGUAAAGUUUCAACUAUUAGAUCAAAGUCUAAUGGAUAAGAUUUUAUAAAUUUACUUUUUAUAUAUAUUUAAUUUAAUCCUUUUUAAUUUAUUGUUCGUUGGCCAGCUCGUGAGCCAGCUCAUAUUCGGCUCGUUAAUAAACGAGCCGAAUACGAGCUGAAUUUUUCGGCUCGAUACUUUAACAAGCCAGCUCAUGUUCGACUCGUUUAAUUAACGAGCCGAACACGAGCCGAUCCCAGCUCGCUCGUGUUCCGUUCGUUUACACCCCUAGUCUUUACUAGGGUGUCGAUGGCUUGGAUUCGGGACGAAUUUUAAAAUCUCGAAUCCAAACCCGACUAUCAAAACUAAAACUUAAAUCAAAUAAAUUUUAAAAAUUUAAUAUUUAAAUUCGAAUCCGACCAAAAAUUCAAAAUCCAAACUCGAAUCUGAAACAAUUAUUUUUCUUCACAAUAUUUCAAAACAUAUUAUAUUAGAUCUAAAUUUUCUAAUACAUAUUCAAAUAUAACAUCAUAUUUGAUAUAGUGAUCCAAAAUAUUCAAAAUCAAUAAUUUUUAAUAGUUGAUAUGUGUCAUUUGGAAGUUUAACAUUGUAGAAGUAUUCAAAUCAAAUGAAAAUUUUGAUAGAAAAUUUUAUACUAUCUACAACAAAAUCAAUGUUUAUAAUAAAAAUUUUUAGUGUUACAUCAUAACUUUUUGUAAGAUUUUUAUUUUCAACCGUUGAUUUUGAGUCCUUUCGAUCACUAUAUAAAUGAUAUCGAAAAAUUAUAAAAUUUAUUUUUUAGAUAGUUCAAAUGCGCUAAAUCAAGUCUAACAGAGCCGAUCGUCGAUUUGAAAGUUCCAUAAUAAAAAACGACAGGAGCAUGGAGGCCGCCGUACUCGUAACAACACAUGAAUUCUACUCUCUCACUAUAUAUCUAUACUACUUAUAAAAAAGGGAGUUCUAAAAUUUUUUUCUUUCCUAAAAUACCGGUCCGUAUUAAUAUACUUUUAAUCACAUACUAGCAAUAUCAUUCAUUCAACUUUAAUGGAAUAAAUCACAGUCGUACAAAUUUUAUUUUAUUUUAAAAUUAUUAAAAAAUAUAUUAAUUCUUAGUCAUUGGAUCUAAUCAAAUGACUGACGAAUUAAGUAUCUGUCACUUUUUUUUUUCUAAAUUGCUCUCAAAUAGUGCUUAUCAAAUUUCACUUUUAAAUGCAUAUCCUAUCUCCUAAUAACCGCUGUCCACAUAAUAUCGUAUUUUAUCAUAAAUAAUAUUCGCAAUCUACGCGUUUCUUAAGUAUUUUCUUUCUCACACAUAAUAUCUGCCACCUACAUAAUAUCUAAUCACGUAAUACCUUCCGCAUAUAUAAUAGUUAAUCAUUUUUUUUAAAGGUAAAUAUAUAAAAAUUAUCUCAAUUCAUCUACUAAUAUUUAAAAUAUGAGAUAUUUUUCAAUAAAAUAUAACAUAUGAAUUUACAAUUUAAAAAUUUAUUCACAAGGGCCCCAUAAAAAAAUAUUCCAUACUAAUCAAAAAACGAAAAUCUCUAUGCAACACACCUUGAAAAUAUUUAGUAACCACUAUCUCUCACUUAACUAACUAAAAAAAAUUAGGUUUGAAAAAUAGAAUGAUUUAAAUAAGCUUAUCAAAUCAACUUUAAAUUUUAAAUUUAGUUCAUAAUUUUAAAUGUGAAUUAAUAUUUUAACUCAAAUUUGAAAUUAAUUAAAAUUCAAUUUGGGUGUGUAAGCAAUAUUUCAAAUAAAAAAUAAUAAUUAACUUGAGAAUAUAUAAAAUUUGAAAAUAGAUGGAAUGAUAAAUAUGUCAAUGUCUCUAAUAAUUAUUUAUAUUCAAAUUAUGGAUUCAAAAUUAACUUCAAAUUUGAGUUUUGUUCAUAAAUUUAAAUCUGAAUUUAUUAAUUAAAAUUAGAAUUACUUCAAUUUUAAAAUUUGAUGCAGUAAAAAAAUUUAAAGUUAAAAAAUAUAAUUGGAUAAAUGAGAUUUAUACACCAAUAAUUAUUUAAAUUUAAAAUAUAAAUAUAAAUUUAAUUUAAUUAAAUGUGACGUGUAUCGAGCGUGCAUAGGGGUGGAAUGAGUCGAGCUCGAGCGAGUUACCUCGCUCAAAUUCGGCUUGAAUUAAUUUCGAGCCUAAAUUAAGCUCAAGCUUGGAUUGAAUUAAUUCGAGCCGAGCUCGAGCGAGCCUAAUUUCAAGUCGAGCGAGCUCGAGCCCUAAACGAGCCGCUUGAAUAUUCUGAACAUUAUACGAUCAAUAGUUUAAUUUAUAUAGAACAUUAUCUAUAAUUUGAUACAAAAAUAUGUCUAAUGUUCAAAGUACAAAAAUAUAUAUGAAAUAUAGUAUUAUAAUAUUAAAAAAAAUAAUUUAUGAGUUGAAUACUAAUUUUUUCAGCAUCACAUGUCUUUUCUUCCGCCUUUCAAUUUCUAUAUUAUUCAUUUUCAUUUACAAUCAAAAAUAAAUAAAUUUUAUAGAUAAAUAUUGGAUUAAACUACCCAAUCAUAUAUAACUAAAAUUAAAAUUUUAUAUGAAUAAUUUUUUUACUUUAAAAUAUUUAAUAUUUUUUCAAGCAUACAUAAAUAGUAAGUGUAGGCAACGACGGCAUAUGAUGUUACUUGGUAACUUAGAGGGCUUCCGGCUUGACCACUUAGGGUGAGAGGCAGAAAAUGAGAAAGAAAAAUAUUGAAAUUUAGAACUCUGUUAAAGAAAAGAAAGAAAAGAAAGAAAAAUAUAUAAAUUUAGUAAAAUUUUACUUUUUUAUUUGUCUAUUGGGUUUGUUUUAUGGGCCAACAACAUUAGCCCAAUUUAACUAAACUCAGAUUAUUCACUCAACCUAUAUAUAAUAAAAAUAUAUUAUAUUUAUAUAUUUUUUAAUAUAUAUAAAUAUAUAUAUAUAUAUAUAUAUAUAUAUAUAUAUAUAAUAUAUAUAUAUUAUAAUUAUAUAUUUUUUAUAUAUGAUUAAUAUAUAUAUAUAUAUAUAUAUAUAUAUAUAGUGUAGAACUACUAUGCUAUCGAAAUAUAGAGGAUUUGAUGUUUUUUAAUUUUUGACCCUUUGAUUAAAAAUUGUAUCGUUGAGAUGAUUGCGGUCUCCCUAGGAUUAAAUAAUACUCUUAGGAUUGAGUGGUCCCUAUAAGGUAAUAAUAAUAUUAAUCCAAAGAUAAAAAACGAUUAAAGGGAUUGAUCUAAGAAUCAAAAAAUCGAGAGCACCAGAUCUCUAUACUUUCGAUAGUAUAUUAGCUCUACUAUAUAUAUAUAUAUAUAUAUUCGAGCUUUUCGAGCCUAAUUCGAACGAGCCGAGUAAUACUCAAGCUCGGCUUGAAAUGAAUUUCGAGCCUUUUUUUUUGUUCAAGCUCGGCUCAUUUAAUUUCGAGUCGAGCUCGAGCGAGCCAAAUAUCGAGUCGAACGCGAGUCGAACGCGAGCCGGCUCGCUCAUUUGCCAGCCCUACACGUGCACUAUAACUAGUAUAUAUAGGAAUCGGUGAGAAUAGAUACGUAACGUCUCUUUUUAUAACAAUAAUAUAUUAAAAUUAUCUCAAUUCUAUCUACUAAUAUUUAACUGUUACAUUAACAUUUUAUUGAUUUCAACAAAAUUAAAUUUAAAUUUAAUUUCAAGUGUUUAUAUAUAAUUUUAAUAUUAUUUGAUUUUAAAUAUUUAUUUCUUUAAAUUCAGAGUUAAAAUUUAUUUAUAUAAUUUAAAAUUAAAUUUAUUUUUAAAUUAAAAUUAAAAUUUGAUUUUAAAUUGUGAAUUAAAUAUAGUUUUGGAUAUUAAAUUUGAAUUAAUAAUUAAAAAAAUUUAAUUAAAGUGAAUAAAGAUUAAAUUUUGUAUUUUGAUCUAAAUGUGAAUUAAAAUUUCUAUACAUUUAGUUUAAAAUAUAUACUUAAAUUUUGGAUUCGUUAAAAUAUAAAAAUAUAGAAAAUACUCGAUGUAUAUAAAAAAAAUAGAACUAUAUAAUUAUAGCUGACAACAGCUAUUUGAAUUUGAAUUGAGAUAUGACAGAUUUUUUCAAAUAAAAUAUAAUAGAGGAAUUUAUUUUUUAAAAAUUUAAAGUUUUACUGUAAAUUAUUGGAUAAAUAUGAUACACAAAUUUAUAUUGAUUUAAGAUAACUUUUAAAGUAAUUAUUGAGAGAAUUAUUAUUUAGUGAAAAAAAUAUUGCAAUCCAUUUAAGUAAUUGAAAAGGAAUUUAUACUUAUUCAAAUUUUUACCGAUCGAAGGAUAUGUACUAUAGAAUAUUGUUUACACGCGUCUCAAACUAGAAGUAUCAAAAUUAAUUCACAUUUAAUUCAAAAUUUAAAUUUAAUUUGAUCCACUUUAAUUAAAAUUUGUUAGUUGUUAAUUCAAAUUUGAUAUCCAAAAUUAAAUUUAAUUUACUAUUUAAACUCAAAUUUUAUAGAACUAUAUAAUUAAUGUCGGCAAUAACUAUUUAAAUUUGAGCCAGAAUAAAGCAGUUAUUUUCUAAUAAAAUAUAACAAAUGAAUUUACUUUUUAAAAUUUUAAAUUUUUAUUGUUGAUUAUAAUCUUUUGAAUAAAUAUAAUCUAAAAUUUAUGUUAAUUUGAGAUAACUAUUAAAAUAAUUGUAUGUGCAUUUCCACGUACGCUCAAUUAGUUUAUAUUUAUAUAUUAACCUAAAAUCAAUUUAGGUUUGGGUCGAGGUCGGGUUCGGGUUGGGUACAGUCAAAAUCUAUGACCGAACCCAAAUCCAUUGAGUUUUCGUUUUUAAUAUACAUAUUCGAAACUAUAUUCGUUUAGUAUCAAAUAAAUCCACUCCGUUCGGGUUUGAAUUCAGAUAAAAUUUCGAAGAUCUGUACCAAUUAACAUCCCUAGUCUUUACACCUGUAUUGGGUAAAUACUCGAAUAAUGUUGGAGGUCUUUGCUAUGUGAAUCCUAGUUUAUUAUGUUAUUGUUUCUAAAAAAUUUUUGAUGGUGUACUCUUUUCUCUUUUAUCUUCGAUAUUUAUGCACCUAAAUUUUGAUUGUCGAUAUAUUGAAUUAAAAAUAAAAUUCAAUAAAUAUAAUUUAUUCUAUUUAAAGACUUUAUUUAUAAAAAAUUAUGAAUUUUAAAUUUUCACUUCAAAUAUUAAGUAGAUUCUAAAAUCAACAACAAGAGAAAACUCCGUUUGAUUUGUAAGAAUAGUUAGUUCAAAGUUUAUAUGGACUGUGUUAUUACUCAGAUGACAAGCUUCAUCCAGUUUGCGAGGGGUUGUGAUGGAAAUAAUCCAAUUGAAGCAAUAAGAAAAGAUUUUAAACCUAAUUAAAACAACAAGAAGAUUAAGUCUCGGCAGGAUCUGGAUCUUAGAUCAGUAAAAAAUUUGUUUUGGCCGAGCUCAACCUAGCUAGAUCAGGAACCGGCCACUUUAAGUCUUGGGAGGUCCUACACCGCUAGGCUGUGUUGUUGUGCUGUACAUGUUCGGUCAAGUGCGAAUGAAAACAGCUCAUGCUUAAAUAAAUGAAAAGAUUUAGCGCACCCCAAACUCUGUCCAGGAUUGGUUUUCAAAUUACAUUGUUCGGUCCAAUGAGCCCCCGCUGGUUUAGAAAUUUUUUUUUUUUUUUUUUUCCUUUUUUUUUGCUUUGGCCCAGUCCUAGUCCACUAUGAAGAAUAGAAAUGAAAAGCUUUCAAUUGAUCAUCAUCUCUUUGUUUUCUUUGCUUACUUUAAUCUAAGCAUGGUUUGUCGAGUUAGCUGAUCAGUGGAUUGAGAUUCAAUAAUUUGAAGAGAGCUUUCGAUCUCUUCUCCUCUAAUAUCUCGUGUUCAUUCAGAUCAUCACAGGAGGUUGCAAAUAUCAAGGUUCUCAUAUAUGUCCCCAGCUGCUGUUCAAUGCAUACAAUCAAAUCAAGUAUCCCCGUUUAAACUGGCGCCAAAAUUUGGCACGGCAAUGGCCAACAUAUAUGGCUUGUUCAACGCAUCCCACUUUAACGCCUUUGUUUUCUCUCUCUCCGUCGGCAAGUUCUAUUUCCAUGCCCCUCUCGGGCGUCAAUGCCUAUUUUCCUUUCCCAUCAUCUUCUAAUUUCAUGCCUUUUGUGCCGUCGCCACAAGUCUUGACCCCUAUGGUAACUACAGCUGCAUGCUGUAAACCAAGAUGCGCCAGAAAGUCCAACAAGAGAUGUAGAGAAAGGUAUUCGAGACAAUUUACAAGUCGAAGAGGUGCCUCAGGUCAAGUUUUGCAUUUCCUUUUUCCUUCUUUCAUUGCUGAUUAAACAUUAUAUUUUCACUCCCUUUUUAACUGAAAUCAUAGGCAGGAUAAUAGCAGGAGAGCUUCGAGCCUCGUGUGUUUAUGAAGUUAUUCAUUGUCACUAAGAUGUAAAUAAUUAACUUGUUCAAGUUGUACAUUUGGAUGUCCAAUAAUUAUUCUAAUCAUCGUUUUUUUCAGAGAUCGGACUUUCGCAAGUCUGCGCCCUUCAUCUCCAACAACUUCCUAGCAACAACCUCGGCAAUCAUGAUCUAUCUUGCAUGGGAAAAUUGGAGCUGAAAUCUGGGCGGUCUCACGGAUGCAUCGAUGAAACUACUAUUUAGUCUACUAAACGGCUUUUUUCUGUUAUGUCAUUGUGAUGUGGUUAAUGGUUGCAGGCUAAAGUGGCUCACUUUGUGGGUAUCCAAUGCAUGUACGGAUGUUAACUAACAUAUAUUGCAGGACUCUGUGUUUGUGUAAGCCGCUUUAAAUUGCAUCAAGUAUCUUGUCUAUAUCCGAUAUAAUUUUGGUAAUAUAGUAAGAAUUGAGCUGUACUGUGUACUGUAAUUGUAUAUUAUCUCUUAACUUUUUGGAAGGUAUUCGCUAUUGAUCAGCUCUGACGGCAGCACGUCUAUUUUGAUAUCAGAUUGUUCAUAUUUGAACAAAUCUGCAGUUUCCUUUCCACAAUUCGGACAGUAUUCAUUCUAUUUGAGUUGGUCCAAGCUCAAAACCAUCUUCACUGCUUCGGCUUUUUGGAGCAACUUGGUCUUAAGAUUAAUUUAAGCUGUAAUAUCUUCAAGGAUGGUAUGAUGAGCUCUCUGUGUUUUUACCUCGUUGUUAGCUAGCCAGGGUAUGAAUUAAUUUUUUUGCCGUUUCAUAUCAACUUAAUUUGACGACUCACAUAGAAUUUCUUUUCGAUUCACACCUUGUGGCUUUAUAUAAACUCCUCUGUAUUUCCUUCUGCUAUUAGCAACCUGGUCUAAAUGUAUUAACCCAGGGACACAGCAUAAUUUUUUGUGGCAGUGGUUAACCUUCAGUUCCCUCUUGAGUCCUUGGAAUGUAGCUGUGGCUUAUUUUCAGAUGCGAGUCGAUAUGAUAUAAAAUCUGUCGACAGCAGUUGUGGACCUAGGUAUAAUUUUUUUUUUUUAAUUAUUAUUUUGUACUUUAAUAAUUGGCCUGUUUUACUUAAUGUGAAGCCCAAAUUUUGAGAUCUUUUAGUUCUACAAUUUCUUUGUUUGUGUGUGUGUGCGUGUAGCUGUAUGUAUGCAUACUUUUUAGUUUCAAGUUGAGCUCGAUUUCAGGUCAUGAUCACUUCUAGAAGAUAGGGUGCCUGAUUAACGGCCCUAGAUGAUGGUAUUAUCUGUAAUUUCUGUUUCAUGUAAAAUCUAUAUUCUAUAUAUACAUCUAUGAAAGCUCUGUUCUAAGCCCCGUGACCGCCAAGGGAGCGGGAGGCAAGCGCGGGAGCGGGCGAGGCGCGCGGACGGAAUUUCUUUUUUCUAUUUUAUUCAAUCUAAUUUUUUUUAUUAUAAAAAUUUUAGAUAUAUAAUUUUUUAUGAAUUUCAAAACCUAACAUAUAGAAUGAUUGAAUUGUAAAAAAUAAAAUUUUAAAGGGUUGAAUUUUAUACAAUUUUAUUUUGAUUUUAAUAUCAAACUUUAAUAUUAUAUUAUAAUCUGCUAAGCGAUCAAUUUUACAUCUAUAAUUUUUGAAAUAUUCAAAAUAUGAUUUAUCGUCUCUUAAUUUUAACAAUUAUGCGUUAUAUAAUUUGUUAGAUAGUUUAACAAUUUUUUUUUCUCGAAUAAAGUGAUUAAUUGAAAAAAAUCGAUCGAUACUCAACUUUAUCUUUAUUUGGAAAAAUUUACACUUUUGGUCUUCAAAUUAGUAGGAUUCAUGACAAUUGUUUCCAAUAUUUUUUUAAAUAAAUAUUGUGAUCAUAUUGCUUACACUUUUGGUCUUCAAAUUAGUAGGACCAAUGACAAUUGUUCCAAAUAUUUUUUUAAACGUAUUGUGAUCAAGUUGCUUAAACUUUUGGUCUUCAAAUUAGUGAGACUUAGUUUGGUAUUAAAGCUUAUCUGAUACUAUUAGAUAAAAUGGAGUUAGGAUAAAAGCAUAUAGGGAUCUGUUUCUAUAUUAUAUAGUGGAAUCGCAGAAAAUAUAUCUUAACCGACUAAUCGUGAAUAUGCAAAACGUAAUAUUACGUACGGAAACAAAUAAGGUAUUUUUCGAUCAUAGUUUCUCAUUACACGUAACGCAAUCUUCUCGCAAUUCCAAACAAAACUUAAGAUUCGUGACAAUUGUUUUAAAUAUUUUUUUAAACAAAUAUUGUGAUCAUACUGCUUAAUUAAAUAUCAUUAAUAUGUAUAUAUUAUAUUAUGUAUUAAUUAUUUUUAUUAUUUAAUACUAAUAUUAUUGGUCAUUUACUUAUAUAUCAUGAAGAUGGGUCUAUUAGACGACUAGUAUUGUAUAAGAGAUAGAACAUUCAAUUUUAGUGGUGAUGCCACACUUUAGAAAACCCUGAUUGAGGUCUUGCACUGAUGUUUUAAUUGCAUCGUACACCGAUUUUAAAUUAUGUGUUAAAUAUAAUUUAUAUUAUAUAAUAAAUUAUUUAAGUAUUUAUAUUAUAUUUUAUUUUACACUAUUGAUUACUAAAUAUUUUAUUAAUUAUUUAAUAUCCUGUACGAUAUAUGAAGCAUUAGCAUAUACUAAUUGUAUCGUACACCAAUUUUAAAGUAUGUGUUAAAUAUAAAUUUAUAUUAUAUAAUAAAUUAUUUAAGUAUUUAUAUUAUAUUUUAUUUUAUACUAUUGAUUAUUAAAUAUUUUAUUAAUUAUUUAAUAUACUGUACGAUAUAUGAAGCAUUAGUAUAUAGCAGGUACAAGAAAAGAUUUAUUUUCUCUCUUUAAACUAUGAGUGCAUUAAAUUAAGCAUUCUUUGCACCGAGUGUAUAUGUGCACCUGGUGUAUAUGUGUACACAUAUAUCGUAUGCUUAAAUUUUUAGGAUAAUUACCUACAUACCCCUCAUACGUUUCAAAUUAUCCGAUUUAUUCUUUUUUUUUUUUCUUUUUAAAAUACCCAUCAUAUGUUCCACCGUUAUUGCAAAAUAUCCCCGCAGUUAUCUCCUGUUAAGUUAACUUGGGUUAAACGUGAGUUAAAUAUCUACCACAGUUAAAAAAAAUUAAAAUACAAAUUUUACCCUUAAUUUAAGGGCAAAUAAGAAAUGCCGGUGACGAUAGGGGUAUAUUUGAAAAGAUCAAAAGUCAAAAUACUUUUUGUGCCACUCACUUUAAGGGCAAAUAAGAAAGUCAGUGAUGGUGGAAGGGUAUAUUUGAAAAGGUAAAAUAGUAAUUUUACAGAGAUAAUAGAGUUAUUAACAGAUUUUAACUCUAGGGGUAUAUUAGAAAUAUGUUGGAACAUAAAAAAUAUAUUUUCAAUAUUAGCCUUCUAAGAGGGGUAAAUUGAAAAGUCGAAAACUUUUCAGAAAUAUAUAAGCAAUUACCCCUAAAUUUUUUAAUAGAGAUUUGAAUAUCUAAUUAAUUCAAUAGAAUUUAAAUUAUUAACUUUGUAGGUCAUAUAUAUUUAAUUAAAUUUUAAUAUCAAAAUAUUUAUUAUCUAAUAUAAGUUGUGGUGUAUAGAAUAUUAAUAUUUAUCAUAUGUAUGUAAUUUUUUAGUUAAAAAAAUUAUUUAUAGAAUAAUUUUCAAAACUAUUAAAGUUGAUUAAUUUUUAAAUAAAUAAAGUUGUUAGAAUAAUAUAACUAUUUAAAAAUUAAGAAAAUAUUAAUAAAAGAGUUAUUUUUUGUAAUGUAUAUAAUACUAUUUGAUAAUAUUUUUAUUUAGUUAUAAUUUUUUAAUUUUAUAAGUUUAAUAAUUAUAUAUUUUAAUUGAUUGAAAAAUGAUUUACCGGCGACGAAGCGCGGACCUGCGCUAAUUAUACAUUGAGAGUUGCAGAAAGGACCAGCCAUAUGAGAUAGGUUAUUAGGUUUUAGAUUAUCGUCUAGCCUUUUAAUUAUUCGCAACACCAAGUAACCAAAUAGAAUAAGAAUAGAAACAAUGCACAUAAUUACAUGGGGACAGAAUAAAGACUAUUAAAAGAAGGAUAAUUCUAGAAAAAGAGAACCAAAGGUCAUGAUGGGAAUCGCGAACGAUAUCUAUUUGAGCAGAUAUUCUUGUAAGGAAGCACAAAUUUGUCCCCAUCCAUCAGCCUAUGGAUCAAACACGGGGGACCCACCAUUACUACGACCUCUCACGCCCAAAGUCCAAGUCAAAUUAUUAGUGAUCGACUAGCGAACCCAUCUAAUUCGCAUUAGUCACCAUCCCCUAUUCCCUUUCCUCCACCAGCCCACAAUUUUCUUUUGGAGUAAGCAGCCAAAGAAGGCAAAUGACUCAUCCUUGUGACACAAGUGUAGUCUGUUGUUCAGGUUAUCUACCACAUCUCUCUCUCUCUCUCUCUCUCUCUCUCUCUCUCUCUCUCUCUUUGAAAGGUGCUUCGAGAAAGGAAAGGCUACAAGAAAAAACGACCAAUUGCAAAGCCUCCAAACUCCAAGUUUUGAAUACAAAAGUGCAAAGCCUAGUUCAUAUAUGGAUGUGUUAUCAUGCGCGUUGUUUUGGAAGGCGUCGACACCAAAAUUUGACCGUUGGGUUUUUGGAAGGGGUCGACUACAAAAUUUGACCGUUGGAUUUUUAGGAGGCAAGGUGAUCUGAGCCCUCAAUGCUUAAAAGGGGGGAAAUUUUUUAAUCAGAAGGGAGAAAUCUAUACCGUUGCAAGAAACAAUCUUGGUCUUUAUCAUAAGGAAAGAGAUAUUUGUAAGAGAAAAUUUUGAAAAUUUGGUCGAGAUUUUGUAGGAUUCACAGUCUAAUUAUAGGUUACUUCCGAAGAGAAGGGUAGAGGAUCCUUUUUUCAUUCACGAAAAAUUCAAGAGCUUGAGAGAUUUAGAGAAAGAGCUUCACGCCUCGGGGCCAUUUUGUAAAGCUUUUAUAUAACAAGUGCUGUUUGAAAACCAGAGUUUGCGAAAAUAUGCCGAUUUUUUUUUGAAACUUGCCUUGCUCACGGGUCAUACAGAUUCGCCAUAAAUACAAAAAUUACUCUGUCUACGGGGGUAAAGUCUUUUCUAUAUUUGUACGACGUACCAGCCAUUUACAACACCAUACAACAAAAAUUCACAUUCACUAACCAGCGUACAUACAACUACAAUGCGUACGCACAUAUAGUUUAACCAUCCUUAAAGAGAUGAUGCAUGCUCUAAGCGCUCUUUAGGCAAAGAAUGAUGCAAAAUGCAUAAUAUAACAAUCAUUCUAUCUUUUGUAGGUGUUUCCUACCCAGAAACUUUAUUUUGAAAACCUUAAAAUUUUGAUAAAGUCAAAAUUCAAUGUGAAAGCUAUUUUGAAAGCCGUUUCCCACGCGAAAAAUCUUGCCUUCGAAAAUCAACUACUAUGAGGAAUAGAAAACUAUUUUGCCAUAUAAGCUGUGAACCCAGAGGCACACUAUAAAACCGCAAAUCAUAUGCCGUAGAACCAUAAAGCCAAAUACCACGUCUACAUCUGGCCAAACCAUAUUGAAAGCCUUAUUAUCCGAAAUCAUUCAAAACCAUGAGCAUUCAUGCAUUCACAAUAUUCAAAUCUAACAUAACCAUGAUUAAUAACCAAUGUGAAUGAAUUAAAGUAGGUAUAGAUGACUAAAGAUAUAGGUGAGCACUAAUGCGAUCUCCCGAAUAUCGGGAUCUCAUGUCGUGCCCUAACCUUUCUCCUAACCCAUGCCACCUAUGGGAAAUCGUGGGUGAGAAACCAAUCUGAGGUUUCUCAUUGGGUAUAACAGAGCCACAAAGGUAAACUGUACUCACCGAAAAUGAUACAAAUGAGAUAUAGAGAUAAAUCUGAAAGACUGAAAGUAAACUUAUAGUAUCAAGGGAUAUGAAUAUGAACAAUAAACAAUCAAUAUGCCGCUACUGUAAAGAACCUAUCUCUAUAUACCCGAAUGGACGAAUAGUCCAAUGCUUAUACCCAAUCCACAACCUGCUAUAUGAUCAGAUAGAGAUAAUCCCUACAGUAGCAAGAAGUAUAUAUGAAUAAAUAUAUGAUCGAAAGCUGCUACUGUAAAAGAAAACCCUACCAACUAAUGUGCCAGGAGUACAAGUAGUCAGUAUUGUCACGCCCUGAGACCGCUACUAAUCUGGUCCGGUUCGGACGCGUCGAACAGACGCCAAACGGACAACAUCUCCCCUGUCCGCCCAAGGCUAAACAACCUGAUCAUGUACAAGAAUUGCCCAGGAAAUAGAAAUUCAUACAUACGCGAUCACGAGGACACAAACAGUGCCGACAACAAAGAGCAAGAAUCCACAAGCAUACACAAAUGAAAUAAAGAGAGUUUUACUAACUAUUACAUCAUUUGCCUUCAAUUACACUUUCAUCUUCUCAAAAUGGAUACAUGGUUCACUAAUGACCAUCAAAUACAUACAUCAAUAGCUCUCCAAAUCCUCACCUACAAAAGUCUCUCAUAUACAUAGGUGCGCUAAUGCAAAAUAGGAAGCUACUAUGUACUACUGCUCGGGCGCUAUGCCCUUGCCGCGGUCCUCGCCCGGUACGCUCGUACUAGGCCAUGCAACAAAGUGGUGUGAAAACUAUUGUCCAUAGUUCCCAGUGGGUUCGGCCGCCGACUCCGCCGAUCUCCCCACUAGGUCCGAGUGGGCAAAAGCAGAUAGAUAGAUAGUUAUGAAAAACUGUAAAUGCAAUAGUAGGAAACUAUGCUACUAUGCCCAAUCAUAUGUCAUAUAUGCAUGCAUCAUAUAGUAAAAGGUUUACUAACAUGCUACUAUGUCCACUAUCCAUGUCCAACAAGCAAAUGUUCAAGUAACAAUGCUAUUCUCAUAUUCAAUCAAUCCUUGGCGAUCCAAUUGGGUUCGCCCACGACUCACCUCAAACCUCGUAUGGUAAGGAGACUCACCUCGCUCUCAAACCCGAGGCCGCCUGCAGGGCAUCAACUCUGCCCUUCUCGCACCAAACUCCGGAGUGCACGAAGACCUGGGUGGUGCGACCACCACAAGUAUGAACAGACUAUGAGUAUGAUCAAUCCUCUCAACUCGAGAAUACCCUAUCAACUCUAGGGUUACAAGUCACUCAAGAAUCCAUCUAUCUCAAUGUCCAUGUGUAAGUACUUGACUACACUAUGUCCUUUGUUCAACGAGUCAUCACUAGGGAAUCCACCUAUCCCUAAGUUCAUAUGUCACUAGUGUCAUUGUACACUAUAUUAUAUGCUACUUGUUCUUGUUUGUUUAACAAUCAAUGCCACUCGUUAUGUCUUUAACUAUCAUCGAGUUCAUCUCUUUUCUCGGCACUAUAGAAUUCAAUGUCAAGACCCAAUCCUCAUCUAACCAUCAUCAUGCAUUCAACUCAUACAUCGAUAUCAAUAGCAAGCAUAAGGAAAGGGAUAACAUGCAAUCCUACAAUGCAACAUGCAAGAGAUGCAAAUCAUGAAGUACUAAGACAUAGAGAGGAACCCGGUUGCUUCGGGAUGACACCACCCACCUUUCGACGAUGUCGGGGUGCUAAGAACACUAUUCGGCACUUGCUUCAACGUCGCUUCGACCUCCUAGGUGGAAACGAAGCUCAAUCAGUCUAGUUUUGCCGAUAACUUUUCACCGGCUCGACGAAUGCUCAAUCCGUUUUUGCCCACGCGUUUAGACACCUAUCAAUGAGGUUUAGGGGCCAACAAAUGAGAUCAAUCUCAUUGAUUUCCAAAAACCCCAAACUGGAGCCCUAGUGUCACGCCCCGGGACCCAGCGGAAGCCCGCCCGGCGCGUGCCCAGACCCGCCAUAUGUCUUCAACAUAUAAGGCGUCUAAAACAAUAAUAAUAAAAGCAAUAAUAAAAGACAUCUAGGAGUAUCAGAGCAUAAUAAGUGUCUAAUUGCUACAACAAGGGAUAAAGUUAAAACUGUAAUUCCACUAAAUAAAACAUAAAGUAAGUACAAUAGGAAUCCCAUAACAAGUGCUAAAAGUAGGUACACAGGUGGUCUCUCUAUACAUGGAAACCAAAAGCCUCACGCUCUCUCAAAAUAUAAAACGGAGAAGUAGACCACCUAGGCAAAGAAACUCUCCGCGAGCUAGCUACGCGACACCCUUGCCGCGAUCCCGUGCCUCUGCCGGUGCCGAAGGCUCUGAAAAGGAAACAUGGAAACAGGGGCGUGAGAACUAUUAAGAAUAGUUCCCAGUGGGCAAUUACUGACUUCAGUGAAUGCACCACAAGGCCCAAAGCUACAAUAGAUGUCAGUGACUAUAAAUGUAGGAAAAUGAAAGGCAAGUAAAAAUGUAACUUACUACAACAUGAUAUCUCUACUUAGCAUAAAUAGCAUAAGUAUGAAGCAACUAUGCAUUAAGUGAAAGUCUCCAACUAUUACAAUGUUCACAAUGCGAGAUAGUAAAGUUCCGUUGUUUACUAUUCUAGUCAAUGUCCAAAUAAUACUCUAAGUCAUCAUCUAUCCACAUGUCAUAGCGGAUAUAUAAAGUCCAAUCUGAAGAGACCCACCCGAAGGCUGUCUAUGGCCCUGAGACCCACCCGCAGGCUGUCUGGCCGGUGCCGAGCCUAAUGGCCCCGUGGUAGUCAUCAUCCUCACCCUAGGGAUGAGCCUGUCCCACGGCAAUCCACUUCGGCGCCCAAUCCCGCACGGCGAAUAUGUAUCGCGAUGGCCAUCUCCGGAGUGCCGGCUUGUAGGGAGCGACCCUCACAAGCAUGUGCGAAUGAGCACAAUGGCAAGUAGUCAAACGAUCUGUCGCAAGUACCAAGUCCUCAUGUCUAAUAACAUGGAAUGUGUCAAGUAUCUCAAAGGCCUAUCCCUAUGUCAUCAUGUCUCUAACAUGGAAUAUAGCAGAUAUGUAGUGGCCUACCAAUAUGUCUCUAUGUUGCAGUUUCAUGGUUUACUAGUUUCAAGUGCCCCUUUAUGACACUCUGGUUCUCUAUGUCAAAACAUGGUAACUAUGUUCCAAAGUACCUAUUCCAAGUCAUAAUUCUCGUAAGAGAUGUAUUUUUCACUUGCAAAAUAAACACUUUUUCCGUAUGCAUGCAUUCUACUCAUAUAGCUCUACUAUAUAGUGAAAUUUUCAUAAUACACGAGGCAUGCAUUUUAAGUGCUCUAAAAUUCAUAUAAAUUCCAUUUAGCAUAGAAAUGAACUUAAAAAUAAUUUACAACAAGUAGAAAGAGCAUAGGGGCCAUUUCGCCCCAUUUCCACGAAGCCAAACCCACCGAUGACAACGAAACUCCUCGUGCGCUCCAACGAGGGUGUCCCCUAGUCUCCUAGUAUCCUAGAGGUAUAGAAACAUGUGUCAAACAAAGCUCACGAACAAAGCUAAGCUCAAACAUUAAGCUUCUCUAGCUAGGUUGGAGAAAACUCACCGAAAGCUAACGAAUCUCUCUCGAUCUCGAAAAGGGAGUUAGAUUCCUUCAAAUCCAACCUAAAUCAAAGUUCUAAACCAAUCAAUUUGGUUCUAGAAGCUACAAAUCAAAAAUCCCCAUUUUUAGCCCUAAAACUCAAAAUCUAGGGUUUGAUCUAGUAACAUCCAACAAAAUCCGAAUCUAGAGGAGAGAAAAAGCUACAAACCUCUUAAAAGCUCCAAACCAAGCUCCAAAGUCCUCUAGGGUUGAAGGUUGAUCCUCAAACAAGCUCCAACCAAGAUCUCACACUUCUCCAAUGGUGAAAUACCCACAAAAAGCAAGAAGGAGAAGAGAAAAGAGAUCAAAACUAGCAAAAACCUAACAAAAAUGGAGAAGAAACCAUAGGGGAGGAGUUCUCACCUUUUCUCCACUGGUCUAGGGCUCAAAGGAGCUCACAAAGGGGCUGGGGUGUCAUAUAUAGGUGUUGCAACAAUUGCAAAAACACCCCUCCACGAAAACAGCCCGCUCUGCACUGUGUACCGGUACACGGGUUUGUGUACCGGUACACCACCCACGAAAAGCCAAACCCGAGCCUCGGGUUUGCUGGGAAAUGGUCUGUGUACCGGUACACUACCACGUACCGGUACAGCCAUCGAUCACGUACCGGUACAGCAAGCGAACCCGUACCGGUACGCAGCCCGCUGAAGGCAACCCGAGAGCUAACCAAAAAUCCAACUUUUUGGAUUUUGGUACACCGCUUCAAACCACAAUUCUCGG
RNAcentral lists this long non-coding RNA (387731 nucleotides) under Ananas comosus (pineapple). RNAcentral's name for it is "long non-coding RNA (ACOM_LNC009017)". The record is from RNAcentral. Lineage: Eukaryota; Viridiplantae; Streptophyta; Magnoliopsida; Poales; Bromeliaceae.